UUUUUUAUUGCUCUGUAUCUCCAUUAUUGCUUCAUAUCUUGCAUCUUCCAGCUGUCGAUUUUAUCUUCUUCUAUUCCAGUAGUUGAAUUUCUAGGACAAUAUUAUCUUCUCCAUUACAUUUUGAACAUUGAUGGUCUGGAUAUUUAUGUCCAAUUAACUUGCAAUAUCUAGUGAAUAAUUCUUCCGAAAUAAUUUUUUCUCUAAUGGCUCUGGCGUUAGGUUUUUUCUCUGGAUUGAGUAACGUCAAGAUUCAUUGCCUAACGUCUUCCAUAUCUGCUUCUCGUAGUUCCUUUGAAUUUGAGUAUACUAUUACAUUACCUCUUAAAUAAUAACUCCAUAUGAGAUUUCUGUUGCGAUAAGUGUUUGCUAACUCUUGAAGAAUUGUGGAUAAUCCGAUAAUUCUCUUAUUUGCAUAAAAAUUUGGUAUCUCAAUUCUAGGUAUUUCUGAUUGUGGAAUAAUAUCUUCUGGUAUAAUCAUAUCUCGGGUCAUUCCUAUUUUUACAACUUGUAGAGGUGAUUUAAGUUCAUCAUACAAUAUCUCUGUUGUUGCCGUGUAAAAUUUUAUAAAAAAUAGGUUACCUUUGGUUAUUCUUUUAAAAAUGUUAAAUGAAUCAUAUAUUUCUGAUAUAUUGGAUAUUUCAUUUCCGUCUUGGGUAUAUAUGUUCUGAUAUAUUGGAUAUUUCAUUUCCGUCUUGGGUAUAUAUGUAACUAAGUAGUCCAUAUUCGUAACAGGUUUUAACUAGACUUGGUUUGGUUUUGGGUAAAGCAAUUAGCUUAUUGUAUUCGAUUAGCUUCUGGGUUAUGUAGUUCGUAUGUGGUUCUUGGAUGUUUAUAGCUCUGGGGUUGGUAUUUAAGAAGGUUUGUAUUUUGUAAAUAUUUUCUAUGUAUGCUCGGGCUGUAUAGUUGUAGGUCUUUUUGUCUUGGUUUAAACCAUCUCGGUAUGUGGUAAUUUGUGGGGGUAUGAACAUAAGAUCUUUUGGUGUAUUUGGAAUAAAUGGUUUAUCAAAUAGCCUAUUUAGGUUCAUAUUUGUGUUUUUUCUAACUCCUUUGCUUGUACCUACAGAAGCAGAUUGAUAAACGUUAAGGGUUUUAUGGAGUGUCCCAACGUCUCCUUCUAGCUCUGGAAUUUUAAUGUCUUCUGAUCGACAUAGCCCUGCACACUGCUGAGUUAGCUGAUUUAUAGCUAUAGACUUCAGUUUAACUUCAUUAGUCUUUAGCUUUUCUAUUUCAUUACCCAUACUGUCCACUUUCAUUGAAAGCGUAGUUAGGGUGUCGAAUAUCUUUUCUAGAGUAUCCUCUUCUAUUAUAUCAAUCUGUGUAGCUUUGUCUUGAUAUAUAAUCUGCAACAACAAUUUUGAUAGUACUAAUUACUUCAAUUGUAAAUGUGAAAUUUAAUAUAUUCAAGACUAGUCUCCAAAUCUCUUUUGUUGUAACUGAAUUUUGUAUUUUCUUUGUUAGCCACCAACAGAAUACACUAAUUACUUCAAUUGUAAAUGUGAAAUUUAAUAUAUUCAAGACUAGUCUCCAAAUCUCUUUUGUUGUAACUGAAUUUUGUAUUUUCUUUGUUAGACACCAAUGUACCUGUGUAUUUUGUUGGUGGCUAACAAAGAAAAUACAAAAUUCAGUUACAACAAAAGAGAUUCGAAGACUAGUCUUGAAUAUAUUAAAUUUCACAUUUACAAUUGAAGUAAUUAGUACUAACAAAAAUAUUGUUGCAGAUUACAUAUCAAGACAAAGCUACACAGACUGAUAUAAUAGAAGAGUAUACUCUAGAAAAGAUAUUCAACACCCUAACUACGCUUUCAAUGAAAGUGGACAGUAUGGGUAAUGAAAUAGAAAAGCUAAAGACUAAUGAAGUUAAACUGAANNNNNNNNNNNNNNNNNNNNNNNNNNNNNNNNNNNNNNNNNNNNNNNNNNNNNNNNNNNNNNNNNNNNNNNNNNNNNNNNNNNNNNNNNNNNNNNNNNNNNNNNNNNNNNNNNNNNNNNNNNNNNNNNNNNNNNNNNNNNNNNNNNNNNNNNNNNNNNNNNNNNNNNNNNNNNNNNNNNNNNNNNNNNNNNNNNNNNNNNNNNNNNNNNNNNNNNNNNNNNNNNNNNNNNNNNNNNNNNNNNNNNNNNNNNNNNNNNNNNNNNNNNNNNNNNNNNNNNNNNNNNNNNNNNNNNNNNNNNNNNNNNNNNNNNNNNNNNNNNNNNNNNNNNNNNNNNNNNNNNNNNNNNNNNNNNNNNNNNNNNNNNNNNNNNNNNNNNNNNNNNNNNNNNNNNNNNNNNNNNNNNNNNNNNNNNNNNNNNNNNNNNNNNNNNNNNNNNNNNNNNNNNNNNUCUAGUUAAAACCUGUUACGAAUAUGGACUACUUAGUUACAUAUAUACCCAAGACGGAAAUGAAAUAUCCAAUAUACCAAAAAUAUAUGAUUCAUUUAACAUUUUUAAAAGAAUAACCAAAGGAAACUUAUUUUUUAUAAAAUUUUACACGGCACCAACAGAGAUAUUGUAUGAUGAACUUAAAUCACCUCUACAAAUUGUAAAAAUAGGAAUGACCCGAGAUAUGAUUAUACCAGAAGAUAUUAUUCCACAACUAGAAAUAUCUAGAAUUGAGAUACCAAAUUUUUAUGCAAAUAAGAGAAUUAUCGGAUUAUCCACAAUUUUUCAAGAGUUAGCAAACACUUAUCGCAAUAGAAAUCCCAUAGGGAGUUAUUAUUCAAGAGGUAAUGUAAUAGUAUACUCAAAUUCUCAAAUUCAAAGGAACUACGAGAAGCAAAUAUGGAAGACGUUAGGCAAUGGAUCUUGACGUUACUCAAUCCAGAGAAAUAACCUAUCGCCACAGCCAUUAGAGAAAAAAUUAUUUCGGAAGAAUUAUUAACCAGAUAUUGCAAGUUAAUUGGACAUGAAUAUCCAGACCAUUAAUGUUCAAAAUGUAAUAGAGAAGAUAAUAUUGUCCCAGAAGUUCAACUACUGGAAUAGAAGAAGAUAAAAUCGACAGCUGGAAGAUGCAAGAUAUGAAGCAAUAAUGGAGAUACAGAGCAAUAAAAAGAAGACGGAGCAAUAAUAAAAAGAAGACAAGUUAAUGCUAGGAAGUGACAUAAAGAAGACAAGUUAAUGCUAGAAAAUGACAUGGGAGAUUAGAUAUCUUUCCUAAUUCAUUUACGUAAAUUAUUAGUUACUUUUUGACUUUUUGGCAAAAUGUCAUUACUAAGUUUUGUACUCUUGUAGAAAUAAUUUAGGACCUUUGUAAAUUUUUUUUUCUACUUUUAUAGAUAGGUGUAAAGACUUUUGUAAAGUAGGUAGGUAAUAGAUUAGGACAGAUGUAAAAAUGUAAAACGUUUACGGGUUUUCUUAAAAAUAUAAAUAGAAGAGCAUUUGCUCAGAAGAAGGCAAGCCUUCGUACGAUUGAAGCAAAAAAACUCUCUUGUCUACAACAAAUAAUUUGAUUAUUUAAAAAACAGGUAUAUUUCAAUGAAAAAAUUUAUGGAGGAACAAAGCUUAGAAUUAUCAAAACUACCACAACAGGUAUAUUCAUUUACUAUUAUGAAUAGCUAAAUUCAUAAAUUCCUAACAAUCAUGAUAUGAUAAAAUAAGUUCAUGUUAGUUGUUUUAUAGUAAAAUUAUUCGAAAAAUAGCAUGUUAAGAAGUUUAUUAGCAAAGUGAAAAAGGAGAAAAAUCUCUAAGAACUAUGUCAUCCUAAAGGUGAAACCAGUGAGGCAAGAAAGCCGUAAUAGGGGAGUAACCAGAGUAGAGGCGGCGUUUAAGAGAAAAGUAUCCAGAUUAUCAUGCUAAUAGUGACCGAAGAAUAUGUUAUUUAAGAAUAAUCUAUAGCAAUCUAAAGUGAUCAUAUUUUGUUAUGUGCAUGAUUGAAAGGAAUAUUUUGAAAAUAGCAAUUUUAUGAAAAAUGGAUGAUUAUUUAUCUGACGAAAUGGUAGAUAAAUUUAAAAUAUUCGUUUUAUAUGUACUUUAGAAUAUAGAAAUAGUAGAUAUAAGAAAAAUCAUAUUGAAAAAAAUAUUUGAUAGAUAUUUUAUAACUAGAAUUAAUUAUAUAUCACACCUACCAAACUACUCUUAUAAAUACUUACAUACCAAACCCACAUACUAAUUAUGAUAAAUUAUGUAUUUAGAAUCUUGGAAAAUAGACAUAAAAUACAUACAAUUUCUUAGUAAAAAUAUAGACAAUUAAUGAGAUUAAAACAAACAACUACAAGAUAUUAUAAUAAAGUAUUUAACCAAUUUUAAAUGAUAGAUAAUCUUAAAAUAUUAAUCUAAACAGUUAUACCUAGAUAAUUAUCUAGAUGGAUAUUAUUCAGAUUAAAAAAUGUUAGAAUAUAUUAGAAAAACUAGAGAAAACCAAGAUAAUCUAAAUGAAGAAAUUAAUUAUAGAAACUGAAUUAGAAAAAUAAUGGAGAAUCUAAAAGAAAAAUUAAUAUGGAUAGAAGAAACCCUAGAAAAUUUAGAAAAAAAUACAUGUGAUAAUUUAUAUAAUUUAAAAAACUCGCUAUGAGAAGAAUAACACAAGAUAAUAAAUAGCAUUGAGAACCUAGAAUUAGAUAUACAUUACAGUACAAUUAGGAUAACUUAUUAUACAGAAAUUUGUAAUUCUACAAUUACUACAGGAUAAAAUGAUAGACUAUAAAUAUUUAAAAUAUUGGAGACAAAAUAUGAAAGAAAUAAUAUUAUUAGAAAAACUUAUGAAAGAUAAUCUAAUUGAAUAUUUUGAAACAAAAGAUAUAGAAUAUUUAGAAUACCUUCAAAAUAAUAUAGAAGAAUUACAAAAACUAGGGGAAAAAAAUAAAGAAUACUAUAGUAAAGCAUUUAACCAAUUAUCAUAUAAUCACCCCCAAGAUAUGAAUCUGAAUAUCGAUAAAACUAACAUAAAUAUAUACAAAAUAAAAAUAUUUAGAGAAGUUAAGAAAUAUCCACGCAAAAAUAAAAAUAAAUCCAUUAUAUUUAUAAUAGAUGUAUUUUACCACACAAGUUAUCCGCACCCCUACAAUUGGCCAUUAAAUCAAUGAUAGAAAGCAUAUCAGUUAGAGUGGUACAUUAUUUUCGGGAAGGCAACACUAACUGAUUUUUUUACUAACCUAAUUUCUGAUUUCGAAGGUGAUUUUAAGUAUAACAGUUUAAAACAGGUGCCAAUGGGAGGAAGAAAUAUAAUUAAUCUAGAUAAAAAUGGGACUCCAAAUAUUAGAAGAACCACACAACAGACAUGAGACAAUAACAACAGCAACAAAUACAGAAGGCAUACAUCAAUCACAUCAGAUGGAGAAACAAUAUCAAGCAGAUUGGACAAUCAAGGCUCGUAAACACUAAGAAGAAUUAGAGUGUUACCUGGAACAUGCAACUGACUAGAGCAUACUCCUACUUGAAAUACAGUGGGGAAUCCAGUGUUGAUUAACCUCAAAUUACAAGAAUAAGGAAGUGUAAAAAGGUUAUAAACUAACCAAAUCGGGGAUUCUAUAAGGAGAUGAUGAUACCUGUCGUUUGAAAUGACUUCCUUUGAAUACAAAACCUGUAUCCAGUGAGAGUUUGAGACGUCGAUGGUCUGAGUAUUCAAAUAACAGCUAGGUCAGAUCCAUAAAAAUCCCUAGAGACCAUUAGAAAUAAUCCAGUACAUCUACAAAGUCUUUAAAACCUAAAUUACUUGGAUCUAUCUUCUAGAUAAGGUGCUUGUAUUAGCUUCCACAGAAGUUUAAUCCACCGAUCUAGGAGAGGGAAGAAAGUAAGAUAACGGUUAGAGACUUAGCUUAGAUGAUGAGGAUGAAGCUGGUGGUGACCUGAGAAUCAUAUGCGACAGAUAUGAAGUAUUGGUAUCACAAAGCUGAUCGGAGAAGAUGAAGAGACAACAAGAGGCGGAUGAGGAAAUUUACUUUCCUAAUUGACCUGGUGGCCUUUUGUAUACCUUAUCUUUGUUUUUUGGAUUCGGGUUAGGUCGCUUUUGGGCCUGAUCCGAUUAAUGUAAAGAUUCGUUUUAUUUUAUCAAAUGGGCUUUGGCCCGAUAUAUAUAAAAAUUGAUUUACUUUUCAAAUUUUAUGUGUGUCAUAUAAAUUGAACAAAAAAAUAGUAUAUAUUGAGCUCGCAUUUGCACGACUGGUGUAUCUGGUACUCUAAUAAUUAACGAGAGUCGAAAAAAUACCUUGUUGAAAAAGCAUACUUUUGAAUUGUGAUUUUAGUGAAGGAUCAAUAUAUAAUCUUGACAAAAACAAAAAUUAUACAUUCAGAGAAAAUAAAGGAAUAAGAAAAAGAAGAUCGCUGCUUCAUCGUCAUUUUCAACCAAGCAACAGAAUAAUUUGAUUGCAUCUGAACAAACAUUUGAAAUUUGAAUUGCCAUGCUCACAUAAUUACACCAGCACUUAAGACAGCUAAGCACUGUGAAUGAAACAUUAUCAGUGUUGAGUGUAUCUCUUUUAAAAGAAAAAAAAAAUGAACUAGCAUAAAAUACUUGGAGCCACAAUCAACUGCAAAGCUACCACUACAAUAUAUUUUAAGGGGUGGCAUAAAGAUAUAUACCUACGUCUAUAUCUUCAAUAUAUUUAAAAAUAAUUUAAAUUUUUUUACCCUUUCUUAAAAAGCUUCACAAUAGACAAAAUAAUUUUUUCAUAAAAAAAAAACAUGAGCUAUACUAAAAAAAUGUAUGAAAAGUUAAUGUAAGUCGAUUUUAUUUUUCCUUUUGUACAUUAAAAAGAAACUCCAACAGAUAUGAUAAAAGUAAAAAGUAGUAUUUAAAUAAUAUCUAUAUUAAGCAAAUAACUCAUCAUGUGCAGUAGGGGUGGGCAUUCGGUAAUUCGGUUCGAUUUUAUUUUGUUUUAAUUCGAUUUUCGAUUAUUGUAAUAGAUGUACCGAAAAUCAAACCGAAUUUGUUCGGUUUGAUUCGAUUUAUUUAAGUUCAGUUCGGUUAUGUUUCACUUUAAUAAUUUCGGUUUUUCAGUUUUGGGCUUAUUUAAUGGGUUAAAUUAAAUUUGUAAAUUGGACUAUUUUUUAAGAUUAAAAAUUAAUUGGAAUAUAUAAAAUUAAUUGCCCAAACCAUUUUUACACAAAAAAAAAAAACACUAGCCCAAUUUUUUGUUUCCACUUUUCAGACCAAAUUAAGAAGAUACAAUUACAAAUACAUUACUAAAGCAUUAAACUAUUAAAAUUUAAAGCCAAGUUUAUUGAGCUUGCAACCCCUUGCUUAAUUCAACUAUUGCAGAUUGUCACAUUAUAUUGUCACGUUUGAGGACUUUUUUUUUCAUAAUAUGAAACAACAUAGUGCACUUUUUUUAGUUUAGAAAGUGACAGUGUCCACUUAAAAAUAUAACAAACCAAACUAUAUAUUAUGUUUUUUUUGUCUCCAACUUAAUACGAACUUAGAAAAAAAUAUAGACUACACACUUGACUACAUGAGUCUGAGUCAUCUUUAUCACAUUUUAUGAUUUUAUGGCCAAACUGAUACUAGACUAUUAUUAUACUACACACUUGGAGAAACAAACAAAAAUUAGGAAUCCAAGAAUUUUGAGAUUUGUAAAGUGUUAAGACACUUAGACUAAUAUAGUAAUAACUAAUAAACUUGGGCUGAAUCAACAUUUCGCAAUUGGGCUGUAGUACACUAUUAAAUUAAUUGGGUUGUAGCUUGUAUAUUAAUAAUUUGGUUUAAACCGAAAAUCGAAAUAUACAAAAUCAAUAACCGAAUAUCGAAAUUAUAGAAAAAAAUAAACCAACACAGAACCGAAAUAUUGAAAAAUCGAAUUAGUUCGGUUCGAUUUGAUUUUUCGAUUUUCAGUAUUUAUACUCACCCCUAAUGUGCAGCACUUUUCUGUCGACGUCUUUGUUAAAAAAAACUUCUUUAUUUUAUUAUUUUCACACUCCAAUACUUGAUAACGGAUUCUCAACUCCAAUUGCUUUAUUAAUAUUACACAGUUUGAUUUUUAACUUGAUAUAAUCUAAUUUAUUUUGAAGCUUUAUUUAAUAAUUUUUGUGUUCCAUGUUAAAUUUUACUUUGUUUUUAUUUUCGUGAUAUCCUCUUAUUAAUUAUGUGUAUUUUUUGUUUCAAUCAUUUUAAAAAAAUUUAUUUUAUGUGUUUUACUAUUUAUCUUGUGUAUUUAUGAUAGUUGUUGUAUCAAAGCUAUAAUGUUAUCAAGCUCUUGAUAGAGAACUUUCGAUUUUCUUCCAUCAUAAUUUUUUAGGUAUCAUCUUCUACUUUAUUAUAAUUCAUUUUGAAGUAUGUUUUUAAGUACUCUGCUAUUAUUAUUUUUCUUUUUGGGAAAAGGUAUCGUUUGCAUCCCAAACUAUACCUGAAAAGUCGAAGUCACACCUAAACUAUACUAGUGACUUAUUAUACACCUAAACUAUAAAAAAGUGAAACUAUUUACAACCUGUCAGGCUACCACCACUUGCAUGUGGUGUAGUGUUUUACACGCGCUGUCACGUCAGCGCCACGUCAGUAAAAAGUAUCACUUUUUUAUAAUUAAGGUAUGUAAUAGGUCACUUAUAUAGUUUAGGUGUGGAUUCGACUUUUCGACUAUAGUUUGAGGUGGAAACGAUGCAUUUUUCCUUAAUGUUUUUAGCCGUUUACUUUUGUUAUUUAAUAGAUUGGACGCGCCUAAAAUAAGUGUAACACACGCGCCAUAGAAUGGGGGUUGCGAGGAGGUAAUAAUAUCACUUUUAUAUAGUUAAGGCGUGUAAUAGGUCACUUAUAUAAUUUAAGUGUGAUUUAAAUUUUUCUUGUAUAGUAUGAGAUGGAAAUGAUGUCUUUUCCUUUUUUUUUUUUUUUUGAAUUAAAAAUAUUAAAUGCUUCAUGACCAACCAUCAGACUCAAUGAUGUCUGCAACCUUUUUCUAGAAAACCAACAAAACAUCAACGUUUGAGAAAUAAAUAUUUAGUGUUGCGGAGAUAUGCAAAAUUAUAUUCCAUAUAACAUAUAUGAUAAUAUGACUAGCAGAAUAAUAUGCACAGUAAGAAUUUUGGAGAAACCACCCACCGAAAUAAUGAAUGCUAUGUUGGGUUUGAAAUUGAGAGGGUGUCAUACGGAAGCUACUAGUUAUAAAUUAUGAGACGAUAAAUCAGACGACAGAGAAAAUAAUACUAAAAAACAUAUAUUAUUAAUAUGAUUUGGUCAAACGACCUACAUAUAAAAAAUCUAUAUUGAAAAAUAUAAAAUUUAUUGGGAGAAAAUCUCCAUCUAAAUAAUACUACAUUGUGGAUGUUAUUAUGUUAUAAUAUAAGAAGAGGGUAUUCUAUUUAUAGAGUUCCAAAAUCUUUCCUCCACGAAAGAGGUUUGCCAAAUAUAGAAAAGUUUUAUAAUUUUCUUUUAGUAAAAGUAAAAGUAUUUAUGGUUACUUUUAUUUUCCUUACAAGAAAAAGUAUAACUUAAUUUGGGUAAGAAAAUCAGGGCAAAAACCAUAACAUACUAUAAUGGCAUGUAUGUGUAUUCUAAAAUUUAUCCUUGCUUUUUUUUGGUUAUACUAGAUAAUGAAGGGCUCGUUUAGGGCUUAAUAUUACAAUUUUAAAUAUAUUUAUAGCUAUUUAAUUAGCUUUUAAAAAAAUAAUCAUUAAUAUUUAAGAAUAAACACAAUAGAAAAUAUAAGUAGAAAUCACAUAAUAUAAUAAAAUAUAACUUUUUAUUUUUAUAAAAUCAAAUAAUAGCUUACAACUUAUUUAAGUGUUCAUAAUUAACAUUAGAAUAUCAUAUACACUAAUUUUUAUUUUAACAUUAGGUCAAACACAUUCUUUUAGAUUAAACAACUAAUUUUAAUAUUUUUCUUUUUCUACUUUAUUUAAAAAUUAUACAAGAGAAUAGAUUAAAGAUAUCAUUAUUAACAUUUUCUAUGGAAUCAUAUGAAGCAAUAACAGAUCAAAAUUCAUACAUAAAUUGACUUUAAUCACAUUUAAAUUUGUUUUAUGGAUUGUGGUAGGAUAUUUAAAGUCUUUCAGUGUCUUUUGCUUGGUACGUAGCAUUAGCUAUGUUGUCUUCAAAAUUUUAUUCAUCAAUUGUGUCUAUAUUAUCAUCGUCAUCUGUCUUUAGAAUACCUACAAAAUCAAUGCAAAAUAAAUAAAAUAUUAGCAAUAUUUUUUUUUUUUGAUGUUAAGAAAUCGAAUUCUAAAUAAAAAAUAAAAAAACCUAACCCCCCCCCCCUCCUCCCCAUAAAAAAAACUAUGCAUAGAAAAAAAAGUAUAGGAGGAACAGAAGUAAUUUCAAGGGGAUAGGUAUAAACAUCCAUGUAUUUUAGGAGUUUUAAUAAUUUUUUUCCAUUUGUUUUAGAAAAUUAAAGAGGGAAUAAAUUUUAGAUUCCUAUUUGACUUAUAAUAACUAACUAGUCUAAUAUACGUGCGUUGCACGUGUAGCUCCUGUCAAUCAAUAAUACUAUAAAUAAGAAAAAUAAAAUUAUUAAAAGGUAGAUAUUAGAAUAAAGAAUUAGGUAGCAAUCUAAUGAAGAUUUGCAUAUUAACUAACAAGUUAGUCAUUGAAAGUUUUGAUCUUUAUGACUCUUGACACUCAAUCGAGACUCAACCUUAACCGUAAAAUCAACUUCCAAGAUCCUGAUUCCUGACCUGACAUGGGACACGAAUUUGUAUCUUAACCUGUGGUUGAACUUACGGUCCAACUCCAUAUACCUUUAACUGCAAUUCCUGACUCUCGACCUUGAACCAAAUCUGAAGCCCUAGACUCGGGAUUCAACUUUGAUACGGGACCUACUCUAAACUAGAUUUCAAUCCCAAAACUCGAUAAUCGAUCCAUGACUCCAAUCGGGACUCAAGUUUCGAUCCAACUUCAGAUUCAAUUCUCAACAAAAUUAAAUAAAGAAAGAGAUAAAAUUUUAAUUUUUUCAACUACUUCAUUCACCGACGAUAUCUUUAUUUUGGCCAAUAUUCCAAUCAGAAAUUACAUUUUCCUCCAAAAUUCUAUUAGAAACUAAAUUUUUAAUAUAACAUAAAAAUAUAUAAAUUUUUCACGUUGUAUCAAUACAUGCAAUACUUUGUAAAUUUUGUGUAUUGCAUAUGUAUGGGUAUAUUGUUGAUCUAUUCAUUUUUGCACAUACAUAUUUAGAGUGAGUGAACAUUUGAAUCUUUAGUUCAUCCAAGAAAGCCUUGGCUUAAAGUUAGACAUGAUUAGUCUCUUUAAUCAAUUCAUAGACGUAGAAGUACCCAACAUAAAAUAUUUCACUUGAAUCAUAUAAUAAUUUAUUAAUUUAACUCUUUUAUUAUUUUUUUCCUUUUCAUCAUCCUAUCCCACCUAACAUAAAAUAUUUCACUUGAAUCAUAUAAUAAUUUAUUAAUUUAACUCUUUUAUUAUUUUUUUCCUUUUCAUCAUCCCCCCCCCUUAAAUUUGGUUAUAUAAGUAAUUUGACUUAUUUGUUUUUCUAAAUUCUUUAAUCAUUUUUUUUUUAAAUUUAAUAUAAAACUUCUUGGAUAAAAUAUAGGUGAGGUUUAAAUUAUGUCUUUUGCAGUUAAAAUUUUAUAUUUUUUAGUGGAAGAUUUGAAUUCUAAAAAAUCUACACGUAAUUUAAUCAUACUUUAAUCAUACUGCAUUAGAAGUAAAUGGCACAUAAAAGUACGCCAUUACAAAAAAAAUAUGACUCAUAAAGCAAAAAGAAUUUGACAUUUUAUUCGAAUUUAUGACCUAUAUAAAAAGGAGAGAAUAAUAUAUGUUUGCAUAACUAAAGUAACUUUUACAUUAUUUAUUCGAGAACUUGUCUUAUGAACAUUUAUUUUGUCCUCAAAUAUAUUUUGGCUAUUAAAUUAGAGUAGGAAACUGUAGAGAUAUUUAUCAGAAAAGCAGUCAAAUUCGCUAUCUUUAAAGGUAAACUUUAGACACAAGUCAUCCCCACCCGACAUCACCCAAUAUGAAGAAACAAACACACAAAAAGUUAAAAGGAUUUAACAUCUACUUCAUAUAUGUCAAAAUAAUUUCAAUCAUAUACUCCAUAAAUGGUGUAGCUCUUCUGACGAAGAAAAUAUGGAUAAAGCCCCCUUACCUUACAAAGCUCAGCCCUGCCCUUCACACACAAAAAUAUGAAUUGUUAGUGUAAUAAAAUUUUUAUAUUAUCAAAUCAUCUAAAAAUAUUUAGAGACAAAAAGUAGUUAAAUAUGAAAUGUGAAAUUUGGAAAGCAAGACAAAGUUACCUGCUAAAACAAUGAUUUGAUGAAUGUGACUUAAACUCACAAUAAAACUAAACUUGAUGUAUAUACUUAAACUUAAAACAAAACUAAGACAAUUUCACCAACUAAUACUACUGCAGUACGAAAAAAAUUCAACAGAAAACAUCACCACGCUCUUUUUUCUCUUUCAACACUUUAUAAAAGCCUCCCUCUCCCAUUCCUUUUUCUUUUACUUUCCCAAUCAUAUCACUGCAGACUGCAAGAGCUUUAAAAGAUGUUGAAAACGGAUAACAACAUAACACUAUUAGUUUAUUUUCUUCUUGUGAUCAUUUUAGUGGCUGAUCAUAAUCACUAUGCUCUUAAUGUUAAGUCCUAAUUUAUUUUUAAGAAAUUUAGUUGGAGGAAAAAGGUGAAAAGACAGAUUGUCAAAGAGUUUGAAUCACCUUUCUAAGGGUCUUACCUUUUGCUCUUAAUUCGUUGCAACCAUAUAUCUUUUCUAGGAGCUUUCACCUUCGAUCGAACAUUAAUCUAUAAUAUACACUUGAAAUUAAUGAAAUUAUUAUAAACCGCACCUUCAAAGCUCAUCGAAAAAAUAGUUAUAAAAAUAUCUCUGCCACCAACAUUCCUAAACCAAAAAAAAAAGCUGAAAAAAAUAUAAUAUAAUAUAAUACAAUAAAAUACGAUACAUUAUAAAAUAUUAUGUAAUAAAUACCUCUGGACUUGGCCUUUAACCUGGUUGGAGAACUCAUUGAGUACACUGUAAAAACCAUUAUCAACAGUAGCCAAAAACCACUAUCUCAUCACUUUUGGCUCCUCUAACCUCUCCUUAUCUAAUUCGUUCUUCACUGCCUAUAUAUUCAGCCUUAGCUACAAACUUCAAACAUUAUUAAAUCUUACUUAGCAAUCUAAAGAGUCAGAAAACCAAAAGCAAAGAAAACAAGAGUUACAUUUUAGGAGAAAUUAAGUCAAAAUGAGUUCAAGCAGGAGAGAAUGGAUAGUAGCUACAAGUAUUGGAACAGUUGAAGCGUUAAAAGAUUAAGUUGGAUUAUGUAGAUGGAAUUACCCAUUAAGGUCUUUGGCACAACAUACAAAGAAUAACAUAAGGUCUUACAGAAUAACAUAAGGUCUUACCCUCAAGCCAAGAAACUUUCUUCUUGACUAAUUGCAAACAAAGCAGAACAAUCUGAAGUUAUACAAUAUGAUAUAAUAUAAUACAAUACUAUACAUUAUAAAAAAUUAUAUAAUAAAUACCUGUGGUAAUUAAAUGGAUAAACAUGUUACAUGUGUGCUUCACGUCGAAUCGCCAAUCGAUAUAAAAUAUAUAAAAAAAUAAAUAAAGAUAGUCACGUAAAUAAAAAAUUAUUUUUAAACAUCACAUAACAAAUAAUAAAAACAAAAACAACAUAUAGUGAGAAAUUCGAAAACAAACCUGUUGUAAUGGAACUAAUAUUCGAUGUAAAGUAUGAUUACUUUUAUAAAUAAGCAAAUCACGUAAGAGUUUUUUGCUAGCCAUAUUCCAAUUGUGUUGUAUUUGUUUAAAACUAAAAGGAGAGGAUAUAACAACAUUUGAAAUCAUACAAUCACAAUAUCAAUUAUGAAUUACCGAUGUAACUUAAAAAUCAAUAACAAUAAUCUCAUAAGUGUGAUCUAAAAAGGAUAGGAUGUUCGAAGAUCUUACUCUUUGCAUGAAAGUGAGAUUAUUUUCAAUAGUCCCCGAUUCAACAAAACAUAUAAUAGAAUAACGAAUAAAGCAAGUGGUCAAUAGUUGUGCUAGAUUUUGACAAGAAACAAACAAUACGUUGAGUAGGUUGAGAAAUUACCGUAGUGAUGUAACAAUAUGGUCCCUGCGAGCAAUGUUAUAACCUAUUUGUGGUGGCAUUCGAUCUCCAUCUAUCAAAGUUUGCACAGAGACGAAGAAGCGGCCGUGUCAAGUAUGUUAUUUCAAAAUUUGAUCAUAAUAUUACUUAAAUAGAAUUGAUUUUUUUAAUUAUUUUAUAUAAGGUAAAGUUUUAAUUGAUUUAGAAGUCAAUUGUUAUGAUUUCCUAUCUACAUCAAACAAGGACUUUCAUUAAUUUUUGACAUAUAUAGUAUUCUUUUCAUAUAUUUUAGGAGUCAUUAAUUUCUUUUUAUAUAUAUUUAGGGGUCCUUAAUUAAAUUAAAAUUAUAAACAUUCUUUUUUUAUAUGAAGUGAAACUCUAAUUUAUUUAGAAUUGUUAAAUAUUAUUAUUUCUUAUCUAAAUUAAAUAAAUUUUUUAAUUAAUUUGAAAGUCUUAAAUCUUUGGACAAUCAUUAUACCGUCCUUUUUUUUGCUUCUUAAUUUUUUUCCUUUUCAUCCAUAAUUUUCUUUUUAUUACUAUUAAAUUUUUUUCCUUUUCAUGCCUAGCUUUUUUAGGUAGGACUUUCUGUCCCCACUAAAUAUUUGACACAUUUAAUUUUAAAGAGACUUUUUCUUUCCUCUAUUAACGAAUUUCCCCUUAAAUUUUGUUGCUUUUAAUUCCUUUUCACAGGCCACUUCUUAUUUGUUUUUUUGGUAUUAUAUUUUAUUUUUUGAAAAAUUUUCUUCUAUUAUUCUGAUUUUUCCUCAAAUUUCGACAUUUAUAGUUCCUUAUUUAAAUAGAAUUAUAGAUUUGUUUUUUUAUAUAAGGUAAAUUUUAAUUGACUUAAAAGUGUUAAAUAUUAUGAUUUCGUACCUAGAUCAAAAAGGACUUUAAUCAAUUUUAAAAUAUUAAAUAUUAUAUAAUUUAAUAAUAUGAUAAUUGAAGAAAAUACGUUAAAAGACACCUUUGUCUAUUGCAGGGACUUUUAAUAAAGGGCAAAAAGUUCAAAUCACUUUUCUAAGGGUCUUCACACUUUUAAUACAUUAUAGAUAUAGAUUAUAGAUAAGUCAUUUGUUAUAACUCAAAAAGGACUUAUAAGUUAGUAGAAACGUACGAAAAGAUCUCUGAAGAAUAUAUAUAUAUUAUUAAUAUUUAUGUAUAGUUAGAAUUUUAAAGAAUAGUAAAAAGACGAUUUUGUCUAAAGGAGAGUGUUUUAAUGAAUAGAAACAAGUUUGAAUCACUUUUAUAAGGGUCUUCACACUUUUAAUAUAUUAUAGAUAUAGAUUAUAUAUAUUAUUACUAUUAUAUUAUAUUAUUAUAUUAUAGAAGUUAGUAGAAACGUGCGAAAAGAUUUCCAAGGAAAAUUUUUCACUUUGUUAAUGAAGGAAAAUUUCUUUUGAGUUUUUCUUAGACAUUUUUAGACGUUUUUUUCCCCAAAAAUAAAGCAACUGUCUAAAGAUGGGACAAAUUUGUUAUUUUAGUGUUAUGUUGAAUUCUAUUUCAAACAAGUUGUAUAGUUCUAGACUAAUAAAACAAUUUUGUUUUACUUCUACGAUUGUAUUUAUUUGCCAAAUAUAAGGUACUAUAAUUAGGACUCUUUUUAAUAAUGGUGUUUUUUUUGUUUUUCCAAAAUCAUAUAUUAUUAGUAUUUAUGUAUAAUUAUAAUUUUUAAAAAUAGUAAAAAGAUGAUUUAGUUUAAAGUAGAGUUUUUAAUGAAGGGUAAAAAGUUCGAAUCACUUUUCUAAGGGUCUUCACACUUUUAAUAUUACUAGUUUAACCGCUCGUGCCUUGCACGUGUAACGUUCGAUUAUUUAAAAUCAAAUAAUUUUGCCAAUUGCAGAGAUUUUUAAUGAAGUGUAAAAAAUUUAGACCGCUUAUCAAAUAUUCUUUAACACUUUAAUAAUAAUAAUAUAAACAUAAACAUAUAUUUUAGUGUAAGCAUAUAUAUAUAUAUAUAUAUAUAUAUAUAUAUAUAUAUAUACAAAAUCAUUGAUUACAUUCUUAUUACGUACUUAAAAAAUUUUAAAAUUUGGUACUUCUUAAAUUUUUUUAUUUUUUUUUAUAUUUAUUUUUAGAUUUUUUAAAUCUUCUUAAAAUCUAAUUUAGUUGAUUUAGAAUUCUUAAAAUAAUGAAAAAAUAUUAUUUGUUAUUAAUUUUGAUGACUUCUAAUAAGGAAAGGUUUUACCAUAAAUAUAUUUAAUUAAUUUUUAGCUCUUAAAAAUUAGGAGAAAAUAGUGAAAAGACGAUUUUAUUUAAAGCAAAUACUUUUAAUGAAGGGCAAAAAGUUCAAACAAUAUUUCUAAUCUCUUUUAUAUAUAUAUAUAUAUAUAUAUAUAUAUAUAUUACAAUAUAGAUAUUCAAUCAUGUUCUUAAAAGUACAUAAAUUAUCAAUAUUUUCUGAUAAACAUGACAAAAAAUGAUAAUGAACAUUACACUUUGCGGUAGUUUAUUUUUUAAACAAAAUAUAAAAUCAAAGAAUAACUUAUAACUUAGUUAAGUUGCAACAACAAUGAUUACGUAAUAUAAUUUCAGACACAAAUGUUGAAUUAAAUACAAACUUUAAGUGCAAAUUUUAUAUAUUGAAUAUAAAGUAUGUAACAUCCUUCAAUUAUAUGAAUUAACUUAAAAAAAAAUUAGUAAACCUCAAGCAUGUUUCAAUUGAGAUGGAUAUGUUCCAUUAAAGAAUAUGACAUAUUUUAUUUGGUUAACUUAACUACCUAACAAAUAUUUAUCAAUAUACACAUUUUAUUUUUGUAAAAUUUGAAUAAAAAUAUGUUAUGAUUUUUAGUUUUUUUAUAACUUACUUGUCUAGAUUUAGCUGAUAAAAACUUUAAUACAAUUUCUUUGGUGUACGAUUUAUAUUGCAUAUAAAAUAAGCUUUAAAGUUUUUUUUUUGUUGCUCAAAUAGCAAAAAAUAAUAUUAUUAUAUUUGGCUAUCAACAUAAAAAAUUUAGAAAAUCAAGUUUGUCAUUUAGUAUGUUCUUGAAAUUUAUUAAUAUUUUCUUUUUAAAAGAAGAUAAUUUGCAUAUAAAAAAAUUAUUCCCACUUUCUUAUUUGAGAUAAAAGAAGUAUUAAUCUUAAAUUUGCUCGUGAAUGGGUCCAAUAUUACAGUAUAGAUAUGAAAAAAUUACAAAAAGUAGCUUAUUUAAGACUAUAAUUAUAAUAAAUAGCAACACUUUUACAAAAUUACAGUUUGUAGCAAGAUUAACAUUAUUUUGCCCAUUAACUAGACAAACAUCUGUUUUGCUCCCACUACUUUACCUUUUCCUGUUUUCACUCCACUAUUUCACUACUUCCCCCCCUCCCCCCUCCCCCCAAUAUAGCCGUAUCUUCUACUCUUUUAUUUCAUCUUAUUUUUUUUAUCAUUUUAUUUAAUUUUUUUUAUUUUUUUUCCACUUUAUUUUCUCCCUCUUCUAUUUCUCUUCUUAUUUUCCUUUUUCGUUUUUUUAUUUUUCAUUUUCUUUUUUUUUUCCUUCUCAUAUUUGAAGAUAAUUAUCUUCAUGAUCUUAAAAAUUUUGAAAAAAAACAUCAUUACUGUUUUUUUUCUCUCUUUCACUCUCUUAUAUCUCUAAUUUUUUUUUCUUGUUAGUUUUUUUCAACUUAUUUUUUUAUCAUUUUAUUUUUUUUCUUUUUCAUUUUUUCUUUUCCACUUUAUUUUCUCUCUUCUAUUUCUCUUUUUGUCUUUUUCAUUUUUUUCUUUAUUUUUUUCCUUUCUCGUAUCUUUUUUUCUUUUUCUAUUUUCGUUUUUUUUCUAUUUUUUGUUUCUUCUUUUUUUCUUUUAUUUUUACACUUCUAUUUCUCUUUCUUCUAUUUUUUUUUCAUUUUUUUCAUUUUUUUUAGUUUUUUACUCUUCUAUAUCUAACUUUUAUUUUAAAAAGACAAAUGUGUAUAUUACAUACACAUAUUCAAAAAAUAUACAAAUACAUAGUCAUACAGAUCUGGAUAUGUAUUUACAGUACAAAACAAACAUAUGUAUCUACAUAUGUAUUUACAAAAAUACAUAUCUCACUCAUAUGUAUAUAUAAACAUAUAGGACACAAAAUCUCUAUAAUAAAAAGGACAACUAUAUAUAUAUACAUAAUCAAAAAAUACAUGAUACAUGUCUUAAAUAGUAAAAAAUACAAAUAAAUACAUAUGUUACCAUCUAGAAUGGCAUAGAACAGUUCAAAGACAAAUUCAACACCAUACAAAAAUACAUAUAGAUAUGCAUUUAUAUAUACAAAAUACAAAUACAUUCAAUGCCCCAAAACAAUUUAUAAUACAUUUGUGACAUAAUACAUCUACCUAAUUGUGCUUGAACUGCAUAUUUCUUCUUGUUCAUGUAGACACCACAAAUAUUCUUAUGAAAAAAAAAUCGUGUACUGCUCCUUUGAUAACAUCGCCUUAAUAUGUUCUUCAAUAUCAUUGACUAUGUGAAUUUUUAUAUGUGGUGCAAACCUUGGAAGUACUCUUACCAUGAAUAUAUCACGCAAUACCUAUAGAACAAAAUAAUGACAUAAAUCUAUAUUACAUGUACUUUUCACAAAAAUUUAAUACAAAAUACAUAGUAUACAUAUAUAUUUUUUUUUACAUAAUAUAUAUUACAUUACAAACAAUACAUAUAAUUUCUACAUAUGUAUUUACAGAAUAUAUGUCUCAUUCAUAUGUAUAUUACUAUACAAAAAAUACAAAUAUGACUUUGCUAUGUAUUUACGAAAUACAUAUCAUAUUCAUAUUAAACAGUAACAAACAUAACUAUACUAUAUAUCUUCAUAUGUAUUUGCGAAAUACAAAGGCGACUCAUAUAAAACAAGAAUAUACAUAUGGAUCAGGUAUGAAUUCUGUAAAUACAUAUGCAGAGCUAUAUGUAUUUUGUACGGUGUUGGAUUUGUCUUUGUACUGUUCUAUGUCAUUUUAGAGGACAACAUAUGUACUUAUUUGUAUUUUUUACUAUUUAAGAUAUGUAUCAUGUAUCUUUUGAUUACCUAUAUGUAUAUAUAUUUAGUUGUCCUUUUUGUAUGUACAAAUGCAUAUACAUAUGUAUUUUUGCACAGUGUUGGAUUUGUCUUUGAAUUGUUCUGUGUCAUUUUAGAGGGUAACAUAUAUACUUAUUUGUAUUUUUUACUAUUUAAAAUAUGUAUCAUAUAAUUUUUGAUUACCUAUAUGUAUAUGUAUAUAGUUGUCUUUUUUGUUAUAGAGAUUUUGUGUCCUAUAUGCUUAUAUAUACAUGAGUCAGAUAUGUAUUUUUGUAAAUACAUAUGCAGAUAUAUAUGUGUAUUUUGUACUAUAAAUACAUAUGCAAAUCUGUAUGUCAAUUUAUUUUGUAUAUUUUUUAAAUAUGUAUAUGUGAUAUAGAUAUUUAUCUUUUAAAACUAAAAGAUAGAGACAGAAGAGUAAAAAAAAAGAAAAAAAUACAUAGAAAAGAUAAAAAUCGAAAAAAAAUCUGAAAAAGGUGAAAAAGGAGAAAAAAAUAAAGACAAAUAGAAGUGAAAAAAAAAAGAAAAAACGGAAAAGGAAAAAAAAUGAGAAAGGAAUAAAAUAAGAAAACGAAAGCGAAAAAAUAAAGAAAAAAAUGAAAAAAGAAAAAAAAAAAAGAGAAAUAAAAGCGGAAAGAAAAACGAAAUCAAAAUUAAAAAUUAAAACAAUAAAAAAAGAUGAAAAAAAACUAAAAAGAAAAAGAGUUAGAGAUAUAAGAGAGUGAAAGAUAGAAAAAAAAAUAGUAAUGAUGCUUUGUUUUGAAUUUUGAAGUUGAUGAAGAUAAUAAUCUUUCAUAUAUGAGUUUGAUUUGGAAAAUGAAUCUAUUAGUUGAAAUAAGAGUAAUUUAUGAAAAAAAGAAUCUAUUGCAGUAAUUUAUGAAAAAGAAAUUUACUGAUUCCUUAUUUAACUCAAUUGAUUUGAGUAAAAGAAGGACAAUAAAUCUCGUUUUAUAUGUAUUUUAGUAGCAACACUUUAAUAAAAUACAAAAUAUAACUUUCUAUUUUUUGUAAUUAUGAAACAGUUGCUAUAAAAGUUCUAAUUAUAGCUAUAAGUUUGGUACUUAUGAAAAAUUCUCAGAUAUUCAGUCAUGUUCUUAAAAAUAAAUAAAUUAUCAAUAUUUUCAGAUAAACAUGACAGAAAAUGAUAUUGAACAUUACACUUUGCAGUAGAUUAAUUUUUUUGUUUUUUUAUAUAAAAUUAAAUCAUAAUUUAUAACUUAGUUAAGUUUCCACAACUAACACAUUAAAAAAUUACAUAAUAUAAUUUUAGACACAAACGUUGAAUUAAAUAACAAACAUUAGGUGCAAAUUUUAUAUCUUGAAUAUACAAUAUGUCAUAUCCUUUAAUUUAUGAAUUAACCUAAAAAUAGGAGUUAACCUCAAGCAUGUUUUUGUUGAGAUGGAUAUGUUCAAUUGAAAAAUAUGACAUGUUUUAUUAGGUUAACUUAACUACCUAAUAAAUAUUUAUGAACACACAUUUUUUUUUUUCAAAUUUGAAUAAAAAUAUAUUACAAUUUUUAGUUUUUUCAUAACUUAUUUGUCUAGAUUUAGCUAAUAAAAACUUAAUAUAAUUUCUUUGGUGUACGAUUUAUAUUACAUAUAAAAUAAGCUUUAAAGAUUUUUUUUGUUGCUCAAAUAGCACAAAAUAUUAUUAUUAGAUUUUGCUAUGAACAUAAAAAUUGUAGAAAAUCAAAUUUGUCAUUUUGUAUGUUCUUGAAAUAUAUUUAUUUUUUUUAACUAAUAAAACACAAAAUUACUCAAAAAAAUGUGAUUAUGAAAUAUAUAAAAUAAAUUACUCCAACUUAGGAUUCAUAUCAAAGAGGGGCACAUAAUUUAUGAUCAAAUAAAAUAAGAAUGGGUGGAUAGUGGGGCCUACAUCUGGGGUCUAUGUUUUGAGAGAAGAAAAAUAAGGUGAUAUUGAUGACAUAAGUAUAGGGGGUAAAUAGGUCAAAAUAUCUAGAUCUUUCUUCUUGAGCUACAGUAAAGCUCCUUUUUCAUUUUUUUGGUAACUAAUAUUUUAUUAUUCACCAAGUGGAGAAUUACAAAACCGUAGAGGGUUUAUAACUCAACCAUCUACCACUCAGUUUGUCAUAUUGCCAUUGCCUAGGGGCAUACAACAAAUCUAUUGGUUAACACUUUCAAUCUAGGUGGUGCUCGUAUAUCAUUGAUCGUCCCUCAUACUCAUCUUUCUAUAUAAUAAAAAAAUAUAAUAAUAUAGAGUUACAUGUUAAACAUCUAAAAUGUCAUUAUGUUAGCUUUUAAAUUAAAUAAUGCCCUUGGUCUCGUUUUAUGGACCCAAUAUUACAGUUUUAAAUAUAUUUAUCAGUAUUUAAUUUGUGUAUCAAAAAAAUUAAAUUUAUAUUUUUAAAUAAAUACGAUAGAAAAUAAUAAUAAUAGAGAUCACACGUUAAAAAAACUAUCUAUUUUUUAUUUUUAUAAAAUCAAUUAAUAGCUUACUACUUAUUUAAAUUAUCCUAAUUAAAGUUGAAAUAUAAUAUACUUCAAUGCUUAUUUUAACAUCAGGUCAAACACAUUUUCCUGAAUUAAGUAGCUAAUUUUAAUGUUUUUAUUUUCAAUUUUAUUUGAAAAUUAUACAAGAAAAUAAAUUAAAAUUAUAAGCGCCAAUAUAUUAAUAUAUUUUUUAUAAAAUCUUAUAAGCAACAUUUUCUUAAAAUAUGGUCUUUUUUACCUAAUAUACUAUAUAAAUAAAAGUAAAUAACGUUUUUAUAUUAAGGAGAUAAGAGAUUGUUCUUAUACAAAUAACUAUAUCAUACAUUCAUUUUCAUAAUGAAAUAAUAUAAAAAUACUAAAGAUACAUUACUGAUAGUUGAAAAUUAUAUAUAAAAAAAUAGAGCACAAAUCAAAUUAACAUUGGUGGAGUUAAACUUUUUAUUAACAAGAUUAAAAAUAUAUAUGUUAUUUAAUGUUAGUUUAAAGUUAUUUUAUAUGCAGGUUAAUUUAUAUAUUAUAUCGUACUCUCUAUUUUUCUUUUUAUUUGCUUUAUUUGGGUUAGACACACACUAUAAUCUCUUGCUCCUAUAAAGUUAAAAGUAAUUUCGAAGUCUUAUAUGAAUAUUACAUAUGCAAUUCUUUUUUAUUCUAGUAAAACAUUUAUAGACUGAUUUAAUGAUAUUUUUUAUAAAAUUAUUAAUGAACAAAAAAAAAUAUCUUUAAAUAUGUUAACAACUUUAAAUUUUAACCUACCAAGUUCAUGCAUGAUAAAUUUUUUGAGCAAAAAACUAAAAUAUUAAAAUCUUGGAGUAUUGAAAAUUUUGACGGAGUCGGAAUUUUCACUUAGAAAGUUUAAAAUAUAAGAAAAUAAAUAAACGAAGAAAAACAAAUUCAACAUUUAACACAUAAAAAUAAAAAAUAAUUUUAGUUCUAUAUAAACAAUCUAAUAUUUCAUGAAUGGAGAUUCAAAUUAUAAAUUUAAAUUUAUUUAAAAUAUUACUUCAUAAAUAAUGUGGUUGAAAUAAGUUGAGACUUGAAAGUAAAAAUAUUGUUAGCUACAUAAUAGGUUCACUUAGAAAAUGUAGACACAAAAGCUAGAAAAAAAAAGAAAUGACUAAUGGAGUUCUUUGUUGAUAUUACUAUUGACUAAUAAUUGUACCAUUUAGAUGUGAAAUGACAAAUAUACCCUUGAUCGUCCUCCGACUCACUCUUUUAUAUAAUAAUAAUAAUAAUAAUACUAAUAAUAAAUACUAGAUAGGUAUUGGCCGUGCUGAGCACGGCCUAACACACUACAUUUUGAUAUAUUUUUAGGAGAAUCAUACCGGAACUUAAUUUAUUAUUACUAUUCAAAAUUCCAGCCUUUUUAAAUAAUUAUAUAAAUCUUUAAUUUUACUUAAAAGCUUAAAUAUAUCAUAAAAGAAUGUAAUGUAUUCAUGUAGAAAUAAGUGAUUAUGUUUAUGUAAAAUUAAGUAACUUAUCCGAAAAGUGGGAUAUAUUAAGUGAAGCAUUUGAAAGAAUGUGAUGUAUUCGUACGAAUUAAAUUAGAGGUUUUAAAUAAUUUUGAAAAAAAAUUGAGAUAGAGAGUAAUUAUCUCUAAGAGGAUUAAGAGUUAGGUAAUUCUACAAUUUUCUAUUAUAUGGUUUGUAUUGGUAAUGAAGAUAAAAGCCCUAAAACAUCAAUGUACUUAACAAAGUGCAAAAUAACAUGGUGAAUAUGACAUUUUCAUGUACAUGUAUGAAAUAAAAAAAAUAUUACAAAACGACUUUCAGAUACAUCUUGGUAAUAGCUGAUGUAAUACCAAAAAAUAAAUCAUAGAUAAUAUUAAAAAAUUAUUGAUAAUAUUUGUGAAUGUUAAAAUUCAUCACAAGCACAUGAAAUCAUCAUUUUCUGUUACCAGGAGGCACGAUCUAUCUUGGUAAUCAAACUUUUUAUCAUUCCAAAAAUCACAAGGAGAAUCUUUGGAUUACCUUCAAGAAGUAAGAAAAUACCAACCAUAAAAAAAUUGAGAGAAAAGCAAAACACAAAUAUCUAGCAAAAAAUAACAGAAUAUAAAAAAUCAAAUGAGAGAAACAUUGAAAAGAGGGAACUAAUGCUUUUAAAAUUCAAGAAGUAUGGCCUUCCAAAAAAAAUAAAAAAGAAUGCUUCCUUAAUUUAGUAAGGUGACCAACUAAUAUAAGGCAACUAUUUUUGGUAAAAUGACAAACUAAUAUGGGAUGAAAGAAGUAUUAAAGAAGCCAUUCAUUACAAUUUAUUUAUUCUUCAUAAUCCUUUAUACCGAUAGUAAAAAUAAAAAGACACCCUAUACACUAAAGAUCCCGCUAUGCGCAAGGUUCGAAAAAGGACCCCACCACAAGGGUGUAUUGUACGCAGCCUUACUUUGCAUUUCUGUCAGAGGCUGUUUUCAAACCUUGAACCUGUGACCUCCUGGUCACAUGGAAACAACUUUGUUUCCAAGGCUUGAACCCACAACCUUACAUGGGAACCACUUACUCCAAGGAUCCCCUUUAACGUGAGACUAAUUUUGGACAAAAUUAAUAUUUUUUAACUCUACCUCAUCUUCAUUGAACUUUCCUGCAUCAAAUGAGUUCAAAGAGUUCUCCACCACGUGCAUAUUCCAUAACAAUGGAAAGAUGAGUGGGAGUUCACAUAACCUGGAUCUCACCAAAUAAUGAAAAUUAAGCCAACUUUUUCUCAAUUUUUUCUUGCGAUUUUUGAACCAAGAAAAAAUCCAUGAAAGUAAUAGAGCAUUACAAAAUGGUAGUGAAGAUCUACCACGUUUCCUUGCAUCUAAUUCAGAUUUUAAUCGUAUUGAAGCUGAAUAGCACCAUAGUUCAUCUUUGUCACGCCCCGAAUCUGAUACCCGGAACGCUACACGGUGCCCAUGACCCCGAAGGACCACAAGCUAACCCAUGACUGAUAUAUGUAAACUAAGCACUGAAUAAUAGUAAUAAUAUCGUAAAUACGGAAACAUUAACUGAAAGGCCAUAAGGUUCAAUACUAGUACAUAACUGAAAAAUGUGGUAUAACAAUACCAAAACAACUGAGAUAAUUAUCUAAACAUACUGUAGUCUGAAAGCCUCUAAAAUGUCUAAAUAAGGAGUUGAUGAGACAUGUCCCCAACUAACUCCAACUACUGCAAUAGACUAAAAAAUGAAAUUGUAAUGUGAUCAUCAUGUCCUCGAAGGAUGAGGACUCACUGCUAACUCUGAUCACUGAACUGGGAUGCUAGAUAGGACUGAGAUCCCUAGAAGCAAUCCCUAAGUUCCAGAACUAUGUAGCCAACGUAGGUACGAGAUAUCACCCGUUAGAUAAGACUGACAUACUUAGGGAUCACCCGUUAGCGUAUUUAAAUGUAUAGGACUGAUCCCAGGGGUCAUCCGCUAGAUUAGGACUGACUCCACAGCAGUUGUCUUUACCAGUGGCACGGUACUGACACCCUUCCAGCUGGGGUUACAGGUUGGACCCCAGUUAGCUUAGUAUGGGGCAUGUCGGUUAGAUGAAUACAUCCCAUAAUUUUAGUUACAGAAUCAGGGCUCAGAUACAGUUAAUUCAGUUCAGUAGUAUAGAUUUAGGACUAUCAGACACAGUCACUCCUUAUCAUUUUAAAUAGACUCUGGGAUCACCCACUAGAUAGGACUGAUCUCAACUAUGGUCAAUCAGUAAUGGUAUCAUCAGAUUUAGAGAUCAUUCGCUAGAUAGGACUCAUCUCAGGUUCAGUUACUCAGAUACAAUACGAAACUCAGCUAAUUCCAUCAGAUUCAGGACUGUUAGAUACAGUUACUCAUGUUAUUAGUUAUAUCAGUUAUCAGAACUUAUGUUAUUAAUAUUCAGCUUCAGGACUGUCAAAUACAGUCAACCAGACCAGUUCUUCAUAAUCAGAACUGUCAGACACAGUUAUCCAUUUAUUAAUAACAUAGUAUCAGUCCCUUAGUAUUAAGUAAUACAGUAUCAGUUUCUCACUCAUCAGUGACUCAGAUGUUAAUGUCAGUAGAUUCAGUAGUCAGAACUUAAUAUUCAGUCCUAUCAUGAUCUCAGUUACAGUUACGUAUGUAUGCAUGUAUUCUCACGUUUAUGUUAGUCAGUCAGUUAGUAUUGUUCAUGCAUAUGAACCUAUUACAUUCAUCCUACCUCACUUGCAUACCAGUACAUUAAAAGUACUGACCCGUUUGUGCUAUGGUGUCUUAUACCAUAGGUUUAGAAGCACGAGCUCCAGAGAAUUAGUAGUACCCAGUUCAGCGAUCAGAGUUAGCAGUGAGUCCUCAUCCUUUGAGGACAUGAUGAUUACAUUACUAUUUUAGUUUUCAGUUUAUUUUAGUAGUUGGAGUUAGUUGGGGACAUGUCCCAUCAACUCCUUAUUCAGACAGUUUAGAAGUUUUUAGACUAUAGUAUGUUCAGACAAUUAUCUCAGUUGUUUUGGUAUUAUUAUACCAUAUUUUUCAGUUAUGUACUAGUAUUGAACCUUAUGACCUUUCAGUUCAUGUUUCUGUAUUUAUGAUAUUAUUACUAUUAUUCAGUGUUCAGUUUAUAGAUAUUAGUCAUGGGUUUGCUUAUGGUCUUUUGGGGUUAUGGGCACCGUGUAGCAUUUCAUGUACCAGAUUCGAGGUGUUACGAACUUGGUAUCAGAGCUAGGUUCAACAGUGUCCUAGGAAGUCUGAAAAGCCGCAUUUAGUAGAGUCUUGUACAUGCGUGUGUUGUGCACCACACUUAUGUGCAGGAGGCUAUGAGAUUUUAGGAACAGUUUCUCUUCUUUCAGUAUUCAUGUCGUACCAAUAAGCAUAGGCUCAAAGUUAAACUCUCAGUCAAAGUUAAGCGUGGUGAGCCCAUAACCCACAGGUCCCAGGAUCAAAAUUUGGCUCUAAUACCAAGUUUGUAACACCCCGAAUCUGGUACCUAAAAUGCUAUAUGGUGCCCAUAACUCGAAAGGACCACAAGCUAACCCAUGGCUAAUAUCUAUAAACUGAGCACUGAAUAAUAGUAAUAAUAUCAUAAAUGCAGAAAUAUGAACUGAAAGGCCAUGAGGUUCAAUACUAGUACAUAACUAAAAAAUGUGGUAUAAUAAUACCAAAACAACUAAGAUAAUUGUCUGAACAUACUGUAGUCUGAAAGCCUCUAAACUUUCAGAAUAAGGAGUUGAUGGGACAUGUCCCCAACUAACUCCAACCACUAAAAUAGACUAAAAAAUGAAAUAGUAAUGUGAUCAUCAUGUCCUUGAAGGAUGAGGACUCACUGCUAACUCUGAUCGCUGAACUGGGUACUACUAAUUCUCUGGAGCUCGUGCUUCUAAACCUAUGGUAUAAGACACCAUAGCACAAACGGGUCAGUACUUUUAAUGUACUGGUAUGCAAGUGAGGUAGGAUGAAUGUAAUAGGUUCAUAUGCAUGAACAAUACUAACUGACUGACUAACAUAAACGUGAGAAUACAUGCAUACAUACGUAACUGUAACUGAGAUCAUGAUAGGACUGAAUAUUAAGUUCUGACUACUGAAUCUACUGACAUUAACAUCUGAGUCACUGAUGAGUGAGAAACUGAUACUGUAUUACUUAAUACUAAGGGACUGAUACUAUGUUAUUAAUAAAUGGAUAACUGUGUCUAACAGUUCUGAUUAUGAAGAACUGGUCUGGUUGACUGUAUCUGUCAGUCCUAAAGCUGAAUGCUAAUAACAUAAGUUCUGAUAACUAAUAUAACUGAUAACAUGAGUGACUGUAUCUGAAAGUCCUAAAUCUAUACUAUUGAGCUGAAUUAAUUAUAUCUGACAAUCCUGAUUCUGUAACUGAAAUUGUGGGAUGUAUUCAUCUAACCGACAUGCCCCAUACUAAGCUAACUGGGGUCUAACCUAUAACCCCGGCUGGAAUGGUGUCAGUACUGUGCCACUGUUAAAGACAAAUACUAUGGAGUCAGUCCUAAUCUAGCGGGUGACCCUUGGAAUUAGUCCUAUACAUUUAAAUGUGAUAACGGGUGAUCCCUGAGUAUGUCAGUCCUAUCUAACGGGUGACAUCUCAUACCUACACUGGUUACGUAGUUCUGGAACUUAGGGAUUGCUUUUAGGGAUCUCAGUCCUAUCUAGCGGGUAAGUCCCCAUCCCUAGGCUUGCUCGGUGCUGAAUCCUACUCCCAUCUAAAAGACACUAAAUUGAUUAACUGAACUGAGCUGAAUUGAUACUAGUGGUAUUGUCUAGUGGAGCUAAUCUGAAUUUACUGAGUUCCAUUAACUGACGGAAUGUACUGAGUUCUGAGGACUGACUGAGAAUAUUGAAGUUACUGAGAUUACUGAGCUACUGAAAUUACUGAGAUUUUUGAGAUUUCCUGAGUCACAUGACUAACUAAGUUCUAUGGAUCAUAGCUUGACUGAGGAGAUCGUGAAAACAUGACAUGACUUUAGGCACACAGUUAAAUAUUCGGGUACAAGUACCCCCAGGACUCGAUUGAAUAUACAUCUAUACAAAUCAAUUCCAUACAAAAUUGAUCACCCAACAUGGAUUUGAAUUCAAUUGAUCAUUCUCAACAUAAACAACACAAACUCAACAUGAAAUUCAUAAAGAAAUCCAUAAACUUAAACUUAGAAACGAGAUUCUCGGGCUUCAUGGACAAAAGGAGGCCAUGAAUGAACACUACGCAUACCUUAGUUCAUGAUUUUGUGAAAAUUAACGAUGAAACCUUCUUGAAUUUGAAUCCCCAAUUGAAACCGUAGCUUGUUCUUGAGAGAAACUUGAGAGAAACUAGUAUAUUUUGGGUGAAGAAUGGCUAAAUCACGUGUUAUUAGGUUUAAAUAGGGUUAGAAAAUUGACAUUUUUAACCCUGGAUGCAUCUUUUAUUUCUGAGAAAAAUUUCCCAAUUUUUAUCCUUGGCGCGACGCGCCACUAUUGCGCCAAGUCACUGGAAAGUGACAAAUGGGAAAUUGCACGGUGGUGCGACGCAGAGCUAUCGCAUUGCCACCUUGUCUGUGACCUAGAAGUUUUGUGCGAUGCGCCACUAUCACGAAGCAACACUGGAAAUUGACAAUUUCCAUUUGAGCUAUCUCCGCGACGCGCUGAAGGCUCAGGUGAUACACUGUCUCACUAAAAAGGCUCUAACUCUUCACCCGGAUGUCGGAUUUGGGCGAAUUUGGUAUCGAUGGAAAGAUUAUUCGAUUCCCCAUAUGAUAAAAAGUGAAAAUCUUGAAAAUACCAUGUCUACAAAAGUGUAUUUAUUUUUCAAAUAAAGCUUCUAACAUUCUUGGGAAACUUUUUAAGCUAGGAAAAGUAUGGGGUAUUACAAUCUUGUUGGAUUUUCAAUAAUUAUAGCGUCAUUUCAUACUGUAUUGUGAGGUAGAAUUUCUCUACUAUUGGAAUAAAAGAAACCAAAGAAUGGACAUUUCUUGAUUUAUGUGGAGAAAUCAGAAAAAGUGAUAUGGAAUGAACUUGAAAUAACUCUUACAAUUGUGCAAAAUAACGUCUUUGCUCUUGGUUGUCCUUUACUCUCCUUUCUAUAUAGUAGAAAAAUAUAAUAAAAAAAAGAUUAUAUAUAUAUAUAUAUAUAUAUAUAUAUAGAUGGAUAGAGAGAGAGAGAUAGAUCAUAGUUAUUUAGAUGUUUCUAUAGAGUUGUAGGUACGCAAAAUAUCUAAAAUAUCAUUAUGUUAGCUUUGAAAUUACAGUAAUUCCCUUGGCUAUCAUUGAACUCACCGUUCUAUAUAAAUAAUAAAAAAUAAAUAUAAUAGAAUAAAGUAUGUUAUUUUUGUGCAAAACAAAACCUCAACUCCAUAAGACUAGAUUUUGUUAAAUUGAGAGCAAUUUUUGUAUUAAAUUAAUUUUUCUGGGUCUUUGUAAAAUUGAGAGCAAGUUUGAUAUCAUAGUUAAUUUUUUUUGAUUUUUGGAAUCCACUUAGAUCUCAAUUACAGUAAUGUCUUUAUUGAUGGCAAUAUUGAUUAGGUAUAUUUUUUUUGUCUAUGGCUUUAUAUCAUGUUUUGUUGAGCGCGGGAUCAUGAUAUAAAGUUUGAUAUCUUAUCCUUUUCAAACCCCACUUAUAAGACUACACCAAAUAUGUUAUUAUUAUUUAAUUGAUUUUAAAGUUUGAGUGUUGAUUCAUGAUUGAUUUGUGAUUGUAUAGUUUUGAAUAUCACGUUAUAUAUAUAAUUAAUUUGUAUGACUUGAAUACAUAGUCUUCAAGAGUGAUUUCGGUUAUGGUAGAGACAAUUGAACUUGAAAGUAUUAUUCUAGAGCAAUUUUAGAUUAUGGCAAAGCGUUUUAAUCAUUUAAUUCUUUUCUUAAUUGAACUAUUGUCACAACCUAAUUUCUCAGGUCAUGAUGGCGCCUACUAUAACCCAUUAAUAGGCAAGCCAAACCUAUAGUCUGAAAUGUCUAGUAACAGACUAUCAAUCAAAAUAAGGAAAGAAUGAAAAAUAAAUGUACUAAAAGAUCAAAUACAUAGACAAAUCUCAAAACCUGGUGGUAUUAGUACAAAAUCUUCUAAUAUAACAAGAGUACAUGAGUGAAAUACAAAUGAAUAUACUGAUAUAACUUAUCUCCGAAUACAACACAGAGACUAGCCUAAUACAUAAAGGAGAGAUAAGUAAUACUCCGAACAUUAGGAUCUCACUCUAAAUCUCCAAACAAUGGUUACUCUGCUCAACACACACAUCAACAGUGAUAUCUCGUACUAUGAUCUGUAGGCUGCAAAAGUGUAGUAUGAGUACCAAAUAAAUAGUACUCAGCAUGCAACUACCAAUUGAGCUUUGAAGAUAAAGUAGAUAUAUAACAUAUAAACAGAAUGAAAAACUACAUUCAAAAUUCCAAUAUCCAUAAAAGACAAACAAUAAGGUAACAAGGAUAAACUAUCCUAUUCAUGUCCAAGAGGAUAACAUAUUAAGACUAAGGGAGUAACAAAUAUGAACUAUCCUAUUCCAGUCAUAUUAAUAAUUCUCAACAUUAUACCGUAUAUCACUGUCCAAUAUGCAAAGUACAAGUGGAAGGAAGAUACACAUAACUUUACAAGGCCAAGGAAUGAGUAUACAAUAUGAAUAAUUGAAGGAAGGGAUAUAUGGUAGUCCCAUAAUUAUAUAUAGCUAGGUAUGUGUGUGUGUAUAUACAGACACACACAUAUAUAUACACACACAUAUAAAUACGAAGUCAACUCAAAGGAUAACCUAAAUCAUCAUGUCUUCACUUUAAGACCUCAUUAUAAUCCUAUCCGAAUUUAAUACUAUCAUACUCAGGGUUCUAAUCCGGAUGGCUAGACAUGAAAUAAUCAUGCAUAAUAAUGCAAUCAUAAGAUAGAAGAGGCCAAAAGUAUACCUCAAAUAUUGAUACUGAAUUAAUGACCAAUCUGUCAUAAACUAUCCAUAAUAAUGAUCAUAACAAUGAUAAUAACAAUAUUAAUAACAACACGAGUAAUUGGCUAUUUCGGACAACCAAGUAUAUAAUCGAGCCUAUGUGUAUCCCCGCUGCUCCAGAAUCAGAAGGUUCAAUCAAUAUUCAACAACACAAGUCAUAACCCAUAUCUAUGCAACCAUCCCACACAGGGUGAUAGACAUAGGUGCAUACUGGUGAUAGAAAAUGCGCAUGAAAGAAUGAAUGCAACAGAAUCUACAAUACCAUAAUCAUCAUCAUCAUAACCGUCAUCAUCAUAAUUAACCUCCGACCUUGCUGAGUAUAUAAUCAUCACAACAUCCUUUAGCCUUGCCGAGUAUCAUCACACUAUUAUAAUAUCCUUUGGUCUUGCUAGGUAUUAACAUCAUCAUCGUAAUAUCCUUCAGCCUUGUCGGGUAUCAAUAUCAUCAUCAUAAUAUCCUUCGAUCGUGUCUAGUAUAAAUAUUAUCAUCAUAAUAUCCAAACUAAUGUCACAUAAUAGAGAGCAAGCCCCACAAGGGCUAAAGUAAAGUGCAAGCCCCACUAGAGCUAAAGUAAAUGACAAGACCAUGAGGGCUAAAAGAAAUAGAUAUGAAAAAAGAAGCAAGGUAGAGUAUAUUUCCAUAAUUCAUCAUUCAUCAUCAAUAUCACAUCCUUAGUAAGUGUAUAUAUAAUUGGUGCACGGACUCAAGCCGUGGCUAAAAGAGUGUAAAUCUGUAAGUUUGUUGCUCGGAGUGAACUUCAGAACUAGAUCUCUAUGAAAGUGUCAGAAUAUCUCAAUACCAUAGUAAAUAGUAGUGUCAUAUCAUGGACCGAAAUAUAUCCCAGUCAAAUCUCUAACAACAUCAUUAUUAACCUCUACACAUUUAACUUAUUCAUUAAGUUAGGCAUUUAUUAUUGUGAAGAAACCCAUUUUUAGGUGGAAAGUGGGCUUUAGCCCUUAGUUAGUGGCAACACAAAUAAGAUUAUAAUCUAUUUGGAAUCGUAUUAAUCAUCUAUGCGAAUCUAUGCAUGCUAUCAUCAGUAUUCAAUCAUUGGAAUCAUAUAUAUCAUACCACAUCUUCCUCUAUCCUAUGUUGAAGAUAUAUAUAUAUAUAUAUAUAUNNNNNNNNNNNNNNNNNNNNNNNNNNNNNNNNNNNNNNNNNNNNNNNNNNNNNNNNNNNNNNNNNNNNNNNNNNNNNNNNNNNNNNNNNNNNNNNNNNNNNNNNNNNNNNNNNNNNNNNNNNNNNNNNNNNNNNNNNNNNNNNNNNNNNNNNNNNNNNNNNNNNNNNNNNNNNNNNNNNNNNNNNNNNNNNNNNNNNNNNNNNNNNNNNNNNNNNNNNNNNNNNNNNNNNNNNNNNNNNNNNNNNNNNNNNNNNNNNNNNNNNNNNNNNNNNNNNNNNNNNNNNNNNNNNNNNNNNNNNNNNNNNNNNNNNNNNNNNNNNNNNNNNNNNNNNNNNNNNNNNNNNNNNNNNNNNNNNNNNNNNNNNNNNNNNNNNNNNNNNNNNNNNNNNNNNNNNNNNNNNNNNNNNNNNNNNNNNNNNNNNNNNNNNNNNNNNNNNNNNNNNNNNNNNNNNNNNNNNNNNNNNNNNNNNNNNNNNNNNNNNNNNNNNNNNNNNNNNNNNNNNNNNNNNNNNNNNNNNNNNNNNNNNNNNNNNNNNNNNNNNNNNNNNNNNNNNNNNNNNNNNNNNNNNNNNNNNNNNNNNNNNNNNNNNNNNNNNNNNNNNNNNNNNNNNNNNNNNNNNNNNNNNNNNNNNNNNNNNNNNNNNNNNNNNNNNNNNNNNNNNNNNNNNNNNNNNNNNNNNNNNNNNNNNNNNNNNNNNNNNNNNNNNNNNNNNNNNNNNNNNNNNNNNNNNNNNNNNNNNNNNNNNNNNNNNNNNNNNNNNNNNNNNNNNNNNNNNNNNNNNNNNNNNNNNNNNNNNNNNNNNNNNNNNNNNNNNNNNNNNNNNNNNNNNNNNNNNNNNNNNNNNNNNNNNNNNNNNNNNNNNNNNNNNNNNNNNNNNNNNNNNNNNNNNNNNNNNNNNNNNNNNNNNNNNNNNNNNNNNNNNNNNNNNNNNNNNNNNNNNNNNNNNNNNNNNNNNNNNNNNNNNNNNNNNNNNNNNNNNNNNNNNNNNNNNNNNNNNNNUUUACACUCCCACGAGAGCUGUAGAUUGAGCGUUAUCAGAUUCCCCUGUACCCCGCAGACUCCAUUAUUAAAAUCACUUGAGAGAUUCUCGUGUACCCCACAAAAUUUUCAAAAUCAUCCUUAAUCAAUUAACCAUUUAUGUCAUGCAUUAGUUUCAAGAAACAAAUCAAACCAAGUAAUAAUGUAUAAACCAAAAUCAAUUAUGCAAGUUGUUACCUAUUUUCAUACAAAACCAAUUAAUUUGGGGAUUCCUUUGUACCCCGAUUUCCAUCCACCAUUCCCUUGCAAACCUAAUGCAUUUACUAACCAUCAAUUUAAGCACAAUAGUUUCCUAGAUAUAUGGAAAAGUAUUUAAACAAUUUAUAUUAAAAACCCUCAACCCAUAGUUCAAAACUCAACAUCAAUAUCUCAUGAACAAUACUUUAAAUCACAUGCUUUUACAAUAUUGACAAUAAAGGAAGAGUAACAUGCCUGAAAUACUAAGAAAUUUGGAGAAGAAAACAACCUUAGAACCUUAUAUGACCACUUUCUUUAAAACCCUAGCCUUAACUUAAACUGAGAGAGAAUUUGGGAGUGUUCUAUUGGGAAUGAUGUGAUAAUAAAGCCCCAAGGAAGGCUUUAAGUCGUGGGGUCCAAGGGGUGAAAUUGAGAAAUGCCUAGAGUACCUCAACUUAAAAACUGAAAAAGUGUUGUCUUUGAUUAUGAGUCAACCAUCGACUCAUAACUUUCCUUGCGACUCAUCACUAUGGGUCAUAACCAAGGUAGUACCACUAAGGAAUCCCACACUGUUAUCCUUACGACUCAACCACAGGACUCGUAAUAAGACCUUACGACUCGUAGGGUUCAGUCGUAAUCAACACAUAACCCAAAUUGGGACUUACACUGGACACCCUACGACUACACCUAAUGACUCAUAACGUAUCCUUACGACUCUUGGUGAGCCACUCGUACUUAGAGCAGAAUCAAGCCACAAACUUACUAGUUAGGUUACGACUCAUCCCAACGACUCGUUAGGACACUCUACGACUCAUAAGGUCUAAUCGUAACCAGGGCAUUGAGCUCGAAGCUCAAAGAAUUUUCAAGGGCCAAAAAUCCAAGGUGUUUUAAUGCACUUUUAACUAAAGUGAUUAUGUGAGGUUGAUUUAUAAAUAUAGGUAAUUUUUUAUUUUUAAAUGUUAAAAAAUAAAAAUUUUAGGACAUUUUUUAUAUAAAAAUAUAUUGAAAGCUUGUAACAAUUUGGAUACGCUAAAAAAUAUGUAAACUUCUGAUGUAAUAAUGGGUUCAUUGAAAAAUAAAGGAGAACGAUGAAGAAGAAAUUGGAGGAAAAAGCUAAAGAGAAGUAACAAAGAGAAAAAGAAAGAAAAACUAUAUAUUGAAGGGCUACAAUUUCAUGAUAUUAUUGGUGUUAUCUCAUGUUUUAAUGAUGACUGAAUGAUAUCGAAGGACCAGGUCCCUCGCCUACUUUGACCAGGCACAACUAUCAUAUUCUACAAAAUUUUGUCUGAUAGUGCAAUAAUUGUCCAGGUGUACAGUGUACCAGAAUAUACAUCUGGUUCAAUCAAAAUUCUAUCACUCAAUCUACACUACUAUAAAUACAUAAGAAUGCUCUUUCCUCCAUAGUUUUUACAAAUUGAAGAAUCUCACGGUGACGACCAAAACUCUCUCUAAGUUCAAGUUCUAAAUCUCUUUAUAUUUAUAGUGUAGGUAUUCUUGAGUCGAGUCUUAUAAUCAAUUUACUCAAGGAUUAAGAGUAAAACUUUUCUUUUGUUGUUGAGUUUCUUAGGUAGAGUUAUCUAAAUUUGUGUUGGUUAGAGUUAACCAAUAUUGAGAGUGACAUUGACAGAGUUGUCAAGAGGUGAUUGUAAUAGAGUUAUUUACAAAUUAGAGAAACUUAUAGUUUAGUUCGAAUGAAGUCUGUAAUCAAGAUGUGUUUUGAUUAUAGUGGAGUUUGAGAGCCUGUGAGUGCAGGUUAUGGUUUUUUCUCUCUUGAGUAAGGAGGUUUCUACGUAAAUAAUUAUGUUGAUUUAUUUACUGCAUCUUUGUGUGCUUGUUGCUUUAUUGUCAUAUAAUUCACUUUCGGGACCUGGUCCCUUAGUGAUGGUGUACCCCUCACGUUUUUACAAUUGGUAUCAGAGCGAGGACACUCUAAAAGGUUAACACCUAGAGUGAAUUCUUGAUCAUGGUUACACCACCUAAUCAGGAGGAGGGGCAAUAUACUACUAGGCUACCCCAUUUCAAUGAGCAAUACUAUGGGUGGUAGAAAAUUAGGAUGUAUGAUUUCAUUAUGACUAAGGAUGGAGAGCUAAUGAAUGUGAUACUUGAUGGUCCCCAUGUGCCAGUAUGAGAAGUCAAAGAAGGAGACAUAACUAGAAUGAUUGUUAAAACUAGGAGAGAAUAUGAUGAUGAAAAUUGUAAAAAGAUUGAAAAGAACUUCAAGGCCAAAAAAUUAUUGGUUGAUGGGAUAGGACUAGAUGAAUACAAUUCUUGUGAGAAUGCCAAAGAGAUCUGGGACUGCCUGAGAACAGAUCAUGAAAGAGCAACUGAUGUAAAUGAAUCAAAAGUGGAUAUGUUGACCACUUAGUAUGAAGUCUUCCUUAUGAAGGAGGGUAAAACUAUUCAAGAGAUGCACACAAGAUUUACUUCAAUCACAAAUAAGUUGCAUUGCCUUGCUGAAGUUAUUUCCCUGCAUAAACAAGUAAGGAAAAUUUUGAACUUCUUCCUAAGUCAUGGGAGAGAAAAGUUGAUGCUAUCUCUGAGGCUAGAAAUUUAAAGAUACUCACUAUGGAUGAAUUAAUUGGGAACUUGAAAAUUCAUGAGUUGAAAAAACAAAGGUCAAGAAAAGAAGGAGGUUAAAAGAGAAAGUCACUAGCCUUAAAAGCUUCAAAGUCUGAGUCCAGUGAUGAAGAUAUUGAUGUUGAUUACUUAGAUAAAAGGAUUGUGGAGGUCAUGAAGAAAAAUGGUCAAUUGCAAAGAAGAGAAAACAACAGUAGAAAAAGAGCACUAUUGAAGUUUAUCACAAAUAAUCAGAAGGAGAUAACAGAAAAUAGAAGGACCAGGUCCUCAAGAAGUCAAGAAGGAAAGUAGUUGUUGAUUAUGUAGUUAACAAAGCCCUAACUAUCUAGGAGAUACCUCAAGUGAAUCUGAUGAAUCCGAAAAGAUUGAUGAUACUUCUAUGUUAGCUGUGGAAGUAAUGAAAUAUCCUACAACUCUCUUUUUGUUCUCAUGGUAAAAUCAGAUGAAUAAGUAGAGAAUGAGGUAACUCGUUUUUAUAUUAAGCAGAACUUGAAUGAUUAUUCCCCUAAGAAGAUGAAGGAAAUCGCAAAUAUCUUGAUUGAUUAUGUGUGUAAACUUAUUUAUGAGAGAGAAUUACUUAAAGAUAAGGGAGAAAAUCUAGAACAUGAAAAUUAGCCUUAAUCAUUCAGUUUUCUGAAGUAGGAGAACGGUCAUUAAAAUUAAAAUCUGAAAACAAGGAUUUGAUGGAUAAACUAAAGAAGAUAGUUGAGUCUAAUGAGAAGGUAAAAAAAAAGCUUUAAAUUUAUCUUGAAGAAAAGUUGAAGAAUUCUCAAAAGCUUCUUAUGACUGCACUCCAUAAUAAUGAAGAAUUAGAAAGGACCUGGUCCGUAUAAAAGAAGAUCUUAAAAAAUCUAUAAAAUGUACCACAUCUUCACAAAUCCUUACAAAUCUAACCAGUCAGGGUAUCAAUAAUUAUAAAGGUCUUGGGUAUCUGUACAACACUCGUGCUCUUAAGUCCCAAGGCAAACAUGUCUCUGUUUCUAAAAAUAAGGCCAAUAAUCAUUUAUGCACUCACUAUAUCGGGAAUGGUCACUUGAAGGAGAAAUGUCAGGGAUUGCUUAGAGUUAAAAUAAACGUUGCUAGAUAUGUCCAGCUAAAGCAGUAUUUCCCUAAGGGAUCUAAUUCCUUGAAAAAUUUUAAGUAGAAUAAAUUACCUAACAGGACCAAGAAAGCUCUGAUCACUCUCUUGUCUUUCUUUUGGGAACUCAGACUCAAGUGGGUUCCCAAAUUUAACAAGUGACCUCUGUAAACAGGUGGGAGUAAGAGAAGGCAGUCAAAGCCGGUUCAUGGAUAGUGGAUGCUCUAAGCAUAUAACUGGAAGAACUAACUAUUUUCUCUCACUCAAUGCACUUCAAGGUGGAGGUGUCUCCUUUGAAAAUAAAAAAAAAGAUAUAUUCAUGGUGUUGGAAAGAUAGGGAAAUCCUUAAAUCACGCCAUUGAGGAUGUGUAUUAUGUGAAUAGUUUAAAUUAUAGUAUUUUAAGUGUGUCCCAAAUCUGUGACAAAGGAAAUAAAGUGAAGUUCCUAUCUGAUGGGUGUACUUUAUCCAAUUUAAAAUUUGGGAAAGUUAUACUCAAAGCUAAAAGGUGUAAGAAUAUAUAUGUGGUUGAUUUAGACUCAGUAGCUGAUUGUGAAUUAACAUGCCUAAGUGCUCAAAGUGAAACUAUUGAUUUGUGGCACAAAAGGUUGGGAUAUGUAAGUUCCUCUCUACUUAACAAACUAAUCUCAAAGGACCUGGUCCAUGGUGUUCCAAACCUGCAGUUUUCAGAAAACAAGAUUUAUGAUGUUUGUGUCAAAGGAAAACAAACCAAAUCAUCCUUUAAGCAGAAGAAGUAGGUAAGUACCACAAGACCCCUUGAAUUAUUGCACAUGGACUUUUGUGGACCUAUCAAAGUUCAAAGUAGAGGUGGGAAAAGAUAUGUUUUUGUCAUUAUGGAUGAAUACUCAAGAUUCACUUCGACCAUAUUCCUAAAAGCUAAGGAUGAAGCUUAUGAAGUACCGGUGGUCUUUACCAAGAAAAUUUAGGUGAAGCUGAACAACAAGAUUGCAGGAUUCAGAUCUGAUCAUAAACUGAGUUUGAGAAUUUCAAAGUUGAAGAAUUCUAUGCUUAAAAAGGAAUUAGUCACAACUUCUCUGCUCCAAGAACUCUUCAACAAAAUGGAGUAGUUGAAAGGAAGAAUAGGACACUCAUAAAAUUGCUAGGACUAUGUUGAUUGAUAGUGGCCUUUCAAAAAGUUUUUGGGUUGAAGCUGUCAAUACUGUCGGUUAUAUGACCAAUAGAUACCUGACCAGAUCUCUCUUGAACAAAACUCCAUAUAAACUUAUUUUUGACAAAAAGGCGAAACUUGAUUAUUUUAGACCCUUUGGGUGCAAAUGUUUUAUUCUAAAUAAUGAAAAGAAUGAGCUUGGGAAAUUCGACUCCAAAAGUGAUGGAGUUGCAUUUGUAGGCUACUCCUCAACAAGCAUAUAGAGUCUUCAACAAAAGGACUCUGUGUAUGGAGGAAAAUGUACAUGUGAUCUUUGAUAAAUCAAGAAAGUUAAAAGAUUCUGCUGGAGGUGAAGAUUCUGUCAUGAAUGGAUUUAUUCCUAUUCAAAGGGAUGGUAUAGCUGAAGCUGAAGUUCAAGAACAUAAUGAUAGAGUUGUAGAUGAAGAAAGUGAUGGUGAAUUAGGUCCUUAGUUGCUGAAUCCAAAUUUAAAAGAGGAACAUCAAGAAAAACCUGUUCAAAAUCCUCAAGGACCUAGUCCCAACAGACCUCAGUCAAAAAGAUUAAAUUGGAAGCACAAAUCUUCUCACUACCUUGAAAAUCUGACCUCUUCCUUGGAAUCUGGAAUGCAAAGAAGAGCUCAAGCUUCUUGUCAUAGGUUGAGCAUAAGUAUGUAAAAAAUCCCUAAAAGAUGCUGACUAGAUUAAUGUUAUGCAAGAACAACUUCAACAAUUUGAAAGGAGCAAAGUUUGACACCUGGUCUCCAAGCAUAUUGACAAAACAAUCAUUGGGAUAAAAUGGGUGUACAGAAACAAACAAGAUGAACAUGACACUAUCAGUGGAAAUAAAGCAAGAGUUGCUAUUCAAGGAUAUAAUUAGGAGAAAGGUAUUGACUAUGAUGAGAUCGUUACUUCUAUUGCAAGGAUGGAAGUAAUUAGAAUUCUUAUUGCUUUUGCUGCUUAUAUGGGUUUCAAACUCUUCCAAAUAGAUGUCAAGAGUGCCUUUUUAAAUGGUAGUUUGAAAAAAGAAAUUUAUGUUAAACAACCUCUAGGUUUUGAGGAUUUUGAUUUCCUACAUCAUGUUCUGAAGCUGGAUAAGGCUCUCUAUAGGUUGAAGCAGGCACCUAGAGCUUGGUAUGAGAGACUAUCAAAGUUUCUUCUGAAAAAUAGUUUUAAAAGGGGAAAAUUAAAAAUACCUUCUUUCUGAAGCCCAAAGGGAACAACUUGAUAAUUGUGCAAAUCUAUGUUGAUGACAUAAUCUUUGAAGUAACCUCUAAAUCUCUAUGUUGAGAAUUUGCCAAAUUAAUGGUGAGUGAGUUUGAAAUGAGCAUGAUAGGUGAAUUGAGCUUCUUCCUAAGGCUUCAAAUUUAAAAGAUAUCCCAAGGUACAAUGAUUUGUCAAGAAAAAUAUAUCAUAGAGCUACUGAAUAAAUACAAUAAGUGAGAUGUCAAGCCAAUUGAUACUUCCAUUAGAACCAAUUCAAAGAUAGACAAUGAUGAACAUGGUCCUCAAUUAAUGGGACCAUGUAUAGAGAAAUUGUUGGAGCCUUAUUAUACCUCACUGCUAGCAGGCUAAAUAUUGUGUUUAGUGUUAGUAUGUGUGCUAGAUUUCAGACAUGUCCAAAGGAGUCUCAUUUAAAAGCAGCCAAGAGAAAUUCUCAAGCAUCUGAAAGGGAUAGGGGACUUGAUCCUAUUUAUCCAUCUAAAUAGAUUAGGUUAUGCUGAUGCUGAUUAUGUUGGGUACUUGGUGGACAUAAAGAUUACCUCAGGAAUGGCUCAUUUCCUUGGACCCUCUCUAAUUUUCUGGGGAUCUAAGAAACAAAAUUCAGUUGCACUAUCUACUAUUGAAGUUGAAUAUGUUGCUGCAACUUCUUGUUGCGUUCAAUUUUUAUGGAUCAAACAGCAACUGGAGGAUUUUAGGAUUGUCUCUGAUCCUAUUCCCUUGAUGUGUGGCAAUAUAAGUUCUCUAAACAUGGCUAAAAACCCAGUGCAACAUAAAAGGCCAAAGCAUAUUGACGUGAGGCAUCAUUUACUGAGAGAUAAUAUUUAAAAAGGAGCCAUUUGCAUGAAUUCUAUAAGACUAAGGAUCAGGUAGCUGACAUCUUCAUAAAGGUUCUUCAUAAGGAACAAUUUUUGAAGAAUAGGCUGAGGUUGGGUUUGAUCAAGAUGAAUUAACCUACUUGGUAGAUCAAGUUCUUCAAUUCAUUGGCUAUGAUUAGAAGAUAGGUAUCCUUGAUGUGCUUUUUAGUGUAACUCAGUACCAUACCAUUUUAGGUAUACACGCAUGGUAAAACCACUUUAAAGGAAACAGAUGAAAUAGACACAAUAUAAAAUAUUCACUCAAGCAAGGGAGGGACCUGGUCCCGUACCAUAGGUUAGUAUCAUUAAUGUGCACUUUAAAAAUAUAUAAAUUUUUGUCUGAAAAAGCCAUAUUUUUCCCUUCUCUAUCUGAAAGUUGUCAAAUCCUCUGAAAAAUGAAGAGUUGCACCUAUUGUGACCAGAAACAUCCUAUACCCUUUAAUCUCAAAUGUUGCAAUCUUUUCUUCCUUUAAAUACAAAAUCAAAUUCCCUUUUCCACUCACUUUUCCAAAAUUAACUUUUAAACUUUUCUCUCUCAAAAGCAAUUUUUUUCCUAUUCUAAAAAAAUUAUCUUUCCUUAUUUUAAAUAAUCUAUUAAAAUUUCAAAUGACUAACAAAACCUCGUCCUUAAGAACCUCAUAUGAAGCCGAGUCUGUCCAAACCUCUUCUCUUCUCUCUAAAAUACCAAUUAUUGAGUCGUCUUCCUUACUUGUCACUAAGGAAGGAUCUACCAUGGAAGAAUCCGUAAAAAUAGUAAAACCUACCUCUAAGACAGUUGUUAUGGUUGACCAAAGUGAAGUCUAUGGGUCAUCCAUAGAAGUUGAGUUCCCUCAAAACCCCGUUCCUUUAGAAAAACUAGAAAGACUAACUAUUCUGAAACUCUGAACGAAUCUGGUUCUCCCACCCUUUUUGAUUCAAACCCUAUCCUUUCCCAAUUGAUGAAGAUCUACCAGUAAAAAAAUCAAACUCCGCUAGUAGUGAGUUAGCUGAGGAGGAUUAGGUUGGUGAGAACUCAAUUUUGCUGUCAAAUUACCCCAGGGACAGUUUUAUAGGGCUGGAGAAAAUAAGUUGUUGGCGAUGAAAAUAUUCUCCCCACAGGUGAUUUAUCUUCUAAGGACGAUGAGCCUAUUGGUUCAUUUAUUCCAUCUCCUAAUAAAGAUGAGGAUGACUUGCUUUUAAGGUGGUCAGUACAAAAACAAAGAGGCAGCAAAGGAAAGGGUAAAGUGGAGGAAACAGGGAAAGUAACUAAAACUUACGCAACAAGUAGUGUUGAAAAUAAGCUCAGGGGGGAUGUUAUAAAGGCAAAUAAGUCUGGAACUAUUAAAAGAAGAAGGUUAAAGAGGGGGAUUGUUAUUAAGGAAGAAAAUGUAAAAGUGGUUAAAGUUAGUGAAGAAGAGGAAGAGAUUGAUAUUGAUACUGCUACUGCAACAGAAAAAAGGAAGAAAGAAGUUCAAGAUGAAGGAAGGACCAGGUCCUUCCCAAAAAAAUUAAGGAGUCCCAUCGGUAUGAAACAAAAACACAGAGAUGUGAAAAAGAAAGAAAGUAACUCGGAGACCUGGUCCCAAGAAGAGAAAAAUGGCUGAAUAAAAACCAGGUAGUCGUUAUAAAAGAAAAAAAGUGGAGCAAGUAGAGAAGAGUUGACUUGGGAAAAAAGAAAUGAGUCUGAGAACUUAGAAGGUAUUGACUGGGAGAGUCUUUGACUCUAGGAUUUUUUAGAAACCUGAUAUGGUGGAGUUAGUUGAGUAUGUUAGACAUCAGGUUGCGCCUCCUAGAGGAACCAGUUCCCUCUGUCUUUGAAGGUGAAGCAAGGUAAUUCUACUAUACAAUAAAGUUCUCAAGUGAUGGACUAAGCUUAACUGCUUUAGUUCAAGGGAAGAAACUGAAAUUAGAUGAAGAGAUUCUUGGAAAAAUUCUAGAUGUUCCCAUAAUUAGAGUUAGGAUUGUGUUAAAUCAACACCCCUCAACAAAAUUCAUGGUUGAUGCUAGGGGUGUACAAACCGAACCGUUAAGCCAAACCGAACCAAUGAAUCAAACCAAACCGAGGAAAAAAACUGACUUAUAGUUUGGUUUGAUUGGUUUGGUGUUGGUAAAAAAAAUUGAUCAUUCUUGGUUUGGUUUGGUAUUAGAAAAAAUAAAAUCAAACCGAACCGACGUAAUACAUAUAUAAUUUUAUUUUUUAAUACGUAAAAAAAUAUUACUUAUAAUCUACUUUCUGAUUACUUUUAUUAUUUUUCUUAUAUUCAGAAAAUAGAUAUAUGUAUAUAUAUUCUUGGGCCUUUACUUAUAGUAUUUUUCCAUUAAUAACAAAUUAAUACAAAGCCCAAUAUCUAUAUCUAUAUUUAUAUCUGUAUCUAUAUCUAUAUCUAUAUCUAUAUCUAUAUCUAUAUCUAUAAUCUAUAANNNNNNNNNNNNNNNNNNNNNNNNNNNNNNNNNNNNNNNNNNNNNNNNNNNNNNNNNNNNNNNNNNNNNNNNNNNNNNNNNNNNNNNNNNNNNNNNNNNNNNNNNNNNNNNNNNNNNNNNNNNNNNNNNNNNNNNNNNNNNNNNNNNNNNNNNNNNNNNNNNNNNNNNNNNNNNNNNNNNNNNNNNNNNNNNNNNNNNNNNNNNNNNNNNNNNNNNNNNNNNNNNNNNNNNNNNNNNNNNNNNNNNNNNNNNNNNNNNNNNNNNNNNNNNNAAAAAAACACGUCCCACCUCAAAAAGAGAAAAAAAUAAGUAGUGUCAGAUUGUAGUUAGCAUACGACCUAAUUUCUUUCUUUUAAGUAUGGUUUUUGAUUUAAUUAGGAGUCCUUAAUUUUCUUUUCUUUUAAGUUUCAUUUGUCUUGAUUUUCUAUAAUAAUUAUUUUUUUAUGAAAAAAGUUUCUCAAAUUAGAUUAGAUUUCUUCCAUGUUUCAUCCUCUUUCUUAAAAGGAAAAAAAAUUGUACAUCUAUAUAUUGAGCAUUCCUUUUUUCCAAUAAAUUAUAGAAUAACAUUCACAAUUUAAUUGUUAAAGAGUAUUUUCAAGAGAAGAUUAGUUUUAUGUUCUUUAAUAUUAGUUUUUAAUUUGUAGGUCAACAAUAUUAAAUAUUAUGCAUCUUUUAUUAACGUUUUUUUAUCAUAUGAUUUAUUAUAAUUUCAAUUGUUAGCUUUCGCAUGAUGUGCAGGUAAAGAAAAAUUAUGUGAGUGUGUGGUUGAGACUUCGUGCCGAUUAUGAGAGGAUUUAAAGGUAUGUUUUUUUUUAAAAAAAAAUUAUUUCUCAUUCAUAUCGGUACGAUUUAUGUUGUUAAGGCAUUGAUUAGAAGUGCACGUUUUGCUCUUUGAUUCGAUUUUAUCAAAUUUCAAUUCAAUUUUUUGAUUUACAAUUUUAAAAAGUAGACAUCGAACACCGAAUCGAACUAUUUCAGUUUGGUUCAUUUUCUUUCAACCUUGUUUUUAUUUGAUUCGGUGUUCAAAAAUAUUUAAACUUUUUGUCCUUCGUUAAAAGUGUCUGCUUUAGACAAAAUUAUUUCUUCAAUAUUUAAGAAUUGAAAAUUUAUCAAAUAUUUUAGUAAAAUAUAUGUUAUAUUUGCGCUAUUUUAUCAAAGUGUGAAGGAUCUUUGAGAAGUGAUUUAAAUUUUUUGCUCUUCAUUAAAUUUUUUUGCAAUAAAUAAAAUUAUCUAAUUUUAAAUAAUCAAAUGUUACACGUGCGGCCUCGGGAGUGUUGUGUGAUAAAAAGGUGCCGCCCAAACUUAAAGGUAAAUUCUACAGAGUGACAGUCCGUCCGGCCAUACUGUAUGAAGCGGAGUGUUGGCCAGUCAAGAACUCCCAUAUUCAAAAACUGAAGGUGGCAGAAAUGCGGAUGUUGCGUUGGAUGUGUGGGCUUACUAGGGAUGAUAGAGUUAGGAAUGAGACUGUCUGAGAGAAGGUUGGUGUGGCUUCGGUGGAGGACAAGAUACGGGUAGUUCGGUUGAGAUGGUUCGGGCAUAUGAUGAGAAGAGGCACGGAUGCCCCAGUUUGUAGAUGUGAGAGGUUAGCUUUGGAUGGUUUCAGGUGGGUAGGGGUAGGCCAAAGAAAUAUUGGAGAGAGGUGAUUAGACAUGACAUGGAGCAGUUACAGCUUACUGAGGACAUGAUCCUAGAUAGAAAGGUUUGGAGGACACGAAUUAGGAUAGAAGGCUAGUGCAUGCGGGAGGGUCGUAGUUAGUAAUUAAGGGAGCGUCGGUAUAGGGGGUGCCUUUGGUUCGUUAGCGUAGGGUAUUACUUUAUGGGUGUCUUAUUUCUGUUGUUCCAUCUUGUUUCAUGUUUUUACUAUAAAUUUAUUUAUUACUCAUUGUCUUGAGCCGGGGGUCUAUCGAAAACAGCCUUGCUACUUCUUCGGAGGUUGUGGUGUGGACUGCGUACAUCUUACCCUCCCCAGACCCCACUGUGUGGGAAUACACUGGGUUUGUUGUUGUUGUUGUUGAAAUCUUACACGCGCGAGACACGUGGGGUUUAACUAGUUAAUAUAAAAACCUAAAACUCUUUAAUUUCUUCACUUUUUACAUUUUACUUUCCAAGUUUUUAGAGAGUUCUCAUUAUUUUCUCAUCUUAAUUUUCUCAUUCGUCAAGUUGUGAUUUAGGUCUGUUUCUCUUCUUUCACUUUUUUUUUAUGGAAUUAUGUUAUAAUUAAUUACUUUUUGGAGUUAAGUUUUUAAUAAGUUGUCUCCAAUUCUUCAUUCUUUUGUGUGCUCACAUUUUAUGUGAAGAAAACUUUUAAACAAGCUACUGUGUCUAGUAACUUAGAAAUUGAACUACUUAGGUAUCCACAUAAUAUUACUUUGAGAGAUAGUAGUUUAGACGUCUUAGUAAUUUGCCAACUUAAUUUUUAUUGAAACUACUCUAUGACCUUUUUUUUUAAUCUUUUUAGUGAAAAUAUUUAAUUUUUUUCUUCAAUCACAUUAUAAUUGUAAAAAAACUGAGAAAAUCGAAAAAUCGAAAAAAUCUGACUAAAACCAAUAUAAAAAAACCGAUUGUAUAUCGGUUUGAUUUGGUUUAGAGAUUUAGAAAAUCGAUGUUAUUGGUUUGGUUAUAUUUUAAUAAAAAACUGAACCAACCCGACCUAUGCACACCCCUAGUUGAUGCUUUAAAAAUAGGACAAUAGCUUCUACUGUGGAUCUGUAUGUGAUUGAGUGUCUGAGCAAGUUCAAACUUAUCGGUUUGCCUGCUUUAAUGAUAAAGCACAUGUAUAAGGUUAUCUAUGCUAAGAAAGGAAAACAUGGCAUACCUUAUGAAUAUUUCCUAAACAGGGUAUUUGAUCACUUUGGGGUUGUUGGUGAAAAGGAGACUCCUGAAACUGCAAAGCAGAUGUUCACUCUGACAACCUUGAUUGAAAAUGAAUAUGUAGAAGGAAAAGUAGGGACCAUGUCCAAGGUGUCAGAAUUGUUAUUAGCUAAGAAAAGAUUGAGCAAAGAGGUGGAGGAAAUGAGGAUCGAUUUAGCUGCUAAGAAUGUAGAGAUAAUACAGUUAAAGAUAGGGAACCAAUAGCUUUCCACUGAGGGACCAGGUGUUGCUGAAGCACUUAGAACAGAAAAUGCAGAACUCAACCUAAGGUCUCAGCACUCACACAGGAGGUUCAAGGGUUGAAUGCAAAAGUAAAGGACUUCACUAAGCAACUGUUGAACUCUCACGCUACAGAGAGUUCUAGGAUGAAAUUGUUGCUUAAGUCCCUCUCCCCUAAAUAUCCAUCUACCUAAGACUCUCCACCCCCCCUUUGUUUCCUAUUGGAACCCGGUGUUAGUUUCCCCUUGUUAUUUCUAAUGGCUUUUUAGGUUCAAGAAUUUUAUGUUAAUUUUAAUUGUAUUGUAUGGUGUUUGCCUAUCUUUAAUGAUUGAAAUCAUAUUUUGUGCCUAUCAACUAUUUCUCAUUCUUUAAGUUGUUGAUUCAUGUUAGUGUGGCCCCAGUGGGCAUGAGUUAACCAAUUUGUGCUUAAUCCUACCUUGGUUUACUGUUCUUACUUUUUUAUGAUGCCAAAAGGAGGAAAUUGAAUUUACUAUAAUAGGGACCAGGUACCAUAAGUAAUGAAUAUUGGAGUAUUGAUGAUGGGGUAAUAGCUAUAGGGGGAACACACACUGAUGCUAUUGUGAUGUGUGUGAUAAGAGAGAGAGGGAGUAAAGAGAUACUACUGAUAGGGGGAAUGUUGGUGUAUGUGUAGAUGUAGUUACUCUAAAUCUAAAUGAAUUUUGAUGCUUCGUGGACAUGGUUUUUCAUUAUCAUAAAGGGAAAAAUUAUUGUCUCAUGUUUUGAUUAUGACUGAAUGAUAUCAGAGGACUAGGUACCUCGCCUACUUUGCCCAGGUACAUCUGUCAUACUCUGCACAAUUUUAUCCACUAGUACAAUAAUUGUGCAGGUGCACCGCAUACCAGAAUGGACUCCUGGUCCAAUCAAAAUUCUAUCACUCAAUUCUAUAUUACCAGAAAUACAUAAGGAUGCUCUUUCCUCUAUAGUUUUUGAAAGUUAAAGAACCUCAUGGUGGGGGCGAAAACUCUCUCUAAGAUCAAGUUCUAAUCUCUUCAUACUUAUAGUGUAGGUGUUCUUAAGUCAAUUCUUGUAAUUGAUUUACUCAAGGAUUAAGAGUAAAGAUUUUAUUUUGCUAUUGAGUUUCUUAGGUAAAGUUACCUAAGUUUGUAUUGGUUAGAGUCAGAGGUGGAGCAAAAAUUUUUCUUAGGGGGUACAAAAUCUGAAGAAAAACUCAUCGAAGGGGGUUCAACAUCUAGAAUAUAUAAAUAAAAAUUAUUUUAACCAUGUAUUAAUAAUAUAAUUUUUUGUCGAAGGGGGUUCGAACGAACCCCCUUUAAUAGGCUAGCUUCGCCUCUGGUUGGAGUUAACCAAUAUUGAGAGUGACAUUGAUAGAGAUGUUAAGAGGUGAUUAUAAUAGAGUUAUUACAAAUUAGAGAAACUCAGAGUUAAGUUCACAUGGAGUCUGUAAUCAAGAUAUGUUUUGAUUAAAGUGGAGUUUGAGAGUCUGCAAGUAUAGGUGUGUUAAUUUAUUUACUGUAUCUAUGUGUGUUUGUUGCUUUAUUGUCAUAUGAUUCACUUUAAGGACUUGGUCCCUUACCGAUGGUGUACCCCUAUGCUUCAACAGUUGGAAUUAGAGGAAAAUAUAAAGGAUAGAAAAGUAAAUAUUUAGGUCAAUCUUAAAAAAAAAAUCUAAAAAGUAAAAAGUUAGGGUACCUAACUUCCCACUUUUUGCUUUUCUUAAUUAAUUUUUUAUUUUUGUAAAACACUUUUUAAUUUUAUCAAACACAUAAUAAAACUAAGAAAGAGAUUAAAAGUUGGUUUGAUCAGAUUUAAUUUUAUCCAAACGGACUCUUAGUCCUAAUACAAGAAUGUUUUAUUUUGUCUUAGAUAAAAUUUCAUUUAUACCUAUUAGUAUGUUUUCAGAUGGAGAAAUUAUAGCAUAAUAGGAUUACCCCGUAUAGCCGGGCUAUAUGAUUUACCAAAAAAAUAGCAUCCUCCUACUUCUUCUUCUUCUUCUAAUUAGGCUUCUUCUUCCUUCUUUAAUUAUACCAUAUAGCCUCUUCCUUAAUUCUACUUAGUAUUUUUCUUCCUUCCUUCCUCGCUUCUUCUUCACUCUUCACCUCUUUCAUAUUCUUUUCUAAUUGGCAAAAUAACCUUCUGGACUCCUGUACUAUGUCGGUUUUGUAAGUUGGACACUUCUACUUACAUAUUUGUCAUCUGGACCCCUGAACCCACAAAAAAGCUAUAUUUUAAACCCUUUGACCGUUGACUUUGCCUAUAUGACAUUAAAAUACUGUCUAGGAUAAAGAGAGUGAUUACACUCGCUUGAAGUACGAGUGAGAUCAAUUUUUGGUCAAUUUUAUCUUAAACUAAUUAAAAAAAAUUAAAAAUAAUAUUAAAAUUGAAAAAAAAAUAAAGAGGGUUUUUUAUUCACUUUCUCAAACUUACCCUUUGCACAAUUUAAAUUUUACUUUCAUUUUGUUCUCCUUUCACUCCAAACAUGCCCUUUGCGCACUUCACAAUAAUGGCCGCCAAGAAAUUCCCCCGUAACCCUAACCUAAUCAACGGAAUCGGCAAAUUCUUUCGUUCCAAAAUGUACCACAAAAAGGGGAUUUGGGUUAUCAAGAAGAAGAAGGGCGGUAAAUUCCCUACCUACCCAAAAUCCACCAUCGUCGUUGCUCCGCCCUUAACCGCUGCCAUCAAACCACCAAAAUUCUACCCAGCUGAUGACGUGGAAAAAUUUCUCAUCAACAAACACAAACCAAAACCCACAAAAUUAAGAGCCAGUAUUACACCUGGUACUGGUUUGAUUAUUCUAGCUGGGAGAUUUAAGGAAAAAAGAAUUGUGUUCUUGAAACAACUUGUAUGUUCUGGACUAUUACUUGUUAGUGGAUCGUUUAAGGUUAAUGGGAUUCUAUUAAGGAGAGUUAAUCAAGCUUAUGUUAUUGCUACUUCAACGAAAGUGGAUGUUAGUGGAGUUAAGAUUGACAAGAUUCAAAGGAAGUUUAUGUUAUUCCUUGUCUUUGUUGUGGUUAAUAUUAUCGUUAUUCAUUAUAAAAAAAAAUAUUGUUGCUCCUGAAGAGGGUCUUUGUUGGUUGAUAUUGUUAUUGUUGUUCAUUGUCAAAAAAAAAUUAUAUAUCCAUGAAGAGGGUCUUUGCUUUGCUGUGGUUGAUAUUGUUAUUGUCCAUUGUAGAAAAGAAAAUUUGUUGUUGUUCCCAAAGAGGGUCUUUGCUGAUUGAUAUUGUUGUUGUUGUUGUUCAUUGUAAAAAAAAAAUUAUAUAUCCUUGAAGAGGUCUUUGUUGUGGUUGAUAUUGUUGUUUGUUGUUCAUUGUCAAAAAAAAAAAUUAUUCUUGAUUUACUUUUUAAAUUUUUUUAUUCAUUUUCUCAAUUAAAAUUUUUCAUUUUGUUUAGGAUUAAUUUUGUAACUUUUACAAAUUGUUGAAGAUAUUUAAAUAAAAAUUAAAAAUUCAUUAUGCUUGUGUAAUGUGAAUUUAUAGUUAAAACUUUAAAUUUAUAAUUGAAAAUUUAAUUUAAAUUAAAAAUUUAUUGUAUUUGUGUAUUAGAAUUUCUGUAAUUUAUAAAAAAAAAUAUUUAAUUAAAUUUAUUUUAAUAUUUAAUUUCUUGUGUAGCAUUUUAAAAAUAACAUAAAAUUUAAUGUAAUACUUAAAAAUGACUUGGCGGCUGAUGUGGCAGCAGACGUGGUAGACGUGUAAGCUGACAUGAUAGCUGAUGUGGCGAGAGUGUGUUACACUCACCAAAAAGUGUUUAAAAUGUUGUUUUUUAGUGGGUUUAGGAGUCCAAAUGACAAAAAUGUAAGUAGAAGUGUCCAACUUACAAAAGCGACAUAGUACAGGGGUUCAUCAAACCAUUUUGCCUUUCUAAUUUUCUUCAAACUUCACUUUCAUAGAUGCUAAUUGAUAAUUAUAAUAGCUACCUAUUGAGUUUCGUUGUUUAUUUUUUUUCAUUCGAGGGAAAACAUUGUCAUCUCCAUCUUGAGUAAGUUGGGACUAAGCAUUUCGUUGAUCGGAGCUCUGUUAUCUGAAAAACGAGAAGAUGAGGAAAGGGGCUGAGGGUGGUGAAACAGUUUGCGGUUAUUGUGGAGUUCGGUGGUGGUUUGUAACUUGAAUUUCUGCUUCAAUAUAUGUCACACACACAUUUACUAGUUAAGUGUUUGUGCGUUGCACAUGGAUAUCACGUUAAUUAAUAGUAAAUAUAUACAAAACAUAAAUUAUUAUGUGUAUGUUAUAUUUUUAAGUAUAAAACUUUAAAUAAGUCACUAAUACACUAUUAAAUCAACAUGUUAAUAGUAGAAAAAAGUAAACAUCAAACAAUUUUUAAAGGCUAAACCCAUCGGUGGUCCCCUAAACUUGGCACGAUCUUUCACUUAGGCACCCUAAGUGGACGUUGUUCACUUUUCACACCUCAAAUAGCAUACGCGGAUGUUAUUUUGACACGUUUUGCUUAAUCAGCAAUAUUAUACUGUGUGCGUGUAUUACACGCGCCGAUGAAGUGUAAAGUGACCAAUAAUAUCAUAACAUUUAUCAUUUUUCUUCAAAUUAAAUGUUAAAUAUCUAUUUUUAAUUUAAAAAAAAAACAAUCAAAUAUUGCCACUCGGCAAUUUUUAACUUAAAUAAUUAUAAAAAAAAUUAUAAAAUUUAAUUUCCUCCACCCCACUAAUCCUCAUCGUCUUCUACAACCUACCUCACCCCUUCACCACCUGCCCACUCCCCCCCUUCCCCAUUCAUCUUCUCCAACCCGCCCACCCGCUCUCUACCUCUUUUGUUCUCCUCCUUCUCCUCCAUUUUUUUAAGUCUCCUUCAUAUUUUUUUUUAGUUAUAUAUCUGAAAUUCAGAAAGCUAUUAACUGAACAUUGGCCUCCUCGAUCAUCAAAUGAUUGAAAUUCGUGAAGCUUUUAAUGCGGAUUUACUUUUCUGGAAAAUCCAACCUCCAUUAAUGGAGGUUAAGCUUAAAAAGGCAAGGUAAAGUAUGGAAAAAUGAGUAAUCUUCCGGUGAUUUUAUAAAGAAGAAGUUGUUAAUGGUAGUUUGGUGGUUUUAUUGAAGAGAGAAUUCAUUAAUAUCAAAAAUUGAAAUUAAUGGUGAAGAAAAUGAAUUCUUCAACAACGAAAGUUUGUGAAGGAAAAAAAUGGUGGAAAAGGGAGAAAGAAUGAGAAAAUAUUUGUUGUAUUUGGCCUGUUCUGUUUUUAAUUAAUUGUUGACAUUCUUUUUGGGGUGUUAAUGAUGUCAUUGAUUAAUGAAAGGAGUAUUAUUUGGUGUUUAUGAUGUGUAUUGUUGUUAUAGAUAUGUUCAUGGAGUGAGUAUUUUGUUAAUGGAGUAAAAUUUUGUUAUCAUUCUUGAAAAGUUCAACCUCCAUUAAACUCCAUUAAUGGAAGCUAAAGAAAGUUGUGUGGAGAAAACAACUCCAAAAUAAUGAAAAUACCCCUCAAAAAUUACGAAAAUGCCGCUGAAACGCGUCUAAAAGCAAGUGUAAUACACUCUCUUUGCUGAAUCAGCAAAAGGUGCCAAAAUGACACAGUUUAUAGCUACUUGAGGUGUCAAAAGUGAACAACGUCCACUUGAGGUAUCUAAGUGAAAGAUCGUGCCAAGUUUAGAGUGCCGCCGAUGGGUUUGACCAUUUUUAAACCAUCUCUAAGAUAGAAAAUGAGAGCAUAUUGCCAUUGGUAUCCUACUACCAUGGAGUUUAAGUUUUAUGUAUUCUCAUAGGCUAAAUUAUUUGUACCAUAGCUCUACUACAAUCAAAAUUAUUUUCUACUUGUCUCUCAACAUCGAUCAUUGCCAAAACAAUGCCUCAUAUUGCUCUAUUUUACCGUCUGUAGGUUUUGAAUUCUAAUAAUUAUUGCCUCAAAUAACUCUAAUACUAAUUUAAUAGAUGCACAUCAUCAACGUAUUAUAUUUCCAACGUAGGUUCACAGUUAUCUUAGUUUUUAGAUUUAUAAUCAACAUUUGAGUAUCAGUAGCAAAAAAUAAAAGUUGAAUUGUGAAAAUUGCUCAAAUUAUUUAGAAAUUACAUAAAAAAGUCUUAUAAAUCACAAUAAUAUCACAUAAUUUUAGAAUUUUUUUCACAUUAACCAAAUAGAAUAUGAAUUUGAAAAAAAUGACGUAGGCUGAAAAUUUCAUAUUUAGCUAGAAGAAUAAAAAAAGAAACCAUGUCAUACAAAAAUUCCAAAAUAUAUUCAAACUAAAAUAUUGAUUGAAUUGAAAGUUCACUAUAAGCUAAAAUUGAAAUAUUAAUACAAUUAAUAUAAAAUAUUUUAAUUAUUUACAUUGGUAGUAAUCUCAAAAUUUUUCUAUUUCUUCUUUUUCUUUAAUCAACGACAGUGUUACAUUAAAUGUUGAAUCAAGUAUGUUUACUUUUUAACAAAAAACUUAGAGUUAAUACAUAAAAAUAACCAUAAACUUGACACUAAAUUAUAACUUUGACCUUAAACUUUGAUAGUGUACAAAUAGGACCUUUAACUAUUCAAAACCUGAAUAAAUAUGACCUCCGAUUUUGCAAUCCCAUGCGUGAGUCUCACUCGUGUCUACGUGGAAAGGUAAUCCAAUCACACGGUGUCACGUCGUUAAAAGGGAUGACUUGGAGAGAGGUCAUAUUUGUGCAGAUUUGAAUAGUUAAAGGUCAUAUUUGUACACUGUCAAAGUUUUACUUUUUGUGUUAAAACGACGUCGUUUUUAUUAUUAUUAUUAUUAUUAUUAUUAUNNNNNNNNNNNNNNNNNNNNNNNNNNNNNNNNNNNNNNNNNNNNNNNNNNNNNNNNNNNNNNNNNNNNNNNNNNNNNNNNNNNNNNNNNNNNNNNNNNNNNNNNNNNNNNNNNNNNNNNNNNNNNNNNNNNNNNNNNNNNNNNNNNNNNNNNNNNNNNNNNNNNNNNNNNNNNNNNNNNNNNNNNNNNNNNNNNNNNNNNNNNNNNNNNNNNNNNNNNNNNNNNNNNNNNNNNNNNNNNNNNNNNNNNNNNNNNNNNNNNNNNNNNNNNNNNNNNNNNNNNNNNNNNNNNNNNNNNNNNNNNNNNNNNNNNNNNNNNNNNNNNNNNNNNNNNNNNNNNNNNNNNNNNNNNNNNNNNNNNNNNNNNNNNNNNNNNNNNNNNNNNNNNNNNNNNNNNNNNNNNNNNNNNNNNNNNNNNNNNNNNNNNNNNNNNNNNNNNNNNNNNNNNNNNNNNNNNNNNNNNNNNNNNNNNNNNNNNNNNNNNNNNNNNNNNNNNNNNNNNNNNNNNNNNNNNNNNNNNNNNNNNNNNNNNNNNNNNNNNNNNNNNNNNNNNNNNNNNAAUUUUUUUAUUAUUAGUAUAGUUUCAUCUUUAAUUUAAUAUUUAAAUAAAUAAUAUUUAGAUAUAUUAUAUAACUUAAAUUCGUCCUCUGCUUUAUAAUAUAUAUACAUACCCGCUCGAUUUUUUCAUAUGAGGCUGACCCGCCUAAUUAAUAAAUCUUCAAUAUUGCUCUUUUUCCGCAAUGACAAAAGAAAUUAGAUGUCAUUUUCAUCUUUGAGCCAAAAAUAAUGAAAAAAUAAUAAUGAAGAGUCAUUUAAAAGUCAUAUUUAUGCAGUUUUGAAUAGUUAAAGGACAUAUUUGUGCACUGUCAAAGUUUAAGGUCAUAUUUAUGUAUUAUGCCCUUAGAUUUUAAGCUGGACGCGCCCAUUUUACGUGUUGAGCACGCGUUUUGCCACGUAGGAUUAGAAGUCAUAUUUGUGCAGUUUUGAAUAGUUAAAGGUCAUAUUUUUGCACUGUCAAAGUUUAAGAUCAAAAUUAUAAUUUGGUGUUAAGUUUAGGAUAUUUUUUAUGUGUUAACUCAAAAACUUAUUCUAUUUCUUUUUUUUUUUAAAUCAAUGACAGUGUUACAUCACAUGUUAAAUCACGUAGGUUUACUUUUUAACAAUGUUGAAUCCUAAGGGUAAUUAUUGUUGUUGACAAUUUUUUUCGUCCAUAUCUUUUCCAACAAUAGGCAUCAUCAGGUAUAUCAAGCAGACUUCUUGUUUGAAAAGCAAAUCUGGGCUUCUUAAUUUUCGUAUGAUCUCCCUUCAUAACAUUUCUAUUUCUUUUCUUUUCUAUUACAGAGAAGAGGUGGUUCCAACCACCUCUCAUGCAAUUACCAAAAUAUCUUUUCGCUCUCACUUAAUUAUAUACCAUGUUCCAAAUAUAUAAUAAUUUUAUUGUUUUAUCAUAAUGGUUUAAAUAUUUAAUAUAUUCUAUUAAUUUAUAUUAAUUAACUAUAACUACAUAUUGGAAGUAAAUUUUUUUUAUUGAUUUAAUUGGCUAUCAUGUUCAAAACUAAUUUGUUACCAUGAAUCACAAUAAUUAAUAAUUUAAAAUAUUUAAAAGUCAUAUAAAAAUUUUAUUGCCUCUCAUUAUUUUAGCAAUGCCACAUAAAUCGAGAUAAAUGAAAAAGUACUGCAAAUCAUAAUAAUUAACAACUUAAAAUAUUUAAAAGAUAUANNNNNNNNNNNNNNNNNNNNNNNNNNNNNNNNNNNNNNNNNNNNNNNNNNNNNNNNNNNNNNNNNNNNNNNNNNNNNNNNNNNNNNNNNNNNNNNNNNNNNNNNNNNNNNNNNNNNNNNNNNNNNNNNNNNNNNNNNNNNNNNNNNNNNNNNNNNNNNNNNNNNNNNNNNNNNNNNNNNNNNNNNNNNNNNNNNNNNNNNNNNNNNNNNNNNNNNNNNNNNNNNNNNNNNNNNNNNNNNNNNNNNNNNNNNNNNNNNNNNNNNNNNNNNNNNNNNNNNNNNNNNNNNNNNNNNNNNNNNNNNNNNNNNNNNNNNNNNNNNNNNNNNNNNNNNNNNNNNNNNNNNNNNNNNNNNNNNNNNNNNNNNNNNNNNNNNNNNNNNNNNNNNNNNNNNNNNNNNNNNNNNNNNNNNNNNNNNNNNNNNNNNNNNNNNNNNNNNNNNNNNNNNNNNNNNNNNNNNNNNNNNNNNNNNNNNNNNNNNNNNNNNNNNNNNNNNNNNNNNNNNNNNNNNNNNNNNNNNNNNNNNNNNNNNNNNNNNNNNNNNNNNNNNNNNNNNNNNNNNNNNNNNNNNNNNNNNNNNNNNNNNNNNNNNNNNNNNNNNNNNNNNNNNNNNNNNNNNNNNNNNNNNNNNNNNNNNNNNNNNNNNNNNNNNNNNNNNNNNNNNNNNNNNNNNNNNNNNNNNNNNNNNNNNNNNNNNNNNNNNNNNNNNNNNNNNNNNNNNNNNNNNNNNNNNNNNNNNNNNNNNNNNNNNNNNNNNNNNNNNNNNNNNNNNNNNNNNNNNNNNNNNNNNNNNNNNNNNNNNNNNNNNNNNNNNNNNNNNNNNNNNNNNNNNNNNNNNNNGUCUUUCGAACGAUGAUUUUACUAUAUCACUCCUUAUUAUAAAUCAUUUAUGUAUUAGAAAAAUAAGAAUAACAAAAUGAUAUGUCAACAUAAAAUAUUUGAUUGACUAUCAAAAUUAUAUUAGUGCCACAUAAUUUGGGACGGGACAGAAAAAGAUAUAAAAAACCAUAUAUUAUUUGAAAAUGAAAUUAAAAGUACUGUAAAUGACAAUAAUUAACAAUUUUUUUAAAAAAAAUUGACUGAUUUCUGCUGCUUCAAUCGUGAUUUUAAUGUAUCACCCGCAAUUAAUUAUUAUAAGUCACUUAUGUAUUGAAAAUUAAUAAUAUUGAAUCCAUGAUUUUACUNNNNNNNNNNNNNNNNNNNNNNNNNNNNNNNNNNNNNNNNNNNNNNNNNNNNNNNNNNNNNNNNNNNNNNNNNNNNNNNNNNNNNNNNNNNNNNNNNNNNNNNNNNNNNNNNNNNNNNNNNNNNNNNNNNNNNNNNNNNNNNNNNNNNNNNNNNNNNNNNNNNNNNNNNNNNNNNNNNNNNNNNNNNNNNNNNNNNNNNNNNNNNNNNNNNNNNNNNNNNNNNNNNNNNNNNNNNNNNNNNNNNNNNNNNNNNNNNNNNNNNNNNNNNNNNNNNNNNNNNNNNNNNNNNNNNNNNNNNNNNNNNNNNNNNNNNNNNNNNNNNNNNNNNNNNNNNNNNNNNNNNNNNNNNNNNNNNNNNNNNNNNNNNNNNNNNNNNNNNNNNNNNNNNNNNNNNNNNNNNNNNNNNNNNNNNNNNNNNNNNNNNNNNNNNNNNNNNNNNNNNNNNNNNNNNNNNNNNNNNNNNNNNNNNNNNNNNNNNNNNNNNNNNNNNNNNNNNNNNNNNNNNNNNNNNNNNNNNNNNNNNNNNNNNNNNNNNNNNNNNNNNNNNNNNNNNNNNNNNNNNNNNNNNNNNNNNNNNNNNNNNNNNNNNNNNNNNNNNNNNNNNNNNNNNNNNNNNNNNNNNNNNNNNNNNNNNNNNNNNNNNNNNNNNNNNNNNNNNNNNNNNNNNNNNNNNNNNNNNNNNNNNNNNNNNNNNNNNNNNNNNNNNNNNNNNNNNNNNNNNNNNNNNNNNNNNNNNNNNNNNNNNNNNNNNNNNNNNNNNNNNNNNNNNNNNNNNNNNNNNNNNNNNNNNNNNNNNNNNNNNNNNNNNNNNNNNNNNNNNNNNNNNNNNNNNNNAUUGAAAAGAAAUAAAUAUCUUAAUGUUGGGCCCAUGCUGACACGAGUCAUGCUCCUCUAAUAUAUAUAUAUAUAUAUAUAUGAAAGGGCCCAUUUAUGGGCCAAUAUUAUAUUCUUAAUAUUGUAGGUUUUAAUUAUUUUUUAAGUAAAUAAAUUAUUUUUUUGAUAGAAUAGGUAAAUGAAUUAAUCAUCAAUAUUCCAUAUAAAUGUGAUAGAAAAUUAUAACAUGAAUCACAUCAAUUGUCCUUUUAUUUUUAUAAAAUUAUACAAUAAUUUACAACUUAUCAAAGUUACGACAAUUAACAUUAAAAGAGUGUGGAGUGGCUUGAUUAUGUGUACAAAAUGAUAAUGAAUAAGGUGUGUUAGUAUUGCUGGAUUAGUUAUAUUGAAAUAGUUAUGCUGAUAUUAUUUAUAGAUACGUAAUUUCGUCCUUUCACAAAUUUUAUCGUUUACCUCAUUUUACUACGUACCUUAUCCGCGUAGUAAUUUUUUUUCUCCAAGAAAAUAAAUAACCACCUCAUUUUUUUACUCAUUUAUUUAUUUGUUUUUGUUUUGUUUUUAUCCCAUUUAACAAACCUAACUAAUUUUGUCUUAUUUUAAAGAUUCCAACAACUCACCCUAUUAAAAAUUGACAACACAUCCUAACCCCUACCCCUCCUACCCCCACCUCACGUGACCCAUCCCCCCUCUCUUGUUUUACUUGUCAACAAAGAAAGGACCCAAGGAACUUUCCAGGAAAUUCCCUAGGGGGAUGGACCCACAAGUCUCCUCACACAUUUUUCUUUCCUUUUGAAAUAUAUACACACACAGUGCACGAGAAAGGGGGAAUUUUUUUAUCAUCCAUUCAUAUCACAAAGAGGGGCCCACAAUAACCAAAAGGAGGCCAUUUUUAUUUUUGACAUCAUCUUCUUCUUCACUAAAAAAAAAUUUCCAAGAAGAAUAGAAAAUCACACUGCAAAAAUAUUCUCCAUGGUUUUGUUAAAACACACAUACACCUAGUAAACACACUCAAUGGCACACACGUAGAAACAAAAAGGUUGAGAGUGAGAGAUUGUGCGAGAAAAUAGAUCGAAGAUAACUAAAAAUGGAGAGAUUCAGUCUUUCUCUAAGAUUUUUUCGGCUAAACUUUCACCGGAGUUGAUUUUGGUUCAUCAUCUGGCCAACCCAAUUUAAGAGGUAUCGAAAUUUCUUUAUUUUUCUUUGAUUUCUAGGUAGAAUUAGUUGAAAAAUACUAAGAUUCGAUGGAAAACAGAACCAGUAGUUUUGUUUAUUGGUCUUUGAUUUCUAGGUAGAAUUGGUUGAAAUCAGUUCUAUUUCAGAUCAUCUUUGCGAUUUGUUUCCUCUUGGGCUGGUUUAUGUCGUUGUUAUUUAGUUUUGGGUCUCAUCGGUCACCAACUUCCGCUACUGAUUGGAGAAUUUAAGUCUCGCUCAUCCUGAUUUGUUCAUCCGACUAGUUUUGGAGUUUCAAAUUUCAAUACCGAGUUUGGAGUUGGUUUAUUCGUCGUUGGGGUUCUUGUUUGAGGAUUUCGAUCUCGAAUUUCUUUAUUAUUAUCAACGAAAACAAGUGCUAUUGAGGUCCAUUUCCUUAAUCCGCUCUCUUUUUAUUUAUUUUGGUUUGUUGAAUUGACUCUGAUUAUGUGUGAUGUGAUUAUGUUUUGUUGGAUUUUUGUUAUGUUGAUGUUAUGAUCAUGAUGCUUGGUGAUACGAUUGUGGUGGUUUGAGGAAUAAAUUUGAUCAUGUUUUAAUGGAUUGAUAAAAAAAAAGUUGGGGGUGAGGAUUGAAAAUUAACAAAAAGGAUAGAUUCGGUUUAAUUUUGAUUUAUUGAUUGAUUUGAAUCAUGAUAGAUUUAUGAUGUAUUGAAACGGAUAGGCAAUAUAGGUUCGGGUAGGCAAAUUUUAGAACUUGUUGUUUUGAUUGAAUAUUGGAAUGUACGUGUGAAUGUUUCUUUCUAGUUCAUCCUAUUUAAUUCAAAUGGAUUCAUUUAGCCGGGGAAUGCUCCGAGAAACCUUGUAUUUACUCACCAGGGAAUUUCCCGACGUAUUAUGUUGGUGAAAGACGUUUAUGAUGAAGGUCCGAGGCAUCGGGUAGAGCGCGGGAGCGUAGUUAGGGUUAGUGUAGGUUAGAUAGGAUUUAUUUUUGCAUUUUUAUUUAUUUUGGACUGCAUAAUUAGGCUGAACACUAUAUUUUGGAUUUAUUUUGUUUCGUGUGUUUGGAUGUUUGUUUAUGUGGUUUAUACGUCCUUAGUGUCAAAAUUAGCCGAUACGCUUCACCAAGCGAUCAUGGUCAAACCACGAGAACGAGGGGUUCCUAACACCUUCCCCUCGGUCAAUAGAAUUCCUAGUCGGAAUCUCUAUUCACAGAUCAGUUUUACAGAGUCAAAAAUUAUUUUGAAAAGGAUUUUCCAAAGGUGACUUGGCACACCGUAUUAUGCCAAGUGGUGACUUUGAGUUUUGAAUAUAAAAGACCCUUUUUGAAACAAAUUUUCAUCUUUUAUCACUUUGAUAAUAAAAACCCUUUCAAACUUAAAAAUGAUCUUUUUGGUGGUAAAAAAGGGGUGUGACAGCUCUGGCGACUCUGCUGGGGAUUUUUCAAAAUUCGAGCUAAUUUUUGGAGUUGUAUCGGCUUUGUUUAACAUUAUGGGGGUAUAGAUAUUGAUUGUGUCAUUUUUUAUUUAUUUUAUCAUUGUUGAGUGCCUACGUGCUCUUUGUUUAUAGUUUUUAUCCUAUGUGUUAGCAUUUUAUAUCUGUCAUCAUGGGCAUAACCCGAGUCAUUCUUUCUGCAACAAGACCGUAGUACACGUGUUGUACACAACCUAUAGUUGAGUCACCCUUAUCUUAGGUGGGGGAGCCGUCGGUGUUAUGGAUUUGGUGGAAAGCUCUCGCAGCCACUAUUGACCAUACGCUUCCCCGAACAGCCUUGUUAGUGAACCCAACGUAGGUCAGCCCUUAGGUCAUGCUUAUCUGCAUCAUAUUGAGACCUAGCAGGACCCACUUGGUCCUUUGUAGGAGACUCACCUCUAAAACAUCCUUACGUGCUAAAUGUCGCAUCUCUGAGGGUAACGUGGUCAUUUGAUGGACUGAUUUAGGGAAAAACAUAUGCUAGAAGUAAAGUGUGUAGACAAGAAAUGUGAAAAAUUGAAAAAAAAAAAGAGAAGCGUUUUGUAGUUUUUAGUGUUCUUUAUGACUUGAUUUUUACAAUUCAAAAAUUCAAAAAUAUUUUUUACCUUUGGCACUCAUUUAUAAAAAAAAAAAAUCUAAAGCUUUUUACUUUGUCCCCUUUAGCAUGCAUUCAUAAUUCAAAAACUUUAAAAAAGUUUUUUUAAUAGAAGCCUUUUAUAAUUCAAAAAAUAUGGUAGAAGUUUUGUACAUUUCAUAUAUCAUAUAACAAAAAUACCAAAAGAUUUUUCCUUCAUAUUUGUUGGUGUCAAUUUUGUUUGGAGUGUCUAGUUAAAAACCCCAAAAAAGAUUUUAUUCGUCAAUCUUUGGUUAUGUCUCUUAAGUUAGGGUGCAAUCUAUUAUUUAAUCGUUAAUUGUCCAAUUUGGAUGAACUACGCAUACCUGAUUUCCAUCCCUCGGGGUGGGAUACGUAGGCAACCCUCGGUGGGUCCGGUAAUCUCUUUAUUUUUUGAUCUUUGUCUCGAUUUUAGCCUAGGUUCUAUCUCUGCAUAAUCUAUUAUCGUUAACCGAUCCUUGCCAAGUAGGCUGAUUUUAUUCGGCGAUACUGUUCGGUGAUUUGGAGUCAUAAGUGGUCUGUCCCUUCGACGUAUGUCUGUGUCAAAUUUCCAAGGGUUGGGAAUCUUUUUCUCUAAUUGAAUUGCUUGUUAAGUUAAUGUCCUAUGUGUUAUUUCAGGAUGGACCCAACCACGAGGUAUAGAGUUCGGAUGGUUUCCAAGGUCCCUAAAAAGUUAGUCAAGUGGUGGGGUACGUUCAACUACGCUAAGAAGCACGAGCUAAAGAUAGUGUUAGGUAAUCUUACAGCCCUCCUGCGUCUCGCUCCCCGUCCAGAUCUGAUAGAGGCGGUGUCGAAUUUUUGGGAUCCUAGUAGUUUGGUGUUUAGGUUUGGAAAAUGUGAAAUGAUGCCUACUCUAGCAGAAAUAUAUGGUCUGUGUCAGUUGUCUUAUAUCCGUCUAAAGAUGAUCCGAGCCCGCAAUCAUACUAGCUCAAGAUUUCUUCAGCGUUGUGGUUUAAAGAGUAAGAAUAUGCAUUUGGGAUUCCUUAAUCAAUCAUGGAUUUCCCUAGACUACUUGUUCGCUUGAUUCGGAUCAUUGGGAGGUUUUGAUUAUUUUUGGGAUGAGUUUCAUAUAACUAGGAAGAAAUGGGAAAGAAAAUGUCUUGAAAUCUUCGCUCUCGCUUUGUUAGGCACUUUAGUGUUUCCACGAGACGAAAGACGUAUUAACACUUGGUUGCAAUCUGUAGUGAUGUCCUUAUUUCAUAAGGAUCAAGAGAGCAAGGUUACUCUAGUGCCUAUGAUUUUAGUAGAGAUAUAUAAGUCCCUAACUGAAAUAAAAGGGAGGAUGUGGUUCUUCGAAGGAAGUAAUCUAGUGUUGCAACUAUGGAUGAUGGAGCAUUUGCAUGCUCCGUCUUUGAUAAAAUCAGAUGUCAUUGAUCGUUGCUUCUCUGAUCGAGUGAAAGCCAUGGAAGAAAGAAUGCGCUUUGAUAAAUUCUCAUUGCCAGUGGGAGUCGAGGCUUGGAUUGAAUUUCUUGAAUAAUGAACAAAUGACAAUGUUCUGUGGACCUAUUUUUGGCUUCACCCGAAAACAAUCUUGGUCGAAUGUAGCAUGCGAAUCCUGCUUGUUUUGUUGGGACUUAAUUGUACUCGACGAUACACCCCUUUGAGAGUAAUGCGUCAGUUGGGUAGACUGCAAGAUGUUCCACUGGUAAUGGACCUCCAAAAGGAUGUUGGGUAUUUUAGAGACCAAGCAAAGGAUGAGAUUAAAUACGACCAGUUCUGUGAUAAUGCAACGUAGCAGGGCGUGAAUACCCUCAAGGAAGCUUUAGAUAAUCCAGGAUACACUUCAAGAUAUGGAAUCUGGCUAUAAUCCAUUCCUCGGGGUGUCAUUACGCCAUUAACAGCACAACUUAGAGGGAGAAUACAAGAAGAAUGUAUAGUCUACCGCCAGGAUGAAAGUGCGGGGGCCAAAGUGGAAGAAUUGAGAGCUCAGUUAGCAGGUUUGCUCACAACUGUAGAAGGGUAUCAGAACAGUCUUUUCAGGUGUACUCCCCAUGAGGCCACAAUAUGUAGUAGGAGCUUUCUUCCAAAUAUAAAGGUGUUAUUUCAGGGUAUGUUGCAAAAUUUGACUGGUAAGACGAGAACUUCACAGAUGGGUCCAUCUCAGCCAGGGAUAUCACAGAGAGCACCAGUUUGAAGGUGCACUUCUUAUCUUUAUUUAGUUUGAGUCAUUUAUUUUCUGUCAUUGUAUUGACGAGUCUUUGUUAAGUUCAUGUCAAGUUUGUUUUAACAUUAUGGCCUUUAUUAGGAAUGUCUCGCUUUUCGUUUUAUGGGUCUAGAGUGUUGUUUGGUAUUUGGUGAUUGAUUUAAGUUGUCUUAAUCUGUUUAGUUAUCUCUCUUAUGAAUAUGUCGUGAUGUGGAAUGGUCCUAUCAUUUUGUUUGCUAAGCUUUACAAAAAAUAAAAUAAAAUUGGAAAAUAAAAAAUCUUCAAUUUCGUGAUAUUUAUGCAUAUGUUGCCCGAACUACGCAAGAUCUAAUUCAUGUACAACAUGAUACGUAGGCAACCUACUUUUGGGUUUGAUCUAAUCAUUUUGUUUCUUUGAUUUUCCCCAAUUUUCCUCUUUUAGAGAAAAACAAAAGCCAUAAAGAAUUAUAAAAGGAAAUGAGAUUGCGAGAGCAGGAAAGAAAGAAAGAGCAAUAAGAAAAGAAAAAAGAACGAAAAGAGAUUAAUGCAAAGAAGAGAGAAGUAAAGGUGAAAAGCAGAAAGAACGAGGUGUGAUAAUGUAAUGGGGAAAUCGGGAUGAUGUUAAAAUGGUGCCAUUAUCCUCAAAUGCAGGUAGAAGUGUGCAUAAACCUAGGAUGUAUACAAUGUGAUUUCAAUGCUUGUUGCCUGACCUAAAUCUAAUGGGUUUUGUGUUUGAUGAGCAUGUUCUUUCAGAUAAGUGGUUGGUUUGUAGCACUCUUGCUAGUCAUCCGUACUUCACUAGAUCAAAAGCGAAGCUUGCCAUGGCUAGUAGGGAGAUUGAAAAUUCACUCAUUGACCCAGAUCAGGAUCCCAGAGAAGAAAGUUCAGAACGCAAUGAUGAGGUAUUGAGACUUAGACAACAAUUGAUAGAUCUGCACCGAGCAUGGGCUAGUGGCAUGCCUCCUCCUCCACUCCUGAAGAUCUUGGGAAUAUCCCCAAUUGCCCACCGCUCUCUCAGGCAUAAUUCUCUGUUCCCAUUGAGUCAUCGAAACACGCACCAGGAUUCACUUCACGACAAUAUUACCCUGGCACUUCUAGUGUGCUCCUAGCAGUUCCUCAACCAAGGCCCGUGACUCAGCCGGCGCCACCGGCAGUGCUUGUGUUCGUGGCUCCGCCACCACUUGAAACUCCCAUAUAUGUUGUACGUCCGAUAAUGGUGCUUCCUCGGUCUGCCAGUGAGCCAGUAUUAAAGGUUUCAGAUAGUUAGUAUUAUGCCCCGGAGCCUACUUUGAGAAUGAAUGAACCGUAUGGGUACGCUCAGCCACCUGCAUUUCCAUUUAAUACGGAUAAACCUGUCGCAACAGAGGAAUAAGAGGUCAUAGCACGAAAAUUGAAAAGUUUAAAAUAGGUCAUGAGGAAUCUGCAGGGAACCGGAGGUUAUAAGUGUUUCCUAUAAAGAUCUUUGCAUGUUCCCAGACGUCAACCUUCCCCUCGAUUUUAAAAUGCCCAAGUUCGAGAAGUAAGCUGGGCACGGUGAUCCCGUGGCACACUUGAGAUGUUAUUGCAAUUAAUUGAGGGCUACAGCGAGAAAGAAAAAGUUACUUAUGGCUUUCUUUGGCGAGAGUCUUUCCGAUCUGGCUUCAGAAUGGUUUGUCGAUCAAGAUAUCGACAAGUGGAACAGCUGGGAUGACUUAGCUUCCAAGUUUGUGCAACAUUUUUAGUAUAACGUCGACCUGAUUCCUAAAGAAAAAUCCUUGGUUAACAUAAAUAAGAAAAGCACUGAAGGCUCUAGGGAAUACGCAAUAAGGUGGCGUGAAUAGGCCACCAGGGUGAAGCCUUCAAUGAAGAAGAGUAAGCUGGUAGAGGUCUUCAUUCAGGCACAGGAUGAGACCUAUUUUCAACAUUUACUUCCGACAAUGGGAAAGUCUUUUAUUGAAGUCCUCAAAAGGGAGAGAUGAUAGAGGACAAAAUUAAGACCAGAAGAAUAGUGAGUUUUGUUGCGUUAAAAGCCACCACACAAUUGAUUCAAGGUGGAUCUGGCGCGUUCGAAGGUAAAAAAAAGAAAGAGGACGUGGUGACCAUUGUUGUUGGACCCUAUUCCUAUCCCAAAAGACCGUCUCGCCCUUAUCCCCAAUCCCAAGCCCAAGCCUAUGUCAAAGCUCCAUAUAUUCCUCCCCACCAUUACUAACCUCCGCAAAAUCCACCAUAUGUCAUUCCACUCCCUCCUUACCCAGUAUAUAGCGCACAACAAUAUGCCCAAACCUCUUCUUACCCGUAAUGGCGUGCGCAAGCUCCAUAAAAUCGUCCAUCAGCUCCACAAAAUUACCAAAACCCCUCCAUACCCGAUUUCCAACCCAGGCCUGAGUACAAGAAAGAGAAGGCGAUCAAAAAUUAGUUCACGCCUCUCAGGGAGACAUAUGUUAGCUUGUUUGAUAGGUUGAGAAAGAUAAAGGUCUUAAGCCCGAUUCAAGGAAGGCUUUCAAAUCCACCUCCGAGGAAUCUCAAUUAUUCUUUAAGGUAUGCAUAUUGUUCUGACAUGCUAGGCCACGAUAUCGAGAAAUGCUGGUAUUUAAAGAGAGCUAUCCAAGAUUUAGUCGAUGCAAAUCAGAUUUUGGUCCAGAACUUGGAGGUUCCAAACAUUCACCAGAAUUCGUUGCCAACCCAUGCUGAAACUAAUAUGUUAAAAUUAAUAUAUGAUGGGAAAGAUUCAUCAAGGUGUUAUAAGCCUAUUGUCAGAAUACAGACCAAUGAAGAUAAAUCAGUGAAUGUGGACGACUCACUAAAAGCAAUAUCAUUGAACUAGGAAGAAAUGGGAGAAGAUAAAUUCUAAGAGAACGAAAAAAAACCCGUGAUCAUAGUAUAAGGCGCCAGAAAAGAUGUCGGUUUAAGUCAGGACAAACCUAAGUUGACGGUGGUAGGAGCUUCGGGUAAGCCUAUUUUGACGGUGAAAGGGGCAUUUGCAGCACCUAUUAUCUCAAACCAGUGAUCCAACCUCCGAUAGUUGAUAUGAAAAAGGUUCCCUGGAACUAUAAGCAGACUGUGAUGACCUAUCAGGGGAAGGAAAUAGUAGAAGAUAUAGAUGAGGUAGGGGGUUUGACUCGGUCAGAAAGAUGCUUCAUGCCUGAAAGUUUGAGGAAGUCCAAGACGAUUGGGAGUGGACCUUCAUCUAUCAAAAAGACUGUCACUGAAGAAGAAGGCAAAGAAUUUUUGAAAAAGAUAAAAUUGUCGGAGUAUUCAAUAAUAGAUCAGUCGAAGAAGACCCCUGCUCAAAUUUCCCUCUUAUUGUUGUUGUUGCAUUCCAAGGAACAUCAUGAUAUUAUAUUGAAGGUAUUAAAUGAAACAUAUGUUCCUAAGGAGGUUACAGUAAAUCAGCGUGAGAAAAUGGUCAAAAAAAUCUUUGAGGUCAAUCGGAUCAGCUUCUCUAAUGACGAAUUGCCAAUUGAAGGUACAGGGCAUAAUCGGUGGCUUUAUAUUACCGUGAAGUGUGAAGAUUUCUACGUCACUCAUGCCAUGAUUGACGGAGGUUCUGAAGCAAAUAUUUGCCCUAUUUCCACCUUACAAAAGUUGAACAUUGGUGUUGAGAGGAUCAGGCCCAAUAAUGUAUGUGUCAGGGUUUUCAAUGGAACAAAGUCCAACUCCAUUGGCGAAAUAAAACUAAUGUUGAUUAUAGGGCCUAUUGAAUUCACCCUAGAGUUUCAAGUAUUGAAUAUCAAAUUUUCUUACAAUUUAUUGUUGGGAAGACCAUGGAUCCACAAGGCCAAGGCGGUUGCAUCUAUAUUGCACCAGAUGAUCAAGUUUGAGCAUGACAGGCAAGAAGUGGUUAUUCAUGGUGAAGAGGAUUUGUCCGCCUACGAAGAUUCUCCCUUUUCUCUAAUUGAAGCAAACAAUGUAGAGGAGAAAUUUAUCUAUCAAACUUUUGAUACAGUGCCAGUAGAUCGUAUCCUUUAAAGACAGGUUGUUUCGGGACCACAAUUGUCUUCUGCUUCUAUCAUGAUGGUGAGUGAGCUUUUGAAAUAUGGAUUUAUGCCAGGGAAGGGUUUGGGAGUGUCUCUUCACUUUUUAUCUGGGAUUAGAACCUAUGGCUGAAGAUUUGAAGAAGUCUAAGGGAAGGAAAAAGGAAACAUGGUAACUCCCUCGCCCAAUGCCUCUACUCAGUGAAUCGUUUGUCAAGAGCGAUGUCACAAAACCUGUAGAAUUUGAAGCUAAAUUAGAUGAUGACUUCCAGAACCUGCUGAUUGAUGUUGACAUGGUUAAAGUAGGAGAGGGUACCAGUAAGGCAGACGUGCAGUUCAUAGGUCCUAAAGUCCAGCUCAACAAUUAAGAAGUCACUUCUCUCCCCAUUAGGAGGGAGUUUUGGUAGUUUAUUUUGUUUUUCUUUUUAUUUAUCUGAGUUAUUCCAGGGAUGUAAUUCAGAAUUUAGCUUGUUUACAUUCUGUUGUCAUUUGUGUUUAAACCCUCCUAUCUUUCCCUUUAAAUAAAAUACAAUGUCCCCUUAUUUUGUGUCUAAUAUACUUUGUUUUUGUCUUUUUCUUUAUACAACUCUCUUUAUGCUAAUUCUAAUGACAUGACAUGCAUGUAAAAAUUUUAGCCUGAUCUUAAAAUCCAAACUAAUCAAGAUAUAAUAAAGCAAGAGGGCGAAUAUGAUGAAGAAGAGGCAUUAGAAAAAAUAAGCAAAGAGUUAGAACAGUUUGAAGACAAGCAGAAUCCUAAUUUGAAUGAAACUGAGCCAAUUAAUCUAGGGAAUCAAGAAGAUGUUAGGGAAACUAAAAUUAGUGUACAUGCUUUACCACAGCUAAAAGAUGGAAUGAUUCAAGCAUUAAUUGAUUAUAAGGAUGUUUUUGCAUGGUUUUGUGAUGAUAUACAUAUUUAAGCACUGAAUUAGUUGCCCAUAAAUUGCCAGCUGAUCCCGCAUUCACCUCUGUCAAACAGAAGUUGGGGAAGUUUAAGACUGACCUAAGUAUCAAAAUCAAAGAGGAAAUUAUGAAACAACUUGAAGCCAAAGUCAUUCGAGUGUCCCGUUAUACCACAUGGUUAUCCAAUGUUGUUCUUGUCCCAAAGAAAGAUGGCAAAAUUUGAGUAUGUGUUGAUUACCUUGAUUUGAACAGAGCAAGUCCGAAGGAUGAUUUUCCGCUGCCCAACAUCCAUAUUUUGCUGGACCAUUGCGCUAAACAUGAGGUAGGUUUUUUUGUAGAUUGCUAUGUCGGAUACCACCAAAUCAUUAUGGAUGAGAAAGACGAGGAAAAAUGUAUUUUAUCACACCAUGAGGGACUUAUUGUUAUCGAGUGAUGCCAUUUGGUUUGAAGAAUGCUAGAGCAACAUACAUGAGAGUCAUGACCACCAUGUUUCAUGAUAUGAUGCAUAAGGAGAUUGAAGUCUAUAUAGAUGAAGUGAUUAUUAAAUCAAAGAGUCAGACUGACUAUGUUAAAGCUUUAAGAAAGUUCUUUGGGAGGCUUUGCAGGUAUAAUCUCAAGCUCAAUCCGGCAAAAUAUGUAUUUGGAGUUCCGUAUGGAAAGCUGUUGGGGUUUAUAGUCAACUAUCGAGGAAUUGAGUUGGAUCCUUCAAAAAUCAAAGCCAUCCAGGAUUUGCCUCCACCCAAGAAUUGGAUGGAGGUGAUGAGUUUUCUGGAUAGAUUGAACUACGUCAGUAGGUUCAUUGCUCAACUCACAACCACUUGCGAGCCCCUUUAAGUUGCCGAAGAAGAAUGCUGCGGUUGAGUGGACUGAAGAAUGCCAGAAAGUGUUUGAUAAAAUCAAAAGAUAUUUGUUAAAUCCGCCCGUGUUGGUACCAUCGGAGCCUGGUAGGCCUUUGAUCUUAUAUUUAUCAAUCAUGGACAAUUCCUUCUAUUGUGUCUUGGGUCAACAUGAUGUCACGGGCAAAAGGGAGCAAGCUAUUUAUUACCUUAGUAAGAAGUUCACAGCAUAUGAAGCCAAGUACGCACUUCUUGAAAGGACGUGUUAUGCCCUGAAUUGGGUAGCACAGAAGUUGAAGCAUUAUUUUUCGUCCUAUACUACUUAUCUCAUCUCCCGCAUGGAUCCACUGAAGUAUAUAUUUCAGAAGCCUAUGCCAACGGGUUGAUUGGCAAAGUGGCAAAUAUUGCUUACCGAGUUCGACAUUAUAUAUGUGACUCGAACCACCAUGAAUGCCCAAGCCUUAGCAGAUCAUCUUGCUGAGAAUCCCAUUGAUUAAGAGUAUGAGCCAUUAAAGACAUUUUCCUGAUGAAGUGGUAUUGUGUGUCGAUGAAGUCAUUAUAGAUGUUGAUCCAGAUUAGAAGCUGUUAUUUGAUGAAGCUGUCAAUAUGAAAGGAGUCGGAGUAGGUACAGUUCUUAUCUUUGAGGUGGGGAAAUAUUUUCUGGUGACAGCACAACUUCAAUUUUAUUGUACCAAUAACAUGGAAGAAUAUGAAGCUUGUAUUCUGGGUUUGAGGCUAGCUGUUGAUAUGGGAGUCCAGGAACUAUUAGUGUUGGGGGAUUUAGAUUUGCUCGUCCAUCAGAUUUAAGGUGAUUGGGAGAUGCGAGAUUUAAAGCUAAUACCGUAUCGACAAUGGUUGAAAAAUAUGUCAACAAUUUGAAUUCACAAUGAGAUUGCUGAUACGUUGGACACUUUGUCUUCGAUGCUCCAAUAUUCUGAUAAGGUCUACAUCGAUCCAGUGCAUAUAAAGAGUCGUGAUCAAUAUGCUUAUUGUAGUGCCAUUGAAGAAGAUCUCGAUGGCGAACCUUGGUUCUUUGAUAUCAAGCAGUACAUCCAGUCAGGAGAACACCCAGCACGUGCCACCAAUGAUCAAAAGAGGACUAUUAGGCAUUUGGCUAGUGGAUUUUUCUUGAGCGGGGGAGUCUUAUACAAGAGAACCCCGGAUCUGGGACUUUUGAGGUAGGUUGAUGCAAAAGAAGCUUCGGCAAUCAUGGUUGAAGUUCACUCCGGAGUAUGCAGGCCUCAUAUGAACGGUUAUGUCUUGUCAAAGAAGAUUCUCAGAGCAGGUUAUUAUUGGCUUACUAUGAAGAGGGAUUCUAUUUGAUUUGUUCGAAAGUGUCAUAAAUGUCAGGUACACGGUGAUUUGAUACAUUCACCUUCUGCUGAGUUACACACAAUGGCUGCUCUUUGGCCUUUCGUAGCCUGGGAAAUGGACGUGAUGGGACCGAUUGAGCCAAAAGCAUCAAAUGGGCAUAGAUUUAUUCUGGUGGCCAUUUAUUACUUCACAAAGUGGGUGGAAGCAGUAAUUUUCAAGUCAGUGACAAAAAAAGUGAUAGUAGAUUUUGUUCAUGCCAGCAUCAUUCAUAGGUUUGGAAUUCCUAAGAUGAUCAUUACAGACAAUGCUGCCAAUCUCAAUAGUCAUUUAAUGUAAGAAGUGUGUCAACAGUUUAAGAUCACACAUCGAAAUUCCACUCCAUAUCGUCCAAAGGCUAAUGGCGCUGUGAAAGCCGCCAAUAAGAAUAUCAAGAAGAUACUGCAGAAAAUGGUACAAGGGUCUAGACAAUGGCAUGAGAAGUUGCCAUUUGCAUUGCUAGGUUAUUGCACUACUGUUCGCACUUCAACAGGUGCAACUCCAUAUUUAUUGGUGUAUGAGACAGAAGUAGUCAUCCCUGCAGAAGUUGAUAUUCCUUCUCUUCGAGUCAUUGUGGAAGCAGAGAUUGAUGAUGACGAGUGGGUCAAAACCCAACUAGAAUAAUUGAGUUUGAUUGAGGAAAAAAGGCUAACGUCGGUAUGUUAUGGCCAAUUAUAUCAGAAGAGAAUGGCUCGAGCGUAUAACAAAAAGGUACGACCAAGGCAUUUUGAAGUUGGUCAGUUGGUAUUGAAGUGUAUCCUUCCUCACCAGGUUGAAGCUAAAGGCAAGUUCUCCCCAAACUGGCACGUCCCUUCAUUGUGAAGAAAGUGUUGCCCAAUGGAGCCUUAUAUUUGAAAGAUAUUGAAGGCAAAAUGGCAGAAAUGGCUAUCAAUAUUGAUGCGGUCAAAAGAUAUUAUGUAUGAUAUUUUAUACUUUGUUGAUUUUAUUGCUUGUUAAGUACUUGCAUUUUUUAAGAUUGAUAUGAUGAAGACAUUUUAUUCUUCUAUCCAAACAUUGUGUCAUCCUUUGUUUACCCAUUUGAGCUUAGUUUUAUUUUUCUUUCAUAUCCUUUUUUUAGAAUCAAAAUGGAGUCAAAGAUAAAUGUCAGAGAAAUAAGAAUAAAAGAAAGAGUUAGAAAAUAAAAGAAAAAAAAAGAAGAAAAAAAAUCAAAUCAAAACAAAGAACAAGAUGAUGGAACUAUGUGCGACCUGAUUCUCCUCUCUCGAGGGUGAGAUAAGUAGGUUGCCCUAUUCGGGCUCGGUCUAACCAAAUAAAUUUUUUGAGUCACCCAGUCAAUAAAAAACUGGGGCAUGAGUUGAUGUGUUGUUUAAGUUGAUUCCAUAAGUUGUAAGUCCCACCCCCACUUCAAGUGUCGUUUGAGCCUCUUGCCAUCCUUUUCUAACAUUAUCCAAAAGCCAAGUUACAACCAAAGAAAGUUCUUUAGAUCAAUUUUUGAUAAUGUUAAGGCUAAGCAUGCAAUGGAUAUGAUGAUACAUCGUGGGGUACUACUUGUUUUCCUCAACAUAAGAAAUUAGGAAAGAAAUGAAAAUGAGAGUCUUAUUGGUGAAAACCCUCGUGAGCACCAUAAGGCGAUGAUGAGUUGAAAGAAAUAAAAAUGAGACAGUCUUACUGGUGAAAACCCUUACGGUCACCAUAAGGCGAUGGAGAGUUGAGAGAAAUAAAAUGAGCGAUUCUUAUUGGUGAAAACCCUCAUAGGCACCGUAAGGCGAUGACGAGUUUGAAAGAAAGGUGAAAAAAAAAAGAUUUAUUGGCGAAAAUCUUUCAAGAUGUCGUCAAUUGAAUGAGAUAUAUGAGUCCAAUGGAUUGGAAGAAGCAGCAGCGGCGAAGGCCCGAACUCAACAACAAAUGGGAAGUUUGGAUAGGAAGAUCAGGCAGCUUAAUCCAAAAUGCAUAUCGUAGUCAUUGGAGUUGGUUGUCAUCUUCAGAUAAGUUUUCUUCUUUGUUAAAAAGAGGGACAUUGCCUUUUUUUUUAUUUACAUAUUCAUGCUUUUGUCUUUUUAUGUCAUUUAUCAAAAUAAAAGUCACCAUCAUUUCUUUAUAUUGUAAGUCAAGUCUGUGUCAAAACAAGCGAGAAAGGAUUUCAAAACUUGCUAUCAGUCUUUCCAAUUGUAUGAGGAGAAGCCAAGAACCAGCACAUGAAAGAAAUAUGAUAGUAAUUCAACACAAAACAAAGGAAGUCUAUCAACCGACCGGCUGCUGGGUUUGUGGGAGCAUUCAGAUUUGGAAAAAGGGUGCAUCUCGGAGGCAUGGUAAAAUGGAAAUUCAUUGUUUGGGUCAAAACUCAUUUCCCCCAAUCUGGUCUGGGUCAAUGAUGUAGCAAGACAGGGGCAAGUAUCAGUAAUCAAAAACAAAGACGAAAGAAAUAAAUGCUGGAGCGUAUGCCUGGAAAGCCAAGUGCUGGAAGCCACCACUAAGUUUUAACUGACAAAUUUUUCUUUGAUGAAAUAGGGGCAAAGUUUCUGUUCAGUAAGUUCAGCUACCGUUGGGAAGUAUGAUCGGGGACUUUACUUUCUGUUCAGGACCCUCUUGAAAAAAUGGGAUUUUACUUUCUGUUCAAGACCCUCCUGAAAAAUGGGAUUUAACUUUCUGUUCAGAACUCUCCUGAAAAAUGGAAAUUUACUUUAUGUUCAGGACCCUCCUAAAAAAUUGGAAUUUACUUUAUGUUCAGGACCCUCCUGAAAAAUGGGAUUUAACUUUCUGUUCAGAACUCUCCUGAAAAAUGGAAAUUUACUUUAUGUUCAGGAUCCUCCUGAAAAAUAGGAAUUUACUUCAUGUUCAGGACCCUCCUGAAAUAAUGGGAUUUUACUUUCUGUUCAGGACCCUCCUGAAGAUGGGACUUUACUUUCUGUUCAGGACCCUCUUGAAAAAUGGGACUUUACUUUCUGUUCAGGACCUUUCUGAAAAAUGGGAAUUUACUUUAUGUUCAGGACCCUCCUGAAAAAUAGAAAUUUACUUUAUGUUCAGGAUCCUCCUGAAAAAUAGGAAUUUACUUGAAAAAUGGGAUUUUACUUUCUGUUAGGACCCUCUUGAAAAAUGGAAAUUUACUUUAUGUUCAAGACUCUCCUGAAAAAUGAGAAUUUACUUUAUGAGAAUUUACUUCAUGUUCAGAACCCUCCUGAAAAAUAAGACUUUAUUUUAUGUUCAGGACCUUCCUGAAAAAUGAGAAUUUACUUUCUGUUCAGGACCCUCCUGAAAAAGGAGAAUUUACUUUAUAUUUAGGACCCUCCUGGAAAAUGGGAAUUUACUUUAUGUUUAGGACNNNNNNNNNNNNNNNNNNNNNNNNNNNNNNNNNNNNNNNNNNNNNNNNNNNNNNNNNNNNNNNNNNNNNNNNNNNNNNNNNNNNNNNNNNNNNNNNNNNNNNNNNNNNNNNNNNNNNNNNNNNNNNNNNNNNNNNNNNNNNNNNNNNNNNNNNNNNNNNNNNNNNNNNNNNNNNNNNNNNNNNNNNNNNNNNAAAUUUACUUUAUGUUCAGGACCCUCCUGAAAAAUGGGAUUUUACUUUAUGUUCAGGACCCUCCUGAAAAAUGGAAAUUUACUUUAUGUUCAGGACCCUCCUGGAAAAUGGGACAUUACUUUCAGAAAAAAUGAAGUCUUUCUUUAUCUUAAUCUUUGUUAGGGAUAAUUUUUUUUCUAGUGUUUAUAUUGAUAGCAGGAGCCCGCCUGGAGAACAGAAUGAUGAAUCUGUAAGUCAGGAGCCUACCUGAAGAACAGGGUGAUGAAAUGGGAAAUUAAAGAAACUGCAAGUCAGGAAUUCGCUUGAAGAACAGGGUGAUAAAAUUGAAGGAUAAAAAUGGCAAGUCAGAAGCCCGCCUGAAGAGCAAGGCGAAUAAAUGAAAGUCGAGCAACGAAGUGAAGCAAUGGAAAACCAAGCAACAAGUUGAAAGAAAUUGUAAGUUAGGAACCCGCCUGAAGAAUAGGGUGAUAAAACUCAAGUCAAGAGUCAAGGAAAGCUGCAUAGAUAGGAUUUUGUAAUUUCAUUUAUGUUUUAACUUGUAAUUCUCAUUUUUGAUGUAAUGACAGAGCCGCGGACCGGAACCUCGAUGGAACCUCACUCGACUCUCCAACUCGGUAUAGUCCAUCUCUUUCCAAUCCUUUGAUAUACCUAUCACUUGAUUACCUCAUAACUUGGGUAGGUAGGAUAUCCGCCAAGACUCGGUUGUCUUUCUUUCUUUUGUUUCUUUCUUCGAAUAAUGAUCGGGAUAAAAUUCUAUCUCGUUGUCUAUUUCUUUGUAUGGAAACACUGGGUGUUUACAUUCAAAGGAGGCAUGAUCUAGACACGUAAUUUUGUCCCUUCACAAAUUUUAUCGUUUACCUCAUUUUACUACGUACCCUAUCCACGUAGUAAUUUUUUUUUCUCCAAGAAAAUAAAUAACCACCUCAUUUUUUACUCAUUUAUUUAUUUGUUUUUGUUUUGUUUUUAUCCCAUUUAACAAACCUAACUAAUUUUGUCUUAUUUUAAAGAUUCCUACAACUCACCCUAUUAAAAAUUGACAACACAUCCUAACCCCUACCCCUCCUACCCCAACCUCACGUGACCCCUCCCCCCUCUCUUGUUUUGCUUGUCAACAAAGAAAGGACCCAAGGAACUUUCCAGGAAAUUCCCUAUGGGGAUGAACCCACAAGUCUCCUCAAACAUUUCUCUUUCCUUUUUAAAUAUAUACACACAGUGCACGAGGAAGGGGGAGAUUUUUUUUAUCAUCCAUUCACAUCACAAAGAGGGGCCCACAAUAACCAAAAGGAGGCCAUUUUUAUUUGUCAUCAUCUUCUUCUUCACUAAAAAAAAUUCCCAAGAAGAAUAGAAAACCACACUGUAAAAAUAUUCUCCAUGGUUUUGUUUAGUUCUAAAACAUACAUACACCUGGUAAACACACUCAAUGGCACACACGUAGAAAUAGAGAGGUCGAGAGUGAGAGAUUGUGCGAGAAAAUAGGAGACAGCUAAAAAUGGAGAGAUUCCAUCUUUCUCUGAGCUUUUUCCGGCUAAACUUUCAUUUAAGUUGAUUUUGGUUCAUCAUCUGGCCAACCCAAUUCAAGAGGUUUCAAAAUUUCUUUAUUUUUCUUUGAUUUCUAGGUAGAAUUGGAUGAAAAACACUACGAUUCGAUGGAAAACAGAACCAGUAACAAUUUUUGUUGUUGAAAUCAGUUCUAUUUCAGAUCAUCUUUGUGAUUUGUUCACUCUUGGACUGGUUUAUAUUGUUAUUAUUUGGUUUUGGGUCUCAUCGUUCACUGGCUUCUGCUACUGAUUGGAGAAUUUAAGUCUCGUUCGUCCUGAUUUGUUCAUCUCGACUAAUUUUGGGGUUUCAAAUUUCAAUACCUAGUUUGGAGUUGGUUCGUUCGUCGUUGGGGUUCUUGUUUGAGGAUUUCGAUCUCGGAUUUCUUUAUUAUUAUCAAUGAAAAUAAGGGCUAUUGAGGUCCAUUCCUUAAUCCGCUCCCUUUUUGUUGAUUUUGGUUUGUUGAAUUGACUCUGAUUAUGUGUGAUGUGAUUAUGUUUUGUUGGAUUUUUGUUACGUUGAUGUUAUGAUCAUGAUGCUUGGUGAUUCGGUUGUGGUGGUUUGAGGAAUAAAUUUGAUCAUGUUUUAAUGGAUUGAUAAAAAAAAAGUUGGGGGUGAGGAUUGAAAAAUAACAAAAAGGAUAGAUUCGGUUUAAUUUUGAUUUAUUGAUUGAUUUGAAUCGUGAUAGAUUUAUGAUGUGUUGAAAUGGAUAGACAAUAUAGGUUCGGGUAGGCAAAUUUUAGAACUUGUUGUUUUGAUUGAAUGUUGGAAUGUACGUGUGAACGUUUCUUUCUAGUUCAUCGUAUUUAAUUCAAAUGUAUUCAUUUAGCCGGGGAAUGCCCCGAGAGACCUUGUAUUUACUCACCAGGGAAUUUCCCGACGUAUUAUGUUGGCGGAAGACGUUUAUGAUGAAGGCCUGGGACAUUAGUUAAAGCGCGGGAUCGUAGUUAGGGUUAGUGUAGGUUAGAUAGGAUUUAUUUUUGCAUUUUUAUUUAUUUUGGACUGUAAUUGGACUGAACACUAUAUUUUGAAUUUAUUUUGUUUCGUGUGUUUGGAUGCUUGUUUAUGUGGUUUAUACGUUUUUAGUGUCAAAAUUAGCCGAUACGCUUCACCAACCGAUCGUGGUCAAACCACGGGACAGAGGGGUGCCUAACACCUUCCCCUCGGUCAACAGAAUUCCUUAGCGGAAUCUCUGUUCGCAGAUCAGUUUUUACAGAGUCAAAAAUUAUUUUGAAAAGAAUUUUCCAAAGGUAACUUGGGACACCGGAUUAUGCCAAGUGGCGACUCUGAGUUUUGAAUAAAAAAGACCCUUUUUGAAACAAAUUUUCAUCUUUUGUCACUUUGAUAAUAAAAACCCUUUCAAACUUAAAAAUGAAUCUUUUUGGUGGUAAAAAAAGGGUGUGACAUUAUUUACGAUCAACUGUUGGCUUUUUGUAUUAAGGAAUCGUGAGUGUAUAAGAAUAGUAAUGAAUUAAUGUAUUAAUACUGUCGGAAUUAGUUAUGCUAAAAUUAUUUUCUAUUCACUUUUUGAUUUGAUAUAUUAAGAGAAAUUCUACUGUUACUUUUCCUUGUCUAUGUAUUCAUUCCAUAUAUUGUUGAUAUCAUGGUUCACUAUGUAUUAGUUAUGUAUUCUAUAAUAUAUAAUAUGAUGUAUAUAAUAUAUACAUUGAUUAAUACAUCUUACACGACAAUCCUUAAAUGAAUAUGAAUGGUAAUGAAUAAGGUGUAUUAGAAAAAAAAUAGUACCAUAUAUUGUUAGCAAUGAUUUACUAUGCAAUAGUUAUAUAUAAGUUGAAAAUGCUGUCAUAUAAAAAAUUAAAUAAUAUCAAAUCUAAUACAUAUAUUAUUUCCUCUAUUGCCUCAUAGCAAACGAUUCUGUAUAUGUUUAAUACCAAUUUCAACAUUAUGUCAAAAUAUAUAUCAAAUUAAACAACUGAUUUAAGUAUUAUUAUUUUUAUACUGUAUCUAAAAAUUCUACAAUCAAAUAGAUUACCCUGAUAAGUGUAUUUUAUUUUAUCAACUUUUAUAAAAUUAGACGAUGCUAAAAAGCAUAUCAAUUUAUCUCUAAACUAAUAUUGAAUAAAUUUCUCUUGCAAGUAUUCGGCCAGUAAAAAUAAUCACCUCUUUGAUGAGAGUUAAAAUGAACUACAUUAUUUUUAUAAAUUGAUAAAAAAAAUGAGAAAAAAAAAUUUAUGUACUUUUGUUAGGGUUUUUUUCCUGAUUUUCUUACCAAAAUUAAGUUUUACUUUUUCUUGAAAGAAAAAUAAAGGUAACCAUAAAUACUUUUAAAAGAAAAAUAUAAAUUUUUUUCAUAUUUGGCAAACCUCUUCCUUGGAGGAAAGAUUUUGGACAUCUAUAAACAGAAAACUCUCUUCUCAUACCAUAACAUAAUAACAUCCACAAUAUAGUCUUUAAAGAGUCUUUGUUUAGGGAGAGAUUUCUCUCAAUAAGUUUUAGGUUUUUCAAUUUUAUUUUAUAAUAUGUAGAUCAAUUGACCAAAACAUAUAAUAAUUUUGUGCCUUUUUAGUAUUGUUUUCUUUGUCGUCUGAUUUAUUGUCUCAAGGUUUGCAAACUUUAAGCUUCCGCAUGUCGUCCUCUUGAUUUCGAACCCAACAAGUGGUAUCAAAGCCUACGGUUCAAAGAUCCAAUGAUUUGGUGAAACGAGAUUAAACAGGUACAAAGCGGUUUCAAAUCAAGUUGCAACCAGUUUAGCGAUAAUGACGUUUUUGUCCAACUACAUGUGGAGAAGAUAUUUCAAUCAUAUUUUCAACAAUCCUGUUGUCACAUCUUUAAAAAUAAAACUCUCUUUUAACCCUAUAAAUAGCUCCAAUAUUUUUAACUCAAAAGGGCUCAUAUAUUUUUAACCCAAAAGGGCUCCAUUUUUAAGCAUGACAAUUAGCAGAGAUAUAUGAAGAUUAUGUGAAGAAUAAUCAUGCAUGUGAUGUGAAGAAGGCGGAUAAGUAAAGAAAAUCAAGCCAAACAAGAGGAGAUUUGUUAGGGUUUUUUCCCUGAUUUUCUUACCAAAAUUAAGUUUUACUUUUUCUUGGAAAGGAAAAAAAAUAACCAUAAAUACUGUUACUUUUACUGAAAAAAUAAUAUAAAACUUUUUCAUAUUUGGCAAACCUCUUCCUCCUUGGAGGAAAGGUUUUGGACAUCUAUAAAUAGAAGACCCUUCUCAUACCAUAACAUGAUAGCAUGCACAAUGUAGUCUUUAAAUAGUUUUUGUUUAGGGAGAGGUUUCUCUCAAUAAGUUUUAGAUUUUUCAAUUUUAUUUUAUAAUAUGUAGGCUAAUUGGUCAAAACACAUAAUAAUUUUAUGUUUUUUAGUAUUAUUUUUACUUGUCAUCUGAUUUAUUGUCUCAAGGUUUGCAAACUUUAAGCCUCCGCAUGACGUUCUCGAUUUCGAACCCAACAACUUUAUGUUUUAUACGCAGUAAAAUCAAGGAAACAAUUUAGUACAGCAAGCAAAUAGAGCUGCCACAGAGAGAUUUGUAUACAUAAUAAGAUGAUAUACAACCUCAAAAUAAAGAACCAGAGAACAUAAAAAAAUGACGUGAUAUCCUUAUUAAUUCAAAAAUAAGAUAAUUAAAAUUAUAUUUUUGAGAUAACUUGUUUAAAGAGAAAUUAUUAACUGAUGUGAAAAUAAUAAAUAUUUGAACGUUAAUCCACAUAAAUUAUACAUAACCUAUUUUUUUUUUCAGAUAUAAAAAUAUAUAGUCUUGAAUUAGUGACAUAAUUAUUCAUAUUUUAAUUUUCAUAAUGAAACAAUCUAUAGUGUUAAAAUUAAUGACAUAAUUAUUUGUAUGUUUAUUUUUAUCAAUAAAAAAUGUAGCCUUAAAUUAUAGUAUAUGAGUAAAUAAAAUAAAAUAAUAUAUUUUUAAGGACACAAUCGAUUUGUAUUUAUGCAUAUGGAUAUCUCGUAUAUUAAUUUUCAUGGUGAAACAAUUUAAAUUUUUUAAAUGAUAAUAGAUGGAAAUUACUCAUGAAAAUCAAAUACAAAAUAUAGAUAUUAAAUAAGUUUAUGUCAUAUAUAUUGAUAGUGUAAAAAAUGUUAUACUAUUAAGGUUUAUUUGUCAUUGUAGUGUAUUAUUUCUGUUAUACUUUUAAAAUUAUUUUUCAAUAUCUGAAAGUUUUUAUUUGAAAUUGAGUAUUUCUCUGUUUCAAUUUAUUUGUUUGAUUUUGACUUAGCAUGAAGUUUAACAAAGUAAAAAGUAAUUUUUAAUCUUAUGAUCUUAAAUUAAUACAUGUGGAAUGUGUCAGAAUAUAUUUUAAUCUUAUGAUUUUAAAAUGACAUGUGAAAAUUUAUAAUUCAAUAGUUAAAAAAGACAUUUUUUUGAAACAAACAUAAAAGAAAAGUAGAACAAAUAAAUUAAAUUUGUGGACUACCAUUUAAAUAUUUAUAAAUAUUAUUAUUAUUAUUUUAUUUCAAUAAUUAUUUUGUAGAGUAAUUAAAUAUAUAAAUAACAACUAAUUCUAUUUUUUUCUGGAUAUUUCAAUAAACAAAACUAAAAGUUUCAUCCUAUAAAAUGGAAUAGAAAUGAGUAAAAAAAAGUUUCAAGACAAAGUGCAAUUCCCUUAAAGAUUAGAAAAAAAGAUCAAACAUUAAUGAAUACUAACACAAAUCAAUUUUUAAGAAGAGUUGGUUGGGAAGAUGUGGGUCCACGCGAGAUAUCAUAUCAAUUGAGAUGUGACUGAUAUUUAGAAAAGAGGCUUGUUUUUGUUGUCAUUAAGAAUUUAUGGUCGAGCUUUGAAGCCUAAAGCAUAAGUAAGCAAGGUAGAACUUUUGUGAAAUGAUAAAUAUAUCCUUAGUCGUAUAUAUAUAUAUAUAUAUAUAUAUGUAUAGGUGCUAUGAAAGGAAGUAGCUUGCUAGAGUCGGAAUAUGGCUUCUCUGAUAAUUAGCCAUCGAUCAGCGCAAGUAGACAGCCAAACAAAAUCCUAACCUACAAACACGUCUAAUAUCUACAACAACAACAGCAGCAACAACAACAACAACAAUAACGAUGCAUGUGGAACUUACCCUUACCCUACCCUACUAUUACUAUUUUCAUGAGGUAAGAGAUUAUUUUUUAUGGAUCCUCGACUAUAAUAACAAUAAUCAUCAAAUCAAAAAAUAAAUUAAUAAACUUACCAUAAAAUCAUACUUAUUUGAGAUGACCAGAUACUAUAAAAAUAAAAUUAAAAAAAUCAAUAAAUUUGGAAUCAGAGAAAAAAAAAAUACAUAAGAAUAUUCAUGAAAAUAUACUACAAAGAAUAAAUAAAAAAUAAAGAUCUAACCUAAUCAAAUAUAUAAAUAAAGGACUCCAAGACAAUUUAUAACCUUUCAUUUUCCAAAAAUAAGGCACCUACGACAAUUUCUUUUGCCAAAAUACAAUUCUUUAUUUUUUUUCUAAAAAAAAAGAACUAAAGCAAUUUUGGUUAAAUUUGUUUUAAAAAAUAACUUGAUUCUUCUAUUUUGCUCAGAAAAAUAUUCUUAAUAUUAAUUCUUCUUUCAUAUAUUUAAAAUUCUUUUUUUAUUGAGUCUUUUUGUAAUUCUCCUAUUUUAGGAGUGUUUUUAUUCUAAUCGAAACUCUUUUCGAUUCUCCUAUUUUAGGAGUUGUUUCUAAUUGAUCAAGAAAACAUUAAUUAGUUCUUAUUUUCAUAUAUUUUUAGGACAGUAAAUAGAUAAUAAUUAUUUGAGAAUAUUAGUGAAAGGACGAUUUUGUCUAAAGCGGAGACUUUCAAUGAAGGACAAAAUAUUCGAAUAACCUUGUUAAGGAUCUUAAUACUUUUAAUAUAUUAUAAAUUAUAUAAUUAUUUAUACAAUAUCAAUACACGUGUACGCACCAUUUAUACGAUAUUGAUAUAAAUCUAUACACCAUUUAUACAAUAUCUAUAUACGUUUAUAAUACAACAUUUAUAUAAUAGCGAUAAAUUGUAUAAAUUUUAUACAAUAUUGAUACAUUACAUAUUACACUACAUAUACAUGCGACUAUUUUUUUUUGUGUCUAGUACAUUUUUUUGGCUAUAUUUUUUAGAGAGAAGUAUCAAUUACCCCCCUGAACUUGUCACGUUUUAUUCAUGGUACACCUGAACUUUGACUUGUCCUAAGUACCCCGCCCCUCAUCCCCGAACUUGUUGUUUUGCAACGUCGCGAGGUCCUUUUUUGCUGAUGGACUAGUGCGUGUAAACGACACGUUUACACAUGGAAAAAAGUGUUGAUGUGGCUGUCCACGUGGAUAAAUACGAUCCACUUCUCUUAUAUUUAUUCUAUAUUAAAAUAUAACUAACUUCUACCCUUAAUUAUCCUAUUUCUCUCUAAAAAAAUUAUAUUUUUUAGUUUUUUCUCUACUCCAAAAUAGUGAAAGGUUGAAUUUUCGUCGAUCUAGUAAGCUGUUAUUUAAAAAUUUAUAUUUUUUGGUGUGUGUUAAAAAUGUGAAAUUAUUUUUUCUAGUUAGUGUUUCAUAGUAGUCUUUGAUUAGUGUUUCAUUAGGAUUUUGAGGAGAUUCACCUGUACAAAUACGUUUCUUAUUAUAAUUAACGGAGUAAGAAAUUGCAAUUUAAGUUAGGGGUGUACAAAAAUCGAACCGAGAAAAAUGUUAUUGAUUUAUCGCUAUAGGGUUAACGAUUUUUUAAUGAUUUUAUAUAAAAAAAUAUUAUUGGGUUAUUGAUUCGAUUUUGAUUUUUCUUACUGGGUUAUUGGGUAAAUCGAUAACCCAAUAAGUUUAUGCUAAAUUAUUAUUUUAAGAAACUUAAUAUUUGAUACGGUAUUUGAGGAGAACCCCCCCCCCCCCCCCCAAAAAAAAAAAAAUUUAAUUACAAAAACAAUCCAUAUAUAUUAUGAUAUAAUCAAUUAAUCUCCAAAAAUUAACUAAUAAAAGGCCUAAACUCUUUGAAACUAAAAACUUCUAGCUUUAUUGAUAAAUAUAAAUCAAACACUUAAUUAUAUAUAGUCAUAACUAAUAUUCAUUGCAAAUAAAUUACCCAAAUUUGUGCAUGAUUUCCAACAAUUUUCAUUCCUUUCAAGCAUCAAAUAUUAAAAUAAUCAAUUCCUUUAAUAUUUUUGGAGUUUGAUGAUUUUUUUUUUAGAUUGGAAGUUAAAUAGGAAGAGGGAUAGUUGAAUUUUUUGAAAAAAUUAAAGAAAAAUAUUUUUUUCGUUUUUUAAACAUUGAAAAUGCUGAUUUGGCCAAAAAAUCACUCCAUCACGCUCGUGAUGGAGUGUGAAACCAAACAUUUUGCCAUGUCAGCAAAAAAUCGCCAUGCGACGUUGCGAAACAACAAGUUCGGGGGUACUUAGGACAAGUCAAAGUUCAGGUGUACCAUGAAUAAAACGUGAUAAGUUCAGGGGUAAUAGAUACUUUUCUCUAUUUUUUAUAAACUAAUUACUUUGUUGCAUAUAUUUAAAAAAAAUUAUUUAUUUUUUGUUUUUUUAUAUGUUGUUUAAUACUUGAAUUUUGAUUAAAUUUCAAUUCGUAUGUGUGUUGGAAGGCUCAUUUCAAUGCUCCUCAAUAAGAUUUUUUUUUCUAUUUUUAAGAACUCAAAUCCAAAAGCUGAUUAAGAAUGAAAAAAAAUUCAAACUCACUCACUAUAAAUCAUGUUGGUUCUAACUAAACAAUUAAAAAAUAUGAUUUCUAAUAAAAGAGAAGAAAAUAAGGACAAACAGCCCGAUCAAAGAAGGAUUCCAUCUUUCCAAUUUAAGAAAAGAAUUGAUAGACCCUUUUUUUACCUAAUUAAUUAUCAUUUGAAUAAAGUAAUUUUAUCCUCCAUCAAAGAUUGAUAUAAUACCCAAGCUGACAUCAAAUUUAACUCCAAUUGGCAAGUAGCUACUGUAAUUUUGAGAUCGCAUAAUUACCUCAACCUGACUCAAUUGACCACUAAACACUUUAGAACUUGACCCAGUUGACAAUUAAAUACUCCAGCUCAUUUUUAAUGUAGCUCGUGGACACUCAAUACUGACGUGACACACAAAUUCUAAAGGUAUCUAGAUAAUUAUUUUAUAAGUUAAGUAAUCUAUUGACACAGUAAAAGAUAAAUUAAGGUGUCUAAAUUUGCUUACUCAAAUCUGGAGCAAAUUUGAGUUUCUCUUAUAUAUUAUGCCUUAAAAGAUUACGUCUAAUCUUACUCACGCCAUCAUAGGAGAACUCAUUUUGAUCGUUGACUACUAAUUGAACUUCAAUUAGAGGAUACUUUAAAUCAUUGUAAAAAACUGAAUGGCAAAUUAAACCUUUUACCAUUGGAGAAUCUGAACAGAUGAAAUUCAUUCUUUUAAAGUUGUUGCUCAUUAAUGAUAAAGGCAGAUAGGAUAUUUUCAAGUUAAUAAAUGAUAUGAAUAAAUAAAAGUAUAAAUAACAUAAAUACCAACUCUUUUAGAAGUAAUUACACACUCUCCCACUUUUUUAAUUACUUUACUCUCUCUCCCUAUUAAUAUACAUAAUAUAGCCGAAUAUACAUAGCAUUCUGCGUAUAUGUUGGGAUUUUUGUAAUAUGUUUAGGGAGUAAGAAUUUUUUGUAAUAUUGAAAACAUAAGUUGUGUAUUUGUAUAAUUUUUAAUAAAUAAAAUAUCUAAUAAAAACAAGGGAAAAGACAUAGGUUUUUAUCUAGAAGUUCCUUGCUACCCUAUGUUUUCCUCUUUAAUUAGCUCUUAGAUGAUAUAGGUUUUCAUCAACCCCCUUUCUCUCGCAAUUAUUCUCCUAUGGCUCUUGCUGGCGUAUAAUCAUCUUCUCGAACAACCCUUCCAAAUAAAUUUAGACGAGAGGAAUUUCUAUUGGUAUUCCGUUCUUGUUUGAUGCAGUGCGAUGCUUCGAAGGCCUUCUCAGAGUCCAAUGCACACUUAAAGUUAAGUCCAAUCGCUAUUGGAUCUCUACAAUGACACCAAAUAUUGAUCCUUUUUCAAAACUUGACACAUAUAAAUGUGAGCAACAACCGUCAUUAGUUCGUAAUAGGGUAUCGACACCAUCUUUAUGGGCCCCUCGGCCUCAUCAAUUCGAACCUAUCAAACUAAACUGUACAAUGCAGGAUCUUGUUUGAAUGAUCAAUGCCUAAUCGGUUAAAAACUGUAUUCACAAAAUUAUUGUACUUUAUAUGUGUUGUCCCGAUGAUCUUAUUAGUAAUACAUCACUCCCACACAUGAAAGUGGAUCCAUCCAUCUGCACACACCUUAUUCUUCCUAGCCCAUCUAUGGCUUGAUUUGAAUAAACAAAUGACUAACUUGUUGCAACUGAUGACACAUCUGUUAAAAUUAUCAAAUAAUUAUAGACAUCUGUUUCGACAGAUGAUCAAUCUGUUGCAAUAUAUGACUUAUUUGUUGGAAAAAUCAAACAAAUAUAUCUAUAUGUUGCAACAGAUUGUCAAUAUAUUGUUAAUUUUCAAACAGAUAUAGUAUAUUUUGCAACAAAUUACCCAUUUAUCUGUUAGAUUUAUUUUAAUUUACAUAUUCAAAAAUUCACCAGUUUUAUUUAAUUAAGGGAUGUAUUUAUAUAUAACUCCACUUCUAGAUAUGGCUGGUCCGGAUUUGGUCAAGGUGAUUUUGCCGACUCUUGCAAGAACUUGAAAGCAGAUUCAUAAACUCAGGUAAGAUUUGGGCGACACGAGAGCAAGGCUGAGGAGGGCCCUGCUGCUACCGGAUAAUGAUGGGCCGGGUGACAAUAAUAAUAAUAAUAAUAAUUAGGUUAUGUUUUUUCUUUUACUAGUCAAAUAUACGUGCUUUGCACGUGUGCUUCAUGUCAAGUCAUAUGUAAGUAUUGAUAUCUUGAUCGUCUCCUAUGAUGUGAACUAUCACAUCACAGAUAAUAACAAAAACAACAGAUAGUAGUAGAUCAGAAACUAUAACAAAAUAAAUUAAUUAAAUCUAACCUUUACACAAAAAUUCCUCAAAGUCUGACCGAACAUUCAUCUACCACUAUAAACUCAAUAAAAUAAUUCAAUAAUCGAGAUAUCAUAACAAUGCGAUUAAAUUCUAACCUUAAGAAAAAUUCUAAAAGCCCGAUUACACGUUAAUCUAUCACUUGAAAAAACAAUAAAUAAUAACAGAACAGAAACUACUGUAUUGAAGAAUAUUACAACAAUAUCAUCAAACAUAAUCUUAACGCAAAAUUUUCAAAGUUCGACCAAACAUUCAUUUGCAACAUAAACUUGAACAUAACAGAAACUACAACAAAAUUAUACGAUAAUCAAAAUAUUAGAAUAAUACAAUUAAACCUAACCUUUUGUGAUUGUAGAUGACACCUUUAGAGCUCAUAAAAAAUCAGUUAUUAGAAUAUCUCCGCCAACAAAUUUUACAUUGUGGAUGUUAUUAUAUUAUUAUAGAGAAAAAGAAUUCUCCAAUACCUUUUCCUACAAAAAAGAAUCAUUUAAAUAUGAAAGAUUUUUAUUUUUAUGUUUCGAAAGGAAAAAAUUAAUUAUGGUAUCAAAUUAAAAUAUGGAAGUUUUUUUUUAUGCUGCGAAAUAAAAAAAAUUAAUUAUGGCAUUAAAUUAAUGAAAAAAAGAAUUCUCCAAUACAUUUUCCUAUAAAAAAAAAUUAUCUAAAUAUGAAAGAUUUUUAUUUUUAUGUUGCGAAAAGAAAAAAUAAUAAUUAUGGUAUCAAAUUAAUACUACAACACAACUUUAGAAAAUUAAAAAUUUUUUCCUCAAAAAUCUAAUAAUGUGUUUUCACUUUUUUCCCCUUAAAAAAUUAAAAAAACUUUUUUUUUUUUUUUUUUUGAAACUUUAGGGUAUUUUUUUGUUUUUAGAAAAUUUUUCAAAGGAUAUUUUUCUUUAACCAUAUGUUAUAGAAAUUAUUAAUUUAAAUAUUAUAAUAUAAUGAUAUAAUAAAUGAAGAAAAAUAGUAAAAAGACUAUUUUGUCUAAAAUAGAGACUUUUAAUGAAGGGAAAAAAGUUCAAAUCACUUUUUUAAGAGUCUUCACAUUUUUAAUAUAUUAUAGAUUAUAUGGAUUUACCCAAUGGUAUUUUUUUUAUUGUAUAUAUUUAUAUAUAAUGGAUUCAAAAAUCUAUGUUUGGUCGACUUUGGAUUUAUAAUUCUUAUUUAAUAUUUACUUUUUAUUCUGUCUAUUCCUUAUUCUCAACAUGUUGAUGGUUGGAGGUAGGGAUUGAGCGUUUGUGGCAACGGAUGAACCAUAUGUUGCAACAGACGAUUCUUAAUAAAAAAAAAAAGGUUAUUGUUGUUAUUAAGGGUGAACGUCAUGACUUUUUGAUUAUUUAAUAUGAAAAAUGAUUCAUAAAUAAAUGAUAAAAAAAUAAAUGAUAAACACAAUUUAUAACCGUAAUCGAACGGUUAUUUAAUUUUAAUAACUGACCGUGACUUUUCACCAUUUUUAUUUUUAUAUUAUUUAUUUAUUAUAUAAUAAAAGUCACAACAUUGGAUUAAGGGAUAUGAUGAUUGUUAAAAAAAGGUGAACAAUCGUGACUUUUUGUAAAAACUCACCAGCUUGAUUUAAUUAAGUCAUUUCUUUCACAGAAAACUAUACAAAAAUAAUUUAUAACUGCAAAAAAUAGUUAUUUAAUUUUAAUAAUUGAUGUUAAUAUAAAAUAAGCUACAAGUAGUGACUUUUCGUUAUUUUUAUUUUUAAAUCUGUUUCUUAAAUUUAUAUAAUUAAAAAUUUAGAUUAAUGAUAUAAUGACUAUUAAAAAAGACAGAUUACAUGUUGCAACAGAUAGAUUAUUUGAUGCAACAGGUUGUCGAUUUGUUGCAACAGAUGGUAUAUCUGUUGUCGCAGAUGGGUUAUUUGAUGCAACAAAUGGUAUAUCUGUUGUCGCAGAUGUGUUAUCUGAUGUAACAGAUAUAAAAUUUGUUGGCACAACUCAAUAAAAACGGUUAUUGAAAAGAACUAAUUACUAAUAAUAAUCUGAAAAGUCAUGACUUAUCACAAUAAUCAAAAAGUCAAUCAACAGCUUCAUUUAAUUAAGUCAUAACUUUUCAAAGUAAUUAAAAAGUCGCCAGUUUGUAUGUAAUUAAUAAAUGGAGGUGAAUAGUCGUGCAUUUUUGCCUAACUCAUUCAAAUUCAAUCCUCUAUAAAUAGGUCUCUCCUUACUCGUUCAUUCUACUAAAUUUAUUUCUUGCAUAUUGUCUUUCAUAUUACACCUUCAACCACUUUCUCUUCCCUAACUCAGGUAGGGUUUUUGCUUGCUUUUUGUGUAAAUACAUCCAAUUGGUAGUGUACGUUGUAUUACAUUCGGAUUCUUUUCUUUACUUUUGUUUUAACAUUUUUUGUCAAUUCAUUCGUGCUCUAGAUAUGGUUGAUCCAGUGUGGGAUGUUACUAGUUUACAAGACAUCGUACGGGAGCUUCAAACUCAGGUUCAUGAUGACCUUCAAUGGGAGUUGUCUGCAAUGAGAGCCAGAAUGCUUCGGGAGAUCCGCAGGCUGAGGAGGACACUGCUGAUGCCAGUAGAAGAUUGGCUGGCUGGCAAUAAUGAUGAUAAUAAUAAUUAGAUUUUUUUUUCUUUUAGCCUAUGUAUUUUUAUUUGUUUUUGUUUAAUUAAAAAAUUAUGUUUGAUCGACUUUGACAUUUUAAUUCUUAUUUAUUUUUCAUUCUGUCUAUUUCUUCUUCUCUACAAACAUGUCGAUGAUUAAGGAAUAAUUUGAAUCUAGUAGCAAUAGCAAGAGUUGAAACUUAAAACUUGACCCAAUGCAUACAUUAAUACUCAAGUAUAAACCUCUAUUAAAUCAUAUUAAUUAAGCACUUAGUAAAUUAUUAAAGUUGAUCAAUAAAAAUACGAAAAUAAAAACUAUAACAUACCCAGUAUAAUUCCAUAAGUGGGAUUUGGGGAGGGUGGUGUAUCCCCAGACCUUAACCCCUACCUCGUGAAGGCAAUUUUUUUAGCGUAUGUAUUUUUAUUAUUUUUGUUUAUUAAAAAAUUUAUGUUUGAUCGACUUCAACGUUUUAAUUCUUAUUUAAUUUUUAUUCUGUCUAUUUCUUAUUCUCAACAAACAUGUUGACGAUUAAGAAAUAAUUUGAAUCCAGUAUCAAUAGCAAGAGUUGAAACAUAUGGGUUAUCUGUUGGGUUUGUGGCAGGAGCUAUAUUGUGUUGUUCCAAACAGAUUACUCAUCUGUUGCAAUAGAAUAAAGAUCUGUUGCAAUAGAUAAAUAGUCUAUUGCAACAGAUAAAUAUUCUGUUGCAAUAGAUUUCUCAUUUGUUACAAUAAAUAAUUAUCUGUUAUAACAGAAUAAUUAUCUGUUACAACAGAAUAAUUGUCUGUUGCAACAGAUAAUACGUCUGUUGCAACAGAUUAACCAUUUGUUUGUUUCAUGUUACGGGCACUAAAGAACCAUAAAUAUGAAUUCAAUAUAUGAGUCUUCUGUUGCAACAAAAUAUGUAUAUGUUGCAACAAACUGAGUGAUUUGUUUAAAUUGUAGGCUCUUAUAUUGUAUUCAUGAACGGGUUCUAUCCAUUGUUGAAAAAAUAGCAGUAACAGUGUACCCAGAUGACAAAUUCAACUAAAAAUCAUAACUUUACUUACCAAAGUCACCUAUGAAGUAAUGCCAAAGUGCAAAGUGAUGUACGAAAUAAAAUUUCACCUAAAAAAUUGGUCAAGUAAAGUAGCAGCAGUAGCGGUAAAAACAACAACAAUGGCCGACAAGAAGAAGAUGAUGAUGAUAAUGAAGUAAAAGAUGAUGAUAAUGAAGCAGAAGUUGAUGAAUAAAGCAACAGCAAUAAUGAACAACAGAAAUCGCAAAGAGAGAGAAAACAACAAUGGACGAGAAGAAGAGAGAGAAACACUCCUUUUUUCCUCUGUUUCUCGUUAUAUUAACUAACAUUUAGAUCAACGUGUAAAUUUAAAAACUUAUGGGUUAUUUCAAAUUUUUUCAAAUUUCUUAAUCCAUAAUAAAGUAAUUGUCACCUCCACUCGAUUAUUAAGAUUUAAGUCACCUACACCACAUUUUCAAACUCUUUUGUCACUUUUAGCUCAAAGCCCCAUGUGUUAAGCUGGUGUAUUUUUUAAUUCAAUUAGUUAGUAGAAUAUUAUUUUAUUGUUAUCUAGUAAAAUGGAGGAAAACAUCCAAAAAGCAAAAAAAAAAAAAAAUCUUUUAGGCGAUAAAAAAAUAUUACAUCAGCUUAUUUAUAGAUGUUUAUAAGUAUUUAACUUUAAUUUGUUAAUAUUUUCAUAACUUUCAUCUUAUUUAAAAUCUAAACCUAAAUUUAAAAAAAAAAAUCAGAAAAAUACAAUAUUGGACUCGUUUGCCAUAAAUUCAUAAAAUCAGCUGGUAGAAAUCUUUCUUGCCUCUCUCUUUGUUUUACCUUAAAUACAUGAUGAUAGAAUAUUAUUGUUAAGAUGAUUAUUAUUAUGAUUAUAGAAAUUUAUUAUUAAAAAGAUCAAUAAAGAGGAGGAAAAGAUGAGGUGCAAUUAAAAGAAUUAACAAAGUAGUUUUUGAAAUUUUGCAAUGAAGCACAAAUCAAAUAGAAUAAAAUUUCACAAAAUGAAAAUUUAAAAAAAAAAUUAAAAAGGGGCAAAAAAUUCAAAAAAAUAUGAAUUUUUGGUCAAAGAACUAUAUACAUCAUCUUCUAAUUAAUAGACCACAAUUAUAUAUAAAUAGAGAUUGUAUAUUUAAAUGUAAAUGCUUAUAUGAUAAUUAAGUUUUAUGGUAGCCACAAAAUAAUCAGUAUACGUAAAGUUUAAAACUUUGUAGUCAAAUCUUAUUAUUGGAGAGUAUAUAUCUUAUCUUUGGCGAAAUAGCUAAUUGACAACACUAAAAAAAAGCAAUAAUAAGUAUAUUUCUAUUUAUUAAUAAAUCAUUCAAAAAAAUUUACUUUUUAAAACUAAUCUGACCAUCUCUCUUGAUGCAUUAUAGAUUUUUCUUCGUGUUGACAAUGAAAUAAUACGAAACUAAUUUGAUCAUUCUCUCUUUGAAUAUACCAUCAUCAAACUUCCUUCUUCAUCUUGGUGAACUUGUGUUUGGUUCUCAUGCCACAACAAGAAAUUUUGAAUAAAGUCACAUUGCCAAAUUACAUUUUCAAUGUCCCCUCAUUUGGUUAUUGAACACAUGAUUGAUGAAAACAAUGGAAAAAAGUUUCAAAAGGAGAAAAAGAUAUAUACUAAUAAAAAAGAAGAAGGAGAUAUGGAAAUGAACAUCCAACAACUCUAUAGAUUAUGGUUAUUUAUACAUUGAUAAGCCAUAAGAAUAGGCAGAAAGAAGUUUAAAAGGCAUAUUAUUAAGUAGAGAAUACAAAUAGAUGUAGGUUUUUUUAUAACUCAUGAGAUAUAAUUAGGUAUAGUAAAUAUGAUAUAAUUUUUUUAAUUAAUAAAAAAAUAAUUAAUAAAAAGAAUGAAGAGAAAAAUUCAAAAAAAGGAAAAAAUAGAUAAAUAUGAAUGGAGGCCAUAGAGAGGUGCCACAUCACCUUGUCCAUGACUCUCCUUUAUACAUAUGUAUGUAUACAUACAUACAUACAUACAUAUAUAUAUAUAUAUAUAUGUUGAUAGAGCAUAAAGCUUGAUCCCCUCAGCCAGUUUUUCCUCUUGAUCACCAACCUAAAAGAGUAUUUGGAAAGAAGGGAAAGAACAAAAGGUAAGACAACCACCUGGGAAGAAAGACAUUUAUAUAUUUAUAUAUAUAUAUAUAUAUAUAUUUGUAAAUCAUUCAAACUUCUACAUUACACCAAAUUACUUUGACCAUUUUCUUAACGAAGCUUCCAAGACAAUUGAACUUCCUUCUUCAUCUUGAUGAACUCGUACAAAACUGAUGUGAUCAUCUCUUUGAUAAACCUUUGAAGAAUAUCGAAAACAUCAUCUUUGUUAUGUCCUUUCUUUUGAUUAUUAAACACAUGAUUGAUGAAAAAGAUGAAGAAAUAAAAUCAAGAAAGGAGAAAAAUAACUAAAUAAUCGUACUAAUUAAAAAAUUUAGAAAAUAAAAAUUUGCACUCAACAACUCCAUAGAUGAUUGUUAUUUAUAGAUUGGAUAAUCCAAAAGAAUUAGGUAGAAGGGAGUUGGGGAGACAUAAUAUUUAAGUAGAGAAUACAAAUAGAUGGAGGUUUUUUAUAAUUCAUUAGAUUUAAUUAGAAUAGUAAAUAAGAUUGAUCUUUUUUUAUUUGAUAAAGAGAAAAUGGCCAAAAGCACCUCCAACCUCUACUCCAAAUCCCAACUACACACUUAUACUUUGCGGGGGUCCUAUGACCCCCCUGAACUAUUUAAAAGUGGAAUAUAUACCUCCCUGAAUGCUAAGGCGGCACGGUCUAAUUUUUAAUUUUAAUUUAUUUUUUCGAUUGUGUAUUGUUUCAUUUCUUUCUUCUUUCUUUCCUCUUCAACAAAACACCAUGGAUGCUUCUUUCUCUCUUCUUUCUUUCUUUCUUUCUUUCUUUCUUUCUUUCUUUCUUUCUUUCUUUCUUCUCUUCAACAAAAUACCAUGACUGCUCCACACACACACCAAAUUCUGCAAUUUCAUAAAAAAUAAUUCAAUUAACUAUUAUUUCAACACACACCCCCCAAAUGGGUCACCUUCAAUUUCAUCAAAAUAGCAAAAUUAAUAAUUACGUCGACAUUAAUGGAUGCUACAUUAAUGGAUGCUUCUUUCUCUUCUCUCUUCUUUCUUUCUUUCUUUCUUCUCUUAACAAAACACCCUGACUACUCCACGCACACACACCAAAUUCUGCAAUUCCAUAAAAAAUAACUCAAUUAACUAUUAUUUCAACACACACACACCAAAUGGGUCACCUUUAAUUCCAUCAAAAUAGCAAAAUUAACAAUUACAUCGACAUUCCACCAUUCUACUUGCAAUGCAGCAACAACAGAGCUUUUACCAGCCAUUGGUGUUUUUUUUUAUGUCAACAAGCACCAAAUUUUUUCAACAAAAUCUGAUAAUUGUCUCAAAGUUUUUAAUAAAAUCCCUACUACAAUUUGAUGGGAGCGGCAAAAACAACAAAAGGUGGAUAUAAAGGGGCAACAAACAACAAAAUUAAAGUUUUCAUCCUUAUCAACAUGACUCAAUAAAAGAAACCAAGAACCUUUCCACCAACAUUUUUACUCCUAGCCUCUUCAUGGUCCAUGAUACUAGCUGAGGUAGUCAGCACAAUGUACCCGAACUGUUGGGAUAUACAUACGUGCCAUUGAAAUAUUUAGCUUAUGAUCUUGUGGAGUUUAGAAUUGUUUGAUUUGAGGAUCUGUAGAAAUGAAAUUGAGUUGAAGAAGAAAAUGGAACAAAAUGGGGAAUGAGAAAGAGAGAAAUUUUGUUAAGGAGAAAUAAUAUAUAAAGAGAAAAGUAAAUUAAUUAAUUUUUUUUAAAAUGACGUGACAAUGACGUGCAGGUCACUACUUGAAACAAAAUCUGGGUAUGACCUUUUAGAUGGGUAUAUAUUUCAUUUUUAAAAUGUUCAGGGGAGUCAUUGAACCCCUGCAAAGUAUAAGUGUGUAGUUGGGAUUUGGGGUAAAGGUUGGGAGGGCUUUUGACCAUUUUCUCGUAAUAUUAAUAUGAAAGUUAGAAAUGGAAGUGAAAAUUGUGAAAACAACAAAAAGUUGUUUUCAAUAGCUCAAAAAUGAGAAAAGUUUAAUAACAUUGAUGAUAAAAGUUAUUUAAUAUGACUCUCUUUGAUGUUGUGUAUAAUGUUAAGGUGAAUUUUUAAUCUUUAAAAUUAAAAAAAAUGGCUAAAAAAACCACAAAAAAAAAAAUAGCAUCGGAGACCUCUAAGGCAUGCUACAUAGGAUGGGCUAAGAGUCACCUUUAUAUAUAUACUAUUCGGCUUACGCCGUGCUACGCACGCCCCAAUGUUGAUCCUUAAAAAUCCUACAUUAUGUAUAAUUCUAUCAUUUAAUUAAAAUCUUAUUUGUUUGGUUGAUAAAUUCUAAGUUAGACAUAUAUUAUUAUAUUUAAAUUGAUGAAAUUUGUAUAACAAUAUUUUAGGUUGUUCAAACUUCUGUGACAUUGAUAGUCAAUUAUAUUUUUUUAAAAAUAAUCUAAGUUUUUAAUUAUUUUGAUUUAUAAUAUUUUUCUUCUAUUCUUCUAAUUAGAAGUGACAUAGUAAAAUUAUUAUAGCAAAUACUUGUGAAUUUUUUUUAAGUUGUCCCAUAAUACGUCAAGUUAAUUUAAAACGUCAAAAAACAAUUUAUCAUUUUAUGCCUAUUUUAUCUUUUUAUUAAAUAUUAUUAAUUUUUUAAUACUUAAAUGACUUAUAAAAAAUUAAAAAAUAAUUUAUUAUUUUAUGUCUAUUUUAUUUGUUAUUAUAUAUUAUUAAUUUUUUAAUACUUAAAUGACUUAUAAUAAUUAAUUAUGAGUGAUAUAGUAAAAUCACGGUUGAAGCAGCUGAAGCAGCCAUGUCAUAAAUGUCUAUUUUAAAAUUUUUAUUAAAUUUUUUUAAUUUUUUAAUACAUAAAUAACUUAUAGAAAUUAAUUAGGGGUAAUAUAGUAAAAUAAUGGUUGAAGCAGUUGAAGGAGACAUGUCGACCAUGCAGCUUGCUUCGGCUGCUUAUUGUGACAUUAUAUAUACAUAUAUAUAUAUAUAAUUUAUAAUAGUUUUUUGACAUUGUAAUUUACUAUUUUAAGUUGUUAGCCAUUAUAAUUUAUAAUACUCUCCUUGUCCAAAGUUUUGUAGCAUUGAUAGUCAAAUAUUUGUAGAAUAAUUUAAGUUUUUAAUUACUGAAAUUUAUAAUACUUUUCUUCUAUUUCAAUUAAAGUGACACUGAUAUAAUUUCGAGAGUCAAUUAAAUAUCACAACUGAAGUCGGGAAGUAGACAUGUUUUAAAUGACUCAUAAUAACUUAUUAGAAGUGAUAUAAUAAAAUUACUAUAAAAUAUAGCUGUGAGAAAAACUUAAGCAGGCCUCAUAUAAGAUAUCAAGUUAAUUUAAAACAUCAAUAGUUAAUUUAUCUUUUUUUUGUUAAUUUUAUUUUUUUAUUAAAUAUUUUUUGUAAUAUUUAGAUGACUCAUAAUAAUUAAUUAGGGAUGAAAUGGUAAAAUUACGGUUGAAACAACUGAAGCAAACAUGUCAUAAAUGUUAUUUUAGUUUUUUUAUUAAAUAGUAUUAAUGUUUAAUACGUAAAUGACAUAUAAUAAUCUAUUAGGAAAGAACUUGGUCUCUUUAUGCAAUGAGUUUAGUGCCGAGCCCUCCUAAUAUGGAAGAGGUUCAAAAGGCAAUUUUUAGCAUGUCGGCGCGCACUAACCUAAAAAAAGGUCUCCCUCUAUUCCAAUAAAUAGAUAUCCGUGUUAUGAUACAAGUUCACGUUUUUUUUUAAAUGGAUGAGAUCUGCGACCCCUUUAGAAUUCCAGUGUUGCUGGAAGUGGUGUGCUGUGGUAAAAAUGGAGGCAACAUCAGAUUUUUGAAAUAAUGGAUAGCACCAAGUAUAUCCAGAAUAAUUAUCCAAAAAGACUAAUAAAUACUUAUGACCAUUUGAUGAUUGAAAAGGUGAAGGGCCCAUAAAUCAGUAAACACUAAUUGUAAAACAUGAGAACUUUUAUUUAAUCUAUUUGAUAAAGAGAGUUUGUGUGACUUGCCAAGUUGACAAGCGCUACAUAGAGAAGCUAGCCUAGAACUAGAACAAGGUAAAUUAUUAUUGCGAGGACUUGAUUGAGUGCUCGUUGAUGAGGAUGGCCAAGGCGAAGAUGCCAAUAGAAUGAUGAUAGCUUGACAGACACAUAAGCCACGGAAGAGGAGUAUCGGCGAAGUGGAACAGGUAAGUAAUAGAGUCCAUUGUUACUCAGCCCGAAAAGAAGAGGAGUCCUAGUUGUGCGAUCCUUAACAACCAAAUGAUACGGGUGAAAUUAAAAAAAAAAUUAUUGUCAUGAGUGAAUUUUUGAAUGGAUAAAAGAUUCUUGGUGAUAGAAGAAACAUGAAAAACGUUAUUUAGAGGGAAGGAUCGAUUUGAGGAAUUAGAGAGAGUUGCCUUACCAGUAUACUGGAUAGGUAAACUUUGGCCAUUACCAACAUGAAGUUGGUCAUUGCCUCAGUAUUCUUCAUAUUGUGAGAGACUUGAGAGAUUAGGAGUGAUAUGAUGCAUUGCUCCGAAGUCGGGAUAUCAAUUUUGUGUAGAUUGAAUUGGAGCCUGUUAUGCGAGAUGAGUUGCUGGAUUGAUGGAAUGGGCAUAACGUUGAAAGUAAUUUGGCGCUAGAUGAUUCGAGCUAUUACAAAUUGGCAACGCUGCUUGUUUUCAGAGUUCCAGUUACUUCCAGACUGUCAGUUAUUUCCAGAGUAGCUAGGUUGGCGGGAGUUGCGACCAUGACCUCGGAAUGAGUUGUUGUGCUGAUGGCAUUGAAAGUUUGAUGGAGAACGCUGGCCAUGGUUGAACGGGGUUGAGGGGUGAGGUAGGGGUGGCUGGGUGGGGUGAUGAGAGAGAGGAAUGGAUUGGGGGUGACUGGACGGCGGUGAAGGGUGGGGGUAAGGGUGGGUGGCUAGACAGGAGGAAGGGGACUUUUUUAUUUUAUUUUUUAAAUUUAUUAUUUUUAAAUUUUUAAAAAUAUUUUUAAAUUUAAAAAGAUGGAGGAAAAAAAAGGUCCUUUUUUAAUUUUUUAAAUUUUAAUAUUAUUUUUAUUUUUUAAUUAUUUUAAUAUAAAGUUGACCAAAAAUUGACCCCACUCGCACCUUAGGCGCGUGCCUAUAUGCGUGUCAUCCUAAUCAGCCAUUUUAAUGCCACAUAGGUUCGGUCAACAGUCAAAAGAUUUAGAAUAUUAUGUUUUAAUGGGUUCAAGGGUCCAGAUGACAAACAUGUAAGUAGGAGUAUCCAUAUUAUAAUACGGCCAUAGUACAAGGGUCUCCUGAACCAUUUUACUGUAUAUUUAAUCAAAUACUUCUUAAUAUGUUUGUAUGUGUACUCUUUGCAAAAACAAAAUCUUAUUAGAUGUUAUUCUUAAUCUUAUUAGAUGUUAUUCUUUCAUUUUUUCUAAUUUGGUAUGUGUUGACUUGAUAUAAAUCUUAAGAAAAUAUUUAUUAAAAAUUUAUUUUACUAAAUUAAUUUUAUUACAUAUACUUUAAAAUUUAAAUUUUGUUAUGCAUUUCAUAUAAUUAAUGAUAAAAAUAAUAUCAAACUAAAAUAAUUUCUCUUAGUGAAUUAAUUUUGUAAAAUGACUUUAAUACCCUCAAAUUGAUAUUUAAUGCCGAACUAUUUUAAAGUGAAAUUAUUACACCCUUGAAACGUUAUACCCAGUUUUAGAGGAGGCGGUGUAAUACACGCGCCAAUCGCAUUUUUACGCGUAUUUUUUUGUUUAAAAUUAAUUUUUAUUUACUCUCUUCCCCAUUUUUGUCACUUUUCAUCUUUUUUUACCAUUACUUUUCAUCUCUUUUCCUUUUCAGACUUCAUUAUAGCUAUUUCUAUGCAAAUAAUUUUUCGACGACUUUAAAGUGGGAAAUAAUGGAUAAUAUCGAAUUUGAAAUUUCCAAAGAUCUUGAAGUCGGAAAUAAUAAAAAACAUGGAAUUUAAAAUUUCCGACAACCUUGAAGUGGGAAACAAUGAACAAUAUCAAUUUUUAAAUUUUCGACGAUCUUAAAUCCGGAAACAACAAACAAUACCAAUUUCAAAAUUUUUGACGACCUUGAAGCCAGAAACAAUGAACAAUACCGAAUUUAAAAUUUUCGAUGACCUUACAAUCGGAAACAAUAGAGAAUUUUGAUUUUUUCGACGACCUUGAAGUCGGAAACAAUGGACAAUACCCAUUUUAAAAUUUACGACGACCUUGAAGUAGGAAAUAAUGGACAAUAUCAAUUUUAAAAUUUCCGACGAUCUUGAAGUCAGAAGUAAUAAACAACAUCGAUUUAAAAUUUUCGACAACCUUGAAGUGGGAAACAAUGAACAAUAUCAAUUUUUAAAUUUUCGGCGAUCUUAAAUCCGGAAACAACGAACAAUACGAAUUUCAAAAUUUCGACGACCUUGAAGCCGGAAACAAUGAAUAAUACCGAAUUUAAAAUUUUCAAUGACCUUAAAGUCGGAAACAAUAGAGAAUUUUGAAAUUUUUGACGACCUUGAAGUCAGAAACAAUGGACAAUACCUAUUUUAAAAUUUACGACGACCUUAAAGUCAAAAAUAAUGGACAAUAUCGAUUUUGAAAUUUUCGAUGACCUUGAAGUUGGAAACAAUGAAUAAUACCCAUUUUGAAAUUUCCGACGAUCUUGAAGUCGGAACCAAUCGAUUUUGUGCUUGGAGAUGAGGAAGAUGACAAAUUAGUCUUGGAUGUCAUUGAUGAGUUUUUGAAAUUUUUUGUUUGUGAGAAAGAAGAAGAAGAAAGAAAAUAAAUAAAGAAAAAUAAUAAUUAAAAUUAUAUAUAUUUAUGUAAAAGAAACAUUAAAAAUAAAUUUUUAAUAAAGAGAGUGAAACAACACACUCUCAUGCCAUUCAACUUUUAGGAGUGGUAUAAUUUCUGUUUUAAUUAGUUCGGGGGGAGGGAGGGGGUCUUAGACCCCCCGCAAAGUAUAGGUGUGUAGUUAAAAUUUGUGGUAAAAGUUGGGGAAGCUUUUGACCAUUUUCUCAACAAAUAAGCAAUCUAACUUUGAGAGUGCACAUAUAGAUUCCUUAAUUUGAUCUCAAUUGGCAACUAAACACUUGAACUUGUCCUCAUUGUAACUCGCAUACACUUGACACUGAUGUGACAUAAAUUUUGGAGAUAUCCAAAUAAUCAUUUUCUAAAUUGUAGUGUUCGACUAACACAGUGAAAAUGAGUUGAGGUGUUAGAUAUGCAUACUCAAAAUUGAAGUAUUUACUUGUCAGAUAAGAUCAAAUUUGAAUGUCCGAAAGAGCAUGUUAAAACUGGGAUAAGUCGAAAGGAGUUGUUUAUGAAUUACUUGCAUUAUGAAUUACUUGCAUUUCACAAGUAAUUCACAAACAACCCCUUUUGGUUGAUUUCGUCGAGGGAAAAAAACCCCUUUAGGCUCUCGAUUCGCAUUUAACCAUAAACCAUACUAGCUCUUAAGUUCUAUUGUUUCUUACAUGAUGAAAAACUCCUUACAUAAGGAGUCAUGCAUUGUAGACCAAACACACAUGCAUAAGCUUCUUUCUAUAUUUGCAAACUAGACCUACAAGACACAACCUCACAAUACUUAGAUACAAAUAGCUUCUUUCCUAUAUCUACAAACUAGACCUACAAGCUGCAACCACACAAAGUUUAGAUACAAACAUGACAAAGCCUAUGCAUCCUCCGCAUCACUGACACUUGGACGAGUAUCGAUGUAGAAUUCUGUGUCAACUCCGUCAAUGAUCCUAUCUCUGUUAACAGACAACCAGAAAGAGCAUGUAAUGUUAUAUGAAAGAGAUUCAGACACGUUUUGAAUUACAAAUGUUGAACGUGAAUCAACAAGAAAGAAGAUCACACCUUUCAAGAACAAACUUCCCUUCUUUAUACUUCUGGCUUUCCUCGUGUGCAGCCUCCUGCAUGAUAGAAAAGAGAGUGACAGUUGUUAACAAAAUCUCUGGUGUAGGUAAAUCAUGCAUGUGCAAUUGGUAACACAUUUAGAUGGCCAGAGGAGUAACUAUUCUCCUCUUUUUAUCUGUGUGCAUAUUCACAUGUGCACUUGUUUUGGUGUCUAUGUCUGCAUGAGAGAGAGAGAAUUACAUAUUUCCAGCCAACAAUUUGCCCACAACAGCAACAAAAUAUGUCUGCUACUGUGUGCAUCCCAGAAAGCAUCACCCUCUCCUCAUGAGGUCCAAUAGUUACAUUCACCCUGAAUCACAAAAUCAGGCGGACCAGUCAGACCUCUGCAUAUAGAUCAAAUGGAGCACAAUUGCAAAGUGUUGAGAAGGCAGACAGAAAAUGAUGUUGGUAAAUAUAUCAUCCAUUGCACUAUGAAGAAGACCAGAUAAGAAUAUUAUUUAUCUGGAUGAUGUCCUCACCAUUUCUUAGAUUCAUGGACCCAAUUCAAUUCAGUGGGAUUCCUCUCAUUCACAUUUUUUUCCAUCAAGAACGUUUUCUAAAACUCCUCUAAAUACAUCACUUCCUACUGUAAUGUAAACCAAAAACUAUCCUUAUCAACUACAGGUGACUUUUCAGAGAAAAAAAAAAAGUUCAAAGCAAGAUAGGACCACCUUAGGAAAUCACUGCAGAGUGAUCUUUACCAAUUUCUACCAUACAAAACUCAGUUUACGGUUACCUCAUUUAAAGUGAUAAACAUAUAGCAACUGUGUCGAUUUUAUAUACUUCAAUUCAGCAUGCUAUCUAUUGGAUGUAAGUUUGCCUCAGUGGAUUACCUUCUUUUUGUUUUUUAACCAACUUCGCAUAGUAUUCAUCUUCAAACAAAUGAGUAAUGUAAUCAGAGGAUUACUUAUUGAGUUGGAGAUCAAAGUCUUGGGAAUGAAUGUUGAUGAUUGCAACAUAAUACCUAGACAGCCAGGGCUUCUAUGAUCAUCGACCACAGAAAUAGAAAAGAAGUGGUAGUCCUUACCAACUUAAUCUAUAAAACGAAUUUCUUUUUUUUUUUUCCAAACACUCCAUUUUUCUCAUUUUUCUGACCAUGUUUUUUAAAAAUUCACUGUAGUGAGUCCUUCACUUUCAUUACAUUGAUGUGGGUUGCCUCGUAAAUAGCAAUGGAACUUUUCCAUAAAUUGGUACUUCAUAGUAACGGUAAAAUUAGAGAAAAGUUGUGUUAUAUCUAGCAAUCCAAAUUGGGUUAGAAACUAGCUAUUUGUGAAAUCUUUGAAAAAAGAAAAUAUGGGUGGGGGUAGGGGGUUACCAUGUUUUUUUUUUUUAAUAUUUGUCAUAUUAGUUGAUAUUCUAGGGAGUCCAAUUCUAGAAGAUAGGAAGGAUAUGAGGAAAUAUACAUUCCUUGCUUUCGCUUUUCCUCUCAUCCUUUCCCUUUGAAGGAAAAGAAGUUGGAUGCUGCUGCUAGAACAUAAUUGCUCAGUAACAUGAAAUAAAUAUAUGGGGAGCACUAUUGAAAGUUGGGAACUCUUUUGGAUUCAUUAAAUAGUUGCAGUCGCUAGAAAGGAAGUUUUUCCUUCUACAUAUAACAUCUGUCUAGAGGUUAAAAGUUGUAUUACAGUUCAUACAAUGUGAGUUCCCCCAUCCAUUACAAUCUGGAAAACAUGAAGAUGGAUGUGAAAUGCAAUAUGAUUAGUCGCGAACAUGUCGACUGGUAAAUUUAGAGAAUUUGACACAACGGAGGAAGGAUGGAUCAAUUACAUAACAUUGACAAUUAUAAACAUAUCAUAUAAAGAAACGGCAGACAAGGCGGGAUGAUCUGAAACAUAGAAGUUAAUAUAGAAACUAUCUUUUUACAGUAAAAGAUUAAUACUUGGAUGAUCUGAAACAUAGAAGUUAAUAUAGCAAGCAGCAACCAUCUUUUUUCAGUAAAAGAUUAAUACUCCCUCUAUCCCAAUUUAUGUGAAGGUGUUUGACUGGGCACGGAGUUUAAGAAUGAUAGGAAGACUUCUGAAAUAUAAAGUCAAAUGUUACCAAAUAUAGAAAGGUUUCAUUUUUUUUUGGAACUGACAAAAAAGGAAAGAGUCACAUAAAUUGGGACAGAGGGAGUAGAAAAUAUCCUAAUAGUCCAAGUAGAUUACGUAAAGCACAAUCCCACAUGGACUCAACCAUAGAUUAAGCUGCUAUAACAGUUUUCUACCCAAUUAAUUGACUCUUUAUUUUAUAUAUGGUUUGUAAUUUGUAUUGCUUAUUAUUGCUAACUCUCAGGUACUUAUUUAAUUGGAAUCCUUAUUCCAAGGUAGCCAGAAACAUAGUUCAUACGGUCGUUUAAGGACGAACAUAUAUAUCAGUUGGAUAAUGUUUCUUAUUUUGUAUCUCUCUAUCCUUUUUCUUUUGGAAUAAAGUCUUCUUUGGUUUCUUCUGAAUUACAGGAGCAAUCAUUUUAUUUGAAGCUUGCCACCCUAAUUAUAAUGCAACAAUAUCUCACAUUUCCAUAAUAAGAAGUGGAAUUGUUGACUAAAAGUGGUACUCCGUCUGUGUAUAAAUUGUAAGAUACUUUCACCUUGAACUUUGUGGCAUACUAAAAUUUUAAAAAGAUUUCCUAACUUUCUGAAGUGGUAAGAUAUGCUAAGAUCAAAUUCGCAUGAAUAAACUACAAAAAGAAUGCAACAGAUGUAGAUACGCACUCACACUUUAUUGAACAGGUAAGCUUUUCCUCUGCGGCAAUGAAAUCCCUGACCAAAAAACCGACCAUUAGAAAACCAUAAACCAAGCAAGCCAAAAGUGCAAUGCUAUGAAUAAGCAAUCAUAGCAGAAAAUUUCCAGUGCAUAUACCACAAAUAAAGAAAUAUGCCUAUGCUUUGGUAAUUGAAACCAUUGGAUCAAAUCAAUACGGACAAAGAUUGGUUAAAAUGACGAAUCACUCUCCAAGCUUGGUCUAUGAGCAUUUGGUAAUUAAACUUUGCACUUAUUUAUGUGGUGGUCUUCGAGUUUAUAAACAUUGACUAAGGAUAUAAUUGAGAAGCUAUAUGUCAAUAAACAAUAGCACGAACAUGGCAUGUGAAUGUUUAUAGCUAUUCGAGAGAAAAACUUUGGUUAAUUGAUUUUUGGGAUAGAUAGUUAUAAUUGAGAAAAAGAUAAUCAAUAUUUAUAUUCAAAAGUAGAAAUUAACUAAGGAGGGUAAUCUUAAUCCAUGUACAAUAUUCGUUCUGCAUUGAUCAUCCAUUAAAAAAUGUAAGUUAUUCUUCCAUAUACAACAACAACGUACCCAGUGUUAGGAUGUAUGCAGAUCUUCCUUGCCUCAAAAAAAAGUUUUCAAACAAAGGGUGCAGGACAAAUGAUGCUAUGUUAUAUUAUAUGUUCUCUAUGACAACAAAUAUCCGGACAAACGAUAUUAUUAUAAUUAGGUUUGGCUAUACUAUCACAGAGAAUAGCAUGAGAGCAAGUGAAGGAAUUCAAAACGUAACAAAAGCCAGAACAGUAAACCAAAUGGAGAUAUUCGGUUACAAGAUUCAUGCAAAUUGUACAUAAUUCAACCCUUCAAUUGUACCAUAAACAUUUCCAUAUAAAUCAGAAAAUCCAUCGAUCUUGAAAGAAGUUAAAAGCUUCUGUCAACUACUUAGGUUGGAAAUUAAGCUAGGGGACAUGUACUAAACAGGUACAAAUCUCUUACCUAAUGAUGGCAAUCAAAUCACUUCCCACUUGAAGGCCAGUAAGCAUGAAAUUAAGGAUAAGGAUGGCAAUGGGGCACGACAGGACGGGGCAGGGCAGGAUAAAAUGUAAUCUUGAAAGUUUUUAAUGGGGCAUGGCAAGGUCCACAUUAAUAGCUGGGUUGGGUAAAAAAGAGGUGACUCGUGUAUUUUUAUUCUUUUAUUUCCUGAUCCAACAUUUCCUUCGCAAGUCUGCACUUAGCAAUUUAGACUUUGUCUUAUAUAAUAUACCUUUUAUGAUUGUUGGAUGCCAAUUUAGUUGCCACUAUUUAUUAUAAAAUAUUUGUUCUGUCAUAGUUUAAGUCCAAAUAUCUUGCAAAACUGCUAUAAUAGCAUUAUUAUCAUAUCAAUGUUUUUUGAAGUUAAGUUCAUUACAACAACAUACCCAGUGAAAUCCCACAAGUGGGUCUGGGGAGGGUAGGGUGUAUGCAGACCUUACCACUACCUUGUAGAGGUAGAGAGGCUGUUUUCGGAGAACCCUCAGCUCGAGUACAACAAAUCAAAAAUAGUAUGAAAAGGGAAACAAUAGUGAAGCAAACAUAGAAACUAAUAAGGAAAGCAAGUUGUUUUAGUAAUUCAAUUUGAAUUUUACGUGUUGUUGAAUUUCUUGAUCAUUAAGCUUUGUGCAUAUCUUUUUCAGAAGUUAACUCAAGUUCAUUUAGCAAUUCAAAUUGCUUUGUAAGUCUUAAUUAACUGGGAAGCAUUAGUGCAUAUAUCUAUUAGGAGACUAUAUAUAAAAAUGGCAAGACUAUUUCCUUGUUACACUUUUCAUUAGUUUCCAUAAACAUUAUACAUCAUACAUCAUACAGCAAUGAUAAAAAAUCAUACGUUAUUCAGUAGAUAUACAUAGAAACGUUCAUGGGCAAGCCAAUUUCAAAUGUUUCUAUAAAAAGUUGAAAAGGUUUAAAAAAAAAUUAAAAAGCAUACUACCAUAUGAUAAGAGAAAAAGAAUUAGAAAAAGAAAAGUAUAGACGAGGAUGGCUUGGCAGCGGGGGACAGGGCAAUAUUUUUAAAAAACUGCUAUACGGGGCAGGGCAGAGCAGGUUAAAAUUUUAGCGAGUAAAGGCCUACCCUGCCCCCAUUUACAUCCCUGCGUGAAUACCCUACCGAAUCUUAAUUAUCAAGUUGAAUCACUUUCUUCACAGCCCGAAACAAACAGAGCAAAAAGCAUGACUACUCUCUGCACAUAUUUUCAUGUAUUAUUCUAAAUUAUCAAUAUUAUUUUACUAAACUAUAUUCUAUAUAACACGACAUACAAGUGCUGAAAAACUAGCACAAUUACAAGUAGCAAAUGGUCAUGCAAGAAUAUUUCUUUUCAUUCUAGAUGAAUAGCCCUGUUUUGAAGAGUACCCGUAAAGUUCUUGUCAUGUGAUCUGGAGGUCAAACUUUAGAGCUGUGUAAACAGCCUCUUGCAGUAGAAAUGCAAAGUAAGACUGCGUAUAAUUGCAUAAGGUGAGCUUUAGUAAUAGCCCUGUUUUCUGCUUGAGUUAUACUUUUGGAGGCUGUGUAGACACAAACACCAUCUAAUUAUGCAAAACUAAAAACAUCAUAAACUAAUUACUCAAAGAAACAACAAUUCUAAAAAGGCCAACCCAAUGAAAAGCUUAAAAAAAUUAUUUAAAAAAAUUAGGUAGAAAAUAAAAAAGGGGCAAUUGAAGAAAACGGGGUUACCCUAGAAACAACUUCAUCAGCAAGGGCAAGGUGAGUUUUGCAGAAUUUGCACUUGUAUGUUCUGCCUUCAAGAUCUACCACAAAAAUCCUUCCCAUCUUUGAACCACAGAAACAAGAAAAUUGAAUUUUCUCACUUGCGACAGUGAUAGUGUGGGUGUGUGUAUAGUGGGGUUGGGGGUUGGGGCUGGGGAUUAUUAAGGUUAGACGUGCGGUUUGAGGUUAUUUAGGCCACGUAACCAGAGUCAAACUCAAGAUUUGACGUGCGUGGUACAUCAAUGUUGUCAAAGACGUGCCUAAGCUCUGAAACAAUGACUCAAAAUGUAUUAAGUAUUAAUCUCGAUUAAUGUGCGAUUUAGGUUGUAACUUUUCAGGCAUACUUUCCCUUGUCAAUUUGAUUUUCUAUAGAGAUAAUAUUAAACAAUUGAUAUUUCACUUAUAAAAAAAAAAUUUAAUUUUUUUGGUUCAUAUAUUUAUCAUUCAUGCUUAUAUUAUUAGUUUUGAACUAAUAUAUAGUUAUAUUUUUUCUCCCUUUAUGUCUUUUUUCAUUAAAUUUCAUGCUUUAUUUGUACUUUGUGCUUAAACAUAAUAGAUCUUGAAGCUUUUUUGCGCUCUUUGCUUUUGGUAAUAUUGUGGUGCACUAAUAUUAUUUUAAGACAUUAAUAAAACUUUCAGUGUUGAUUAAGGGAUAUUAUCAUAUUCAAUUGGUCGUCAAUUGUAUGAACAAUACUGAAAAUAAAUAUUUAUAUCUAUAUCUAUAAUCUAUAAUCUAUAAUCUAUAUCUAUAUCUAUAAUAUAUCAAAAGUGUGAAGAACCUUAGAAAUGCUGUUUGAACUUUUUGCCCUUUAUUAAAAUUCUUGGGGCUUUGGGCUCUAGGUGACAAAAGAGUUUUAAAAUGAAGUGUGGGUGACACAAGUCUUAAUAAUUGAGUGGAAAGUAAGAAAAGUUUGAAAAUAAUCCACAAGUUUUUUAAUUUACACUUUGAUCCAAUAUAAAACCUAAUAUAACUAGAAAUGGAGGGAAAAAAAGCACGUUUCUCUCUCUUUUCAUUUAUUGGAGUUUUCUCUCUCUUCGUGAUUUUUGUUGUUCAUUGUUGUUGUUGAUUUAUUCAUCAUCAUCUUCUUCAUUAUCAUCAUCUUGUUCUUCAUUAUCAUCUCUUUUUGUUCAUCAUCAUCAUCUUCUUGUUGUUGAACAUUGUUGUUACCGCUACUAUUGCUAUUUGAUUAAAUUUUUUUAGGUCAAAUUUUAUUCGUAUAUCACUUGAGAAUUACUUAUAGGUGAUUUUAUUAAGUAAAAUUAUAAUUUUUAGUUGAAUUUCUCAUCUGGGUGUAUCUGCUACUGCUGUUUUUUCAACAGUAGAUAAAACAUGUAACGUGAAUCCAACAGAUGAGUAAUCUGUUGCACAGACGUGUAAUCAGUUACAACAUAUUGGCUAAUUUGGUGCAACAUAUUGACUAAUCUGUUGCAACAUAUAAGUAAUCUGUUGCAACAUAUAUGACUAAUCUGUUGCAGCAGAUUACUCAUCUGUUGGAUUUGUAUUAUAGUGUUGUAACAUGAAUCCAACAUAUGGGUCAUCUGUUGCAAUAUAUUAGUCAUAUGUUGCAACAGAUUACUCACUUGUUGUAAUAAAUAAUUCAUAUAUUGGAUUCAUGUUGCAGGUUCUAUCCAUUGUAGCAGUAGCAAAUAUACCAAAUAAAAAAUUCAACAAAAAUCAUAAUUAUACUUACAAAAUCACCUAUGAAGUAAUGUCCAAGUGAUAUACGAACAAAAUUUGACUUAAAAAAAUUCUAAAAAUUUCAACAAGGGCACAACGAAUAAGUGAAACACAUGAAAAAUUUCAUGAAACAGGUAAAGAAGACAAAAAUAGUGCAUCAUACAUCAAAUGCAAAAUAAUCGAGGGGACAAACGUUUGAGUUCUCCUAAAAAUAUUUAAGUUCCCUAGCAUUUUAAUUGCUUUCUAAUGGAUAACCCAUUUAUUAUAACAAAUUUUCUAUUUGUUUGAUAAUUUCCAACAGAUGAAUCAUCUGUUGCAACAUGUUAGUCAUCUGUUGAUUCAAAUUAAGCAAUUAUUAGUAAUAACUAAAUUGAUUUAGCUAAAAUUAAAGACAAGUCUUUAAAACAAUGGGACAAAAAUUUGAGUUCUCCUAAAAAUGUUUGAAUUCCCUAGUAUUUUAAUUAUUUUCCAANNNNNNNNNNNNNNNNNNNNNNNNNNNNNNNNNNNNNNNNNNNNNNNNNNNNNNNNNNNNNNNNNNNNNNNNNNNNNNNNNNNNNNNNNNNNNNNNNNNNNNNNNNNNNNNNNNNNNNNNNNNNNNNNNNNNNNNNNNNNNNNNNNNNNNNNNNNNNNNNNNNNNNNNNNNNNNNNNNNNNNNNNNNNNNNNNNNNNNNNNNNNNNNNNNNNNNNNNNNNNNNNNNNNNNNNNNNNNNNNNNNNNNNNNNNNNNNNNNNNNNNNNNNNNNNNNNNNNNNNNNNNNNNNNNNNNNNNNNNNNNNNNNNNNNNNNNNNNNNNNNNNNNNNNNNNNNNNNNNNNNNNNNNNNNNNNNNNNNNNNNNNNNNNNNNNNNNNNNNNNNNNNNNNNNNNNNNNNNNNNNNNNNNNNNNNNNNNNNNNNNNNNNNNNNNNNNNNNNNNNNNNNNNNNNNNNNNNNNNNNNNNNNNNNNNNNNNNNNNNNNNNNNNNNNNNNNNNNNNNNNNNNNNNNNNNNNNNNNNNNNNNNNNNNNNNNNNNNNNNNNNNNNNNNNNNNNNNNNNNNNNNNNNNNNNNNNNNNNNNNNNNNNNNNNNNNNNNNNNNNNNNNNNNNNNNNNNNNNNNNNNNNNNNNNNNNNNNNNNNNNNNNNNNNNNNNNNNNNNNNNNNNNNNNNNNNNNNNNNNNNNNNNNNNNNNNNNNNNNNNNNNNNNNNNNNNNNNNNNNNNNNNNNNNNNNNNNNNNNNNNNNNNNNNNNNNNNNNNNNNNNNNNNNNNNNNNNNNNNNNNNNNNNNNNNNNNNNNNNNNNNNNNNNNNNNNNNNNNNNNNNNNNNNNNNNNNNNNNNNNNNNNNNNNNNNNNNNNNNNNNNNNNNNNNNNNNNNNNNNNNNNNNNNNNNNNNNNNNNNNNNNNNNNNNNNNNNNNNNNNNNNNNNNNNNNNNNNNNNNNNNNNNNNNNNNNNNNNNNNNNNNNNNNNNNNNNNNNNNNNNNNNNNNNNNNNNNNNNNNNNNNNNNNNNNNNNNNNNNNNNNNNNNNNNNNNNNNNNNNNNNNNNNNNNNNNNNNNNNNNNNNNNNNNNNNNNNNNNNNNNNNNNNNNNNNNNNNNNNNNNNNNNNNNNNNNNNNCAAUUUUAUUUGAAAUGAAUCAAAUUAAGCCAUUAUUCGUAAUAACUAAAUUGAUAUAACUAAAAUUAAAGAUGAAUUGAUAAGUUCACUUACAAUUUCAAUUAAUCUCAGAGUAAUUACAUAAUCAACUAUGUGUAUUCGUCUCGAGGAGUGUGAUCAAUUGAUCAAUUUUAUUUCAAAUGAUUCAAAUUAAGUCAUUAUUAGUGAUAAAUAAAUUGAUUUUGACUAAAUUAAAGAUGAAUUGAUAAGUCCACUUACAAUUUCAAUUAAUGUAUUCGUCCUUAAUAGAAUGAUCAAUUGAUAAAUUUUAUUUAAAAUGAUUCAAAUUAAGCAAUUAUUAGUAAUAACUAAAUUGAUUUAACUAAAAUUAAAGACAAGAGCUUAGACAAGGGGACAAACAUUUGAGUUCUCUUAAAAANNNNNNNNNNNNNNNNNNNNNNNNNNNNNNNNNNNNNNNNNNNNNNNNNNNNNNNNNNNNNNNNNNNNNNNNNNNNNNNNNNNNNNNNNNNNNNNNNNNNNNNNNNNNNNNNNNNNNNNNNNNNNNNNNNNNNNNNNNNNNNNNNNNNNNNNNNNNNNNNNNNNNNNNNNNNNNNNNNNNNNNNNNNNNNNNNNNNNNNNNNNNNNNNNNNNNNNNNNNNNNNNNNNNNNNNNNNNNNNNNNNNNNNNNNNNNNNNNNNNNNNNNNNNNNNNNNNNNNNNNNNNNNNNNNNNNNNNNNNNNNNNNNNNNNNNNNNNNNNNNNNNNNNNNNNNNNNNNNNNNNNNNNNNNNNNNNNNNNNNNNNNNNNNNNNNNNNNNNNNNNNNNNNNNNNNNNNNNNNNNNNNNNNNNNNNNNNNNNNNNNNNNNNNNNNNNNNNNNNNNNNNNNNNNNNNNNNNNNNNNNNNNNNNNNNNUUAUUUAACUAGAAUUAAACAUGAAUUAAUAAGUUCAAUUACAGUUUCAAUUAAUCUCAUGGUAAUUACACUAUCAACUAAGUGUGUUCGUCCUGAGUAGAGUGAUCAAUUGAUCAAUUUUAUUUGAAAUGAUUAAAACCAAACCAUAAUUAGAAAUAACUAUAUUGAUUUAACUAAAAUUAAAGAUGAAUUAGUGAUACAAGAUCAAUGGGCUCCACUCCUUUGGGAUCGAUGCUUCAAGGAUCACAUUUAUGGAUCCAAGAUUUGGUUGUUUUAGGGGAACAAAUACGUGUGUGGAUUAUAGCUUGGAGCGCGGGAGAAGCUACACUUGAUGAUGUCAUCCACGAGAGCAUUGAGCCACGACGUGUUUGGAAGAUAGAGUGGGCUUCGAGAGAGCACGGAUACCCAUGACAUUAUUUUAGGCUUUGGGUCACUUUUGGCCCCAAUAGAUUUUAGGGUCACUUUUGGGUCCAUUGUGUAAUAAAGACCCAUGGCCUAUAAAUAUCUAGUUUGCCUUUAUUUUAAAGGGAGAUUUCAGAUGACAUAUUUGUAGCCUCUUUUGAGAGCCUUUUUCAAGGAGAAUCCUUGGGCAAGAUGGAAUCCUUGUGUUGAUGAUUUGCUUAGAAACAAAGAUUGCUUGGGUAUUCCGGUUCCCUUGAGAUCACAUAAGAGAUAGGUUUAGGUUGUGUGUGAUAUUAAAGGUCCAAAAAUGGAAUGAGCUUUUGGAUUGUUAAUAUUACAUCUUCAUUUGUCUAUCUAUCUUUACUUUCUUGUAAUCGUUUAUCUAUAUCUAGUGUAAUCCAAUUGUGUUCUUGUCUUGUAACUGUGUGUUUUUGUUAUUGCAUCUUGUUCAUCAAGUGUUGUUGUUGCUUUUAGUGUGUUUUACUCUUGAUAUCCUUUUCUUUCUUAUUCUUCUUGUGAAUCCGAGAGAGGUCAUCAAAGGGGGUCCUCGAUUUUUCAAAUUGUGACUAUUUUGGUGUAUGUUUUCGUGUCUUCCUUGUCGAUCUUGGAUCAUUUGGUAUCAAAGCCGAGCUUGAUUUUGUUCCUACGAAGUCAAUCUUGGGUUUGUUAUCUUGAAAAUUGCAAAAAAAAAAAGAAGUGUCAAAAUUGAAAUUUUUUUUUAAAAAAGUACUAUUCCCGUUUUUAAUCCUAGAUCAAAAUUUGAUUCUUUCAUUUUGUUGUUUUCUUGUAUUUUUAGUGUUAGAGAAUAAGAAUCUAACACUAUAGGCGUCUAGGGUUCGAAUUUGAGCCAAAUCGGAGUUGAUUUGUGUGUUCUACCCUUGAUGUGGGUUUAAACUUGAAGAAAGAGAGGUGGGUUCAAGAUCUGAAAUUUUUGGUUGAGAAACUGAAAAAAAUUGAUGUUUGGAAUGUGUUUAGAAGGUUGAAAAUAGGCUUGGUUCAAAAUUUCAUCGCAUUCCGAUCAUCGGUUUAAGAGUUAGAGAUUUUUGAAGUUCUUGGUGUUCUUGAGUGUUCUUGAGAAGAUUCAAACCUUCAUCUUGAAUUCUUUUCAAAAGGUGGUGUUUGAUCCUCAAAAUUGAAGAAAAAUUUGUGUUAAGUGCCUAAUUUAUAAGUACCAUGGCUUUGGGAGAUGAGAUCCAACCUAUCUUAAAAGAGGCGAUAAUGAAAGCUCUCAUGGAUUGGCGACAAGAAUUGAAUAGUUGGAAGAAAGAUGGGUCAUGUUUGGAAGGAAACAUGGAAAAGGUGACAUGUCUUGCUACCCAAACCCCACCAAAUAUACCCCAACCACCACAAUUCCACUAACAAACACCUCAUUACCAAAGACCACAUCCAAUUCCACUUCAAGAACAUGUUCCCACUAUAAACCAAGUUCCCGAUGACAUUAUUCAUCCAACCCAAAUCCAAAUUGACAAGACCAAUUCUAACAUAGAACCUUUGUUACUCGCUAACCAAGAUGCUAGCAUUUUACCUAGCAUCACUCCUUCAUUUGUUCAGGUUCAUGAACAAAUAAUAUCAAAGGAGGAUGCAAAAAGAAUGCCAUAUGAAAAUGAGCUUGAAAGCCUAACGGAGUUCUUACCAAAGAAUUCCAAACUUGAAGGUGCAACGACAAGUUGAUAAAGAAGUUGGAUUCGAGGACGAAUCCUCUUCAAGAAAGGGAAGAUGAUACAAGAUCAAUGGGCUCCACUCCUUUGGGAUCUAUGCUUCAAGGAUCAUAUCUAUGGAUCUAAGAUUUGGUUGUUUUUGGGGAACAAAUACGUGUGUGGAUUAUAGCUUGGAGCGCGGGAGAAGCUACAUUGAUGAUAUCAUUCACGGGAGUAUUGAUCCACGACGUGUUUGGAAGAUAGCGUGGGCUUCGAGAGAGCAUGCGCGCCCAUGACAUUAUUUUGGGCUUUGGGUCACUUUUGGGCCCAAUAGCUUUUAGGGUCACUUUUGGGUCCAUUGUGUAAUAAAGACCCAAGGCCUAUAAAUAACUAGUUUGCCUUUAUUUUAAGGGGAGAUUUUAGAUGACAUAUUUGUAGCCUCUUUUGAGAGCCUCUUUCAAGGUGGAAUCCUUAGGCAAGGUGGAAUCCUUGUGUUGAUGAUUUGCCUAGAAACGAAGAUUGCUUGGGUAUUCUAGUUCCCUUGAGGUCACGUAAGAGAUAGGUUUAGGUUGCGUGUGAUAUUAAAGGUCCAAAAGUGGAAUAAGCUUUUGGAUUGUUAAUAUUACAUCUUCAUUUGUCUAUCUAUCUUUACUUUCUUGUAAUCGUUUGUCUAUAUCUAGUGUAAUCCAAUUGUGUUCUUGUCUUGUAACCGUGUGUUUUUGUUAUUGCAUCUUGUUCAUCAAGUGUUGUUGUUGUUUUUAGUGUUUUUUACUAUUGUUAUCAUUUCCUUUCUUGUUCUUCUUGUGAAUCUGAGAGAGUUCAUCAAAGGGGGUCCUCGAUUCUUCAAAUCGUUGACUAUUUUGGUGUAUGUUUUCGUGUCUUCCUUGUCGAUCUUGUAUCAAUUAGUAAGUUGACUUACAAUUUCAAUUAAUUUUAUAGUAACUACAUGAUCAACUAAGUGUUUUGUCUUAAGUAGAAUGAUCAAUUGACCAAUUUUAUUUGAAAUAAUUAAAAUCAAGCAAUUAUUAGUAAUAAUUAAAUUAAUUUAACUAAAAUUAAAGAUGAAUUGAUAANNNNNNNNNNNNNNNNNNNNNNNNNNNNNNNNNNNNNNNNNNNNNNNNNNNNNNNNNNNNNNNNNNNNNNNNNNNNNNNNNNNNNNNNNNNNNNNNNNNNNNGAAAUGAUUCAAAUUAAGCCAUUAUUAGUAAUAGCCAAAUUGAAUUAAUAGUUACAAUUUCAAUUAAUCUCAUAGUAAUUACAUGAUCAUUUAAGUGUAUAACCUAUUACAACGGAUUUAAUCCGUUGCAACAGAUGAGUCAUUUGUUGAAAAUUAUCAAACAGAUACACACAUAUGUUGCAAUAGAUUAGUCAUCUGCUGUAACAAAUGUCUUUAUCUGUUGGUCAUUUCCAACAGAUAACUAAUCUGUUGCAACAUAUGACUUUAUCUGUUUGUUAUUUUCAACAAAUUACUAAUCUGUUGCAAUAGGUAACUAUUCUGUUGCAACAGAUGUCUUUAUCUGUUUGGUCAUUUUCAACAGAUUACUCGUCUUUUGCAGCAUCUUAGUCAUCUAUUGAUUCAUAUUAAGUCAUUAUAUUUGUAAUAACUAAAUUGAUUUUACUAGUAUUAAUAAGUUCAAUUACUGUGUCAAUUAAUUUCAUGGUAAUUACACGAUCAACUAAGUGUGUUCGUCCUGAGUAGAGUGAUCAAUUGACCAAUUUUAUUUGAAAUGAUUCAAACCAAGCCAUAAUUAAAAAUAACUAUAUUGAUUUAACUAAAGUUAAAGAUGAAUUAGUAAGUUCACUUACAAUUUCAAUUAAAUUUAUAAUAAUUACAUGAUCAACUAAGUGUUUCGUCUUAAGUAGAAUGAUUAAUUGACCAAUUUGAUUUGAAAUAAUUAAAAUUAAGUAAUUAUUAGUAAUAACUAAAUUGAUUUAACUAAAAUUAAAGAUAAAUUGACAAUUUAAUCACGAUUUCAAUUAAUCUCAUAGUAAUUGCAUGAUCAUCUAAGUGUAUUCGUCUUGAGUAAAAUGUUAAUUGACCAAUUUUAUUUGAAAUGAUUCGAAUUAAGACAUUAUUAGUAAUAAUAACAUUGAAUUAACUAAAAUUAAAGAUGAACUGAUAAGUUCAAUUAUGAUUUCAAUUAACAUGUUGCAAUAGAUGAGUAAUCUAUUGGAAAAGACCAAAUAGUUAGAGACAUUUGUUGAAAAUGACCAAACGUAUAUAGACAUCUGUUGCAACAGAUGACUAACCUGUUGCAAUAGCUAACCCAUCUAUUGAAAAUUAUCCAACAAAUAUAGACAUCUGUUGCAAUAGAUGACUAAAUUGUUGCAACAUACGACUCAUAUAUUGGAAAUUAUUAAAUAAACAAGAUAUAUGCAAACUCAGAACCAAAAUAAGCCACAGAAUUUAAAAAGUCACCAAAAUAGGUCAUCUAUUUAAAAAGUUACCAAAAUAGGUUAAACGUAAUAAUUUAUUACGUUUUCUAUUUUUUUCUUAACGAUCACUCCUAAAAAAAUAUAAUUCUUGUAUAUAGUAGCAUAUUUGAUCGACGAUAAUUCAACAUUUCACUAUUUUGGAGUAGAGAAAAACUCAAAAGUAUAAUUUUUUNNNNNNNNNNNNNNNNNNNNNNNNNNNNNNNNNNNNNNNNNNNNNNNNNNNNNNNNNNNNNNNNNNNNNNNNNNNNNNNNNNNNNNNNNNNNNNNNNNNNNNNNNNNNNNNNNNNNNNNNNNNNNNNNNNNNNNNNNNNNNNNNNNNNNNNNNNNNNNNNNNNNNNNNNNNNNNNNNNNNNNNNNNNNNNNNNNNNNNNNNNNNNNNNNNNNNNNNNNNNNNNNNNNNNNNNNNNNNNNNNNNNNNNNNNNNNNNNNNNNNNNNNNNNNNNNNNNNNNNNNNNNNNNNNNNNNNNNNNNNNNNNNNNNNNNNNNNNNNNNNNNNNNNNNNNNNNNNNNNNNNNNNNNNNNNNNNNNNNNNNNNNNNNNNNNNNNNNNNNNNNNNNNNNNNNNNNNNNNNNNNNNNNNNNNNNNNNNNNNNNNNNNNNNNNNNNNNNNNUAAAACGUAAGAAUUUCUUACGUUUUACAUUUUUGUAAAACGUAAGAAAUUCUUAUGUUUUUGUAAAAGUCAACUCCGUUAGUUGACCGUUAAGAAAAAAAGUAGAAAAUAUAAUAAAUUAUUACGUUUAGUCUAUUUUGGUAACUUUUUAAAUAGGUGGCCUAUUUUGGUCACUUUUUAAAUUCCGUGGUUCAUUUUGGUUCCGAGUUCGAUAUAUGUUGAAAAGCAAAUUAAAAUACUAAAGCUCAAAUGUUUUUAGCAAAACUCAAACAUUUGUCCCCUUGUCUAAGGUCUUGUAUUAAAGACUUGUCUUCAAUUUUAAUUAAAUUAAUUUAGUUAUUAUUAAUAAUUAUUUAAUUUGAAUCAACAAAUGACUAACCUGUUAUAAACAUCUGUUGCAGUAGAUGACUAACUUGUUGCAACAAUNNNNNNNNNNNNNNNNNNNNNNNNNNNNNNNNNNNUUGCAACAAAUAGAUAAUCUGUUGGAAAAUAAUUAAAAUACUAGGGAACUCAAAUAUUUUUAGGAGAACACAAAUGUUUGUCCCAUUGUCGUAGAGACUUUUUUAAUUUUAGCUAAAUCAAUUUAGUUAUUACUAAUAAUUGCUUAAUUUGAAUCAACAGAUGACUAGAAUGUUGCAUCAGAUGAUUUAUCUGUUGUAAAUUAUCAAACAGAUAGAAAAUCUGUUGUAACAGAUGGGUCAACUAUUAGAAAAUAAUUAAAACAUUAGGAAACUUAAAUGUUUUUAGGAGGAUUCAAAUGUUUGUCCCCUUGAUCCUUUUGCUUUGAUGUAUGGUAUAUUAUUUUUGUCUUCUUUACCUGUUUCAUGAAAUUUUUCAUGUAUUUUACUUAUUCGUUGUGUCCCUGCUGAAAUUUUUUAAAAAAUUUUUAGGUCGUUGAAUUUAUUAUUUGGUGUAUCUACUACUGCUACAAUAGAUAGAACCUGCAUAUGAAUCCAACAUAUGAGUCAUCUAUUGCAACAAGUGAGUAAUUUAUUGCAAUAUAUGACUAAUCUGUUGCAACAGAUGACCCAUAUGUUGGAUUCAUAUUACAACACUAUAAAAUGAAUCCAACAGAUGAGUAAUCUGUUGCAACAGAUUAGUCAUAUAUGUUACAACAGAUUAGUCAUGUGUGUUGCAAUAGAUUACUCAUUUGUUGCAAUAAAUUAAUCAUAUAUAUUGCAACAGAUUAGUCAUAUAUGUUGCAACGGAUUAGACAUAUAUGUUGCAACAUAUUACUAAUCUGUGCAAUAGAUUAGUCAUAUAUGUUGCAACAGAUUACUUUUGCAACAGAUUAGUCAUAUAUGUUGCAACAUAUUACUAAUCUGUGCAAUAUAUUAGUCAUAUAUGUUGCAACAGAUUACUAAUCUGUGCAACAUAGUAGUCAUAUAUGUUGCAACAUAUUAGUCAUAUAUGUUGCAACAAAUACUCAUCUGUUGGAUUAACGUUACAUAUUUUAUCCAUUAUUAAAAAAACAGCAGUAGCAGAUACAUCCAGAUGAGAAAUUCAACUAAAAAAUAACAACAUUAAAAAAAAUAACAAAAAACAUAAAAAAAAUAACAAACACCAACAACACAAGUUUCUCAUUUUCGUCAUAACUUAAAAUCCCUAAUUUUUUACUUGUGAAAAUCGAAAAGAAAUGAUGAAGAACUCGAAGUUGUUGCCGCCGAAGAAUGUUGUCACGUCGACUGACGAUUGAAAGUAAAAAAGGAACGGGCAAGAACUCAAAACUAUUUGUUACCAGAGGUUGAAGUUGCACAAGAUUGAAGGGAGAAAUUUGAAAAGUUGUUGGUUGAAAGAAGUUAAAGAGAGAAACUAUCGAGAGAAAGAGAGAAGAGAGAGAGAUUGAUUUGCAGAGGGAGGAAAGUUUUGUGGGUGUGGGUUAAUUUGUAUUUUUGAAAAGAUUAAAAAGUUUAGAAAAUAUUAAUCAAGUCCACAAUUAACCUAAUCAAGUUUUUUAAUUAUGUUUGACCCUUUAAAUUGGUCAAUGUCACCAAUCCUUCAUUCAAGACUUAAAAGAUACUUUUCCUUCAAUUUUCUCAAAAGUCUUUGCUUUAGACAAAAUCGUCUUUUCACUAUAUUUUUUCUAAUAUUUAAGAGUUGAAAAUUAAUUAAAUGUAUUUAUGAUAAAAUCUUUCCAUAUUAAAAAUCAUCAUGAUUAAUAAUUUUUUCUAAUAUUUAAGUGUUAAAAAUUAAUUAAAUAUAUUUAUGGUAAAGGGUGUGUUUGGUAUGAUGGAAAAUGUUUUCUAGAAAAUGUUUUUCUAUUUUUCCUUGUUUGAUUGUAGUAAAAUAUUGGGAAAACAUUUUCCAAGAUAACUCAUUUUCUUCUAUUUAGGGGAAAGUGACUUCCCUCAUGGACCAAGGGAAGUUAUUUUUCUGAAAAUGACAAAUGUUACUUAUGCCCCCAUCCCCACCCCUCUUCUCCACCCAUAUUCACAUAACUCAAAAAAUUCACAUUUCUAAAAAAUUUACAUUACUCAGAAAUAUUUUUCAUUGUGCUUUAUUUCAAUUUUUCACUGCUUGAAAUAAAAAAUAGUGAAGGCCAAAUUUUUUCCUUUUCCAAUGUUCGUUGAAUGUAUUGUUAUUUCCAUAUGCAUAGAGGAAGACUUACCUAUGUUACUUUUGCUAAUUGCAUAUUUCAUUUUGUCAUCGAUGUAACUUAUUUCACAAGGUUGAAUAAGUUUAUCGUUCCGUUAUAUUUCUAUUGCUUGUAGUAUCUUGAGAUUGUCCUGACAAAAUGUUAAAAAGUGUCUUCUAUAUUUGCUAAUUAAUAGUUUCUUAAAUUUAGUGAUUGUAAUAUUUUAGUAUUCGAUAUUAAUAUUAUUUUCUAUGCUUAAAUUAGUUCUUACAAAUUAUUGAGUUGUUAGAGACACUGAUAUACUAGUUAACAGUUAGUAGUAUUUUCUAAAAAAUAUUUUUGCACUCACCAAUCAAACAUUAGAAAAUAUUUUCUAAAAAAUAUUUUCUACUCACCAACCUAACACCAUAAAAUAUUUUUUGAAAAACAUUUUUCAUUCACCAACUAAACAUGAGAAAAUAAAUUGAAAACCAACUUAUUUUCCAGGAAAUCAUUUUCCAAGAAAAUAUUUCCCAUGAAAAAUAUUUUCCACCAUACCAAACACAAAUCUUUACUUAUUAGAAGUCAACAUAAUUAAUGACAACUAAAACUCUUUUCAUUAGUUUAAGAAUUCUAAAUCAACUAAAUUUGAUUUUAAGAAGAUUUGAAAAAUCUAAAAAUAAAUUUAAAAAGCGUUAGAAUAAAAAAAAAAUUAAGAAGUGCCAAAUUUUAAAAGUUAUAAGUACGUAAUAAGAAUGUAGUUAAUGAUUUUGUAAGAUUUGAUUUUAAAAAUAAGAAAAGAUUUUAAAUAUAGAAACAAAAGAAAAAUAAUUGUAUUAAUACGUUUUUUUUCUGAUAUUUAAGUGUUGAAAAUCAAUUAAAUAUAUUUAUGGUAAAAUCUUUCCUUAUUAAAAGUUAUCAGAAUUAGUGACAACUAAAACUUUUUCCAUUAGUUUAAGAAUUCUAAAUCAACUAAAUUUGAUUUUAAGAAGAUUUCAAAAAUCUAGAAAGAAAUAUAAAAGCGUUAAAAUAAGAAAAAUUAAGAAGUACCAAAUUUUUAAAGUUUUAAGAAAAUAAUAAGAGUGUAAUCGAACAUUUUGUAAGAUUUGACUUUAAAAAAAAGAAAAGAUUUUAAAUGUAGAAAAAAUAAUCGUACCAUAAAUAUGGUUCAAAUUGAUGCGACUCUCUUAGACUCUGUAGCAAGAGAAAGAGGUACUGUAUGACAAACACAAAAGUGAUGAUCAAUCAACCACUCUUCUCCAUUUUAUCACUUUUCAACUUUUUUUUACAAUUACAACCAUAUUAAAUAUUUCAAAUGAUUCCAUUGAAUUUAUGAAGAAAGUUUUUUCAAGUAAUUGAAUGGAAUCUUCCAUUAAUUUUCCAUUGAAACUUGGAAGAUUCAAUUAGCGAGUUCCAUUAAUGGAAUAUUCAAUGAAACUCGCUAAUUGAAAACUCAAUGGAAGAUUCAAUUUCCAUUAAUGGAACUCGGAAGAUUCGGAAAAUUCAUUAAUGGAACUCGAAAGAUUCAGAAAAUUCAAUGUCAUGAUUCAAUUUUCAUUAAUGGAACUCGGAAGAUUCAAAAAAUUCAUUAAUGAAACUCGGAAGAUUCAAAAAAUUUAAUUUCAUGUAUGAAGCUAUUCAAUCUUCCGUUAAUGGAACUCGGAAGAUUCAAUUUCCAUGAAGCUAUUCAAUCUUCCGUUAAUGGAACUCAGAAGAUUCAAUUUCCAUUAAUGAAACUCGUAAUUAAAUUAGCGAGUUUUCGAGUUUGAAUCUUUCGAAUCAUUCAUUGAGUUUCAAUUAGGGAGUUCCAUUAAAUUAUAACCAUUAAGGAAUUUUUCGAGUUCCAUACAUGAAAUUUAAUUCGGAAUCUUUCCAUUAAUUAUAACCAUUAAUCUUUCCGAAUUAUAAUUCCGAGUUUGAAUCCAUUUAUAAUUCCGAGUUCAAAUUAUAAAUGGAACUCAAAAGAUUCGGAAAAAUCUUUCCAUUAAUUAUAACCAUUUCGAGUUCCCUUAAUUUAGAAAGAUUUCGAGUUCCAUACAUGAAUUUUUUUUUCAUGAUUUUUCGAGUUCCAUUAAGAAGAAAGAAGAAUGAAAAAAUAAAUAAAAAUAUAAAACUUUAAAUAAUUGUAAAAUUAAGGGGCUGUUUGGCAAAAAAAAGAGUUUUAAAAUAUUUUUAACACUGUUCAUGCGCUCAAUGCGCGUGAAUCACACGCAGUGUGCCAAGGGGCAGAUAUAUUCCAUUAAAAUACGAAAAAAAAGUCUGGAGGGGGGAGGUAAUAGGACCCCCGAAAAGUUCAGUAUGCUCAACUGUGAAUCCGGCCAAACUUCAAGUAUUUUUGUGGGUAUUAUCCCUUUAAAUUAUGUAUACAGACUCUUUUUUGGGACAAAUUAAAAGAAAAUAUUGUCGUAUAAAAUAAGAUAGAAAACAUAAUAAAUAAAAUAAUAAUUUUAUUCUAUCAUUUUUAUUAAAUCUAUAAUCUAUAUCUAUAUCUAUUUUUAUGUAGCUAUAAAGAAGAAUUUUAAAAUUAAAUUAUUUUAAAUUAUGUAUAAAGACUCUUUUUUGGGAUAGAUUAAAAAGAAAAUAUUGCCGCAUAAAAUAAGAUAGAAAAUAUAAUAAAUAAAAUAAUAAUUUUACUAUAUCAUCUUUUAUUAAAUCUAUAAUCUGUAAUCUAUAUCUAUAUCUAUAUCUGUAUCUAUAUCUAUAUCUAUAUCUAUAUCUAUAACUAUAUUUAUAUUUAUAUCUAUAUCUAUAUCUAUAUCUAUAUGGCAAAAUGAUGUUCUGGACCCCUGUACUAUGUCGAUUUUGUAAGUUGGACACUUCUACUUACAUGUUUGUCAUCUAAACCCUUGAACCCAUUAAAAAACAACAUUUUGCACCCCUUGACCGUUGGCCUCGCCUAUGUGGCACUGAAAUGGUGAUUAGGACAAGGAGAGUGUAGUCACUCGCCUCGGAGUGCGAGUGGAGGUCAAUUUUUGGCCAAUUUUACAUUAAAAUAAUUUUUUAAAAAAUUAAAAUUAAAAAACAAAAUAAAAAAAGAUAUUUUUUUUCCUCCAUCUUUUUAAAUUUUUUUAAAAUAUAAAAAUAAUAAAUUUUUUUUAAAAACCCUUCCCCAUUCCACCCCAGCCCNNNNNNNNNNNNNNNNNNNNNNNNNNNNNNNNNNNNNNNNNNNNNNNNNNNNNNNNNNNNNNNNNNNNNNNNNNNNNNNNNNNNNNNNNNNNNNNNNNNNNNNNNNNNNNNNNNNNNNNNNNNNNNNNNNNNNNNNNNNNNNNNNNNNNNNNNNNNNNNNNNNNNNNNNNNNNNNNNNNNNNNNNNNNNNNNNNNNNNNNNNNNNNNNNNNNNNNNNNNNNNNNNNNNNNNNNNNNNNNNNNNNNNNNNNNNNNNNNNNNNNNNNNNNNNNNNNNNNNNNNNNNNNNNNNNNNNNNNNNNNNNNNNNNNNNNNNNNNNNNNNNNNNNNNNNNNNNNNNNNNNNNNNNNNNNNNNNNNNNNNNNNAAAGUGAGUGAUAGUGAAUAUUGAAAAAAAUUAGUGAAUUUCUCUUUAAAAAAAUUAAACUUUUUGUGAAUUUGUUAAAAAUAUUCAAAUUUAAAAAUAAAAAAUUUAUUGUAUUUGUAUAUAUGAAUUUAUAAUUAAAAAUUUAAAUUAGUUAGAGAAGAAUUUUAAUUAUUUGGAAUGAAUUUGAUGUUUAAUUUGUGAGAAAAAAAAAACAUGAUUAUUCAAAUUUUCUACAAUUUAUAAAUUUUUCUAAUUUAAUUAAAUUAAUUUUAAUAUUUAAUUUGUUAUGUAACAUUUUAAAAAUGACUUGGAAUUUAAUGUAAUACUUUUUUUAUUUCCUUUAUUUUUAUUUUUUAUUUUUUAUUUAUUUAAAAAAAAAUGAUGUGGCAGAUGACGUGGUAGACGUGUCAGGCGUGACUGACGUGGCAACUGACGUGGGAGAGGGUGUAUUACACUCACCAAAAAAGGGUUUAAAAUGUUGUUUUUUAGUGGGUUCAGGGGUCCAGAUGACAAACAUGUAAGUAGAAGUGGCCAACUUACAAAAUCGACAUAGUACAAGGGUCCAGAAGGUCAUUUUGCCUAUCUAUAUCUAUAUCUAUAUCUAUAUGUAUAUCUAUAUCUAUAUCUAUAUCUAUAUCUAUAAUUUAUACCUAUAUCUAUAUCGAUAAUUUAUUAAAAUUGUGAAGGGCCUUAGAAAUGUUGUUUGAACUUUUUGUCCUUCAUUAAAAGAUUUUACUUUAGACAAAAUUAUCUUUUCACUAUUUUUUUUAAUAUUUAAGAGUUGAAAAUCAAUUAAAUAUAUUUAUGAUAAAACCUUAAUAUGUCAUCAGAAUUAAUGACAACUAAUAAUUUUUCAUUAGUUUAAGAAUUUUAAAUCAAGUAAAUUUGAUUUUAAUAAGAUUUGAAAAAUAUAGAAAUAAAUAUAAAAACAUUAGAAUAAGAAAAAUUUAAGAAGUAUCAAAAUUUUAAAAGUUUUAAGUACGUAAUAAGAAUGUAAUCAAUGAUUUUGUAAAGAUUUGACUUUAAAAACAAGAAAUGAUUUUAAAUAUAGAAAAAAUGUCACGACCCAAAAGGCCAUGAGUGACACCCACACUAAUCUUCAUGUGGGAGAACCAUCUAAAUCGAACCAUUACCCAAACACUUAAUCAAUAUUAAGAUGAUAUUAUUAUACAUCAACAUAAAAACAAUAAUCCAGGACUAAUCACUAUUAAUGUGAAAGUCAUACAAACUAUUUACUGAAAUCCAAAAGACCGAAAGUCAUCGUAUAAGAACUACUAAUAAAGAUCAUGUCUAAAGAGAUACCAAAAAAUAAUGUAAAUAAAGAAUAUUUCAUUGCCUGAAAGAUGGACAAGAACAAAUAAGAUGACCCAUGGCAGCCUGGAGACAGAGUGCGCACCCUUGGAUCAAGAUCUGCUAUCAAAUCCUAGAGGUGAGGUCAUGUCUGAAUCUCUAGAACACUUUCUAUACUCAACAAAAGAAGAGUACAGGGUAGUAUCAGUACAAACCACUAUGUAUUGGUAGGUAUCAUAGGCUAACUCAAUUUAAUAGCAUGUACACAACAUAAAUCAAAUAGCAAAUAGACAGGCAUCAUCACAUAAUAAAUAUUCAAUAAAUCAACAAUUCAACAACAACAUGUUAAAAAGUGCUCACAAAUAAGCCACAUAACCAUCAAGAGUAUCAACCAUACUGUAAACAUCCACAGAAUCAACAUAAAUACGUACACACAUGCUAUGAGACUUAUUUUUGCCUAAAUAGUCAUGAACUGCAGGGAACAAUCUAUGUUCAUGUACCGUACCGGCGUGGUACCCAAUUCAACAUAUACAUAUCCGUACGGGCUUGGUACCCAAUCUAACAUAUACAUAUCCGUACCGGUGUGUUACCCGAUCCAAUAUAUACAUAUCCGUACCAGCGUGGUACCCGAUCCAACAUAUACAUAUCCAUAAUGAUGUGGUACCCGAUCCAACAUAUAAAUAUCUGUACGGGCGUGGUACCUGAUCCAACAUAAACAAGUAAUAUCAAUAUCAAAUUUACAUUACCUCACAGCAUACAACACAGUGUACCAAGUUUAUAGGUACACUUAAAGUCAUAAUUCCAUCAAGUAAAUUUUCAAUAAUCAUUUAUACACGCAUUAACAAUCCAAAAAUCAACAAUUUCAAGCAUGUUCAAAAACUAAUCAACAAGUAUCCAACUUAAGAGAAUACACACAAUUAAGUUGAGUCUAAACUCCAAUUAAACCGUAACCUAACUCAACAAAAAAAUUCAAUUUUACUUAGUCUGCAAGAACCUUGCCCUUCCUCGCAACUUCAAAAUGUUCAAAAUCUGUUCAAAUAUAUAAUUCUUAUAAGAGUACGAAUCUAACGACACCCUUUUUAUUAAAUUCUUCCACUUAAAAAAAGAAAGAAUCUAAGCCUAAAACCUAAUUUGUAAAAGAAAAAUACAAUUCUACGUGAUAAGUGAUUUCCCUGAAAAAGAAACUCGGACUGGAACUAGGCAAGAACGAAACCCGUACUGUAAUAGCAUUCAUAAUGCCAAAGAUUUUGCCUUCUACCAUUCCUUAGCCUAUGAUUUGAUUUUCUAAUUGAAUGAUACAAUAAGUAAUGAUUAGUUGUAAUCAUUACAGUGUAUCAUACUUGCAGUAUAUCCCAAUUCGUGUAUUUCCAAUUAUAGAAAGUAAAGAAUCAUACAAUUACUUAGUUUUUAAUAUUCUAUUGCAUUAUUGUGUAUCAAUUAAUUGAAUCUACUCUAACCUCAAAUUGUCAAGCACCUUCUCUUCCCAACUCAAUCACGUGUAAGUUGUCUUUUGUGUGCACUUCUGUUACCAUUCAAAGUUAAACCUACUGACUUUAAUUAAUCUCAAUGUGGGUUAUGGGAGAAGAAAAAUAGUUGUAGUUUUAACCUAUUAUCAUUAAUUAAAUUAAUUAUUUAAAAUACCCAAAAUUUUAAUAAUUCCUCAGAAUUUGUUUGAAAUCCCAUAGAAAUAAAUUAAAUGUGUGUAUUGACUAAAAAGUACUUUCCGAACCUUACUGAAAAUACUAUUGACCAUUAUCGAGUUUAUUGACCAUUAUCGAGUUUAACUUUCUCAACUCAAUAACCCCGUUAGUGACUUAGAUGACUUUCGUGAGUCACAAUCCACGUAUACAAACUACGGAGAGUGCUAAAAUAAAGAAGAUGAGAAAAUUUUACAAAAAAUCGGGAGGGUCGUUACAUCAGAUACCAAUUAAAUACCUGUUCAUCCUCAAACGGAUAAACACAAAACAAUGAGGGAAAUCCAGGAAUUACGGGAAUCCGCAAAAAGAUGUGGAUACUUGCUACACAUUUCUGCUUUGGUUUCCCAAGUGGACUCCUCAAUAGUACGAUUCUUCCACUGGACCUUCACUGACGUAAUCUCCUUAGUCUUCAACUUACGGACAACCAAAUACCUAGAUGAGCCUAUGCUACCCCUACCACCCCAGACUCGGAAGGUUCAAUCAGUAUACAAUAAUAAAAGGCAUAUUCUUCACCCAUAUAUAUGCAACCGUCCUAUACCAGCUGAUAAAUAUAGGUGCAUACUGGUGAUAGGCUAUACGCAUGCAGAAAUAAAUGCAAAGUACACAAUCAAUAUCACAACUCAUCAUCAUAAUCAACCUCCAGCCUUAUCUGAUAUCAACACAUCAUCAAUAGUAUCCUCCGGCCUUGACGGAUAUCAACAUAUUAUAAAUAUAUUCUCUGGCCUUGCCGGGUAUCAACAUCAUCAUAACAGUAUUCUCUGGCCUUGCCGGGUGUCAAUAACAUCACAAUAGUUAUUACUGAAUAACAUACACUAAAAUACUCAUAAGUAUAGUCAUAUCACCAUAGAAUAUCUAUCUAGUCAAUACUUUCCAACUACUCGUUAUUAGCUAACCAAUACUCAUUAUAAUAGAAUCACUAGUUCGCUAGUCAUCACAUAACCCCUAGUUAUUAGCCUAAACAUUAUCCUUCACACAAUCCUUAUUCACGGGAUAACAACUAACCACUAUUUAUUUAAUAGCCAAUAUCAACAUCUAGUCAAGAUUCAUCACUAGACCAAAACUGUCAUUUGUCCAUCAUUCAUUAUUAUCAACUAAUCAUCCUAUAUCCGUUAAUCAUUACUAGAUAAUACAUUACUACUUAUGACCUUACCAUCUUUUAUUAACUGACUCCAUUCAUUAUCUAACAAUCGUUUAUCAACUACUCCUUGCUUAACUAUUCAUUGGUUAACCAUUUAGCAAUGAUUCAAAGUUACUAACUAGUCACCUCUUAUUACCAACAUCUCUUAAUAUCUAACCUCAUUAACAUACAACUCCUCGUUUAUUUACUUAUCGACCUCACAAACUUAGUCAUCAAUACCAACUAAUCUUCACAUAUGCUAGACCCAACCUCACCAUAAGUCAUGCAUUAACCAUCGCUAGCUACUAUGUUUUAACUAAGCAAGUUCAUUAACUAAUACAUUAGAUUCCUAGCCAUCACCAGUAUCCAAUCAAUAAAGUCGUAAGCAACAUACCGCAUCUUCCUCCGUCUCAUACCGGAGAAUGUGUAUGUAUACAUAUAUUUAUUCAUAAACUAUAGUUGUAUCCUUUAUGCUGAUAAACACUUCCCGGAUAUUCAAUCAUUAUCAUAACACAGCCUUUGGCCCAUUAAUUUAUUCAGAAUAGUCACAAUAACAUAAUCACUGCCUUAGGCCGAUAUAUCGAUAAUUAUAUUUAUAAGUCGUAACAUAUCUCUAAUCAUCUCACAUAUAGGAGGUAUCUCACAUAUUGGAGGCAUAAUAUAAAUAAACAUGUUAUCAUCUAUAGGAGAUCUUAUAUCGAUCGAUAGGUCAUACAUCAUGACUAUGAGGAAUAUCACCUCUCUAGGCCAAUUAUCAAGUUUAAGAGGAAAUAGCAUCUCUAUAGGCCACAUAAUGUAUCUAGGAGAAAUAUCAUCUUUAAAUGUCCAAUAUCACUUCCAUAAGAAGUAUCAUAACUAUAACUCAAAGCCCACAAUCCGGGAAUAUCAAUACAAGUUACCAAGUUACGAAGUAACCUUAUUCUAAGGUUUACUAGCCUUAUCUAUGUCUAACAUUAGCAACUAAGUCCACAAGACUUAACAAAAGUUUAGGCCUAAGUGGGCCAGACAAUCGUACUUCUAAUCCUUAAUUUUCAUAAUUAGGCACACUAUGCCUCCAAACUAGGCUAAGGUACCUAGUUCAUCUUCUAGAUAUCAAGUAAGUCAUAUUCAAGCCUAAGAUAGAAGUUUCGACUAGAAACAAGGUAUUCAAGUCAACUCUACCCAACUUACUAUUUCAAGACUACUUCACUAGCCCAAUAAGGAUAAAUAUACAAACCAUGCUUCAAAUACUAAAACCACACCCCAAACAUAGGUUUACAUCAUAACCACGCUACAACUAAUUUGAACUAGAGAGGAAAAUCAAUAGGAUUCAAAAGAGGUAUAGACAUGCCAUUUUAUGGGUGCCAUGAAAUUAGAGCCUACAACACAUUAUCCUCCACAACAUUGUUAAUAUCCAUCUAAUCAUCAUACCUUAACCACUCAAUAAGAAAUAUCUACCAAGUAUCACUCAAGGAAAGAUCAAUCAUGCCAUUUAAUAAUUUAUUUAGUCUCCCAUUCAGGAUCAUCCUUAAUUAUUUUAUGAAUGUAACUAAGCCAUUUGAUUUUGCAUUGCCACUAUCAUGGAAAUUACUAUCCUCUAAAAGUGUCACAUAUCAGCCAACUUUGUGGGACAUGCAAAUGUAUAAUUCAGGCACAAGGUCAAGUCAAUAAUAAUUUAUCUUCUCAAAAUUUUUCCUAAUGCAUAAAUCCACAGCUACAACUUAUGUCUUGACAAUCACUAACUCAAUAUUUUUUCAAUGACAAACACUUUAUGGUCAAGCCAAACCUCUCUUAUGUCACUAACACUAAUUUAAGAUAUACAUAGUCAUUCUUAUUUUUAACUAACAAUAUUUUCAUUACGGGCAUUACUUAACUCUUAAUUACCUGAAGAGUGGUCCCCACACCACUAGCACAUAAGCAAGGCCAAACAAAAUAAAUCGAUUGUAGGUCAUUGACAGUCUCAUCACCAAUAUCAUAUUUCAGACAAGUCAUCGAUCAAAUUCUGUAAGUAUCAACAACCUCUACUAGUUUUUUUUCACUUUUAUUUAAAACUCAUUAUUUUGUAAAGCAUUAAGAAUUUGUUCACAUAAGGAACUUAAAGAUAAUGUCACUUAGCUAGUCCCUAUAAGGAACCCAUUAUAAUUUCAAUAAUAGAACUGCACAAAAAUUCUAAAUACGGUCUCAAUGACCAGAUCACACAAGGAUUUCCAAAUAAUAUCAAAUAAUCGAACUACACAAGGAUCCAUCCACAACAUCAUUAACAAGAGCCUCUCAUUAUGGAAAACACAUAUCACCUUAGUUUUUUAUUCAUGUCACUUUUUCACCAUCUUUUUUUGACAUCAUAUUCUCAUAUCAUCCUCUUAAUUCUCAUACCAUCAAUCUCAUCAGUAUAAUAGUACCAAAAAUACGUAAGCACCAUAGAAUUUCUAGUUUCACAAUAACAAGAAAUCAAAUAAUCCCAUCACAUUUAUCAGCAAAAACAACUUCGUCAAUUUUCAUCACUUAACAAAAAUAAUGCACAAUAAUGAUAAAAAUCUAGCAACACAAGUUUAGCGAAAUAUCAAACACAAGCAAUCAAUAAGUUCACAACUUUCAUAAGUCUUUACCUAUUAAUAAUAAAUUUUAGACCUUAUUAACAGGUACCAAUUGAAAUCUCCUAGAUUUUUAUUCAACAUUAUUAAGAUACUAAUUGGAAUUUUCUAGAUACCAAUUGGAUUCAAUCUAGCAGUCCAAUAUUAGGACGGCCCAAUGGAGAGAAAAAAUGAAUUUUACAUACCUCAUAGCAUUAUGAAGAUUGGGUGCGGGACCCUACAUACUAAUCUACGAACUCUACUUGACAUUAUUUUUAUUAACAGAUUAUUUUUAUUAACAGAUACCAAUUGGAAUCGCCAAGUACCAAUUGAAUUUAAGUAAUAGCUUAUAAAAAAGAAGAAUUUGAAUUUUCCUAGUGUCCUAUAGCCUCUCGAAGAAAAGUACAGACGUCUCCGUACAGUUCUAUAAGAAUCUACUAGACAUGUUCUUGUACGAUGAGAUCGACGAACCUAGGGAUCUGAUACCAGCUUUGUCCCGACCCAAAAGGCCAUGAGUGGCACCCAUGCUACUCUUCAUGUGGGAGAACCAUGUAAAUCGAACCAUUACCCAAACACUUAAUCAAUAUUAAGAUGAUAUUAUUAUAAAUCAAUAUAAUAACAAUAAUUCAGGACUAAUCACUAUUAAUGCAAAAUUCAUACAAACAACUUACUGAAACCCAGAAGACCCAAAAGUCAUCGUACAAGAACUACUAAUAAAGAUCAUGUCUAAAGAGAUGCCCAAAAAUAAAGUAACUAAAGAAUAUUUCAUUGCCUGAAAGAUGGAAAAGAACAAAUAAGAUGACCCAUGGCAGCCUGGAGAUGGAGUGCUCACCCUUGGAUCAAGAUCUACUAUUAAAUUCUAGAGGUGAGGUUAUGUCUGAGUAUCUAGAACACUUUUUGCACUCAACAAAAGAAGAGUACAGGGUAGUAUCAGUACAAACUACUAUGUACUAGUAGGUAUCAUAGGCUAACUCAAUUUAAUAGCAUGUACACAACAUAAAUCAAAUAGCAAGUAGACAAGCAUCGUCACAAAAUAAAUAUUCGAUAAAUCAAUAAUACAGCAACAACAAGUCAAAUAGUGCUCACAAAUAAGCCACAUAACCAUCAAGAGUAUCAACUAUACUGUAAACACCCACAGAAUCAACACAAAUAGUACACACAUGCUAUGGGACUUAUUUUUGCCCAAAUAGUCAUGACCUGCAGGGAACAAUCUAUGUUCAUGUACCGUACCGACGUGGUACCCGAUCCAACAUAUACAUAUCUGUAUGGGCGUGGUACCUGAUCUAACAUAUAAAUAUCCGUACCGAUGUGGUACCUGAUCUAAUAUAUACAUAUCCGUACUGGUGUGGUACCCAAUCCAAUAUAUACAUAUCCAUACAGGUGUGGUAACCGAUCCAACAUAUAAAUAUUUGUACGAGCGUGGUACCCAGUCCAACAUAAACAAGUAAUAUCAAUAUCAAAUUUACAUUACCUCACAACAUACAACAUAGUGUACCAAGUUUACAAGUAUACUUAAAGUCAUUAUUCCAUCAAGUAAAUUUUCAAUAAUCAUUUAUACACGCAUUAACAAUCCAAACAUCAACAAUUUCAAGCAUGUCCGAAAACUAAUCAACAAGUUCCAACUUAGGAGCAUACACACAAUUAAGUUGAGUCUAAACUCCAAUUAAAUUAUAACCUACCUCAACCAACAAAUUCAAUUGUACUUAGUCUGCAAGCACCUUUCCCUUCCUCGCAACUUUAAAAUAUUCAAAAUCUGUUCAAAUAUAUAAUUCUUAUAAGAGUACGAAUCUAACGACACCCUUUUUAUUAAAUUCUUCCACUUAAAAAAAGAAAGACUCUAAGCCUAAAACCUAAUUUGUAAAAAAAAAAUACAAUUCCUACGUGAUAAGUAAUUUCCCAAAAAAAGAAACUUGGAAUAGAACUAGGCUGGAACGAAACCCGUACUGUAAUAGCAUUCAUAAUGCCAAAGAUUUUACCUGCCACCGUUCCUUAGCCUAUGAUUUGAUUUUCUAAUUGAAUGAUACAAUAAGUAAUGAUUAGUUGUAAUCAUUACAGUGGAUCAUACCUGCAGUAUAUCCUAAUUCGUGUAUUUCCAAUUACAGAAAGUAAAGAAUCAUGCAAUUACUUAGUUUUUAAUAUUCUAUUGCAUUAUUGUGUAUUAAUUAAUUGAAUCUGCUCUAACCUCAAACUGUCGAGCACCUUCUCUUCCCAACUCAAUCACGUGUAAGUUGUCUUUUGUGUGCACUUCUGUUACCAUUCAAAGUUAAACCUACUGACUUUAAUUAAUCUCAAUGUGGGUUAUGGGAGAAGAAAAAUAGUUGUAGUUUUAACCUAUUAUCAUUAAUUAAAUUAAUUAUUUAAAAUACCCAAAACUUUUAAUAAUUCCUUAGAAUUUGUUUGAAAUCCCAUAGAAAUAAAUUAAAUGUGUGUAUUGACUAAAAAGUACAUUUCGAACCUUACUAAAAAUACUACGACACUAAUUUGAGGUCGUCUCGAUUAAAGAUUGACCAUUAUCAAGUUUAACUUUCUCAACUCAAUAACCCCGUUAGUGACUUAAAUGACUUUCGUGAGUCAUAAUCCACGUAUACAAACUAUGGAGAGUGCUAAAAUAAAGAAGAUGAGAAAAUUUACAAACAACUGAGAGGGUCGUUACAAAAAAUAAUAAUCAUAUCACAUAUUUAGUUCAAAUUGAUCAUAUCUCAACCUCUAAAGGCAAGGGAAAGAGGUACUGCAUGACAAACACAAAAGUGAUAGAUUAGUCAAUUAUUCAAAACUUCUGGUGGAUAUAUAUAUAUAUGUGUGUGUGUGUGUGUGCUUACACACACACACGCUUAUACUAAAAUAUAUGUUUAGAUUUACAUUAUUAUAUUAAAAUGUGAAGAAUCUUUGAAAAGUGAUUUGAAUUUUUUAUACUUUAUUAAAAUCUCCACAAUAGAUAAAAUAAUUUAAUUUCAAAUAAUCAAACAUUACACGUGCUAUUAACCUAAUAUAAUAAAAUAUUUUAAAAUUAUAUUACAGAAUGACUGUAGUCAAUAAUAAAGGUAAAUUAUCAGUUAAUUGAUGAACCAUCCUUCUUGUUUUUGGAACAAAAUAACCCAGAAACAAGAAUAGAUUUUUGGAGACGCGAAUAGAUUUUUGGUUACUUGUAAUGGUGCGGUGGGACUUUUUGGGUUUUUUAUCCUAUAUAAUAACUGGCAAAGAAGCAAAUGCAGUAGAAUGCUCAUGGUCGACAUGCUGGCUUCAGCUGCUUCAACUGUGAUUUUACUGUAUUAUCUCUGAUUAAUUAUUAUAAGUCAUUUACGUAUUAAAAAAAUUUAAAAUAUUUAAUAAAACUAAAAUAGAUAUUUAUGACAUGACUGUUUUAGCUUCUUCAACCACGAUUUUACUCUAUCACUCAUAAUUAAUUAUUAUAAGUCAUUUAAGUAUUAAAAAAUUAAUAAAAUUUGGUAAAAGAGGUUAAAAUAGACGUAAAAUAAUAAAUUAUUUUUUGACAUUUUUAUAAGUCAUUUAAGUGUUAAAAAAUUAAUAAUAUUUAACAAAAAAGAUAAAAUAAACAUAAAAUAAUAAAUUAUUUUUUAAAUUAACUUGACGCCUUAUAUGCGGCCACUUAAAAAAUAUAAAUUAUUUUUGAUAUUUUAAAUUAGCUUGACAUCUUAUAUGAGACCACUUAUAAAAUUUUCUCAAGUAUUUGUUAUAAUAAUUUUACUAUGUCACUUCUAAUUUAUAGAAUAGAAGAAAAAUAUUAUAAAUCACAGUAAUUGAAAAAAUAAAUUAUUUAAAAAAUAUAAUUGACUAUCAAUGCCGCAAAAUUUUGAACAACUUAAAAUAUUAUUAUACAAAUUUCAUCAAUCUAAAUGUAAUGAUAUAUGCUUAACUUAGAAUGUAUCAACCAAACAAAUAAAAGUUUUAAUUAAAUAAUAGAAUUAUACAUAACGUAGAAUUUUUAAGGAUCAACUUUAAGCUGUGCGUAGCAUAGCGUAAUCCGACUAGUAAGUGUAUGUAGGUGUAAGGAUUUGAAUAGCUUGGACAAAAAAUUAUACUUAAAAAAAACAAAAAAUUAUACUGUUAUUUUUCUUUUGUAAUUUAUUUCUCAAUUUGUUAAAUUUAGAAAGUGCGUUAAAUUUAGGGGGUUAAGGUUUUUCUUUGCUUUCCCGCCCCUGCUAUGCUUUUCCUCCUAUAAUUUUUAGGUAGUUUCUUCUUUAUAUUUAAAGGCGGAGCUAAAGUUUGAGGUUUAGAAAAUUAUAAGACAAAACAAUGAUCUUAAGUUAAUAUAUAUCAACCAUCAAACUAACUAACAAGUACUGAUAUUCUAACUUAUUUAAGAAGAUACAGAUUACUUAAACACAAAAUUUUGGAAAAAGUACAAUUUAGCCAGCUCUGAAAAAAUUGGAAGAAAAAACUUUAAUUUGCCUACACGAGAUCUCACCGGAAACAAUGGCCUUCAUGGCCGAUGGCCAACCUCCAACAUUGGAGAUUGGUCAAGCAACUCUUGAUGAUCCCACAAAACCAAAACCCACUUAUGCUAAUCUAUUACAAACCAAUAAUAAGCCUCAUAAACCACUUCCUCUAAAAGAGAUUUCAUACUUGCAUGGUGAACCACGUAUUAUUUGGGAGGAGGAGGUGGUCAACCAAAUGAUAAUCAAUGAAAAACUACAAUACGUGGUUAUUGGAAAAUUCUCUUAUGGCUGGCCAUAUAUUCAAGAUCUGAGACGUCUAAUCCCAAAACAAUUUGAGUUGAAGGGAGGGGUUAAUAUUGAGAUACUUGGUAGUACGCAUGUUUUGAUAAGAGCUACUAAAAUAGAAGAUUGUGUGCAUUUGUUAUCAAAACUACAGUUCCAUAUUACAAAGAAUUAUUGGUCCUACCCUAUGAGAACUUUGAAAUAGGAUCCAAUGUUUAACCCAGGGGAAGACACUACUACUGCUAUUGCAUGGAUAUCUUUUCCAUCACUGUCUCUUAAUUCUUCGCAAACAAAUCAGUCUUUUCAUUAGCAGUAACUUGUAGGAAACCACUGCAAGUGGAUUUAGCCACUUAGAACAAAACAAGGCCAAGUUGUGCCAGAGUUAAGGUUGAAGUAGAUCUGUUAGGUGAUUUUCCUUAAAGGAUCAACAUUGGUAUGAAAAAGAAGACAAGAAAGGUGAUAGAGAAAUGGAUUCAUAUUAAAUAUGAUUAUGUUCCCAAAUACUAUAAGGAAUGCAAAUUACAGGGACAUAAUGAAAAAGAGUGUUAUGCCAUACAUACAGAGUUAUAUCCAAAGGAUGACGUGGAGGAGGAAGAAGAAAAGAAGACUCAAAAUAAAGAAAAAAAGACUAAAGAAAUUAUUAAGAGAGAUACAGGAAAAGAUAAGGCAUAGAAAGCAACCAAAAAGAAAGGGAUACCAUAGAGUAAGGAAAGAAAAGAGGUGGAAUCAGAAAGACAUACCCAUGAAAGAGUAAGAGGUUACAACUAAUAACAAGUUUGGUGCACUUGAGGAGAAGGAUUCAAUGACUGAUGUUAAUAAAGAUGAAAUAGGAGCAAGUAGCAGGAAAGCAAAUGAUUAAAAACAAAAAAAUCAACAAGAAGGACAUUCUUUGAGUAACAACAAAAUAGGUGACAUAGUUGCAACUCUACAAAGUAGAAAUAAAAGUGCAAAUAUAAGAGGAGACGGGCAGAAAGAGUCACAAAUUUCAGUAAGAGUUAGUGAUAGAGAAACAGGUGACUCAUUUAACAAAGGGCAGAAUGUGACACAAAAAAAAAGACAUAGAAGUUGGGAAUACUAACAAAAUACAUGAAGUGCUGGAAAUAGAAAUAAGGCUGAACAGAUAAAGGGCAUAGAGACGCCUAAAAUACAGAAUUUAACUCAGUAAAAGAAGCAGCAGAGACAGGAUCACGAAGAAGAUGCAGAAAUGGAUGCUAAUAUAGAUCAAAUUGGUAGAGAUGGGGAUUUGUCCCCAAGGAAAAUUGGCUAGUUGAAGGGAGGAAAUUGAAAAGAAAGCAAAAACACUGCAGCCAAAUCACAUAUCAAUACAAGGAGAAAAACAAGUUACCAAUCCAAUAGGGAUCAAUGAUUAAUAAGGUAUUAUUUUGGAAUAUUAGAUCUAUUAGAACUUAAUGUUCAUUUGAGAGACUAAUAGAUCUAAAGAGAAGAAAUAAUUAUUCUUACAUUGGUCUAUUGGAACCUUUUCAAAUUCCUUCAGAAUAAGAUGAAUACAAAAGAAGACUAGGUAUGGCAAAUGCAAAGGAAAACUGUUCAACUAAAAUUAGGGUCUUUUGGGAUGAUGAAUGGCAAGAAAUUGGCUCUUAUGAUUCUUACAAUAGUUAACUUUGGAAUUUAAAUUGACUAAAGGAACAGAAGUUUUCAAAGUAAUUACAGUUUAUGCUAGAUGCAGUCAUUUAGAGAGAUUAGAACUGUGGAAGGAUAUGGAGGAAAUUCUAAAUAAUGCUCAUGUUUCUUGGCUUGUUGGUAGAGAUUUUAAUGUCAUAAUGGAUGAGCUUAAAAAUUUAGGAGGAAUUCAAGUUACACGACAGGAAACUUUGGAUUUUUCGCAGUGUAUAAACUCAUGUGGUUUAAAUGAAUUGAGAUUUACAGGAAGCAGGUUCACUUGGUGGAAUGGGAGAAUUCAGAAGGACUGUAUUUUCAAAAUAUUGGGUAGGGUAUUUGGUAAUAAUGAGCUUAUUUUUUUUGGCGGACUUUAAGCGUUGCUAUAACUUAUUUUAUUUAUCUAUUGCAAUGAUUAAUGUCAAAUGCGACAGUUAUGGUAUUAAAUUAGAGCAAAUAGAACAAUUAUUUUUGGCAACGCUUGCAACCGUUCCAAUAGACAAUCUAUUGCAACACUUUGUUAACGGUCGCCAAAAAAUUCAUUGCCAUAGGGGUAAUUUCCACUAGUGAACUCAUAAUAUAAAAAUAAAAAGGGAUCUUUGGACUCUAUGGGUGAAAAGGGCCCAUGGAUGAACAUCACACAUAUCUUAAACCCAUAAGCUUGAAAGAGAAACACCAAUCUUAAUGCUUUCUUGAAGGUUCUUGUAUUUAGAAACUUGAAUUCUUGGUUUCCUUAGAGAGAAAGUAACAGAAAUUGAUGUUCUUGGGAGGUAAAUAGGGUUUAUUUGAGAGAAAAAUUGAAGAAGAUGGGAAAAUAAUGCCCUAACUGACGUUAUAAUUUGUGAAUUAACUAAUUGAAUUGAGGGGAAAAAACAUAAUUUCCCCUCAGGCAAUUAAAUUCGUAACUGGAACACGGUUUAUAGGGUCGCUGUGAUGCGAUGAGGGUUCCAUCAUUAUUACCACUGGGAUGCAUCUCAAUUGCGAUGAGCUGCUGGAAUCGUGAUCCAAACAUGACCCAAUUCUUGUCCGAAAAAUCCAAUACUUCUCCGAGAUAUGCAUCUUACUCCUCUGAACAUGACAUAACUUUAAAACCAACAUCUCGGGGUUAGUAAGACCAAUUUAAAAAUCAUCAAAGUAAAGAGUCCUUAAAAUGACUAAGUCCCCAAUACUUAGUGAAAUUUUUAGGAAUUAAGCUUCUUAUGCAUGCAACUAGGAGCUGAACUAAGCUAAGUAUAAUACGGGGUAUUAUAAUAUAUCCCCCUGGGAACAGUUAUCCUCGAAUGAGAUUGAUUUAGCUGAGAAUACUGAAGAAACUAAGAUAAUAUACUGAACAUGCAUGACUGAAAACAUGAAUACAUAACUGGGUCUGAAACAUGAUAUAUGAACUGAAUUGAUUUCGUGAAUGCAUGCAAUGACAUGAGAAUAAUUAUAUAGCUGGAAUUGAGAAUGGAAAAUAGUCAAUCUAAGAGGAACUAUUACCUUAAGCUAAGUCUGAGUUUUUAGAGAAAAGGUCAGGGUACUUGGUUUGCAUAUCUGCUUUUGCUUCCUAAGAGGUCCCUCAACGGACUGAUUCCACCAAAGGUUUUUGACCCAAGGAACUUCUUUGUUCCUUAGUCUACAAAUCUGUCAAUCGAGGAUCUCAACUGGGAUUUCUUUGAAGGAAAGGCUACCCUUAACCUUCAUAUCCUCCAAUGGAAUAACCACAGCUGAAUCACCAAUACACUUCUUUAAUAGGGAAAUAUGAAACACUGGAUGUACUGAUGCUAAAUUUGCAAGAAAUUCUAGCUCAUAAGCUACCUUCCUAAAAUGGCUCAGGAUUCUGUAAGGGCCAACACAUCGGGGACUAAGCUCCCCUUCUUGCCGAAUCUCCUUGCUCCCUUUAUGGAAGAGAUAUUCAAAUAAACCCAAUCCCCAACUUUGAAAUUAAGAUCUCAUCUCCUCACAUUUAUGUAAGAUUUCUGACUACUUGGGCUAUCUUAAGCCUCUCCUUACUUAAUUGAACUUUCUCCAUUGCAUCAAACACUGAAUCUAGCCCUAUCAAUGCAGCCUCACCUGCUUCAAACCAACAAAUAGGAGAUCUACAUAUCCUCUCAUAGAGGGUCUCAGAUGGAGCCAUCUGAAUACUGGAUUGAUAACUGUUAUUGUAGGCAAACUCAAUCAAAGGGAAGGAUCAUCCCAACUUUCUUUAAAGUCAAUAACACAUGCUCUCAACAUGUCCCCUCGGGUCUGAAUGAUCCUCUCUGCCUUACCAACUAUCUGAGGAUAAAAAGCUGUACUGAAAUGAAUGUGGGUACCAAGACCCUUCUAAAAAGCCCUCCAAAAGUGAGAGGUAAAUUGAGUACCUCUAUCUGAAAUAAUAGACAAUAAGACUCUAUGCAACCUAACCAAAUAUCUAAUAUAGAGAUUGGCAUAUUCUUCGUUGAAUAAGAAGUAUGAACUAGCAAAAAAUGAGCUUAUUUGGUUAUUCUGUCUAUAAUCACCCAUAUCGAAUCAUGCUGACGAUGCGUAUGAGGCAACCCUAUCACAAAAUCCAUAAUCACCUCUUCCCACUUCUAAGUAAGAAUGCUGAACUCUUGUAAUGUGCCACUAGGCCUCUGGUGUUCAACCUUGACUUACUGAUAGUUUGAACACUUAGUUACGAACUCUAAAAUAUCCCUCUUCAUACCACUCUACCAAUAAUUUCCCACAAAUCACGGUACAUCUUAGUGGCUCCUAGGUGUAAAGAGUAAUGCGCACCAUGCACUUCCACCAAAAUCCACUAUCUUAAAUUAUCAACACAUGGUAUACACAACCUACCUUUACAUUGCAACACACCAUCUCUCAUUUGGGAGAAAACCUCUACCUUCUGAUCUCUAUCUGAUUGCUUCAACUUAACCAAACUGGAAUCCCUAUCUUGAUUUCUUUCGGCAACCAAAGAAGAUUUCGAACCAUUCUGAACCCAUAUACUACCCUCAACUGAAUCAACCAACCGAAUGCCUAAUCUAGAAAGCCGAUGAACCUCCCUGACUGACUUCUUCUUUUCAUCCUCAACAUAAGCAACAUUACCCUUAUACAAUCUACUAAGAGCAUCUACCACUACAUUGGCCUUGCCCGAAUGAUACAACGCACUCAUGUCAAAAUUUUUUAACAACUCAAGCCACCUUCUCUAACAAAGAUUUAAAUCCUUCUAAAAAAAUACAUACUGUAAAAUUUUGUGAUCCAUGAACACAUAAAAAUAAACUCCAUAAAAGUAAUGCCUCCAAAUUUUCAAGGCAAAAACAACAACUUCCAACUCAAGAUCAAGGGUAAUUUUUUUCAUGAGGCUUAAGCUAUCUAGAGGCAUAGGCUAUGACCUUACCUCUCUACAUCAAUACAAAACCAAGACUAACUUUGGAAGAAUCACAGUAAAUAAUGAACCCAUCUAAACCAUUUUGCAAAGUUAAGACUGGGGUUGAGGUGAGUUGAGUCUUCAAUUCCUAAAAACUCUUUUCACAAGAAUCUGUAACUGAAAUUUGACUUUCGUCUGAGUCAGUCAAGACAUGGGGGAUGAAAUAGAUGAAAACCCUUUAAUAAACCAUUAGUAAUAGCCAUCCAAACCCAAGAAGCUCCUGAUAUUUGAUGGAGAGAUAGGUUUGGGCUAGUUUCUUACUAAUUCAGUCUUUUGAGGGUCAACUCUAAUGCCAUUACCAAAAAUACAAUGGCCAAGGAAAGCUACUACAAAACUCACAUUUACUGAAUUUGACGAAUAACUGAUGGGCUCUAAGAGUCUGUAAUACAAUUUUAAAAUGGUCUGCAUGAUCAUUUUCACUAUGGGAGUAUACAUGAAUAUCAUCAAUGAAGAUUAUGAUGAACAUGUCCAAUUACUGCUUGACCACUCUUUUCAUCAGUUCCAUGAAAGUUGCUGGGGCAUUCGUUAGUCCAAAAGACAUAACUAGGAAUUCUAAAUGACCAUACCGAGUUUUAAAGGCUGUCUUCGGAAUGUCAUAUUCCCUAACUCUGAGAUGAUGAUAGUCGGAUCUGAGGUUUAUCUUAGAGAAAUAACUGGCAACCUAAAUUUGAUCGAACAAGUCAUCAAUCAUGGGGAGUGGAUACUUAUUCUUGAUUGUGACUUUUUUCAACUGACGAUAAUCGAUGCACAUUUUGAGAGAACUAUCUUUCUUACGUACCUAUCUUUCUUACGCACGAACAGGACUGGAGUGCCCUACAAGGAAAUACUGGAUCUGAUGAAUACCCUAUAUAAAAGAUGUUUCAAUUGUUCUUUCAACUCUUUGAGCUCAGCUGGCGCCAUUCUGUAGGGCAAAAUAGAGAUAGGCUGGGUAUCUUGAAGGAGAUCUAUUCUAAAGUCAAUUUCCCUUUUAGGAGGAACUCCGGGAAGAUCUUUAGGGAAAAUGUCUGGAAAUUCCCUUACUACUAAAAUAGACUCGAGAUUUGGAGUCUCAAAACUAAAGUCUUUGACUCAAACAAGAUGGUAAAGAUACCCCUUAGUUAUUAUUUUUCUUGCCUUAAGAUAUGAAACAAUUUGAUCCCUAAGCAUGAAGUACUAUCCCUCCAUUUAAUAAUUGGUUUAUUGGGAAAAUAAAAUUAGAUGACUCUAUUUCUAUAGUCAACUGAAGCAUAGCAUGAGUAUAGCCAAUCCAUGCAAAAAAAUAUCAAAAUCAGUCAUCUUUAACUCCACAAGAUCUACUGAAGUGAUUUUCUGGGAUACUGUAACUGAGCAAUUUCUAUAUACUCUUCUGGCUAUGAUUGAGUUACCCAUUGGGGUAGAAAUUGAGAAAUGCUCUGCUAAUAUUUUGGGACUGACACCGAAUUGAUAACUAUAUAGAGGGUUACAAAAAAAAGUAAAGCUCCAGGGUUUAAUAAAACAUACAUAUGAAGAUGAAAAACCAGUUACAUACUCGUAACUACAUCAGGAGAGCAUUCUUAAUAAUGCCAGGACUGGAGUGUGUACAACCUGUUCUGGCGCUGUCUACUGGUUGUAUUGGAAGUGACACCCUGCUGAGUUGGGCGACUGGCUAGAACCUAGGAAUGACUAUGAUGACUAUACUGACCUACCUGUGGGCAUUCUCAGACUCUAUGGCCUGGCUUUUCAUAUCUAAAAGAUACAUCACUGCCAGCCUUACACACACCUUGAUAAUUUUUACCAUAUAUCCCACAGAGUGGAUUAGUACGACCACUGUUCAAACUAUCCUGGGACUUGGUUCCUGGCGUCCUAUCCAAACUCUUAUUUCGAAACUUUAGAACUAGUUGAAGGUAGAGUUGGGGCUAAAAAUUUUUGAUGGAAUUGAGAACAGUUACCACCCUCUGACCUCAGUUGAGAAAAGUUAAAGCUACCUAUUCUGGCCCUCUUAUUCUCUUUCUCUUUCACCUUAAGAUUCUAUUCCUCAAUCUACUGAGCAUGAACUAUAAGCCUAGAUAGGUCUAUCUCCUCGAUCAAUAUAGCAGUCCUACACUCCUUGACCAGAAUAUCAUCUACACCUGAAACAAACUUACUCAUUCUAGAGCUAUUAUCAGCCCCCAUCGAAGGAGCAUACCUUGCCAACUGAGUAAACUUAAGCGAGUAUUCCUUCACACUAAUAUUACCCUACUUCAAUUUAAUGAACUUCGUCACCUUAGCUGUAGUACCCUAAUUCGCUAAACCGGAAUGCUAAACGGUGCUCAUGACCCCGAAGGACCACAAGCUAACCCAUGACUGAUAUCUGCACCUGUAAACUGUAUAAUAUCUCAUAAAAUAUACGGAAACAUGAACUGUAAGGCCAUAAGGUUCAAUACUGAUACAUAUCUGAAAAAUAUGGUAUAAAAAUACCAAAAAGAAACAUAAAUACUGAAGUCUAAACAACUAAUCUGAUAUCUAGUCUAAAAGCCUCUAACUGAACUAAAUAAGGAGUUGAUGGGACAUGUCCCCAACUAACUCUAACUACUGAAAUAAACUAAAAAUUAAAAUAGAAAUGAAAUCAUCAUGUCCUCGAAGGAUGAGGACUCACGUCUAACUCUGACUGCUGAUCCUAGAAUCUACUACUGAUUUGGAGCUCAUGCCUCUGAACCUAUGGUGUAACAUAAGAGAAAGCACCAUAGUGUAAAUCCGUCAGUACGUCUGAAUGUACUGAGUAUACGAGUGAGGUAGGCUAAAUGCAAAGGGUUAUAUGCAUGAAAAAUACUAACUGAUAUGAACGUGAGAGUACAUACAUGCAUACAUAACUGUAACUGAACUCGUGGAGAUACUGACUACUGAGUCUGAAUACUGACAAUAAGAGUGUACUGGUAAUGAGAUUCUGAAAGAUUGAGUUUACUGAUAUUGAUAUGUAAAUCAAUGAUAAGUGAUGGAUCUAAUACUGUAUUACUGAAUACUGGGAGACUGAUACUAUAUUACUGAUAAAGGAAUGAUUGUUUCUGACAAUCGGAAUUAUGAAGAACUGGUCUGAUUGACUGUAUCUGAUAGUCUUGAAGCUGAGUACUGAUAGCAUGAGUUCUGAUAACUGUUGUAAUUGAUAGCAUAAGUGACUGUAUCUAACAGUCUAUAAAUCUAAAGGAAACUAUCUGAGUUCAAUUCUAUUUCUGAGUUGACUGUAUCUGACAGUCCUGAUAUACUGAAAUCUGAAGAACUAUCUGAGUUCUUUACUGAGACUGGGUAGCUAUAGCUGACAGUCAUGAAAUAUGUAACUGAAACUAUAGGAAGUAGUUAUCUAACCGACAUGCCCCAAAUAUGCUAUAAUAGCUAAGCUGGGGUCCAAUCUCUGCCCCGACUGGAGGGGUGUCAAUACCGCGCCACUGGUAAGAAAAGCUGUGAGAACCCUAUACUGAAAGAUACUCAAAUGAGAACGGGCGGAAUCCUAAAUUGAUGGGUUAAGCCACCUCAUCAACCCUAGUCUGACGGGUUAAGAUGUCAUAACCUACGCUGGCUACGUAGUUCUAGAACACAAGUAUGACUACUAAGAAUCACACCCUGAAAUGGUGGGUGAGUUCCCAUCCUUGGGUUCACUCGGUGCUAACUUCUACUCCCAUCUGAAGGACACUAAACUAAAUAACUAAGCUGAACUGAAUAACUAAACUGAACUGAUUAGCUGAACUGAUACUGAUUAACUGGACUGAUACUAGUGGUAUUGUUUAGCAGAGCUAAACUAAGUUUACUGGAUUCCAAUGACUGACGAAAUGUACUGAGUUCUGAGGACUGGUUGAGAGUACUGAAGUUACUAAGAUUGACUGUGAAUACUGAGGUUGCUGAGGUUACUAAGCACUGAGAUUAUUGAGAUUACUAGACUACUGAGAUUACUGAGAUUUCUGAGUUUUCCUGAGUCACAUGACUGACUGAAUUCUAUAGAUCAUGGCUUGACUGAGAGUAUCAUGAAGACAUGACACGACUUUAGGCACACAACUAUAUUUUUUGGGUACAAGUACCCCCAGGACUCGAUGGAAGGAAACUGACACAACUUGAAUUUCUUGAGUACACGACCAUCAAUAAAAAUCCAUAAUACAUGAGUGGGGGAUUUCAUGAAGUACAUGGCUAUCAUAAUAUCUAUCAUGAAUCUCAUAUUUUAAUAUCAUGGGCAUUCCGACAACAUAUACUAUUCAUAGAAAUCUCAUGGAAACCAUUCAAGCGUAAGGGAACGGCAACAUGUAACGUUUAGUUCAUAUUGUAAUGAUUCAGGGAUAUUAUACUUCAUGUAUUUAUUCAACAUCUCAAACAUGGUAGGGAANNNNNNNNNNNNNNNNNNNNNNNNNNNNNNNNNNNNNNNNNNNNNNNNNNNNNNNNNNNNNNNNNNNNNNNNNNNNNNNNNNNNNNNNNNNNNNNNNNNNNNNNNNNNNNNNNNNNNNNNNNNNNNNNNNNNNNNNNNNNNNNNNNNNNNNNNNNNNNNNNNNNNNNNNNNNNNNNNNNNNNNNNNNNNNNNNNNNNNNNNNNNNNNNNNNNNNNNNNNNNNNNNNNNNNNNNNNNNNNNNNNNNNNNNNNNNNNNNNNNNNNNNNNNNNNNNNNNNNNNNNNNNNNNNNNNNNNNNNNNNNNNNNNNNNNNNNNNNNNNNNNNNNNNNNNNNNNNNNNNNNNNNNNNNNNNNNNNNNNNNNNNNNNNNNNNNNNNNNNNNNNNNNNNNNNNNNNNNNNNNNNNNNNNNNNNNNNNNNNNNNNNNNNNNNNNNNNNNNNNNNNNNNNNNNNNNNNNNNNNNNNNNNNNNNNNNNNNNNNNNNNNNNNNNNNNNNNNNNNNNNNNNNNNNNNNNNNNNNNNNNNNNNNNNNNNNNNNNNNNNNNNNNNNNNNNNNNNNNNNNNNNNNNNNNNNNNNNNNNNNNNNNNNNNNNNNNNNNNNNNNNNNNNNNNNNNNNNNNNNNNNNNNNNNNNNNNNNNNNNNNNNNNNNNNNNNNNNNNNNNNNNNNNNNNNNNNNNNNNNNNNNNNNNNNNNNNNNNNNNNNNNNNNNNNNNNNNNNNNNNNNNNNNNNNNNNNNNNNNNNNNNNNNNNNNNNNNNNNNNNNNNNNNNNNNNNNNNNNNNNNNNNNNNNNNNNNNNNNNNNNNNNNNNNNNNNNNNNNNNNNNNNNNNNNNNNNNNNNNNNNNNNNNNNNNNNNNNNNNNNNNNNNNNNNNNNNNNNNNNNNNNNNNNNNNNNNNNNNNNNNNNNNNNNNNNNNNNNNNNNNNNNNNNNNNNNNNNNNNNNNNNNNNNNNNNNNNNNNNNNNNNNNNNNNNNNNNNNNNNNNNNNNNNNNNNNNNNNNNNNNNNNNNNNNNNNNNNNNNNNNNNNNNNNNNNNNNNNNNNNNNNNNNNNNNNNNNNNNNNNNNNNNNNNNNNNNNNNNNNNNNNNNNNNNNNNNNNNNNNNNNNNNNNNNNNNNNNNNNNNNNNNNNNNNNNNNNNNNNNNNNNNNNNNNNNNNNNNNNNNNNNNNNNNNNNNNNNNNNNNNNNNNNNNNACGGGGUAUUACAAUAUCUCCCCCUUGGGAACAUUCAUCCUCGAAUGGAAAUUAACUGAAGCAGGAUAGAUGAUAAGAUGAAGUACAUACAAGAAAUACACUACUGAAACAUGUGUUCAUGACUGGCAUGACUGAAAGCUGAGCACAACAUACUGAACAUGCAUAUCUGAUGCAUGGGAAGCUGAUUCAUGAAUAUAAGACUGAGGAUUCUAAUAAAGUAAGUUUUCUCAAAAUAAGAAUACAUAUCUGAUGCACAACUGAAAGAAUGAAUCCAUGCAUAUCUGAUCCAUGAUUAUAUGACUGACAUAAUACGUAAAUGCAUGACUGAAAGUACUAAUGAGCUGAUCACACAUAUCUGAUGCGUGAAUUCAUGACUAAACUUACUCAUUAACAUGAAAUGGUAAAGGUAUCAAGUUUGAACUGAAAACNNNNNNNNNNNNNNNNNNNNNNNNNNNNNNNNNNNNNNNNNNNNNNNNNNNNNNNNNNNNNNNNNNNNNNNNNACCUUGAACUGAUAAUACCGAUAAGUUUGAGAUUAAUUACUCCAUAUGCAUGAUCGGAAACAUGAGAACAUAACUUAGUCUGGGACAUGGUAGAUAUACUGAAUAUCAUGAUCUGAACUAAAUCUUGAAAACAUGGCAUACAACUGGAGUUAGAGUUUGAGGGUUAAAUUAUGAGUACCCCUUCUCCAAACUGGAUUCAUCAAAAGAAAAUAGAGCAGCAUGUUUAUGUCAUGAAAGUUUAGGGGUAUGAUGUAUCUACCCCUUGGGACACUAUGUCCCUCAAAGAAUACUGACUUGGAUGAGGUACUGAGGGAAAUUGAGGUGAUGCGCAAGACACCUAGGAACUGAGUCAUGACUGAAUAACUAGGAUCUGAAACUGAGACAUGAUACAUGAACUGGGCUGAACACGAGUGUAUAAAUACACUAACUUAUCUAAUUAACUAAAUAACUGAUAGCUGAAUACUGGAUUUGUAAAGCUAAACUGUACUUAGUCUGAAUAGCUGGGCUGAGAUUUUUGAGUUUUAUGCUUAGGAAAUAAGGACUAACUGAGUAUAAUGAGGUAUCUUAGCAUGGAUUCAUGAAUUCUGUAUUAUUUUUGAAUGCGAUACCAAGUAUACGACAUGGCUCUAAGGUAUUCUAUAAACUGGGGUACUGAAACACUGAUAACUAAGUACUGACAACCUAAAUGCUAUGGUUAAGCAUGUCUGGAACUGAACUAAGUUUCAAAUCUGGUUACUGAACUGAAGAUGACAUUAUAACUAAGCCUAUAGCUAGUACAGAAGUACUAAAUUCAAGGACUGAACACUGAUCACUGAGUGCUGGUUACUGAAACUAUAAUUGAGUUGGCAACUGAGUUUUUGAUGGCUACAUGCUGGGGACUGACAUAAGUCAAGGAUCUAAAUGUACACUUACAUUUUGUACUUUCCCAACUUCUAAAUACGACCCCUUGCUAGACAUUUACUUGCAUAUUUAUCAUGAUAUUCAAGACUAUCUUCACAACUACACCCUUGUGCAAAGUAAGCAUGCAACAAUCUUCUCUUAUCUAAACAACUGCUCAUCACUACACUGUUCCAUAAGGAGAGCUAACUGGAGGAGUAAAUCAGAAGGACCUGAAACAUGAAUAGAUACAAACUAAACUAGACACAUGACUGAAACUUGAGGAAUAAAAUAUCAAUAGUUUGGAUUUACCAAUAAGGUCUGAACUGAGGAUAUACAUGAUAUAGAUAAAUGUAUCUGAUCUGUAGGGGCAUAGCAUGAGCCAUGGAAACUAAGUACACUGGAAAGCAUGAUAUGCGUACAUGAGUCAUUAGCUGCAUGACCUGAGUCUAGAGUUUUCUGUACUCGUGGGACAUGAUUCAAAUACUAAGGGAGCUGGAACUGAACCCCUUAUACUGGGAACUGAAGGUGCACAUAAUCCCAUGGAAAGUGUGUAAAAGUAGAUUGUUCUCAUGGAACAUGACUCGUACUGUGGAGUAAAAGGGACUCCUUAUGAUGGAAAUUGAAUUCAUAAUGAUUAUAGUUCGUGACCAUAGAGUUGGUAUGCAAUUCCUGAGUGGAUUUCGUGAUAGCUAAAGUACAAAUCUUUGUACUGAGAAAAGGAUGGGUUGGGAAUCGUCUUCCCUUACUGCUUUUCUAUAUAUACUGGCACUACUACUGGAAUCUUGAGAGUCUGACUUGGUCACUUGAUCUACCAUCACAUACCUAUAUUCUGUUCAACACCUGCCUGUCUUACUAAACACAUCAUCUAAUUCUGUUUUCUCAUAUAAUGCUAAUAUCACAUUCACACCUUCAUGCUUAAUUUUGAGUCAAUAAACUUAAGUGUUUAGCUCGUACUGUUUAAGCCUACUAAUCUAAUCCCCAUGAAUACAUAAUCUGAUAGAAUAAUAUAUCCCAGCUCUACUACUGCUAAACUUCUGGGUUCAAUAAUGAGUUCUCAUAAUCAUGAACAAAAUUUGUACGACCUUGGAACAAUAAUAAACUGAUGGAAUACUGUUUGAGUCUGUUGUUAAUCUCAUAACUGACCGUAGGGACUAUCUGAGAAAGCCCUGUCUUUAGGACUUUGAACUUCACUAUUUCUAUUACCUUGAAAGUAAGGUAAAGUGAACAUGAGGGGUGCAUGAUAUGAAUCUACAUGGUUUCCUUAAAGAAAAUUGCUAUAGCACGAUCUUGAGAUAUGAAAGAAGGGAGACUGUUCCUAAAACAUCUAAUAGCCUUUUGCACAUAAGUGUGGUGCACAACACGUCCAUGUACUAGACUCUACUUGAUGCAGCUUUCAGACUUCUUGACACUGUUGAACCUUAGGCUCUGAUACCAAGUUUGUAACACCCCAAUUCACUGAAUCGGAAUACUAUACGGUGCUCAUGACACCGCUAACCCAUGACUGAUACCUGCACCUAUAAACUGCAUAAUAUCUUAUAAAAUAUGUGGAAAUAUAAACUGUAAGGCCAUAAGGUUCAAUACUAAUAUAUAUCUGAAAAAUAUGGUAUAACAAUACCAAAAAUAAAUAUAAAUACUGAAGUCUGAACAUCUAAUCUGACAUCUAGUCUGAAAGCCUCUAACUGAACUGAAUAAGGAGUUGAUGGGAUAUGUCCCCAACUAACUCCAACUACUAAAANNNNNNNNNNNNNNNNNNNNNNNNNNNNNNNNNNNNNNNNNNNNNNNNNNNNNNNNNNNNNNNNNNNNNNNNNNNNNNNNNNNNNNNNNNNNNNNNNNNNNNNNNNNNNNNNNNNNNNNNNNNNNNNNNNNNNNNNNNNNNNNNNNNNNNUUAUAUGCAUGAAAAAUACUGACUGAUAUGAACGUGAGAGUACAUACAUGCAUACGUAACUGUAACUGAACUCGUGGAGAUACUGACUACUGAGUCUGAAUACUGAUAACAUGAGUGUACUGAUAAUGAUAUUCUAAAAGAUUGAGUUUACUGAUAUUGAUAUGUAAAUCACUAAUAAGUGAUGGAUCUGAUACUGUAUUACUGAAUACUGAAGACUGGUACUAUAUUAUUGAUAAAUGAAUGAUUGUUUCUGACAGUUUGAAUUAUGAAGAACUGGUCUGAUUGACUGUAUCUGACAGUCAUGAAGCUGAGUACUGAUAGCAUGAGUUUUAAUAAUUAUUGUGAUUGAUAGCAUAAGUGACUGUAUCUGAAAAUCCAUAAAUUUGAAGGAAACUAUCUGAGUUCAAUUCUAUUUCUGAGUUGACUGUAUCUGACAGUCCUGAUAUACUGAAAUCUGAAAAACUAUCUGAGUUCUUUACUGAGACUGGGUAGCUAUAGCUGACAGUCCUGAAAUAUAUAACUGAAACUGUGGGAAGUAGUUAUCUAACCGACAUACCCCAAAUAUGCUAUAAUAGCUAAGCUGGGGUCCAAUCUCUGCCCCAACUGGAGGGGUGUCAAUACCGCGCCACUGGUAAGAAAAGCUGUGAGAACCUUAUACUGAAAGUUACUCAAAUGAGAACGGGCAGAAUCCUAAACUAAUGGGUUAAGCCACCUCAUCAACCCUAGUCUGAUGGGUUAAGAUGUCAUAACCUACGUUGGCUACGUAGUUCUAGAACACAAGGAUGACUACUAAGAAUCAUACCCUGAAAUGGCGGGUGAGUUCCAAUCCUUGGGUUCACUUGGUGCUAACUUCUACUCCCAUCUGAAGGACACUGAACUGAAUAACUAAGCUGAACUGAAUAACUGAACUGAACUAAUUAGCUAAACUGAUACUGAUUAAUUGGGCUAAUACUAGUGGUAUUGUUUAGCAGAGCUAAACUAAGUUUACUGGAUUCCAAUGACUGACAGAAUGUACUGAGUUCUGAGGACUGGUUGAGAGUACUGAAGUUACUAAGAUUGACUGUGAGUACUGGGGUUGCUGAGGUUACUAAGCACUGAGAUUAUUGAGAUUACUGGACUACUGAGAUUUCUGAGUUUUCCUGAGUCACAUUACUGACUGAAUUCUAUAGAUCAUGGCUUGACUGAGAGUAUCGUGAAGAUAUGACAUGGCUCUAGGCACACAACUAUAUUUUUUGGGUACAAGUACCCCUAGGACUCGAUGGAAGGAAACUGAUACAACUUGAAUUUCUUGAGUACACGACCAUCAAUAAAAAUCCAUAAUACAUGAGUGGGGGAUUUCAUGAAGUACAUGGUUAUCAUAAUAUCUAUCAUGAAUAGGAAUGCUUAUAAUCAAUUCAUAAAUCUCAUAUUCUAAUAUCAUGGGCAUUCCGACAACAUAUACUAUUCAUAGCAAUCGCAUGGAAACCAUUCAAGCGUAAGGGAACGGCAACAUGUAACGUUUAGUUCAUAUUGUAAUGAUUUGGGGAUAUUAUACUUCAUACUAGGCAUUUUAUCGAACACCUUGCAUGCAUUCUUUAAGGCAUAGGUGAAUUUUAUUCUUGCAUUCUAUCAAUCCAUCUAAAGAUCAUGUUUUUCAACUAACAACAUAACUUUCAUGAGAUAUACAGUCACGAUACUAUUAUAUAGAAAAACAAACAAGCAUCAACAUGGGUAAGAUCAUAUCACCACAAUCAACCAAGCUUUUGUAUUUUAAAGAUUGAUUCUUGAACUUCACGGAUGAAAAAAAUCCGUGGAUGAACACUACGCAUACCUUGGAAGGGAGGUUCUUGAUGAUUGACGAAGGAAUUUCCUUGAAAUUUGAUCUUCAAGCUUGAUUGUGCAACCCUAGUUGUUUUUCUCCUAUGGUGCUCAUGGAUGAUGAGCUUUGAGAUGUUAAUAGGGUUGUAAUGUGUUUAGAAGCUAUAUAUUUCGUAGGGUUAAGUUUAGGGAAGUGUAAGGAGUGUUAAAAGACUUAAUUACCCUCAAAAUAACUCAAAAUAGAGUGUUUUUGGCAUUGGAACUGACUUAGGCGGCGCCUAACCAAUCGCCUAAGUUUGGUUGGGCGGCGCCUAACCAAUCGCCUAUCCUUACUGUCUCUCACAAAAAUGGGCAUAACUUUUUGCUUGGGUAUUGAUUAAGGCAAAAUUGGUAUUGUUGGAAAGCUAAUUCAAUUAUAUACAAUUUGGUAGGUAUAAAUAUGUAGAAAUACCACAUUAACAUUGAGUUAUACUCAUUCAAAGAUGAUCCUUACAAAAUCAAACACUAAAACUUGAUGGAUUCAAAAACUCUUAGCUUGUAUUACCUUAAGUGACUCAUAUGAACAUGCUUAUUAUAUCAUAAGCUAUCUUAUCACUAGGAUACUCAUUGUAAGUCAUGCACUAAAAUGCUACUCAUAGGAUAGGAGGUUUCAUGCGUAGGAAAAAUAGUUCGUCUCCUAUCACGAUGAGCUUCUAAAAUUAUGAUCCAACGUGACCCAAUCCUCAUUUGAAAAAUCCAAAAAUUCUCCAAGACAUGUACCUUACACCAGUGAACAUGACUUAACUUAAAAACCAACGUCUCAGGGUCGAUUAGAAUAAUUCAAAAAUCCUCAAAGUUAAGAGGCCUUAAAAAUGACUAUGUUCUCAACACUUAAGUGAAAUUUUUAGGAAUUAAGCCUCUUAUGCAUGUAACUAGGAGCAGAACUGAGCUAAGAAUAAUACGGGGUAUUACAAUAUCUAAAUUGACUUAUCUUUUAAGAUCAAUUUUUAUCCACCUAGUGUUGAAGACAUUGUGUUGAAUGAUAGUAUAUCAUCUUGUGAAAAUAGUAUUGAUGAACUUGUGUGAGAAAAUUGCCCACCACUUGAGGAUGUGUGUGAUAUGAUUAAUGAACCUUAAGUGAGCGAUGAUGUUGAAAAUAUUGAUCAAGUGAAUAGUAGUAACCCUUUGAGAAUGUCCUCAGUAAAGAUCUUAAUUUUAGUUUGGCUCAUGGGGAUAAUCAUAUGUUUGCAACAUCUUUGAUGCUUGAUAAUUGUCAUUUAGAGAGUGAAAUUGCAUGUUCUACAUCCUCUUCAUAGAUAAACCCUUCUCUCUUUAAGAACAAUAUCUUGUUUAAAGAUGACAAAAUCACUCCUAAUUAAUUACCUAGUGGUGUGGAUAGCAUUGAUGAUGUAGCUCAUCUUGAGGGCUAUAUCUUACAUGACAGUCCACUAUGAUAUGACAACAUUCCUCUUAAAAAUGGAAAUCUCUUCUUGAAAGAUGAGAGUACUCUUAAGGGAAAUGAAUGUGAAGUCUUGGAAAAGAAUAAUCAAUUGGGUGAUGAUAACUUUGAUUUGCUUGAAUAUUUGAGAAACCUAAUUAAUGAUUAUUCCUAUGAAAAUGCAUGUGGUUGUGAUCCUUUGUAUGACACCCCACCUUUGUUUGAUAAUUACGAUAAUGAAUUGCUUGCUUUUUGUGAAAACUUAGGCAAUAAUUCCUUUAAAGUUAGUGGUGUUAUAUGUUUACUUGAGGAUUCUUCCAUUGAAAGAAAAAUUACCAAUUAUUUAGAAAUCGCGUCUUCUUCUUCUACUUUUUGUGCUCCUAUUGUUGAGAAUACUCAUGUCAAUGAUCUAGAAUCUAAUAGUGAGUACAUACAUGAGGACACCUUAGUUAAAGUUGACUUGAGUGAUACCUUUUUAUACUCUUCCUUUAUUUUUGAUGAUGCUUAUGCUAAUGUAGAGAGUAUAUCUUAUAGUUUGGUUAAAGCCUAUGGGGAAAAAGUGUUUUCUAAACCCAUGUCUUUCUCCAUUUUAUCUAUUUGACCUCGGUACCAAAUUUAGAUAUGGUGAUUUUGGCAUACCCAACUUAUUGCUUGGUCUCUAUGACAAACAAAAUUUGAGUGAGGAUGUUGGUAUCCUUCCCUAUGAUGGAAAGUCUUUCUUAGGGAUUUAUGAUCCACUUGAUGGACCAACAUUGUGCAAGGGAAAGAUCUCAAACAAAGAUGAGAGAUUUUUAAAUAAGGGGAGUAGUGAAAAGCUCCAAGAGAGUUCACCAUUGUGUGUUUACACUCUUGACCAAGAUUCCACUACUUGUAGGUUAAGAAGAGAGUCUUCUCUUGAAACUACUUUGGAUGAAUUCCAUUCAUGUGAUACCCUUCUUUAAUACUUGAGUGGAAUUGCUGACCUUCUUCCCAAAGGUGUUAUCAUUCUUAAGAACCCGAGGUCAAAUAUGUCAUUGUGUCCUUUGGGUAUUGCUUAUAAACUUGCAUCCUUGCUUGCCACACUUGUUCUUAAAUUAUGUAACACCCAACUUGUGGAUACCAAGUUGAUUAUUUUCUUGAAAUAAAGAAGUCCUAUGGGCUUAAGUGUCUUAACUCCAUCCUUGUACGCAUCAUGUGCUAAGUAUUGUUAGCCAAAUAAUAUUCUCAUAGAUAAUAGCACCUUGGAUUAUGUUUCUACACUUAAUUCCUUUCUAUACUACCUCUUUACCUAUGAUGAUAUCCAUGCUAGUCUUGGAUGUGUUUCAUGUGAAGGUAGGAAAAUUGUUGGUUUGUCCACUUAUUUGAGUGACAAUGCUAUAUGGAUCUUUUAGACUUUAGAACCAAUUAAGGCACCACACUUGGUGUGGUCUCUUAAAGAGAUAGUGAAACAAUUGUGUCUUAUGGAUCAUAAGGAGAAGGUAGGUAGGAAAAUUAUUGGUUUGUCCACUUGUUUGAGUGACAAUGCUAUAUGGAUCUUGUAGACUUUAGAACCAAUUAAGGCACCACCCUUGGUGUGGUCUCUUAAAGAGAUAAUGAAGCAAUUGUGUCUUAUGGCUCAUAAGGUGAAGGUAGUUCUACCUUUUAGACUAUUUGAUGCCAUUAGGACCUUCAUAGUUUCCUUAUCUCUUGAUUUCCCUAACCAAAUUCUUUGUACAUUUUUCAAUGAAUUUCUAAUGUUUAACAUGAAGGAUCCUUGGUUAUAUCUUAAGUGUGUGCAACUUUGGCAAGAUGCUAUGAUUGAUUGUUCUAACUUUAACCCUCAUGCCACAAGGAUAUUGUGUUUUGUUUGUCCUUUCUUUGGUUUUGCAAGUUUUGGAUUCGAGGUCAAAUCCUUUUCAAGAAAGGGAGGAUGAUACAAGUUAAAUGAGUGUCAAUGUUUUUGAUCAUACAACUCGAGGCCAACAUAAGGAGGUCUAAGCCUUGAUCGCCCUAAGGAUCCAAGAAUGUGCUUGGAGACCCUUUCAUUGAGCUCCUAAUCAAGCAAUGUCAUGUUUGAAAGAUAGCUUGGAGCGAAGGAAAUCCAUGGCACAAUGAAUAAAGAGAGCCCUUGUGGGUAAUUUUCGGAAUAACCACUUUUGGGCUAUUUUUGUAAUAGGCUAGUUGUUCAAAGGAAACUAUUAUAAAUAGGUGCCUUAGAUAUUUCAUUAGUUAGUUUUUGUUUAAUGAUGAUGAUGAAUUCAUGAAAACUCCAUUGGGAGUGUUGAGUGCUUGAAAAAUACAAUGUUGAACCUUAUUUAGAAACGGUGAUUGUAAGGGAGAUCUGAUCCCCCUUUCGGUAGAUGUUAGAGGUAGGUGCUUAUAGGUAAUCAAUAAGGGAGGUCUUUGGGUUUGAUACACCCUUUGGUUGCCCUUUUGUUAUCUUCUUGUGUCUACAUUUCUAUCAUCUAUCCUUUUUAUUGUUUUAUUUUUCGUUUGUCAAUUUCACUGUUUCUUUAGUGUUUUUGUUUGUUCUCGUCGUCGUAGAUUACUCUCGUAUCAAAUAGAAACAUCAAUUUAUAGAAAAAUCUGCAUGUAGAAAAAGAUAUGCAGAAAAAAUUUGUAGUAAAACAACAGAAACAGAUAUGCAAAAGAAUUUGUAAGUUCUGCAAUUUAGAGUUAUCAUGAAAUUUGGCCAAUUCAAGUAAGCAUCGGAAACCUUGACUAAAUCAUGUAAAGUAAUUUUAUAGCUGCACUAGAGUGUAAUUAUCUCUUUUUUUUCUUUAUCUUUUUCGUUUUGAGGUUUAGAAAAAUGAGAAAAGCUGAGGUUGGGUGCCUUUUAUAAUUUUAAAGAGUUUGGAGCAAGUUUUUAAGCCUAAUAAAAUUUACGUAGGUCUAUAUCUAGUUUUCUAAAAUAGAAAUAUGUUUUUUUCUCCCCAACUCAUUCUCUACCUUUUCUCUCCAUGUUCUAAAUCCCUCCAGUCAAUUUCUUUUUCCCCACCUCGAAGCUCUCUAUUCCUCGUUAUCAAGUACGUUAUCUUUUGAUUCUAAAUAUUUUAAGCUCUAUAUUGAUCUUGUUUUUCCUUUUCAGACAAAAGUUCUUGGUUUUUUGACUACUGAUAAAUCUUAAGUUCAUAAAUUUUUGUGUUUUUAUUUAUUUUUUUUGAAAAUUUAAUGUCUUUUUUUGUCAAAACAUAUGUUAAUCUACUCAUCCCGCUUGUUUUGGUCGUCUUUUUUUUUGUUUCUGUUUUGCACCUUGUGAACAGUGAAAUUUUAUUAAAUCUAAAUUAGUACAAAAUUUACAUUAUAUUAAAAUUUAAAAUAUAUUAGUCCAAAUAAAUGUGAUGAAUUAAUAUGGUUGGAUUAAUAAAUUUCAUAAAAGCACAACAUUAGUUUUUAAAGUUACCAAAAAUCCCUUCAGUUUGAAAAAACUACAAAUAUUCCAACUUUAUUAAUUUGGGUUAAAAGUUGAGAUACAUCCUAAUACACCCUUUUUAUUCGAUUUUGACUUUACCAAUUCUUUCUACAUCAAUGACGGAAUUUUGUGGGAGGUUUCAUCCCACAAUUUUCUCCUCUUCUUCACAUUUUUUAAUUAAGGUAUUUUCCCCCAAAUUCAUCUUCACUUUUUUCUUAUUAUGUUCAACGAUUUUUAUCAAAAAUCAAAUUAAACAAAAUCUUAUUCCUUUAGCCCACCCAAUUGACUGUUUGGAGUUUUGUGUUAAAGAUGAUGAUGUUGUCGGUGCUUAAGUUAUGGGUAAAGUCAUUAUUUCGGCAAAGAAAAUUGCCCCUGUUGAGGUUAUUUUCCCCUUGUUUUCCGUCAUCUGUGAUUCAGGUAAACCUCCUAAACCCAACACGGCUCUCCGUCUAUGGAUGAAAUUUGUUUCGUAUGAUAAAACUUCAUUGUACAGAACAGAAAUUGCUUUAGAUCCUCAACAUUUAGGGUAAGACAUACAUAUUUUCCAUUGAGAAAAGGGAGUUCUUUGAAGCUAUACCAAGAUGCUCAUGUUAGCGAUAACUUUAAGUUGCCGGAUAUACAGCUGGAAAACAAUAGCAAGAUUAAUCUUAAGUAAGGCUUGUUUAUAUCUGUUCUUAAAUCUUUCAGAAUCAGCAUUGAACGAGGAAGAAACUGUUACAUAGCUACACUUGGAAACAAUGUAUCCAUUCUCUUUUGCUCCUUGUUGUUGGCAGGUCAGUAACAAGCAUUACCCGAUGAAAUAGACAUGUUGUGAAGAUGAACAAGUUUUAAAUUCAGUUGGUCCUACAAGCAUUUUAAUUAAAUUAAUUAACCUAAUCUCAUAUAAAAUAAGGAUGUUUAAUUUUAUGUCCUUGAGUCUAAUUAUCAACUAAUUACUUGCGGGUACUUUCCGUAUCUUAUACGAAUAUUAUUUAACAACAAUUUCACUUUUCUAGUGAUAACUUUAAGUUGCCGGAUAUACAGAUGGAAAACAUUACAGUUUUUAAACACAACAAAUGCUGGCAAUAUAUAUGUUAUGCAAUUUUGGAGGUUCAUCAUUUGGUUUACAUUGUUGGUUGGUCGGAUUUUCACAAAGUGAAGUUAAUUUGAGAUCCCACCAAGCAAUUGCCACGCGACAAUGCCCACCAAGCCAUUGUUGGGUGAUUCUUCGAAAAGAAGAUCUACCAGUUCAGGAGAUAUAGUUUGUGCAAAAAAAGAAAGAGUUGUUGAAGUUACAACUAUAGAUGCUCCUACCAACGAUAUUACCUGUUUGUUACUGGUCAAGAUUUUAGUCCGAUAUACAUUUUUUAUUACGUUUGCUAUUUUUUCACAUUAUAUCUCUGAGUAUCAAAAACUAUAUAAGUAUGUAUUAUCGUACUAUUUUGUUUGUGUGAAAAAUGCAUAAGAGAGAUACAUAUUAAUAAAGCAAGAGAUACAUCUAUAAUACUUAUAUAUAUAGUAGGUAUCUCUUGAUAUAUAUUUUUUUGGAUUAAUUUUGUGUCUUAGAGAUAUAAGUUAUUACAGAAAGAGAUACAUUUAAGGUUCUUACAUGUUUAGUAUUUAUCUCUUACAAGAUAUGUUAAUAUAUAUAUUACUGUAGAUACAUCAAUUUGCAGGAAUUGUGGACUUUUAUAGCUUUAUUUGUUGAGUAUCUGAGCGAUUAAUUAGAAAUAUCAUGUUCUGGUGUUGUGACAGAAUACCACAUUUGAGAUAUGUAUUCCUAUUAUGAAAGUAUGGAGCUGAUAAGGCGGAGAACAAUUACUUAAGUGACAAUGACGACCCACCGAGGCCUAAACUAACCAUCAUGCAACCAGUUGUAAGAAAAGACGUUUUUAGUCUUGAAUAGUUGUAGUUAUCUUUGUUAUGUUUAACCUUUAAUUAAUAUUUUGUCUUUUUUUAGAUACAAGUCUAUCUACAAUAAUAUUUCAGUUGUCUUUUGUGGGUUUUUUUGUGUUGAACUAAAGUAGACAUGUUUUGUUUAAAGAUUAUGUUUUAUUAAGAAGUAAUUCAAUUUUUUUCUUUAAAUAAGUGUUCCAAAUGCUGUAGAUAUUUGAUUACUGUGGUUGAUUUUUUUAUCUGAUAUUAAAACUUUUUUUAUUUUAGUAAGUGUUCCAACUGGUAGAAAUAUUACAGAUUUCUAUGAUAUAUAUAUAUUACCAAAAAGAGAUAUAUCUAUUAAGGGAAAAGACAUUAUUUCCACCCCAUACUAUACAAGAAAAGUUUAUGCCACACCUAAAUUAUAUAAGUGACCUAUUACACACCUUAACUAUAUAAAAGUGAUAUUAUUACCUCCCCGUGACCCCCAUUCUAAGGCGCGUAUGUUACACUUAUUUUAGGCUCGUUCAGCCUAUUAGAUAACAAAAGUAAAUGGCUAAAAACAUUAAGGGAAAAGGCAUCGUUUCCACCCCAAACUAUCAUCGAAAAGUCGAAUCCACACCUAAACUAUAUAAGUGACCUAUUACACACCUUAACUAUAAAAAAGUGAUACUUUUUACUGAUGUGGUGCUGACGUGGCAGUGCGUGUAAAACACUAUACCACAUGCAAGUGGUGGUAGCCUGUUACUUCGACUUUUCGGGUAUAGUUUGGGGUGGAAACAAUGCCUUUUUCCUAUCUAUUAAUAUAUAAGAGAUACAUUCAAAAACAUAUCAGAAAAUAUUAUUAGAUAUGUAUUAACAGAAAGAGAUACAAGAUUAUAUACCAACCGAUACAUAUAAAUUAAACAAGUAGAUGGUAUUAUGAUUACAUCACUAAUAUAUUAUAUACAACAAUAAUUCAGUUAUAUAUUUUUGUAUCACUUUAUUAUAUAUCACUUUAUUAUAUAUGCAUAUGAUUAUACACAUACAUGUGUCUAUCAAGAUUUUAUGUAUCUCUUGAAAAACUUAUUAAUCUGAAUAAAAUAUUAUAAAUAUUUACCUUUCUGCGUACUCAAGUUAAUACAUAAUUACAUUACAAUUCAAUGAAGGGAUGCUUAAUGUUUAAAAUCAUUAUGUAUCUAAUAUCCACAAUCAAAGAAAUAUAUUUUAUGGAAGUAAUAAAACAUGAUAAACAAUCAGUUAAACACAUAGUUUUGUAUGGUUUAACAUGAUACUGUAAAACAUAUUCACAUAUACGAAAUUUUAUUUAAUGAAAGUAAAAUAAUGAAUUUAUUUAGCCAAAUGUUAUUCAUAAAAGUCUCAAAACAAGCAUAAACUUCUUAAACAAUGAAUUCCAAAUAUAUAAAUAAAAAAAAUAACCUACUAAGAAUUAGUCUCUCUUAUUCAUAAUCCGACAUCAAGGUCACUCCUCUUUUUGAAAAAAAUUACAAGUACGUAUGUUGGUCCUUGACAGAAAUCAGUAUUGUGAUUAAGAGAUACAUUAACAAAAUUCAGCACUGAUGGUAUUAUGAUUACAUCAAUAUUUAACAUCAGUAUUGACCACACAUCUAGCAUACCUUGACAGAAAUCAGAGUUUUCUUGUCCUUGUAGAUUUGACCAACCUUAACUUUAUUAUUGUUGAAAUCUGAAAUAAUAUUUUUCAUCUUCACAUCGACCAAAGACAACGUAUUCAAACAAUCAAAAUUAUCAACAAUUGUUUAUGUAACUUCUUUACAAGAAUUCUCCAAACACAUAACUACCCCGGUUUCACCGUCAAACAUCUUUCUUUCAUUUUUAUUGAUUGUAGUGAUGUAUAGUGGAUACAUCCCAAAAUCGAAUACACUUCUCUUAACCUCAAUAUAAAGCUUUGCACCCAUAUCAUUACGAAUCAACAUGAAGUUGCAUUACCAUCAACAACAUUUUGAGCCUUAAUUUUUUCUGCUUUCAUCAAUUUCAAGUCUACGACAAUAGCGAAAAUCAAUUUUUCAUACUUAACAGGUUCGACUACAAUGAUGACAUCACUCUUAUAGCCCUCAUACUUGAUAUCAUUAAUCCAAACACCGAAAUGACGCAAUAAUACAAAAAUAUUCAUUGAAAAUAGUUCAAAAAAGAAUAAAGAACCAUGAAAAAAAUAAGAAGCAAAAUAAGUCUGCAAAAUGGUUAUGGUAAUGAAUUUGUCCAAAAUUGAAAUUAAUAAUAGAUUACCAUUUUGGGGGGGAUUUUCUUUAGUUAUCUAGAAGAUUGGUUAAGCUAAUUGAUAAUUUAAUGAUUUACUAACUAUUACAUCCCUUGAUUUAAGCUAACCAAUCCUUGAUUUAAGUUAACCAGUUAAAUAAUAAGAUGUAUCAUUAAGAUGUAUCUCGCUUAGUUUGUAUGUAUCUGAAAUAAAAAAAGAGAGAUGUUAUAAAAUUUUGAAAAAAAAGUCGGGAUAACAUGUAAAUAUGGGUAAACUAGUACGAAUUUACGUAAAUUUUACUUAAAAAUCCAAAUGAAUAUGAAUUUGAUUAAAGUCCAAUUUUUAUUAAGCCAGUCCAUUAAUUUAGGCCAGAAAUAAUGGGCGUGAUUUGCUAAAUCCAAGAUUUCAUCAUAUUCUAGAGGACAAUUGACCAUCAUAUGUUGAAUAACGUGGUAUGCUAAGUCAAGUGAAGGAGCCAAUAUGACCAUGCUACAUGUCAAAAUGAUGUAACAUGCCUAAUGAAAUCAAAGGCCAAUCAAAUGUCACUAUGUCACUUAAAUCUGAUUACCAAAAGAAGCCCAUAAUCAUCAUGACUUUUUUCCUUCAGACAACUAUAAUAGGGGUCUCAUAAUUCAAAAAAGGGACGAGCAAUUCUAACAAGAAAUAAGAUAAUGCUCAUGGAUCAAAUGCCACAGAUUUCUCUACAAAUGCAAGCAUUCAUUAUCCAGUUCAUUAAGAUUCAAGAUCAAGACCACGAGAUUCAAGAACAAGCUUAAAGACCCUUGAAUUCAACUACAAGUUGAGAUUAAGAUCAUCAAACCAAUAAAUCUAGAUCCAGUUUAUUAAGAUUCAAGAUCAAGACCACAAGAUUUAAGAACAAGUUCAAAAGCCCUUAAAUUCAAGUACAAGUCAAGAACAAAUCCAUCAAAUCCAUAAAUCGUGUUUAAAUUUGAGAUCAAGUUCAAAGUCCUUGAAUUUAUAUUUUAAAAGGCGAAUUAGAGGAUUCAUAGAGAUUGUAAUAUCCACAUAUUGAAAUCAAUAAAAUGAUUGUUGCGAUAUUUUUCUUGUAUCGAUUAUUAUUUUUGGAGUUGAAUUUUACUGUCUAAUACACCUUCAUCUCGGUCUCUUAAUAGACUUGAAUUUUGACCCUUUUUCAUAUUGACAGUGUUAUUUUUACUUGUUUCAAUAUUACUUUUUUAUAUUUGUUUUUGCAAAUUCAUCCUAGUUCCAAGAGGCAUAAUAGAGAGUUAUCUAUAAUAAUUCAUCAUUUACAUAUAAGAUCAUCAUUUAAGCUUAAUCCCACUGCAAAUCACAAUGUUUGAGUGGUAGUUUCACAUUCAUUUUGUCAAGAAGUUUCUAAAUAUGACAAGAUUUGAGGAAAUUAGAUUGUUAGGAGUGUUGUGGCAUAACUACAAGCUUGAGUAGUAAGGUAAGAGUCAUGUAUAUUUGAUUCUUUUCUAGCCUAGAACUCUAAAUCUCUAGUUACAAUGUGAACUUAUAAUUAUCAGUGAAUUGUAAUAUUUCUUUCCAAAUAAUGUUGAAAUUAUGAUUCUUAUCGAAGUAGGUGUAUUUACUUCCAACAUCUCCUACUGACAAAUGAUGGGAUGAAUCACACAUAAAUCUUUCUUUGUAGACAUUCAUACAGAGUGCAUUGUCGUGACCGCUCAGGCACCAAGUUAGGUGGCUCUUAUACUAGAAGUCCUUUUUUGGACUAGCAUAAAAGACUACUACCCUUUUGAUCAUUUAUAAAGUAGGGUACCUUGCGAGCAAUGAAAUUUUAUUAAAUUCAAAUCCAUACAAAAUUUAGAAUAUAUUAAAAUUCAAUAUAUAUUGGUCCAAAUAAAUGUGAUGGAUUAAUAUGAUUGGAUUUAUUAUUUAAAUCCAAAUGAAUAUGAAUUUGAUUAAAAUCCUAUUUCUGUUGGGCUAGUCCAGUGAUUUGGGCUACAGAUUAUGAGCCUAAUUUAUUGAUCCCAAGAUGUCAUCAUAUUCUAGAGGCCCAAUUGAGUUCCACAUAUCGAAUGAUGUGGCAUGACAAGUCAAGCAAAUAAGCCAAUAAGGCCAUGCUACAUGCCAAAAUGAUGCAACAUGCUUAGUGAAAUCUAUGACCAAAUCAAAUGUCGCCGUGUCACUUAAAUUUGAUUGGCCAAAAGAAGCCCAUCUUAACCAUGACACUUUUCUUCCUAUAACUUUAAAUAGGGGUCUCAUAAUUUUACAAAAGAGAUAAAUAGUUCUAACCAGAAGCAAGAGAGAGCUCAUGGAUCAAACUCUGUAGAUUUCUCUACAAAUUCAAGCAUUGAAGAUCCAGUUUAUCAAGAUUCAAUAUAAACCAAAAGAUUUAAGAACAUGCUUAAAGGCCCUUGAAUUCAAGUACAAGUCGAGAUCAAGUUCAUCAAACCCACAAAUCAAGAUCCAGUUUGUCAAGAUUCAAGAUCAAGACCACAAGAUUCAAGAACAAGAUCAAAAGCCCUUGAAUUCAAGUACAAGUCAAGAACAUAUCCUUUAAAUCCUCAAAUCAAGUUCAAAUUCAAAAUCAAGCUCGAACCCAUUGAAUUUAAAUUUAAAAAGGUGAAUCAGAGGAUUUAUAGAGAUUGUAAGAUUAUAUAUUAAAAUCAAUAAAGUGAUUAUUGUGAUAUUUUUCUUGUCCCAAUUAUUAUUUUUCUGAUUAGAAUUUUGCUGUCUAACAAAUUCUGACACGCCCAGUGGGAUAAUCUCUACCUCUCAUAUCAAAUUUUCCAAAAUCAAAGUUCAAGAACACCGAAAUGACUUCCAAGAAGGUCAAUUAUGAAUCGACUUCUUCCAAGGCUGCUGAUUCUAAAUUCUCUAUUAAAGUAGGAAACAUUCUUGGUAUUUCUUUUGAAAGCUUUAGAACUGUCACAAGGAGUAAAUCCCGCAUGUUAGGACAACAAACACACUAAGUGUUGUCCAUACCAACUCUAAUUUUUGGAUCUUAAACCCAAAAUAAGUGAGGUCCCAUGUAUGUUUUUUAGAAGAGGGAAACUAUGUGGCAGAGACAAUAAAAAAGACUACAUGAGAACUCUAGCAUAAAGAACGAUGGCUGUUCAACCGACACAUCAUCUCUACUUACACCGUAUAAGUUGAGAACGAUCAACUUAUACGAUAAUUCAUGUUACUCCCUAACGUCUCUAUUGAUCAUGAAAGCAAUGGUAGUUGAUGCCUCAUCUAUGGAGGCUCAACUUGCAAACCUAGCAAAGAUAAUUGAUAGUUCUGACUAAGUAUAUGCAAAAUCAAGAUGCUUAGAUUGAUAAGUUAGUGGAUGGGAUGGAAGAAGAUUCUCGCCAUGUACCUAGAAAAGCUCCAAAAAUUCAUGAAACCAAAAUUCCAAAUAAAACAAACACCACCUAAAAGGAGGUACGAGUCUUUUUUGAGGGAAUGAUCAAGAUUGAUCAAUUGAAAGAGUUCAUUGAAGGGACGCUCAAAGACAAGUACGAUGUUUCCACCUAGUCUUUCCUAACAUACGCCAUGCCUUACAUUGUAAGGAUUGAUAGCUUUAAAAUGUCUGUCGGAAAUCAACACCCCAAAUUUUAAUAAUUUAAGGGCAAAGGGAAUCUAAAGCAAUAUGUCACACACUUUGUUGAGACAUGUAAUAAUGUUGGAAACUACAAUGUCUAUAUUGCCAAAUAAUUUAUCUAUUCCAUAAAGAAAAAUACCUUCGAUUGGUACUCGGACCUUGAGCGUAAUUCCAUUGAUAGUUGGGAACAACUAGAGCAUGAGUUCCUGAAUCACUUUUAUAGCAUAUGGCAUAUGAUAAGCAUGGUAGAAAUCAUAAAUACUUGUCAAAAAAAGGAUGAGCUAGUCAUUGAGUUCAUCAAUCGAUAGAGAAAUAUGAGCCUAAACUGCAAAGAUAGGCUCAAUAAAACAUCUCCAAUAGAUAUGUACAUCCAAGGAAUUCACUAAGAACUUCUCUAAAUCUUGAAAAACAUUAAGAAAAAAUCCUUUGAGGAUUUAGCUAUCCGUUCUUACGACAUGGAGUUGAGCAUGUCUUCUAUCAAAAAAAGAGUAACACCUAUCUAUGAACCUCGAAAGGGAAAGGAUAAACAGGAAGAAGAUGGGGAAAAAUUUCACCCAAAAGAGACAAUAAAGAAUCUAUGAAUAUAGACAUGACUCCUAUGAAGUUCAUCAUAAAGGUGAGCAAGAAUCUAAGCUUGAAGAUAACUUCUCAAGCACGUCCAAAUCAAAAGUUGACUUUGAAGAAGAUGUAAACAAAAGAAUACCCAUUCCUUAAUUCUAAUAUUGCUAAAAUUUUCAAUGAACUUCUUGAUCAUAAGAUUAUUGAUCUACCAGAUACGAAGCAGGCCGACAAAGUUGGAAGAAAUGAUGAGCCUAACUAUUACAAAUAUCAUAGGCUAAUGGGUCACCCUAUGAAGAAGUGUUUUGUCUUUAAGCACAAGAUCAUGCAACUGGAAAAUGGGAAGAAAACCUUUUUUAAUGAUGAGAAGGCCGAUUAUCAUCAAAUCUCAAUCACUUUUGGCUCGCUCGAUCCAAUCUAAAGGCCCUUUGAAGAGCAUAAAGAGAAAUCAUUAGAGCAUGACAGGUAUUCAAUCAACGAAGGUGAUUAUAAAGGUUGAAUUUUAGUGACAAGAUGGAGAUGCAAGUAGAUGAGUAUAGAAAAAGAGCCAUCGAAGCAGCUAACUAGAAGGAGGAUGGUGAAGAAACAGAGAAAACAAAGGCUAAUUGACAUGUCAAAGAGGAAGAGGGUAGUGGAGCUUCACCACUUGUAACGACCCAAAAUCACCUCCCUGGACGUCACACGAUGCUUAAGGAUACAAGUAGCCCCAAGCUAACCCUUUGAGCCUUUCACUACAUAAAAUAACUUAUUUCGUGAAGAAAUAAACAAAAUACUGGCAUUGUAAUAACAAAUGAUAGGAAAUAUGAAGAAAAUACUUAGUCCAAAUGACCACAAAACUGGAGAUCUCAACAUACUAACAAUUUGAUAACUAGUCUGACAAAGCCUCUACUACUCCAUGAACUAGAGAGCUAUUGGGAAAGGUCCCCAACUAACUCAAACUAAAUUGAAAGAAAUAACAUAUCUACUAAAAUACAGAAAUGUCUGAUGAUAGGUCCUCGAACCAUGAGGACUCACCACUGUGGAGAUGUAGACAAAGGUACUCAAAAAUCACUGACGAGUCUGGGACUGAGCACCUGAACCUACAUUAUAAGACAAUGUAGCACAUAGAUGUAUAUAUAGAUCAGCACUUGGGAAUGUACUGAGUAUAUGAGGACGUAUACAUUUAUAGAAAACAAUAUCCAUACUCUUUAAUAAAAUCAUGCAUGCAAUUAGGAAUGACUCACAUAGCUUGAAUAAGUCUGAAAUGUAAAGCUCAUAAAUCAUGUAUAAGGAAGCAUGUAACACAAAUCUCGUGAGUCAUUAUACUUUAGCUUUAAAAUCUGAACUCCUCUUAUUCUCAUUACUCGAAGACUAAAGAAAGAUUUAAACAAUACUUUCAAACUCAUGUAUAUAUCUCAUGGAGAGUAAAACUUCUUUAAUGCUUAAGAACUUAGAACUCUUUUAAACUCAAGAUACUUGGAACUCGAAAUUCGAUAACUCUUACUAGUAGAGAACACUACUUUCUUCUUAGGAAAAUUUUACUUUAAGAAACUAUUUUGAAAAUCUUACUAUUAGGAAAAAUCACUUAUCUCAAAGCUUUAGGGAAAAUAUUAUAUCUCAAGGGAAAAUACUUUAGGGAGGUUCUCUUAACCGACAUAAACCAUGCGAGCUACAUAGAGUCCAAUGUCUUAUCCUCUUAAGGAAGAAACCUCACAUUGGGGAGAGGCAUCAUACUCUUGCCAGGGAGUAUAACCUCAACUCAGUGAUUACUUAUAUUGGCAUCGGGCCCAUAAAUAUUAAUCCUACGAUGGCACGUAGUUCUGGGGUAUGAAAUCGUAGUAACUUACCCAACUCGGUGCUAAAUACUACUCUCUUUAGUUUGCUACGCUCAUCUCAUAGAAAUCCACUUUAAAAAUAAUCUCGUGGAUCAUAAAGAAUCCAAUUAUAAAAUCUGUAAUCACAUGUAAUAAAGUGGAUUUCAAAGCUACUAUGAUCAUUAAGUUCAAAACUUUCUCAAUGAUCUCAAAGUACUCAAAUCAUGGGUGCUUAUAGCACAAAAGUUCAUGAAAUUGCAAAUCUCAAGUAGGGUUUAGUGGCCCAUAAUCAAAUAUCAAGUUAAGACUCAUCAAAAUGCAUACUAGAUGUCAUAAGGAUACACAAACCAUAUAGAAAUCUGGAAUGUUUAGUAAUUUGUCUUAAAAUCUCAACAUACUCAUGUACUUCAAUUUCUAGAACAUUGGCAAUCUCAAAAUCUCAUGCAUAGUAAUAUUGGGUAUGUACCCACACUUCAAAUUCAUAGGAGAAAUAAUAAAGUCAUAUAUCUUUGUAAUUUAAAACAAGUUUUUGGUAUAAGAAUGAAAGAAUUGUCCUUGUUCAAACCCCACAUACCUUAGAUUGUGACUUAGUGAACAAACUUGCUUGAGACUCUUCUUCUUACUCUUGAGAGAGGGUUAUUGAAGCCUUUUACUUGAGGAACUUACAUAUUAACUCAAUUUGUAGAAUCUAUGGUGAGUUCUUGAAUUUCUUGGAGAAGGGUUUUGGAUUUGCUCUUGAGAGAGAAACCCUAGCUCUUGGAUAUUUUGAGAGAUAAUGACGCUAGCUGCUUUAUUUUUAAUAUAUCAGGGUAUUAAAAGGGAAAAGACCCAAAAGAUCCUUUUAAAAAUGACUUAAAAAUACUAAACAAGAUUUGUGAUGGUCGGAGUGAUGGUCCGUCACUAGUCUGAUGGUCCGUCGCAUGUUGGUUAGAAAAAGGCCACACUGCCUUAGUUGCGGCGGUCCUAGUGACGGUCCAUUGCUAGCUUGAUGGUCUGUCAUCUUGGUCGUCGCACUUGGGCCAGAAGAGGGAGUCACUACCUUGGUUGCGACGGUUCGGGUGAUGGUCCGUCGCAUACUCGACGGUCCGUCAACCUGUCCAUCGCACCUGGGCGAUUCUGAUAACUCUCAGUAAAACGACCAUAAAUUCUCACCCCAAUAUCGGAUUUGGUUGAAAUUAGUAUUGUUGGAAAGCUAAUUCAAUUCUCUAUAUGUCAAAAAAUCGAUAUUAGGGAAAUUUUACAUGGUUUAAAAAUAUGUCUCACUUGGGAAGUCAACCCUUACUCUUCUUAAAAAUGAAACUCAAAUUAAAGAAAAAUCUGGGGUAUUACAAUAUCUCCCCCUUGGGAACAUUCGUCCUCGAAUGUUUCUUGUUAGACCAAGAACACAGGAAAAACUGAGUACACAUAGCUGAAGCAAUUUGCUAAACGACUCAAAAUCUUUCUAAACUCUUGAAUACUUCGGAAAUUGCAAGAACUUAUGCAAGAAAAGAUAUAUAGCUGAACUUUAGAUUUAGAAGGGUUGAAGUAAGAAAGAAUAAUACCUUCGGCUUGAUCUGAACUCGCUGAAAAGAGGUGCGGGUACUUGGUUUGCAUGUCUGCUUCUGCCUCCCAAGUAGCGCCCUCAAUUGACUGGUUCCGCCACAAAACUUUGACCAAGGGAACCUCUUUGUUCCUCAGUCUACGGAUCUAAAAAUCUAGGAUCUCAACAUGAAUCUCAUGAAUGAAAGACUGUUCUGAAUAUUAACACUCUCCGAAGGAUCCACUACAACAGAAUCACUAAUAUGCUUCUUAAGUAUGGAGACAUGAAAAAUAGGAUGAACGACUGACAACUCUAUGGGCAACUUAACUUCAUAGGCUAAUUUCCUAACACGGCUCAAAAUUCAAUAGGGCCCAACAUAACGGAGACUAAGCUUCCCCUUUUUACCAAACCUCUUCACCCCUUUCACGAGUGAAAUCUUUAAGUACACCAAAUCACCCACCUCAAACUCAAGACCUCUUCUCCUCACAUCGACAUAGGACUUUUGAUGACUCUGAGCUAUUUUUAACCUUUCUCUAAUCAACUUAACUUUCUCCAUAGCCUCAAAUACUGCAUCAGGCCCAAUCACAAUAGCUUCACCCACUUCAAAUCAAUCUAUGGGUGAUCUACAUCUUCUACCAUACAAAGCCUCAAAUGGUUCCAUCUCGAUGCUAUCAUGGUAACUAUUGUUAUAAGUAAACUCUAUCAAUGGCAAAUGCCCAUCCCAACUACCUUUGAAAUCAAGAGUACAUGCCCUCAACAUAUCUUCUAGAGUCUGAAUGGUCCUCUUAGCCUGACCAUCUAUCUGCGGAUGAAAAGCGAAACUCAAAUGAACUUGGGUACCAAGACCCUGCUAAAAUGCUCUCCAAAACUGAGAAGUAAAUUUAGUACCCCUAUCCAAAAUAAUAGACAAGGAAACUUCAUGAAACUUGACAAACUCUCGGAUGUACAACCUAGCAUAAUCCUCAGCUGUAUAACAUGUAUGCACGGGCAAGAAAUGUAUGGACUUAGUCAGCCAGUCUACAACAACCCAAAUAGAAUUAUGAUGACGACGCGAAAGAGGUAAACCAGUCACGAAGUCCAUAUUCACCUCUUCCCACUUCCAAGUGGGUAUACCAAACUCUUUCAUCACACCACUAGGUCUUUGCUUCUCUACCUUAACCUGUUGGUACAUUUCACACUUUGCUAUAAAUUCAGCUAUAUCCUUCUUCAUACUGCCUCACCAAUAGAUUUCUCGCAAGUCAUGGUAUAUCUUGGUAGCAUCAGGAUGAAUGGAAUAUCGCGCACCAUGUGCUUCAUCCAUAAUCCUCUACCUUAGAUCAUCAAUACGCAAAACACACAACCUACCCUGCAAUCUCAAUACGCCAUCUCCCCCUUGGGAGAAAACCCCUACCUUUUAGUCCUUAACUGACUCUUUCAGUCUGAUCAAACUAGGAUCCCGAUCUUGCUUCUCCUUCACUUCCAAAACUAAAGAGGAUUCGAAACUACUUUGCACUAAAGUACUUCCCUCAGCUGAAUCAAAUAACCUAACACCCAAUCUAGCCAGAUAAUGUAAAUCACGAGCUAACACUUUCUUACCUUCUUCUACAUGAGAAACACUACCCAUAGAUAACCUGCUAAGGGUAUCUUCCACUACAUUGGCCUUGCCAGAGUGAUAUGAUACACUUAUAUCAUAGUCUUGUAACAACUCUAACCACUUCCUCUGUCUAAGAUUCAACUUUCUCUAGGUAAACACAUAUUGCAGGAUCUUAUGAUCAGUAAGCAUAUCAACAUGGACACCAUAAAGAUAGUGUCUCCAGCUUUUCAAACCAAAGACCACAAUAGCUAAUUCAAGAUCAUGGGUUAGGUAGUACUUUUCAUGCGGCUUCAACUGUCCAGAGGCAUAGGCUAUAACCUUACCUCUUUGCAUCAACACAUAACCCAAACAACCUCUAGAGGAAUCAUAAUACACCAUAAAACCAUCUGUACCAUAAAGCAAAGUCAACACAGGGGCUGAAGUAAGCAGAGUAUUUAACUCCUGAAAACUCUUCUCACAGGAAUCUGACCAUAGGAACUUAUAUUUCUUUUGGGUCAAACGGGUCAUGAGUGACACAAUAGAAGAGAAACCUUCAACAAAAUAAUGAUAGUUGCUAGCUAGACCUGAGAAACUUCUAAUAUCAGUCAGGGAAAUAGGACUAGGCCAAUUUCUUCCGGCUUUUGUCUUUUGAAGAUCAACUCUAAUGCCUUCGGCUGAAACAAUAUGACCCAGAAAAUCUACUGAUCUUAGCCAAAAUUCACAUUUACUAAAUUUGGCGAACAAUUAGUGAUCUCUAAGAGUUUGCAAGAUAAUUCUAAGGUGAUCUGUAUAGUCGUUCUCAGUAUGGGAGUACACAAGGAUGUUAUCUAUGAAAACAAUGACAAACAUAUCAUGAUAUUACUUGAACACUCGAUUCAUAAGGUCUAUAAAGUCUGCUGGGGCAUUGGUUAGCCCGAAAGACAUGACUAAAAACUCAAAGUGACCAUAGCAGGUUCAGAAAGCUAUCUUUGGGAUAUCACAUUCCCUUAUUUUAAGCUGGUAAUAGCCGGAUCUAAGGUCUAUCUUGGAGAAAUAACUUGCACCUUGCAACUGAUCAAAUAGGUCAUCAAUUCUUGGAAGAGGAUACUUAAUUUUGACUGUGACCUUAUUAAGCUGAUGAUAGUCAAUUCACAUACGCAAAGAACCAUCUUUCUUUCAUACAAAUAAAAUAGGUGCGCCCUAAGGAGAAACACUGGGCCUUAUGAAACCUUUGUCUAAAAGAUCUUUGAGUUGCUCUUUAAACUUCUUAAGCUCUGCAGGUGCCAUACGCUAAGGCGGGAUAGAAAUAGGCUGAGUGUCAGGAAGAAGGUCAAUCCCAAAUUCUAUCUCUCUAUCGGGAGGUACCCCUAAGAGAUCUUUCAAAAAAACAUCAGGAAACUCAGUAACAAUUUGACUGCCUAAAUAGUUGGAGCCUCGAACUUAGUGUCUUUAACUCUAACUAGGUGAUAGAUGUAACCUUCGGAUAUUAUCUUUUUAGCUUUGAGAUAGGAAAUAAAAUGGCUUUUGGGAGAUACCAAACUCCAGGACCACUCAAGAACUGGUUCGUCAGGGAACUAAAACUUGACCACAUGGGUAUGACAGUCUAUAGAUAUAUAACAAGAAUAAAGCCAAUCCUUAUCUAGAAUAAGGUCAAAAUCCACCAUGUCUAACUCUUUCAAAUCAACAAAUAUGAAUCUAUGAAGAACAGUAACAGGAUAAUUUUUGUACACUUGCUUAACAACCAUUAACUCCCCUACUGGUGUGGAAACUAGGAAAGGCUCAGGAAUUUUUUUGAGACUCAUUUCAAAAUUCACAGUGACUAAUGGGGUCACAUAAGAAAAACUUGACCCGGGGUCCAACAACACAUAAACAUCGAAGCAAAAGACAUGGAACAUUCCAGUAACAACAUCGGGAGAGUCCUUCUGCUCCUGACGGGAUAGUAAGGCAUAGAAUCUGUUCUGGCGCUGACCACCAGUAGUGCUAGAUGAAGUGCCCUGAGUAGGGGCAGGACAGGGUACAUGGGUUGGUGCACUAGUAGUUUGUGCCUGAGGUCGAGAAUCUCUGUUUACCUGCCUAGCAUGCGGACAAUCUCUAAGUCUAUGGCCCAACUUACCACAACCAAAAUAACCCCUCGGAUCUACUGAACACUUACCGGGAUGAUCUCUACCACAGUUAGCACAAGGAGGAUAACGGGUUUUUUUACUUAUAAUGUUUUGCGACCUAGACAUAGAAGACCUAUUCCCUUAAUCCUGCCUGCCUCUAGGCAUGAGAGCACUAGCUGAUGAAGGUGCUGGCAUAGAUGAACGACUCUAGAACUGUGGACAGUUCCCUCUAUGAGACCUAGCCUGACUAUAAUCAUGCUGUUUGAAUCUAGUCCUCUUGUUACCCCUCACUCUAUCUCUCUCCCUUAUCUUAUCUACCUCUAUCUACUGUGUAUGCAUCAUUAACCUAGCUAGUUCUAUAUCCCUAUUCAACAUCACCAUCUUACACUUUUUCAGUACCAAACCAGAAACACCUAUCACGAACUUGCUCAUACUAGCUCGGGUGUCAGAAAUCAAAUCAGGAGCAUACUUGACCAACUGGUUAAACUUCAAGCAGUACUCCUUAAUAGUCAUGAAGCCCUGCCUUAAGUUCAUAAACUCUUCAAUCUUUGCUUCCCUUAUCUCAACCAAAAAGAACUUAUCCAAGAAUACAUCUUGGAAUACUUGCCAAGUCAUAGGAGCAACACCCUCACCUCUACCCUUCUUCCAUGCUAAAACCCAGCCAUAAGCAAUGUUUUUCAACCUGUAAGAUACCAACUCAACAUUUCUUCCUAAAAAACAUGCAUCACCUAUGUGAUCUUUCUUACCUCCUCAAGGUAUAACUAUGGGUCCUCACCUGCCUUAGACCCAUAAAACACUGACGGAUUCAUCCGCAUAAAAUCACGAAUCCUAGCAGCAGCUAAAUCGCCUCCCUGCUGAUUUGCUACUGCGGCUUGGUUAUUAACCUGAACAUUAGCAGUGACUGCUUGGGCUAAUACCUUAAAGGCCGUCCAAAACUCAGCAUGAGACACUGUCUCAUUCAAGGGAUCAAUAGGCUGGGGUUGCUCAUUAUCAUUUCUGUAGGUGUUCGCUCUUUGGGGAGGCAUUUUCUGAAAUAUGAGAGCACAAAUUAUUAGAUAAGAUGGCAAACUGUAGGCACGAUAGAAUCUAAAAGAAAGGAAACAAAAUUUUCCUAAAAUGUCUCGUAGUGUCUUGCUCAUAGAUGUGGCGUGCUACACACCGAUGAUCAAGACUCUACUCAAUGCUGCUUGUCAGACUCCCUAGGACUCCUUAAACCUUAGGCUCUGAUACCAAGUUUGUAACGACCCAAAAUCUCCUCCUGGGAUGUCACACGGUGCUUAAGGCUACAAGUAGCCCCACGCUAACCCUUUGAGCUUGUCACUACAUAAAAUAACUCAUUUCGAGAAGAAAUAAACAAAAUAAUGGCACUGUCAUAUCAAAUGAUAGGAAAUACGAAGAAAAUACUCGGUCCAAAUGACCACAAAAUUGAAAAUUUUAGCAUACUAAUAAUCUGAUAACUAGUCAGACAAAGCCUCUACUACUCCAUGAACUAGAGAGCCAUUCGAACAGGUCCCCAACUAACUUAAACUAAACUAAAAGCAAUAACAUAUCUACUAAAAUACAGAAAUAUCUGAUGAUAUGUCCUCGAACCAUGAGGACUCACCACUGUGGAGAUGUAGACAAAGAUACUCAAAAAUCACUGACAAGGCUGGGACUGAGCAUCCGAACCUACAUUAUAAGAAAAUGUAGCACAUAGACGUAUAUGUGGAUCAACACUUGGGAAUGUACUGAGUAUAUGGGGCUGUAUGCAUUUAUAGAAAACAAUAUCCAUACUCUUUAAUCAAAUCAUACAUGCAAUUAGGAAUGACUCACAUAGCUUGAAUAAGUCUGAAAGGUAAAGCUCAUAAAUCAUGUAUAAUGAAGCAUGUAACACAAAUCUCGUGAGUCAUUAUACUUUAGCUUUAAAAUCUAAACUCUUCUCUUAUUCUCAUUACUCGAAGACUAAAGAAAGAUUUAAACAAUACUUUCAAACUCAUGCAUAUAUCUCAUGGAGAGUAAAACUUUUUUAAUGCUCAAGAACUUAGAACUCUUUUAAACUCAAGACACUUGGAACUCGGAAUUCUAUAAAUCUUACUAUUAGAUAAAACUACUUUAUUCUUGGAAAAAUUUUACUUCAAGAAACUAUUUUGAAAAUAUUACUAUUAGGGAAAAUCACCUACCUCAAAGCUUUAAGGAAAAUAUUCUAUCUCAAGGGAAAAUACUUUAGGGAGGUUCUCUUAACCGACAUAAGCCAUGUGAGCUACAUGAAGUCUAACAUCUUGUCCUCCUAAGUAAGAAACCUCAUGUUGGGGAGAGGUUUCAUACUCUUUCCAGGGAGUAUAACCUCAACUAAGUGAUCACUUAUCUCGGCCUUGGUCCCAUAAAUCUCAAUCCUAUGGUGGCACGUAGUUCUAGGGUAUGAAACCAUAGUAACUUACCCAACUCAGUGCUAAAUACUACUCCCUUUAGUUAGCUACACUCAUCUCAUGGAAAUCCACUUUAAAAAUAAUCUCGUGGUUCAUAAAGAAGCCAACUAUAAAAUCUAUAAUCUCAUGUAAUAAAGUGGAUUUCAAAGCUACUAUGACCAUUAAGGUCCAAACUUUCUCAAUAAUCUCAAAGUACUCAAAUCAUGGGUGCUUAUAGCACAAAAGUUCAUGAAAUUGCAAAUCUCAAGUAGGGUUUAAUGACCCAUAAUCAAAUAUCAAGUUAAGACCCAUCAAAAUGCAUACUAGAUGUCAUAAGGAUACAUAAACCAUAUAGAAAUCUGGAAUGUUCAGCAAUUUGUCAUAAAAUCUCAACAAACUCAUGUACUUCAAUUUCUAGAACAUUGGCAAAUCUCAAAAUCUCAUGCAUAGUUAUAUUGGGUAUGAACCCACACUUCAAAUUCAUAGGAGAACUUAUAAAGUCAUAUAUCUUUAUAAUUUAAAACAAUUUUUGGUCACAAGGAUGAAAGAAUUAUCCUUGUUCAAACCCCACAUACCUUAGAUUGUGACUUAGAUGAACAAACUUCAUUGAGACUCUUUUUUUUACUCUUGAGAAAGGGUUCUUGAAGCCUUUUACUUGGGGAACUUGAAUCUCAACUCAAUUUGUAGAAUCUAUGGUGAGUUCUUGAAUUUCUUGGAGAAGGGUUUUGGAUUUGCUAUUGAGGAAGAAACCCUAGCUCUUAGAUGUUUUGGGAGAUAAUAAGGCUAUCUGCUCCGUUUUAAAUAUAUCAGGGUAUUAAAAGGUAAAAGACCCAAAAUAUCCUUUUAAAAAUGACUUAAAAAUACUGAACGGGAUUUGUGAUAGUCGGAAUGAUGGUCCGUCUCUAUUCUGAUAGUCUGUCGGAUCAUCUGUCGCACGUUGGUCAGAAAAAGGCCACACUUCCUUAGUUGCAACGGUCUUAGCGAUGGUCCGUCGCUAGCUUGACGGUCCGUCAUCUUGGCUGUCGCACUUGGGACAGAAGAGGGAGUCACUUCCUUUGUUGCGAUGGUCUGGGCGACGGUCCAUCACAAAUUCGAUGGUCCAUCAACUGUCCGUCGCACCUGGGCGGUUCCAAUAACUCUAAGUAAAACAACCAUGAAUUCUCACUCCGAUACAGAAUUUGGACAAAAUUGGUAUCGUUGGAAAGAUAAUUCAAUUCUCUAUAUGACAAAAAAUUGAUAUUAGGGAAAUUCUACAUGGUUUAAAAAUAUUUCUCACUUUGAAAGUCAGCCCUUACUCUUCUUAAAGAGAAACUCAACUUAAAGAAAAAUUUGGGGUAUUAACCACCAAAAACUACAACGCCCUAUGACAUUGGAAGAAUUCUUUCUAAGUUGAUUCCAUGUAAAGACUUGUCAUGUCAACCUUGAGGUAUGUUGCUUUAAUACUGGUAAAGAAAGAGCAAAGGGUUAAAACCUACCCAUGGAAGUUCCUUCGUCUUUUGAAAAACCUAAUGCACCUCUUAGCUAAGAAACAUACAAAAAACGUAUUUUCAAAUGAUGAUCUCCUAUUUAUUAAAAUCAUAAACAAUCGUUCCUUGUAUAUGGUGGGCCAUGUCCUAGGAAAUAAGAUAACUAGAAUCUUGAUAGAUGAGGGAUCUGGAAUAAACAUCCUACCUAUAUUAAUAAUGAAGGAACUUGGCAUCACAACUAAUAAACUUACUAAAAUCCAUUUUAUUAUCCAAGGGUUCAACCAAGGGGGUUAGAGGGCCAAAUAUCUAUCAAGUUAGAGAUCCAUAUGGACAAUUUGCAAUUAAAUGUAUUGAUGUAUAUGAUCAUUACCAAGACUUCAUACAACAUAUUUCUUAGUAUGCCUUGGGUACACGAAUAUAAAAUUGUAUCAUCCUCAUACUCUCAAUGCAUAAAGUAUCUGGAAGAUUAAAUGGAAAGAAAAAUAGUUGUCAAUGAUAAGCUAUUCAAUGAACCCGAGUCACACUUUACCGAUGCAAAAUUCUACUUAAAGAAUUAUGUUGUGAAGGAGAAAAGCGUUGGUGAUAUCACAACCAUCAAGGGUCCCCAACUUGCAGCUAAGAAGGUUGGGGUAGCUAUCAAAAAAGUCACCACUAAGAAGCCUCCCUACACUUUAAAUAAAGGAGAUAUCACGUCAUUAAAGAAGAAUCCAAAUCUUGUGCUCCAUUACGUACCAAAGGUAAAGAAAAAAGAAGGCCAUCUAAAUUCAAAGAUAAUGUGCUAGGGGCAUUUGAUCCAAUAAACUUGUCCUCAAGGAUACUUAGAGAAUUAGUGGCUCAAAAUUUGCCACAAAAGAUGACGCUCCCUAUGAACAUAAAAAAGAAGGCUUUGAUCUAAAUGCUUAUAAGUUAUUUGUAAAGGUUAGAAAUAAUCCUAAUGAGCCAUCAAGGUUGGGAAAAUUUUCAUUAGAAAGUACUACCAGACAAGUGUGUGGAGGUUAGGGUCCACGACACCAUCUUCUAUUUGCAUUUCCAUAAGAAAGACGAUUAAUAACUACAUUAUUGUGGAAGAAGAAUCUACUGCUUCCAACAAAAUGCCUUCUAUCUUUGAUCGUCUAGGAGAAUCAACCAAAAGAAAUUAUGUAUUGGAGAGAUUGGGUCCACUAAAUAAGAAGAAAAGCAACAAGCAUCAGAGAAUUUAUCAAAGUAUAGUGAUGCACUCUUCACCUAGAAUCUACAAAGAUUUCCAAAGUGUGAUUCCUUCUAGAAUAAAGCGACAGACAAAACUUGUGGUCUCAUAUAAGGAGGUGUUAAAAGAAAGGUCUCAUACUAUAGUUUAUACCAAGAAAUAUAAGAUAAAUGAAAAAAGUGUAGGCUCUUUAUAUCAUAUUACAAUCCAAAAUGAGAAUGAUGUCUGAUCUCAAAUUAAGGUUGAUGAAGAGUUGGAAGAUAUUUCAUUAUGUUACCUUAUAUCUAUCAGCGAUGAAGAUCCAUAAGGGGAGGAAGGUACUGGAGAUGCUCUGUUCAAACUUAAAGAAUGAGUGAAUACUAAAAUAAAUUCCUUGAAGAAAGUCAAUCUUGGCACUGAUGAAGACCUGAGACCAACUAACCUGAGAAUUUUUCUAGAAAUGGAUGAAAAAUUACUUAUAUUGACAUAUUCAAAGAAUAUAAAAAUGUUUUUUCUUGGAGUUAUAAGGAGAUGCCUGAUGUAAACCAAAAGUAGUAGUCCAUCAAUUGGCAAUCAAGAAUGUUGCUCGUCCUGUUAAGAAAGCCUUAAGGUACUUUAGGGAUCUCAAAAACACUUAUCCUAAGGAUUGCUCGUCCUGUUAAGCAAGCCUUAAGGUGCUUUAGGGAUCUCAAAAACACUUAUCCUAAGGAUGAUUUUUCAAUCCCCAUUCUACAGUUAAUGAUUAAUGCUACCACUGGUUAUGAGGUAAUGUCCUUUAUGGAUGGUUGAUCCAACAAUAACCUAAUUUACAUGGCACCAAAGGAUGAAACUCUCACUGCAUUUCAUACACCCAAAGAUAUUUAUUCCUACAAGGUGAUGCCUUUUUGUGAAGAAUGCUAGUGACACUUAUCAAAGGGCCACACGAAAUAUAUUUGAUGGCCUACUUAAUAAAAAUUUUGAGUGCUAUGUAGAUAACUUAAUACUUAAGUCAAGAAAGAGGAACGACCACUUGAAAGACCUAAGGAUGAAAUCUGAGUUACUCUAAUGAUAUCAACUUAGGAUGAACCCUUUAAAAGACGCCUUUGGAGUUACUUUCAGAAUAUUUCUUGGCUUUAUUGUAUGACACCGAGGAAUUAAAAUUAAUUAAGAAAAGGUUGAUGCAAAUUUAAAGAUGCCCGAGCUGAGAAAUAUUCCGAAGGUUGAUGUAAUUUUAAAGAUGCCCGAGCCACGAAACAUUCAUGAGUUAAAAAGCCUUCAAGGAAGGCUAACAUAUUUAAAGAGGUUCAUCUCAAUCCUGGCUAGAAAAUGUCAGCCACUUAGCCAUCUCAUGAUGAAGGAUUCCCCUUUUGAAUGAGACCAAGCUUUUAGUAAGGCUUUUGAAAGUAUCAAAUCAUACUUGAUGAAUCCUCCAGUUCUUGUAGCACCUAUACCUAGAAAAUCAUUGAUACUCUAUAUCAUAACACAAAAGAGGUCAGUUGGAGCACUACUAGCUCAAGAAAAUAGUGAAGGCUAAGAAAUCUCUCUUUACUAGCUGAGCAGAAUGAUGACACCGAAUGAGAUGAAUUAUUCUUUGUUCAAAAAUUUGUGUUUGGCGUUGAUCUUCUCAAUCUGAAAGAUGAAGUACUUCUUUAAAUCUCAUGUCUUUUGUCUUGGGUCUAGGGCAAAUCCCUUCAUGUUUGUGAUAUCAAAACCAGUCUAUAGUGAUUGACUUUUAAGGUGGUACUUUUAAUUUCUAAAGUGAGAUCAUGUACAUUCCCUAAAAGGUUGUAAAUAGACAAAUAUUGGUAGAAUUUUUUGCAAACCACCUGAUACCUGAUGAUUAGGAACUGAUCGAUAAACUUCUUGAUGAAGAUGUAAUGGUAUUUAAAGUUAGACCCCCGUGGAAGAUGUACUUUCAUGUUGACAUACAUCGAGGUGGAGAUGGUACUAGUGUGGUGUUUUUCACUUCACAAGGAGAGGUUAUCCCAUACUUUUUUACCCUAAAAAAUCAAUGCUCCAACAAUGUUGCUGAAUGUUAAGCAUUAAUACUCAGACUUGACAUGACUGUCAAUAUGAAACAACUAUAAUUACAAGUCCUUAGUGAUUCCCAAUUAGUAGUCAAGCAGGUCUUGGGAAUAUACAAAGUCAAAAAGACUGAGCUACACCCAUACCAUGAUUAUGCUUAGAAGUUGAUUGGAUGGAUUUGUGAAGUAACCCUCCAGCAUAUCCCAAGGAAAGAAAAUAAGCAAGCUGAAGCCUUGGUUGCUUUAGCCUUAACCCUAACUCUUUUGAAUUAGACAUGAGUUACAAUCUGCCAAGAAUAGGUAGUACCACCACCAAAUAAGGAUGACUAUUUAGUAAUUAAGGUUGAACACCCCGUUGCUAUGUCUGAAGUCGUAAAGAAAGAUUGGGAACAACCUGUCAUUAACUACUUAUGUUAUGGGAUACUUUUAAAGGAUCCAAAGAUAAAGACUGACAUCUAUCAUCGUGCACCUCAAUUCCUUUACUACAAAGACAUGCUAUACAAAAGAUCAUUUGAAGGAAUACUCUUGUGAUGUAUGGGAGAGAAAAAAGUAGUACAAGCUUUGCAAGAAGCAACUUGGGAGUUUGUGGGUCUCAUCAGUCUGUACCAAAGCUUUAUUUUCAUAUUAAAAGGAUGGGUAUUAUUGGCCAGCGAUGGUGAAAGAUUGCUUGGACUAUGCUAGAAGAUGCAAAACUUGUCAAUUUCAUGCAAAUUUCAUACAUCACCCCCUCGUGAAGUAUUAUACCAAGCUAUAGCAUCUUAUCUAUUUAAUGCUUGGGGGUUGGAUGUUUUUGGACCACUGCCAAAGUCUUCUGGUAGAUACUUGUACAUCUUGGUUGCCAUAAAUUACUUCUUAAAAUGGGCCAAAUCUAUUGCUCUCAAGGAAGUGAAGAAAGAGAAUAUUGUGAACUUCAUCUGAGUGAAUAUCAAAGAGAAUAUUGUGAACUUCAUUUGAGUGAAUAUCAUCUACCACUUUGGAAUCUCUCAGUACAUAAUAACCGACAAUGACAAUCCGUUUCAUAACAACUUGAUGAAUAAAAUUUGUGAUAUCUUUGGUUUCAAGCAUUGUAAACCUUCUAUGUACCAUGUUGCUACCAAUGGUCUGUCUAAAUAAUUCAAUAAGACUUUAUGCAACCUAUUGAAAAAAGUUAUCUCCGAAUUCAAAUUAGACUGGCAUGAACUAAUGGAAAAAGUUUUGUGGGCAUAUAAACCCCAUACUCACUUUCUUUUAGAGUUGAAGUAGUCCUACCACUUGAGCGUCAAAUACCUUCUUUAAGAGUAACUAUUCAAGAAGGGAUAAGCAAAGAAUAAAAUUCUAAGUUGCAUCUUGCAGAGCUAGAAGCUCUCGUGGGAAGGGGUUGGAGGCUCAACAAAAUCUUGAAUGUUAUCAAUCCUGUCUACCUUGUUCUUUCAAUAAAAGGGUUUUCUUGAGGUACUUUAAAGUUGGAUAUCAAGUCCUUGUAGUAAUAAAAUCCAUUAUUACAUGUUGUAAGUCUAGGGAAAAAUUUACCUUGAUGUGGGAUGGACCAUAUACCAUACAAGAGGCAUACUCAAAUGGUGCCUACAAGCUUGUCAAUGCAGAUGGCAUAAAAAAUGGUCCUAUUAAGGCCAAGUUCUUGAAGAAUUACUAUACUUGAAGGAAGAUAACACUACUUAAGGUAUGAUCAUAAAUUGCAUGUCCACUCUUGGCCCGCAAGAGUAUAAACUGUGUACGGCUCAAUAAAUUAGAAAAAGAAAAAAAAGUCCUCUAGGUUGAAAAUCUCGAAAAAGGUGACCUAGAAAAAAGUUAGGACACAAUAUAUAUAUAUAUAUAUUAAAAAAAAUCACUCACCUAGAAUUAUGUGGUGACUUGCUCAUCUUCACCGAGAUAUGUAGGCCAUUGAAAUCUUAUUCUAAGUUCAGUUGCAUGAGUGUUAAAAAUAUGCAUGCUCUUGCUCACGUAAGAAGUCAGUCUUUAAGAGACUUUUUGUUUCAUCAAUCUUCAAAUUUUCACCAAGUAUUGGUGGCUCGAUAGGGGAAAACCCUAUUGAAAUGAGCUUUUUUGACAUAGGCUGAAGUUUUUAAAUUCACUGUCUUUAAGUUGGAGUCUUUCAAAUCUGCCACAUCAAAGAUUUUAAAGCCUGAUAGCUGAAGUAUUUAGAUAAUCUAUGUCUAUAAUUUGAAGUCUUCAAAUUCACUAGGUCUUUAUGUUGGAGCCUUAAAAUUCACCAUGUUGAAGCCUGCACGUUUAUGGAGUCUGUAAGUUGAAGUCUUCAGAUGCUCUAUGUCAAUAAGUUGAAGUCUUCAAGUUGAAUUUUUCUAAUCUGCCGUAUCCAAGUGUUUAAAGUCUGAUAGCUGAAGUCAUCAGAUGAACUAUGUCAAUAAGUUGAAGUCUUUAGAUUUACUAAGUAUUCUUUGGAGAUUUCAAUUUCACCAUAUUGAAUCCUUCAUGUUCAUAGGGUUUGCAAGUUGAAGUCUUCAGAUGCUCUAUUUCUAUAAGUUAAAGUCUUUAAAUUCACUAAAUCUUCAAGUUGAAGUUUUCAAAUCUACCAUAUGGAAGACUUUAAAGUCUGAAAGUUGUCAGAUGCUUUAUGUCUAUAAGUUAAAGCCUUUAAAUCCUUCAAACCUUCUUGAGUUUCCCUUUCUUAGGGCGGGGAUGAGUUUCCAUCCUUAUACACUAAAAGAUUACCAUUAUAUUUACCUUUUUAGAGAGGGAACACAUAUCCAUCCUUAUGUGCUGUAAAAUUAUCUUUACUUAGGGCGGGGAUGAGCAUCUAUCCCUAUGCGCCGCAAGAUUGCCUUUACUUUCUUAGGGUAGAGAAGAGUAUCCAUUCCAAUGCACUGCAAGUUUAUCAUUAAAUUUACCUUUUCUUAGGGUGGGGAUGAGUAUCCAUCCUUGUGCUCCAUAAGAUUACCUUUACCUUUCUUAGAGCGGGGAUGAGUAUCCAUACCUAUGCACUAUAUGAUUACCAUUAAAAUUACCUUUUAUUAGGAUGGGGACGAGAUCCAUCCCUAUUGGCCGUAAGAUUACCUUUACCUUUUCUUAGGGUAAGGACGAGUAUCCAUCUCUUCACCAUAAGAUUACCAUUAAAAUUAUAUUUUCUUAGGGUGGAGUUGAAUAUCGAUUCCUUUGUUCUAUAAGAUUACCUUCUUCAUGCACUAUCCUUUGAAUCCUACUUACAAAAAGAAAAAAGGAAAGACAACACAAAGAAAACACAAGUAGAGGAGAGAUUAUUACUUGUUAGGACGUUUCGAACUCAAAAGCCAUAUAUCACGAAUUUGUAUAGGCUUGAGACAAGAUAUUUUGGUGAGAAUGAAGCCCUCAAAUUCUGAUUUCCAUCAGUCAAAACGCCUUCUAAAGGUGACGUUUCCAUGUCAAGAUAUAAAUUAUUUGGCGAGGCAUUGCAAAUUUGGAAUUCUCUGUUGGAUAGGAUCAAGUCAACUUUAAAAAAUUAUCUAGAAUGAUUCCGGAGGUUUUAAAUUCCAAAUUUUAGUUUUGUGGAAGAGGUAUGUGUAUAGUUUAUAGAAAAUCAAGCGGAUCAUAUGAUUUUAGUACUCCUACAUCAAGCGAUAAAUAUUUUGGUGUUGUCGCACGAAUCUGGACUUGCCGACUCGUGAAAAUCUAAGGUUGACUUUGUAGCAACAUCUGAAAAGAUCCCAAAUGAAUUAAAUGAUGGUUUUCAUAUAUGAUAUAGAUAUUUGGGUCUAGUUUCAAUAGGAUUAAGCGACAAAUGAUUUCAUCAUUUCUUAUUCAAGAUAUGAAAGUUUUAGUAAAGACGUACAAAUAUGAAAUUUUCAGCAUAAUAAAAGUUAAUGCUAACUUCGAAAAUUAUCUAGAAUGAUAUUUUUAAGUCUGAAUUUUGGAUAUGUUGUAGCUAUCUAAUUCUAGUUUCUGGAAUACUAAACCUUUCAUGAUUUCAAUAUCUUUAUAAUUUGAUAUGAAUUUUCUACUACUAACAUGCUAGUCUGGAAAACAAUUAUCUUGCAUUGUGCUCCCUUCUUUGACUCGAGACACAACAAUGUCAAAACAAUAGAGAGUGUCCAUCUAUUUAUAGAUGCAAAAAGGUGGUAAUAGUAUCCUUGUUGAAAAAAACUAGGAGAAGUUUUCAAAUCCUUAAGAAGGUGACAGACUCCUAAAUUGAUGGAAGUUUGGAGAAAAUUGUAUCCUAAUCCUAAGUGAAUCUUAAUGCUUCAACGUUAAGCUACUGGAUGCACAAAGGAUUGGGAAAAGGAAUGCUAGUUGAAGUCAAAGGGGGACAUUUCCUUUUAAAGAAGUAGUGCUGAACUAUUAAAAAAAUGUGUGAUUUAGCCUCUAUAAAAUUUAUUCUCUUGAUUUCACAAGAAAAUAAAUGAAAAAUAUCAAGUGAAUAUAUGAUUCAAAUUCUAACGUAUCUUUACUUGAUACGACAUGUAUUAACCUAUGAUAUAUAUAUAUAUAUUUACAUAAAUAUCAUUGCAAUUAAAAUUUUAAGUUAAUAUUUCAAGUCUAGUCUACAAAUAUCUAAAUACUUCGACAAGUCUUGAAGUAGGAGGUAUUUGUGAGCAAUAACAUUUUAUUAAAUUCAAAUCUGUAUAAAAUUUAAAUUAUAUUAAAAUUCAAAAUAGAUUAAACAAAAUAAAUGUAAUGGAUUAAUUAUUUAAAUCCAUACGAACAUGAAUUUGUUUAAAGUCUAAUUUAUGUUGGGCUAGUCCAUUUAUAUGGGCUACAAAUGAUGAACUUGAUUUUGCUAAGCCCAAGACGUCAUCAUAUUCUAGAGUCCCAAUUGAGAACCACGUGUUGAAUAACGUGGCAUUCCAAGUUAAGAGAAAAAACCAAUAGAAGCAUGCCACAUGUCAAAAUGAUGCAUCAUACCUAGUGAAAUAAAAGGCACAAUCAAAUAUCGCCAUGUCACUUAAAUCUGAUGGGUCAAAAGAAACCUAUCGUCACCAUGACUGAUUCCUUCGUACAACUAUAAAUAGUGGUCUCAUAAUUCAAAAAAGGGAUGAACAAUUUUAACAAGAAUCAAGAGAGAGCUCGUGGAUCAAACGCUGCAAAUUUCUCUACAAAUUCAAUCAUUCAUGAUCCAGUUCAUCAAGAUUCAAGCUCAAGACCACAGGAUUCAAGAACAAGCUCAAAGUCCCUUGAAUUCAAUUAUAAGUCUAGUUCAAGUUCAUAAAACCAAUAAAUCAAGAUUCAGUUCAUCAAGAUUCAAGAUCAGGACACAAGAUUCAAGAACAAGCUCAAAAGCCCUUGAAUUCAAGUACAAGUCAAGAUAAAAUCUGUCUAAUUCACAAAUACAAUUUAAAUUCAAGAUCAAUCUCCAAGCCCAUUGAUGUCGCCUAAAACUACACAUCCUUAGAAGUAAGAAACGGUCAAUGUCAAACUAUAGUAACGUAACUAGGUUGGGGUCUAUCCCACAGAGAAUAGGCCAGACUAUCUCUCGAGCUUAUUGAUAUCAUCAGACAGUUCAGAAAAGUAGAUAGAGGGAUUUGUGUUGAUCACUAUAAAGUAACAAAACUCGAAUGCUUUUGGUUGUAAACUAUCUAAAAAAACACUAGGCUGGUGUUCCCUCUGGCUUAUAACUCCGUAGGUUUAUCGUGCUCAAUCCAACUAUCUCACUGCUAUUUAAUAAAAUCUGACAAGAUAUGUCUCACCAACAGCGUCUCGACACCCUUUGAUGAAUCUGAAUCAUCUCCUCUCAGUAUCAGAGUGUUGAAUUACUAACCCUUUUCUUGUAUUUUAGUUUAACCAUCUCUUCCAGUCUCAAGUUAUUAGACAAGGGUUGAUUGCCUUGAAUCAUUGUUGUGAUCUUCUUUUCCUACUAUCUACCCCUCUUUUGAGUUAGUAGUGAAUUCAAUUGGGUUCUUAACAUUUGCAACCAUUAAGAAAUUAGUUAAAGUGAAGAAAACCACAGUACCUGCAGCAAAACUGAUUUAGAAAGAUUGCACACUUCUAUUACUUCAUUAAUUACAACCUUAGCUAAGAGAAUUAGCCGUACAUCGUGUUGAAAUGAUCCAUGGAAUUCAUAAUUAAAACCAUCGAAUCAAUAUCAUAAUAAUAUAGGAAGAAAACAUCAAAAUCAUCUUGGUUUUAAGCAUCGAAAGUGCCAUGAAAUCAUGGAACAUCAAGGCCCUCAACUCAGACAUUUGCAUAUCUUCAGGAAAUAACACACAACAACGAUGCUUAACCAAGAGAACCUAAGACACCUACAACAGUCAAUCAUCAACUUUAAUCUCAAGAACAUUACCCCCUCCAAUUUUACCACUUCAAAAUCUAACUGUGUGUAUAUCAAUGUAGCAGAAUAAUAUAACACAAAGUAAUCAAGCUAUGACAUUACAUUAGCAACAGACAAUCAUGCAUAUGCACAAGUUAUACUACCCAAACAAAUAAGCAGUUAGCAACAUAACCUUUGUGUUCCAAAGAAGUCCCAGUCACUCAAUAGAAUCAUGUAUGUUACUACAGGGAUAAUCACGAGACACUCACAAUGAAGUUCCAACAAUGUGCAUAGAAUACCAUAGACUUGCCUUUAUUUUCUUUAUCUUAGUUUCCAGAAAGUCGUGUUAGGAUCAGUAUAGAGCUUUACUCGACUUGUAAUGUAGGUUUGGGGGCUAGUAUGAUACAUAUGGAAAUUUAUGACUAAGCCUCCUUGACAUUACAAUUGUGUGAGGGGUCCACUUAUCAACUAAUUUCCUUUUAUUCCACCAUUAUUUUGCCCUUUUUAUUCUUUUAUUGCUCAUUCAGGUUGGGUGUGGUUUAUUUUAUUCAUUCUUUUUUUGUUUUUGCUUUUUAUUUUUGAUUUUUUUUCUCACACCCAACCCUAAUUUCUUUUCUCUUAUUUAUGCCUUUAUUCAUAACCACUUCUAAUCACUCACCCCUAUAAUAGCCACCCUCAACUUAGGUGAUUUGCUUGAGUUGAGGUACAUAAUGUCCAAGGAGGACCUGGUUCAAAAUAGGUUCAUUGUAACUAAUAUGUGAAGGUGAAUGGUGAACACAAGAAAAAUAGUCUAUUAGGCUCAAAAUAGGCAAGACUAGUCAGGAAAAUUCUAGAUUUCAUACACAAAGGAACAAAGUAAGCAUCUCACACACACAUGGCCCAUUAUUGCAUCGCAAACUACUACCUAUCCGGUUCAUGCAAAUGUUAGCUAUGAUUAUUAUUUCCCUAAUACUAAUGCCAUAAUGAGAUUCACAAGGUUACACACACACACAUAUAUAUAUAUACACACACAUUACACAAUUUUAAAAACAAAUUUUCCGAAGGGGUAUCAUUUUUCUAACAUAUUUUAGCAAAAUCAUAGUAAAAUACAUCAACUGUCUUAGGUAUUUAUGUUACUCCUAGUUAAACACAAAAAACAUAAAAUAAAACAUAAUACAACCUAAACAUUCCAGCUCUACUAAGAACGGACUCCGAAAAAAAGAGACAUGGCAACAAAAACCCCAAGAGGACAUCUAAACCCACAAGUAGCCCCAAAACCCUUAACUUGUAAUAUACAUUGUCCCUAAUGCAUUAAACCGCUAAAAACAAGAGAGUUAAAAAUAUGCAUACGACACUGUAGGUGCGUAGAUUCAACGUCAAUCACACUAACACGAACACCAAUGAAAAAAUAACAUAAUACCUUGGGCUGCCUCCCAAGCAGCGCUUGACUUCGGAUCACGUCAUGACAUGGCUAUGUUGGUUACUCAGACUUCACCAAAAAUCCCAUCAAUUUCUUCUCAUGCAGUGCAUGAUUUAAUGUCAUUGUACGAUGCGAGUACCUUGAUUACUUAGACUUCAUUAAGGUAACAAAGGGUUGGCCUUCUAUUUUUCUUUCCAUUUUGACUUAUGAAUUGCACCCUAAAUUUUUUAUCCACUUUUUUUACUAUGGUCAAGGGGCUAUGAAAAUAAAGAAACCAAGCAAUAGAUGUGGCCUGUUGAAACUCUUGACCUUUAAGUGAGGAAUUUGAUUCCUUGAUUUUGGCACAAUAAAUUCAAGAAUAUAGACAUAUUCUUCCUCCUUUUCACUUUCUUUCAUAGGCUCAGAUAGCUCUAUUAAUAUCUUACUAUCCAAACAUAAUGUGAAAAAAUGAUUAGAAUAAGGUCCAAUACAUCCCAACUCAUGAAUUGCAUUUUUGUUUACAUCCUUACAUAACUCUAGUGCGCUCUUUUGAAUUGUGACAACAUCCACCGAAGUAUGAUCAAGUGUUGGCUCCUCCAGUUUUAGCUCCUCAAUUUGGCUUAUAAGAAUCUUUUCAGUUUCACACAACUCAUAACUAAAUUAUUGGACGUCACACGUAUCAACCUUAACAUUCAAAUUUUAUUUUAAGUUGUAAAUAUCCAAGCCAAAUUUGUCAACUUUUUAAUUGGAGUCCUCUUUUUCUUUUGCUAGGAGCAUCAAUGUGUCUAGCAUGUUCUCAUUGUGCUUCCAUAGUAUAUCUAUCAUGCUCUUGUGAUAAUGCAUUAUAUCAAAAGGGUAAGGAUCAAUAAGUAAAGAGUCCUCAUCACUCUACACUUUCUCUUGUAAAGAUAUCAUAUUUUGAAGAGUAGAAAAAUAUAAAAAAAAACUCAAGAACAUCAACAAUUAUGAUCAACCACUUCGCAACUAUCUCCUCCGACAACAACACUAAAAUUUUGAUGUCGCCCAAAACUACACCUCUUUAGAAGUAUAAAGUGGUUGAUGUCAAACUAUAGUAACCUAACUAGGUUGGGAUCGAUCCCAUGGAGAAUAGGCUAGACUAUCUCUCAAACUUAUUGAAAUCACCGGACAAUGCAGUAAAGUAAAUGGGGGGAUAUGUUUUGAUCAGUAGAAAGUAACAAAACUCAAAUGCUUUUGGUUGUAAGAAAUUUUAAAUAAACACUAGGAUUGUGAUUCCUAUGGCUUCUAACUCCAUGGGUUUAUCUACAUCCUUUGGUGAAUCUCACUCAUCUCUUCUCUGUCUCAGAGUAUAGCAUUACUAACCCUUGUCUAAGAUUCCAGUUUAACCAUCUCCUCUCAGGCUCAAGUUAUUAGACUAGGGUUGAUAGCCUCGAAUCAUUGUUGUGAUCUUCUUUUCCCAAUCUCUACCCUUUUCUUAAGUUAGUAGUAUAUACAGGUGGGUUUCUAAUGUUUGCAACCAUUAAUAAAUUAGUUAAAGCAAAGAAACCACAAUACAUGCAGUAAAAAUAAUUUAGAAAGGUUGCACACUCUCCCUACUUCGUUAAUCUGCCAGGGUUCCCACAACCCUAGCUAAGGGAAUUAGCCGCUCAUCACUGUAAAACAAUCUAUGAAAUUCAUAGUUGAAAGCAUAAAAUCAAUAUUACAAUAAUAUGCUAAAAAAAAAAUUAAUAAAUCAACCAAAAACUAAGAACAUAAGAAUCCCAAGAUCAAAAUCCAAUCUUAGAAUCUAAAUAUAUGAUUGUGACUAGUCUGGGUGCGUUAACUUGCCCACAAGGGCCUAUACUAGGCUCAAACAACAUCAAAUAGCACAAACUACCUAAAAAAUGUCAAAAAGUAUUUAUAGGUUACAUGAAAACCCUAGGAAUCAAACCCUAAACAAAAGAGGAAAACUUGAGUAGGUGGCCAUUUGCGCUGCCACUUACGGGCCGUAGGUGGCACCUACGGGACAUAGGUGGCACUAAAUAGUUAGCAAACAUCUUUCACAACUUCAAACUCUCUUAAACUUUAGCUUUUGGCACCUGCAAUCUGUCACCUACGGCCAGUAGGUAGUACCUACAGCUAUUAGGUGCCAAAGUAGGUAGCAGAAAAAUUCAGGUUUCAACCUUUUCUUCUGAUUAACUUCAAAAUCUAUUUUCCUGCAAAAUCAUCAUGAAAACACAUCAUAUCCAACAAAACACACCUAAGUAAUUGCAUAAUUCUUGGUUUUAAGCAUUAAAAGUUCCAUGAAAUCAUGGUACAUCACCCAUGAAUUUAUAUUUUAAAAGGUGAAUCAGAGGAUUCAUAGAUAUUGUAACACUCACAUAUUAAAAUCAACAAAACAAUUGUUGCAAAAUUUUUCUUGUCCUAAUUAUUAUUUUAUCGACUUGAUUAUUAUUGUCUAACAUACCUUCAUCUUGGUUCCUUACAAGACUUAUAUUGUGACCUUUUUAUAUCGAAUAAGUGUUAUUUUCACUUGUUUUAAUAUUACUUUUCUUUUUAUUUGUUUUUGCAUAUUCAUCAUGGUUCCAAGAGGCAUAAUAUAGGGUUUUCUAUAAUAUUUCAUCAUUUCCAUAUAAGAUCAUCAUCUAAGUUUAAUCCCAAUAUAAAUCACAAUGUUUGAGUGGUAGUUUCACAUUCAUUUUGUCAAGAAACUUCUAAAUGUGACAAGAUGUGAGGAAAUUAGAUUUUUAGGAGUGUUGCGGCAUAGCUAUGAGCUUGAGCUGCAAGGUAAGAGUCUUGUAUCUUUGAUUAUUUGCUAACCUGGAGUCCCAAAUCUCUAGUUAUGAAGUGAACUUAUAAUUGUCAAUGAAUUAUAGUAUUUCUUUAUGAAUAAUAUUGGAAUUGGGAUUCUUUGUUUUAGUCGAAGUGGAUGUGGGAUUAGAGUUUUGUGUAUCUUCAAAAGGACAAGAGUAAGGUACAUGAAAGAUUUAAACUCAGAGAUUUAUGUGAAAUAAUACAUAACUUCUUCUCUAGGAUCUAUGUGUGUUAUCACCACCAAUUGACUUAGCAGUUUUUCUUACAAGAUCACUAAGGAGUUUUGUAUAUUAUCCACAACAACUACAUUCUUUAUUUAAGAAAUCUCUCUAAAUGUCUCUUGUGUGGUGUGUAGAAUGAUCUCUUUGGAUGACCUCAAAUCCUCUUUUUUUAUAGUAGAAUAAAUAAACUUUAACUCCCAACUUUAUUGAAGAGUUUCAUAAAUUUAUUGAAGAGUUUCAUAACUCUUCUUUAAUUAACUAGGGAGUUACUAUAGAGUUAGUACUUGUUUCAUUCAUGAACCACAAAUCUACCUCUUUUAUUUUAGGGAGUUAUUUAGUGAACUUGUAACAUUCUUCAUGAAUGAGUUAGUUACUAGUCAAUCCACCAAUGGGUGUAUUUACUUCCAACAUCCCCCACUCAUAAAUGAUGGGAUGAAUCACACAUAAAGCUUUCCUUGUAAGCAUUCACACAAAAUGCAUUGUCGUGACUGCUCAAGUACCUAGUUUGGAAGCUCUAACACUAGAAGUUCUUUUUUGGAUAAACACAAGAGACUACUACCCUUUUGAUCAAUUAUGAAGUAGGGGGUAUUUGUGAGCGAUGAAAUUUUAUUAAAUUUAAAUGCGUACAAAAUUUGGAUUAUAUUAAAAUUUGAAAUAUAUUAGUCCAAAUAAAUGUGAUGGAUUAAUAUGAUUGAAUUAAUUAUUUAAAUCUAAAUGAAUAUGAAUUUGAUUAAAGUAUAAUUUUUGUUGGGCUUGUCAAUUAAUUUAGACUACAAAUGACGAGACUGAUAUAUUAAGCUCAAGAUGUCAUCAUAGUUUAGAGGCCUAAUUGAGCGCCACGUGUUGAAUGACGCUAUGCCAAGUCAAGUAAAGGAGCCAAUAGGACCAUUCCACAUGUCAAAAUGAUGCAGGAGGCCUAGUUAAACAAAGGCCCAAUCAAAUAUGGCUAUGUCACUUAAUUCUUAUUGGUCAUAAAAAACCCAUCUUCAUAAUGACUCUUUCCUUUCUACAACUAUAAAUAGGGGUCUCAUAAUUCAGAAAAGGGAUGAAUAAUUCUGAAAAGAAGAAAGAGAGAUCUCAUUGAUCAAAUGCCGCAACUUUCUUUUCAAAUUCAAAUGCCGAAGAUUUCUUUAUAAAUUCAAGCAUUCAAGAACCAGUCAUCAAUAUUCAAAAUUCGGACUACGAGAUUUAAGAACAAGCUUAAGGGUUCCUGAAUUCAAGUACAAGUCGAUAUCAUGUUCAUCAAACUCACAAAUCAAGAUUCAGUUUAUCAAGAUUCUAGGUCAAGAUCACAAGAUUCUAGAAGAAUCUCAAAAGGCCUUGAAUUCAAGUAUAAGUCAAUAUCAGAUCCAUCAAAUCCACAAAUUAAGUUCAAAUUCAAGAUGAAGCUCGAAGCCUUUGAAUUUAUAUUCGCAAAGGCGAAUCAGAGGAUUCAUAGAGAUUGUAAGAUUCACAAACUAAAAUCAAUAGAGUGAUUGUUGCUAUAUUUUUCUUGUCCUAAUUGUUAUUUUCUCGACUAUAAUGUUAUUGUCUAACAAAUUCUGGCAUGCCCAACAUAACAAUCUCUACCUCUUAUCUUAAAUUUUCCAACAUCAAAUUUUUAAAACACUUAAAUGACUUUCAAGAAGGCCAAUUCUCAAUCGACCGCCUCCAAGGUUGCUGAUUCCAAUUUCUCUGUUAAAGUACAAAGCAUCUUUGGUGUUUUAUUUGGAAGUUUUGGAGCUAUCAUAAGGAGAAAAGCCAGCAUGCUAGGAAAACAAACACACUAAGUUUCGUCUGCACCAAUUCUAAUUCUUAGAUAUUCAACCCCCAAAUUAGUGAGGCCCAUGUAAGUGCUUCAGAACAAGGAAGCAAUAUGACAGUGACAAAUAAGAAAACCCUAGAUCUACUUGAUCACUCUAGUUCAAAAUACUUUUGCACAAAGAACGAUGUUCAUUCAACCAACGUAUCAUCUUUGCUUACAUCACAUAAUUUAAUCAUGAUCAACUUAUAUGACAAUCCGUGUUACUCUACAACAUAUUCAAUAAACAUAAAAAUAAUGGUAACUGAUGCCUUAUCUAUGGAGAAACAGCUUGCAAACCUAGCAAAGGCAAUAGAUGGCCUAACCAAGUAUAUGUAAAAUUAGGAUGCUUGGAUUGAUAAGUUGGUAGGUAGGAUGGACGACUUGAUAGACAGAGAUUCUAGCCAUGCACAUGGAAAAGCUCCAAAAAUUCAUGAGAUAGAUAAUCCUAUAAAACAAAUACCACCUACUAAGGAGGUACAAAUCUCUUCCGAGGGAAUGAUGCCAAUUGAUCAAUUGAAAGAGUUCAUUGAAGGGACCUUCAAAGACUAGUAUGAUUUAUCAACCAUGUAUUCUUGACUUACGCCAAGCCCUAUACUAUAAGGAUUAGUAGCUUCAAAAUGUUUGUCAGUUAUCAAACCCCUAAAUUUCAAUAAUUUGAGGGUGAAGGAAAUCCAAAGCAAUCUGUUACACACUUUGUUAAGACAUGUAAUAAUGCUGGAAACUAGAGUGGCUAUAUUUUCAAACAAUUUGUCUAUUCCCUAAAGAAAAUGCCUUUAAUUUGAAUGUGAACUUUAAGCCUAAUUCUAUUGACCAUUGGGAGAAUCUGGAGCAUGAGUUCCUAAAUCACUUCUAUAGAACACGGCAUACAGUGAGCAUGGUAGUGCUCAUAAAUAAUCAUCAAAGAAUGGACGAGUUAGUCAUUGAAUUCAUCAAUAAAUGAAGAAAUAUGAGCCUAAACUGCAAAAAUAGGCUCAAUAAAACUUUUGCGAUGGAGAUAUCAAUCCAAGGAAUGUGUUGGGAGCUUCUCUAUAUCUUGCAAGGCAUUAAGCCAAAAUCUUUUGAAGUGUUACCUACUCGUGCUUAUGAAAUAGAGUUGAGCAUAUUUUCUGCUAGAAAAGGAAUGUCUAUCCUUGACCCUCAAAAGGGAAAGGAUACAGAGGAAGAAGAUGGGGCAAGUUUAUCUGCACACUACUAGAAAUUACCCCUAUGGUGACAGUUGUAAAACCAUUGCAAUAGACAGAAAAAUCGUUGUCAUAGCUCUACCGUAACGGUUCAGCAAGCGUCCUAUAGGUAGGCGUUGCGAUAGGUCUAUGACAACGGUUUAUGUGACGAUUCUCUGAACCAUCACCAUAGGUCAAGCUAUGGCGACAUUUUCAUACAACCGUCGCCAUAGCUAGACCUAUGAUGACGGUUGUUUUUAGACUUAUUGAAACGCCUAUUUUCAUUUAUUACAAUGGUAUUAAACCGUUGUAACAUCUAUUGCGAUGCUUUUGUUAUUCUAUUGCAAUGUUUUUUGAAUACCUAUUUCAACUAUUUCAUUACUUAUUGGGAUGCCUAUUUUAAUCUAUUUCAAUGACAUUAAACUGUUGCAAUAGCAUCUAUUGCGACACUUUUGUUAUUCUGUUGCAACGCCACAUAUUAUUAAAUUAAAACAAUUUAUAUAAAUAGUCAUUCGUAUUAAUGUAUAUUUUUAUUUACAUACAUGAUAAAUCAUAAAACAAUAUAUACAGACCACAAAACAAAAUCAUUCGUUAAUAAUCUCAUAAUUCAAAAUACGCAACAAGCUAGUAAUUUAAACCCAAAAUAUGCAACAUACUAGCAAGUUCGAGCCGCGAUAAGUUUCAAGAAAGUCAACACAAAACUAUUGAUAUUAGAGAAUUUAUCCACAACCCAAAAAUCUUCUUAAUUAAGGUCAAUGUCUUCAUCACUUUCUUCAUCUCUUUCUUCAUUUUGGACACCUAUAAAAAGAGAACAAAAUAAUAUAAAUUAGCAUGGAGCAUGAUGGGCUACAUAUUUACUUUUAGUGAUAUCACUUUUACUUAUGGCUUGUAUUUCCAUCUCCAGCUCCUGGACAAACCAUAAAGGGAUGCUGCACAAAAACCUCAAUUUCCAGUCAAGGUAAUUUUCAAUUUGCAAAGUGAAGAAAAAUGUACAUCUCAUGCAAACAAUUGUUUUGUUCUUCCCAAAAGUUUCCUUCAUCAAUUUUCUAUCUGAAGUGAAAAGGUCAAAUGUUUUCUCUCUAACAAGAAGAAGAACAAGUCCCGGUAGGCUAACAACUAUUUUGAGAAUGAUUUAGCAAUCUAAAGAAGAAACAAAAACUGAACGAUUAGCAUCGACUAAUGCUGCAAAAUACCUUAUUGUCUGCAUAUUGGAUGAUUUUUCUUGAUAUGGAUGGAUCAUUUAGGUAGCAAACGAAUUUACAAGUCCCUCAUGUAGCUGAACAUGAAAAGAGAAAUCCAAUGAUCAUCUGUUAGCACUCUCACAAAAACUGUAAAAGUCAUGCAACUUACAUUAUUUCCUCUGAUGUAAUUAUUCCUUUGGCUCUUAAAGUGCUAAGCUUCCAAUCUAUUUGUUUCAGUCCUCGUGUGCACCAAGUUCAUUCAAAGACAUAGAAGGCCUUACCUCUUGUAACGCACUCUCAAAGUCCUGUGCAAAAUAAUAUUUUGAAAAUGCUAUGAUGAGAAUAUUAUGGACUCGUAUGCAACUACCCUAGUUCAUUCUUUUCUAUUAUUUUGUGCCAGCAAAUUACCUGAAGAGUUAUUGGCCUCAUAUCCUCCUUUUUUAGCUUUGUAACUUCUAUACCGUGCCUAAGAGCUUAUCUUAGUGGAACCAUGGAAGCAUCCUUCACUAAAUUCUUUAUGUCGGACCCAGAAUACCCUGGAAAUUUAAGCAAAAUGUGAUAAAUAAAAAAUUCACAAAUAAAAGGGGAAAAAUAGGAAUGAUGAGACUUAAAUGUUUUUGAAUAUAAGCAUCAUGAGUUGUGAAUACCGUCUGUGAAUUUGCAAAUGGAAAUAAUAUCCUCAUCUGAAAACUUAAACAACCUAUCCUUUUUCAAUAGAAUCAUGACAAUCCAAGAUCUUCCUUCUGUAUUCCCAGAGAUAUGGUCACAAUAGUGAGCAGUGAUCACAGUAGUCUAUUCGUGAUUAAUAAAAAGAAGAAGGAUCUAGACUGCACCUGAGAAAGGAAGUGGAUCGUAGAGUCUUUUAGUAAGCCUUCUCCUUGCAGCCUCAUCAAGUUCUUGGGGCCUGUUUGUUGCACCUAUUUCCAUGAAUGAUACCAUCAAAUUUUUUUCCACAAAUAACUAAAUUAAUGAUUUUUCUAUUGUAAAAAGAAAUCUGGCAGAUUUAAAUUUCUCAUUGAAUUGCUCAGUUUACAAACUACACCUCAUGGAUACAUCCACAAUAUACACCUCUUGGGCAAACAAAGCAACAAAGGAACUUUUGACUAGCACAUGUUUGUGAUUGGAACUGGUUACUUGGUUUUAAAAUGAGAAUCUACUUUUGUCUUAACAUGUUGAAUUGUAGAGGGUUCUAGAGUUCCAAAAAUCACCUAUAAGAAGAAUCUGUUUGCUCACAUUGUCAAAGAUUUCCAUCUCAAUUAGAAAUUAUGUCUUCAGGCGCCUACUAGAUUCAUGUUCACCUUCUGACUUGCGCUACAACGAUGUAAAGUCUUAUAGAGGGUCUCAAUGUUCACAUUUGCCAAUCAACUUAUGGAAGUAAAGUCGAGCCAAAAACUAAAAAUAUAUUGUCUAAUAUGCACGCCUGUGCAUGCAUGAUUGAUGCUUAUCUCCCAACUUGUGCUGCAACCUUAGCAAGUUUUCAAAUGCAAGGUUACUCCAACAUUCAAAAGAAGAGAACAUUGAAUUCUCUAAAUAUAAAUCAUUUCUUUUUGCAUUUUAGGUCACCCUUUUGUUCCCUUUUUCCCUAAUAAUUCUAUCUAAAACUAUUCUUUCCAAAAUGCCCCAAGUCCCAAAACAGAAGAGAGUCAAAAGUAGGUAUCAUACCAAUUUCUACUUUAGCUAGCUGAGGAGUUGACAAGAGAAAUAAAUUCCUUUUCAGUACACGUCUCAACCAUAAUCAGAUUAAAUACGAUAUUUCCAUUUGUCAGAAAAGGUAGCAAUCAAGCAAUUUGCAAGAUAUGCUCUUUUUCAAAAUAUUGCAUCCCAUUCAGUAAGAAGAAAUCAUGCACUAAGGAAAAGAUUUCUCUUCAAACUGAAGUAUCAGAGAGUUACAUACCUGAGACAACAGAUAAUCUAUUUCAUCAACGAAAAUAAUAGUUGGCUGAUGACAACUGACAACUCCAAAAAGUACCCUCAGCAACUUCUCCCCCUCUACAAUCUACAAUCAUGAAUUCAAAGUCAUUUGCUUAGAUAGUUCCAUCCACCUUUAAAUAGAUAUCUAGAACAAGCUAAGCUGGAACGCAAGUCUUAUGGACUAGAUUUUAGUGAUCCAUCCCAAGCCAAAUAAUAAAUUAGCUUAGACUACCUAUAAUAACUGAAAAUAAAACCUCAUCAAACUCUUUCUAUCAUGUACUCUUGCCCAAUCCUUUACAUUUCCUUGUCAUUUCUUAAAUUUCCCAGGUGUGAAUUACAUGAAAUUUUAUAGCUAUACCAGCUAAGACUCCAAAUGACUUGGGAGUACUUCUGUUCAAUAUUUAUUUAUUUGGUGUUUUCAUAUAAUAAACCUAUUAGAGAGAUGCUUAUUAUAAAAUUGUGUGCAAAGUAAAUGUUUAUGCUGCCUACAAAGAGAUUAUGUUCCCGUAGGAUUUGAGAUCAAAGAGAUGAAUUUAGAACUUCAAAACUAUGGUAUCCCCAUUAGCUUGAUUAUUUUGGUUCAUAUCAAAAGUUAAAUAUCUUGCGGGAAGUUAGGGUUUCAUCCUCCUUUUCUUCCGAUAAAAGGGAUCAAGUACAUUUCAAUUUUCAUAGAAUAACUUGCAUAAACUAAAAUACAACAUACCCACUUGCUCGUCCAAAAGUUGGCAGAUAUAUAAAAGAAGGUUUCUUUUACCUCGCCUACAAUAGCUUUCCCUAUCAUUGUUUUGCUAGUUCCCUAAAGCAUGAGAGAGUUAAAAGUUCAUAAGAACUUGCUUCUUUUAAAUCUAUCUUGACCGGGUGGACUAAGAACUUAAUGGUGGACCAAAUAGAAGAAGAGCUUGCCCUGUAGAUCGGCAACCUUUGAAGAUGUCUGGAUGUAAUAAUGGAUAGAUGACCAUCUCAGUUAUACAUUUUUUAGCAUGUUCCAGGCCAUCAAUGUCAUUCCACUGCACAUUGGGAUCCCGGUGCAUAAUAUCAAUAUUGGUAUGCUCAAUAAGUCAAGGUUCUAUAUUUCUCAAUUUCUCAGGAAGCUCACCAUCAGGACCAACCAACAUUUCCAAACUGAAUGUCACAGAAAGUGAAGAAUUAGGACUAGUGUUUUGAAUUAUAAAGCACCUAUUUAGAUCUUCUUGUGAUAAUCUUUCGUAAAAUGUACUAAGCUAAUACAACUUGAAUUAAAUAGCACAGUUAGCCCAAAGUAGAUCUCUAUUGAGACAAAACAAGCAAAGUCAACUAACCAUCUUCUUGUGGAAUCAUCUAAUGAAUCUUCUCCUUUCGCAGCAUUGCGUGAAGUAACAUUGCCUACAUUUUUUCCACUACCUCUAAUAGGAGGAACGAAAUUGUCUCAUAUGCCAUGAUGUGAAAUACCAUAGGACCUGACUCCACAACCUUUGUUCAUCAAGGUGUUAUCAUUUUGUGGGGAGAUUGAAGCACUUGGUGAUCUACUCAACCCUCGCCUCUGUCUUGUGUCUAUUUCCUACAACAUGAAAUGAUCAGAAUGGACACACAACACAAAACAAAACAAAACAAGCAAACCAAAAGAUUACAAAUCUGUGAAGUUUCAAGAGCGAUAGUCCUUAAUAAAUAAAGCAAAUUGAUACUUCUAAGAUUUGUUGCUCAAUUUAAAAAAUACAUUUAUCAAAUUAUAUAAUUUCUUCUUUGAAAAUCAAUCAGUCUCUUUACAUAACCAGGGGUUCUGUCUGGAUGCUUGAAGGUAUGACAUCAUUCACCUAUGCCAGUUCGAGAAAACACAUAGAUGCUUACAACGAUAAAUACACUUGCUAACAGCUACAACAUUCAUGUUUGGAGUCAUGAUUGCAUGUAUAUUAUACUAAGAUCUACACUAGCAAUAGGUUGGAAAUACAUCAUUGAUUAAAAAAUACUUUAACUUGCCAAUUAGGAGUCUUUAUAGUAAGUUUCAUUAAAUAAAUAGAAACCACUAAAACAUAGGACCACUUCCAGUAGUCAGUACAGAAAUCACCUGAAAAGAGUCAGGUUGAGGUAGGCUAUAUAAAUUUGUUACUUUUUUUUUUAAUGACAGAAGCUUUUCUCAAAAAAGAAAGGGAAUUAAAGAAAUAACAAGUGGUGCAACAUUCCCUUGGGUUUAAGGAGUUGUGCAUCUUCUAUCAAAAUCUAAGCCCAUAACAUUCUUCCCUAUCAAACCAAUCUUCUUAUUUGUUAUUAAAAUAUACUCUUCUUCCUCUUAACAAAGAAUUUGAACUUGUAUAGCAUACAAAAUUUCUGAUAAAUAAGAAAAUCUUUUAUCCAGAUGCAUUUACUCAUUCCCUUCUCAGGGAAGGGAAGGGUCCACCUGAGUACUUAAUGUGUUUUAAAUUAGGGAAACAAGAACUGUGAAUCAGAUCUUUAUGUUUGUUGAUAGGAUUUUCACAUAAACAUUUUUGUAUUAAAAAUAAGGGAAAAAGAAAGAAUAAUGUGAACAAACAUAAGUUGGUUGUCAGCCAAGGAAUUCUUUUUCUAUGCAUUUAAGCAAACAAGUCAAACACUCUUGAUUAGACAAAAUGAAAACCUAGAGCAUAUUCCCUUCUCGGGGAAGGGUCCACCUGAGCACUUAAUGUGUUUUAAAUUAGGGAAACAAGAACUGUGAAUCAAACCUUUAUGUUUGUUGAUAGGAUUUUCACAUAAACAUUUUUGUAUUAAGAAUAAGGGGAAAAGAAACAAUAAUGUGAACAAACAUAAGUUGGUUAUCAGCCAGAGAAUUCUUUUUCUAAGCAUUUAAGCAAACAAUUCAGGCACUCUUGAUUAGACAAAAUGAAAACCUAAAGCAUAUUGUUUCAGAAAGUUGUAGGCUUGUGGCUGUGAUAACAUAACAUUCAAAAAGAUUCCACAAAAAUUGUAAGAGGUACCAGUUUUUCUUUAGCCGUGACAAAUCCAUUUGGAGAAGCAUCUGCAUCAGUUUUUUCAGUGCACACGGGGGAUGAAAUGUUUUCAUCUCUAGUGCCACUACUUCCCUGUGCAACCAUCUUGUGUUGGAACUAUUGACAUAGGUUUUUUCUUCCUUUUCAUCUUUAAUUUCCACUGCUUGAUGCUUCGGGUAGCUAUGAUUUAAGUGAAACCUUUAAACAGGGAGAACCUCUGGGCUACUAUUAUUUGCAAAGCUUUUAUUUUUCAUCGUGGAUAAAUCUCUUGGAGUAGUGUGUACAGGUGGUUUCAAGGUCCUGCUACCCAUAUUGUUAUAUCUGUUUAAUUGAUCUCCCUGCAAGAUAAUACGCUUCAAAUGACUUCUUCUAUCUCAAAAUGAUCGCUCUUUAUUCACAAGAAAUGUGAAGCAACUUGAAUAAAGUUGGAAAACCAAAGAAAAAUGAACAAGCACGUAGAUAGGAUUUUCAGCGCUGGUGACAGAAAAGAAAAGGGAAAUAAAUAAAUUCUUUAGUUCACACACCUGUUCACCUUAAGCAGUGCCUUCAUGUAGCUGAAAAAGAGAAAGAAAGUACUUAUAUUGAUUAAUCUUCUCAAUAUCAAUGUCUUUUCCUUGGGUAAAUAUGUAGCCUAGGUCUCUCCCUGCUUGUUCAAAGGCGUGUCUGGAGAUAUAUAGUGAAGAACAACAACUUCAACAUGUAAGAACAUCUUUAUUGCUAAUAUAAGUGAAUCGUGAAAUGAUGAACGAAAUGAUUCUUAUCAGGUUCUAAAUUGUAAAAUAAGAAAAUAAUAACAAUACAAAUCAACCAAUGGAACACCAAUUAAUCUGCACAUCAAUAUAAACAAGAACACCCUUAAAAAUGCUAAAAUCUACUGCAGUUAGCCCAACUACUACAGUUACUCUAAUCAGUAACGCUAAUGUUCCUCAACUUUCUCUUGUCAAUAUAACACAUUACAAUAUUUUUCCCAACAUAACGACUGUAAUCGGCAGAAUUACAAGGAAGAAUAAAAAAUUUCACGCAAUAAAAUGAGCCCAGCAAUCAAAUGUUCUCUAAGGAGAAGAUAAACCCAAAAUCCCUAAAAAUUAGGUCAAAGUCAUAGAAGAAUACACUAACCUUAAAAUUCCCAAAUUGAAGCAAUUAAAGUGUAAAUUUGAGAGAAAUUAAAGUGCAAAUUCGGUCUAACUUUUCAACACAAAUCGAUUUUCGAAGCGGCACUAGUAAAUCCCAUAGAGCUCACCACCGACAGCUCACUACCAGAUCAUCUCCACAAUAUUGAACCAUUUGCAGAAAUUAUAGCAAUUGUCGUUGUCGAGAUUUUAGCGAAGAGUACACUAGCAGCCCUAAUCAUCGAUUAUAGCAAUUCUAUCAGCUAAUCGAAGAGUACACCAAUAGCCCUAAUCAUCGAUUGUAGUGAUUCUAUCAGCUAAUCAAAGAAUACACUGGCAAUCCUAAUUGUCGAUUGUAGCAAUGAGAAGCUACGAGAGAACUGUAUAGGUUUAAGCUAAGAGAAAGUUUUGUUAAAAUGUUCUUUUUUUCUUGGCGGACUUAAUGUAAAUUUUUGUGAAAAUGGAGGGAAUAAAAUAAGGGUUUCUAUAGGUCAAAAGCAACCGUUAUAAUGUUAAAUUAUAUCUAAUAUAAUAAUUAGUUUUGGCAACACUUGAAAUUGUUGCAAUAGACAAUCUAUUGCAACGCUUAUUAACCGUCGCCAAAAAAUUCAUUGCGAUAGGGGUAAUUUUCAAUUGUUCCAAAAGUGACAACAAAGAAUGUAUGAAUUUCAAUAUGUAUCAUGUGAAGUUCACCAAAAAGGUGAGCAAAAAUAAAAGCAUGAAGACGACUUCUCAAGCACUUCCAAAUUAAAAGUUAGAUUUGAAGGAGAUACAAGAAAAGAAAUAUCCCUUCCUUGAUUUUGAUAUUGCCAAAAUUUUAAGUAAACAUCUUGAGUAUAAAUACAUUAAUCUACUAAAGAUGAAUCAACUAGACGAAGAUGGAAGGAUUGAUGAGCCUAACUAUUACAAAUAUCACAGGCUCGUAGGUCACCGUAUGGAGAAAUGUUUUAUCUUCAAGGACAAGAUUAUGAAAUUGGAAAAUGAGAAUAAGAUCUUCUUUGAUGAUGUGAAGGCCAGUUCUUAUCAAGUCUCAAUCACUUUUGGCUCGAUCGAUCCAUUCCAAAGGCACUUAAAAGAGAAUAAGGAGAAAUCAUUAGAGCAUGAAAAGUCUCCAGUUGAUGAAGGUAGUAACGUAGGUUGGACUGUGGUGACUAGGCGGAGUCGCAAAAAGACAAAUCUACAAAAAGAUUCAUCUGAGUAACCAACUAAAAGGAGGAUGGUGAAGAAACUAAAGAAAUAGAGGCUAAUUAAGCUACCAAAGAGGGAGAGGGUAGUGGAGCAUCACCACCAAAAAUCACGACGCCUUUGAUAUUUGAAGAAUUCUUGCCAAGUCGAUUUCAUGCAAAGACUGCUCAAGUAAACCUUCAGGUAUCUUGAUUUAUGUGGAAAUCUACCCAUGGAAGUUCCUUCGUCUCCAAAAAAAGCCUACUAAACCUCUUAGUAGACUUGAAUUGUGACCUUUCUUCAUAUCGAAUAAGUGUUAUUUUCACUUGUUUUAAUAUUACUUUUUUUUAAUUUUGUUUUUACAAAUUCAUCAUGAUUCUAAGAGGAAUAAUAGAGGGUUUCUAUAAUAUUUCAUCAUUUAUAUAUAAAAUCACCAUCUAAGCUUAAUCCCACUGUAAAUCAUAAUGUCAUAGUGGCAGUUUUAGUUCAUUUUGUCAAGAAGUUCCUGAAUGUGACAAGAUAUAAGGAAAUUAGAUUGUUAAGAGUGUUGUGGCAUAGCUACAAGCUUGAGCAACAAGGUAAGAGUCUUGUAUCUUUGAUUCUUUGCUAACCUGGGGUCUCGAAUUUCUAGUUAUGAAGUGAACUUAUAACUGUCAACAAAUUAUAGUAUUUCUUUUCUUAUAACAUUGGAAUUAUGAUUCUUUGUUAUAGUUGAAGUGGAUGUGGGAUUAGAGUUUUGUGUAGCUUCAAAAUAACUAGAGUAAGGUAUGUGAAGGAUUUAUGCCCAAUGAUGUGGAAUAAUACAUACCUUCUUCUGUAGGAUAGAUGUGUGUUAUUGCCACCAAUUGAAUUAGUGAUUUCUUACAAUAUCACUAUGGAUUCUUGUAUAUUAUCCACGACAACUAUAGUCUUUAUUUAAGAAUACUCUCUAAAUGUCUCUUGUGUGGUGUUAAGAAUGAUCUCUUUGGAUGAGCUCAAGUCCUUUUUUUAUAGUAGAACAAAGUAACUUUAACUUCCAUAUUUAUUGAAGAGUUUCAUAACUUCAUUGAAUAGUUUCACAACUCUUCUUCAAUUAAAUUCAUUUAGGAAUCAAAUAACUCUACCUCUUUUAUUAUAAAGAGUUAUUUAGUGGACAUGUAACAUUAUUCAUGAAUAAGUAACUAGUCAGGCCACCAAUGGAUGUAUUUACUUCCAAUAUAUCCACUCACAAUGAUGGGAUGGAUCACAUACAAAGAUUUCCUUGUAGGCAUUCAUAUUGAGUGUGUCGUCGUGACCGCUCAGCCACCAAGUUUGGGAGCUCUUCUACCAGAAGUCCUUUAUUAGAUUAGAAUAAGAGACUACUACCCUUUUUAUCAAUUAUGAUAUCUUAUCAUCUCAUAUAAAGUGCCUUAAAUGCCCUAGACAUAUCUAUAUACACAUAUGGCUUCUUUAACCCUUUUAUCAUUUUCAGUUUUAAUAUACCUUGUAUCCAUACUUAUGAUUCCAACUAAAAUAGGCUAUAUAGUGGAUUAAUUGCAUAUGUCUUAGACACAAACAUAUUGUGCAUAUAUUUGACAUGAUCUCCCUUUUGGCCAUGUAUCAUUAAGAUCAAGAUUAAUUACUUUCCUAGUAUUACUCUGUUAGGUUAUAUUUCAUAAUCUUUGGUUUCAUACUAAAGUAACAUUCACUAAUCCAUCACCUUAUGAUAUUAUCAUAGUUAUAAGGGCACCAAUGAAAGAAUUUAAUUUCUUCAAGGUCUCAUACAAAAAUGAAGUGGGGUCUAUUCAAUUAUAUUUCAAUUUGUGGUAAUAAAGCACAUGCAGUAUGAAAUGCAUCUUGUGGUGUGCCUCUGAGUACAUCAAAGCGUAUAUCAAUUUUUAUCUCUCUACACUAUGUAGAUCUUGGUCCAAGAAAAUCAUUUACGUGACUCGAGUUCUAUCACUUUUCUAAAUUUUAGAGGAGAUCUCAUAUCUGAAUAUGGUAAGUGGGAAUCCAUAAUUUUGAUCCUUGUAUUUAACAUUUCUUUUGAAUCUCAUCCCAGUCUUCUGAUGGGGUUACAUCAAAAUGAUGUAUUCUUUUAACUACUCUUUUAGCACUAAGAAACAUGAAUGUCUCAUCUUGGCUUGCUUUUUAUAAGCACCCGAGGUGGUUGCUUGAGUGAGAAAGCCAACCUUAUUAGCAUGCAUGACAUACUUUAAUAUUAUGGUUGUGCUAAUCAAAUAAUAAUGUAUGAAAUAAUCAUGAAAAAAUGUGCACAUUAUUUCAAUAAAUAGAAAUAUCCAUAAAUUACACUCAAGAUAUUCUAACAAGGAAAUAUAAAAUUUACAUCCUGGACAAGCUUAGAGAUUUCACAUCUUCAAUAAACACAUUCCUUGGUAUUGAAUUUAUUAAGGGAUCUAUUACCAUCUAAUGCGUAGAGAUAUACUGUAAAGUAAUUUCUUUACGUGCUAUGAUGUCUUUAAAAAAGUUUUACUUUGUAUAUAUGUACUUAGUCUUACUAUGAUACUCAGGGCCUUUAGUAUAAUCCUUGUUGCUUAGCUAUCACAAAAGAGUUGCACUGGAACCAUUGGCCUGUUAAUGAUCCCUAAGUGCUCUAUUAAACUCUUUAGCUACACAACUUCUUGUCCUUGCAGAACAUGUAACAAACUCUACUUCAAUUUUAUUGAAUAAAUUUCAAUGGCUUUUUGUGCAUUUUAUUGCACUUACAUAAAUUACAAAAAAAUUUAGAGGAAACAAAAUAAUUUGGAAAGUUGAGAGCACGUAGAAUAUAGGGCAAUAUUGGUGAAGAUAGGUGACCAAGUCUAAUGUGUCAUGAUAAAACAACUGAGAACUGACUGUGUAAAGCAGUAGGAUUGAUGGCCGACUUUACAAAAGUGGAUAGAAGAUUUGGCUACUCGUACAGGCCAUUGCUAGGAUUUUCGCUUACCACUAGCAUUCUUAUCCGAUGGUCCUUCACAACAUAAAUGAAUUGUGAGAAUUUAAUAGAGACAUACUAAUAGGCACACAACUGAUAAACAAAAAUAAAAUUCUUUUUCUUCCUAGGAACACAUAGAACAUUAGAAAGGUGAAAAUCAUGAUGAGGAUACAAAAGUUUGGUGGAACCAAAGUGUGUAACACGUAAGUUUUUACCAUCACCCAAUAUUAAAUCAUCAAUGGUAUAAUUGGAAUGCAAUGAUAGAUUCUGCAGGUCACUUGUGACAUGAUGGACACCCUAGAAUCAAUUAACUAGUUUGGAUUUCUAUUUUCUCCUACAUUAGCCAUGUUUGCAUUUAGUUGUGGAGUAUAUGUAUUCUAAGUGGAGGCCAUACUAUUGGAGGUAAAAAUAUUUAGCCAAGGAAAGGCUACUUGUAGUUUAUGACAUUUCUUGAUGAAUUGGUUGAUUGCCUUGUUUUCUAUUAGAGCGAUAACUGCUUCUUUGAGUGGUCCACGUAAUAGAUAUAGUACUAGACCUAUUAUUUCACGAGUUGGAAGAGGUGUUCUUGGCUGCAAAGUUGGAAGCCAAUGGAAAAGAAGGAGGAUUGGGAUUUUGUUGAAGUUGCUGCUCAUUGUCACACAACUUUUCAUAAAGUUUAUCAAAUUGAAGUGAGGUAUCUUGAGUCCAAAUAGAAUAAGAAAUACCUUUAUAUUCAGGUGGAAAGACAUUAUAAACAUAAAGAGUGAUGUCAUCAAGAAUGAUAACAAUCCUAGUAGAAUAAAAGUAGUCAUAAGUUGCUUGAUAUAUUGAAGUUAAGCAAACAUAUUUUGAGUACCAUUGGUAGCACGGGUAAAUAAGUCUUUGAGAUUGAGAAUUCAAGCAUGAGAUGGAUACAUACCAUAUAGAGUAGUCCAAACAUCAUAAGAAGUUUCAGCAGUGUUGACCAAAGAGACAACUUCAAUAGAUAGAGUAGUAGUAACCGCACUUCGUGGCAACUGAUCUUGGUGAUACCAUUAUUUAUUAUGCAGAUGAUAAAUAGUUGGUUGAUCAUUAAUGUGAUAUGUAAUACCCAAGACAAUGAGUACAAAAUUCCAUUGAGAGUACUAUGUCUGAUAAUUGGUGGAUCUAAGUUUAAUAGGAGUAGUCAGAGAGGCUGGAAAAGGGAAUAGAACUAAGCUCUAUUUUGAGAGUUCUAGAUAGUUAAGGGAAUUAUAGUUGGAGUGAUUGGAUUAUGGUAGUGGGUACUGGAAACCUUUGAUAAGCAGAGGUAAAUGGUUGAGGGUGAGAUUGGGAUAUGGUUAUAUUUGUGAAAUCUAGUAAGGAUUUGUCGAAAAGGGUUAGGUGUUUUCUAUCAAAAUAUCACUAGGAAUUGUUUGAAAAAUAUGGGAGAGAAAGAUGAAGGUUCCAUAACAGUAGAGGGACAAAAAAUAUUGGUAUAUGAUAGCUGUCUAAGAGGAGUGACAAUGAAAGAUUGAGUUUUAGUGAAAGGGUUAGUGGAGGAGAAAUGAUUGGUUAAGGUAAAAGACAUAACAAUAUGAGGCAUUGAGGUGGAUGUGUUUUGCUCAAUAGAAGAUAAUGGAGAGGAAGAGAUAUCUUCCAUGAGGCUAUUUGAAAAAAACUGCAAGAUCAAAAGAGCCUUUUUGGCAUUUGGUCUAAUACCAUAAAAGAGUUGAAGUGAAAACUAAUGCUUCAUGAAUUGUAUUGAUGGAGGUAAAUACAUAUAUACAUAAUAGUCUUGGUAAAUAAGAAAGGAAUAAAGAUAUAAAAGGUAUCUAAAUCAAUUAGAACCAAUUAACUAUAUAUCUAAAUCAAUUAGAACCAAUUAACUAUCCUACAAUCUUUGAAGAUAUAAUACAAUCAAUUUCCUAUAUUUGACAAAGAAAAAUCAAGGAAUAAGACUUUAAUAGUUUUUGUACUCUUAGAGGCUUGAAUAACCAUAAUAUAUGUCAGUAUGUUUAUAUGGCCUUGUCGGCCUUGUUGCUAGUUGGAAUCUCAUAUUUUUCCCUCGUCGGCCUUAUGUACAUACAUGUUUGGGUUGACUUUCAUGCAGGUUGUCCUACAUAAAGACCUUGUUGGUUUAUUCAGUGUAACCUACACGUUGAACAUAUGUGUUUAUAUGGUGCACUUGUUGGACCAAUGUUCUGUGCUUUUAGUUAUAAGGUUUACAUUGAUUCACUCAACCAGGUGAGGCAUCAAAUGCCCAUCACGCCUCCCAGGUUUGGGGCGUACAAUACUUGUGUCACCAGUUCUUGGGAGUUGUAUCAAUUUCUCUGUUAUGAUUUGGCUUCCAUGACCAAAUUUAUGACUUACUACCUUAUUUUUGCAUUUCCACUCAUCAAAUAUGGCUUAAUAAUGAAUGGGGUUCGUAUAUGCGGGAGGGGUAGGUGCUCUCAUGGCCUAUUAGAAUAAUUUUAGGUCAUGAAAAGUUGCUUUUGUACUUAUGUCAUCAAUUUUGGGGGUUGUUUUUAUUUACAUGUAUGUUGUGACUUGUACCUCAAAUUUAAGGAUUAUUAAUGCUUUAGAUGAAUGCCAUGUAAUUCCAUUUUUUACUCAUCUUAAAUGGUUUAUUAAUGAAUGAGGUCUGCUUACGAGGAAGGGUUGGUGUCAUAGUGACCUAAUUUAAUUUUUGGGUUGUUAUAAAGGUAAUAAUUAUUUGGAUACUUUAAUUGGCUUUAUAACACAUUAUAACACUUUAUUUGGAUAUUUUUCAACACAUUAUAACAAUUGACACAGUAGAACAAAGAUAAUAGAAAUUAACUUGGAAUUCUAAUAGAAGUUAAAAAAGUCAAGUUAUUUCUAUUCAUCUUUCUAAAGAUUUGGUGGAGAAGUGUUAUCUUGUACUUUUAUUGAUAGAAGGAUGCAUGUGUUGGAAUAGACGACAUGCAUGUUAGUCUUACACCACCAAUAUUAUCUUAAACAGAGUUGUCCUUGAGUGGGAAAAAAAAUUAAAGAGAGGUAACAGAAGAAACACCUAUAGUUAGCUUUUAGUAGACUAAUAUUUGCCUAAAUUUAUGUACCAUGUCCCAUGUGUUAAGACUUAGACGAGUGGCAUGUAAGAAUGACUCAAAUUUAUUAAAUACAAGUAGAUCCAUACAAAAACUGGCUGAGAUAUAACCAAUAUGGAUUGAUUCUUAACUCUAUGUUUGGGACAAUUAGUUUACCAUUUCUUUUACUAAAGAAUAUCAAGAAAAGAGUUAAAUAAUAAGAGAUUUUUCCCCCUAAAAUCCCAUUGUAUUGUUGAAAAAAGGUAUUAAAUUGGAUAGGGUUCAAAUAUCUUAUGAUCCAUCCUCGACCUAUAUUAUCUUUCAAGUUGGGUCAUGAAAUUUACUUUUUAUUGUUUGUUUGGUCUAGGGAUGUGCAUUCUUUGUUUAAAACUGAAUUAUCAUAUUGCCUAGCGAUCUAUCAUAUGGUGCACUACCUACCAAUCCCAAAAACUAAAUCAAGGCAUCUCUGAGCAUUGAACAAAAAAUAAUCUCUGGUGGUGCCUGGGCUGCCCCUUGGCCUACCAAUGGAUCGGGUAGAGGAACCUUUGGAGCUACCUCUACCUCAAGAUCAAUGAUAGGAUAUGAUGAAGUCUCUCUGUCAUGACUCCUAGCUGAGGUUGAAUCUCUAGCAUGGCCUUGGCCCGUUGUUCGGCUAUGAUCUCUGGCAGGUGUUCUAGUUGUAGACUCAGGGUCCUCGUCUCUGGUUAUCAUAUAUCACAUCCUAACCAUCUACAAAAAAGUGAAAUAAGGAGAAUUUUGAAACCAACAUAGACUCAUCGCACAAAAAUUGUCAUGACUCGAACUAGGGUCUGGCCAUGAUAGGUAUCUCAAGUAUUUCGAGGACCGGAUACCACCCUCUUAUCCUAGUUAACUAGAACACAAUAUAAUAUAACAGAGAAAACAAUCCCAAAAGACAAUAAGAGACAAGAUAAGUACUUGGAUAGAAGGAAACUAAGAAUCCAAUAACCAUCCCAAUCCACAGAAAUCCACAAAGACUCUAUGGAACCAUUAUCAAUCUAGGUAGGGACAUGCCCUUGAUGAUAGCAAAAAAGGAACCAAAUGGUAGUAUAUGACACAAAAGAAACAUGACUUUAAAAUGAUAACCCUUCCAGAGAAUGGAAGCUCAACACUUCAAAACUGACAGUCAACAACGCAGAAAUCUAUCACUGUGCAGGAAAAGUAGAAGUGCCUUCAGACCCUGCAUCGCGUGGGGAUAUAACAUCUAGAGACAGUUAGUGGAAUGGGCACUAGAAUUCACUCAGGGAAGGGAUAAAACAAUGCCAUGUUCAAUAGUUUAAAAAUCAUUCAAAAACCAAUGCACACAAUUAUAUCUAUCUAUCUAUCUAUUUAUAUAUAUAUAACAUGCCAGGAUAGGGAACAAGUCUCAACAUGUACUUUAAAACUUUAGCCUAGAUUAUGAAACAUAACUGUCAUAAUCAAGCCACCGACGGGCUCUAUGGGCCCAACUCUACCCUAGUUGGAAGGGCCCCAGUGCAUGUGAUCGCACGAAUCAGAGGAUAAUCAUAUGUGCAUAUAUCUGAAGGGAGACUCGAACCUCCCAGCAUAUCAAGGUGACUUGAGCACCAAAUCAUGUGAUAUGGGGGACUCGAACCUCCCAAUUAUAUAAUAAGGGGGACUCAAACCUCCCGGUCAUUUAGACCUCAGUGUUGGCAACCACGUCUUCCAAUUUUGUCCCUCAGGACCUCCACUAUCAUGGCCCAACUACACAAACCUAUUUUAAGCCCAAUUAAAACAAAAUAUUAGCAAAAAUUCCCAUUAUUUGAACCAGUUAUGCAUUAAGGCAUCCCGUUGGCAUCAUCAUACCAACCCUACUUACAAGGUCAUUAUCAUGCCAUAUCCAUUAUCCAUCACAUGAGGAGAUUCAUGACCCUUAGGUUCAAAUCACCCAUUCGUACAUAAAAUCCAUGUACCUUAAUAUUCAAUGAAAUCAAUCCAUGGUUCAUUAACCUUUUAUGCCAAUGCAUUAGUAUAAGUGAACAAGUCAAACCAUAUGACAAAAAAACCAUAUUCAUUACCAAUUUCACAAUUUGAGUUAAGGGAAACACAAUUUAAAAAAUCAUAUAUCAAGGCAAAAUCAUCAAACUGGGAAUAACCAUGACCUUUUAGUUUGUUUACCAUUCCUAUGCACCCCAAUGAGUGUACAACUCAGUAAUGUAAAGCAUAAUAGUUCAGUAGUGAUCAGGAGAAAACGUCCAAACAAUUUAUAUCCAAGACUCUCAACCCAUAGUUCAAAAACCAACAUCAAAACACUGAAUAAUAAACCAAUUUUUAUGCCAUUAAGAAAGUUAAAAUAUAUGGAAAGAGGUAUAUGCCUUAGACAUAUAAGAAUUUGAAAGAAAGUCAAAGCUUGAGACCCGAAAGAUGAACGUACAAUGAAAUCCUUAGGCUCUCUUGGGGUUUGCGAGUUUGAGAGUGGAAUUAGGGGUUUUCAAUCCCAUAAAAUUGAAAUGAAUAGACUAUAUGAUUCUUAAGGGUCGUGCAUAGGUGAAAAGACCCCAAUACCCCUCAUUCUAAGUUAACAAAACAAAAAUUUUAUGGACUUCACAUAGCAGUAUGGAACAGACCUUAUCACGGAGGCUAACCUCCGUGACACGCUACUAAAUGCAAAGAUUAUCCUUCGUGUCAUGCUAUCUAUCGCAAAGUAUAGCCUUUAUGAAAUGGUGAUAUUACAGUGGCUUACUGCCUUCGUGGUCCAAAACCACCCCGAGCCCUAUUUGAAAAAUUUUAAAAUCUCCCGGGACACCCCAUUCAUAUACCUAAACAUAAUUUAAGUCAAAAAUCAUUAGUUCAAAUAAAGGAGGGCCAAGAUUAAAAUGCUUAAAAUUCAGAGGUAAUUACAUUAUCCUCCCCUUAGGAUCAUUCGUCCCUGAAUGAUGAACCAGGAUACUUUUCGCACGAGAAUAACAAUAUUACACCAGAAUCAAAUGAUAAACUUGGGUGAUAAUAAGGGAAAAAUAAAAAUCAUACCUUAGCUCCUUUGCCUGACACAUGGAACAAGAAUGGGUACUUAGCCUUUACAUCUUCCUCUACUUCCCAAGUGGCUUCUUCCACCUUAUGGCUCCUCUAAAAGAGUUUUACUGAAUCUACAUAUUUAGUCCUUAAUAUAUGAACUUUUCUAUCCAAGAUAUCCACUGGUAUUUCCUUGUAUGACAGGAAAUCUAAAAUACCAACACUCUCAAUAAGCACCACCAAGGAAGAAUCACCCACACAUUUAUUCAACAUAGACACAUGAAACAUAGGGAGAAUAGAACCCAAACUUGUAGGCAAUUCUAGCUCAUAGGCAAUAUUCCCCAAUUUCUCCAAAAUCAAAUAGGGCCCAAUGUAACAGGGACUGAACUUUUCCUUCUUUCUAAAUUGUAUCGCUCCAUUCAUGAGAUACACCUUCAAUAACAACCAAUCAUCCAUAUCGAACUUCAACUCUAUUCACCUCAUAUCCACAUAGGACAUUUGCCGACUUUGUAGAGUCUUAAGCCUAUACCAAAUCACCUUCAUAUUCUCCAUAUCUUGACAACCUAAAUCAAGAUUGAACAACCUUGUCUCACCAACCUCGAACCACCCAAUAGGAUAUCUAUACCUCCUACCAUACAAUGCCUCAAAUGGAGCCAUACUAAUGCUUGAGUGGUAGGUAUUAUUGUAUGCAAACUCCAAAUAAGGAAAAUGGUCAGCCCAACUACCACCAAAGUCAAUUACACAAGCUUGAAGCAUAUCUUCCAAAGUUUGAAUGAUCCUUUCUUCUUGUCCAUCUGCCUGCGGGUGAAAACCGGUGCUAAGGUUCAUCUUAGUCCUUAAACCUUACUAAAAUAACCACCAAAAAAUUUAAUGAGAACUGAGUACCACAAUAUGAAAUGAUGGAAACUUGAGCACUAUGCAACUUCACGAUCUCCUGAAUAAACAAUCUUGCAUAGUCCUCGACAGUAUUAUUUAUCCUCAUUGAUAAGAAGUGAGUAGAAUUAGUCAUCCUAUAAAUGAUGAUCCAAAUAGAAUCAAACUGGUUUUCAGACCGCAGAAAUUGGUAACAAAAUCCAUAUUCAUCACUUCCUAUUUCCACACCGACAACUUAAUUUCUUGAGACAACUCACUUGGCCUCAAGUGCUCUACCUUUACUUUCUGACAUACCGUACAUUUAGCCAUAAAAUUAACCAUAUCCCUCUUCAUAUUAUUCCACCAAUAAAUUUCAUUAAGGUCACGAUACAUCUUCAUCUAACCAGGAUGAAUUGAAUAACGUGACUCACGAGCUUCGACUAAAAUUCUAUCUCGCAGCCCAUCCACAUUGAGAAUAUAUAAACUUACUUGGUACCUUAAGGUACCAUCACCACCAAUCUUAAAAGCCAUCACUUUCUAUCUUUCCACAUCAUCCUUGAUUUGCAUCAAGAUAGGAUCCAACACCUGCUUCUUCUUUACCUCAGCACCAAGAGAUGACUUCACCACCUGUUGUACAAAUAUAUCACCAUUCUUAGAAUCUUAGAAACUACUAUAUGUAGUUUUGAUGAGUAGAUAACUAUAAGAGACUAGGUACCUGGAUGUGCAAGUUACAGUACAACUAGCACACGUUGUCUGCACAGUUUUAUCCUCUUAUGCAUCAAACUUACAGGUUCUAUUUUUUACUAAUUAGAACAGCUGGUCCAAUGAUCUUUCAGCCUUAAUCAUAACUCUACUUCAAAAGAAAAGAAAUUCCUCUUUAUCAAAUCAAUUUUUGGCAAAUACAAAAAGUGAAGAGAGGCAGCAAAAACCCCAACUCAACACUGCUUAAGUAUUGCUCAUAUUCUUAUCUUUGAAGUAUGCUUAAAGAGUGAGUAAGUGUUCUUGAGUGCUAAUUUGUAAAUGAGUUACUCAUGCUAUAAGAGUAAUAUCUUAUGCUGUAGCUGCUCAAGAGUGCUUAGGUAGACUUGCCUAAGUUUGAUGUUGAUUAGAGUUAAUCAGUGUAUAGGGUCCUUAGUAGAGUUGCCAAAUUGAGCUUCUAGUAGAGUUAUUACAAGCGAAAAGAGCCUAGAGUUAGGCUAAAAUUGAGUUUGUAAUCAAAAGGUCGAUUAUAGUGAGUUUCAUUGGUGCUUGUGAGGGCAACCUAUGUUUUUUCCUUCCUUAAGCAAAAGGGUUUCCACGUUAAAUCCUGUGUUCUUUACCUUUUAUUCACUCAUUUAUGAUUCUCGUUUAGUUACUGCUCUUUUUCCUGAGAUUGACUUUGAGGGACUUGGUCCCUUACUAUAUGGUGUAACCAUAAGGGUUUCAAAAAUCAGCAUCAGAGCGAGGUUCACUCUAAAAGGUUUAUACCUAGAGUGUUUUUGUAAUAAUAGUUGCUUCACUGAAUCUGAAAAUAGGAGAAAAGGUUCCCUUAUGUAGAGAAAUGAGAGAAAUCCUGGGAGUUAAUCCAAAGUCUUAGAAAAGUAAAGCAAAGGCUUUAGAGCCUGACUCUGGUAAAGAAGGCACUGAUGUUGCACUUCUGGCAAUAAGGAUUGUUAGAGAAAGGAAAAAAUGGUUAGGUUAGCAAAAAGAAUGGUAAAAUUAAAGUAUGUCACAAAGGUGAUAGCUUUGAAAAAUUCAUGUGGAACUACCUAAUGCAAGAGAAGGACCAGAAUCUUGAGAAGUCAAGAAGGAAGGAUGCAGCUAGCCGUAUAGUUAAGAAGAUAUUAGCAACAUGGGGAGACUUUUCCAAUAAUUCAGAUAAAGAUAAGAAGACUGGAGAUGUCACUAUACUAGCAGUGGAAGACAAUCUAGUCAUCCAUGAUUCCUUGUUUUCAUUCAUGGAAAACUCACAAGAUAAAGAAGAUAAAGAGGUAACUCUUCCUGAAUUUAACGAUAACCAAGAUAACUGCUCUACUAAGAAGCUAAAGAGGCUUGCUAGUGUAUUGAUAGAAUAUGUAUAUGAACUAAUUACUGAGAUAAACAUAUCAGAGGAGAUAUUAGAUAAUCAAGAACAUGAUUUGAUUGCUUUAACUCUCCAAAUUUCUAAAACUGAAGAGUUGUUCACAAAGAUAAAUUCAAAAAAUUAAAGUUUAUUGAGUAAUCUGAAGAAAGUAAAUGAUGGAGAUGAAAAAGGAAAGAAAGAAGAUUCAAGGCUUCAAGUUGAUCUUGAGUAAAGAUUGAGGGAUUCCUAAAAAACCUUAUGCCUGAGCUACACAAAGAAUGAAAAGUCAGAAAGAGACCUGGUCCGCUUAAGAGAAAAAUUGAACAAGUCUCUUAAAUGGACUACUCUAUCACAAAUUCUCUCUAAUCUGAUUAUUCAAGGUGUUAAUGAUGGCAAAGGACUAGGCUAUCAAGAAGAAUUCCAACUUUCUGGGUGGAAAGGAAAGACUAUCAAUGGUGCUACGAAGAAGGCUCCCAAAUCUAUAGACAAUCAUUAUGAAAAAAAUAGGCAUUCUAAAGGGAAUUGUCAAAGCUGGAAAAGUGAAGGAAUGAACAAAUUCAGAUAUGUUCUGUAGGAGAAUUCACAACCAAAUGAAUUUAAAUACUUGGAUAAGAUGAAGAAGAACUCUCUACCUAGAUAGGCCAAGAAGGUUUUGGUCACACCAUUGUCUUCUUACAGGGAACUCAAACUCAAGUGGGUUCCAAAAUCAAACAAGUGAUCAUGGUUCCAGGUUGGAGAAAGGGGAUUACAGUCAGUAAUGUUCAUUAAAAGUGAGUGUUCAAGGUUUAAGUUUUGAAGAUCUGACUGUGUUCUCUCUCUCUUAAGGUACUCCAAGAUAUAGGUGUGUAUAUUAAAACAGUUGAUUUUAAGGGACCUGGUUCUUAGAAGACUUAUCUUAAAAAAGGAAGUUUCAGCAAAAGGCCAUAUCAUGGAUUGAUCCAGCCAACCCGACCUAACAUGUGAAUCAGUGUAACUCCAAAAAUUGGCUAUGCUAAGGAGGAAGAUAUCCUUGUUAGAAUAAGUGCUUAAUACCUUGGUUGGUAUACACUCAUAAGAACAACUUAGGAGACCAGUUGAAGCCAACAGAAGUACAAAUUUCAGUCAAAAGGGCGAGGGACCUGGUCCUAUCACUCAGGUUAGUAUCUAUACAAGAAGCUUAAAAUAAUCAUAAAGUGUUGUUUGAAAAAUCCAUAUAUGUUUUCUACUCUAAAGUAUCAAUUUCUAUGAAAAAUAAUGAGUCACUUUCAAUACAACAUCAAACUUUCAUCCAUAGAUUCUUUUGAAUAUCUAAUGGGUGUGUUUAAUAUUUGGUAACCAAACUUCAAUUUAGGCAUCCUUAUUUCUAGGAUAAUACCCAUGGUAUAGUUAACUUCACAAUCACCCUUAUUUCUAAGAUAGUGAACAUUUAGUAAACUACACACAUUAUCGUCUAUCAUUGCUUUGUUCUCCACAUCCCUCUCUCAAGGAUGAUGUGAAUUCCUAAAGUUCACCCAAAACCAUUCUUUCGAAGAUAACCUUGAGUUUUCUAGACUUUCGAGCUUUCACUCAUCAAACCCAUGUGGGUAUUUGGGGCUUUCACCCAUAAAUCCCAACCAAGUUAGCAUAGCAAUUAUAAAACCCAUAAAAAUGAACUACCAAAUAAAAGCUAACAAUAAUAAUCCACACACACUCUAACCCCUAUUCACACAUAACCCCAAGAGGGAAAUCUAGCUACACAUAAGAUAAAUAAGCAUAGAUAUACCCAUAAUAUCCAUUAAAAUGACUUGUUUGUAGAUUAAGUGAAUGUUACUUCAAACUUUACACUCCCAUAAAUCAACAAUAAAAGUAAGCUAUCCCUCCACUUAGAAGGUCUCCAAUGUAUUCUUCACCCAAAAUUUAUACAAUAUUUUCUUCUCCAAGUAUGGAGGCUAUAAACUCAAGAGCUAAACCUAAAAAAUUGGGGAAGAUGGAAUAUGAUCCAUAAUUCAAGGGUUUGAGUCUUUUUGACAAAAUUUGGAUCAACCACGUGCAUUUCCAGAUUUUCCCUUGGGUUGAACUCUUUCGCUAAGUCCCGAUUGCACCAGAUUAGCCUCAACCACAACCAUGAUAAACUUAUGUAACUGUGGUUGAUUGACCCUGCUUAACUACUGCGAUCGUGGUCAGCAGACUACAACUGUGGUAACUGAGGCAUUUUUGCUCCAGGUCUUCAACUGCACGUUCUUGCUCCUUUUUUGACCAUUUUAAGCUCUAAUCCAAAUUUUUCUAUCUCAUCAAAUCUAUACCUGCAAAGUGUGGAUGUUAGUGCACUCGAUCACAAUUAUGUCUUAUUUAUUCAUUCAAAACAAGGUAAUGUAAAUGUAUAAUGAGUGAAAAUGAGUGGUAAAAUCACUACUCAUGUUCAGUCUCCAUUGAAUCCUCAUUAACUUUAGAAGCUUAUGCUCAGCCAAUCAUGAUUGAGAAUCCAAACCAAGGAUUUGGAUCACCAAUAGAACAAGAAACAUCUCAACCUGAAACUCUCUCUUCUCUAGGAAAUUCAAAAGUACCUAAAAACUUCCAAAUUCCUGAGUCAUUCGAUAAAUUCAAAAAUUCUAAACCCUCUAAAACACAACAAGAAAUUGACUCUCCUAUGCCCUCAUAUUCAAACCCUAUUUUACCUAGUUUCUUAGUGAAAAAAUUCUAGUGAAAAGGGUUAAUAUUUCCUCCAAUGAAAAUUGGGUAGCUGAGAAUCUACUCUUACUUGCAUACGAUACAAACAAAAUCUCAGUAAAUAGAGAAGAGAAGAAAGUGGGUGAUAAGGAUAAAGGAAAUUAAGGAAAAGAUAUGAUGGUCCCACUACAUAAGGAAGAUGAAGAGGAUGAGUAUGAAGUACCUCUAAGAUGGUCAGCAAAGAAACUGAGAGGAAGUAUAGGUAAGGAGAAAGUGAUAAACUCAGAGGUGAAAGUGAUAUAACCUAUUUUGCAGGGGGUCUAAAAACAAUAAUGAAAGAUGAUAUCAAGGCUAACAAAGCUUAAAUCAUGAAAAAAAUAAGGCUAAAGAAAUCUAUGGCAGUAGAGGAGGAAGGAAUAUGGAAGUUGUAGAGGUUGAAAAAGAUGAAGACAUAGAUUCAGUAGUUUCUACCGCUACUAAAGAAAUAAAAUUGGAAGUUAAGGAUGAUGAGAGGAACAGGUCCUCUAAGUUAAAGACUGGUAGCUCCACUGGAAUGAGGUAGAAACAUAUAGCUAUUAAGAAAAGAAAAGAUUUUGAGGGACCCGGUCCCAUGAAGAGAAAAACUAAUGAAAAAAGAGAGCCAAGUAGUAAGCCCAAGAGAAACAAAAAGAAUGAAAAAAGAAAGAUAUAUCCAGAGAAAAGAGGAUUGAGAACCUGAGAACAUGAAAGGUUUUACUGGGAGAAUAUUUGAUCCAAAAAUCUAAGGAAAACCAAGGAUGGUAGAACGGGUGGAGUAUGUGAGGCAUCAGGACUGGUUGCACCUGCUAGAAGAACUAACUUUCAUUGUCUUUAAAGGAGAAGUGAGAGAAUUCUACUACUCCAUGGAAUUCUCAAAGGAUGGUCUGUAUUUGAUUGCACAGGUGAAGGGAAAGGUUCUUAAGCUAGAUGAAGAAAUACUAAGAAUAAUCCUGGAUGUACCUAUUGUAGGGAUUAAAAUUGUAGUAAAUCAAUAGCCUACCACUGAGUUCAGGAUUGAGGCAUCAAAGGUAGGAGUGACCUCAACAGUUGCAGUGAAAAAGAAGUUUCUAAAAAGUAAAUAUCAGUUGGCAUUUGAGUUCAUCAACAAGGUCUUAUUGCCAAGAUCUAAAAAAAGAAUAAUUGCUUUUAGUGUUGACUUAUUCUUGAUUGAAUCCUUGAGCAAAUUUGAAUUGAUAAGUCUUCCAGCUCUAAAUAAUAGAGCAUAUGCAUAAAGUGAUCCAUAAAAAGGAAUACAAAUAUGGAAAGACAUAGGGGUAUCUCUUGAACAAGGUGUUUAAACAUUAUGGUGUAUAUGGAACUAAAGAAACACAUGGAACAACCAAACAAAUGAUUAUCCUGACAACCCUUGUGGAGAAUGAAUGCAUAGAGGGAAAAGCUGGAUCUAUGUCUCAAGUGUCUGAGUUGCUAGCUAUUUAGGAAAGGUUGGGCAAAUAAAUGGAUGAGUUAAGGAUUAUGUUGGCUGCCAAAGAUGCUGAGAUAGUGCAUUUAAAGUUGCAGAAUCAAAAGUUGUCUUCUGAGGGACCAGGUACCACUAAUGAGCUUGAUGCUGAAAAUACAAAACUUCAAGCACAAGUGGUAGAACUAACUAGUGAAAUUCAAGAAUUGAAUGCUGAAGUGAAAGUUCUCACCAAAUAGUUAUUGGAUGCCCACAAUGAUGAAAGUGCAAGAAUGAAGAUGCUACUUAAGUCUCUUUCCUCCAAACCUCCCUCUACCUAAGUCUUAUUAUCCCUAUCUUUAAAUCAAUCCAGUGUCAGUUUUAUAUUUUCUCCUUGUGUUGGCUCUUGAAGACAGUUUGUGUUAUGAAUUAUUUUAGUAUGAUUGUACUGAUACUGAUAUUUGAUUUGAAAAUGAAUGAAUUUAGCUUAUGUACCUCAUCUGUCUCCUUUACUUUUAAAACUGCUCUUCAUGCUAGUGUUUCCCAGUGGCCGUAUGUUAAUUAGCCUAUACUUAUCCUUACUUUUUAUUUAUUAUUAGUUCUUUUCAAUAAUGCUAAAAGAGGGAAUACCGACUUCAUGUGUAAGGUGCUCAUGUGUGGUGUAUGUUGGUAGGGGGAAGUAAGUAAUGUGCUAAGUGAAUGAUAAGGCACAGUGACAGAGGGACAAAAAUGUGCUCAAAAGUUUUUGUUGCAAAUAUCAACAAGGGACCAGGUCCCUAUGUUACAUGAUGAUAGGGGGAACAUUCAUCUUCAGGUGGUAAUCACAAUGAUUAAAUGUGAUGACUAUGCACUGAUGCUCAAAAGUGUAUCAUUGGUUUGUCAUCAUAAAAAAAGUGGAAAUUUCUAUAUUUAGUUUUGAUGAUGAGUAGCUAACUACAAGGGACCAGGUCCAUGGAUGUGCAAGGUACAGUACAGUUGGCAUGCGUGUCUGUACAAUUUUGUCCUGUUGUGUAAAAAACUUACAGGUGCUAUUUUGUACUGAUUAGGACAGCUGGUCCAAUAAUCUUUUAGUCCUAAUCAUCACCCAACUAUAAAAUAAAAGAGACACCUCUUCAUCAAAUUGUUUUUUGGAAAAUACAAAGAGUGAAGAGAGGCAGCAAGACCCUUAAUUCAACAUUGCUCAAGUAUUGCUUAUAUUCUUAUCUUUAAAGUAUGCUUAAAGAAUGAGUGAGUGUUCUUGAGUGCUGAUUUGUGAAAGUAUUACUAAUGCUAUAAGAGUAAUGUCUUGUGUUGUAGUUGCUCAAGAGUGCUUAGGUAAGCUUAAAUCGAGUCUGUAAUCAAGAGGUUGAUUAAAGUAAAUUUUGUUGGUGCUUGUAAGGGAAAACUAUGGUUUUUCCGUCCUUGAACAAGGGGGUUUCCAUGUUAAAUCCUAUGUUCUUUACCUUUCCUGCACUCCUUUGUGAUUCCUAGUCAUUUACAAUUGUUUUGCCUAAGAUUGACUUUGAGGGACUUGGUCCCUCAUUGUAUGGUGCAACCAUAAGGGUUUUAACGGAGAUGAACUCCAAGACUAGCCAGAUUGUAAAUAUCCUUCACCAAUUACCUCUUCUCUUCGUCCACAUGGGAUAAUCUUCCCAUAGAUAACCUGCUAAGAGAAUUGACAACCACGUUAGCCUUACCUGGGUGAUAGUGGAGACUUAUGUCAUAGUCCUUGAGCAACUUAACCCAUCUCCUUUGCCUGAGAUUCAAUUCCUUCUGGGUGAACACAUACUGCAGACUCAUAUGAUCUGAAUAAAUGUCAACAUAGAACCCAUAUAGAUAGUGUCGCCAAAUCUUCACUGGGAACACUAUGGCCAACAACUUCAAAUCAUGAGUCGAAUAAUUCCUCUCAUAAACUUUCAACUGCCUUAAAGCAUAUACUACCACUUUUCCAUGCUUCAUCAAUUCACAACCAAGUCCCAUACGAGAAGAAUCACAAUAAAUCACGAAGCCAUUAGUACCACGGGCAAGGUCAAGACCGGUGCAUAAGUCAAUUUAUACUUUAGCUUCAUAAAACUCCCCUAAAAAGCAUUGAACCACAUAAACUUUAACUUUUUAUGAGUCAACUUAGUCAAAGGUGCGGCAAUCAUCGAGAGUCUCUCCAAAAACCUCCUAUAAUAACUGUAUAAGACCAAGAAGCUCCAAAUAUCGGUUAGAGUUGUGGGUCUAGUCCACUUCUUAACCAUCACAACUUUCUGUGGAUCUACCAUGAUCCCCUUACUUGAAACAACAUGACCCAUAAAAGUAAUAAUGUUCAACAAAAAUUCUCACUUUAAUAACUUAGCAUACAAUCAUUGAUAUUUUUGAGCCUACAACACAAUACGGAGGUGAUCAGCAUGAUCAACCUCUCUCUUUAAAAAUACCAGAAUAUCAUCUAUAAAUACAAUCACCAAUAAGUCUAAAAACUGACAGAAUACUUGGUUCAUGAUAUCCAUAAAUAUCGUCAAAGCACUGGUCAAUCCAAAGGACAUGACCAAGAACUCAAAAUGUCUAUACCUGGUACAGAAGGCAGUCUUAGGGAUAUCCUCCUUCCUAAUCUUUUACUGAUUAUAACCCAGUUAAAGGUCAAUCUUAGAGAAAUACUUACCUCCUUGAAGUUGGUCAAAUAGGUCAUUAAUCCUAGGAAGAGGGGACUUAUUCUUCAUCAUCUCCUUAUUCAUUGGAUGGUUAAUGAUAUAUAUCCGAAGUGAACUAUCCUUAUUACGCAUAAAAAGAAUAGGGGAACCCUAUGGAGACAUACUAGGGCAGAUAAUUUUCAAAAAGAUCUUUCAACUACUCCUUCAACUCAACUUGAGCUAUUUUAUAGGGAGGAAUAGAGAUAGGAUGAGUGUCCAAAAGAAGAUCAAUCCCAAACUUAAUUUUCCUAUCGGGAGGGAUGCCUGAAAGAUCAUCAAGGGAAACUUUAGGAAAUUCACUAACCAUGGGAAUAGAUUGUAAAGAAGGAUCCUCCAAGUUAGAAUCUUUAACCCAAACCAAACGAUAAAUACAUCCCUUGGAAAUCAAUUUCAAGGAUCUAAGAUAUGAUAUAAACCUUCCCUUGGGCAUGAGGGAACUCCCUUCCUGCUCAAUAACUGACUCAUUAGGAAAUUUGAAAAUAACCUUACGGGUUUGACAAUCUAAGGAGGCAUAGAACGAAUAUAACUAAUUUAUCCCCAAGAUGACAUCAAAAUCUAGCAUGAUAAUUCAAUCAAAUCCACCAAAGUUUCCCUACCACCAUCAAAUUAAAGCAAACCCUAUAGAUCCUUCUAGCAACGACCGAGUCACCCACCAGGUAGAUACAGAAGAGGGGCCUAAAAUACAUUCAAAACCAAAAUAAAAAUACACAACCACAAAUAUGGUCAUAUAAAAAAGGGUAGACUCUGGAUUAAGUAAACAUUACACAUCACGACAGAAGAGUUUUAGCAUACCAGUGAUGAUAUUUGGAGAUACCUCAUAAUCCUGAUGGGUAGCAAGAGCGUAUAAACUAUUUCAACUAGUGUCAGAGCUGAAAGUGGCACCCUUUGGUACAAGAGAUGAUAAAGUAGCAGCAGAAACCUUGUUGGCAUAGAAGCAACUCUAGAAGGACAAUCCCACAACAUAUGACUAAUCUGACCAUAACUGAAACACCUAUUCAUCCUUUCUCACACUGGACACAAUGCAAUUGACCAUAGAAUCUGAAAGGAGGAUAGGAUAGAGAUGAAUGGGCUUUACUGGCCUGAGAUUAGGCACCCUGUUCCCUAGAACCAUCACCACUAUGAAAAUAAUGAUCUCUAGAUUACUUUGGAUAAGGUGAACUAGCCGUUGAAUAGGAGCUAAAAGUUUCUCCACUUUUUUGAAGAGCAGUUUUUACCAUCUCUACCACUCAGUUUCUGACCUACUCUUAUGCAAAUAUCAAAAUUUCUUACUCUACCUUUCCCCCACCUCAGCUUGCUUUUUUUUCACUUCAACCUGUUAUAUAUACACUACCAGUCGAGAGAUAUCCAUAUCUUUGUUCAACAAGGCAUCCUUGCUCUCCAAAGUCAAUUUAUAAGACAAACCAAAAGCAAAUUUCCUCAUUCUAUCCCUCAUGCUUUACUCUAGCUCAGAAGCAUAUCGCGGCCACUAGUGGAACUUCAAGGCAUAUUCGUUUACCAUUAUCCUAGCUUGCUUUAAGUUCAUAAACUCCUCAGCUUUUGAAUCCCUCAAUUCCUAAGGAAAGAAGCGAUCAAGAAAAGCACUAUAUCAUCAACAAAUUGAUAUACCAUUGGUACGUUACAUCCUUCAAUUGAUAAGGAACAAAUUCCAUACCCUUUACAUCAAUAACAUGUAUAACCUAGAAGAUCUUCUCUAUAUCAUCAAUAAAACCUUGAGGAUCCUUCUCAACCUUUUUACCAGUGAAAGUUGAAGGGCUCAACCUUAUAAACUGGCCAACUCUAGUAGCCUCAGAAGAACUCCAAGGAAUAACUGCAAAACUCGUCUGAUGUGACUAAGAUAUCGCCAACUAGAUCAAUAGAUAAAUAGCUUGGCAAAACUCAGCAUCAGUAAUACCUCCCUGAGUUGACUGAGUACGAGUGCCACCAGCUGGAGAAGGAUCAGUGGAGAAAGGUAGAACUCGAUGGGGGCAAUCUGAAGCAGCAAUACUUUACUGAGUUUGUACCCCAUAAGUUGGAUGAGAUUCGGCCACAUAUCUGUAGGCGAGAUAGAUUAGUUCCCACGAGCUUCAGAUCAUCUGGGAGCAUCAUCUGAAAGGCUAAUGAGUGGGAUUUAGAAGAAUCCAAGACCUUAGAAUCUAUAGCCCAAAAAUAAGAUAAAUAGAGAGGGAAACAUUCCUAAAUGCCUCAUAGCCUCUCCCUUAUAAGUGUGGCAUGCUACAUACUUAUAAAAAGACUCUACUUGACACAGCUUUGUGGACACCCAAUUGGCUAUGAACCUAGGCUCUGAUACCAACUUUGUCACGACCCAAACCAGGUUUAGCCGUGAUAGGUGUCUUAAGUUUGCCAAGGAUUGGAGACCAACCCCUUUGCCUAGUCAACCAGAACACAAUAUAAUAUAUUAGCAAAAGCAAUUUGAAAGACAAGAAAAGAUAAUAUAAGCACUUUGGAUAUAAAGAAAUUGAUAAUCCAACAACUAUCCCAAUCCACAGUAAUCCACAAACCCUCUAUGGAACCAUUAUCAAUGUUAGUCGGGACAUUCCCCUACCGAUAUCCAAAAGAAAAACCAAAUGGUAGUCUAUGACACAAAAAAACAUGACUUUAAAAUGAUAACCCUUCAGGAGAAUGAAAGCUCACUACUUCAAAGCUGACAACUGACAACCCAAUAAUCUAUCACUGCACAGGAAAAGCAAAAGUGCCUUCAGACCCUGGAUCAUAUGGGGAUACAACAUCUGGAAAUGGUUAGUGGGAUGAGCACUAGCAUGUAACUCAAGGAAGGGGUAAAAUAAUCCUAUGUUCAAUAGUUUAGAAAUCAUCCAAAAAUCAAUACACACAAUAAUAUGCAUGUACAAAUAAUAAAUAAAGCAUGCCGAGAUAGGUAACAAGGCUUAAUAUGCACUUUAAAACUUUAGCCUAGAUUUUGUAGCAUAACGGUCAUAAUUAAGUCACACACGACCAAUAUAGGCCCAUCUCUCCCACAGUUGGAAGGGCCUCAGUGUGUGUGGCUGAAUGAACUAGAGGAUAAUUAUACAUACAUAUUUCUUAUGGGGGACUCAAACCUCCCAACAUAUAUCAAGGUGACUUAAGCACCAAAUCAUAUGAUAUGAGGGACUCGAACCUUUAAAUCAUAUAAUAAGAGGGACUCAAACCUCCCGGUCAUUUAGACCCCUGCAUCGGUAACCACGAUUUUCAAUAUUUGUCCCUUGGGACCUCUACUUUCAUGGUUCAACUACACAACCCUCUCUUAAGCCCAAUUAAAACAAAAUAUUUAGCACACAUUCCAAUCAAUUGAACCAAUUAUGAAUUAAAACAUCUUGCUGGUAUCAUCAUACCAAUCCCCCUUGUAAGUUCAUUAUCAUGUCAUAUCCAUCAUCCAUCACAUGGGGAAAUUCAUAACCCCUUAGGUUCAAAUUUUCCAUUUGUACGUGGAAUCUAUGUACCCCAAUGUAAAAUAAAAUCAAUCCAUGGUUCACUAACCUUAUAUGACAAUGCAUUAUUAUAAAUGAGCAAGUCAAACUGUGUCAUAAAACCAUAUUCAUUACCAAUUUUCACAAUUUGAGUUGACGGAAAAAUAAUUUCCAAAACCAUAUAUCAAGGAAAAAUUAUCAAACUAGGAAUAACCAUGACCCUUUAGUUUGUUUACCAUUCCCAUGCACCCCAAUGAGUGUACAACUCAACAAUAUAAAGAGUAAUAGUUCAAUAGUCAUGAAAAUAAAACAUCCAAACAAUUUAUAUCCAAGACCCUCAACCUAUAAUACCCCAUAUUUUUCUAGUCCCGUUUAGCUCCUAGUGUGUCAAUGGACAACUUUAAAAAUGUAUAACUAUUGAUACUUAUGGAAUUUUAUAGCUCUAGACCCACCAUUCUGUAGAUAAUUGAAUUAUCUUUCCAACGAUACCAAUUUUGCCUUAAUCCAAUACUCGGUUGAGAAGUUAUGGAAAUUUUAGUGAAAAAUAGUAGAGAACCGCGAUAGCACCACGUCGUAGUAAGGUACAGAAUCACAAUUGUCUGAUUUCCAGUGAAGCACCAUAAUUAUCCCAUGUCGUGGUAAAGUCCAAAUUCCCUUUACUCUCUUUUCUAGUAGCUCACCUCGAUUGGCCGGUAUCACGCCAAAAAUCUCAAUGGGACAAACACUGCAUCGCAGUGGAGUGUAAGAUGGCACUCGUCCGUUUCCAGUGACGCAAUGCGAUUAAGUUGUAUCACGCCAGAGGUCAAAAUGGCACUCAUCCCUUUUCUAGUAAGCAACCACGAUAAGCAGCACAUCACGCCGUAUGCUCACUUUCAUCAAAAUUACUCUCCAAGAAAACCCUAGAACUCAAAUCAUAAACCUCAAGAAAUCCAAAAUUCCACAAUUCUUUUUCUAAGAUAACCCAAAAUUCAAAAUAUUCAAUAAAUCAUCUUCCAAAGCACAAAUAGGAAUUCAAGUUCAAGCUUCUUUAUCAAUUUCAUCAAUUAAGGUAUAUGGGGUUAUGAACAAGGAUAAAAGAGCCAAAAACUAGUUUUAAAGUUGAUUUUUACAUGAAAUUAUAUGAGUUUUAAUUUAGGGUUUAUACCCACCUAUUGCUAUUUGAAGAUUAUGAGAUUACAAUUGAUUUAGAUGUUGAAUUACAUGUCUACUUUCGUAUUUUUAUGCAUAUGACAUUAAUUCUCAAAUUUAGAAUUGAAUUAUCAAGAUUUUUAUUAUUUAGCAUGAUAUUUAUGAUGAUUUGAUAUAAAAUAGAUGCAUGGGUUAUUAACCCUAGAUUGAAUGUUGUUAUUUUAAGAAGAUUGUGCUUUUAAGCAUCCCAUGACUUGUUAUAUUCAGAUUUUGAAUAAAGAUUUGAUCUUUUGAUCUCAUAUUAGAUAUGGAAUCCGCUUUACAGAUUUAACUACAGUUUACAGUAAAUAGAUUCAUAAGAGGUUUUCAUUGUAAACCCUUAUACUAGUUUUAAAAGUGGAUUUCCUAUAGAAUGAGCAUACAGAUUAAAGAGAGUAGUAUUUAGCACCGAGUUGGGUAUAUUUAUAUGCCCCAGAACUACGAGCUGACGUAGAUAUAGAUUAUUAGAUUAUUCCUAUUUCUAUAUGGGUGACAGUUAUAAAUGUGAUCACUUAGAUUAGGUUAUACUCUAUGGCAAGAGUAUGACACCUCUCUCCAACGUGAGGUUUUCCCAUAAGGGAACUAGACGUUGGACUCCAUGUUAGCUUACAUGGUUUAUGUUGGUUAGAAGAACCUCCCUAUAGCCUAAAGAAAAGAGUAAAGAAUAACAAAAAAGCUUUCAGAAAGUAAGUGUAAAGGCUCACAACUUUAUUCAGAUAUUGCUUUACAUAAGACAUUAAUUACUAGAUUUUAGCUUUUAAUUUACAGAUAUAAAAGUGAGUCCUUUCUACACUUAUACCGCAUAAUUUAAAGACAGAAUAUCAGUACAUAUUUUAGAACUAAGUGUUUUGACUCACAAGAUUUAUACAAUAUGUUUUAUCACUCAUGAUGCAUGAUUUUUUUAGCUUUCAAUUAUUCCAGUGAGUUAUUUAUACUUAGCAUGCAUUAUUUUACAAGUUUAUACAAACAUUGAGAUAUUAUUUUACUUAUGUAUUUACCCCCAUAUACUCAGUACAUUCUAGAAGUACUGAUCUGUACAUAUGUCUAUGUGCUACAUUGUCUUAUAAUAUAGGUUCAGGUGCUCAGUUUUAGUAGCGUGUGUGAUUUUGAGCAUCUCCAUCUACAUCCCGAUAGUUGGUGAGUCCUCAUAGUUUGGGGACCCAGUCAUUCAGAUUUUCUAAUUUAUUACAAUAGUUGAUUUAGUAUUUUUCAAUUCAUUCGAGUCAGCUGGGAACUUGUCUAGUGGCUUUCUAGUUAUUAGUAGUAGAGGCUUGUCAGACUAUUAGACAUAGUUCAGAUUUCUAGUAUUACUUUUCCAAACUUUGAGUCUAGUAUUUUUAGAUAUUAUGUUUAGAUAAUCUCAGGUUAGCUUAAUAGAAUUCCCUAAUUUAGCUUUAAUUUUAUAGCUAUAUUUCCUCUAUUAUGAGCUUCAGAUUUAGUAGAAGGUUGAUAGGGUUAGCUUAAGGCUACUCAUAGUUUUGAGCCCUGUGUGAUGUCCCAGGACCCAUUUUUAGGGUGUUGCAAACUUAGUAUGAGAGCCCAAGGUUAUAAGAGUCCUAGGGAGUCAGCCAAGUCGCGUUACGUAGAGUCUUGAUCACGGGUGUGAAGCACGCCACAUUUAUGAUCAAGAGGCUACGGGACAUUUUUAGGAAAUUAUCCUUUUCUUUCAUGAUCUAUUUUCUUACAGUGUCUCUAUUUGCUUUUAGCUUAUUCUCUUAUAUGACAGUUGAAUAUGCCUUCUUACCAAGCUAAUACACGCAGAAAUAAUAGCUAUCCACCCCAACCUACUGACCCUAUGAAUGAAAAUAUAUCCUAUGCUGAAUUUCGAGAUGCCUUUCAGGCGUUAGCCCAAGCUAUGACUGUAAAUGUUCAGCACAACAAUCAGGCGACAUUCCUACUUUAGCAGAAUGGGGAUUUAGCAACAGCCAAAAUUCAUGACUUCAUGAGAAUGAAUUUACCUGAGUUCUUUGGGUUAAAAGUCGGUAAGGCAACAACUUUACUUAGAUGAGAUAAGGAAUAUCACUAAUAUUAUGCAUUUUACUGAGAAGGAGAGUGUGAAGUUGGCAUCGUAUAGGAUGAAGGAUAUGGCAUAUGAUUGGGUGGUUAUGUGGAAGAAUGGUAGAGGUGAGAAUACAACGCUUAAGAGUUGGCAGGCGUUUUAGGAUGUAUUUCUCAAUAGGUUAUUUCCACGUGAAAUAAGAGAAGCUAAGGUAGAGGAGUUUGUGAACUUCAGACAGGGCUCAAUGAUGGUGAAAGAUUAUUGUUUUAAGUUUAACUAGUUGUUUAAGUAUUUCCCUGAUAUGAUGGCUGGCCCAUGGCCGAGUAUGAGUAAGUUUGUUACUGGAGUAUCUGGUUUGGUAGUCAAGGAGCGUAGGACGUCCAUGCUUGUUGGUGAAAUGGAUCUUACUAGGAUGAUAUUUCAUGCUCAAAAUAUUUAGGUAGAAAAGUUGAAGGGAAGAGAGAGGGGAAAUAAGAAGGCUAGAACUAGGCAAUUUGAGUACGGCUAGACAAAGUUUGGAGAGGAAAACCAUCCAUAAUUUUAGAAUCGUUCAUUUAUGCCAACACAGUCUUCAUCCAGUGCUCCCACCUCUAGAGAUAGACAAGAGCAGUGGGAUAAGACAUAUGUCCAGAUCUCAGAAUAGUGUGAGUGGAAAACCUAGUUAUCCUCUAUGUUCUAAGUGUGGUAAAAAUUAUCUUGGUGAGUGUUUGUUGGGAAAGAUUGGUUGUUAUAGUUGUGAUAAGUUGGGUCAUGGACUCAAAGAGUGUCCUCAUGCUGGGUAGGGAAACAGGGAUGUUCAUCCCCAGACUCAGGCUACUAGCGCAUCAGCCCCUCUAGGUUGCCCAGUCCAUCCUUAGGGCAUAUAAUUCAGUACCAAUAGUGGUCAGUGCUAGAAUCGGUUUUAUGCUUUACUAUCCUGUCAGGAGAAGGAGAGUUCACCAGAUAUUGCUAUUAGUAUGCUUCAUGUCUUUCAUCUCGAUGUUAAUGUAUUGUUAGACCCUGGGUCAAAUUUCUCUUAUGUGACCCCACUAGUUGCAGUAAGUUUUGGAGUAGGUCCUGAAAAGCUUCCUAAGCCCUUCUUGGUUUCUACCUCAGUCGGUGCAUCAGUUAUUGUUGAAUGAGUCUAUAGAAAAUGUCCUAUCAUUGUUCUUCAUAGGAUUAUGUUAGCAGACUUAAUAGAGUUAGAUAUGAUAUAAUUUGACCUUAUUCUGGGCAUGAUUAGCUCCAUUUCUAUUAUGCAUCUAUAGAUUGUUAUACCCGAGUGGUGAAGUUUUAGUUACCAGAUGAGCCAGUAUUUGAGUGGGAAGGUAAUUCAGUGUCUCCUAAGAGUUAUUUCAUAUCCUAUCUUAAAGCUAGAAAGUUGAUAUCAAAAGGGUGUAUCUAUCAUCUAGUAUGAGUCAAAGACAUUAAAUCUGAGGCUCCAACAGUUCAGUCAGACCGUGUAGUCAAUAAGUUUCCUGAUGGUUUUCCCAAAGGUUUGCCAGGGUUACCUCUCGAUAGGAAAAUAGAAUUUGGUAUUGGCCUUCUUCCAAAUACUCAGCCAUCUCUAUUCCACCAUAUCAUAUGGCUCCAUCCAAGCUUAAGGAGUUAAAAGAGCAGCUUACAGAUCUCUUAGAUAAAGGUUUCAUAAGACCACGUGUUUCUCCAUAGGGCGCUCCCAUCCUAUUCGUGCAAAAGAAAGAUGGUUCUUUAAGAAUGUGCAUUGACUAUCAUUAGUUGAAUAAAGUCACAGUAAAAAACAAAUAUCCUCUUCCUAGGAUUGAUGACUCAUUCGACCAACUCCAAGGUGGAAGUUACUUCUCCAAGAUAUACCUUAGAUCCGCUAGAGUAAGGAAAUGUGAUAUUCCAAAGACAACUUUUAGAACCCGUUAUGAUCAUUUCGAGUUUCUAGUCAUGUCUUUCGGGCUAACAAAUACCCUAACAGCCUUCAUGGACUUGAUGAACAGAGUCUUCAAACAGUAUUUUGACAUAUUUGUUAUAGACUUUAUCGAUGAUAUUCUUGUCUAUUCUCAUAGUGAGGAUGAUUAUACAGACCAUUAUAGAAUAAUGUUGCAAACUCUUAGAGAUUACUAGUUAUUUGCCAAAUUUAGAAAAUGUAAAUUUUAGCUAAGAUCAGUAGCUUUCCUUGGUCAUAUUAUUUUUAGUGAUGGCAUUAGAUUUGAUCCCCAAAAGAUAGAAGCAGUAAGAAACUGGCCUAGACAUAUCUCUCCAUCAUACAUUAGAAGUUUCUUGGGUUUAGUUGUCUAUUAUAGAUGUUUUGUUGAAAGUAUUUCUUCUAUUGCAUCCCCUAUGUCUAUAUUAAAUAAGAAAAAAGUUAAUUUUCAAUGGUCAGAUUCCUAUGAGAAGAGUUUUCAAGAGUUGAAGACUCAACUCAUUUUAGCCCAGUUUUAGUGCUACCUGAUGGUACAGAUAGAUUUGUUGUAUAUUAUGAUGCCUAUAGAAUUAGUUUGAGUUGUGUUUUGAUAUAGAGAGGUAAGGUUAUAGCCCAUUCCUCUAGAGAGCUUAAGCCUCAUGAAAAGAACUGUUCUACCCAAGAUCUUGAGUUAGCUAUUGUUGUAUUUGCGUUGAAAAUUUAGAGGCACUAUCUUUAUGGGGUGCAUGUUGACGUGUUCAUGGAUCACAAAAGCUUGCAAUAUGUGUUUACUAAGAGGGAGUUGAAUUUUUUUAGAGAAAGUAGUUAGAAUUAUUGAAGGAUUAUGAUAUGAGUGUGUUGUACCAUUCAGACAAGGAAAAUGUAAUGGCAGACGCCCUUAGUAGAUUGUCUAUGGGCAGUGUUGCUCAUGUAGAGGAUGAUAAGAAGAGUUAGUUCGGGAAGUUCACAGGUUAUCUAGAUUGGGUGUGAGGUUGGUUGACUCAGUUGAAGGGAAUGUUUAGAUUCAGAGUAGUUUAGAAACUUCUUUAGUUUCUGAAGUGCAAGAGAGGCAGGUUAAGGAUCCUAGUUUAGCCAAACUAAAGGGUUCAGUUAAAGACCAAAAGGUAGAGGUUUUCUUCCAAGGGGGAUAUAGUGUACUGAGAUGCCAGAAUAGAUUAUGUAUGCCAUGUGUUGAUGAUUUGAGGUAGUAGAUUAUGGAAGAAGCGUAUGGUGCACAUUAAUCCAUUCAUCCAGGAGCCACCAAGAUGUACCAUAUUUUGCAAGAAGUCUAUUGGUGGAGUGGUAUGAAGAAAGAUAUUGCAUAAUUUGUAGCCAAGUGUGCGACUUGUCAACAGGUUAAGGUAGAGCACCAAAGACCAAGUGGCAUAUUGCAGGAGUUUGAUAUUCCCACUUGGAAGUAGGAAGAGGUGAACAUGGACUUUGUGAUAGAUUACCCCAUUCGCAUCGACAGCAUGAUUCAAUUUGGGUUAUUGUAGACCGAUUGACUAAAUCAGCCUAUUUCUUGCUAGUUCACACAUCCUACACAGCUGAAGACUAUGCUAAGCAGUAUAUCAUAGAGUUGGUUAGAUUGUAUGGAAUUCCCUUGUCCAACAUCUUAGAUAGGGAUACUCAGUUUACCUCAUAGUUUUGAAUGUCUUUCAGAAAAGUCUUAGUACCCAAGUUCAUCUCAGUUCAACUUUUUAUUCGUAGAAAGAUAGCCAGGCAUAGAGAACUAUUCAAACCUUAGAGGAUAUGUUAAGGGCAUAUGUUCUUGAUUUCAAAGGCAGUUGGGAUGAAAACUUGCCAUUGAUUGAGUUUGCCUACAAUAACAAUUUCUAUUCUAGUAUUCAGAUGGCCCAGUUUGAGGCUCUUUAUGGGCGAAGUUAUAGAUCACUUUUCAGUUGGUUUGAAGUGGGUAAGGUCACUUUAAUUGGGCCAAAUAUGGUGUUUGAAGCCAUGUAGAAAGUUCAGUUGAUUCGAGAGAGAUUGAAAGAAGCUUAGAGUCAUCAAAAAUCUUAUCCAGACGUAAGAAGGAGAGAUCUUGAGUUUUAAGUAGAUGAUCUUGUGUAUUUGAAGGUUUCACCCAUGAAGGGGGUGAAGAGAUUAGAAAAAAGUGGAAGCUCAGUCCCCGAUAUAUGGGUCCCUACAGGAUUUUAAGUCAUGUGGGGAAGGUAGCGUAUGAGCUUGAGUUACCUGUAGACUUAUCAUCAGUUCACCCAGUGUUCUAUGUAUCCUUAUUGAAGUAGGGUAUGGACGAUUCAGCUGUUGUAGUCCCUUUAGAAAUCAUGGAUAUUCAGAAUAGUCUUUCAUACAAAGAAUUUCCAGUAGAGAUUCUUGAUCAUCAUACUUGUAGACUAAGGAACAAAGAAGUUUCCUUGGUCAAAGUAUUGUGGAAAAUUCAGUCCAUUGAGGGUGCUACUUGGGAAGUAGAAGCAUACAUGCGUACCAAGUAUCCUCACCUCUUCUCCAUUAACUCGGAUUUAGCCUAAGGUAAUAGUCUUCCUUAAUUCAGAUCUUUUCCAGUGUCAGAUUCAUCCAUAAAGUUAUCUUCAUGUAAAUUCAUGCAUUUGUAGAUUAGUUCAGUCGCUCAGUAUGUUUCAGAUUUAGUCAUGCAGUUUUGUUUCAGUUGUGCAUGCUAGAGUAUAGCCUCAGUCCUUCAGUAUCUUCAGUUUAACUAUUCUCAUUCGAGAACGAAUGUUCCCAAGGGGGAGAUAUUAUAAUACCCCAUAUUUUUCCUAGUCCCGUUUAGCUCCUAGUGUGUCAAGGGAUGACUUUAAAAAUAUAUAACUCUUGAUAUAUUUGGAUUUUUCCAGCUCUAGAUCCACCAGUAUGUAGAUAAUUGAAUUAUCUUUUCACUGAUACUAAUUUUUCCUUAAUCCGAUACUCGGUUGAGAAGUUAUGAUGAUUUUAGUGAAAAAUAGUAGAGCACAUAGAAACCACAUCGCGGUGAGGUUUAGAAUUGCAAUUUCUUGAUUUCCAGUGAAGCACCGCGAUUAUCCCGCGUCGCGGUGAAGCCCAAAUUCCCGCUAGUCCCUUUUCUAGCAGCUCACCGCGAUUGACCGGUAUCGUGCCAGAAAUCUCAAUGGGACAGACACCGCAUUGCUGUGGAGUGAAAAAGAGAACUUAUCCUUUUCCAGUGACACAAUAUGAUUACGCCACAUUGUGCCAGUGGCCAAAAUAACACUCGUCCCUUUUCUAGUAAGCCACCGUGAUAAGCAGCGCGUCGCGCUGAGUCCCAAAGUCGUGAUUCUAGUUCUAAACUAAUUUUUCCAAAGGGCAAUCUAGUCAUUUCCUAAGCCCCCAAUUGGUGAAAAAGACUAGAUUAAACCUAUUCUAAGCAUUGUAUGCUCACUUUCAUCAAGAUUACUCUUCAAGAAAACCCUAGAACUUAAAUCUUAAACCUCAAGAAAUCCAAAUUCCAUCAUUCUUUUUCCAAGAUAACCCAAAAUUCAAGAUAUUUAAUAAAUCAUCUUCAAAACCCUAAUUUUAUGCCUGUUCAUGUCCAUUUCGGAGAAUCAGUUUGGUUUUAUGCCUGGUCGCUAGACGACAGAGGAAAUCCACCUAGUGAGGAGAUUGGUGGAGCAGUAUAGGGAGAGGAAUAGGGAUUUGCACAUAGUGUUCAUCGACUUGGAGAAGGUGUAUGAAAAAGUCCCUAGGGAGGUUUUUUAGAGAUGCUUGGAGGUUAGAGGGGAGCUAUUAAGGACAUGUAUGAUGGAGGGAAGACUCAGGUAAGGACGGCAGAAGGAGACUCAGGGCAUUUUCCGGUUGAGACAGGGUUGCAUCAGGGAUCGACUCUUAGCCUAUUUUUGUUUGCAUUGGUGAUGGAUGUGUUGACGUAGAGUAUUCAAGGCGAGGUGCCUUGAUGUAUGUUAUUUGCAUAUGAUGUAGUGCUGAUUGAUAAGAUGUGAGAGGGUGUGAAUGAAAGACUGAAGGUUUGGAGGCAAACCCUUGAAUCUAAGGGGUUCUGGUUAAGUAGGUCCAAGAUAGAAUAUAUGGAAUGCAAGUUUAGUGAUUUGACUUAGAAGGAUGAAAUGUUGGUGAGGUUAGAUUCCCAGGAUGUUUGUAAGAGGGAUAGUUUCAAGUAUCUUGGGUCUAUGAUUCAGGGGAAUGGCGAUAUUAAUAAGGAUGUCUCUAAACAUAUUGGAGCAAGUUGGAUGAAGUGGAGGCUCGCCUCGGGAGUUUUGUGUGAUAAGAUGGUGCCCCUUAAGCUUAAAGGCAAAUUCUACAGAGUGGCAGUCUGACCGGCCAUGUUGUAUGAAGCGGAGUUUUGGCCAGUCAAGAACUCCCACAUUCAAUGAUUGACGGUGGUGGAAAUUACAAUGUUGUGUUGGAUGUGUGGACUUACUAGAGGGGAAAAAGUUAGGAAUAAGACUAUUAGGGAGAAGAUGGGAGUAGCUUCGGUGAAGGACAAGUUGCGAUAGGGAAGGCUUAGAUAGUUUGGCCAUGUGAUGAAGAGGGGCACGGAUGCCCCAGUUCGUAUGUGUGAGAGGUUAGAUUUGGAUGGAUUUAGAAGGAGUAAAGGUAGGCUGAAAAAAUACUGGAGGGAGGUGAUUAGACAUGACAUGGAGCAGCUUCAGCUUACUAAGGACUUAACUCUAGAUAGGAAGGUGUGGAGGUCGCAGAAAGGGUAGAAAGCUAGUGUGAGUGUGUGGGUUAUAGCAAGAUGUUAAGAGAGAUCUUGUGUAACCGAAUUAGUAAGCAUAGGACUGUGUCCAUUAGUAGGAGACACUAGUCAGUAGAGUUUGUAUAUGGUGGGUGUCUUUGGUCUAUAGGUGUAUGUUCCUAUCUCUUAUUUCUUAUUUCGAAUUACUCAUAUUUCUUUUAUUUUGUAUUUCUAUGAUAUCUAUUUUAUUAUUACUUAUUCCUUAUUUAUGUUAUGUCAUCCAUCUUAUUGCAUGUUUCACUACGACCUUAUGUACUAUUCUCUAGCCUGAGCCGAGGGUUUAUCGAAAAUAACCUCUCUACUUCUUCGGAGGUAGUGGUAUGGACUGCGUACUUUUUACCCUCCCCAGACCUCACUUUGUGGGAAUACACUGGGUCAUUUGUUGUUGUUGUAUCUUCAAAACCAUAAAUAGGAAUUCAAGUUCAAGCUUCUCUAUCAAUUUCAUCAAUUAAGGUAUGUGGGGUUAUGAACAAGGAUAAUUCUUUCAUCCUUGUACCAAAAACUAGUUUUAAAGUUUAUUUUUAUAUGAAAUUAUAUGAAUUUUAAUUUAGGGUUUAUACCCACCUAUUGCCAUUUGAAGAUUAUGAGAUUACAAUUGAUUUAGAUGUUGAAUUGCAUGUCUACUUUCGUAUUUUUAUGCAUAUGACAUUAAUUCUCAGAUUUAGAAUUGAAUUAUCAAGAUUUUUAUUAUUUAGCAUGAUAUUUAUGAUGAUUUGACAUAAAAUAUUUUGGGGACCUAGUCAUUCAGAUUUUCUAGUUUAUUAUAGUAGUUGAUUUAGUAUUUUUUUGUUCGUUCUAGUCAGCUGGGGACUUGUCCCAGUGGCUCUCUAGUUAUUAUUAGUAGAGGCUUAUCAGACCGUUAGAUAUAGUUCAGAUUUCCAGUAUUACUUUUCCAAACUUUGAGUCUAAUAUUUUCAGAUAUUAUGUUUAGAUAAUUUCAGCUUAGCUCAGACAAAAUUCUACAAUUUAUCUUUGAUUUUGUAUCUAUAUUUGCUUUAUUAUGAGCUUCAGAUUUAGUAGAAGGUUGAAAGGGUUAGCUUACUACUAUUCGUAGUGUUGAGCACCGUGUGACAUCUUAGGACCCAUUUUUGGGGUGUAUCACAACCCAUAUCUCAAAACCCAACAUCAAAACUAUGAAUAAUAAACAAAUUUUCCUGCCAUUAAGAAAAUAAAAGUAUAAGGAAAAAGGUAGAUGCCUUAGAUACACGAGAAUUUGAAAGAAAUUCAGAGCUUGAGACCCAAAAGAUGGACAUAUGAUGAAAUCCUUAGGCUCUCUUGGGGUUUGUGAGUUUGAUAGUGGAAUUGGGGAUUUUUAAUCCCUUAAAACUGAAAGGAAUAGACUAUAUGAUGCUUAAGGUUCGUGCAUAGGUGAAAAGGCUUCAAUACCCCUUAUUCCAAGUAAACAAAACAAAAACUGUGGAGAUUUUACAUAGCGGAGUGGAAUGGACCUUAUUGCAUAGGCUCACCUCCGUGCUACGCUGCUAAAUACGGAGAUUAUCCUCUAUGGCAAGCUGGCUAUCACGCAGUGUAGCCUCUGUGACAUGGUGAUUUCACGGAGUCUCACUGCCUCUGUGGUUCAAAACUACCCUAAACCCCAUUCAAAAAAUCCGAAACUCUCUUGGGAUACCCUAUUAACAUGCCUAAACAAAAUUGAAGUAAAAAAUCGACAGUUUAAAUACGGGAAGGCCAAGAUUAAAAUGCUUGAAAUUUGGAGGGUGUAACAAAAAUAAAUAAAGAAAAUGAGGUUUUCCUAAGAGUUCCUUUGGCUUCCCAAAGACAGGAUAUAGACGUUAUCACAUUGAUCCACAUGAAUCUAUUAGAUACUUUCUCUUGUACCGACAAUACCAGUGAACUAGGUGCUCUGAUACCAAUUUUGUCAUGACCUAAUUUCAGGAGUCAAGAUGGCACCUACUUUAACCCACUAGUAGGUAAGCAAAAUUGUAGCCCGAAAUAAAAAGUAAUGGACUAGAUGGUGGAAGGCAUAAAAGGCAUCGAAGGUAAGCACACAAUAUAGAGUUGUAAGCAAUAUAAAUAUGAGUACAACAAUACAAAUGUCAAAUGAGAGAGAGACAGAGAAAGAAUAAAAAAAAUAUCCCACGACCUAUUAAGGUCGGUACAAAAGCCACAAAAUCCAAAAGAAUAAAAGUACUAAAAAGUAUCCAAUAUAAAGGUAGUCUCAAAAAGUAAAGACCAUCCUAAAAGUAGUAGAAAGAGAGAGGAUCAGCUUCGACUCUGAAAGCUCACCCUAUCUCCGAAUCCUAAAAGUAAGCUAGAUAAAACAUCAGCGAUGGUGAAUCGUACUCAAAUAUGCACUAGAAAAAGAUGCAAAAGUGUAGCAUUAGUACCAAAGCAACAAAUACUCAAUAGUCACCAUUGGUCGACUGAGCUAAAUCAUAAUAAAAGUAUAAUAAAAUGCGAGAAAGCAAUAUGAAGUCAUGGAAUGAGAUGAUAUCAAGAAAACUACUCUAAAUUGGGAAUAAGUAAUUAUAAUACAUAGUAAAUAAUUUAAAUAAUUAUAGACUAACUAUAACCUAACUGGACCCCCAUAAGCUAUAAGUUGCAAAUUAUGAAGGAAAACCCAGUAGAGCCCCCAUAAGCUUGGUAGGUUCAAAUAGGGAAGAGAGUAUCGAUAAUCAUAACUUCACGUGAACAAUAAUGAGUCUAUACUUGAGAUUCCCUUCAAAUAGGGAAGAGAGUAUCGGAACUAGAGAAUGACAUCAUCAUAAUAAUGUCAUAAAAGGGUCAUAAAUGUCAGACUUGAACUGGAACUAGAGUAUCAUACCAUCAUAUCAAAGUAUCACACAUGAAUUAUAAUUACUGGGCUUGAAUUGAAACUAGAAAACAAGUACAAGGUCACAACUUUAGCCAAAGGUUGAAAAGGUAUCUAAAUUAUUCUAAGGGUCAAGAAUUAUUCGAGGGUGUCUAAAGAAGACCUCCCAUGUCUACAAGGGGAUAAUUUAGAUAUUUGACUUAAAAGAGGACUGUUGGGGCCCACUACUAACCCUAAAAGUACAUACUAAGGUAAUUUUCAACCCAAAACUAAUCUAAGGCUCUAAUAUUUCACUAUUAAAUAUUAAAUAAGUCAAAACUGGGCUUGAGAUAACACCCUAACACAAGGGAGCAAGAAUGAUCCCAAACUCUAUCUAGAACGGCUCUCUAAGUGGCUAAAUAUUCCAAAAAUCACUUAACAUACAAUCAAGUCAUAAAACCCAACCCAUCGCUAGCAUAAUAGCAUAAUACUAUACCAAUAUCAAAACAAAGUUUAAUAUGUGAGGAAAAUUCGCCUAGCCUACCUAAACAUCAUUGAAAGCUUGAUAAAGUCCACUAAAUUGGAUUUUUCCCUUCCGAGAAGCUUUUGCAUGAUUCACACCAUUAAAAUAAUAAUCUAUAUGUUAACACGAGAAAAAAAUACCCAUAUUGCAUUUAAAUGCAUUGGGUCAAAAAUUGAGCUAAACAUCUUGGCGGGGCCCGCUUGCAAAAUCACCACUUUGAAAUCAUCGACGUAUACCUCUAAGACAAGGAUCAUUUAAUCUAAAAAAUUGGUGAAACUUGAGCACAAAUGGACCCUAAAUCAGCCCGUAAAUUAAACUAGAGAUUUGGGUUUAAAUAAAAAAAUAAAUCAAGAAUUCAAUGGAAACUUAUGAAAAUAGAGGUGAGAAGAUGAUCAAAAUGAUAUCUCCAAAACACUGCGGACACCAAAGGAUUGAUCUCCACACUUUCUCAGCUCUCUAGGGUUUUUAUGUAUUUGGGACUAAAAAAAAUUGUAGAGAAAUUAGGUUUCACAUCAUUUAAUAUCGCUAGGUGUCCCUUAAUCGUGAUAGCAGGGACCUCAUUGCGAACACGAUGCCUGACCCAACUUACCCUUUGCGAACGCAGAUAGUACACCAAGAACGUAAAGGAGAAAGUGAGACCAAUCGGUCAGGUGAUUCUCCAUGAAUUCGAAGGCCGGCUUGCAAACUUGGCCUGCACCAGCUGAAGUUGUCCCUUGGGAUUCGUUUUGAAUCCCAUGAACAUAAUUGAACUAUGAUACCCUACUAAAUUCAAUAAUCUAGAUGCAACAUGCCAUUAAAAGCUUCAUUUGAGGCCGUUUCAAUGAAAUGUGGGUCCUACACCCUAGGGUUGUUUUAGCCAUAAUCCAUCCAAUAGCCCAAAAUGAGUUCGAAAGCCUUGAGACUCAAUCCAAGGGUCCCCCAGCCUAAAUUUGACGUUUCAGAUCUGAUAAAACUGUCAAAAUUAGCAGACAAGACUUUUUACCUAUAGUAUAGGCCUGAUACCCUAUGUUGAACAACAUAAACUUUAAAAUUAGGAAUUGGCUCUAAAAUAAAAUAAACUGUCUCACAACCGAACUAUCAGCUCUUACAAGUCACAAAUAACUUUGGACAACUAUGGGAAAGCUUUAAACUAUGAAAUAGUAUAGAAAUGUAGAAAAUAACCUAGAGAGUCAUUAUAAUAUUCACUACUAGAAGAACUUUCAUCUACAAAAGUAAAGGAUUAAGAUGUACCUGAAGGCUCAAACAGGAGGAAAUAGUGGGCCUGUAUCUCACUCUCGAUCUCCAAGGUAGCCUCCUUGACUGGACGGUGUCUCCACUAGACUUUAAAUACUGGAAUCUCUCUAGAGCAUAAUUGCCUGACAUCCCUUGACAAUAUAGAAACUGGAUCCUCCAUGAAUGUCAGACUCUCAUCCAACUAAAUUGAGUCCCAUCGAAGCAAGUGAGACUCAUUCAAAAUGUAUUACUUCAACACAUAGACAUUGAAAACUGGGUGAAUAGUUGAAAAGUAUAGGGAAAGUCCAACUCAUAAGCUAGUUCUCCAAUGGUUCAAAGUAUGUCAAAUAGCGUAAUAUACCUGGAGUUAAACUUGUCCCUUUUUCCAAACCUCAUUAUGCCCUCCAUAGGCGAUACUCAAAAGAAAACCCAAUAAACAACUCCUAGUUUCAAUAAGCGAAGUUUGCAGUCAGCAUAACUCUUCUACUUACUCUGAGCUACCCAUAACCUAUCCUAAAUCGCCUGCACUCUAUCCAAAGACUCACGAAGCAAGUCUAUACCAUAAGGACUAAGAUCAAAAGUUUCAAACAUGCUAAUUGGAGAUUGACAAUGCUUACCAUACAAUGACUUAUAUAGUGUAGCUAAGUGUUUCUCCCACUAACCUCCAAAGUUUAUCACACACGUGCGGAGAAUAUCCUCCUAUACCUAAAUAGUUCGCUCUAUUUGACCUUCAAUAUGAGGGUGGAAUGCGGUUCUAAGGUCAACCUGAGUACAUAAUUACUCUUUAAAUAUCCUCCAAAAGUUGGAAGUGAAUGCUAAGCCUUUAUCUGAAAUAUGGAAAUAGGUACUCUAUGAAGGCGAACUAUCUCACAAACAUAGAUACGAGCUAACCUCUUGGCCUUGAACGAAAUCUGUAUUUGGAUGAAAUUCAUCGAUUUGGUAAACCAUAUAUAAUGAUGCAGAUACUAUAGGAACCACAGGAAGUAUGAGGCAAACCACUCACGAAGUACAUUAUAAUCGCUCCCAUUUCCCCUCAGGAAUGGGUAGCUCCUAAAAUCAUCCACCUGAUCCUUGAUGCCUAAUAUUUUCCUGUUGACAACACAAACACCGAGCUACAAAGUUCCCUACAUCCUUAUUUAUACCACUCCACUAGUGAUGCUGCCUCAAAUCUCUAUACAUCUUAGCAGUCUUAGGGAAAAUAAAAUGUUAGGAGCUAUGAUUCUUUUGCAAUAUUAACUAAUUAGGUCCCCAACCCUCGAAACAAAAAUACAACUAUCAAAGCUCAGAUUCCCUCAGAAUUUAAGGUAUUUUGACUGGACUCACCUCUCAGCACCUGAUCAUAAAUGCCACAAAGUCUACUAUUCUCAAAAUGACAAUCCAAAAUUUGCUUCAUCAAAUUUGAUCUAUCCUCAACACUAGAAAGAAUCUCAUAGGGUCUGAACUAUCAAGUCGAACCAUCAAGUUGGCUAAGGAAAAUUCCAAAGCCAACAGCUACUCUAAAAUAGAAAUAAAGGCCAAGCUACCCAUACUCACCACCUUUUGGAUCAAGGCAUUCGCUAUCAUAUUCGCCUUGACCGGAUGGUAUAUCAUAAAUAUAUCAUAGUAUUUCUUCAAAUCAAUUCACAUGUGCUAUCUCAAAUUAAGCUCCCUCUGGGUCAUAAUAUACUGAAGAAUAUAUUGGUCAUUAUAGAUCUCACAACAAAACCAUAUAAGUAAUGUCUCCAAAUAUUAAGCACAAAAACUAUGACUGCUAAAUCCAAAUCAUGUGCAGGGUAGUUACGCUCAUGCAUUUUUUGUUUCCUCGAUGUAUAAGUAAUAACUCAACCCCGCUACAUCAAAAAAUAAACCAACCCAACACCAUAAUAAUCCCAAUAAACAAUAACCCCUUGCUUUUAACUGAAAGAGUCAAAAUAAAAGAGAAAUUGAGCAAGUCCUUAAGCUUUCAAAAGCUCGACUCACACUCAAUAGACCUUUGAAAAAGAGCCUCUUUCUGAGUAAAUCUAGUUAUAGGUGUUGUAAUAGUAGUCAAUCUCUCAACAAACCACCUAUUUAUUCCUACCAAAAUAAUAAAAUACAAAUCUUGGUCAGAGAUAUAGGUCUAGCCCAAUCACAAAUAUCCUCAAUAUUCAUCAGAUCCACCAUAAUCCUAUCCUUAGAUACCACAUGCCCUAGAAAUGUCACAGACUCUAACCAGAACACACACUUUGAGAAUAUGGCAAAAUGCCUAUGAUAUCUUAAAGUUUGGAGCGCAAUCCUCACAUGCUGCUCAUGCUCCUUUAUACUCCUCAAAUAGAAAAGGAUAUCAUUAAUGAAAACUAUCAUGAAUAAGUCUAAAUAGGGCCUUAUAACACAAUCCAUCAAGUCCAUGAAUGCGACCGAGGAAUUAGUCAACACAAAAGACAUCACUAGGAACUCAUGGUGACCAUAGCGAGUUUUGAAGGCUUUCAAUCCUCAACUAGUGGUAACUGGAUCUCAAGUCAAUCUUAGAAAAUACUACUGCUCCCUAAAUCUGGUAAAAUAAAUCAUCAAUGAGAGGUAUAUGCCACCUAUUCUUCAUUGUUACCUUAUUCAACUAUUGUAGUCAAUACAUAUAGGAAUGAAACCAUUCAUUUUCUUUAUAAAUAAGACUGGAGUACCCUAAGGUGAUACACUAAAUCUAAUAAAACCCUUACCCAAGAGAUCCUAAAGCUAUGAAUUUAGCUCCUUAAGGUACCAUAAAAAUAGGUCAGGCACCCAACUCAAAAUCAAUAGCAAACUUAAUAUCGCACUCAGGAGAAAGGUACCAUAAAAAUAGGUCAGGCACCCAACUCAAGAUCAAUAGCAAACUUAAUAUCGCACUCAGGAGAAAGGCCAAGUAGGUUAGUAGGGAAAACAUCAGAAAAAUCACAAACAAUAGGAACAUAAUCAAAUGAAGGACUCACAACACUAAUAUUAUGAACAUAAGCAAGAUAAGACUCACAACCCUUCAACACUAAUCUCUUAUCCCAAACAUAAAAAAUAAUCCCCGUUAGUGCAUAACUAAUAAAACGUUGCCAUAAAACCAAGGUGUUCCAAUCAUGGAUUAAGUAACAAUUUUGGUGAAGCAAUCUAAGAUCGCAUGGCAAGGGAAAAACCAUUCCAUGCCAAUAAUCACAACUAAAUCCACUAUAUCUAGCAUAAUAAGGUUGACCCAAGUAUCAAACUCUCAAACAGUCCCUCAAACAGUCAUAAAACAUGAUCAUUAAGCCGAUCCACUAUUAAAAAAUCACCCAUAGGAGUAGAUACAAACAAUGUCACAGAUAAAGACUUCUAAGACAACUCUAACCAUGGUGCAUCAUAAGUAAACAUACAAAAUAAAUGAUAUCGGAUCAAAUAAAGAAAUAGAUGGCUAACGACAUGCUGAAAUCGUACUUUUAAUAAUCAUAGUUGAAGAUUCCAUCUCUGGCCUACUAUGUACAACAUACAAUUGGCCCCGUGUGCAGCUGGGCUGGGUACCUAACUGACUACCUGUGCUACCUGCUUGAGAACAUCCUCUAGAUUUUUGAGGACUACACAUGUAACCCUUAGCACCACCCCUCAGUAGCGGUGAUAAUAAUCUGAUCGAUUGAUUACUCUGGGCUGCAGGCUGAAUCCGUCCAUGUCGAGGACACUUUGGAGAGUGGACAAUAACUGCAUAAUCAUAACAAGACCUAUGUACUCUUUUCUAUCUAGAAGAUGCAACUAACUAUGCAUAGCUACCUCGAUUUGAAUACCCAGACUGUGCACCUCUCAAAAAUUAACCACUACCCUGGCUACUAUAAUUGGACUAAUCUCUAUUGGUAAUCUGCAGUGCUGUAUGAAUGGGCCUCUAGACUAGCCCUAGUACUGAUGAGACCAACAUAAAGGGUACCUACUAUGAAAACCUUCUGCUCUGAACUGUGAUCCACUAUGGUUCCCACUAAAGCUACCCUACUGACGUUGCCUCUUAUCGGUGCCCCCUUAGGCCUUGUAAUGCAUCUCUUUAAUAGUCUGAGCGUAAUUAGAAAUAUCAAUAAAGGACCUACCAGGGGCAGGUAAACUCUGAUUAUCCAUGGAAAUAAAAAGACUUUGCCCUAAUAAAAUACCAAAUCCACUCAUACUCAGUAGGUAAGAUCGCAAUAACAUGUUUGGCUAACUUGUAAAACUAUGACUCAUACUUAACAACUGACAUAGAAUCCUGCUACAUGCUAUUAACUGAUCCCAUAGAAGUUCUCAAAGACUACGAGGCAUAUACUUCUCCAAGAAAGCCUUAGAUAAUUGAGUUCAUGUCAUGGGGGAGAUCUAGUUGGCCUGGAAUCAACAUAACCUCACCACCAAUGUCUAGCUACCUAGUCUAAUUAAAAAGUACUGUAGUAGACCCUACAUACCUCAACUAUGACCAAAUUAUGGAGCCUCUCCUAACAACAAGUCAAAAACUUAAACACAUCCUUUCUUGGGCCCUUUCAAAUCUAGGUGGAUUCGAUCUUAAGAAUUGGCCCAACAUAUUCUGCUUAUUAAUUAUCAUAGCUGGCUAACCAACUACCAAUUGUGGAUCUACCGGUGCUGGAGGAAUCUUAACUCUAAGAGUCAUAACUGUAAGUUGAACUUCUAAAUCAGUACCACUAUAGUCUGCGGACUGAGCACAUCAGACGAUACACUAUCUACCAAUCCCAAUAACUAUAUCAAGGAAUCUUUGAGCACUGAAGAAGAAAUAACCCCUGCUGAGGCCUGGGCUUCCCCUGGUCUAUCAAUCACUGGGGUGGCGGAACCUUUGGAGCUACAUCUGCCUUAGGAUCAAUAAUAGGAUAAAAUGAAGGCUUUUUUUCCUAAUACUUAGCUGGUGUUCCAGAUCUAGCAUUUCCUCGACAUCUAAUUUGGCCAUGACCUCUAGUGGGUGCUCUGGAUGGAGACUCGGAGUCCUCGUCUCCAAUCAUCGUAGCUCGCGUCCUAACCAUCUGCAAAAAAGUGAAAUAAGGAAAAUUUACAAACCAACAUAGUCUCGAAAAACAAAAAUAAAAAAAUAAAAUAUGAUUUUCCUAAGAAUUUCUUGUAGCCUCCCAAAGAUAGGAUGAGACGUUAUCACACUGAUCUAUAUGAUUCUAUUAGAUUCUUUCUCUUGUACCAACAAUACCAGUGAACCUAGGUGCUUUGAUAUCAGUUUUGUCAUGACCCAUUUUUGUAGUCAUGAUGGCACCUACUUUAACACACCAGUAGGUAAGCAAAAUCAUAGCCUAAAAUAAUGAGUAAUGGCCUAGAUGGUGGAAGGCAUAAUACAUACCAAAGGUAAGCAUACAAUAUAGAGUUUUAAGCAAUAUAAAUAUGAGUAAAACAGUACAAAUGUUAAAUAGGAGUGAGAGAGAGAGUAAAAAAAAUAUCCCACGACCUAGUAAGGUCGGUACAAGAGCUACUAAAUCUGAAAGAAUAAGAAUACUAAAUAGUAUCCAGAGUAAAUACAUAAAGUACCCCUCGAUCUUGGCCGACUUUUUCAAAAAGACACCUAAACUAUACUUUUGACCUAUUACCCUACAAAUCUUACUUAAAUCAUUGCAAAUACACCAUUUUGACCCUUUGCGUGUAUACAUGCGCCUGUUGUGCGUGAAAGGCUCAAAAUUAACUUUAUUUACCAAUUAAAAGGUGCCACGUGUAAAUAAUUUUAUCUAUAAUUUAUAUUUUUUUACAAAAAUCAAUAUUUAUUUACUUUUUAUCCCAUACCCCCCCCCCGCAACACCCCCACCCACCAACACAAACCCCAUUGUCUUCUUCAACACUUGUAUAUACUACUUCUCUUUUCCUCCAUUAAAGCUCCAUUAAAGCUAGUUUUUUUUCCAAAUAAUCAUUUAUCUAUUUUAAUUAAGAAUUAUAAAACUCCAUUAAGUGGAGUUUCAAUCUCAUGGUGAUGGUGAGUGUCUCUCAAUGGAGCUGCUGGAUGGAGAUGGAGCAUCUCCAAAGAAAAUUAUUGUUUUGACAAGAAAAUCAAAAGAAUAAAAAAGUUUUAAUCAAAUCAACUAAUAGAUUAUCAAAACAACAACUUACCUAUAUUGGGUGUUUAUGCCAACUAAUUUAAUUUCAUAUGAAUAUAGAAUAUAAACAAGUGGUGAAGUUUAAAUAGAUAUUUCAUGGAUUAAUGGAGCUGGACGGGGGUGGGGGUGGGGCGGUGAUACUGGAUGAGGGUGAGGGGUAGAGGGGAUAUGUUGGAUGGGGUGGGAGGGGGUAGGUGGUAGGCACUCUCUUUCUUGUGACUGAAAUUUAAUGAAAAAUGGAGUAUUUGCAAUGAUUUAAGUACGAUUCAUGGGGUAAUAGGUCAGAAGUAUAAUUUAGGUGUCUUUUUGGAAAAGUCGGCCAACAUCGGGGGGGGGGGAAAGAUCAUCCUAAAAGUAGUAGAAAGAGAGAGGACCGGCUUUAGCUCUAAAAGCUCACCCUAUCUUUGAAUCCUAAAAGCAGGUUGGAUAAAACAUCAACUACGGUGACUCGUGCUCAAAUAUACAUCAAAAAAAGAUGCAAAAGUGUAACAUGAAUACCAAAGUAAUGGGUAACAAUAGGCAUCAUCGAUCAACUGAGUUAAAUCAUAAUGAAAGUAUAAUAAAAUGCGAGAAAGUAAUAUGAAGUCAUGGAAGAAAAUGAUAUCUAGAAUACUACUCUCAAUUUGGGAAUAUCAAUAAUUAUUCAUUAUUCAAAUAAUUACAGUCUAGCUAUAACCAAACUGGACCCCCAUAAGCCCAAAAGGUGCAAAUAAUAAAGAAAAAUCUAAUCGAGCCCAUAUAAGUCUAGUGUAUGCAAAAAUUGAGGAGCACUGAUAAUCUUAACUUAACGUGAACAACAGUGAAACCAUAUUUGAGGUUACCUUCAAACUAUAAUGCCGAAUUUAAACUGGAACUGAAGAGUGAUAUCAUCAUAAUAAUGUCAUAAAUGGUUCAUAAAUCAGACUUAAACCAGAAGUAGAGUAUUGUAUUAUCAUAUUAAAGUAUAAUUUAUUAAUUGCAACAACUGGACUUGAACAUGAACUAUGCAAGUACAAGGUCAUUAGUUUAGCCAAAGGUCAAAAAGGUGUCUAAAUCAUUCCAAGUGUCAAGAAUAAUUCUAUGGUGACUAAAGAAGACCUCCUAUGUCUACAUAGGCUAAUUUUGAUAUUGACUUAAAAGAGGGUCGGCGAGGCCCGCUACUAAUAUCGAAAGUACAUACUAAGGCAAGUUUCUAUCCAAAACUAAUCCAAGGCUCCAUUUUUUCCCUAGUAAAUAUUAAAUAAGUCAAAACUAGGCAUGAGAUAACUCCCUAACGCAAGGGAGGAAGAAUGAUCCUAAACUCUACCUAGAACAACUCUCUAACUGGCUAAAUAUUCCAAAUAUCACUAAACAUACAACCAAGUCAUAAAACCCUACCCAUAUCUAGCAUAAUACCAUACCAAUAUCAUAAUAAAUCUCAAUUUAUGAGGAAAAUAAGCCUAGCCUACCUGGAUACUGCUAAAAGCUCAAUAAAGUCCACUAAACCGGAUCUUUUUCCUUUUGGGAAGCCUCCGAUGCAAUGCUAUCAAAAUAAUAAUUUAUGCAUUAACACGAGAAUAAAAAUUCCCAUAUUGCAUAUAAUGCUCUAGGUCCAAAAUUGAGCUAAAAAUUCCUUGUGGGGCCUUCUUGCAGAAUCAAAAUUUUAAACCGUCAACAUAUUCAUCUAAGCUCACAGAUCAUUUAUCAUAAAAUGGGCAAAAUUUGAGACAAAGGAACCCUAAAUCAGUCCAUAAAGUAAACUAGAGAAUUGGAUGUGAAUAGAAAAAUUAAUCAAGAAUUUAAUGAAAAUAUACGAAAAUAAAAGAGAGAAAAUAAUCAAAAUGAUCAAAGGAUCAAUCUCCACACUUUCUUAGCUCUCUAGGAUUUUAAACAAACUUGGGACUUAAGAAAAAUAGAGAUAACUUGGGUUUCACAAUAUUUAAUACUUCUAGGGGUGCCUUCAUUGGGAUCGCAAGAACCCCAUCGCAAAUGCGAUGCCUGACCCAGCUUAUCCUUCGUGAACCUAAUCGGUCCACCGCAAUGUGAUGAAGAAUGCCAGACCGGUCAGUCAAAUGACUCUCCACGAACGUGAAGGCCGACUCGUGAACACGAUGGCUAAUAAACUUGGCCAUUUUGAAUGCGCCAUGGCCUCGCAAAUGCAAAGGUUAUUUUUGUCCUACACCAGCAACUUGGCAAAUUUACUAAGUUUUUGAUCAGAUCCUCGAGAUUCAUUUGGAAUUUUGUUAUCGCAAACAAGCUAUGCUACCUUACCAAAUUUGAUAUUCAUGGCUCAACUACGCCAUCAAAAUUUUCAUUCGAGAUUAUUUUGAUGAAAUAUGGUCAUACACCUUAGGGUUGUUUUAAUGAAAAUCCACCCAAUAGCCCAAAAUAAGUUUGGAAGCCUUAGGAACCUGACCAAGGGUCUUCUAGCCUAAAAUCUACAUUCAGGAUCUAAUAGGACUAUUAGAAUUGGCAUAUGAGUCCAUUUACAUACAGUUUAGGCCCAAUACCCAAUUCUAAACAGUGCAAACUUUAAAAUAGAGAAUUGGCUCUAAAAAUCAAAUGAAUUGUCCGGCAAUCGAAAGGUCGUCUCCAACAAGUCACAAAUGACUUAGGGAAUCUUUGCUAAAGCUCUAAACACUAAAAUAUUAAGGAAAUGUAGCAAAUGACCUAGAGCGUCAUUACAAUAAUUGUCUGGUGGCCCUUCAGCAAAAAUAUUCUCUUAAAAGUUGUAUAGUAUUUGAAUAAUAUUAUUAACUUAUAACAUAUGUCUAACUUCAUAUGCAUGCUUGAAGCUAAUGAAGUCUUGGAUUAUUAUAAUUUGACUAGAACAUUCUGACAACUUGUCAUGACCCCAAAACUAAGGGUCAUGAUGGUACUUGUUGCGACAGGCCUUGAUAAGUAAGCCAAUCACCCAAACAGAUAUGGAAAGAGAAAAUAACACUAUAUCCUAAGGCAAGAUAAUUUGAAUGAAUUCAAACCACACAUAUAAAAUAAUAGCAAAAACAUACAUAGAAAUGAUACCAUAAAUCACCUCAAAACCUGAUGUCAUAGUGUAAGGACAAUCAACAUACAACUUGAAGUCUAAAAAUAUAACCGAUAAUCCAAGAAGGAACAUAAGUCUAUCGAUGAAUAUAGCUAAGGCAUAAACUAGAUAAGAUAGGGUAGGAGAUUGACUCUAGAAGCAUAGAGCUACCACUAACUCAAAAAUAUCCAAUCACCACUUGAAAAUUAACUGCCAUGCGGCACACUCAUACCUGGAUCUAUACCAAAAGGGAACAUGAGGAUGAAUAUGGUCCACUUGUACUCAGUAGGUAUCAUAGACCAACCGAGAAAAGUAUAAAAUAAAUCAUAUAAAAUACACACCAUGGGCGCGUCACCUGCAAUAAAAAAUUAUCCCAAACAGCAUCCCACACCAUCUCCACUAACAUUUCUAAAUAUCAGCAUAUAUAUCAAGUACAAGUACAAAAAAGAAGCACCAAAAAAUAGACAUUAAAUCAAACAUGAAAGUACAACAUAGAGGGUGUAUAAAGUAUGAAAUGCAAUGCAAAUGAUGAUGGUGAUGAUGAUGAUGAUAUGAUAAGUCUGAGGUUGUCGCACAAUUUUCCAUAUACACCUACAUUGCACCCAAGAUAGGACCCAUAGAGGGUUCCACAACCCAUAUACAAUCCAAUAACCAAUAUUGAUACCAAUCCAAUAUCUAUAACUUCUCCCCAGGACAUGAUCUUCAGUAGAAGGUUUUUAAAGGUGUCACAUUUUUGUUAGAAAAUCAAAAUUUCAACAAUGCUACAAAUGCCUAAUGAAUGUAUAUAUGAGAUAAGGAUAUAAUGUUCACAACCAAACUAGAAUAAGAAUUUCAAAAGGCCAACCACUAUACAAGAAUGUGAGCUAAAAUCCACCCAAUAAGCCAACCAUUCAUGAUCCAAUAUAGUCCACGUACCAGUAGAGUAAGAUAAUGCAAUAUUAUGUUAUUGAUACCAUAUAAAUUCCUAGUUAGGCAAUUAUCUCCAAGAAUAAAAUAAUUAAAUAUAUAAAUACCAGGACAACAAUAUUAUAUAAGACCUCAUACGGUCGCACUUAGCAAAUAAUGUCUCAAACUACCAAUAACAACAUUAUAGGCCUCCACACAAGCACAUAAUAGGAAUACCUACCCAACCUAGUCUGAAGAAAGUUAAAUCAUACCAUACCUCAAAUGUAGAAAACCUUAUCCAAGAAGUCCUCAGUACAGAGCCUCCCCUCCCCGAAUGGCCUCGGAACCAACUAAAAAAUACAAAUAUAAAAUCUACGCAUAAAAAAAGGCCAACGAUACUUAUAUUACCUAUUUCUGAGUCGAGGUCAAAACAGAAGCCUGAAAUGAGUUUUCAUAAAAAAAAGGUUAAAAUCAGAAUUUUCGUUCAUGAAUACAUUACCCAUUAUUCAAGGAAUCCAUAGAAGAAAAUCCAAGUGAAAACGGGUUGGUUUAAAGUUGAAGAAAACUAUUUUAGGAAUUACGAGGCCAAAAUUUCCAUAUUUCAGUUUUGAAAUCAUGUUUUAACUAGAUUUGGAUGACAAGAAGUAAAAAAAAAAUUGAAAUAGAGACAUGGAGCUUAGCCAAGAUUAAAUAUGGAAGAAAAUGCCCAAAAACUCUAACACCCAUAGCUCAAUAUCUCAAAAAUAAUGGAAAAUUGAGAAAAAUUAAUUUUUAUAUGGAUGCCUAACUGUGAUUGCUUAAGCUAAAUAAUUUCUUAAGUAAUCAUCGCUUAAGUGACUAGGUUGUCUCUUAAGUGGAUAGGGACACAUCAGAUGUCCACUUAAGUGGCCUCCUGGUCUCUUAAGUGACCAUAGGAUUACUUAAGCUACUGCAUCAGGUGAUGCUGCACCAGCUGAAGACUUGAAAAAUUUUAAGUCUCCACUGACCCCUCGAGAUUCAUCCAAAAUCUCGAGAACACAAAUGAACUAUGCUACCCUAUCAAAUUUGACAGUCAAGACUCAAUUGCGACCUCAUAAUUUUGAUAAAAGGUUAUUUUCAUAUAAUUGACCCCUAAUGCCCAUUUUCAUGAUUUUCCAUAUAGAGGGUCAAAAUGAGAUAUAAAAGCCAUAAAAUCUACCAAUCGUGCUACCAACCCAAAAUCGAUGUUUCGGAUCUACUAGAGCAUACUAUUUUGUCAUCCAACAUAUGAAACAAAAAAUGUUGACCGAAGUUAAUUAUAAAGCCUUUUUAACCUCCAAAAAUGACAAACUUGUUUAAAUCACACUAGAAUGCAUUGGGAAUCAUGUUGACCAUCCCCAUACCCCAGAAAUAUCACGUAGCAACCAUGGGAAGGGAUAAAAUAGUCAAAUUACAUAAAAACACAUAAUUCAUAUAAAUCAAGUCACUACACCAUCCACCACUAAGAAUCUAGUUCAUCCUCAAACUAAAGGUAAGGAAAAUACCCAAAUUCGUUAAAAGCUAGGGAUAACUACCACAUCUAUCAGACUUAACAUCCCAAGUAGCUUCAUCUAUAGGUUGAUGUCUCCACUGGACCUUAACCACCGAAAGAUCUCUAGAAUUCAACCACCUAACAUCCCUGGCUCGAACGGAGACAGGCUCCUGAAUAAAUGAUAACCUGUUAUCUAAAUACACUGAAUCACAAUGAAUGAUAUGAGACUCGUCCUGAAUAUAACAUCGUAACAUGGAAACAUAAGAAACUAGAUGAACAACUGAUAAAUAUGGAGGCAAUGCUAACUCAUAAGCUAUAUCCCCAAUAGUCUAAAAAAUCUCAAAUGUGCCAAUAUACCUGGGGCUAAGCUUACCCCUUUUCCCAAACCUCAUCACCCCCUUCAUAGGUGAAACAUGAAGGAAGACUCAAUUACUAACACCAAAUUUCAAGGCACGAAGUGUACGAUAUGCAUAAUACUUCUGCCUACUCUGAGAUGCUCAAAGUCUAUCCUAAAUGACUCAAACUCUAUACAAAGACUCACGAAGAAAGUUCAUACCUUAAGAUCUAAGAUCAGAAACCUCAAAUCAACCAAUUAGACAGCGAUGACGCCUACCAUACAAAGCCUUAAAGAAAGCCAUCUCAAUACUGGAAUGGUAGCUAUUAUUAUAUGCAAACUCUGCCAAAGCUAGAUGCUGCUCCCACUAACCUCCAAAGUCCAUCACAUAAGCGUGAGCAUAUCCUCCAAAAUUUGAAUAGUCCGCUUUGACUGACCAUUGGUCCGGGGAUAAAAAGUUGUGCUAAGAAUAACUUGGAUGCCCAACUCUCUUUAAAAUGCCUUCCAAAAGUGAGAAGUGAUCACUGAACCUCUAUUUGAGAUGAUAGGAAUUGGUACACCAUGAAGGCAGACUAUCCCACAAAUAUAGAUAUGAGUUAAUCUCUCAGUACUAAAAUAACCUAAAUGGAAUAAAAUAAGAAAAUUUGGUCAAUCAAUCAACGAUAACCCAAACACUAUCCAAACCAUGAGAAGUACAAUACAACCCAGUCAAGAAGUCCAUAGUGUUCCAUCCCCAUUUCCAUUCGAGAAUGGAUAACCUCUGAUAUAAACCACUAGGCCUCAAAUGCUCGGCCUUCACCUGCUGGCAACAUAGGCAAUGAACUAUAAAAUCCACUACAUCCUUCCUCAUACCACCCCACCAGUAAUUCUGUCUUAAAUCAUGAUACAUGUUUGUCACUCUUGGAUGAAUGGAAUACCUAGAAUAAUGAGCCACCUCAAAUAUCAAUCUUACUCAAUCACCCACUCUCGAUACAAAAACUCAGCCUCCAAUCCUCAAAACACCAUCAGAAUCAAGUGAGGCUUCCUUAGCCUCGUCAUCAACACCUUAUCCUAAAUUACUCUUAACCUAAAAUCAUCAAAUUGUUGAGCUUGAAUCUACUCCAUCAAAAAAGAUCUAGCCUCUACGAAUGCCAAAACACACCCAGGUGUAGAAAUAUCAAGCCUAACCAUAUGGUUAGACAAAGACAAAACCUCUAAGGCCAAAGGCAUCUCCUGAGUCAAAAGAUGAGCCAAGUUACCCAUACUAGUUGACUUCUGACUUAAGGCAUCUGCAACCACAUUAGCCUAGCCUAGAUGCUAGAUAAUAGUAAGCUUAUAGUCCUUAAGCAACUCAAGCCGAUGAUGCUACCUUAUAUUAAGAUCUCAUUGGGUGAAGAAAUACUGAAGGCUAUGAUAAUCCGAGAGUAUCUCAUAACAAACUCCAAACAAGUAGUGCCUUCACAAUUUUAAAGCAAAUACAACCACGCACAACUCCAAAUUAUAGGUAGAAUAAUUCUUCUCAUGGGAUUUUAAUUGAUGAGACCAGAAGUAUUAGAGAAGACGGUAAAACCUACGCCCUUCUUGGGUAAGGUCAAGAUAGAAGUUGAGGUCAAUAAAUGCUUUAGCUUCUAAAAUCUCACCUCACAAGCAUCAUAGAGUCAACUUGGUCAUUGGAGUCGCAAUAGAUAAUAAAACCCUUAACAAAGCAUUAAUAAUGGUGUGCUAAACCAACAAAACUCUAAAUCUCAAUAGGAGAAGUAGGCCUAGCCCAAUCAAGAACCACUGUAAUCUUGGCAGAAUUAACCAUGAUACCAUCCUAGGUUACCUCAUGACCUAAGAAAAAUAUUGGCUCCAACAAAAACUCGCACUUGGAGAACUUAGCAUAUAACUUCUUAUCUCUUAAUCUCUAAAGCAUAAUCCACAAAUUCUCCUUAUAGUCAGUCUUAUUCUUGGAGUAAACCAAGAUAUCAUCUAUAAAUACAAAGACAAAAGAGUCAAGAUACGAUCUACACACCCGAUUCAUUAUCUCUGUGAACAUGGUUGGGGAAUUGGUCAACCUAAAAGACAUGAACAAGAAUUCAAAAUAAUCGUAUCGAGUCCAAAAAUCUAUCUUUAGAAUAUCCGAAGCUCUAAUCCUCAAUUGGUAAUACCCGACCUCAAAUCAUCUUCAAGAACACUGAAGUACCCUAAAGUUGAUCUAAUAAAUCAUCAAUACAAGGAAGAGAGUACUUAUUCUUAACCGUCGCCUAAUUUUACUGUCGAUAAUAAUACACAUACACAUAGAACCUUUUUUUCUUCACAAAUAAGAUAGGCACAUCCCAAGGUGAUACACAAGGUCAGAUAAGUCCCUUAUCUAAUAACUUCUAUAACUGAUCCUUUAAUUUUUUCAAUCUACUAGGUCCAUCCUAUAAGGAGGAAUAGAUAUGGGCUUGGUACUCAGCUCAACAUAAAUAAUGAAGUUAGUAUCAUGACCCAAAAGUAUACCAGGAAAAUCCAUAGGAAAAACAUCCAUGAACUCACGAAUAAUAUAAUUUGAAUCCAAAAAAGGAGGUGAAACAAUACUAAUAUUGCAAAUAUGGCCAAAUAAGACAAAUAUCCCUUUUGUACUAGGUGACGAUCCUGAAGGAAAGAUAUAACUCUCUUGGGACCCAAAUGAAGUGCACCCUUCUAAGCUAUCCUUGGCACACUCGGUGGAGCUAAAAUUAUGGUCUUAGCAUAAUAGUCUAGAAUAGCAUGAGGAUCUGACCAAUCCAUACCCAAGAUGACAUCAAAUUCUACUAUUUCUAGGAUGAUCAGAUCUAUCUAAGUCUCACGCCCAGCAAAGGUCACAACAUAGGAUUGAUACACCUGAUCUACCACUAAAGAGUCUCCUACAGGGAUAGAUACAUAAAUAGGAAUGGUAAGAGGCUCACUAGUAAAAUCAAAAUCCAAAAUAAAAUAUAUCGACACAUAGGUGAAAGUUGAUCCCGAAUUAAGUAAUGCAAAUGCAAAUUUGAAGAAAAUGGGGAUGAUACAUAUAAAAUCAACAUCAGAAGCCUAUGCCUCUAGUCUGGUGGGUAUAGCAUAACAAUGUCCUUGUCCCUAAACUGACUGAAUAGACCCACGACCACCCCCGCAGGCAUCACUAUAUCUACCACAUGAAUCUUAGUAGUCCUCUACCUCUUCGAGGGUCACCUCUCACUGUUGAUAAAGGAGUAGAGAUAAAAACACGAUGGGGAUAGUUCUUGGCCAAAUGGCCAAACUCAUCACACACAUAGCAAACUCUGCAGCUCAACUCAAUAGGAGGAGGUAUGACUGUGCUAGAAUGACCAUCCUGAAGUGAUAAACUAGCACUACCAGAAAUUAGAUCUAUGGUGAAGGUUGCAGAACCGUUGUAUUAGUCCAAAAGCCAUUGCCAUAGACCUAUCGCAAUGGUUCAGCAAGCAUCCCAUAGGUGGGUAUUGCGAUAGGUCUAUGGCAAUGAUUUCUCCAAUAGUUGUAUAAAUCGUUGCCAUAGGUAGAGCUAUAGUGACGGUUUCUUACAAUCGUUGUCAUAGAUAGGCCUAUUGCAAUGGUUAUUUUUGGACUUAUUGAGAUGCCUAUUUCUAUCUAUUGCAACAGUUAUGAACCGUCGCAAUAGAAUUUAUUGCAACGGUUACGAACCAUCGCAAUAGAAUCUAUUACAACGGUUACGAACCGUUGCAAUAGAUACUAUUGUGAUGCCUUCGUUAUUCUGUUGCAACACUUUUUGAUGCCUAUUUUCAUCUAUUGCAACAGUUACGAACCGUUGUAAUAGAUUCUAUUGCAAUGACAUUAAACCAUCGCAUAACAUCUAUUGUGAUGCUUUUGUUAUUAAAUUAAAAUAAUUUAUAUAAAUAGUCAUAUUAAUGUAAAUUUUUAUUUAUAUACAUAAUAAAUUAUAGCAAAAUAUAUACACAUCACACAACAAAAUCAUUCAUUAAUAAUCUCAUAAUUCAAAAUAUGCAACAAGCUAGUAAUUUAAACCCUAAAGUAAAAUGUAAUCAAGUCCAAAUGAUUAGUAAGGUUUUACAUACCAGCAAGUUUAAGUCGCGAUAAGGUUAAACAAAUUCACCACAAAACUUUUUAUAUUAGAGCAUUUAUCCACAACCCAAAAAUUUUCUCAAGUAUGGUCAAUGUCUUCAUCAUUUUCUUCAUCUCUUGUGUUCUAGUAUUUAUUUGUUUCGUAGAGUUGCUAGUGAUCCAGCUAAAAGAAUGUUUUUAGUUUUCUGAUGAUUUCUCGAACACCUUUGUUGAUUCAUGAUUCUUUAAGUCUCUAUAAGAUCAAGAGCAAAAAUAUAAUGUCAAGAUGGUUAAAAUAACAAAAAAAAAUUGGCAUGUAGUAUAAGUGUGUCUUGAUCUUCUAACAUACAACUAGAAGCCUUAUAAAUCAACAAAUUCAGAACACACAAGCCUUAUAAAGCAAAAACUCCCAGUUGCAAACUAAACAAUAUUCAAAUACAUAAUUAUCGUUUAGAUGAUAAUCCUGAAGUUUUGCCUUUUUUGGCCAGGUUAAAACUAGAAGCUCAUGUCAAAGGUUAUGUUAGAAUUUCUUGGAUGUAUUGGUUUAAAAAGAUUUUAUAUAACCAAGUUGCUCUUGUUUACGUGCUUACUAAACUUGUGACUAAUGUUUCCCAGGUGAGUCUUAUUUCUUUUGAAUGUAGACCUUUUCAAUGGUUAUUACAAUAGUGGCAUGAUUUUAUUUAGAUUAUUUUCCCUAAGCAUUCACUUGGUUUUAUAACUGAUACAGUUCUUGUAAUUACAGGCCUUUCUUGCUUUCUAUGUGAUAAAUGCUAACAAAAAUCAUAACAAAAGCAAACUAAAACAAAAAAAGACCAACUAAUAAGGUUAUAAGAUUAAACGGUAGCUGUUAAGGUUAUAGGGUUAAAUAGUGGACGUUAAGGUUAUAACGUUAAAUGGUGGCUGUUAAACUUAUAAGGUUAUAAGGUUAAACGGUGGCCGUUAAACUUAUAAGGUUAUAAGGUUAAAUGGUGGAUGUUAAGGUUAUAAGGUUAUAAGGUUAAAUGGUGGCCGUUAAGGUUAUAAUGUUAAAUGGUAGCUGUUAAGGUUAUAAGGUUAAAUGGUGGCCGUUAACCUUAUAAGGUUAUAAGGUUAAACGGUAGCCGUUAUCGUUAUAAGGUUAUAUGAUGGCCGUUAAGGUUAUAAGGUUAAACGGUGGCCAUUAAAGUUAUAAGGUUAAGGUUAUAGAUUUCACAAGGAAAGGGAAACAUAAUUCAAGGUUAUAAUUCAUGGAACCAUACCUCAAGUCUCUAUUCUGAGUCGUUCCACUCAAAUAUUGGAAAGUCAGUCACCCAAAGUAUUGAAUGCCUGGACUAGAUAUAUGAACAAAAGAAAAAUGGAUAUUAGGAAAUACAAGAUUUUACUCAAGAACCUAAGUCUUCUAUAGAUAAGCACAUAUGUUAAUCCAAAUUUGGACAUCAGAUACUCACAUUGUCAAUUAAACCCAGUUCAUGUGCAACAUAUGUUCUUAGAUGAUCCAAUGUUUUAUUGACUUCUGCAUGGUGACCAAAAGCAAACAAGAUAAGAUCAUCUGAUACCGCGGAGAACUGAUUCAACAAUUUCUUUUUCUUUGCCGUAUAGAAACUAGAAACCAGCGGCGGAAUCCCUUCAAAGUACUAUUUGUGCAUCUGCUUGAAAAACUACACUAUUUAUUGUAUUGUGAACAAAUUAUCACUGGUUCAGGUGAUCUGCAGCGAUCAACGUGGACACUAGGUAUCUAAGUGGUCGCAUCAGAAACAGAGAAAGGAAGAGCAUAGGCCCUUUUUACAGAGAAAUACUCAAGGGGUGUUGCUGAGAUAGACAGAGCUGGGAGAAACAACCACCCUUUACAAAAAACCCCAUCCCUCUAAGGCUCUAGUUAUGAUGACUGUAGUACUGGUGAUGACGAUCACUGGUACAAUGAUGAAAGAAUGGGAAAUGACGCUAGUAAUACUGAAAAUGAAAAUUAUGUUGGAUCUACUUAUAUAUUGACUUAGAACUCUACCGGGAUAACUAUGAAGUCUUCAGGAUUAACAUGUAUGGACAUAACAUCAAUGAAGUUCUUGCACUGAAAAAUGGUUCUUGGACAUACUUUUCAACUUUACUAGAGCAAGGCACAAUAUUUGGAGGAACUUUAUAAGUUAAAGCCACAAGGCAAAGAUAAAGUUGCAAGCAAAACAAUAAAUUCAAGUAAUACACAUUUCAUAAAUAUUUAUGCCAAAGUGAAAAUGAGAGAAGACUAGCUAAAACUAACACACUUGCAUAAUCAAUGAUACAUCCCAAUUACAAAUAUAGACACCACCUUUAGUAGAAAAAAUUAUUCAUCUACUAUGGCUAGUCAGUAGUUAAUGAUGAAGGUUACCUGUACGGUCUCUUUUUUGUUUCAAAUGUGUUUUAAGUUUUUGGAAGACAUUAAUCUCCGAGCCUUAGUUUAAGCUGAAGCAGAAGCAUCUAUAUCAUACCAUUACCACCAAAAUCUCCAAGAAAAAGAGGAGUCUUGUGAAGUAAAACACACUGAUUUAUAAGAGAAAAGUCAACCGAAGAGACCCCGUAAGUUUACAUUUAAGAAACUAAUCCUCCCAAUUUUAUGCUUUCAAUGCUAAUUUGGUUGAAAAUACAGCCAUGCAGGAGCAGGGUAGUGAUAGAUAGAUAUUUAGACAGACAUAGACAUACAAUAAAAAAUAAAUAUAUAUAUAUAUAUACACACACAUACAUGUGUAAAAGGAAUUCAGCAUGCAGUUUGACAAUAUAGAAACUUAAAAAGGGAGUCAAACCAAACAAGUGUCAGUGAUAUAGUGCUCCUAAUGGCUCUCAUAAUGUGUUUCCUGACUAGUAAACAAAAGUUUCAUCAACAAUCCAAAUACUUCCAUUGUUGGACGUAACAGGUAAUUUACUGAGUUUCGACUAGUAAAAACACACAAAUCUAUACUAAUAACUAGAAAAAAGGAAAGAGGCCUCACAUAGCUUCACAAACCAACACAAGAACAACAAGAUGAACAACAAGUUGCUAGUGAAUCGAAAUAGGCCUCACACGGCUUCACUAGACUUUGAGUUUGUAUUUUGAAAAAGAAAAUGAGAUGAAUAACAAGGCAACAAUGCUAGUGAAUCGAAAGAAACCCCCACACGACUUCAAUAGUGAACUCGGACAUGCACAACAGUACCUGGUGGUGAGGCAAGAGAAGAAAGUAGAAGUGGGAAUUGCCUGUCACCUAAUAUGAACCAAGUAAUUAAUAUAAAGAUGCAUCUAUCUCAAUUCAUAUUUAAUAUCUUAAAAUUCUUCUGGAUCAUAAAUAUUAAUAUGACCAAUUAAUAUUAACAUAGGUGUAAAACUUCAGUGCAAGCCUAAAAAGCAUCAGGCUACCAACCAGCAUCCGACGAAAGGUACAUAGCAGCCAUGGCAAUAUUAUAUUUCUCCCCAAGUUUGUACAGAGGCAUGUAUUCUCUGCUCUUAUUGCUUAUCUCCUCCGAUCCACGUUUAUGCAUGCCAACAGUGUCAUCUAUGCUGCCUUGUGCAAUACCAUUUACCCUAAUAUCAUAGUCUGUGCCCCACUCUAGAGCCAAAUUUCUAGUGAUUACAUCAACAACAGCCUGUACCGAGAGAUGAUAUAAGAGGGAAUUAAAAAUAACAAAAUAAAAAUGAACACAACCUCAUCUUGAAUCUAAAGUUCCAAACCUUAGCAACAGCUACAUGGAUUUGAUACCAAGAUGUAGCGUAAUGCAAAGUAACACUGAUGUUCAAUAUCAGUCCACCAGAAGUCGAACUCCUCCCAGGUCCCCCUUUCUUGAUAUAGUUAAGUGCUUCAUGGCCCAUAGUAAAUGUACUAAUAGAAUCAAUGUCUAGUAUUACAAAAAACAUCAUGAGCAUAUAAAAAGAAUCAGAAUGUAAUCUGAGAUAGGCUUUUUCUCACGUUAAAUUAAAGAGAGGAAAGUGACUUGCUAUCCCCUUUUACUACACAAGCACUUUCCUUACUCAACCUCUUUUCCGUCCCUCCUCAAGAAACUGCCAUAAGACCAAGAUAUCCUAUUAAAUGAGACAAAGAGAGAGUAAUGAAAAGAACUUGUUUAGGAGCAUAGUGACAUUGAGGUAAAAGAUGCAAAAAGUAAUAGGUUGACAGAAGAUACAACAAUGAUUCACAACGAAGAUAAGGAACAAAUUUCCCCUAAGGAUGAUAUGAAACAACAAUAACCCAUAAUUAAGGAAAGUGGAAAAUUAUAACUCAUCCAGUAAUAUCCUUGAAGCAGAAAUAGAGAUUAGUAAAGAAGCUAUCGUACCAGAAUGUUCUAAGGAAAAACAACCUAUAAAUGAUAUGGAGUAGCAACAACUAGACUCUUGCAGAAACAAAAUUAAGGAGGUUAACAUGACUAGUCCAUCCAAGGAACAUGGAGAUAUUAAUCCUUUUAAAAGUUUACUCCAACAACAGCAAGCUAAGCUGCAGGUUCAGCAACAGCAUAGCAGCCUGUAGUUGACAACAACAAUCAUCAAUGUGUAAUAGAGAUGCAGUCUGUAGUCAAUAACAACAUUCUAAUGGGAUCUGAGACCAUAAAUUCUGUUAGACAGUAGACUUUUUUUCUGUCAUUUUCAUUUUAACAUCACACCCUUUGCCGUGCGGCCCUUUGCUAGACCCUACUAACAUGGGAUACUUUGUGCACCGGGUUUCCCUUUUAUUUUCUCUUAGACCAUAAAUAUUGGUGUCAAACUAAUAUUAUCAAAAUUGGUUUGAAGUACAUUUGCUUUUAUGAUUAUCAAAGAACAGUUAGUACGACAAAAAGUACUGGUUCGUGUUUGCCAUAACCACAUUAACAUGAAUUACUUAAAAACUAAUCUUUUACAAUGAAAUAUUAAUCAUUUCUUUAUACUUAUCUCAUUGUAUAAAUUUUACCCCAUCCAAACUUCUUUACCAUGUAACCAACCUUCAUUCCAAUUUCUUCUUCCUUUCAUUACCAAGCAUUUAAUUUUGACACUCAUGGAUGCAUUAUUACUACAGUAGCAGAAAUCCUGAAACUUUGUUACAUCAGCAGUCAAAAUUUCACUUCAUAUGAGCUGUCUUAGUUUAAACUAACUAAUGGUAACAUAAAAAUCAUUAGCAAUCAAAAUUUACCAAGUCAUGGUCGCAUUAUUACUACAGUUUUUACCAAUAUUCACGUAAUUAAAUGAACCCAACAUUAAAAUGUUCUCGAAGGAGAAGAAAAACUCAAAAUCCCCAAAAAUUAGGUCAAAGACGUUGAACACUACACUAACCUUAAAAUCCCUAAAUUGAAGUAGUUGAAGUGCAAAUUUGACAGAAAUUGAAGUGCAAAUUCGGUCUAAAUAUUCCUUGCACCAGUAAAUCAAUUUUCAAAGCGGCACCAGUAAAUCCUACAAAGCUCACUACCAAAUCAUAGUAAUUGUAGUGAAGAGAAAAUGAAUCCCUUAAUCGAGUGAUUGUCAUUGUAGCGAUUGCAGUGAAGAGAAGUCAAUUCCCCUAAUUGUUGAUUUUUGGUAUAGCGAUUGUAGCGAAGAGAAGCCAAUUCCCUAAUCGAUUGAUUGUUGUUGUAGCGAUUUUAGCGAAGAGAAGCCGAUUCCCAAAUCGAUUAAUUGUCGUAGCAAUCGAUUGAUUCCCUAAUCGUAGUGUAUUUUUUUUAAAGGCUUAGUAAGCUAAGAGCUAAUACAGAAACUAAGAGAGAAAGGGAAGUAAGUAAAAGCUAAGAGGGAAGAGACAGUUGUCUUAGGUUUUCUUUUUUAGCGGACUUAUCAAAUUUUUAGUGAAAAUGGAGGGAAUAAAAUAAGCAUUGCUAUAGCUUAUUUUAUUUAUCUAUGGUAACGCUUAUUAUCAAAUGCAACAGUUAUAGUGUAAAAUUAUAACUAAUAGAACAAUUAUUUAUGGCAGCACUUGGAACCGUCGCAAUAGACCACCUAUUGCAAUACUUUGUUAACCGUCGCCAAAAAGUUUGUUUCCAUAGGGAUAAUUUCCAGCAGUGUAGAAAACCUACAAUCUGAACCCUGAAAGGCAGCCUACACUGGUCUACCAUGAUACCUAUAAAAACCUCUAAAAACUCUACCUCAAGGAGUGCAACUACUGAACUUACCCUGACACGGCACCCUCUUGGCAUCUCCCUGAGAAGCUCGAAGAAUAAACUCAGUCAUCUUUGUAUAAUCCACUAUACUAAAAAACGAUGCCUGUGACACUACCAUUGUAACGCCCCAAAUCUGGUACCCAAAACGUUACACGGUGCUCAUGACCCCGAAGGACCACAAGCUAACCCAUGACUGAUAUCUGUACCUGUAUACUGCAUAAAAGACUGUAUAAUAUGGAAACAUAAACUAAAAGGCCAUAAGGUUCAAUACUAGUACAUAACUAAAAAUAUGGUAUAUCAAUACCAAAAUAAUUGAAAUAACUGUCCGACAUGCUAUAGUCUGAAAUCCUCUAAAUCGUGUGAAAAAAGAGUUGAUGGGACAUAUCCCCAACUAACUCCGACUACUGAAAUAAACUAAAAACUUAAAUAGUAAUAUAAUCAUCAUGUCCUUAAAGGAUGAGGACUCACAACUGACUUUGACUACUGAACCUGGAUGCUACUGAUGCUCUAGAGCUCAUGCUUCUAAACCUAUGGUAUAAGACAGCAUAGCACAAAUGUGUCAGUACUUUGAAUGUAUUGGUAUGCAAGUGAGGUAGGUUGAAUACAAAUGAUUCAUAUGCAUGAACAAUACUAACUGAUUGACUAACAUGAACAUGAGAAUACAUGCAUGACUACAUAACUGUAACUAAGACCAUGAUAGGACGAAAUACUGAGUUCUGACUACUGAGUUUACUGAUAUUGACAUCUGAAUCACUGAUGAGUGAGAAAGACUUAUAGUAUAUUACUGAAAACUGAGGGACUAAUACUAUGUUACUGAUACAUGAAUAACUGUGUCUAACAGUUCUGAUUAUGAAAAACUGGUCUGGUUGAUUGUAUCUGACAGUCCUGAAGCUGAAUACUGAUAACAUGAGUUUUGAUAACUGACAUAACUGAUAAUAUAAGUGACUGUAUUUGACAGUUCUGAAUCUGAUGGAACUAGCUGAGUUCCAUACUAUAUCUGAGUAACUAAAUCUGAGAUCAGUCCUAUCUAGCGGGUGAUCUCUAAAUCUGAUAAUAUUGAUACCGACUGACCAUAGUUGAGAUCAGCCUUGUCUAGUGGGUAAUCCUGGGGUCUAUUUAUAAUGAUAAGGAUUGACUGUAUCUGACAGUACUAAAUCUAUACUAUUGAGCUAAAUCGACUGUAUCGGACAAUCCUAAUUCUGUAACUGAAACUGUGGGAUAUGUUCAUCUAACCGACAUGCCCCAUACUAUGCUAACUGGGGUCCAACCUAUAACCCCAGUUGGAAAGGUGUCAGUACCGCGCCAUUGGUAAAGACAACUGCUAUGGAGUCAGUCCUAAUCUAGUGGCUAACCCCUGGGAUCAGUCCUAUACAUUUAAAUAUGCUAACGGCUGAUCCUUGAGUAUGUCAUUCCUAUCUAAUGGGUGACAUCUUGUACCUACACUAGCUACAUAGUUCUAGAACUUAGGGAUUGCUUCUAGGGAUCUCAGUCCUAUCUAGAGGGUGAGUCCCCAUUCCUAGGCUCGCUUGGUGCUAAAUCCUACUCCCAUCUAAAAGACUUUGAACUGAUUAACUGAGCUGAACUGAUUAACUAAACUGAACUGAUACUAGUGGUAUUGUCUAGAGGAGCAAAACUGAAUUUACUGAGUUUCAUUGACUGACGGAACGUACUAAGUUUUGAGGACUGACUGAGAGUACUGUAGUUACUGAGAUUGACUGGGAAGAUUGAGGUUACUGAGAUUACUGAGUACUGAGAUCACUGAGAUUACUGAACUAUUGAGAUUACUGAGAUUUCUGGGUUUUCCUAAGUCACAUGACUGACUGAGUUCUGUGGAUCAUGGCUUGAUUGAGUAUCCUGAAAACAUGACAUGGCUCUAGGCACACAACUAAUAUUUUAGGUACAAGUACCUCCCGAACUCGAUGGAAAGAAACUGACAUAGCAUGACUUACUUGAACAUAUGACUAAUAUCAUAAUCCAUAAUUCAUAUACUGAAGCACUUCAUUAAACAUAUGAUAUGCAUAAACUUGUACAUAAUUGGGGAUUUCAUGAUAUCAUACUAGUUGGACACUCUUCCUUCAUAUAGGCAUUUAAUCAAACACAUAGUAGGCAUGGUACAUAUAAAGAUCAUUAUACAACAAUUAAACAUCAUAAUUCAACUCUAAUUUCAUCAUUCUAGGGUUUAAUCAUAGGUUAACAUGAAUAUACAUCUAUACAAAUCAAUUCCACAUAACAUUGAUCACCUAACAUGGAUUAGAAUUCAAUUGAUCAUUCUCAACAUAAACAAAACAAACCAAACAUGAAAUUCAUAGAGAAAUCCAUAAACUUGAACUUAGAAAAGAGAUUCUUGGUCUUCAUGGAAAAAGGAGUCCAUAAAUGAACACUAUGCAUACCUCAAAAUCUUGAAUCUUGAAGGAGGUUAACUUUUCUUGUUGGUUCUUGAAUGGUGACGCUUUGAUUCUUGAGUUUUCUUAGAGAAGGAUUUGAAUCUUGUUCUUUGAUUUUGAUCUUGAAAGAAACCCUAAUUUUGAUGUCAUGGAUGAAUGAGGAGUUAUAUGUUUUGACUUGACAUGAUUGGGUGUUAAAUAGGGUGGAAAAAGACCCAAAAAUCCCUUUAAAACGGCGUUUCAGACAAAACUGAUGGUCUGAGUGAUGGACCAUCACUCUGGUGACUAACUUUAACGCCAACCACCAUUUUUGGGCCAGAAAACGGCAUUAAUGCUUCAGUUAUGAUGGCUAAAACGACAGUCCAUCGCUGACUUGAUGGUCCGCCAGCUUGCUUAUCGCUCCUGGACAGCUCGAACAACUCUCAUUAAAACAGCUAUAACUUUUUCCUCCGAUGCUGGAUUUUGGUGAAAUUGGUAUUGUUGGAAAGCUAAUUUAAUUAUCUAUCUGUUGGUGCAUAAUGAGCUCAAAAUUCUUUGUGAAAUAGGAGAUAUGCUCAUUUGAAGUUGACUAUGGCAAUGCCCUUCUCAAGAAUUCAAUCGGUAAGGGAUGUUUUGAUUAGUCUAAUAGCUAGGACGUAUUUGAGGACUUAAUAUACAUCUAACUUGAUCAUAAAACUACCAAAUUACUAUAAUUUAUUUCUCAUGAGCUUGAAGCAUGGUUCUACUAUUGGUUGGGAUUCUCGAGGUGUUACAACCAUCUGGGCAAUAUCCAACUAAAGUGAAACAUCCCUUCACAAACUUUCGAAUAUUCUUAGAUUUGGUAGCAAUACUAGCAAGAAAAUAUCUAGACAAGGCAUGGAAAUAUGGCUCAUACUCUGCAAUAGUUAUGGAUCCCUGUAUCAAGUGAUCAAACUCAUCUCUCAUAUAAUCCCUCAGACUAAAUGGCACAAAUCUACCUAAUAAGGCUUCAACAAACUGAUCCCAAGUCAUCUCUAGAAAACUCAGAGGUCAUUAAGUAACAAGUGACCUCUACCAAGAUCUGGCUGUAUCUCUCAACUGGUAGGUGAUGUAAGCAACCCCAUGCGACUCAAACCAUCCAAGGUUAUGCAACUUCUCACGACAAUCAAUCAAGAAUUCAUAAACAUCCUUUUCCUCAACACCAUUGAAUCUAGGUGAACCCAAAUGAGCAAAUCUCUCAAACCUCUUCCAAGACAUAACUAUACCCAUAAUAAUAGGAUGCAUAAUGAAUCUAGUUGGAUGAAAUCCCACUAGAGAAGGUAACAUAGAUAAAGACUGAAUCCCUAAUCUUGGAAUACCAUACUCGGAUACCGGCAUAGAAGGAGGAACAAUACUCAAAGUCUAUGAAGUACCAUAAGCUGAUAUCAGUACCACUGAAAGAUCCACACUCGAAGAUGGAGGAAAACCAUAGGCGGGCUCUGGCAAAGAUUGAGGUACAAUACUCGGAGAUAGAGGAUCACCAGGUGUACUCAAAGGAAUAGCCUUCAUACGAGUCAACAAACGAAUCAACAACCCCUCUAAGAUCAGGGUAGACAAACCCUGUAGAACCUAAGUAGGUUUCAUAUCUCCAGCAUACUCUACUUAAGGCUUAGGGGAGAUCCUCCUAUUACUACCUCCGAAAGGGGUAGAUCCUCAUGCCCCACCCUCUACCUUGGGCUCUUUCACGACUAGCAACUCACCCUUUAGACUGGGCUCUCUCCUAGGAUGAUGGCUAAGUAUCUAUAACCUCAUGGGAUCUAAUCCUAACCAUCUGCACAAAAAAGAGUAAAAUAUGAUUUCGAACACGAGGUAUGAAGAAUUUGCAUAAUAAGGAAUGAAAAAAAAGGAGUUUCCUAAGGAUAUCUUAUAGCCUCUCAAAGAUAGAUAUAAAUGUCUAUGUACCAAUCCACGAGACUCUAUCAAACAUCCUAUUCUUAUAUUGAUGAUACCAAUAAACCUGGCUGCUCUGAUACUAAUUUAUCACGAUCCAAAAUCUAAGGGUCAUGAUGACACUUGUUGCGGUAGGCCUUGACAAGUAAGUCAAUCACCCAAACUGAUAUGAAAAGAUAAAAUAACACCAUAUUCCAAGGCAAGACUUUUAGAAUGAAGUUUAACUAAACAUAUACAAUAAUAAUGAAAACAUGCAUAGCAAUGAUACCAGAAAUCAUCUCAAAAUUUGGAGUCACGGUGUAGGAACAAUCGGUAUAUAACUUAAAAUCUGAAAAUACAAUCGAUAAUCUAAGAAUGAACAUAAGUUUGUCUCUGAAUACAACUAAGAUAUAAACUAGAUAAGAUGGGGUCGGAGAUCGACUCUAGAAUCAUAGAGCAAGCACUACCUCGAAAAUAUCCAAUCACCACCCGAAAAUCAGCUGGCAUGCAACGCACUCAUACCUGGAUCUGCAUCGAAAGAGCAUGGUAGGUAUGAGUAUGGUCCACUUGUACUCAGUAGGUAUCAUAGGCCGAUUAAGCAAAGUAAAAAAUAACGUAUAUAAUAUACACAGUAUGGGCACAUCAUCUACAAUCAAAAAAAUAUUUCAAACGGUAGCCCACACUGUCUCCACUAAUAGUUCUAAAUAUCAACAUAUAUAUCAAGUACAAGUACAAAAAAGAAGCACCAAAAUAUAGACAUUAAAUCAAACAUAAAAGUACAACAUAAAGGGUGCAUAAAGUAUGAAAUGCAAUGCAAAUAUUGAUGAUGAUGAUGUGAUGAGUCCAAGGUUAUCGCACAACUCCAUAUACACCUACCGAGCAUUGCUCUCGAGGUAGAACCCAUGGGGAUUUCUGCCAUUCAUAUACAAUCUAAUAACAAAUAUCAAUACCAAUCCAAUAUCCAUAACUCCUCUCUGGCGCAUGAUCUUCGGCAGAGAGUUGUAAAGGUGUCACAUUUUGGUCGGAAAAACUAGAAUUUUCAUAGUGGUACCAAUGCCUCAUGAAUAUAUAUAUAUAUAAUAUGAGGGUGUAAUGCUCACAAUCAAACCAGAAUGAGAAUUUCAAAAAUCCAACCAAUACAUAAGCACGUGAGCUAAAAUACACUCAAUAAGAGAACCUUUCAUGAUCCAAUAUAGUCCAUGUACUAGUAGAGUAAUAUAUGCAACAUUAUGUUAUUGAUACCACAUAAAUCCCAACUUAGGUAAUUUCCACCAAGAAGAAAACAACCUAAUAUAUAAAUACCAGGCCAACAACAUCGUAUAAGACCCCACAUGGUCACACGUAGCAAAUAAUGUCUCAAACCAUCAAUAACAACAUCUUAGGCCCCCCCACGUGUACAUAACAAGAAUAACAAUAUUCUUAGUAUAAAUAACAUAAAUACCAACCAUUUUGGAAGUAAUUACACUCUCUCUCACUUUUUUUAAUUACUUUACUCUCUCUCUCUAUUAAUAUACAUAACAUAGUCGACAUAUACAUAUCAUUCUAUGUAUAUGUUGGGAUUUCGUAAUAUGUUUAGGGAGUUGAAAUUUUUUGUAAUAUUGAAAAUAUAAAUUGUGUAUUUGUGUAAUUUUUAGAUAUUUUUAUGAUUAAUACCCAUACCCAUAAUAUGCUUUUACAUAAAUAUUAACUAUCCAACCAGUGUGAAGAUAGUUAAGCCAUAACCUGCCUCGAAUGAAGAAAACCCGGUCUAAGCAGUCUUUAACACGAAGCAUUCUUUUUGGAAUGGCCUCGGAACCAACUAAAAUAUACAAAUGUAGAAUCUACACUCAAAAGAAUGCCAACGAUACACAUAUUGCCCAUUUCUGAGUCAAGAUCAAAACAGAUCCCCGAAACAAAUUUUCAAAAAGAAAGAGUAAAACCAGAAUUUUUGUUCAUAAUUACAUUGCCCAUGAUUCAAGGAAGCUAUAGAAGAAAACUCAAGUGAAAACGAUUUAAAAACGAGGUUUGGGCCAAUAUUUCUAAAUUUUAUUUUUGAAAUCGCAUUUUAAUAAGUUUUAAAUGACAAGAAUCGAAGUAAAAUAAUUGAAAUAGGGAUUUGGAGCUUACCCAAGCCUGAAUAUGGAAGAAAUCUCCCCAAAAAUCUAACACUCAAAGCUUAACGUCUAAAAAGGGUGAAAAAUUAGAAAAAAUAAUUUUUUUAUAGAUGCUAGCUAUGAUCGCUUAAACGAUUAAAUGAUCUCUUAAGCGAUCAGUUUUGUUGCUUAAGCGACUAAGGACACAUCAACUGACUGAUUAAGUGGCCUUUUGGUCUCUUAAACGACCAUAGUAUCGCUUAAGCGGCUGCAUCGGCUGAAGACAUGGAAAAUUUCAAAUCUCCACCGAUCCCUCGGGAUUCAUUCAAAAUUCCAAGAACAUAAAUGAAUUAUCCUACACUAUCAAAUUCAAUGCUCCAGACUCAAUAACGACAUCAGAUUUUCAAUAAAAGGUUGCUUUCACAUAAUUGACUCCCGAGAUUUAAUUUCACAAUUUUCCAAAUCGAGGGUCAAAAUGAGAUAAAAAAAAGUCAUAAGAUUAUGCCAACCAUGUUGCCAACUCAAAAUCGACGUUCUAGAUCUGUUGGGACAGUCUGUUUUGCUAUCCGACACAUAGAAUAAAAAAUGUUGACUGAAGUCAACUAUAAAACCUUUUUUUAACCUCCAAAAACCACAAACUCGCACAAAUCACACUGAAAUGCAUUGGGAACCAUACCAAUAAACGAUCAUCCCCACACCCUUGAAAUAUCACGUAGUAACCACGGAAAAGGAUAAAAUAAUCAAAUCACAUAAAAUACAUAAUUCACAAAAAUCAACUCGUUACUCAAAUAUAAAGUUACCAUUAGGAAUCAAUAAAUACAGUGAAGUUUAGUAGCCAAUAAAAUAACUUAAUUUAAAAAUGAUAUACAGUUAACAUAAUUUAAUUUCUUAUUCAGGCUAUAUUAUCUUAUCAAGUCUUUGAUUUUGCAGUAUUUUGGUUAUAAGAGUUACAUAAUCUCAAUGUCCCGAGUUUUAUUGAAAUACUUCCCAUUUUCUGGUUAAUAUUUUUUUGAGGCUGGGUAAUUGGAUUAAAUAAAAGAAAGUUAUUAGCAACAACUAAUCAAUAUAUGGUAAGUUAUUAUCAACAGUAAGAUGCAAAUCUAAAUUGAUCACAUAAUCUCAAGUAUUUUUAAUUUAUUCAAUAUAAACACUUUUUUAAAACUGAUUUAUAACUCCUUUUUCUUUCUUUGCUUUUUAAAUUUAACUAGUAUAGGUACCCACGCGAUACACGAUUUUUUUAAAGAAAAUAUUGAUUAACAAAUGUUAGCUUAUUCAUUUUAAAAUAAUAAAAUUAAUUAAUUUAAAAUUAUUUUAGAUGUUUUGAUAUGAAAAGAAUAAUAUUUGUAUUUUCUCUAAUUAUAUUUCAUUGGUUGAUUUUUAAAAAUAUUAAAUAAUGAUUAAUUUUGUUGUUGGACGUUUACCUUUAUUAAUCAAUUAAAACAUGUAAUUACAAUCUUUCCCUUCCAUUUCAAAUUUCAAUUUUUUCCCCUAUCAAUUCAACCUCAACAACUAACAACACUCUUCUUAAAAGACUUAAUUUUAAAUUCCAAUUCAAACAGUAAAAGUAUUUAUUAGUGUCAAUUACAAAACUUCUAAUUUUAAAUUUUAAAUUUCACUACUCUCAAUUCAAAAAUUAAGUACAUACAAUUUAUUAUUUUAUUUUAAAAUUUUAAAAGCUAUUCUACUAUUCGUAAUUUUUCAUUGUUUGAUUUUAUUAUUUAUAUUUUUUAAGUAUUUUAUUUAUACUUGUUAUUGUAUCUUCUAAAUUAAUUCAACUAAGAUCUCUCAAAUCACCCUCCUCCCCCACCCCCCAACCCCAAAAAAAUGACACAUCCAUCCCAAUCCUCCACCCCUACCCCACCACCAUUUAAUNNNNNNNNNNNNNNNNNNNNNNNNNNNNNNNNNNNNNNNNNNNNNNNNNNNNNNNNNNNNNNNNNNNNNNNNNNNNNNNNNNNNNNNNNNNNNNNNNNNNNAAAGAAAAUAUAAAAUUCUAAAUUAUUAAUUUUAAUUAAAAAUAUUAAAUUUGCAUCAAAUUACAGAAGAAAGAAGAUUAAUUUCUCAAUAAACAUCAACAUGACGAAAAGUCUCAAUAGAUUAAUUUCUCAAUAAACAUCAACAUGACGAAAAGUCUCAAUAAAAGUUGAUCUCUUUUAUGUAUUCAAAUUUGUUUAUGUUUAGCAAAAAUCAAACGAAUAAAAUUAUAUUAAAAAAUAUCAUUUACUUGAAUCUAGACUUGAAUAUAGUAGAUAAAAAUUAACUUGUUAAACAUAAUAGUAAAAAGUUAAACAAAAUAAAUCCAAAAAGUGAAGAAUAUAAAGAAUAUAACAAUCAAUAACAAAAAAAAAGAGAAAAAGGUUAAAAUUAUUUAUCAACAUAGGAGUAUAUAUAAAAGAGAUUAAGAAGAUAAAAUUUUAUUCCAAUUCAAAUAUUUUUAAAAUUGAAAUUCAAUAUCUUUACUUACUUGAAUUCAGGGAUGGAUAUAGUAGAAAAGAUGGUCUGCAAUACGAUUAUCACUAAAUUACAUAUAAAAAACAAAAAUGUUAAAACCAAAAAAAUUUAAUUAAUGAAAAACAUGAAAAUGUAGUAAAUGAAGCUAAUAUAUAUAUAUAUAUAUAUNNNNNNNNNNNNNNNNNNNNNNNNNNNNNNNNNNNNNNNNNNNNNNNNNNNNNNNNNNNNNNNNNNNNNNNNNNNNNNNNNNNNNNNNNNNNNNNNNNNNNNNNNNNNNNNNNNNNNNNNNNNNNNUAAUAAUAAUAAUAAUAAUAAUAAUAAUAAUAAUAAUAAUAAUAAUAAUAAUAAUAAUAAUAAUAAUAAUAAUAAUAAUAAUAAUAAUAAUAAUGCUAAUAAUAAUAAUAAUAAUAAUAAUAAUAAUAAUAAUAAUAAUAAUAAUAAAUAGUAAUAGUAGGAAUAUAGUAGGUAAUGUGUAGUAGUAGUAUAUAGUUCGUAAUACGUGUAGUAUUAAGUAGUAUAGUAAGUAUUAUGUGCAGCAGUAGUAUGGUCAAAAGUCCCCCCAACCUUUAUCCCAAAUCUUAACUACAAACUUAUACUUUGUAGGGGUCCUGUGACCCCUUGAACUAUUUUAAAGUGAAAUUAUUAUCCCCAAAAAACCUGACAAGCAAUCAUUUUGGAUAAGGUGUGAUGCACGCACCAACAACAUUUUGACACGUAUUUUUUUUGUUUAAAAUUAAUUUUUAUUUAUUUUCUUUUCCAUUUUUAUCACUUUUUAUCAUUUUUUUCACCAUUAUUUUUUUCACCAUUACUUUUAGUCUCUUUUCCUUUUCAAACUUUAUUAUUCCAUUUCUAUGCAAAUAAUUUUUCGACAACCUUGAAGUGGACAAUAUUGAACAAUACCGAAUUUGAAAUUUACAACGAUCUUGAAGUCAAAAAUGAUAAACAACAUCGAAUUUAAAAUUUCUGACCACCUUGAAGUUGGAAACAAUGACAAUAUCAAUUAUUAAAUUUCUGACGAUCUUAAAUCGAGAAAUAAUGAACAAUAUCAAUUUCAAAAUUUUCAACGACCUUGAAGCCGGAAACAAUGAACAAUACCAAAUUUAAAAUCUUCGAUGACCUUAAAGUCGGAAACAAUAGAGAAUUUUAAAAUUUUCGACGACCUUGAAGUUGAAAAUAAUGGACAAUACCCAUUUUAAAAUUUACGACGACCUUGAAGUCUGAAAUAAUUGACAAUAUCUAUUUUGAAAUUUUUGAUGAUCUUGAAGUCGAAAAUAAUAAACAACAUCAAAUUUGAAAUUUUCGACAACCUUGAAGUUGAAAACAAUAAACAAUAUCAUUUUUAAAAUUUCUGACGAUCUUGAAUCCGAAAACAACGAACAACACCAAUUUUAAAAUUUUCGACGACCUUGAAGACGGAAACAAUGAACAAUACCGAAUUUAAAAUUUUCAAUAACCUUAAAGUCGGAAACAAUAGAGAAUUUUAAAAUUUUCAACGACCUUUAAGUCGGAAACAAUGGACAAUACCUAUUUAAAAAUUUACGAUGACUUUGAAGUCGAAAAUAAUGGACAAUAUCGAUUUUAAAAUUUUCGACAAUCUUAAAGUUGGAAACAAUGAACAAUACCCAUUUUGAAAUUUUCAAUGAAUUUAAAUUCGAAACCAAUCGAUUUUGUGAUUGGAGAUGAGAAAAAUUAUAAAUUGAUUUUGGAUGUCAUUGAUGAGUUCUUGGAUGCCAUUGUUUGUCAGAAAGAAGAAGAAGAAGAAGAAGAAGAAGAAGAAGAAGAAGAAGAAGAAGAAGAAGAAGAAAGAAAAUCAAUAAAGAAAAAGAAUAAUUGAAAAUGAAUAAAGAAUAAUUGAAAAUGAAUAAAGAAAAGAGAAAAUAGUCAAUUAUCCCUCCAACCUUUAGUCGAAAUCCCAACUACACACUCAACCUUUACUAAAGUCCCAUUACCCCCUAAAUAUUUUUUUACUGUAUUUUAUACCUCUCCCAUUGCUAACCUGUUAAUAUAAACCAAACAAUAACUCAUGCGUGCAUACACGCGCCUGGGCCCACCACUACUUUUUCACAUUCUUCCUAAAACAAAAUAGGCCAUUUCCAUGGAUAACACAUAAAUGACAUAUAUCUCAGCUCUCUAUACACAUAAUCACCAUCUACAACACAACACAUAACUCUUUAUACACACACUUACCAUCUACAGCACAUAAAAAGACACACACAUUACAUAGACUACUACACACAACCAAACGAGAGAGAUGGGAGAAAUAAUAAAAGAAAAAAUGGAGAAAGAGGGAAAACAGAGAGGGCAGGUCCGUCGGGGGAAAAACAAUUUCUUUUUCUCAUCUUUCGCAGGCGAAACCACUUUUUAAAUCCAAAUCACCACCAACUUAUUUUUUCAGACCAAAUCCCGUCAGAAAAUAAUUAAAAACACCAAAUUAGCGAUGAAAAUGCCUGAAACAACCCCAUCUCAGUAUAAAUCCACCAGUUUCAUCGAAAUUCAUCAGAAAAUGAAUGAAACAGAACUGUUCGCAUGUGAAAUUCGGUACGGGUUGUUUUUGAUUUCAUAGGUUAUUAAAGAACGGAAAUAGGUGUAGAAAAUUUUUUCUGUGAUUUAGAAAUUAGAUGAAAAUUCUUUGUGUUCAUUUAAUAUGUUGACAAGAUUGUGAUAUUGCAGUUGCGUAGAUCGAAGAGAAGAAAUCUAACAUUUAACUAGUCAAAUUUUGCAAUUAUGGUGAAUUAGAAAUCCUUCUAACUGUCAUUAUAGAAACUUUUUCAAUUUAAAUGGUGAAAGAGAUGAAUUCAUUUUGUAGUGAUCAGCAUUGCAACAAUACGCGCAGACAUGUUUGGAGAUGAGAUUUGGCGUUUGGAGAUGAAGAAUUUCGUUGAGCCUUUUUCUAGUUGGAGAAAACAACAUUAAUUAACAAUUAAAAAUAAUAAUGUGUAUUAUAUACUUGGUACUUAAAAUAAUAAUUUUAUAGGGUUAAUUCUUCAACUCACACACCUAUUGGGGGUGUUCUCACCUCCCAUGAUAGGUCAGCAAUGAAAGGGCUAUAAAAUACAGUAAAAAAAUAUUUAGGGGGCGUAAUGGGACUCUAGUAAAGGUUGCGUGUGUAGUUGGAAUUUUGACUAAAGGUUGGAGGGGUAAUUGACCAUUUUCUCUAAAGAAAAUAAAAAAAUAUUAAAAAUAAAAUUUUAAUAAAAAAAAUUAUUCUCACUCUCUUUAAAAAGAGUGAAACACACUCUCUUUCCAUGUCAGCAUUCAUGGGGGUAAUAAUUCCACUUUAAAAUAGUUCAAGGGGGUCAUAGGACCCCCGCGAAGUAUAAGUGUGUAGUUGGGAUUUGGGGUAAAGGUUGGGGGAGGGCUUUUGACCAUUUUCUCAUACUAUAAUAAUAGUAGUGACAGUACAUAAUAGUAAUACUAAUAGUGAUGGUGAUAGUAACAAUAAUAAUAAUAAUAAAUAAAUAAAUAAAUAAAUAAUAAUAGGAGAAGGAGGUGUACAUAAUAGUGAUAAAAAUAAUUAAAUGAAAAAUAAAAAUGAUAAAUAAUAAAUAAAAAUGAUAAAUAUUAGGUGUAGUAGUAUGUAGUACUUUGUGAUAAUGAUAGAUAAUAAUAUUUAUUUAUAAUUUUUAUAAAUAGAAUCCCAUAAUAGAAGACUUCUAAAUGAUAUUAAAUAUUUGAAUUUGAAAAUUUAUUAUCCUUUUAGAAAGAAAAAAAAAAUUAACUUAAAAAUAGAAACUUAUGGUUAAAGAGUCAUAAACAAACUCUUACUAUUUCAUAAAUUUAUUUCUUUUAUAUACUAUAAAAUAUAUUUGAAUAAAUUUGAUUUACUAAUAAUAAAUAGUAGUACGCAGGAAUAAUUCUUACAAAAAAAUGUGUAGUAAUAGUAUUAGUGUGGUGAUAAUAAUCUCUCUCUAUAUAAAAACAAGAUUAAAAGAAAGAUAAGAAGUCACACUACAGAAGAAUAGAAAGUUAUGAGGCAGUUUUUAGGAUAAAGCUUGAUAGUAUUGUAAUAAAAUUUUUAAAUUAAAAAUGUUAAAAUUAUUGUUGUUAUUGUUGUUGUUGUUAUUAUUGUUGUUGUUGUUGUCGUUAUUGUCGUUGUUAUUAUUAUUGUUGUUGUUCUUGUUGUUGAUGGUGGUAGUGUUGUUAUUGUUGGUGUUGUUGUUAUUUUUGUUGUUGUUGGAGGUGGUGGUGUUAUGGUUGUUGGUGGUAGUGGUGGUGUUGAUGUUGGUGUUGGCGUUGUUAUUAUUGGUGUUGUGUUGUUGUUAUUGUUAUUGUUAUUAUUAUUUUUACUAUUGCUGCUGUUGUUGCUGCUGUUGUUAUUGUUGUUGUUAUUGUCAUUAUCAUCGUUGUUGUUAUUGUUAUUGUUGUUAUCGUUGUUGUCAUUAUUAUCAUUAUUGUCUUUAUUAUCAUUGUUAUUAUUGUUGUUGUUGUUAUUGUCAUUAUUGUCAUUGUUGGUGUUGUUGUUAUUGUUGUUGUUGUUGUUGUUAUUAGUAUGUUAGUGUUGUUGUUAUUAUUGUGUUGUUGUUAUUGUUGUCGUCAUUAUUAUUAUUGUUGUUGUUGUCAUUGUCAUUGUCGUCAUCGUUGUUAGUAUUAUAGUUGUUAUUGGUGUUGUUGUUGUUGUUAUUAUUUUUAUUGUUGUAUUGAUAUUGUUAUUAGUGUUGGCAUUAUUAGUGUUGGUGUUAUUAUUAUUGUUAUUAUUGGUGGUGGUGGUGAUGUUGGUGGUGUUGUUGUUGGUGUUAGUGUUGGUAUUGCUAUUGUUGUUGUUGUUGCUGCUGCUGUUGCUACUUUUAUUAUUAUUAUUAUUAUUGUUAUUGAUGUUAUUGUUGCUGUUGUUAUUAUUGUUAUUACUGUUGUUGUUGUUAUUAUUGCUAUUAUUGUUAUUAGUUUUAGUGUUGGUGUUAUUCGUGUUAUUAUUGGUGUUGUUGAUAUUGUUGGUAUUAUUAUUAGUGUUGGUGUUGGUGUUGGUGUUUGUGUUGGUGUUAUUGUUGUUGUUGGUGUUUUUUGUGUUGUUGUGUUGGUAUUGUUGUUGUUAUUAUAGUUAUGUUGUUGUUGUUGUGGUUAUUUUUGUCGUUGUUGUUGUUGUUAUUAUUGUCAUCAUUAUAGUCAUCGAGAUCUUCUUAUUGUUGUUGUUGUCAUCAUCGUCGUCGUUGUUGCUGCUGCUAUUGCUGUUGUUACUAUUAUUGUUGUUGUAAUCGUUGUUGUCAUCGUUAUUAUCAUUGUUAUCAUCGCCAUCACCGCCGCUGUCGUUGUUGUUGUCAUUAUUAUUGUGGCUGUUGUUGUUCUCGCCGUUAUUAUUACUAUUGUUGUUGUUGUUAUUAUUGUUAUUAUUAUUAUUAUUGUUGUUGUUAAUAUCUUUGUUGUUGUUGUCGUUGUUAUUGGUGGUGGUGGUGAUGGUGGUACAUGGUGUUGUUAUUGUUAUUGUUGUUGUUGUUGUUGUUGCUGUUGUUGUUAUUGUUAUUCCUGUUAUUGUUACUGUUGAUAUGGUUGUUGUUGUUGCUGAUAUAGCUGUUAUUAUUGUUGUUGUUGUUGUUGUCGCUGUUGUUGUUGUUGUUGUGGUUAUUGUUGUUGUUGUUGUUGUUGAUGUUGCUGAUGUUGCUUGUAAUGCCCCGAGUCUGUACCCCGAUCGCUACACGAUGCUUAUAACCUCGAAAGACCACAAGCUAACCCAUGACUGGUACCUGCUGCAAUAACUAAAUAGUAAUACUACAAAUAUGCAAAAAUUAGGCGGAAAACAUGCCAUAAGGUUCAAUAUUGAAAUAAAACUGAAUAUGGUAUGACAAUACCAAAACUAAAACAUCUAUCUAAAAAUACUCUAGUCUGAAAAGCCUCUAAACUGUCUGAAAUGUAGUGUUGAUGGAACAAGUCCCCAACUAACUCCGGCUACUGAAAUAAAACUGAAAUGCUUAAAUAAUAAUCAUGUCAUCGAACUAUGAGGACUCACCACUAACUCUGACUGUUGAAAAUAUGUAUCUGCUAGGGAUGAUCGGGAGCCCGUGCAUCUGAACCUAUGAUAUAAGACAUCAUAGCACAAGAGAAAAGUAUGCAUCAGUACUUUGAAUGUACUAGUAUGCUAAGUGAGGUAGGCUGAAAUGCGUGGGUUCAUAUGCAUAAACAAUACUUAAUGAAUGACAUGAAUAUAACUGAAUGUGAGUACAUGCAUGAAUAAGUAUACUGUAACUGAGAUCGUGAUAAUAAUGGAUACUGAGUCUGAAUAUUGAUUAAAUGGCAUCUGAGUAUACUGAUACUGAAUUACUGAUAACUGAAUGACUGUAUCUGACAGUCUUGAUUCUGUGGAACCAUACUGAGUUCCGUACUGAAUGGAGUGACUAUGUCUAACAGUCCUGAAUCUGUAGGACUAAACUGAGUUCUGUACUAAGACUGAAUCUGAAACUGAGACUGUAGGAGGUAAUUAUCUAACCGACAUGCCCCCUUCUAAAUAGAUUUGGGUUUAACUUGUAACCCCAAUUGGAAGGGUGCCAAUACCGUGCCACGGGUAAAGAAAAGCUGUGAGUUAACCCUCUCUGACAGGAAUCUCUUUCAUCAACCCUCGCUGGCAGGAAAACUCGAAUGAGAUGUAUCAACCCUCAUAAUAUCUGGCAGGAAAAUAUCUCAACCUACACUGGCUAUAUAGUUCUAUAACGCAGGAAUUUCUACUAAAGGUCAAACCCUCUUUGCUAGCAGGAAUUGCACCAUCCUUGGGUUAACUCGGUGCUGAAUCCUACUGCCAACUGAAUAGAUACUAAACUGAUUUCUAGUUCAUACUAGGCUUGACUGAACUGUUACUGAUUAUAAUGUCUAACUAAACUAGACUGAGUUUACUAAGUUCCGUUGACUGACGAAAUACUACUCAAUUCUGUUAACUGGCUGAAUUUUACUGAGGCCUAAACUGAAAACUGAACUGGACUAGACUAAUACUAAGUCUACCGAGUUUUUUCUGAGUUCUGUAACUGAGUGAGAGUACUACUGAUCGUGACAUGAAUGAUACUAUCCUGAAACUGACCAUGGCUCUAGGUGAUCAGCUAAACUGUCGGGUAUAAAAUGCCCCCAGGACUCGAUAGCAUAAAUUAUAAGACAUGCCACAAUCUUGAAACAUGAUAAAUAACUACUUGAUCAUCAUUCAUUCAUUGGGACAUUCUAGCAAACACUCGCAUGACAUGAACUUGAAUAUAUAUUAUCAUGAUAUAAUUUUAUUAUUUAAUUCUCAUGAACAAUUCAUCAAACACUUGGAAGACAUUGUAUAUGCACAUAAUACAAAUCAACACAUGAGCAUCACAAUUUCAAGGCUUUAACAUGAAUUCAUAUGAUACUACAUACAUGUAGUUGUUUUUACAUAAUUCUUGCACUUAAUGGAAUAGAAAUCCAAUCAAUAUUAUAAUCAUGAAUACACUUGAAUCCAGUAUAAAAUCAAGCUACAUGAAGUUUAAAAGAUUUUUUUGGACUCCAAGAGUGGAAGGAACCUUUGGAUGAACACUUGACAUACCUUGGUUUCUAAAUUUUUGAAGAUUAAUGGUGGAAUCUUGAGCCUUGAAUUUGAAAUUGAAUCACCUAGGGUUCUUGAGAAAUUUAAGAGAAAGUAAGUAUAUUUUGCUUAAUAAAAGCUGAAUCUCGUGUUUUAGGGUUAAAUAGGGGUGGGGAAAAGACCCUAAUACCUCUGAAGAUGCGGUUUUUUAAUGAUUGAAAACCAAACUGUCGAGGCACAGGACGACACACCACGUCGUUGGCAUCAAUGCGAUAGCUAAUGUGCCAUGUCAAGUCCACAUCAGUUCACUGGAAUUGCCACUGGGAGCCAAGAAAAAAUAUUGAUCGACGCAAUGACCGGCACGCCGCACCGAGAUCACGUCGAUGAACUAUUUUGGAUUCCCACAAGUAGUUCAAACGAGGUCCAAAAAAUACGAAACUCAUUCGGGAACACCUACUGACAUUCCUGAUCAUGCAUUAACCUAAAGCUUGACAUUUUAGGGUCAUACGAGUCAUGAAAUAGAGUUGCCAACUUACGAAGGCUAAAAUAAUACUAAUUUUAAAUAUUAGCUAAAAUUACUUAGCUAGAAUUUUCUAAGUCUAGGACCCCUUAGCAAGCUUAAAAGACUGAGUUGAGCUUAGAAUUUUGCAGGAUCUUACAAUAUAUUCCCCUUGGGAAUAUUCAUCCUCAAAUGAAACUGAUUAAACUAAGAAUACUAAUUGACUGGAUUUAGACACUAGACAUGCACAACUGAAGCAUGAUUCAUGACUGAAAUUACUUAUAUACUGAAUUAUCAUACUGAACAUGCAUAUCUGAUGCAUGAGUACUGAUAAGCUGGGCAUAUAUACUAGACAUGCAUGUCUGAUGCAUAAGUACAUGACUGAACUGAUUCGUGAAUGCAUGACUGAGUAUGUAACGUUAAUUGAUACAAAGUUGGUAGCUAUAUCUGAACAUGAGAUAGAGUAAAUUCAAAGGAAAACUGUUACCUUGGGAUGAAUAUGAGUUUACGGAGAAGAGGUGAGGAUACUUGGUCUGCAUAUCUACUUCUGCUUCCCAAAUAGCUCUCUUAAUGAAUUAAUUCCGCCACAGAACUUUGACUAGAGAGACUUUUUCCUUCCCCAGUCUGUAAAUCUGAUAAUCAAGAAUUUCGACUAGGAUCUCUUCAUAAGAGAGGUUGUUCUGAAUGUCUAUGCCCUCUAUAGGGACUAUGACUGUUGGGUCACCUAUGCAUUUGUUAAGGAAGGAGACAUGGAACACUGGAUGCACUGAAGCUAAGUCGGAAGGCAACUCAAGCUCGUAAGCUACCUUUCCAAAAUGACUGAGAAUUUAGUAAGUACCAACAUAUCAGGGACUGAGUUUCCCCUUCUUGCCAAACCUCUUCACUCCUUUCAUAGGAGAGAUUUUUAAAUACACAAAGUCACCAAUCUCAAACUCGAGAUUCUUUCUGCGUAUUUCUGCGUAUGAUUUCUAUCAGCUCUGAGCUAUCUUAAUCCUUUCCCUGAUCAACUGAACUUUCUCUAAGGUAUAAAAUACCAAGUCAGGCCCUACCACUAUUCCUCACCCACUUCAAACCUACCAAUGGGAGAUCUACACCUCUUCUUAUAAAGUGCCUCAAACGGAGUUAUCUGAAUGCUGGAAUAAUAACUGCUAUUAUAUGCGAAUUCAAUCAAAGAAAAGUAGUCAUACCAACUACCUUUAAAGUCUAUCGGACAUGCUCGCAGUAUAUCUUCUAAAGUUUGAAUGGUCCUUUUUUCUUGACCAUCUGUCUGAGGAUAAAAGGAUAUACUGAGGUGAACUCGAGUACCAAGACCCUUUUGGAAUGCUUUCCAAAAAUGAGAGGUGAACUGGGUACCUCUAUCUGUGAUAAUGGACAACGGAACAUCAUGUAAUCUAACCAACUCCAACCACCUUCUCUGACAAAGGUUUAAAUUUUUCUGAGAGAACAUAUACUAUAGGAUCUUAUGGUUAGUGAACACAUCAAUGUGCACCCCAUACAAAUAGUGCCUCUAAAUCUUUAAGGAAAAAACUACUGCUGCUAAUUCAAGACCAUGAGUAGGAUAGUUCUUUUUAUGGGGCUUAAGCUGUCUAGAGGCGUAGGCUAUGACCUUACCUCUCUGCAUCAAAACAUGCCUCAAACCAACUUUGGAGGCAUCACAAUAUACCACAAACCUAUCCGAACCAUCUGGUAGGGUCAAAACUGGAGUUGUAGUGAGUCGAGUCUUCAACUCCUAAAAACUCUUCUUAUAAGAAUCUGAUCUCUGGAAUUUGACUUUGUUCUAAGUCAAUCUGGACAUAGGGGAUACAAUAUAUGAAAAUACCUCAACAAACCAUCGGUAAUAGCAAUCCAAGCCCAAGAAACUCCUGAUAUCUGAUGGAGACAUGGGUCUAGGCUAGUUUCUCACUGCUUCGGUCUUUUGGGGAUCAACUUUAAUGCCAUCACCGAAAAUGAUAUGGCUAAGGAAGGCUACUGACCUUAGCCAAAAUUCGCACUUACUGAAUUUGGUGAAUAGCUGAUGGUUUCUAAGAGUCUGUAAUACUAUUCUGAAGUGGUUUGUAUGAUCAUGCUCACUGCGGGAAUAGAAAAAAAUGUCAUCUAUGAAGACUAUGAUGAACAUGUCCAAGUACUACUUGAAAACACGGCUCAUAAAGUCCAUGAAGGUUGUAGGGGCAUUGGUAAGACCAAAAGACAUAAUUAAGAAUUCGAAGUGACCAUAUUGAGUUUUGAAGCCUAUUUUUAGGAUGUCACAUUCUCUGACUCUGAGCUGAUGAUAGCCUGAUCUGAGGUCUAUCUUUGAGACAUAUCUGGAACCCUAAAGUUGGUCAAACAAGUCAUCGAUUUUGGAAAGUGGAUACUUGUUAUUGACCGUGACUUUCUUUAGAUGACGGUAAUCAAUACACAUUCUGAGAGAACUGUCUUUCUUAUGCACGAAUAAAAUUGGGGCAUCCCACGGGGACAUACUAGGUUUGAUAAAUCCCUUAUAUAGGAGAUUUUUUAACUAUUUUUUUAAUUCUCUGAGUUCUGUAGGUGCCAUUUUAUAUGGCGGAAUAGAUAUGGGAUGAGUGUCUGGAAGAAGGUCUAUUCUAAAGUCGAUUUCCCUUUCGGGAGGAACUCCGGGAAGAUCUUUAGGAAACAUAUAUUGGAAUUCACAUGCUACUGACACUAAUUCAAGAGUAGGGGUUUCUGAAUUAGAGUCCUAGACUUGAACGAGAUGGUAGACACAUCCCUUAGAUAUCAUUUUUCUCACUCAAAGGUAAGAAAUAAACUGACCCCUAAGUGUUGAAGUACUACCCUCCACUCAAGGACAGGUUCAUUCAAAAACUGAAACUGGACAAUUCUAUUUUUACAAUCGACUGAGGCAUAGUAGGAAUGAAGCCAAUCAAUGCCGAGAAUGACAUCAAAGUAAGUCAUCUCUAAUUUGACUAAGUCUGCUGAAGUGACUUUCUAAGAUACCAUAAUCGAACAGUUCCUGUAUACCUGUCGGGCUAUGAUAUAUUUACCCACUGUGGUAGAUACUGAGAAAGGCUCUGCAAGGAUUUUGGGAAUUACUCCGAAGUCAAUAGUUAUAUAAGGAGUAACAAAGGACAAAGAAGCUCCUGGGUCUACCAGAGCAUAAACAUGUAAAUGAUAAACUUGUAACAUACCAUUGACCACAUUAGGAGAACUUUCUUGAUCCUAUCGGAACUGAAGAGCAUAGACUCUGUUUGGGCGCUGCCCAUUGUGGCAUGGGAUGCAGUACCCUACUGAUUCGGACGACCGGACUGAGCUGGAGAGAAAUUAUGCUGACUCUGAGAACCCACCUAAGGACACUUUCUGACCUUGUGGCCUAGCUUUCCAUAUCCAAAACACACAUCACUUCCAGCUCUGCAGAUACUCUGGUGGUUUCUGCCAUACUUCUGACAAAGGGUAUUGGUUUGGCCAUACUAAUACUACCCUAGGGUUUAGGGCCUAACACCCUAUCUUUGUUGUCGUCUCUGAAUUUCAGCACAAGAGAACUGGAUGAGGACGGAGCUACAACUGAGGAUUUUAGGAUAAACUAAAAACGAUUCCCACCUUUUGAAUUAGGCUGAGCAAAGUUAAAACUACCUAUUCUCACUCUCUUGUUCUCCCUCUCCUUCUUUCUAUUCUUAGCCUCUUCUAUCUGCUGAGCAUGGACCAUAAGCCUGGAUAUGUCUAUCUUCUUAAUCAACAUUGUGGUCCUACAUUCCUUAACCACACUAUUAGAUACGCUAAAGACAAACUUAUUCAUCUUAGAUUUGCUAUCUGCUACCACAUGAGGAGCAUAUCUAGCUAAUUGAGUAAACUUAAGAGAAUACUCUUAUACCAUUAUGCUGCCCUACUUCAUAUUUAUAAACUCCAAAACCUUUGCUUCUCUCAACUCUAGUGGGAAGAAGCUAUCCAGAAAAGCAAUAGCAAAAUCCUCCUAUUCUAUGGACCCUAUAUCUGUGGCCCUUUCUGCUUUCCACUAUUUAAACCAUGAGUGUGCCACAUCCUGUAAUUGAUAUGCAGUUAACUUGGCACUCUCACUAGCUAUCACCUCUAUAAUAUCUGUAACUUUCUGCACGUGAUCAAGAAACUCCUGAGGGUCCUCAUCUGACUUAGAUCAGUAAAAGAUGGAGGGUUUAUUCGGGUGAAAUCCUGAAUUCUGGCAGCAGCAGUAUUGGCCACUAGGUUGUCCAGAAAAGCAGCUGGGCAUUCAUUCUAGGCAGCCAUAGAAUGAGCUAGGGUGGUGAAAGAUGCUCAAAACUCAGCAUGAGAGACAUGUUCAUCAAGAGGAUAUGGCUGGACGGGCUGGGGUUUGGAUGGUCUCCCAUUUCUCUUUCCUUAGUCCUCUUUGGAGGCAUAUUCUAUAAACAAAAGAGAAAUUUGGAUUAGACAGGGAGUUUAAUUGGAGAUCAUGCUCACUCGCACGACAAGAAUACUGAAAAAAGGAAAACUUUUCCUAAAACACCUCACAACCUCCUGUCCAUAAGUAUGGCACACUACACACCCAUGAACAAGAUUCUACUAGAUGCGGCUUUUAGACUUCAUAGGAUUUUGUUGAACCUUAGGCUUUGAUACCAAGUUUGUAAUGCCCCGAGUCUGUACCCGGAUGCUACACAGUACUCAUAAUCCCAAAGGACCACAAGGUAACCCAUGACUGGUACCUGCUACAAUAACUGAAUAGUAAUACUACAAAUAUGCAAUAAUUAGGCAGAAAACAUGCCAUAAGGUUUAAUACUAAAAUAAAAUUGAAUAUGGUAUAACAAUACCAAAACUGAAACAUCUAUCUAAAAAAACUCUAGUUUAAAAAUCCUCUAAACUGUCUAAAAUAUAGAGUUGAUGGGACAAGUCCCCAACUAACUCUAACUACUAAAAUAAAAUUGAAAUGCUAAAAUAAUAAUCAUGUCCUCAAACUAUGAGGAAUCACCACUAACUUUGACUGCUGAAAAUCUAUAUCUGCUAGGGAUGAUCGGGAGCUUGUUUGUCUGAACAAUUGAUAUAAGACAUCAUAGUGCAAGAGAAAAGUAUGCGUAGUACUUUGAACGUACUGGUAUGCUAAGUAAGGUAGGCUGAAAUGCAUAGGUUCAUAUGCAUGAACAAUACUGAUUGAAUAACAUAAAUAUAACUGAAUGGGAGUACACGCAUAAAUACAUAUACUGUAACUGAGAUCGUAAUAACAAUGAAGAUUGAGUUUGAAUACUGAUUAGUUGACAUCUGAAUAUAAUGAUACUGACGUACUGAUAACUGAAUGACUGUAUCUAAUAGACUUGAUUUUGUGGAACCAUACUGAGUUCCAUACUGAAUAUAGAGACUGUGUCUGAUAGUCCUAAUUCUAUAGAAACUGAACUGAGUUCUGUACUGAGAUUGAAUAUGAAACUGAGACUGGGGAAGGUAAUCAUCUAACCAACACGCCCCUUUCUAAAUAAAUUAGGGUCAAACCUGUAACCCCAAUUGGAAGGGUACCAAUACUGUGCUACGGGUAAAGAAAGCUGUGAGUUAACCCUCCCUGAAAGUUAGCUCUUUUUUCAACUAUCAUUGGCAGGAAAAAUUGAACAAGAUAUCAACCCUCAUAAUAUCUGGCAGAAAGAUAUCUCAACCUACGUUACCUACAUAGUUCUGUAACAUAGGGAUUGCUACUAAGGGUCAAACUCUUUUUAUUGGCAGGGAUGCCCCCAUCUCUGGGUUAAAUUGGUGCUGAAUCCUACUCCCAACUGAAUAGACACUGAACUAAUUUUUAGUUCAAACUAGGCUUGACUGAACUGUUACUGAUUAUACUGUCUAACUGAACUGGACUGAAUUUACUAAGUUUUGUUUACGGAUGGAAUACUAUUGAAUUCUAUUAACUGGUUAAAUUUACUGAGGUCAAACUGAAUACUAAACUGGGCUGGACUGAUACUGAGUCUAUUGAGUUUUUCUUGAAUUCUAUAAUUGACUUAGAGUACUAAUGAUCGUGACAUGACUGAUACUAUCCUGAUAUUGACCUUGGCUCUAGGUAAUCAGCUAAAUUAUCAGGUAUAAAAUACCCUUAGGACUCGAUAGCAUAAAUUAUAAGACAUGGCACAAUCUUGAAACAUGAUAAAUAACUACUUGAUCAUCAUUCAUUCAUUGGGACAUUCUAGCAAACACUUGCAUGACAUGAACUUGAAUAUAUGCUAUCAUGAUAUAAUUUUAUUAUUUAAUUCUCAUAAACAACUCAUCAAAUACUUGGAAGGCAUUGUAUAUACAUAUAAUACAAAUAAAUACAUGAGCAUCAUAACUUCAAGGCUUUAACAUGAAUUCACAUAAUACUACAUACAUGAUAGUUGUUUUUACAGUAAUCUUGCACUUAAUCAUGGAAUAGAAAUCCAAUCAACAUUAUAAUUAUGGAUACACUUGAAUCUAAACCAUAGAAAGCAUGAAAUCAAGCUACUUGAAGUUUAAAAGAGUUUCUUGGACUCCAAUGGUGGAAGUAACCCUUGGAUGAACACUUGAUAUACCUUGGUUGCUAAAUUCUUGAAGAUUAAUAGUGGAAUCUUGAGCCUUGAAUUUGAAAUUAAAUCACCUAGGGUUCUUGUUCUUGAGUAAUUUGACAGAAAGUAAGUAUAUUUUGCUCAAUGAAGAUUGAAUCUCGUGUUUUAGGGAUGAAUAAGGGUGGGAAAAAGACCCUAAUACCACCGAGGAUGCGGUUUUUUAAUGAUUGAAAAUUAAAUUGUCGACACGCAGCAUGACGCACUGCGUCGUUUGGAUUGACGCGAUAGCAACACACCGUGUUGAGUCCACGUCAGUUCACUAAAAUUACCAUUGAAAUCUAAGAAAAAAUAUUGAUCGACGCGAUGGCCGAUGCAUCACACUAAGAUCAUGUAGAUGCACUAUUUUGGAUUCCCAAACGUAGUUCAAAUGAGCUUUAAAAAGUAUGAAACUCAUCUGGGAACACCUACUGUCAUUUUUUAUCAUGAAUUAACCUAAAGAUUGAUAUUUUAAGGUCAUAAGAGUCAUGAAAAAGAGUUUCCAACUUACGAAGGCUAAAAUAAUACUAAGUCUGAAUACUUAGCUAGAAUUUUCUAAGUCUGGAACCCCUUAGCAAGUUUAAAAGACUGAGUUGAGCUUAGAAUUUUGUGGGGUCUUACAUUAUUAUUGUUGCUGUUAUUGUUGUUGUUAUUGUUAUUGUUGAUGUUGUUGUUGUUGCUGAUGUUGUUGUUGCUGUUGUUGCUGUUGUUGCUGCUCUUAUUGUUGUUAGUGCUGAUUUUGUUGCUGUUGUUAUUAUUGUUGUUAUUGCUGUUGUUGCUGUUGUUAUUGAUGUUGUUAUUAUUGUUGUUGUUGUUGCUACUGCUAUUGUUGUUAUUAUUGUUGCUGUUGUUAUUGUUAUUGCUCUUUUUGUUAUUGUUAUUGUUGUUGUUACUAUUGCUGUUGCUGUUAUUAUUAUUGUUACUAGUAUUGCUAUUAUUGUUACUGUUGUUGUUGCUAUUGUUGUUGUUGUUGAUGUUGUUGAUGUUGUUAUUGUUGUUGUAUCAUCACUACUACUCCUAUAUUUUCUUUUUUAAAUUAAAAGUACUACAACUUGUGUACUACUGCUUGUAUUAAUUUUAUUAUUUUAAUUAUAUUUUUUUCUAAUGUAUAAAUAAAUUAUAUUUAAAUAUAUUUUAUAGUAGCAUUUAAAUUUUAAAUGAGAUAAGCUUGAAAUAUUAAAUGUCUAUUAGAAUUCUUUAAUUAUGGUUUCUAUUUUUCAGAUAAUGAAAGCAUUUUUUUACGGGAUAAUGUAAUUCAAAUUCGAAGAGUUAAUUUUUCAAUUUAAAUUCUUUUCUUCCUUUUAGUUUUCCUUUUAUAUAUGUAUACAUUUAUUCACCUUUCACUGCCACCACCUCAUUAUCUCUCUUCAACUCUUUUCUUAUCUCUCUUGAUCAGCAUUCUUCUUUGCGUAAUCUAAGUGGGAUUUUGGUUCUAGAGACUUUUCUUUAAUCCUUUUUAAUUGUUCUUGCUCAAACAUUCUUUUUCUUCUCUUUUGUUUCUUAACCAUGGCUUUGAUUUUGGUGAUCAUGAUAAGUCUGGAGGCUCAAUGCGGAAAAGUUCUUAUGUGUUAAAUCGUCAUUUAUUUAUAAAAAAAGCUACUAAACCUCAAUGUUAUUUUACUUCAAAUUUGUAAUGAUUGAUAUACUUGAUAAUUUUUAUUUGUCUUCUCUCUUAUUUUUUGUUUUAUGCAUUUUUUUCUUUUGUUGGACUAUUUUCAGUCAUGUUUCUCUAUUUAUUUGUUUGUGUUUUCUCAGACUUGAUCUAGUCAUUGCCAAUUUCAUGUAUGUAAGAGGUUUUCAUCAAAUAAGAGAGACAUUUUUUCGUGAAAAUUCUGAUGGUGAGUCUUUUCAAUGAAUUUCAUUCUCUUAAUCAUAUUUUAAAAAGCUGAUCAUUUAAUGGAUUAAGAUAUGUGUUUUAGUAAUGAUUUUGUUUUUAUCUGAGAGGGUUGUAAAAUUCUUAUACAUAAUAUGUUUGAUAUUCUUACAUAUGAUCAUAUGGUUCAUUGUUGAUCACGUUGUUCUUGAAAAUUUUGUUUGCAAGUUGUGUUCAUUCUCUUUGAUUGAUGAAGUAUAUUAUAGUUACCAAAUGUUAGAUUUUAUAUAUACGGUGUUACUAUCUUUUACUAUUGUAAAGUUAUGUUUGAUGGAGUUGAAGUUAUGUGAUAUCAAGCUCAGAGUAAUAAUUUCUUACCAUGUUUAAAUGAUAUGAAAUAGUUGUAAAUUAAAUACUUUCUUAAAUUUUCAGGCAACGUUUACUGUGGAAGAUGUUGCAUCCAACAAUGUUUAUGCAAAUCAAACAUCAUUUUCUGAACCUACGGGACUAAAUAUAUCUAAUGUAAUGCCCAUGAUACUUUCACCUCAGUUGAUGGCAUCCUCUCUUAUAAUGGAGUCCAGUGGUCCUGAUGAUACAAAUGUCAGACAUUCUGAUUUGAUAUCAAAGAGACAUGCCAGUUUAACACAUCUUGAGAUGAAUGAGAUGGAUGACAUGCUUCCAUUUGCAAAUAACAAUGGGUAUAAUAAAUUAUGUUUAUUUCUAAAUUGAUCAUAUUUUCUACAUUUUAAUUUAUUUCGCGAUGCCUUCUUAGUCAGUUUGAUGAGGAUAAAGAUUGAGAUCAUGGCUUGAUAUGGAUUUUGUUCUCCUAAAUUUGAGGCCAUAUUCUUAAGCUGCUAAGAAAAUAAAAUAAAUUUGAUCAAAAUUACGUUCUUAUUCUGCUUGUGUAUUACUAUUUUAAGACUUUAUGAUACAUGAAAUGUUCUUUCAUGUAGUAACUAGCAGUGUUUUAAAAUACAGUCACGAGACUCGCCUCACGGUGAGGCAUAGUCAAAAAGGUCUCAAGGCAUUAUGGAGAGACGAAACUACUGAAAGGCGAGCGCCCCAAAAUUUGAGCCAUUUGUCUUAGCAUAAGGGCGUUCGCCUAAGCCUCAAACAUAAAUUACGCGUAAGUCUAGAAAAGUUUACAAAGUAAAAUACUUUUUUCCUAUUAAAUAUCUAAUUUAAAUUUAAUAUGAAAAUAUAUAAUUGGUAAAUACUUAAAUACUCAUAUCAAAGUCAAAGAAAACUUAAAAGUCACACUUUCAAAUAUACUGCGGUGGUUGUUCAAAACGCCGCUAUCCAAGAAGGUAUUGAGUCUACUUUCUUCUUCCUAAUUUAUUUCUUUUCUUUUAGUUCUUUUCAAGUCUCUCAUAGUGGCGAGCUUUUAAGUUGUUUACUUUUUUAUCUCUAUUUUAAAGUAUAGUAUAUGGUAACUGGGUGCAUAAAUAUAUUGAAGAAGUAACGAAAAGGUGGGAGUUGAUUAAUUAUAUCACUAUUUUCUUAUAUAAACUUGUGCUUUUGAGGACAUAUUAUAGUUUAGUUGUAUCAAGUGGCUUUUGUUAUUUUUUUUUUGCUGAAGUAGUUUUACAUACAUAUUUCACUUAUUUUCUUAUAAUUUUGAUGUAAUUUUACUUUUUGGGUGAUUUAUCUCUUUUAAUAAAUAUUUAUUUUUAAUUAUAUUAAUUUAUAAACAUUAAAAAUUAAAGGAUCUGUGGGGCUUACGUCUCAUCACCUCGGGGCUUACGCCUCACAUCGUACCAGGUAUAAUGCCCCUGCCUUUAAAAACACUGAUAUGUACAACCAACUACUUGACCAGUAAUAUAAGAUAAUCAAUCAUGUUUUGUAUAUGAAAUCAUUCCUUUGGUUGUUGAGUUUGCGUAAAAAAGUCUUCUAAUUUUGUAUGGUGUGUUCAUGUCCUUCAGUUAUCAAAUGUCAAUUGUUCCUCAGAGUGUAANNNNNNNNNNNNNNNNNNNNUACAAAUUUACAAGGUUUUCAAUAAAACCUUAUUAAUGUUUAAUUGAUAUAAAAUAAUUUCAAACUAAAUACUUAAUUUCUAAUUUUCAGGUAACAUCUAUCGUGGAAGACGUUGUGGCUAAAAAUGUUCAUAUCUAAUGUGAUGCUCAUGAUGCAUUCGCCUCAUUUGAUGGCAUCUUCUCCUAUUAUGUGUUAGGAUUUUUAUGAUUUACAUUUUCUUGUAAGAAAAAUAAAAGUAAUCAUAAAUAUUUUUACUUCUUCUAGAAGAAAAAUAUAAUUUUUUUCAUAUUUGGAAAACCUCUUUCUUGGAGGAAAGGUUUUGGACAUCUAUAAAUAGAAGACUCCCUUCUUAUACCAUAACACAAUAGCAUCCAUAAUUAUUCUUUAAAGAGUCUCGUUUAUGAGGAGAUUUUCUCCCAAUAGUCUUAUAUUACUUUAAAAUUAGUUUCUUGUGUAGGCCAGUUGGCCAAAUUUUAUUCAAUAAUAUAUUUUUAGUAUAUUUUUAUUUGUCAUCUGAAUUAUCACAUGAUUUGCAAACUUUAAGCUUCUACAUGUCACCCUCUUGACGAAUCCAAUAAGUGGUAUCAGAGUUUAUGGUUUAAAGAUCCGAUGGUUUAGAUUGAAGACAUGUUAAGAUUUAAGUUGCAACCAACUUGGCGAUGAUGAAUAUUUUCUUGUAAAAAAAAACUACAUGUGGAUAUAAUGGUCAAUCAUAUUUUCAACAAUCCUGCUGUUACAUAUUUGAAAAUAAAACUCAGUUUUAACUCUACAAAGAGCUCCAAUAUUUUUAACCCGAAAAGGGAUCAUAUACUUCCAACCCAAAAGUUCCAUUUUUAAGCAUGCCAAGCAGCAGUGAUGAAGACUAUUUGAAGAACAAGGAUCAAAGAUGUGAAGAAGGUUGAUCAAGUGAACAAAAUCAAGCCAAAAAGGGGAGAAUUGCUAGGUUUUUUGUCUCGAUUUUCUUACCAAAAGUAAGUUUUAUUUUUUUUUGUUAGAAAAAUAAAAGUCCCUUCUCAUACCAUAACACAAUAGUAUCCACAAUAUAGUCUUUAAAGAAUCUCAUUUAGGGGGAGAUUUUCUCCCAAUUAUUUUUAUAUUUCUUUAAUAUUAAUUUCUUAUGUAGGCAGUUGACCAAAUUAAAUUCAAUAGUAUAUUUUUAUUGGUCAUCUGAAUUAUCACAUGAUUUGCAAACUUUAAACUUUCGCAUGUCGUCCUCUUGAUUUCGAACUCAACAUGAUGGAGUCCAGAGGUUCUAAUAGUUCGGAUUCUAGGACUUUAGAUUUGAUGUCUAGAGACCAUCCUAAAUAGAUGUCAGAGUUACUGCCUCUUGAAAUGGAUGACAUACUUCUAUUUUCAAUCAAUCUGGGUAUUACAUAUUAUGUUUAUUGCUAAAUUGAUUAUUUUUUCCACAUUUUGAUUUAAUUUACGAUGCGUGUUUGUCACUUUAACGAGGAUAAAGAUUGAGAUGUUGACUUGAUGUGGAUUUUGUUAUCCCAAGUCUGGUGCCAUUGUCUUAAGUUUCUAAGUAAAUAAAAUAAAAUUGUCCAAAAUUGCGUUUUUAUUCUGCAUAUGUAUGUCUAUUCAGGAAUAUUCUUUAGUGUUGUAACUAAAACCAACUACUUGGCCAAUAAUUUGAGAUAAUCCAAAUAUGUUUUGUAUAUGAAAUCAUUCUUUUAGUUGUUGAGUUUGCGCAAUUUAAUCUUCUAAUUUUGUUUGUUGUAUAUUCAUGUCCUUCAGCUAUCAAAUGUCAAUAAUUCUCCAGAGUGUAACUUAAGAGUAUGUUCAUAUUUCCCUUCACAUUUCAAGCUUUUCAAUAAAUACUUAGCUGAAAAUAAGCUACAAGGUUUUCUUCUUUCUAGGAUGAUAGACAUGACAUAGGCUUGGGAGGACCUACACUAAUGGAAACAAAUAUGCAUGCCCCUGCAAAUGCUUUACCUAUUUUAACAAAACUUUUAUACACAGGUUUGUUUCUAUUUUAGCUUUAAAUAUUUGCAUUUAUUUUCUAUAAUUUUUUAUCUUUUACAUCGAUAACAUUGGUUAUUUGAAUAUUAAGAUAAUAUGCAAAUGCUUAAAACAAUGAGACGAUAUUGGGAAAAUAAAUAUUUCUACCCCAGAUAAUAUCCACAUAAAAUAGCAAUAACAAGAGAGUAACAACGACAUCAAAUAUUAUAACGGGGUAUUACUCCCAUACUAUUUUCUCACAGACUAAAGAAUAUCUGUGGAUUACUCUCCUUUGCUCUCUAUUGCUCUCUUUGUUUUAGUGUAUCUCAAAAUGAAAGUGAAUCCAUCUAUUUAUAGAUGAAUGUCCAAGCUUUAAACAAUCAAAACACAUGUUAUAAAACCAUGUCACAACACCAAUUUCCAACUUGAUCAUGUUGCAACACCAACUUCCAAAUUCAUGUCAUCACAUUAGGCAUGUUUCAAUGCUAACUUUUUUUAUUUAAUUAUUUUUAAUCCCACAAAUCUCUUCCUUAAUUUUGAUUUUUCUUGUUCUUCAAUUCAAGCCUUGAUCUCAAUCUUUGAAAGUCUUCAAACUUAAGAGGCUUUAUGAAAAUAUUUGCAACUUGAUCAUAGGAUUUUACGUACUUGAUACGACAAAAAACCUGUGUUUAGCGAUGAAAUUUACCGUCAGAUCAUUUUUCGUCACUAUAUAGUGACGGAUUAGCAACAGAACAAUCAAUUUGAUUGCAUGCAAAACAAUUCAAUUUUUAUGUGCUAUUAGCAACGAAUCAGUGAUGGAAUUACGAUUCCGUCGCAAAAUAAUAGCGGAAAAAAUUGACACCUAAAUUUAGUGGCAGAUUAUCAACAAAAUAUUGGUCACUAUGUUAAUUAUUUCAUAGAAACGAAUUUAGCAACAAAAUAUUCGUCGACACACUUUGGAUUUUUUUAUUGAAAAAAUUAUUUUAUUUAGUGGCCAACUUUCCCGUCGUAAAAUAUUCAUUUUACUUUUUUAAUUAAUAACAAAGUAUAGGAUAGGGGAGCUUCUAGGGUCUUAAUUCAUUUUAGACCUCCCCCCCCCCCUACCUCUUUCUACUCUUUCUCUCUUAAGAAUCAUGUUCAUGAUUUUAAGGCCCUUUUGCUCGAUUUGAACGAGUUUUUGUACGAAUUAAAGGUAUUUCUUCAUGUAUUGAAGGUCAAGCAUACACUGGUUUGCCGAUUUGAAGCAUUCAAAGGUAUUUGCUUCCACUGUACACUCUCUAUCUGAAUUGAAAUUUGUGUUUUCUUUAAUUUUUUGAGUCAAUUUUAAAUUAUUGUUCACUCUCUAUUCGAAUUGAAACGUGAAUUAGUUUUAUCUUAUCAAUUUCUUUGAGAAACAGUUUGGUUUUGGAUGUUUGUCCAUGAUUUUACUUUACAAUGGAUGAAUCUUGUGAUUUUACUUUACUUUACUCGAUUUUGGAUGCAUGCAACCAGUUGGGGUUAGGGUUCAUGAAAGCAUUUGGAGCUAGGAUAGUUGACUGUUAGGGUUCAGAGAAUUUCAAAAUUUUAAUGGCUCCUAUGGUAAGUAUGAGCAAGUAUCACAAUUUUGUAUUUUCGCCAAGCACAAAACUCUAACAAGUCUUGGAAGACUGAACUCAGGUAUAUGGCAAAAAAAUAAGAUUGUCUCAUGUGGCUAGGGGUGACAGUUCAACUAGAUUAGAUGUGGUUUGUUUUCUUAUAAAAUCUUUCCAGCAGAGCGUAUCUUGUCGAUAGCUUAUGUUAGAGCUCUCAGUAGGCUGGGUGAUCAAAUUUCAUCUUACUAAUCCUGGAGCAGAUUAUAUAAACAUACUUUUUAGGUUCUUAGCUAUUGCCUACUGCUUCUUGUUCUUAUAUUAUGUAUUUAUCUAGAUUAUUUUUAUCUUGAGUCGGGUGUCUAUCAGUGUAAUAACUCACAUUUUGGACUAGGAUAAAAUCCAUAAUUUCUAUGCAUAGACGUUUCAAAAGCCUUAAAUCCUAUGUUAAUUUAGUGUGUUCAUCAAUUUUGUAGUGUGGGAAUCUAUUUUAGCAUGAAUUUAGAUCAUAGAGGUCCCCUAAAUUAAGUACAAGUUGAAAGCUUUCCUAUCGUUCAAGUUUUAGUGAGCGUCAAAACUUGGGUCAACUUCAAUCGACCAUAACUCGUUACAUAUGAUGAACUGAGUGGAUUACUAUAUAUCAAAUGAAAGUUGUUUGAAUUAUCUCUCCAACUAUACUAAUUUAGCCUAAAUACAAUAUUUUAGAAAAGAGUUAUACCCAUUUUACUCCAGCAUGUCUGGCUGGGAAACUGGUGAUGACAAUUGUGACAAGCCGUUACGCCCGUGAUGGCCUAUCAGCAAUGUCGUCAGACCUGGACAUAUUUCUGACCUUAGUGACGACAUUUUAUGACAAGCCAUCACGCUCGUGAUGGCCUAUCACCAAUGUGUCAACCUUAAUCAGAAACUCAAAAUUUCACCCUUUUGUGACAAUAAUUCAUAACGGCCUAUCACCAACUUGAUGGCUUGUCACGAAUGUCGACAGCUAUUUUUUCCAGCAAUUAAGGGACAUUUUAUUAGGGGUAUUUUGGUUUUUUUUCUUUACUUCCCUCAGCUUAUAACCCUCAAGGAGUAUCUUUAGUUAAAUAUCUCAAAAAGCUCUCUUAUACACUCUCAACCACAAGAUUAGGGUUUCCUCUCAAGAUCAAAACUCUCAAGAAUAAGCCCAAGGGUUUUCAUAGAAGAGUCUAUUUCAAGGAAAUUUCCUCGUCAAUCUUCACGAAUUCUUAAUCUAAGGUAUGUGUAGUGUUCAUCCAUGGGUCCCUUUCAUCCAUAGAGCUCAAGAACCAUGUUUUAAAUUAUAAAUUAUGAUUUCCUUGUUGUGUUAUGACUAUAUUCAUAUUGAUGAUUGUUGUUUGGAUUCAAGGUUGUAUCUUGAUGUGUUUUUCAUGAAGCAUGUGAAUAGGUUAGUUGAAACCCAUGAAUUUUAGAUGGAUUAAGAUUGUCAAAUUGAUAAGCACACCUAUGCCUUAAAUAGUGCAUGUAAGGUGUUUGAUAAAAUGCUUAGGAUGCUAGAAAUUCAUGUUUACAUUGUUCCAUGAUAUCUAAAUGACAAGUCCAUGUUAGCUAUAUACUUUAAUAUGAAUUCCAUGCUAUUGAUGUAUUGCUAUUGUUGUGGUAUGAAGCAUGUAUGAUAAUGGAGAUAUACAAUAUGUACAUGAAAUAUAUCCAUGCACUCCCUACUAUGCUUAAGAUGUUGAAGAACUACAUGAAGUAUAAUAUCCCCUACUUAUGAUAAUGUGAAUUGUGGACUCCAAUCUCAUGAUCACGUUAGUCAUGUUGUGUUAGUUUCCUUCCAUCGAGUCCUGGGGGUAUUUGUACCCAAAAUUAUAGUUGUGUGCCUAGAGCCAUGUCAUGUUAUCACGAUACUUUCAAUUAAGCCAUGAUCUAUAAAAUUCAAUCAAUCAUGUGACUCAGGAAAACUUAAAAAUCUCAGUAAAUCUCAGUAGUUCAGUAUUCUCAAUGAUAUCAGUACUUAGUAAUAUCUGUAACCUCAGCAUUCACAUUCAAUCUCAGUAACUUCAGUUCUCUCAAUCAGUCCUCAAAACUAAGUACAUUUCGUUAGUCAUCAAAAUUUAGUAAACUCAGUUUAGCCCCACUAAACAAUACCACUAGUAUCAGUUCAGCUAAUCAGUUUAGUUCAGUUAUUCAGUUCAGUCCAGUUAUUUAGUUCAGUGUCUACUUAGUUGGGAGUAGGAUUUAGCACCGAGUGAACCCAAGGAUAGGGACUCACUUGCUACAGUCAGAGGGUGUGAUUCCUAGAAGUAAUCCUUGCAUUCCAGAACUACUUAGCCAACAUAGGUUAAGAUGUCCCUACCCAUAGGGCUAAUACAUCUCCUUUGAUUUUACUUGAUAGUAGGGCAGACGUAAUGAGCUCCCAAAAAUAGAAUAGGGUACUCACAUGUUGUCUCUACCUGUUGCACGGGAUUGAUGCCCUUCCAAUUAGGGCAAGUAUUGGACCCCACCAGUUUAGUUUUAAGGCAUGUUGGUUAGAUGAUUACCUCCCAUAGUCUCAGUUUCAGUCUCAGUAAAAGAACUUAGAUAGUUAUUCAGAUUCAAGAUUGUCAGCUAUAAUCACCCCUCAAUGUGAAACUCAGCUAGUUUCACCACAUUCAUGACUGUCAGAUACAGUCACUCAUGCUAUCAGUUAUAUCAUUUAUUAGAACUCAUAUUAUCAUUAUUUGCAUUUAUGACUGUCAGAUACGUUCAAACAUAUCAGCUCUUAAUAUUCAUAGCUGUCAGUUAUAGUCAAUUAGAUUUAUUCUUUAUAAUUAGACUGCCAAAUGCAGUCAACCAGGCCAGUUCUUCAUAAUCAGAACUGUAAAAAAUAGUCAUUCAUGUAUCAUUAAUAUAGUUUCAGUCCUUCAGUAUCAUCUCCUCACUUAUUACUGAUUCAUAUAUCAGUAUCAGCAAACUUAGUCAUUUGGUAUCUCAGUACCAGUAAACUUAGGUUGUCAUUAUUCAGGAUCAGUAGUUAGUAUCUCCACGAGUUCAGUUAUAGUUAUGUAUGUAUGUAUUCUCACCUUCAUAUCAAUCAGUAUUGUUCAUGCAUAUAACCCUUUGCAUUUAUCUUACCUCACUCAUAUACUCAGUACAUUCAGACGUAGUGAUGUAUUUGCGCUAUGGUACUUUCUCUUAUGUUACACCAUAGGUUCAGAGGCACGAGCUCCAGAUCAGCAGUAGCAUUUCAGUGUUCAGAGUUUGUAGUGAGUCCUUCUCAUUUGAGGACGAUAUGAUUAUUGCUUCAUUUGCUAUUUUAGUUCAGUUUUUAGAUGGAGUUAGUUGGGGUUAUGUCCCAUGAACUUCUUAUUCAAAUAGUUAGAGUCUUUCCAGACUAUAGCAUGUUAGACAGUUACUUCAGAUUUUUUUUGGUAUUAUUAUACUGUCUUCAGACAUUGUUCUUAUUUUUUAUUCGAACCUUAUGGCCUUUCCAUACAUAUUUUUCUGCAUCUUUAUGUUAUAUUAUGCAUUAUAUAGGUACCGAUAUCAUUCAUGGGUUAGUUUGUGGUCCUUCGGGGUUGUGAGCACCGUGUAGCAUUCCGAUUCAAAAAAAUUAGGGCAUUUCAAACUUGGUAUCAGAGAAUAAGGUUCAUUAGAGUCCUAGAAAGUCUGAAAACCGCAUCUAGUAGAUUCUUAUACAUGCGUGUAUUUUGAACCACACUUAUGUUCAAGAGGCUAUGAGAUGUUUUAGGAAUGGUUUCCCUUCUUUCAGUAUUUAUGUUGUUCCAGUGAGCGAAAGCUGUAAUUAAACUCUCAAUCUAAUUUGCUUCUUCCUUUCAUUUAUAAAACAUGUCUUUAGAAAGGACUAGUGAAAGAAGAACUAAAAAUUAGUCAGUACCUUAGCCCGUCUAAGCAGGUUCUUUGGACGAACACGUUUCUCAUACAGAAUUCAGGACUGCAUUCACUACUCUAGCCAGUUCAGUCUUAGCUCAAAAUGAACGGCCAACCGCUGUUUUAUCCAACCUAGAGGCCAAUAUGGCUGUAUCUAGGAUUCGAGAUUUCACCUGAAUGAAUCCUCCUCUAUUUACCUGUUCCAAGUCUGAAGAAGAUCCACAGGAGUUCCUCGAUCAAGUUUAGAAAGUCACAGACAUCAUGGGAGUGAAUUCCAGUGAGAGUAUAGAGUUAGCCACCUAUCAACUACAAGAUGUAUCCCAUAUGUGGUUUAAAUAGUGGAAGGUAGACAGGGGUACAGACAGAGCCCAUAGAGUGGAAAGAGUUUGCUACAGCUUUCUUAGAUAGAUUCUUUCCCAUAGAUCUGAAGGAGGCUAAAGUGUUAGAGUUCAUCAAUCUCAGGCAGGAUAUGAUGAGCGUGAAAGAAUACUCCCUUAAUUUCACCCAGUUAGCCAGGUAUGCUCCCCAUGUAGUGGCAGACAGUAGGUUUAGAAUAAAUAAGUUUGUAUCUGGGGUAUCAGGUAGAGUGGUUAAAGAGUGCUAGACUGCAAUGUUGAUUAGUCAUAUGGACUUGUAUAGGUUGAUAGUCUAUGCUCAAAAUAUUGAGGAGCAUAAGCUUAAAAAGAAAGAGAGAGAAAAUAAGAAGACUAGAAUAGGUAGUUAUAGUCCUUCUCAGCUGAGGCCAAAGGGUAGUGAGGGUAGAGUCCUUACCCAUCCCUUUUGUCAGACUUGUGGUAAGUAUCAUAAGAGUGUGUGUAGAAUCGGGAGUGAUGUGUGUUUCGAAUAUGGUGAGUUAGGUCACAAAGUCCGAUAUUGUCCUAAACCCGGUCCACGAGGUCAUUACGGUCGUCCUUCAGUUUAGCCCGAUUACCCAAAUUGGUAGGAUGCCACUUCCAGUGCUAUCAGUGGAUAACGCCCAGACAUACUCCAUAAUCCUCAGUCCUGAUAGGAUUAGGAAACUCCUCCUAAUACAGUCACUGGUAUGUUUCAGAUAUCUUAUUCGCAUGCUUAUGUUUCACCUUACCCAUAUGCCUCUUUUCUUUUAAAACUCUUUGCAUAACGGUCAAACUUAAGGUCAGACCAAAUAUUGACAGGACCUUACCCAGUCUCUACCCAGUAGGUCAGUCUACCGUAGCCUGAUAGGUAUACAGGGACUGUCCGAUUAUGAAAACUCAGAAAGUCAGACCUUCAGAAUUCUAUUAGUUGUGCCAAAUUAGUAGAUGUGGUAUCCUUAUUUUAUUUUAUGUCUCAUUUAUCAUGUUUCCCAUGCAUGCUUCAUAUCUCAGUUCCAUGAAUAUAGUUAAUAUUCACACAUUUUCCUCUAAGGAUAGCAUACGCUUUUAGUUUCUAGUGUAAGGUGUUCCAAACUCAUUAAGUGUUACGAAUCGUAUCUCAUGAACAUAGAAACUCCAAAACUUAAGUCAUGCAUCUCAUGAAUCAUGUACUCAUGCCAAUCUUUACAAUAUUCUUAGUUUCUGCUAUCUAUUCUACGAUCCUAACAAUCACAUAAAUUCAGAACAUGUCCCAAAAAUUCUCAAUUUGGAUCUUGUGAUAAAUUCAUGAUGUUGACAUUCCAUUUCUAGUAUUUAGCACUUAGUAAUUAGUAUUCUAUUCAGUCUCAGAACUAAGUACCUGAUUGUCAAUCAAAACAUCAAUUUUAGAAAUUCAGUUAACCGAACCCUGCAUUCUAUCCUAUUUCAGUAAUUAGAUCCUAAAACUCAAUUUAGUCUCAGAUUCACUAAGCCAUGGAAUGAAACUAUUAGUUUCUCUCUUAUUUGUCAGUACCUCAGUUUACUAAAUCUUUCAGAAUCAUAUUACAGGCGUGGCACUUCAUUUUCAAGUAAUACAGUCUCCAUGAAUCCAUGCUCAGUCACCUUAUGGUACUCAGUUAAUCCUUACCUCCUAUGUACAAUAUUCUAUAGUUCCAGUUCAGUUAUUCCAACUAAGUUCAGUUUAGUAUUACAUGCCCAGUGUUCAGUUAUUAGCAUAAAUUAGUCAGUCAAGUCAGUUUAGCAGAUAUGCAGUCAAUUUAGUAGGGGUUGUUCUCCCAUCUUCCCAUCCAACCAUACUAACAGAUAGCUCUAGGAUGUAACCAUCUCCAAGAUAGAGUUUAAUAGUAUAUGCAAGCUCAGUUUAGUUCAUGUAUCAUGUAUCAGUCACCAAUUCUAGAUAUUCAGUUAUAACUCAGUUCCUAGGUGCCUUAAGUAUCGCCUCAGUUUUUCCUCAGUAUCUCAGCCAAGUUAGCAUUCUUUGAAGGACCUAGUUUCCUAAGGGGGAGAUAUGCGAUGAUCACCCAAGCUUUCAUAAUGUAAGCGUCCCAUUCUCUCUUCACGUAAUAAAUCCAGUCUAGAGUAGGGAUACUCAUAAGUCGUCCUCUAUAUCCAAUCUCAUUCGUAGGCCAUAUACUCAAUGUCUCAGUUUAGUUCAUGUAUCACGUUCCAAAUUAAGUUAUGUUCUCAUGUUUUUGCUCAUGCAUGUUUAGUAAACGAUCUCAGGAUUCAUUAGCAUUUUCAUUGAAGGUAACAGUCCUCUUUAAGCUUAUUCAGCUUUAUGUAGAGUAUUUAGUACAAACUUGGUGUUCAGUUCCAUGCUCAAUUCCCAGUUCAAACUUGGUAUAUUUAGCAUUGCAUAUUCAUUGCAUGUUCAUAAUCCAGUUCAGUCUUAUAUUCACGCAUCAGAUAUGCAUGAUUAGCUUAUCAAUACUCUCCCUUAUGUACUUAUGAAUCAGUUAUGCAUGUAUCAGAUAUGCAUGUUCAGUAGGAUAUGUUCAGCUUAUCAAUCAUGUCAUCCAUGAAAUCAUGAUCAGUCAUUCACACUCUAUAUCCAUGCCAGUUGUCUUUUCUCUUAUCUCAGCCAGUCUCAUUUGAGGACGAAUGUUCCCAAGGGGGAGAUAUUAUAAUACCCUAUAUUUCGAACUAGGAUGAAAAUCCGUCAUUUCUAUGCAUAGAUGUUUCAAAAACCUCGAAUCCUAUGUAAAUUUAGUAUGUUGAUCAAUUUUGUAGUGUGGGAAUCUAUUUGAUCAUGAAUUUAGAUCAUAGAGGUCCCCUAACUUAAGUACAAAUUGAAACCUUUCCUAUCGUUCAAGUUUUAGUGAGCGUCAAAACUUGGGUCAACUUCAAUCGAACAUAACUCAUUGUAUAUGAAGAACUGGAGGGCUUACUAUAUAUCAAAUGAAAUCUCUUUGAAUUAUAUUUCUAAUGAUACCAAUUUUUCCUAAAUCUAUUAUCAGAGCAAAGAGUUAUACCCAUUUUACUACAGCAUGUCUGACUGGGAAACUGGUGAUGACAAUUGUGACAAGCCGUCACGUCCGUGAUGGCCUAUCAGUAAUGUCAUCAGACCUGGGCAGAUUUCUGACCCUGGUGAUGAAGUUUUGUGACAAGAAGCCACGCCCGUGAUGGCCUAUCACCAAUGUCGUCAACCUUAACCAGAAACUCAAAAUUUUACCCUUUUGUGACGAUAAUUCAUGACAGCCUAUCACCAACUUGAAGGCUUGUCACGAAUAUCGUCAGCUAUUUUUUCCAGCAAUUGAGGGAUAUUUUACUAAGGGUAUUUUGAUCUUCUUCAUUCACUUCCCAUGGCUUAUAACCCUCAAGGAGCGUAUUAUCUUCCAUUCUCUUUAGUUAAACAUCUGAAAAAGAUCUUUCAUACACUCUCAACCACAAGAGUAGGGUUUUCUCUCAAGAUCAAAACUCUCAAGAACAAGCCCUAGGGUUUUUAUAGAAGAGUCUAUUUUAAGGAAAUUUUGCCGUCAAGCUUCACAAAUUAUUAAUCUAAGGUAUGCGUAGUGUUCAUCCAUGGGUCCCUUUCAUUCAUGGAGCUCAAGAAUAAUGUUUUAAAUUAUAAAUUGUGAUUUCCUUGUAGUGUUAUGACUAUAUUCAUGUUGAUGAUUGUUGUUUGGAUUCAAGUUUAUAUCUUGAUAUGUUUUUCAUGAAUCAUGUGAAUAGGUUAGUUGAAACCCAUGAAGUUUGGAUGGGUUAAGAUUGCCAAAUUGAUAAGCACACCAAUGCCUUAAAGAGUGCAUGCAAGGUGUUUGAUAAAAUGUUUAGGAUGCUAGAAACUCAUGUUUACAUGGUUCCAUGAUAUUUAAAUGACAAGUCUAUGUUAGCUAUAUACUUCAAUAUGAAUUCCAUGCUAUUGAUGUGUUGCUAUUGUUGUGGUAUGAAGCAUGUAUGAUAAUGGAGAUAUAAAAUAUGUACAUGAAAUAUAUCCAUGCACUCCCUACCAUGCUUAAGAUGUUGAAGAACUACAUUAAGUAUAAUAUCCCCUACUUAUGACAAUGUCAGUUGUGGACUCCAAUCUUAUGAUCACAUCAGUCAUGUUGUGUCAGUUUCCUUCCAUCGAGUCCUGGGGGUAUUCAUACCCGAAAUUAUAGCUGUGUACCUAGAGCCAUGUCAUGUUAUCACGAUACUCUUAGUUAAGCCAUGAUCUAUAGAAUUCAGUCAGUAAUGUGACUUAGGAAAACUCAAAAAUCUCAGUAAAUCUCAGUAGUUCAGUAAUCACAGUGAUCUCAGUACUCAGUAAUAUCUGUAACCUUAGUAUUCAUAGUCAAUGUCAAUAACUUUAGUACUCUCAAUUAUUCCUCAGAACUCAGUACAUUUCAUUAGUCAUCAGAAUUGAGUAAACUCAGUUUAGCCCCGGUAAACAAUACCACUAAUAUUAGUUCAGCUAAUCAGUUCAGUUCAGUUAUUUAGUUCAGCCCAGUUAUUCAGUUCAGUGUCUACUUAGUUGGGAGUAGGAUUCAGCACCGAGCGAACCCAAAGAUAGGGACUCAUCUGCUAUAGUCAGAGAGUGUGAUUCUUAGAAGCAAUCCUUGCAUUCCAGAACUACAUAGCCAGCGUAGGUUGAGAUGUCCCUACUCAUAGGGCUAAUGCAUUUUCUAUGAGUUUACCUGAUAGAAGGGCAGACGUAAUGAGCUCCUAAAAAUAGAAUAAGGUUACUCACAUAUUUUCACUACCCAUGGAACAGUAUUGACUCCAAUCAGGGCAAAGAUUAAACCCUACCAAUUCAGUUUUGGGGCAUGUCAGUUAGAUGAUUACCUCCCAUAGCCUCAAUUUUAGUCUCAUUCUCAGUCUCAGUAAAAGAACUCAGAUAGUUCUUCAGAUUAGAACUAUCAGCUACAGUCACCCCUCAAUGCGAAACUCAGCUAAUCCCACCACAUUCAUGACUGUCAGAUACAGUCACUCAUGCUAUCAAUUAUAUCAUUUAUCAGAACUCAUAGUAUCAUUAGAAUUAAAACUAUCAGAAAUAGUCAUUCAUGUAUCAGUAAUAUAGUUUCAUUCCUUCAGUAUCAGCUUCUCACUUAUUAGUGAUUCACGUAUAGGUAUUAGUAAACUCAGUCAUUUGGUAUCUCAGUACCAGUAAACUCAGGUUGUCAAUAUUUAGGAUCGAUAGUCAGUAUCUUCAUGAGUUCAGUUACAGUUACAUAUGUAUGUAUUCUCACGUUCAUAUCAAUCAGUAUUGUUCAUGCACAUAACCCUUUGCAUUUAGCUUACCUCACUCAUACACUCAGUAUAUUCAGAUGUACUAACGUAUUUGCGCUAUGGUGAUUUCUCUUAUGUUACACCAUAGGUUUAUAGGAAUGAUCUCCAGAUCAACAGUAGCAUUCUAGUAUUCAAAGUUUGCAGUGAGUCCUUCUCAUUUGAGGAUGAUAUGAUUAUUUCUUCAUUUGCUAUUUUACUUCAGUUUCUAGAUGGAGUUAGUUGGGGACAUGUCCUAUCAACUCCUUAUUCAUACAGUUAGAGGCUUUCCAGACUAUAGUAUGUCAGACAGUUACUCCAGAUUUUUUUGGUAUUAUUAUACUAUCUUUAGACAUUGUUCUUAUUUUGGAUUCGAACCUCAUGGCCUUUUAGUACAUGUUUUUCCACAUCUUCAUGUUAUAUUUUGCAGUAUACAGGUAUAAAUAUCAGUCAUGGGUUAGCUUGUAGUCCUUCGAGGUCGUGACCCGUGUAGCAUUCCGAUUCAGAAAAAUUAGAGCGUUACAAUCAGCAACAACCUCCUUGCCUGACCUCUGAGUUAGUGGUAAGGACUUCCAACUAUGUAUAUUUUAUCCUCCUCAGACCCCACUGAGUGAUAUUAUAUUGGGUACAUUGUUGUUGUUGGUUAAAUAAGUAUAUGUUUGCUCGUGUACCUUCUCUACCUGUUAAUUAAUGAAAUCACUCAUCAACUAUGUGUAAGACUAUAUCUGUCAAAGUAUUUGAACCUGUGCACCAACUUCUUAAUUCUUUUAAAGUAUGCUAAUUAUUUCUUUACAUUGUACAAAACAAUGCUGAGUGGGAUGGUGGAACACCAUGUGUUCCUUUUAUUUUUCUGCAAUCUUGCACCCCUUUAGAGCUGAGUAUGUUUUCUUCAAGUCUUAUUUAAAUAAUUUAAGGAACAUAUUAAUUAGUUGUCUUAGCUUGCAACUGAAUGUAAGAACAAGUGAUGUACACUCCCGGCUUACGAAUUGAGAAGUAUUAAAUGACUUGAACAUGAUCAAUGUGUUCCCUAAGAUUUUGUUUCUAUUUUCAAUGGAAAAAUUACCAUUUUGGGCAUUUAAAGGCCAAAAAAAUGGUGCCUUGACGACUUUUAGAGUCGAUCUCUCUUCUUCCUGUUGAUUUUCAAGAACAUAUGAGCUAUAAAAGCACAACUGAAUCUUUUUUUUUGUGCUUGUUUUUAUGUCAUAACUCUCAACAGUUUGUAGCUAACUUAUCUGAAUAUUCCUAUUUCUUAAGAGAGAAAAUCUAUAUAUCAAAUGAAACUAAGGGAAGCUACAUGGGUUCCUCAAUAUUCUUGAUUUGUUGCAUGUAGAAGAUAGGUAAGUGCAUGCUCAACGUUGUUAGGUCUAUAGCUAUGUUGCCUUUUGGAUAGAAUUUGAGAUUGGACAGUUGACCGGUGAUAAAAUUCUAUUUUUCAAAUGUCAAAGGACGACCCAUAUGAAAAGAGGUAAAAUACACGAGAAAAUUAUUGGUGGAAUCUACUUUUGUCUUUAAUAUUUCCAAACUGAAAAAAGAGUUUUUGCAGAAAAAGAAAAGGGCUAGCUCUAAAAGGAAAGUAAUGUUAAUGGUGAUAGACUGAUGUUAUCUAUAAAUUUCUUCCUCUGUUUACAAAUUUUUCAUAAUCCAGGAUCAAAAUUUUUUCUCUUGAUAGAAAGGCGAAUUAUAUUGCUUUGAUGCUUAAAAUUUUAGAUUAAUGAAUCAUAUUCUUACCUUUAUUUAUCUACAAAAAUGAUCUUCUAGAUUCAUUUACUACCUCAUCAUUUAUUUAUCUACAAAAAGCUUAAAAUUACAUCGAUACUCAAGUGCUCUGGAGAGCGCUCUGCCAGUAAGGCUCUGAAAAUAUAACUUCUCAUCUCAGGUUUUUGGCUAUCCCAAUUUAUAUUAUUAUUCCAAUGGUUUUUUUAGUUAAUUUAGUUGGAUCGAUAAAUGUGAAAUUGUUUGGUACUGGUGUUUAGUGGGUGUGCCCUGAUGUGUUUCUGAUUGUCUGCUGCUCUUUCAUUCGUGCUACAUUCCAUAUUCAAACUGAGCAUUAGAUUUCUUUGUAUCCUGUAUAGUGUUACGAAGAAAUUAAGCUCAUUAGACAUCGUAUAUGCUCCUAUCGCCAUCUAUAUAUCACUUUAACUACUGGCUCUAUGUAUAUAACAAUGAAAGUAACUAAAUAUCUGCAUGUGUUCUCGUCAGCUGUCUAUAUUUCGAUACAUAGAGCUACAUUAGUCGGUUAAUAUCAAAGGAUUAAAAGUAGAAAUUCAUUCAAGUAUUUAGUUUAAAAUUAAGCAUGUGAUUUUGGUAUUUGGGCAUGUCCUACUUGAUUUUUAUAAUUUGAGAUGAGAAGGCAGCAUCUGCAUGAGUGUUAUAUUUAGUUUUCCUUGGAAAAACUUGUGUUUUAGUUGGAGCUGCUAUGAAGUUGUCUAUUAUCUAAAGUCCAUAGAAAUCGUUAUUGCAUUUUAACAUUUUCCACAAUAUAUCUAAAAUAUUAAUUGUUAGAUACAGUAUUAACCCAAAAAAUUGAGUAUACUAUGCAGGAAUAUGCCCCUAUUUUGCAAAAUAACUUUUAUUAUACUGGAAAACUAUAAUCCAGCUUUAGUUCCGCGAAGUGAAAUGAGUAAACUUUUUUCUUUCUUUCAUCAGAGGUUUAUUAUUUUAGCUUUUAGAUUAGUCUACAAGCCGAAGUGUCUUAACGUGUUUAUAUGUUUAGGGGUCGUUUAGUUCGUGAACUAGUUAUGUGGGGAUUAUAAUGCAGGAAUUGCUUAUGCAAUCAUGUCGAAAUUGUUACCUAAUGAAGAAUAAAGCAGGUAUUGUUAUUUUAUAGCAGGGUUUUCUUUGCCUUUAGUUACUCUUGUGCAUGCAUUUAUUUAAUACAUAAAUUCCCUCAUAUCUUGUAUUAGUUUUAACGACAACCAAGUUAAUAAGGCCAGUGAAUGUUGUAUUAUGGUAUGUGAUGCCUAUAUUUCUUGUAUGACCAAAAAUUUUGUAGAAUGUGCAUAAUGUCUUCACUUCAUAACAUGUAAUUAUAUUGGUUAAGUGAAUGUACACGCUGUCUUUAUUUUGAUCAAAGAGAUGUCACUAUUGCUAGAGUUGCUGCUAUAUUUUCUUUGUUUAGCUGCUAUGCCAAGAACUUUUAUGACUCUCUAUUCUUUUGGUUUGCUGCUAUGUACGUUGGUCUAAUUUUAAAUACCUAGAAAUUCUAUAUAGUCUCUUAAAAUAGGUUGAGAUCCAAUUCCAAGUGAGUUACAUUUGAACGUCCAUACACAUAAUCAUGAUGCAAAAUCUUUUGUUGGUGAGCGUUCCCGACUUCUGCAUGUAAGUUUAUAAUUUACAUCAUUACUCUUAUCUUAUUUUUCUUUUCUAUUGACAUGAACUUGAGUCUAUUUUAAUAACUCUACUUGUUACAGGAAAAGUAUGAAGAAAUUAUACGGAAAAAAUUACAAUGUGAAUAUGAAAUUAAUCAAUUGGAAUCAUAUUAUGAAGCCGCGGGAGGAACAAAGAAGAAAAGAUUAUUUGGUCUUAGGUCUGAAGCUGAAAGUUACUACGGAGAAAAACUUUGUUCCUGUAAUGCCUCCACAUCAUCAAUACCACCUUCGGUUUCUUUACCGACAACAAAUUUGGAGGAGUUUGUGAAGCAAUUGAUUAUGACACUUACUACUCAUUUUCGUCUAGUAGUUAUUGAGCGUGUUGGUGGUAUUAGGGUACAAGAAGGGGUUGUUCUUGAUCUUCCUCCUACUAAUGAUGAUGACAACAUUGAUUCCUAGCUUCAUAGUACUCAUAGUCCUUGAUCAUUGCAUUUUUUAUAGACUAUUUUGUUUGAAAGUAUAAAACAUUUAUGUAGUAAUAAAUACUAAUUAAUUUUAAUGGAUGUUGGUUUGACAUUAGUUUAUUUUAAUCAUUUUAUAAUUUACGUGUUUCAAUUAUUUUCUUACAAAAUCAUUAGCGACAAAAAAUUAGUGACUAACAUUUAUCGUUGCUACUGAAAAACUUUAAGGAUGAAUAAAUUUAGUUGCUAAAGACAGCUGCUAUUAGCGACAAAAAAUUAGUGACUACCUUUUGUCAUUGCUACUGAAAAACUUUAUCGAUGGAUAAAUUUAGUCACUAAAGACGGCUACUCAGUCGAUCAAACUAUGUUACAACGGAUUAGCGAUAAAAUAUUUAGUCGUAAAUUUAGCCAAGACAAAAAUAAAUUUUAGUAAUAGCAACAUUAUAGUAAUGAAAUAAUCUGUCAGUAACAGCAACAAUCGAAAUAUAUCAUUGCUAAGGGGUCAAAAAUUUGUGAUAGAAAUUAAUUUUUCGUUGCUAUGAGGCUAGCAAUGAGCAAUAUAGCGACAAAAUACAAUUCGUUGCUAUUUUUUCGCUAUUUCUAUUUAGCGAUAGAUUUUCAUAUGAUAGUGAUGAAAAGUACAUGUCGCUAAAUGCUUUUUUUUUGUAGUGUGAGUUAUACCUUUUCAUGAGUAUUCUUCUUUGCUUUGUAUACUCAUUUUACUUCAAUCGCUUGAUGAUCUUUAGGAAGAGUUGUUAACUCCCAAGUGUUGUUUUUUUUUAUUGACUGAAUUUCUUCCUUCAUGGCUCAUCUCCACUUUUUGUCUAUAAUAGCUUCAUCAAAAUUCAAUGGUUCACUGUCAUCAUAGAGACGACGUAAAAAAAUAAAAUUAGUAACUUUCUCUACAUCAUCAUAGAGUUCUUGGAUGCUCUUCAUCCUCUGUGGCCUUUCACUUGAAAUCUGAUCUUGAGAAGAAGGAGAUACAAUAUUUGCUGGUAGGGUUGCAUCCUGUGCAGGUGUCAUGGUAUCAUGUUCUUCUUCAUCUCCAAAGUAUGAAAGAAAAUUAUAUGUUCUUUCUUCCUGAGCCUCCUGGCCAUCCCAAUUUCAUGACGCUUCUUCAUCAAACACUUUGCAUUAAUGGUCUUAAGAUUCAAAUGAAAUAAUCUAUUUUUUUUCUAUAUGCACUUUGGAAAUUAAAUUAUUACUUGAAUCUCCAAGUCAAAGAUGCAUAUUUUUCAUAUGAAUAUCAUAUCCUUUUUCAAGAAGUUGGCCCAAACUCAAAAUAUUAUUUUUUAGUUUUGGCACAUAGUAAACCUCAUUGAUCAAUUUGUGAUCACUAUUUUUACAGAAUAUCAAAAUCGUACCUAUUUCUUCAAUUUGAAUCUUUGAGGUAUCUACAAAAGACACAUUAACUCUCGUCGUCUUCUUGAUCUCCACAAACUUGUCUUCGUAUUCACACAUAUGAUUACUUGAUCCAUUAUCAAGAUACCAUGAACUGUAAUUACCUGUAUCAUUUUCUGUGAGUACCAUUAACAAUGUUGACUUAUCUUCUUCUUUAUUGUUGUCAACAAGGUUAGCUUUUUCUUCAACAUUACUACGAUAUUCCCAAGAGUAAUGUCCAAAUUUAUGAUAGUUGUAGCACUCGAUUUUAGAUUUUUCAUACCUCAUUUCAUUGAUACCUUGAUAAGUUCUACGUCCCCUUCCUCCUCGUUGUCCAUGACCACAACCUCUGAAUAUUUGGUGGUUUUUAUCUUCAUGGUUGAAUUUAUUGAUAUAACUCCUUCCUCUUCCACGACCUCCACGGCAGCCACGGCCUCGCCAUUAUCCAUUUCCUCUACAACUUUUUGCACCUCCAAAAUCUUUGAAGGAUGCUUGAGUUUUAAGAAGUUGCUCUAAUGGCUCUUCUUUUCUGCUUUUCAUUUUUUCUUCGUGGGCUUGUAAAGAACCUUCUAAUUGCUCUACUGUCAUAGAGUCUAAAUCUUUAGACUCUUCAAUAGCACACACCACAUAAUUAAAUUUGAGUGUUAAAGAGAGAAUGAUCUUUUCUACCGCACACAUCAUCUACUUCCUCUCCGUACCUUCUUAGUUGAUUCACAACAGACAUCACUCUUGAACAAAAAUCCAAAAUAGAUUCAGAUUCUUUUAUUUUUAAAACUUCAAAAUCAGCCCUUAGAGUUUGAAGUUUUACCUUCUUCACCUUAUCAACUCCUUGGAGAAAAUUUUGUAAAAUCUCCCAAGCUUCCUUCGAGGUGGUUGCAUUAGCCACCUUCUCAAACAUACCAUCAUCCAGACAUUGGUGGAUGAGAGUGAAGGCCUUUUGAUCUUUCUUCCUUGUCUUAAUCAAGACAUCUUUUUUAUUUUGAGACAGAGUCUCCUCAUUGGCGAGUUUUGUAUACCCUUUGUCUACAAUAUCCCAAAAAUCUUGAGAACCAAGAAUGACUUUCAUUCGUAGGCACCAUUUUUCAUAAUUUUCUUUUGCAAGAUGAGGGUACUGAAAAGACAGUGGACUAUUAUUUAUCAUCGCUCUGAUACCACAUUGUUGGAAAAAUAAAUAUUCCCACCCAGGAUAAUAUCCACACAAAAAAACAAUAACAAGAGAGUAACAACGAUACCAAAUAUUAUAUCGGGGUAAAUAAAAAACCCAAUGGAAUAAUACAAUAAUACUGAUUACAAAAUGGUAGUGUCAAAUAACAACUACUUUUAUAAAAGAAAUAAUUUUCUCACAGACUAUAGAAUAUAUGUGGAUUACUCUCUUUUUCUCUCUUUGUUUUGGUGUAUCUCAAAAUGAAACUGAAUUCAUCUAUUUAUAAAUGAAUGUCCAAGCUUUAAACAAUCAAAAUACAUGUUACAACACCAUGUCGCACCACCAAUUACCAACUUGAUCAUGUUGCAACAUCAACUUCCAAAUUCAUGUCACCACAUUAGGCAUAUUGCAACACUAAUUUUUUUUAUUUAAUUAUUUUUAAUCCCACAAUGUAUGGGUUUAAGGAACUUUUGUAACUUAAUUAUUAGAAAAUACAUAGUUUUUCAACUAAUUAAAGAUAUUAAGUGAUCCGUGUUUGUUUGUACAUAUACAACCCAACUUGCUCAAUCUUAGCCUAUUUAAUAAUUCCAACAGUGUACCUUAAGGUCGACUCAUGUUCUCUAAAAUAGUAAUUAUUUUGAUACAAGUGUAAAGUUUACUAGUAAUUCCAAGAUACAAGUGUAAAGUUUACUAGUAAUUCCUUAAAAAAGUGAAUUGAAUUUUUUGCCCUUUAUUAAAAAACUCCCCUUUAGACAAAAUUGUCUUUUCACCUUUUUCCUACAAUUAUUAUAUCAUUAUAUAUAUAAUAUCAACUCCUAAAGUAUAUGGGAAAAGUCCUAAAAUAUAUGGUAUAGGAAGAAUAUAUGAUAAGAUAUAAUUAAUGUAGACUCCUAAAAUAUAUAUAUGUUGGGAGGUUUCUUUUAACAUAUAUAAAUUGUAGAAAAAUUAUUAUUUCUAAAUAUUAGGAAAAAAUUUAGAACACUUAAAAAAAAUGGAUAUUAGGAAUUAAUUCCUUUUAAAAAGGAUACAAUUUUAAAAGACAAAAAGUCCCACGAGUAUUUUUUUUAAAGCCUUUUCUUCUAAAAAAAAAAAUAUUAUGAUAGAUAGUUAAGAUUUUAUUUAUAUCAAAUAAAAUUCUAAUUUAAAUUUUUGUCCCAAUAAACUUUGGUUAUUGAAAUUUUCCUUAUUUGAACAAAUUCUAAAUUUUAGAAUUUUGAUCUCAACUUUAGAUUAAAUCGUCUUUUCACUAUUUUUAUAAUAUUUAAUAGUUGAAAAUUAAUCAAAUAUUUAUAGUAAAAUCUUUUUUAUUAGAAGUCAUCAUCAUAAUUAAUGACAACUAAUAACUUUUUUGUUAGUUUAAAAUUCUAAAUCAACUAAAGUUGAUUUUAAGAAAAUCUGAAAAAUCUAGAAAGGAAUAUGAAAGCAUUAAAAUAAGAAAAAUUUUAAAUAUAGAAUAAAUAAAUAAAUAAAUAAAUAACGUACUACAAAUAUGGUUCAAAUCGAUGUGUCUCUCUUAGUCUCUAGCAAUAAAAAAAAAGAGAUACUACAUGACGAGCACAGAAGUGAUGAUCCAUUAAACACUUAAACUUUUGAUGGUAAAAUAUAUAUGUAUUUACAAUAAAAUAUAAGUUAUGUUUACAUUACUAUAUUAAAGUGUGAAAGAUUUUGGAGAUCACGUGAUUUGAACUUUUUACACGUCAUUAAAAAAAUUUGCAGUAGACAAAAUCUUCAAUUUUAAAUAAUUAUAAGUUACACAUGCGAGAAACGUGCUGUAAAACUAGUUAAUAUAUAAGUAUCUUUCCUGAUUUGAUUCUAAGAUAUAUUAUGAUAUAUGUGUAAGUACAAGUUAGUUUAGUUUGACUUACUUGAUUUCAAUAUUGUUACACUACUUGUCAUUAUAUACAUUUGAAUUUGAACUUAUCUAUAUAUACAUAUAUAUAUAUAUUCGAAUUGAGUUUGAACUUCACUUUAUUAUAUUUAUAGCUGAGCUCAAAAUGAUCAUGGCUUCAAACUACAUCUGUGAUAUCUAUCUUCAACUUUUAGUGAGGAUUACAUUUAGUAAAAUUUUAGCAACUAAGAUUAUAAAUGACACUUCAUAAGUUAGAAAAAGAUCCAUGACACACACCCCGUAUUUUCCUAGCAUAAUCUAAGUCCCUAUAUAUGAGUAGUCAUAUAUGAUAUUUUUGAAACACUCAUUAUUUUCCAGUUUAGAGCCUGCUAUUGUGUAAGAAAUUGAAUAAGCUUUCCAACGAUAUAAAAUUCGCCUAAAUCCGAUAACCUGGUAAGAAGUUAUGGCGAUUUAAAGUUUCAUUCGUUAAACACUAUCAUUUUAACCCUUAGUGCGUCGCGUAGGCAGCCCAAAUGACAAUUGUCAAUUUUCAGUGUGACUCCACGACUAUGGCGCAUCAUAGAGUAGGCCAAUUUCCCGUUUGUCAAUUUCCAGCGGGCAUUCGCGAUGUUGGUGUAUCGCGGAGGUGGCCAAAAUGGCAUCCAAAGGCUUACCGCGAUAAUGGUGUGUCGCGCCGUUAGCCUAGUUUCCAGUUGUCAGUUUCCAGUGACCUGGCACGAUAGCAUUGCGUCGUGCCAGGUGCCUAUUUCGAAAAAAUUUGAUGAAAAAUUAAUAUUUCGUUCAGGGAUAAAAUAGUCCUUUUUUUAUUAUUUUAGUCUGCCCAGGUGUGAUAUUUAAGCCCUAAAAAUAUUUUUAAAAUCAUUCUUUAAUUAAUUUCCCCCAAUUCAAAAGUCAUUCUCUCCCAAUUAAGAACCCUAGCUCUCAAAUUCAAGGUCAAUCCUCAAGCAUUCACCAAGAACUUCAAAAAAUCCAUCAAUUAAGGUAUGUUAGAUGUUCAUCCAUGGAUCUCUUUCAUUCAUGGAGUCCAAGCAACCUUUUUAAAUUAUAAAAUUAUGAUCUUUUCAUGUUAUUGUGUUUUAAAUUGAGAAUUUCACCCAUGAAUCUCCAUGAACUAUGAUUCUAUACUAUGUUACCAUGAAAUUAUUAUUAUUCAAUCCUUCAUGUUUUAAUAUUAUUAUUUAUUAAAUUAAACCAUGAUUUAAUACUAUUAUGAUGAAUUCAUGCUAUUUCUUCAAGUUUCAUGACAUUUCAAUGAUUAUUUUAAAACCAUGAACUACAAGUGUUUGAUAAAAUGCCUACAAGAGUGAUUUAUUUAUUAAGAGCCUUCAUGUUUUGGCCUUCAAGCUUUAGUGUCUUUUUAGUAUUGUUGUUUUGAGUCCUGGGGGUAUUGAGUACCCAAAAACCAUAGCUGUUUAUUUAGUCUAGCCUUAGUACAUUACAGAAUAGUCUUCAGAUUAUGCUAUGAGCAUUAUCAGAAUAGUCAGAUAUCAGUUAUUCAACUCAGAACAGUCUAGUACCUUAGUGUCUUUCAGUUGGGAGUAGUAUUUAGCACCGAGCGAGUGUAGAGAUGGCAGUUUCUCCAUCAGAUAGGCAGAAUCGUUAGUAAAAAUCCCUAUACUCCAGAACUAUGUAGCUAGCAUAGGAUAUGAGUAGUCACCCAUCAAAGUAGGCUUGACUAUCUCGCAGGGGUCACCCAUCAAUUCAGGCUUGACACCCUUAGUCCUUUGGAUAUUAUAUCAGUUUAGUAGAUCCACAUAGCCAUCGUUAGCACCCGUGUCAUGGAAUUAACACCCUUUCAACUGAGGUUACAGGUUGGACCCCGAUCAACUCAAAUUGGAGAAUGUCGAUUAGAUGAUACCUCCCACAGUUUUAGAUAUUAUCUUAGUUACAAUCCCAGCUCAGUUAUUCAGUCUUAGUAUUGUUUGACAAAAGCAUACAGAUUUUAGUUAUCUCAGUAUAUCAGUUUAUAGAUUUUACUCAGUUCAUGUUAUACACUUGGUCAUGCAUCCAUAGUAUUUACAGGUUUUCAUGCAUUAUCAGUAUCUACAGAUUCCAUGCUUUCUAUUCAGUACUCCUUGCUUUACAUGUAUAUCCAGUUAAUUAUUAUCAUUCCUCUUCAUGAGACCAUGCAUAUUAGCCUACCUCAUUUAGUAUACCAGUACAUUCAAAGUACUAAUCGCAUACCUUUUCUUUUGCGCUAUGAUGUCUCAUAUCAUAGGUGCUGACGCUCAGUUUCCGGAUCGCACCUAGAUUCUCAGAUUAUCAGCAUUACAGUAGUAGUGGUGAGUCCUUAUCAUUCGAGGAUAAAUUAUACUACUUUAUGUCUUUAUCUUAGUAGUUAUUAGGGUUAGUUGGGGCAUGUACCAUCAACUCACCGUAUCCAGUUUAUAGGCUUUUCAGACACUACAGUUAGCUAUUUAGACUAUUUAGAUUUUAGUAUUUUAUCAAAUUCAUAAUUCAGUAGUUAUUUCAUUAUUAAAACGUUAUAGUAUUUCAUUUAUUCUUCCACAUUCAUGAUUAUAUUAUUCAGUGCUCACAGCAGGUACCAGCCCAUGGGUUAGCUUGUGGUCUCUCAGGACUAUAAGCAUCGUGUAAUGACUAGGGGAUAGUCUCGGGUCAUUACAAACUUGGUAUCAGAGCCUAAGGUUUUAAAAUAUCCUAGGAAGUUUGAAAACCACGUCGAGUAGAGUCUUGUGCAUGGGUGUGUAGUGCGCCACACUUAUGGAUGAGAGGCUACAAGGUGUUUAGGAAUAAGUUUCCCUUCUUUCAAGUAUUCAUGUUGUGUGAUUGAGCAUGAUAUCACGUUAAACUCUUAAGUCUAAUCCAUUUCUUCCUUCCGUUUAAAGAACAUUCCUCCCAAGAAGAAUAAAAGAAGGACAGGAACUCAGCCAACCCCUCAGCCCAUCUAGGAAGAUCCUCUAGACGAGCAUCUCUCUUACACAGAAUUCAGGGUUGCAUUCACUACUCUAGAAGACUCCAUUACAGCACAGAAUAAACGUCCAACCAUUGUUCUAGCCAACCCAGUGGCUAAUAUUGCUGCAUCUAGAAUUCGGGAUUUUACCCGAAUGAAUCCUCCUUCUUUCACGAGAUCCAAGUUUGAAGAGUACCCACAGGGUUUUCCACGGCUUUCUUGGACAGAUUAUUUCCAUUAAAGUUAAGAGAGGCCAAAGUGUUAGAAUUUAUUAAUUUGAGGCAAGACAGCAUAAGUGUGAGGGAGUAUUCUCUCAAGUUCACUCAGUUAGCUAGAUAUGUUCCUCAUGUGAUAGCUGACAGUAGGUGCAAGAUAAGUAAGUUUAUGUCUAGCAUGUGUAAUAGUAUGGUCAAGGAGUGUAGGACCGUAAUGUUGAUUAGUGAGAUAGAUUUGUCUAGGCUGAUGGUCCAUGCUCAAUAGAUAGAGGAGCAAAAGAUUAAAAAGAGGGAGGGAGGAAAUAAAAGAGCUAGGAUGAGUAGUUUUAAUUUCAAUCAACCAAAGUUAGAAGGUGGUAACCAUCCUGAGUUCAUCAGAGGUCUUCAGCCCUAGUACCUUCUUUAGCCAGUGCCCCAAUACCCAAAUUCAAAAAUGGCAAUAGGGAUAGGGCACCAGGCUCUAAGUCCCAGGUCAGUGUUAGUAGUGCUCGUACCAAUCUUUUGUGUCUAUAGUAUGGAAGACACCAUCAGGGUGAGUAUAGAGCAGGUAAUGAUGUGUGUUUCGGGUAUGGCAAACCAGACCAUUGGAUUCGAGAGUGUCGGGUAGUUUCUCAUAAAGGUAGGGAUACACGCCAAUAGGGCCAGUCCUAUCAAUCGUCAGUUCUAUCCAGCCGCCCAACUCAGUAAGGUGCCACUACCAGUGCUACCAGUAGUCAGCGUCCAAACAGAUUAUAUGCUCUUUAGUCCCGCCAAGAUCAGGAAAAUUCUCCUAACGUAGUUACUGGUAUGUUACAGGUCUUUCACUUACAUGUUUAUACUUUACUAGACCCUGGAGCUUCUCUCUCUUUUGUAACUCCAUUUAUAGCUAUCAAUUUUGGAGUCAGUCCCAAAACUCUAGCAGAGCCCUUUUCAGUGUCUACCCCAGUAGGAAUUUCCAUUAUAGCCAGACAGGUAUACAGGAAUUGUCUGGUCACAAUAUCUCAAAAAGUUACCUCAGUUGAUCUCGUGGAGUUAGAGAUAACGAAUUUUGAUGUCAUUCUUGGCAUGGAUUGACUCCACUCAUGCUAUGCCUUAGUUGAUUGUAGAAAUAAAAUAGUUUAUUUCCAGUUACCAAAUAAACUAGUCCUUGAAUGGAGGGGUAGUACUAUAGCUCCUUGGGGUUAGUUAGUUUCAUACCUUAGAGCUAGAAAGAUGAUGUCCAAAGGGUGUGUCUACCAUCUUGAAUGAGUCAAAGACUCUAACUCAAAAACUCCUACUCUUGAGUCAGUCCCAGUAGUAAAUGAAUUCUCAGAUGUAUUUCCUGAAGAUCUUCUCGAGGUUCCUCCCAAAAAUAAAAUCAACUUUAGAAUAGACCUUCUCCCAGAUACUCAACCUAUAUCCAUUCCACCGUACAGAAUGGCUCUAGCUAAACUCAAAGAACUGAAAAAAUAGUUAAAGGAUCUCAUAGAUAAGGGAUUCAUCAGGCCCAGCGUCUCCCCGUAGGGCGCAUCUGUUCUAUUCGUGCAUAAGAAAGAUAAUUCUCUCAGAAUGUGCAUAGACUACCGUCAAUUGAACAAGGUCACAGUCAAGAAUAAAUAUCCACUUCCUAGAAUCGAUUACUUGUUCGACCAAUUUCAGGGUGCUAGUUAUUUUUCCAAGAUAGACCUCAAAUCAGGCUAUCAUCAGCUUAGAGUCAGAGAAUGUGAUAUUCCAAAAAUAGCUUUCCAAACUCGGUAUGGUCACUUCAAAUUUCUAGUCAUGUCCUUUGGUCUUACAAAUGCCCCAGUAGCCUUCAUGGACUUGAUGAACAUGAGUUCAAGCAAUACUUGGACAAGUUCAUCAUAGUAUUCAUUGAUGACAUUCUUGUUUAUUCUCUUAGAGAAAGAGAUCAUGCAGAUGAUAAAGCUUAAAUUACACUCUUGAAUGGGUGUAAGAGAUCGUUGUAAAUAUAAAACUCAACUAGGUUGGGGUCGAAUCCCACAGGGAAUAGGGUGUGAACUUUGAUUUGUUUACGAAAUGCUUUGCUAGUAGUUUACUGUUGCCGAAGGUGGGGGUUUAAAUUUCACAAAGAGUCAAUAAUCACUUUCAAUAUUUUAGUGUUGUAAUCAAUAUAAAUAAGAAUGGGUGUAAGCGAUCAUUGUCAAUAUAAAACCGAACAAGGUUGGGGUCGAAUCCCACAGGGAAUAGGGUGUGGACUUCGAUUUGUUUACGAAAUGAUUUACUGGUAGUUUACUAUUUCCAAAGGUGGGGGUUUAAAUUUCACAGAGAGUCAAUUGUCACUUUCAAUAUUUUAGUGUUGUAAUCAAUAUAAAUGAGAAACUAGAGUUAUGUUCACCAUGGGUAUUGGGAGUUAACAAAUUCUAGGUAAUGCUUGGGAUUCUUGAAGUAAGUAGAAACAACAGAAUAUCCUUGACUAUGAUACUUUCUGACUUAUAUUUCGACCUCACCAGAUAAUUUAUUAUCUAAUUCUCUCAAACUUACACAACUUAUCUAUUUCCAAUAGGAUGUUAUCUCAAAUAGAUUACUCCAGUUACUGGAUCAAUCAUUAAACAAAAGGUUGGUAGCUUCCGAGUCCCUAUUGAUAAUUCACAACCUCUAGUCUAUUUCUCUCUUAGAAGCAAAUAAAACCUAAGGCAUAAUCUAAUGUUUGCAACCACUAGAUUUCAGUUAAAACAACAGAAUUUUAAGACGUUCUACUACUCUUUGAAUCCGUUAAAACACCUAGUAUCAUAUCAAACCCUAAUCCAUGGAUCCCAUAACUCUGGCUAAUGGAAUUAGUCGCUCAUGAUUUGAUGAACGAACUAACAAGUUGAAUUCAUGAUGAUAAGGUUAAAAUUAUGAAUAGAUGAAAAAACAACAAGUAGUUCCUUCAAUUUAAUCACAAGGUGGAAAACCAAAAAUAGUUGAUAAGAAACAAGAAUAUUUAAUGAAAGAGAGCAAAAUAUGUCUCUCCUUUUAGAGCUAAUGUCUGAUAGAUAAUGAUGAAUGGAUAUUUAAAACCCUUAAAAGAUGAUAUUUAUACUAAAGCCUACUUAAGGAAAUAAAAUAACAAAAUUAAUAAAGUUCUCGCAAUAGAUGACGCCCAAGCUGAUGCCACGUCAGGGGUCUGACGCCCUAUCACAGAUAGCAUCAGAAAUGCUUCAUUUGCCUUCAAAAUUUGUCUUAGGAGGACAAUGUAGCUGACGCUGCAUCACGGAUCUAACGAUGUAUCACCAACAUCGUCAAAUUUUUUCUUCAAGGUCAAUUCUCUAGUUUAGGCUGACGCCCUUCGUGACACCUUAUCACCGUCUUGAUGCCUUAUCAUCGACAUCAUCAAAACUUUAUCUCAGGGUCAAGUUUUUGGUUAAGGCUGACGUAACUACUGAUAGCCUAUCACAAGGCUGACGACUUAUCAUGGAGGUCGUCAGCCAUGUUUUCUUCUCUUUUGCUCAGAUUUUCAACUCUUUUGCUCCAUUGUCGUAUAUUUUCAUUCCUUCAGCCUUUUACUUCAAUAAACAUGAGCAAACACAUCAAAACAAUAAGAGUUGCUUCAGGAUUCACAAUUAUUUUGAGCUAAAAAACAUUAAAUGUGUUAGCUUUUACUCACACAUCAACUCUCUUAACUUAAAAUAAUUGCUUGUCCUCAAGAAACAAACUAACUAAGAGAAUACAAAGAACAUUCAGUAGUCAACAACCAUUUUAGCUCAAAACUCAGUUACCACCUCCAAGGUCAACCAAUUUAAACUAUUGUGUAUCUUAUUGAAAAUCAGCAAUGUAACACAAAGGAUUCCAGCCAUGGCAUCAACUACAUACCAACAAUCAUGCUUAUAUCAAUAUGACACUAUCCAAACAAGUAAGUCACCUAGCAACAUACUAGUUUGCCCUCACAACAAAGAAUUUCUCCCUUUUUUUUCUCUCAUGAAAAGUCAAAAUAUAAGAAUGAGGAUAAUCACAAAAGCACUCACUCUCAGAAUGAGGUUCAAACCAAUGCAUGUCAAAUACCAUAUGCUUUCCCUUAUCAUCAUUACCAAAGUGUUUGGACCGGUAAGCUAGGAUCACUAUAGGUCUUUCUUUGGCUUGUAACAUAGGCUAGGGGCUGGUAUGAUAUUAGAUGGCAUUUAGAGUAACUAACCUCCUUGGCUCUACCUUAAUCUGUGGGGUCUACUUAUUAACCUCUUUUACUCUCUUUUCCUUUUCUUUUCUUUUUCUCUUUAUCACAAAUUCAGAAUAGGUGUGGUUUUUCUUUUUAUUCAAACACACUUCUUUUCUUGCUCUUUUUUACCAACACCCAAUUUUAUAUUUCUUUUUCACUUAUUCUUUUUCUUCUACUCUACCCAUCUUCAUACCCAAUUUACAUUGCAUACCCCUAUUAGCCACCCUCAACUUAGGUUGUUUACCUAAGUUAAGGUGCACAGUGUCCAAGGAGGACCAGGGCCAAAAUAGGUUCAUUAUGAUCUAAAAGGGAAGGUGAUAGGUAUCACAGAAAAAAACUGGUCAAUUCAGCUCAAACAGGGAUCAAGGGAUAUUAUGCAUUACGGCAAGGUCAUUUAGGCUAAUAGUGACUGAAAUUGGAAAAUGGCCUAUGAUCCUUUCCUAACCCCUAUCUUUCAAAUAUGGUAAGACAAACCACACAAGUUCUAGAUCCGGUAAUAAAAAAAGAGAACUCAGUAUAGUCUCACACACACAUGGAACACAAGCAAUAUCACUGGAUACUACCUAUUUGGUUCAUGAAAUUUUUCAGCAGUGAUGAUCAAGAAACUAAAAUAAUGCCAUGAUGAGAUGCACAAUGGUCACAUUAAGAUGCGAUUCACACAGCCAUACAAAACAAACCUUCGAAGAGGUGUUCAAAAUUACAAAAUUAGUUAACUGCCUACAGAACUUGCACUACUCCUAGUUAUUUAUAGAAUAUGCUACAACAAUAUGUUACCUUACACCCUCAACUUAAAAUCAAAACAAAAUAAAAUUAAGGGUUAGGGAAUACCUGGAGUCAAUCAAGUCUUAAAUCAUGCGUCCUCGACCCUGCAGCAUGUUAUCCUCAUUAGGAGUUUCUCUCUGCUUUGGUUCAGCUGCUCUGCUAGAUGAGGCUCCUAUAGCCCUCGCUCUCAGUGCUUCUUCCCAUUUCCAGUUGUCCUCUCGGGAUGCUUGCAUUGCUCUUUUCAAAUCCACUUUCUCUUGUUCUGUCAACUUAUCAUCUGCCUGCAGUGUCUUCUCUGCCUUCUUCUUCUUCUUUGAUUUUUUCUCGGCCUUACUCUUAUUAUCAUCAUCUUCUUGUCUCUUUCUCUUACCUUUUUCAGCUUCUUUGUCUUUUUUUUUCUUUUUUAUUGGCUCUACAAUGAGAUUAAGGAUUGGGGGUUCAUCAUCAGAUUCCUCAGCUGUCUGCCCUUCAGGCAUCAUAAACUGGUGUUAUUGUACCACCACCAUCUCAUCUUUUACCUUCUCUAAGGCCACUCUGAAUUUAGCGAUUUCUGCUCCAGUCAACUCUUAUGCCCUUACAUCAAAAUGGUUCUCUAGAUCUGCAACCUAUGCAGGCAAAGUAGUAAAGGAUUAAGAGCAGCCCUGAUUCUCUUAACUACAACAGCAAUAAACUACUCAGCAAAGGCACGUAGCUGUGUCUCACACUAUCUAGCCUGUUUGGACACUUUUCUAAUAUCAAUAGGCUGGGAUGCAGCUUUCUCUAGUGCUGUAAGAACUGAUGGACCUGGCUCAUCAUCAGGAGCUGAGCCUGUCUGUGUAGCCUCAAAAGCUUGCACCUCAACUUCAGGUACUGAAUUAGGGAUUGCAACUGAUGGGUUCACCUCAACCCUCACCUCUCUAUUAAGUGUCAGCCUUGGUUGAUUCUCCACAUAGCGAAUAGGGUUAUGGAUCUUGGUGGCAUAUAGUGUAUUAUCGAUUCUAGCAAUAUAUGGUACCCCUGCCUCUAUGCAUAGCCUAGUAAUCAGACAAGGGAAUGGAUAAGCAGUGUCAUACCUCAUUACCCGAAUCUUAAUCUCUUCAGCAAUAAUAUCCCCAAAAUUUAGCUUAAGGUUGGCCAUAAUACAUGCAAACAAUAUUGCUCGAUCAUCACCCAGAAUGUUAUCUCCGUCAGUCGGCAUCAAAUGGGUGCACACAAUACCCCACAAAAUUUUUUCCUCUUGAGUGAAAGAAGCCUUGUAAAUACGCUCACUAGGUCGGGUCAUCCAUAAAGGAUCUCCCUCAGCUAUAAGUGUAGCUAACCAAGGACGCUGGUCAUCUUUACUCUUCUAACGAUGGUAGAAUGCAGGAUUUAUGACCUAAGGAAUGAAGUUAGGUCCAUGUAGAACUCUGUUGAUAGUCAUAUUAGAAAUAUCUACAUUUACCCCAUGAACUGGAACUCUGUCAGCAAAAACUGGUUUGCUGUGGUCUCUCCACUCUUGCACAUGCUCUCUAAUCUAGCCUGGUAGUUCACAUAGAACUCCCAGACUACUGUAGGAUAAAAUAAUUUACCUUCCUUAGCAGUCCAUCCCAGCCCAUAAUCUUUGAAUUUCUUCUCAACUGUAGGAUACCUAGGCAAUCCUAUGAUGAUGACUCUCUUCUCUGGAAACACUGGCCGUCUGGUAGAUCUUCUUUUUGUUCGAAUCAAACCUUUGAGGAAGAUGUCAUCUGCUUUAGGAAUCUACCAUCUAGCAUUCUCUCAAACCUCCAGAUUCUUGCAUUUUAUCAAAGUUCCCCAAACUGGGGGUUCCUUCUCAGCUUGAUUCUCAGUCGAGGGACUUUCAGAGGAUGUUUCCUUAGAAUCAACUUUGUCAGACUCAGCAUAUUCUGCCUCCGAUUCUUCAGAUUCAGCCUUCUCAGACUCAGGUUGUUCGGACUCAGUUUGUUCAGAACCUUCUUGCUUAAAAGAUUCAAUCUUAGUUGGGGUGGUAGUCUCAGUAUCAUCACUAUCCUCCACCGCAAUGGGUUUAGGUGGAGGAGGUGCCUUUGGACUGGGUUUCUUUCUCUUUCACCUGAGUAGUGGUUCUUCAUCUUUGUAAUUAGAGUCUUCAUCAAUAAGCUUUCGAACCACCUUAGGCUUGUCAACUUUCUUUAAAGUGUUAGGAUUUUUUUUUAGGUGCCAUUAGAAUGUUCCUAGACCAUAAGACAAACACAAGUUAAUAAUCUAGGUAUAACAGUCAAAACAUGUUAUUCAAGUUCACUUAGCAUUAUCAUCUAACUUGUGACGACGUGCCUGAUAAGGCGUCACAUUUGUGAUAACCUAUUAGGUAUGUCGUCAGCCUUAAACAGAACUGGCAUACUUCUUUCAAACUUGUGACGAUAUUCCUGAUAAGGCAUCACAAUUUUGAUAGCCUAUCAGGUAGGCCAUCAGCCUUAUACAGUGAAUGCUCACUUUUUCCCAUUUGCUGACGAUGUAGCUGAUAAGGCGUCAGGCUUGUGAUAACCUAUCAACAAUGUCGUUAGCUCAAAUUUUUUCCCCCACUCAGUUUGCAUUCUUAAUUUUGGGACCAAAUUCUUCAUAUAAUCACAUGGAAUUUUUGGUUUUGUACUUAGGGUUUUCAAAUUUUUGCAAUUUAGGCACAACUUAACCUUAAUUUCUAAUUUCCAUGCUAUUACAACUUGAACUCAAGUUUCUCCUUUUUGAACAUCUUGUUUUCAACAAAUUUACCACUUCAAUGAAAGUAGAACAAAGUUAUAAGCAUACCUAUGAGUUGACUCCACUUGAUUACACGAGAGAGAGAAGAAAAGAUUGAGAGAUAGACUUUGAUUUUCCUUGCAAUCCUAAAACUAUCAGGAAGGAGGUUUCCUUGUAUACUUGGAAGUUGUUUGAAAGGAAGUAAAUAUCCUACUAAGGAAAUAAUAUAAUACUUAAAGAAGGAAACAAAAUAAAGCGGGAACUUGAAGGGUUUUGGAUCUGGGCCGGGUCGGAUUCGGAUCAAUUUGGGCCCAGAUUUUCAAAAUCUAAAUAAUGGUUGAUGACAACUUGUGAUAAACCAUCACCAAUGUGAUAGUUUAUCACGGAGGUCGCCAGCUUUAACAAAGAAGGUCUCACUUACUGGUCUUCUUGAUGACAUUGGUGAUAAGCCAUCACAGUAGUGAUAGCCUAUCACGAGUUUCGUCAAGACCACUUGUCUUGCAUUCUUCAGUUUUUACCUUGACCUUUUUGUACCUCUUCAGUUCCUUCCGAUUACUACCUAAAUGAAUAAAAACAAAAUGCAAGAAAAUAAAAUUUUGGGUUGCCUCCCAAUAGCGCUUGAUUUAGUAUCGCGGCACGACUUGGUUGUCUUGACUACUCAAACUUCGUCAAGAUACUGUAUCAAUACCUCAUUACCAUUUUCCUGAAAUACAUCUACAACCGAGAAAAUAUAUAUCUCCUCCAACUGCUUCAUAGGAGGUUGCAUUUUGAAUCUGGCCUCCUUUUUUCCAUACCUAAACUUGAACUCAUUGAGCAUUAUAUCAACCAAUACUCUUCCCGUGGCUAAUAAUGGUCUACCCAAAAUGAUGGGUAUCUUAAAAUCAACAUCAUAACCCAAUAUCACUAAAUCUACAGGCAAGAUAAAGUCAUCCACUUUUACCGGCACAUCAUGCAAUAUACCAAUUGCUCGCUUCACCGAUCUGUCUGUCAUAACAACACGCAUCAUUAUGGGGUAAGGCUCCCUCAAUCCAAACUUCUUGUAGAUAUCAAGCGACAUCAGAUUAAUACUUGCUCCUAAGUCACACAAAGCUUUGGUAAACUUCAUGGACCUAACUGUGCACGGUAUAGUAAAUGCUCCAGGGUCAGGCUUUUUCUGCACUAAGUAUUGUGAAGAAACGGAACUACAGUGGUGGAUUUUUUCCACCGGCUCACAACUUACUUUCCGCUUCUUUGUUAACAAUUCCUUCAUAAAUUUAGCAUAGUUUGGAAUUUGCUCAAGUGCCUCCAUCAAUGGCAUAUUCACUGUCAGUUGUUUCAGUAUUGCUAUGAACUUUCUAAAUUUCUCAUUAUCUUUUUUAUUUUUUAAUAUCUGAGGAAAUAGAGGUGGUGGUCUUGUCAUUUAUUUCAAUACCACUUCCCCUUUCUUUUCUUCUUCUUUCUCUAAAAUAUCAACAAAGCCAUCCAGCUUCUCAGACUCUAUUGGAUUGCGUUCUUUUGAUUUAUCAACACUUACCUUCUUCUUCACAGCUUUGCCCAUAGAAGGGCUAGAUAACAUCUUUCUACUCUGACUAGUAAUCUCCAUACAAGAGCCAUCAGUCCACAGAUUCUGAAUCGUAUCACUAGGUAAAGUACCAACUUUUCUCUGGUUUAUAGUAGCCAAAAGUUGGCUCAUCUGCUGCUCCAAUUGCUUAAUAGAAGCAGAGUGUGAGCUAACCAACUAACUGAUGGUAGAAAACUCACUUUUCAUAUUAGUUGCCCCCGAGUUGGUUGCCUCAACUCCCUUCAACAACUUUCUAUCAUGUCUUCCAUGGACAUCUUGCCAGAACGAGUUAUCGCAGCAUCCCGACUUCCAAGAGGAAUAUACAAACCACUCCUAUCAUUAUUAUUUGUCCAAUGUCCCUACUCCCUAUCUUUAUAAUCAGGCUUGUCAUAGAAAGUCCGACCUUGGUUCCCUUGGCUAUUGCCUCAAAAAAACCCCUGAUUACUCACAUAGUUUGCCUCAGCCUCAGCACCUAUAGACACAGUACCCUGAGAUUCCACAACCUUAACCAUCUCAGUCUUUCCGAAUAGAAAGCACUUAGUUAGCAAGUCCAUCUGUGUCGUCAAAUGGGCCAUGUACUGAUCUCGCUUCUCCUCUCUUCUAUGUUGCUUCAUAGUAAUAUCACCAGCAACAGUUAGGCUAGCCACUACAGAAUCCCUAGUGUGCCAAGAUCGACUCUGUUUGGUCAUUCUAUUCAACAUGUCGGAAGUAUCUAGAGAAGAGAGAUCAAUGAAUGAACUACCAGCACCGUUGUCAACAAUAGGCUUUUUCACAGAGUUGAAAUCUCUGUACAAAGUCUCCAUCAAGUGCAAAUCUAUCAUAUCAUGUUUCGGACAUUGUGCAUGUUUCUUCUUAAAUCUUUCCCAGGUUUCGUGCAGUGCUUCAGUCAGAAGCUGUUUGAAGUUGCUAAACUCAUCCCUCAACUGUACCUUUUUGGAGGGUGGAAAGAACCAUUCUAGGAAUGCAUCUUUCAACUAUCUCCAGUUGGUUAUAGAAUUGGGCUCUAAUUUAUUCAACUACAUUGUUGCCUCUCCAGACAGAGACAAUAGAAAUAAUUUGGAUCAUGGUACUUUUUAUGCUGAACUUUGCACUUGGUGCCAACAGUGGUGGAAUGAUAGCACUCGUCUCACUAGCUCCAUCCAUUCCUUCAUCAUCUUCAUCAGCCUCAUUUUUCAUAGGCUAUUGACCAUAUCUUUCACGGACUGGACGAUUCCUAUUGAUAUUUCGCUACAACGGUGAAACAACUAGCUCAACUCUCCUUGGGUUUUGAGGAUUCAGCAAUUCCUCAUCACCCAAGUCUUCAUCAUCAGGGUCUUGGUAACGUGCUUGUUGACUCAAAUUCUGCACAUUCACCUAAGCCCUGGCUAAAGCAGCUAGUCUUUUUGCUUCCUGUUGUUCAGCCAUUCUUCUAAUUAGUUGAGGUUUCGGAUUGUUUGGUAAUAGUGGUUCUCCAGAACUUCUCGUGCUUGGCAUAAACAACAUAGUACCUACAAUAAACAAAAACAACAAAUAAACAUAAAUCAAGGAAACUUAACUAUCAGUAAAUUUUCGUACACAAAAUUUUCAGUCUACAACUGUAUUCCCCGGCAAUGGUGCCAUUUUUGAUAACACUCAAAUUACACUCUUGAAUGGGUGUAAGCGAUCGUUGUCAAUAUAAAAACCAACUAGGUUGGGGUCGAAUCCCACAGGGAAUAGGGUGUGAACUUCGAUUUGUUUACAAAAUGCUUUACUGAUAGUUUACUGUUUCCAAAGGUAGGGGUUUAAAUUUCACAGAGAGUCAAUUGUCACUUUCAAUAUUUUAGUGUUGUAAUCAAUAUAAAUGAGAAACUAGAGUUAUGUUCACCAUGGGUAUUGGAAGUUAACAAAUACUAGGUAAUGCUUGGAAUUCUUGGAGUAAGUAGAAACAAUAGAAUAUCCUUGACUAUGAUACUUUCUGACUUAUCUCUCGACCUCACCAGACAAUUUAUUAUCUAAUUCUCUCAAACUUAGAUAACUUAUCUAUUUCCAAUAGGAUAUUAUCUCAGAUAGAUUAAUCUAGUUACGACAUCAAUCAUUAAACAGAAAGUUUGUAGCUUCCGAGUCCCUGUUGAUAAUUCACGACCUUUAGUUUAUUUCUCCGUUAUAAGCAACUAAAACCUAAGGCAUAAACUAAUGUUUGCAACUACUAGAUCUCAGUUAAAACAACAAAAUUUCAAGACGUUCUACUACUCUUUAAAUCCAUUGAACACUUAGAAUCAUAUCAAACCCUAAUCCAUGGAUCCCAUAACUCUGGCUAAUGGAAUUAGCCGCUCAUGAUUUGAUGAACGAAAUAAAAAGUUUAAUUCAUGAUGAUAAGGAUAAACUUACGAAUGGAUGAAAAAAAAACAAGUAGUUCCUUCAAUUUAAUCACAAGGUGGAAAACCAAAAAUAGUUGAUAAGAAACAAGAAUAUUUAAUGAAAGAGAGCAAAAUACAUCUCUCCUUUUAGAGUUAAUGUCCAAUAGAUAAUGAUGAAUGAAUAUUUAAAAACCCUAAAAGGUGUUAUUUAUACUAAAGCCUAAUUAAGGAAAUAAAAUAAAAAAAUUAACAAAGUUCUCGAAAUAGGUGACACCCAAAAUGACGCCACAUCAGGGGUCUGACGCCCUAUCACAGAUAGUGUCAAGAAUGCUUCAGUUGCCUUUAAAAUCUGUCUUAGGCUGAUGAUGUAGCUGAUGCCGCAUCACGGAUCUGACGGCGUAUCACCAACGUAAUCAGAUUUCUUCUUCAAGCUCAAUUCUCUGGUUUAGGCUAACGCCCUUCGUGAUGCCUUAUCACCGUCUUGAUGCCUUAUUACCGAUGUUGUCAGAACUUUCUCUCAGGCUCAAGUUUCUUGUUAAGGCUAAUGACUUAUCACGAAGGUCGUCAUCCAUAUUUUCUUCUCUUUUGCUCCAUUAUCAUUUAUUUUCAUUCCUUCAGCCUUUUACUAUAAUAUCAUAAGCAAACACAUUAAAACAACUAGAGUUGCUUCAGGAUUCACAAGUAUUUUGAGCUAAAAAGCAUUAAAUAUGUUAGCUUUUGCUCACACAUCAGCUGACCAUCUCAGCAUAGUACUUCAGACUCUUAGAGCCCAUCAGUUGUUUGCUAAAUUCAUUAAGUGUGAAUUUUGGCUAAGAUCAGUAGUUUUCUUUGGCCAUAUUUUUUUUGGUGAUGGCAUUAGAGUUGAUCCUUAAAAAGCUGAAGCGGUGAGAAACUAGCCUAGACCUAUCUCUCUAUCAGAUAUUAGUAGUUUCUUAGGUUAAGCUGGCUAUUACCGUCAGUUUUUUGAAGGGUUUUCUUUUAUUACAUCAGCCAUGUCUAGAUUGACUCAGAAGAAAGUUAAGUUUUAGUGGUCAAAUUCAUGCGAGAAGAGUUUUCAGGAGUUGAAGACUCGACUCACCUCAGCCCUAUUCUUGACUCUACCAGAUGGUUCAAAUGGUUUUGUUGUGUACUGUGAUACAUCCAGAAUAGGUUUGGGAUGUUUCCUCAUGCAAAGAGGUAAGGUCAUAGCCUACGCCUCCAAACAGCUUAAGCCUCAUGAGAAAAAUUAUCUGACUUAUGAUCUUGAGCUAGUAGCGAUGGUAUUUGCCUUAAAGAUUUGGAGGCAUUACUUGUAUGAGGUGCAUGUAGAUGUGCCUACAGAUCACAAAAGCCUUCAGUAUGUGCUCUCUCAGAAAGAUUUAAAUUUGCAUUAAAGAAGAUGGUUAGAGCUAUUGAAGAAUUAUGACAUGAGUGUUCUGUAUCAUCCAAGUAAGGACAAUGUAGUGGCUGAUGCUCUCAGUAGAAUGUCUAUGGGUAGUGUAGCUCAUGUUGAGGAUGGUAAGAAGAAGUUAGCUUAGGAAGUUCAUCAUCUUACUCGACUAGGUGUUCGUUUACUCAAUUCAGCAGAAGGUAGUGUAUGGGUGCAGAGUAGCUCAGAGACAUCUCUACUUUUUGAGGUAAAGAAAAAGCAGGAUAGAGAUCCCAGUCUAGUUAAGUUGAAAAAAUCAGUCAAAAAUCAUAAAGUGAAGGUUUUCUCCCAAGAGGGAGAUGGUAUUUUGCGUUGUCAGGGUAGAUUGUGUGUGCAUAGUGUAGAUGAGUUGAGGCAAUGAAUUCUUGCAGAAGUGCAUGGUACGUGUUACUCUAUUCAUUCAGGGGCCACUAAGAUAUACCACGAUUUGCGAGAGAUUUAUUGGUGGAGUGGGAUGAAGAGAGAUAUUGCAAAGUCUAUAGCUAAGUGCUCUAAAUGCCAGCAAGUUAAGAUUGAGCACCAGAAGCCUAGUAGGUCCAUGCAGGAGUUCAGUAUUCCUAUGUGGAAAUGGGAGGAAGUGAACAUGGACUUUGUGAUAGGUUUUCCUCAUACCUGUCAUCAGUAUGACUCUAUUUGGGUUAUCUUAGACAGGAUAACCAAAUCAGCUCAUUUCUUGCUAGUCCAAACCUCUUAAUCAGCCGAGGACUAUGCCAAACUCUUAUCUCAGAGAGUUAGUUAGGUUGCACGGUGAUCCCUUAUCUAUCAUCUUAGAUAGAGGUACCCAGUUUAUGUCUCAUUUCUAGAAAGUAUUCCAAAAGGGUCUUGGUACCCAAGUCCACCUCAGUACAACCUUUCACCCUCAGAUAGACGGUCAAGCAGAACAGACCAUUCAGACUCAUGAGGAUAUGCUGAGAUCAUGUGUUGUUUAUUUCAAGGAUAGUUGGGAUGACCAUUUGCCUUUGAUUGAAUUUGCAUACAAUAACAACUAUCAUUCCAGUAUCUGUAUGGCUUCAUUUGAAACUCUUUAUGGUAGGAGAUGUAGAUCUCCAAUUAGUUGGUUUGAAGUAGGUGAGGCCGCAGUAGUACGGUUUGAAUUGGUGUUUGAUGCAUUAGAGAAGGUUCAGUUGAUCAGAGAAAGGCUUAGGGCUAACCAGAGCCGAUAGAAAUCGUAUGUCGAUGUGAGAAAAAAGGAUCUCGAGUUUAAGGUCGGUGAUCUUGUGUUCUUAAAAAUCUCUCCCAUGAAAGGAGUGAGGAGAUUCAGCAAGAAAGGGAAACUCAGUCCUUGAUAUCUCUGUCUCUUCAGAAUCUUCAGUCAUUUCGGAAAGGUAGCUUACGAGAUAGAGUUGCCUUCAGAUUUAGCCUUGUUACACCCAGUGUUUCAUAUCUUAUUGUUGAAAAAGUGUAUUGGUGAUCCAACUAUAGUUGUUCCCUUAGAAAGUAUAGAUAUUCAGAACAGUCUUUCCUAUGAAGAAGUUCCAGUUGAAAUUUUUGAUCACCAAGGUCAUAGACUAAGAAACAAAGAAGUUUCAUUAGUUAAAGUUCUUUGGUGAAAUUAGUCCGUUGAGGGAGCUACUUGGGAAGAAAAGGCAGAUAUGCGGACCAAGUACCCUCAUCUCUUCUUCGAUAAUCCAAAUUCAAUAUAAGGUACCAAAUCUUUGAAAGAUUUUUCUCUAUUAUGCUCAGUUACAGUUGCACAUCAUGUUCAUGUCAGUCAUGCAUUCAUAAACCAGUUCAGUCAUGCAUUCCAUGCAUCAGACAUGUAUAUUCAGUGUGUAAGCUCAGUCCAUCAGUUCCCUCAGCUCAACCAAUUUCAUUCAAUAACGAAGGAUCCCAAGGGAGAGAUAUUGUAACACCUCGUAUUUCCCUAGCAUAAUCUAAGUCCCUAUACAUGAGUAGUCAUAUAUGAUAUUUUCAAACACUUAUUAUUUUCCAGUUUAGAGCCUUUCAUUGUGUAGGAAAUUGAAUUAUCUUUCUAAUAAUAUAAAAUUUGCCUAAAUUUGAUAAUCGGGUAAAAAGUUAUGGCGAUUUAAAGUUUCACUUGUUAAACACCGGCAUUUUAACCCUUAGCGCAUCGCGUAGGGAUCCCAAAUGACAAUUGUCAAUUUCCAGUGUGACUUUGUGAUCAUGGCGCAUCGCGAAGUAGGCCAAUUUCCAGUUUGUCAAUUUUUAGUGUGCCUCCACGAUGUUGGUGCGUCGCAGAGGUGACCAAAAUGGCAUCCAAAGGCUUACCGCGAUAAUGGCGCUUCGCGCCAUCAGCACAGUUCCCAGUUGUCAAUUUUCAGUGACACGGAGUAAAAGCACCGUGUCGCGCCAGAUGCCCAUUUCAAAAAAAUUCGACGAAAAAUUAAUAUUUUGUUCAGGGACAAAACAGUCCUUUCCCUAUUAUUUUAGUCCGCCUAGGUGGGAUAUUUAAGCCCUAAAAAUGUUUUUAAAAUCAUUCUUUAAUUAAUUUCCCCCAAAUCAAAAGGCAUUCUCUCCCAAUCAAGAACCCUAACUCUCAAAUUCAAGGUCAAUCCUCAAGCAUUCACCAAGAACUUCAAGAAAUCAAUCAGUUAAGGUAUUUUAGAUGCUUAUCCAUGGAUUCCUUUCAUCCACGGAGUCCAAGCAACCUUUUUAAAUUAUAAAAUUGUGAUCUUUUCAAGUUAUUGUAUUUUAAAUUGGGGAUUUCACCCAUGAAUCUCCACGAACUAUGAUUCUAUACCAUGUUACAAUGAAAUUAUUGUUAUUAUUCAAUCAUCCAUGUUUUAAUAUUAUUAUUUAUUGAAUUAAACCAUGAUUUAAUGUUAUUGUGAUGAAUUCAUGCUAUUUAUACAAGCUCCAUGACAUUCCUAUGAUUGUUUUAAAACCAUGAACUACAAGUUUUUGAUAAAAUGCCUACAAGAGUGAUUUAUUUAUUAAGAGCCUUCAUGCUUUGGCCUUCAAGCUUUAGUGUCUUUUCAGUAUUGUUGUUUUGAGUCCUGGGGGUGUCGAAUACCCAAAAACCAUAGUUGUUUAUCUAGUCUAGCCUUAGUACAUUACAGAAUAGUCUUCAGAUUAUAUUAUGAGCAUUAUCAGAAGAGUCAGAUAUCAGUUAUUCAACUCAGAACAGUCUAGUACCUUAGUGUCCUUCAGUUGGGAGUAGGAUUUAGCACCGAGCGAGUGUAGGGAUGGUUGCUUCCCCAUUAGAUAGGAAGAGUCGUUAGUAGCAGCCGCUAUACUACAAAACUAUGUAUCCAUUAUAGGAUAUGAGUAGUCACCCAUCGGACUAGGCUAGACUAUCUCUCAGGGGUCACCCAGCAGUUCAAGCUUGACACCCUUAGUCCUUUGGACAUUAUAUCAGUUUAGUGGAUCCACACAACCAUCGUUAGUACCCAUGGCACGGUAUUAACACCCUUCCAACUGGGUUAUAGGUUGGACCCCAAUUAGCUCAAAUUGGGGAAUGUCGAUUAGAUGAUACCCCCCACAAUCUCGGAUAUAGUCUCAGUUACAGUCCCAGCUCAGUUAUUCAGUCUUAGUGUUGUUUUAAAAAAGCAUACAGAUUUUAGUUAUCUCAGUAUAUCAGUUUACAAAUUUUACUCAGUUCAUCUUAUAUGCUUGGUCAUGCAUCCACAGUAUUUAUAGAUUUUUAUGCAUUAUCAGUAUCUACAGAUUUUAUGUUUUCUAUUCAGUACUCCAUGCUUUACAUGUAUGUCCAGUUAAUUAUUAUCAUUCCUAUUCAUGAGACCAUGCAUAUCAGCCUAUCUCAUUUAGCAUACCAGUAUAUUCAAAGUAUUGAUCGCAUACCUUUUCUUUUGCGCUAUCAUGUCUCAUAUCAUAGGUGCUGACGCUUAGUUCCUGGAUCACACCUAGAUUCUCAGAUUAUCGGCAGUACAGUUGUAGUGGUGAGUCUUCAUCAUCCAAGGAUAGAUUAUACUACUUUAUGCCUUUAUCUCGGUAGUUAGUAGAGUUAGUUAGGGCCUAUACCAUCAACUAACUGCAUCCAUUUUAGAGGCUUUUCAGACAAUACAGUUAGCUAUUCAGACUAUUCAUAUUUUAGUAUUUUUAUCUGAUUCAUAAUUUAGUAGUUAUUUCAUUAUUAAAACCUUAUGGUAUUUUAGUUAUUCUUCCACAUUCAUGAUUAUAUUAUUCAGUGCUCACAACAGGUACCAACUCAUAGGUUAGCUUGUGGUCUCUCAAAAAUGUAAGCACCGUGUAACGACUAGGGGGUAGUCUCGGGUCAUUACAUCUCACCUCUGAAACAUCAAACCAACCCACUGGGGAGUGACAACACUUACCAUACAAUGCAUCAAAAUGAUCCAUUUCAAUACUGGAAUGGUAACUAUUAUUAUGUGCAAACUCUGCUAAAGCCAAAACCUGCUCCCAUUGGCCACCAAAAUCCAUUAAACAUGCAUGGAGCAUUUCCAAAACCUGGAUAGUCCGCUUUGAAUGGCCAUCAGUUUGGGGUGAAAUGCUAUGCUAAGAUCAACCCAAGUACCCAACUCAUCCUGAAAAGUCUUCCAAAAGUGAGAUGUGAACACAAAACCUUAGUCUGAAAUAAUGGACACCAACGCACCAAGCAGACACAUAAUCUCAUGAAUAAUGAUAGGGGCUAACCUCUUAGCAAUUAAUGAGACCUAAACCAGAAUAAAAUAAACUAACUUGGUCAAUAGAUCUACGAUGACCCAAACACUGUCAGAACUAUGAGAUGUACAAGGAAAACCUGUCACAAAGUCCAUAGUGAUCCGUUCCCACUUUCACUUGCGAAUGAGAAACCUCUGAAGCAAUCCACUAGGUCUCAUAUGCUCGGACUUCACCUGCUGGCAAUAAAGGUAACGAGCUAUGAAGUCCGCCAUAUAUUACCUCAUUCCACCCUACCGGUAGUGUUGUCUCAAAUCAUGAUACAUCUUAGUCAUACCUGGAUGAAUAGAAUAUCUGGAACAAUAGGCCUCCUCUAAGAUCAAGCUAAUCCAAUCACCCAUUGGACACAAACUCAGCCUCCAACCCAUAAAACUCCAUCUAAAUCAAGUGAGGCUUCCUUAGCCUUCUCACUCCACACCUUAUCUCAAAUUAACCUUCAUCCAACAUUAUCAAACUGAUGAGCUUAAAUAUAUUCCAUCAAAGAAGAUCUAGCCUCCACAAAACCCAAAACAUACUCAAGUGUCGAAAUAUCAAGCCUAACCAUCUGGUUAGCUAAAAUCUGAACCUCUAAGACGAAAAGCCUCUCCUGGGUCAAAAGAUACACCAAGCUACCCAUGCUAGUUGACUUUCGGCUCAAGUCAUCUGCAACCACAUUAGCUUUGCCCGAAUGAUAGAGAAUAGUCAAGUCAUAAUCCUUAAGAAACUCAAGACAACGACGCUGCCUCAUAUUAAGAUCUCGCUGGGUGGCGAAGUACUGAAGGCUACGAUGAUCUGAGAAGAUCUCACAAAAAACUCCAUACAAGUAGUGCCUCUACAACUUUAAGGCAAACACAACUGCGCACAACUCCAAAUCAUGGGUAGAAUAAUUCCUCUAAUGAGGCUUCAACUGACGAGACGCAUACGUAAUCACCUUGCCCUCCUACAUAACCACAACACCCAAAUCAACUCCGAAAAUAUCAUAAAACACGAAAAAGCCCACGCUCUCCUUGGGAAAAGCCAAUAUAGGAAUUAAAGUCAACAAAUCCUUAAGCUUUUGGAAGCUCGCCUCACAAGUAUCGAACCACUGAAAAGAAAUCUUCUUCUAGGUCAACUUGAUCAAUGGAGCUGCAAUAGAUGAAAAACCCUUGACAAAACAUCGAUAAUAGCCUGCUAAUCCAACAAAACUCUGAAUCUCAAUGGGCGAAGUAGGUCUAGCCUAAUAACAAACUGUGGCAAUCUUGGUUGGAUCAAUUAUAAUACCUUCCUUAGUCACCACAUGCUCCAAGAAAAAAAAAACAGACUUCAACCAAAACUCACACUUAGAGAACUUCGCAUACAACUUCUCAUCCCUCAAUAUCUGAACCAUAGUCCACAAAUACUCCUCAUGCUCCCUCCCUCUAGGAAUACAUCAAGAUAUCAUUUAUAAAUACAAUAAUAAAUGAGUCAAGAUACGAUUAAAACACUCGGCUCAUCAACUUCAUAAAUGCGGUAGAGGUAUUGAUCAACCCGAAGGACAUGACCAAGAACUCAUAAUAACCAUAUCGAGUAUGAAAAGCUAUCUUUGAAAUAUCUGAAGCUCUAAUCCUCAACUGGUGAUAACUAGACUGCAAAUCAAUCUUGGAAAACACUGCAGUGCCCUGAAGCUGAUCAAACAAAUUAUCGAUGCGAGGAAGAGGAUACUUAUUCUUAACCAUCAGCUUAUUCAAUUGUCGAUAAUUAAUGCACAUCCGCAUAGAUCCAUCCCUUUUUCUUCACAAAUAAGAUAGGGGCACUCCAAGGUGAAUCACCAGGUCGAAUAAAUCCCUUAUCUAACAACUCCUACAACUGAUCAUUCAAUUCCUUCAACUCUGCUGGGGCCAUCCUAUAAGUAGGGAUGGAAAUAGGCUUGGUUCCCAACUCAACAUCAAUAAUAAAAUCAAUAUCUCAAUUCGAAGGCAUACUAGGCAAGUCAGUAGGGAACACAACCAUAAACUCACGAACAACACAAAUAGAAUCCAAGAAAGGAGGCAAAACAACGUUGGUAUCACAAAUAAGAGUCAAGAAUGACAAACAUCCCCUCUCAACUAAUUUACAAGCCUGAACAUAAGAUAUAAUCCUCUUAGGAAUCGAACGAAGAGUACCCUUUCAACCUAUCUUUGGCAUACCUGGGGAAGCUAAAGUCACAGUCUUAGCAAAAUAAUCUAAGACAAUAUGAUAAGAAGCCAACUAAUUCAUACCCAAAAUAAUAUCAGAAUCAACCAUAUCUAACACAAUCAAGUCUACCAAAGUCUCAUGCCCAGCAUAAGUCACAACACAAUAUCGGCACACUCGAUCCACCACUAAAGAAUUACCUACUGGGGUAGAUACAUAAAUAGGCAUGGCAAGAGACUCAUUAACAAAAUUAAAAUCCAAAGAAAAAUAUAUAGACAUAUAGGAAAAAGUAGAUUUGGGAUCAAAUAAUACAGAUGCCAGUUUGAAACAAAUAGGGAUGAUACCAGUAAUCACAACAUCAGAAGCCUGUGCCUCAGGUCAGGCUGGUAUAGCAUAACACUAACCACGACCACCUACUACUUAAGUGGCCCCACGGCCACCCUUAUGACCUCCAUUGCCGCUAUCUUUCACACCUCUGGUAGCACCCCUACCCCUCACAGCUGAAAUAAGAGUAGCUUUAAAUCAUGGCAAGGACAGUCCUUGGCCAUAUACCAGUCUUACCACGCACAUAGCAACCUCUAUGACCAGUAUCAACAGAAUAAGGCACAACUAGGCCUGAACAGCCACCCUGAACUGCUGAACUAGAAGGUACAACACCUGAACUCUAUAAGGCCGCCUGCACUAGCAUAUAUUAUCCACGGGAACCAUUAAAAUCUCUACAAUAGGGAGACUGACCUCUGAACUUACAAAAAUAAUGUGCCUUCUUGGCGCCACCCUGAGAUACUUGAAGAAUAUCCUCUGUCAUCUUAGCAUGAUCCAUAAUACUUUGAAAGAAAGCCCUAAGCACAACCAUCUGAGAUAUAGACAACUAAAGAAAGACAUCCAAACCUUUUACAAACUUCUGAGUCUUCUCAGUCUGGAUGGAAAUACUAUCAUAGGAAUAUCUGGACAAGGCAGGGACAUAUGCCUCUUACUCAGCAACUGUCAUGGAGCCCUUCUCCAAAUGAUCAAACUCGUCCCACAUACGAUCUCUAAAACUGAAAGACACAAAUCUCUCUAGAAAGACAUCAACAAACUGAUCCGAUGACAACUCAGGAGCAUCAACAAGCCUACAACUGAUAAAUAAUCUCUAUCAAUAUCUCACAGUAUCUCUCAACUAAUAGUAGUAUAAGCCCAAUUCAUGCAGAAAGAGUGAAACACAACGUAGAAUACAAGGUAUAAAAGAACUUUGCACGAUAAAGAAUAAAAUAAGGAAAGUUUCCUAAUGACUUCCUAUAGCCUCUCGAAGAUAGAUACGGACACCUACGUACAAAUCUGUAAGACUCUAUUAGGCAUCUCAUUCUUACAUUGUUAAGACCAAUGAAACCUGGCUGCUCUAAUAUCCAUUUGUCACGACCCAAAAACGAGGGUGAUGAUAGCACUUUUUACGACGUACCUUGACAAGUAAGCCUAUCACCUAAACAGAUACAAAAAGAAAAAAAGGUAGAAAUAUCCCAAGAUAAGGCUUCUAGAAUGAAGCCAAACUAUAUAAGUAAUCAUAACAAUGCGAAAAGAACUUAUCCAAAAUACCAAUCAUGCCCAAAACUAGGUGUCAAUAGUGUAAGAACUACUAAUACAAUCCAAGAGUCAAAUACAUCAAAAACUAACCCAAAGGAAUAAUAACUGUCUCCGAAUACUAAUAAAGACAUAACUACUAUAGAAAGAUAGAGGUGAACUUCGAAUGCAUGAAUGUCCAACUGCUACCUUGGAAGCUCCGACUAUCGCUUGAGUUAAGCAAGUUGAGGCACACUCAAGCUAAGACUGGCACUGCAAGGGCGUAUUAGGCAUGAGUAAAGUCCAUUUGUACUCAGUAGGUAUCAUAGGCCAACCAAGCAAAGUAGUAAAUAAAGCAUACAAAAUAUACACUAAAGGCACGUCACUUGCAAUCAGAAAAUAUCCCACAAUGGUAGCCCACACUGCUUGCACUAACAAUUCUAAUAUAUCUCACAUUUAUUGCAACAUCACACCAAGAUAGAACAAAAAUAUGUAUUAUAUCUCAUAUAAGAAGAACAAGGGGGAACAUUCAUAUAUAAGAUCAUCAGAUACAAGUAAAAGAAGAUACGAUAAAUAUAUAGAUGACAAGUCAAUAUGCCAAUACAACACAACAUAACAUAAUAAAGUAACUGCAAUGUAUAUAAUGAUGAUGAUGAUGCACGAGGUUAUCGCACAACCUCCGAGAUCAUCGCACAAUCCCCAUAUAUACCUACGGAGCUAAAGCUUCCCAACGUAGGAUUCAUGAGGAGUUUGUCAACCCGUAUACAAUCCACAUAUCUCAUAUCUCCUUUCUGGCACAUCCCUUGGAAAGGUUUUUAUAAGGCGUUACAAUAUCUCUUCCCGGCACAUCUCUUGGGGAGGGUUUUAAAAAAAUGCUGCUAAUGUUUCUCAGAUGUUGUAGUGUUUCUCAGAUGUUGCCACGGUGGUACCAAUGUUUCAUGAAUGAGCAUGAUAUAAGGAUGUAAUGAUCGCAACCAAUCACAAUGAGUAUUUUUACAACCAACCACAAUGAUAUAUUUCCACAACUACGUGAGCCAAUAUCCACUCAUUAUUUUAGUUUUAUUUAUGAAUUUCCAUCUGUCUCAUAUGCCAAAUAAAAUAUAAAUAUAAUCAUAAUAUAAAAAUAACACCAUAUUAAGCAUAUUAAAAACACAAUACAAUUAUUCAUAUAUAUUCAAGGCUAUUAAUAUCAUAUAGGACCCCACACAGUCACACAUAUCAUAUAAUAACUCAAUUUCGACAAUUACAUUCCAUAUAGGCCCCUACACGACAACACAUAAAUAGCCUUUUUCAUGAUUAGUUCGCACUCUUAACAUGCAUUGUGUAUUAUCAUUUACUACCCAACCCAGUCUGAAAGAGUUAAGCCAUAACCUACCUCAAAAGCCAAAAUCAAUCCACUACACUUGAACCCGCGAUCUUACUUUCAUGAACAAUCCCAAACUUCAUUAAAAAUAUCAAAUAUGAAAUCUACGCGUCAAAACAAAAGCAAUGACACUCAUAUUAACUACUUUUGGUUCGGGGUCAAAACGGACCUUCAAAAUGGAUUUCUAAAAAACAAGGUCAAAAUCAGAACUUUACUUCAAAAAUAUGUUCCCCAUAUUUUUAGGAAUUUCCAGCUGAAAACCCAAGACAAAUUGAGUCAAAUACGAGGUUCAAAUAAAAGAAAAAAUAUUUUUAAGCUUUACCGGAUAAAUUUUUUGAAAUCUGGGUUAAAAUAAAGUAUCGGAGUUGUUUGGCAGGUUAAAUUGAUGAAAAACUAGUAAUUAUAAGAUAAAAACAUUAUUCAAGUGAAAAAAAAAAGAAAAAAUGGAGUUCAAAAUCAAGCUCUAAGAUUUUUGGGGUUUUGAGAAAUUAAUUAAGAAAUUAGUAAGAAAAGGGUGAAUUCUUACCUUAAAUUCGUAAUAACACCAAGAAAUAGGUGUUAAUCUACCUUCUCAAGCUUCCACAAACUUUACUUUUGAGCUCCCACACUAUUUGAGGAUUUAACUCUCAAGAGGCAAGAUGCAAAAUGAACAAAAUGGACCCAAAAACUUCUAUAAAUAAUGCAAAUUUUUUGCACCAGCUACAGCAAAAAGUUGCUUUUUAUAAGUCCAAUUCGAACUUCGAUUGGGUGUCCUGGAUUCGUUCGGAGUCCGAUUUAUGCAAACGAACUAUGCAACCAUACUAAAUUUGACAUUUCGAAUGUGUUGGCAAAGUCAUAUUUUUGAAAAAAUAUCAUUUUCACAAAGUUGACCCGCAAAACCCGAAAUCAUAAUUUUUCAAACCGAGGGUCGAAAUGAGAUUUAAAAAUUGUAAAAUCAUACCAAACAUGAUAACACCGUAAAUUUGAUAUUUUAGAUCUGCUAACGAAGUUAAAUUUUUCAUCCGAGGUCGUUUCAACCAAAUGUGGGUCCCACACUCAUAUUUUUAAUUUUUCAACUUUUCGACCAAUAGGUCGAAAUGAGCUCGAGUGCACCAAGACCUGAGCCAAAGGUCUACCUAGCCUAAAAUUGAUAUUACGGAACUGCUGGCGUAGUCCAUUUGGCCAUCCGUCAUACGGAUCAAAAGAUAUCCACAUAAUUCCAAAAUAAGGCUCUCGAAGCCAUCAAAAACCACAAUAUUACAUAAAUGAUACCAAAAUGCAUUAAAAUCUUGUCAAUCACUGCCAUACCUCAGAAAUACCAUAAUACAACCACGGUGAGGGGUAAAACAUUCAAAUCACAUAAAAUCACAAAUUUUACAUAUUUUAUCAAAUUUUUAGGUCGUUACAAUUUCUAGAAGUACUUGUCAGGCCGAUAUUUUUAGACUCCAAGCACAAUAUAUUUAUUAUUUAUCUACAUUAUUAAAAAUAUUUAAUGUAGAAUUUUUCUAACUUCCAAUGUUGGUCGUGCUGUUAAUAAAAAUGAUUAUUUAACCAUUACUUGUCAUUUGAUAGAUAAUAAUUUUAUUAUGCAAAAAAGUAUUCUAGCUUUUUUGUAUGAUGAAGAUCGUAGACAUACUGAAAAAAUUAUUUUUGAAUCUAUUACUAAAAUUACAGAAUAUUAUGGUAUUCAAAAAUAAAAUUAUGUAUUGCUUUUGAUAAUGCAUCUAACAACAAGGUUGCUAUUGACAAGUUAAAAACUGACUUUUCUCCGUCGUUACCUGAAAUAUUUCAUGUUAAGUAUGUUUGUCAUAUAUAUAGCUUAAUUGUAAAAGAUGGUCUUGAAUUUUUUUGGCUUUAUAUUGAAAAGGUCUGGCUUGUUGUUGGCUUUAUUCAAGGAAAUCAUCGAAAAAAGAGUAAAAGAAUUUAAAGUUAAAUGCGAACAAAAUGGACUUAGACCAAUAUUAAUGCCUGAAGAAUGUCAUACUAGAUGGAAUGCUACUUAUACUUAUUUAAAAACUUGUCUUGCAUAUAAAGUUUCUAUUACAAUGACUUUUAAUCAAUAUUCUAGUUCUUUUCCUGAGUGUAUGCUACAUGAUUCUGAUUGGGCUGCAGUUGAUAAUCUUGUUAAGUUUUUGAAAAAAAAUUAUAUAUCUACGGUUGAAUUUUUCGGUGCUUAUUAUCCUACUGUUUGCUAUAUUUUAGCUUAUUUAGCCGACAUUUCUUGUUUGGUUAAAGAAUAUAAGAAUAGAAAAGGUUACAAAGAAGCUGGUAGUGCUAUGUUUGCUAAAUUUAAAAAAUAUUUUUAUCCGCUUCCCUCAAUUUAUUUGGUUGGUGUUAUACUAAAUCCAUGUAUGAAAUAUAAUACAAUGUGCGACUUUAGUUAUAUUAUUUAUACUUCCUUAGAGAUAGAGCCUGAAGAAAAAUCAUAUUUGUUUACGGCUAUGAGUGAUGCAAACAUUUACAUAAAAGCAUUAUAUAACCAUUAUGCCGAUUUACUUGAUGUAGUUGUACCAACAAAUAUCAGUCCAACUAUUGCUCCCGAGGAGCCAUCAUCUUCUAAAAUGUCGGUACAUAGUGAUUUUUCUGAUUACUUUUAUGAUUUAAAUAUUUAGGACAGGGUUAAGACUUCAACAUACACAACAACUUCUCGGGAAGAGAUUAAUUAUUAUCUUCGAAAACCGAUAAAGAAUCGUAGAGCAAGGAUCAAUGCGUUGGAUUGGUGAAAGAAUAAUGAAAGAUAAUAUCCUGUGGUUUCAAGAUUCGCCUGAAAUAUAUUGAAUGUUCCAAUGUCAACCGUUGCACCGGAGAGCACUUUUAGUCAGGGACGACAACAACUUGGAGACAACUGACGCUUAUUGGAAAGCAAUGCUAUGAAUGUUCUAGUUUGCCUUAGAGAUUGGAUUAGAGCGGAAAGAAGAAAUCAAGGAAUGGAGAUGGAGCUGAAAGACGAACAGAAUCUUGAAGAAAUUCUGACUUCAAGGGAACGCAGCAAAAUCAAGUCCAAUGCAUGGUUUUGCCCCCAUUGAUUUUGACUAUCCUAUGGUAGUUCCCAUUAAUAUUAGCAUGAACGAGUUGAAAAAAAAUGAUGCAAAAUUUGUUGAUUUUUCAUUCAUGUAAAUUAUAAAUUUUGGAUAUUUUGCAAUCAAUAAAAUACAAUAUUCAUUCACUCCCUACUUUGUAUUUUUUUCAUUUAAAUUGAAUUUUUAGUUUGAUUAAAUACUUUUAAUAUAUUACUAUCAAACUUUAGACUAAGUAAUAAACAUAACAAACAUAUAUACACAUAUAUUCUACAUAUAUACACAAGUGGUAUUUAAAGUAGUAUAUAUUCUACAUAUAUGUGUGUAUAUUUUUUAUAGACUCUAAAUUAGUAUUUAUUUAAUGUAUACAUGUUUAUAUGUUUUCUAAAGUAGUAUAUAUAUAUAUAUAUAUAUAUAUAUAGUGUAUAUAUGUUGCAUGUAUAAUUGUAUAUUGUUUCAAGUGGUAUUUUAAGUAGUAUAUAUUCUACAUAUAUGUCUAUAUAUUUUCUAUAGACUAAAAUAAUAUAUAUUUAAUGUGUAUACGUUUCUAAAGUAGUAUAAUAUGUAUUGUAUAUAUUAAUCCGUGCGGCCAUCCAGACUAAUAAGUUAAUAUCAAAAAACAAAAUCAACCGAAAUAUAUAAGAAUUUCAUAUAGCUUAAUGAAUGUAUGAAAGUUUUUACCCGAAAGGGGCUUGUCAGAAUUUAAUACAUACUUCAGUUGAGCCCAUGUGUCUAGCGGCUCUAACCGUAAAAAAGAGCGCCCUUUUCUUCAACUUUAAUGGGCUUAAAGAUUCACGGCUCACUAGGCGUAGUUACUAAGACAAAGCCAACAAAACCAGUAUCAAAUUCGACUGUACCAUCACUUCGGAACUAAUCCAGGAAACUAUAGAAAAAUUCUUUUAUAUUUUGAUAGAGUCUGAAUCUUUCAUGGAUAUUAUACAAGAGAAGUUAGAUCUUCAGUAUAGAGAUAAAAAUUAUUUAGCUGGACAUACAAAGUUCAUUUCAGAAGUAAUAUGAAUAUCUCUAUCAGAGAUAUUGUCAUUAUCUUGAACAAUAUUUGUUCGAGGAUUGACUUUAACUUUCUCUACAAAUCUUGUAGAAGCUGAGUAAAUUGUAUGCAAAGAAGCUGCACGACUUCUAGCUGGACCAUAUGAUGGUUCUACAGGAGAAAUAUGGUGCAUAGCAGGCAAUAAUUUAGGCAUGGAGAAUGAAUAUUGUAUGUAUGUUGUAUAUUUAAUGUGUAUAUGUUUCUAAAGUAAUAUAAUAUGUAAUGUAUAUAUGUAAUAUGUGUAUAUAUUUUUUAUAGAUUCUAAAGUAAUAUAUAUUUAACGUAUACAUGUCUAUAUGUUUUCUAAAGUAGAAUAUAUAUAUAUAUAUAUAUAUAUAUAUAUAUAUAUAUUUUCUAUAGACUCUAAACUAGUAUAUAUUUAAUGUAUACAUGUCUAUAUAUAUUCAAAAGUAGUAUGUAUUUAGUGUAUAUAUGUUUUAUGUAUAUUUUUUCAAGUACUAUUUUAAGUAGUAUAUAUAUUAUAUUAUACGUAUAUAUGUGUAUAUAUUUUCUAUAGACUCUAAACUAGUAUGUAUUUAAAGUAUACACAUGAAUAUAUUUUCUAAAGCAGUAUAUAUUUAGUGUAUAAAUGUUGUAUUUAUAUUUUUUAACGUAUUUAAAAUGUAUAUAGGUGUGUAUAUAUAGUUUAUCUUUGAAUAAACAUUUAAUUUUGAGUUUUUUUUUAGUUUUGACCGGUCAAAAUCGAACCAAGGUUAAGUGAGUCGGUUCGGAUUUAUUUCACAGAUUUUCACUGUUUGGGGCUCGGCUCGGACCGAUCCGUUAAAAUUAAUCCGGUACCGGAUCGGCCCAAAACCCGGUAACUUGAAGUGGGUAGGUUCCGAGUUAAAUCGGUCCGACCCGUUUAAUAGGCCUAAAUCUAACCAUUAGCUACCCCUAUAAGUUACAUAUUAAAAAUGAAAUAGAAAUAAAAGAUUUUCUUAACAUGCUCAUUAAUAAUAUAUUUUUAAAAAUCUCAUCAAUUUAGUAUUUUUAAAAAUUCUAAACUAAUUACAAUUUUUAAAAAUAAUAAAAGAGAAAAUAAGUCAAAACAAUUACUAAUUGAAAGAGGGGCAAAUCCUACAAAAUCGAAUGCUUCCCAACUUUCUUUUAAAUUUCUAUCUUCUAAUUUAAAAUAAUAAAAUGAAAAAUCAAAUAAAAUAUCAAAUAAAAAAUAAAAAAUUAAAAAUUAAAAAUAAAAAAUUAAAUUAAAUACUUCAAAGAUAGUAGAAGAAGAUUUGAAAAUCACCACUCCUUCCUAACUACUCCCGUUCCCUCUCUCAGGAACAGUUUUUUUUUUUUAAAUGGCUGACAGUUUUUUUUUUUUCAAAAACUUUUACCCCCCUUUUCUCCCCUAUAUUUCUCUAUGUAUAUAUAUUGUUAAUUUAUAUAUAGCAAAUCAUCCAAACAAUUUGUCAGAGAGAGAUUUUAAUCACUUUUUUUUUUAUUGGCACAUUCUAUUCACAAGCAAUGUUGUUUUUGUGCCAAAUAUAUAUUCUCCUUCUCAUUUUUAUUUAUUGAUUUUCCGUUUAAUCUCAUUAGUGAUAAUUUGAAAAAAAAAUUCUAACCAAAGGGCAAGAACAAAGGAAAAUCUCAAACUCAAUUGUUCUGCCACUGUCGGUUGAGAAUGCUAAAGAGCAUCUUAAUUUUAUCUAUGCCUGUUUCUCCGAUUUCGAUGGUAAGAAAAAUACUUUUUAUUAUUUCUUUCUAAAUUUCGUUCCUCCAUUAUUUGUAUUUUGUAGAAUUAUUAACUUUGUUUUUGUUGAUUCACAUGCACUCAAGAAUAAUAGAAUGGAGGUCUACAAACUCAGAAGAAUUUUCUAGUGCAUGAAAAUUAAUCUUAUUUCUUAAAAAUAUCUUUUCUCUAUAUAUAGGAAAGCACAUCGUAAAAGAUCACAUCGACAUUCUAAGAGUAUCAAAAGAUAACUUGAAUACACACACCCAUAUAUUAAAUUAUUAUGUAUUGUGUUUUUUCAAUUAGUCAUAAGUAGUUUGUAAAACAUUUACUUUAUAUUUUGCAUAAUGUGUAAUUUAGAAUUUGUGUACUUCAUAUAAAAGUUGAAAGUAUAUUACUCAUUAGAAUCUUCAGAUCUACUUUCAAAGGACGAUAUCUUUUAAACUUAUUUUUACAAUUAUAGUUUGGUUUUCUUAUUUCUGAUGUACUAAGUAUUAUAUUUUUAUGUAGAGUAUUUAUUUCUGUAUUUAUUAGUUCUAGAUUUCUUUAUUUUCUAAUUUUUUUUUAAAUAGAUUUAUCUCGUUUAAUAAUUUUGUUUUUAUCAUUUUCUUCUUUUUCUUUCUGUCUUUUUUCAUACAGGUCUUUUAGCAUUUGUAGUUCAUUUUCUAAUUCGGCAAUCCUACUAUUUUUAGUUUUUUCUAUUUUUCAUAUUUCUUUUGUAGUUUGUUGUUUUAUUUUAUCUAUUUUCCUUUUUUCUGUCUAUCUCUUCAUUUUAUUUUUCUAUUCUUACCAUGACUGCCAACUUAUGUUCUAAUUUUAAUUCUUUUUUUUUCUAACAUUAAAUAUAAAUAUUCACCUAAACAAAUAAUUACUAUACAUAUGCAUGUAAACGCAUUUGGAUUAAUACUUGAUUGAUGUGCUUGUUAAGAGCCUUCUUAAAUAUCAUUAUAUGACAUUAGUUUUUUCUAUUUUUCAUAUUUCUUUUGUAGUUUUUUGUUUUAUUUUAUCUAUUUUCCUUUUUUCUGUCUAUCUCUUCAUUUUAUUUUUCUAUUCUUACCAUGACUGCCAACUUAUCUUCUAAUUUUAAUUCUUUUUUUUUCUAACAUUAAAUAUAAAUAUUCACCUAAACAAAUAAUUACUAUACAUAUGCAUGUAAACGCAUUUGGAUUAAUACUUGAUUGAUGUGCUUGUUAAGAGCCUUCUUAAAUAUCAUUAUAUGACAUGAUGAAACUGAUGAAAACUUUAUACAAGAUGAUAACAGGUUCGAUGUUCAAUUGGUAAUAUGUGUUUUGAGAAUUGCAUCAUUUUGUAAUCAAAAUAUAAUUGAAAUCACCAAACAUUUUAAAUAUCAAUUUACAUUGAAACUUAAAUCUUUUUGAAAGAUAAAAAUUGUAUUAUCUUAUCUUCAACUAAUAUAAAAAUAAAGAUAAGAGAUCCACUAAGAUAUUUCAUGUCUAACAGAAAUUUUGGUGAUAGAAAUUUAUUAGCAUGCAAAUUUGUACUGAUAAUAAUCAUAAACAUGAUAAUAAUAAUCAUCCACAAAAAAGUUACGUAUGUCAUGAAUAACAAUUAUUAUAUUCUGAAAAUUACGGACUAUAUAUGUUGCAUUUGUUUGAUCACUCCAACAUAAUCUAAAUAAAUUUUUAUAUUACUAACUGCAUGUAACUGUGGAUAGAGUAAUUGAAGCGUAACUGGGGAUAAAGUAAUUGAAGCGAAUAAUACCUUAAAUUUAUAUAAACAUCUCCAAAGAUGAUUUUUAUAAGUAACUUUGUAGCAUUAUAAUUUACAGCAAUGUAGAACUAUAUCAUAAAAUAAAAUAAGGAUAAAAAUGAUAUUAGAGUCCUAUUUAGAGCCGUCAAUAUGGGCUAGACCCAUUGGGCCGGCCCGAUCUGGCUUAUAAUUUGAUGGAGUUGGGCUUCAAUAUUUGCAGCCCAUUUAAGAACAGGAUUUUUUAGCCCGCUCGGAUAAACCCGUGGCUCGUUGGGCUUACGCAAUGUGGGUUGGGCUAGUCCGUGGGCCGACCCGUAAGUCAAAUACAUACAACUAUUUAGAUUAUUUAUUAGUAUUUUUGUUUGAUUCGACGGAUAUCAUGUCAAAAGUUAUUUAAUUUCGCUGUUAAGAGUAUUUUUUGGGGUGUUGGAGACUUGAUUAACAAGUAUUAACACUAUGUAAUAUUAGCUGGUAAUAUUUAUGUUUAUUAACAUUCUAAAAUUAAAUUAUAAAAUAUUAUUUUUUAAAAGGUGGGCUGGCCCGUAUGAUUCGCAGCCCACAGAGUAACGGUGUGGGCUUGAUAUUUUUUGGCCCAUCAUUUUAAUGGGCCAGCCCAACACGACCUCAAACUCAAAGCCCGUGUGGACUAACCCAAAUGGGCUGGCCAACCCGUAUAGACAGCUAUAGUCCUAUUUUUCAAAUAUACAUUUUUAUUUAUAAGUGAACUAUUUCUAACAAAAAUUUAUAUCAUAAAGAAGAAUGUGACUUUUUGAAUUUUAACAAUAUACACAGUUUAUUCUCACAUAGUAGGAUAUGAAAAAGAUAGCAUGAAGGCAGUUCAUAUAAUUACCUCAGUGGUUUGAUAGAUUGGUGAUUUUUGAUAGAUCCUCGGCUUAAUACAAAAUACAGUUCAAAAAAAUGUUAAAAGGGUACUAAAGACAAUAAGAGUAACACAACAAUAGAUAGUAACAGAAAAAUACUACCACAAAAUAAUAUUAUAAGCGAUCUACCCGAAACAACAUAUAUCGACAAGAAUUCAAGAAUAAAAAAUCUAUAAGCAUAAAACUAUGACUACUAUUAAGAACAAUAUUCCUACUUACUAUCAUGAACUCAUGAUAAGGCGAAGUAACUUAUAUUUGUGUUAAUUACACUAAAUAUAUUGUUUUUGUUGUGUUGGUUAUACGACCAAAUGUACUUCAACAAAUGUGAUUAUAGUAACUGAUUUUAAGCCAGUUUUAAAAUUUAGGCGGUGGUUAAUAUCACAAUAUCACCAUAUAUACCUAAUUGCAUUUUAUUUUUACUUCCUUUAGAGUAUGUUUACAUAUAUAUAAACGUGUUUAAUAUGAUUUAUUUUAGAUUUAAUUCUGUUAUGCAUAACUAAACUUAUAUAUUCUAAUUUCUUUAUUUUGAAUGGGCGAUAAGAAAAUUCAAAAUACUUAUAUAUAUAAAAUACACAAAAAGGAUAUUAAUCUAAAAUCAAAUGAGACAAAAUAAUUAGUAUACAAUGUACAAAAUGUGCACAUAGUGGGGGUGGGGGUGAGGGGAUUCAAACUAAUUUUAAGAAUGUAAUGAACUAAUUUUAACAAUCUAACUAUAUAUUCAACAUAAAACCAAUCAAUUGUAAUGAAUUAAUCAAUCAUGUAUAUUCUUCUUUUUGCCUUUGCCUUACUUUUUUAUUUUCUCGAAGUUAUGUUAUUCUACACAAAACAUGCGAUUACGAUAAUUAAUUUGACCAAUGAUUAAUAUUACCAUAUAUACAUAAUUAUUUUUUACUCCUUUAAGAGUAUAUUUACAUAUAAAUAAACGUAUUUAGGGGGCUUAUUUUAAAUUUUGUCUUGCUAUGUAUAACUAAAUUUAUAGCAUAUUUUAAUUUUUAUAUUUUGGGAUAAGGGAAAAGAAAACUAAAUUACUUAUACAUGUUAUAUAAAAAAGAAAAUUUAGAUUAUUAGACAAAAAUAAAGUAAUAAAAAUACAAUAUAUAAAAUGAAUAAAUUAAUUUUAAGAAUAUAUUGAAGUAAUUAGAUAAUGCAGAUGUUACUAUGCAUAAAUUUAAACCGGAGAGAUGUGAACUAUUGUAUAAAAAUUUAAAAAUAAAAAUAAAAUAAUGUUAACAAUAUAAUAUCUUUAAAUUCAGAAUAAUGUAAUUAAAAAAUUACAAACACUAGAGUUUCUUUUUACAUUUAUAUGUUUGUCUAUAUUUAUAUAGAUUUAAUUAGGCGUGUCUAUGAUAGUGUAGGAUGAGUGUGGGGCGUGUGGGUAUUUCAUUGAGAAAUAAUAUGAUAGUUAAACUUUAUGAUUUAACAUGCUUUAAUAAAAUAUUGAAAUAUGAAAUGAUUAAAAAUAAUACUCUAAUAUCAUCCACGUAUCGCGCGGGUACAUACACUAGUAUUAAUAAAAGCGGAGGUGCGAGCAAUUCAAUCUAUGCAUUGACGGAAGGAGCUAAACAAAAAGGUAGGUGACAAUAAGCUUAAUGAUUCUUAAAAAAGCUAAUAAUUAAAAGCUUGGCAAUUAAGAUAAUUCGUAGGUAAAAUACUUGGCUUUUGUUAGGGCCAAUAUUUACCCAGAUACAUUGUGCAUCUAAUGUUCACAUGUUGAGGAAAUAACUUUACCCUAAAAGAACCAAAUUAUAUUGGUUUUAUUAACAUUAUACCCAAUCGUCUAGUGUUUUAGCCUUUACGGCCUAGACUGAACAAUGAAAUCUUUUUGUUGUUCUUAGUAGUUUUGGAGUGUGUUACCUUGUCUGAGUACUGUUACUUGACUUACUAGCAUAUUCAUUAAUUGUGGUAGUAUUAGUUCCUGCUAUUGACUAUUGUUUAUCAAAAUUUGUGUUAUAUUAUUGGUUUUGUUGCUCUCUAUCUAUUAUAGAUUGUUGGUUGUGUCCCUAGCUCCUUUAUUGGCUUCAUUGUAACUAGUGUGCCCUUUUUACCUUAUCUUGAUCCCCUUUGUUAUCUUUCUUCCCUUUUUCCCUUCAUCCCUUUCCCCUUUGUUGCAUAAUGGCGGUGAUUGGCGAUGGUAGAAAAGGGUCAUGUCAUAGGUCGAGGUCGGGUUCAUGGUCAGGAGAUGUUGGGUCUGGGUCGGGGUUUGGGGGGGUUGGGUCUGGGUCGGGUCUAGGAUUGGGUUUGGAGUUAGGGGCUAGGGGUAGUAAGGUUAGGCGGGAUAAGGGAGCUUUUAGGUUGCGAGUUACGUCUUGGAACAUCGGUACUUUGCAUGGUAAGUCUAUAGAGCUGGUGAAGAUUCAUAGAAAGAGGAGGGUUAGUGUAGCGUAUGUCCUGGAAACUAAAUGGGUAGGCACUAAAGUGAGAGAUGUGGAUGGAUAUAAGUUGUGGUACUCGGGUAGCGUGAGACAUAGAAAUGGGUAGGUAUCUUAGUAGAUGAAAAUCUUAAGGAGCAGGUGGUAGAGGUAAAGAGAGUUAGUGAUAGAUUGAUGUCUAUUAAGUUGGUCAUAGGAGUGUCUACGGUGAACGUUAUUAGUGCCUACACCCCGCAAGUAGGUUUAGACGAGGAGGAGAAGAAGAAAUUCUGGGAGAUUUUAGAUGAGGUGAUGAGGAGCAUCCCGAGCAUUGGAAAGCUUUUCGUGGGAAGGAAUUUCAAUGGGCAUAUUAGGUCUCUGUUGAGAGGGUACGAUGAUGUGCAUGGUGAUUUCAGUUUUGGUAAGCAGAAAGAAGGAAAAACUUCUCUGUUGGAUUUUUCUAGGGCUUUUGGGUUAUGGAUAGCAAAUUCGAGCUUUUCGAAGAAGGAGGAUCACCUUAUUAUGUUUCAUAGUUCAGUAACCAAGACUCAUAUAGACUUUUUGAUUCUUAGAAAAGUGGAUCGAGUGCUAUGUAAAGACUGUAAGGUCAUACCUAGCGAGAAUCUCUCAACUCAACAUAGGUUGUUUGUGAUGGACUUGGUUAUGAAUAAGGGCAAAAAAAAAGAGAAGUGGGGAGGCACGACCCAGGAUUAAGUAGGGUAGCUUGACUUUGGCUAGUGCUUUGGAGAUGGAAGAAAAGUUAAAGAGUAGGGGGCGUGGGAGAGUAGAGGGGAUGUAGAUAAUAUGUAGGAGACGACUGUCAGUUGCAUUAGGGAGACCGCUAGAGAGGUGUUGGGUGUCUCAAGAGAUCGAUCUGGCAAACAUCGAGGAGACUAGUGGUGGAAUGAAGAGGUCAAGAGAAAGGUGGAGUCUAAGAAGGUGGAUUAUGCUAAGUUGGUUAGGAGUAAGGAUGAUGAGGAAAGGCAGAAGAAUAAAGAGGAGUAUAAGGUAGCUAGAAGAGAAGCUAAGUUAGCAGUUACGACGGCUAAGACAACAGCUUUUGAGAGUUUAUAUGAGGCUUUAGAGGAGAAAGAUAAAGAUAAAAAGUUGUAUAUGAUGGCCAAGGACAGGAAGUGGAGGGGCUCAUAACCUUGACCAGGUGAAGUACAUCAAAGGAGAUGAUAGCAUAGUGUUGGUUGAGGAUGCCCUCAUUAGGGAGAGGUGGCAGUCCUAUUUUCAUAAACUUUUGAAUGACGAGGGGGACAAAGGUUUUGUGUUGGGAGACUUGGAGAUAUCUGAGGAGGGUCACGAUUAUAGUUAUUGUAGGCAUAUCGAUAUUGAGGAGGUCAAAGGGGCUAUUUCCAGGAUGCGGUAGGGUAGGGUGACAGAGCCAAAUGAGAUUCCAGUAGAUUUUUGGAAGAGCACUAGAGGGGCAGGUUUGGAGUGGUUGACAAGGUUGUUUAACAUUAUUUUUAGAGCUGCUAAGAUGGCUGAAGCAUAGAUAUGGAGCACGAUGAUUUCAGUGUAUAAGAACAAGGAAAACAUUUAGAGUUGUAACAACUAUAGAGGUAUUAAGUUGUUGAGUCAUACUAUGAAGGUUUGGGAAAGGGUGGUAGAGUUGAGGAUGAGGAGGAUCGUGACGAUCUCUAAGAAUCAGUUCAGUUUUAUGCCUAGUCGCUCGACCACUGAGGCCAUUCACCUUGUGAGGAGAUUAGUGGAGCAGUUUUGAGAGAGGAAGAAUGACUUGCACAUGGAGUUUAUUGAUUUAGAGAAGGCAUAUGACAGAGUUCCCAGGGAGAUUCUGUAGAGGUGCUUGGAGGCUAAAGGGUUGCCCAUGGCGUACACUAGGUCAAUUAAGGAUAUGUAUGAUGGUGCCAAGACUCGUGUGAGGACGGUAUGUGGAGAUUCAGAGAACUUCACAGUUUUGAUAGGGUUGCACUAGGGAUCUACUCUUAGCCCGUUUCUAUUUGCUUUGGUAAUGAAUGUUUUGAUGCGACAUAUUCAAGGGGAGGUGCCUUGGUGUAUGUUAUUUGUAGAUGAUAUGGUUUUAAUAGACGAGACUUGGGGUGGAGUUAAUGAUAAGUUGAAAAUUUAGAGACAGACGCUUGAAUCUAAAGGUUUUCGAUUAAGUAGAACCAAGAUGGAGUACUUGGAGUGUAAGUUCAGUGAUAUGUCGCAAGAAGAUGGAGUGGUUGUGAAGCUAGACUCUCAGGCCAUCUAGAAUAGGGAGAGUUUUAAGUAUCUGGGAUCUAUAAUUUUGGGUAAUGGUAAGAUUGACGAUGAUGUCACGCAUUAUAUUGGGGCAGGGUGGUUGAAGUGGAGGCUCACUUCGGGAGUCCUUUGUGAUAAGAAGGUGACCCCGAAGCUUAAAGGUAAGUUCUACAGAGUGGAAGUUCGGACGGCUAUAUUGUAUAGAGUGGAGUUUUAGCCAAUUAAGAACUCCCACAUCCAAAAGUUAAAGGUGGCGAAGAUGUGAAUGUUGCGAUGGAUGUGUGGACAUACCAGGAAAGAUAGGGUGAGGAAUGAGAUUAUUCGAGAGAAGGUAGGAGUUGCCUCGGUGGAGGAUAAGUUAUGAGAAGUAAGGCUUCGUUGGUUCAGGCAUGUGAUGCGGAGGGGCCUUGAUGCUCCAGUGGGGAGAUGUGAGACUCUGGAUAGGGAUGGUUUUAGGCGGGCCAGAGGUAGACCGAAGAAAUAUUAAAGGGAGGUGAUUAGGUAUGAUAUAGAGCAAUUACAACUUAUAGAGGACAUGACCCUUGAUAGAAAGGUGUGGAGGACGUGGAUUAGGGUAGAGGGUUAGGGGGUGGGAGUGCGGAGGUAGUAAUAAGGGAGUGCUCCUUUGGGUUUGGAGUUUCUGGUUCGUAGUGUUGUGGCUGUAGUUUGGGGCUAGUGGUGUUGGAUUUUUCGCAUCCCAUACUAGUUUAUUAUGCACUUAUCUUUUGUGUUUGUUAUACAGUUAGUUUGUUUUGUGUACCAUACUAGUUUAUAUGAGCCUACUUUUUGUAUUUGUUAUACUUUUAUUGGUCCUAAGCCGAGGGUCUAGCAGAAACAACCUCUCUACUUCUCUUAAGAUAGUGGUAUGAUCUGCGUACACUCUACCCUCCCCAGACCUCACUAAGUGGGAAUACAAUGGGUAUGUUGUUGUUGUUGUUGUAAUGUGACAGAUAGAUCUCUAAGUUUAUCUUGUAAUUACUUGCAAGGUGAUAAGAUGGUUCAUCAUAACUUUUUUCUUUUGGGUUAAAACAUAUACUUCAAUUGGAAAAACAUAAUAGUUUACAAAAGGAGGCAUUCAUCCUGGAUCAACCAAAAAAGAUGUUGGAUAAGGACUAGCUUGGAAAUCAUGAGAAGAGUUUGUUCUCCUAAUGUAACUAGUUCCACUAAUGUCUGUCCAGACAUGCUUGGAAGCAUAUAUUGGAGGAACUACAAAAAUAAGUGUUCUUUAAAAACUUCCAUUGAUGCUCCCUUCUUUGCAAGUGCAUCAACCACUCCAUUUUGUUCACGAUAAAAAUGCUAUAUAUACUAGAGAACUUUUUAGCCUUCUUAGUAUCAACCUAUAUUUAUCAACAAUCUUACCAUUUUUAAGCAUAGAAAGCACUUCCAUAGAUUCUAUAUUACUGAUGAUGGGGUGGGAUUGUUUUCUUCAGCAAUUUUAAGGCCUUCUCUUAAAGCAAAGAGCUUCAUCUGGUUGUUGGUAACUCUAAUUUAACUUUUGGAGAUACCAAUGAUCCAAUCCACUAUGUGUUUCUAAUUACAAAACCUAUUCCACCCUUUCCAGGAUUUCCCAAGAAAGCACCAUCAAUGUUAUAAGCUUAUAAGGCAUUGGAAAAGGGGGGAUUAUCUUGGGUGGGGAGUUACCCUUGUUUUACAGUUGGGAGUAUUUCAUAUCCUCAUUUUAAUUACUAUUGAAGGAGGAUAUGUCUUUUUUGAGGUUGAACAAGUUAUGUUUUCUGUUCCUCCAGAUAGACCAGAUGCAUUAAGGAAGGAGAUUUUCCCAAGAUACUAACCUAUUGAAGUUGGUGCUUUUGAGAGAGCUCUAAGUGAAAUUUUAGUUGGCGGUGGAGAACGAGUCUAGAUUAAUGGGCAUAUAGAUGAAGGACUUCCUAAUGAGAUUAUUCCAGAAGUUAUAGGUUAAGGGUACCUAUAAAAAAUAUGGUCAAGGUCUUCAAUUUGUUUUAUGCAGAAGCUAUAAUUUGGGUUGACAUUAAUUCCCCUAGAAACUAGAGUAAAGCUAGUGGGAAGGAUUUUAUGAUCCAUUAACCAAAGGAAAAACUUGAUCUUAUUGGCAGUAACUAUUUUCUAAAUCCUGUUCAAACGAUUACCAUUAUAGGGGUUGUCUUGGGUGAGAAAGUUAGCUAUGUGGGUAUAGGCACUCUUGUAUAAGUAGAUUAGCAGUAAGUUCCCAAAUAAGAAAAGAUGUGAUGAGGUAUAUCAAAAGAAAUAUUUUGAGGGUCCCAAUUGUUAUCUUUCCAGACAUCAAAGAGUUUAAGAGAAGAGAUGGAGGGAAAUGAGAGACCUUGAAUAAGGUGGUUGAGGAAGGGUGAUUAGGAAUCCAUCUAUCAAGCUAAAAUUUCAAUUUGUAGUCCUUGUGGACAAUCCAUUAGGAGACAUCUGUGUAUAUUUCCCAUCCUUUCAUGAUGAUAUAAGUUCUAGAGUAGGGGCAGGGGAAAACUCCCAUAUUUCUAUAUGAGGACAUCUUCCCAUAAGGAAUUUUAUGGUUAUUAUUGAAUCUUCAAGAUAAACUACUGAGAAUUGUGGUGUUCUUAUUAGCAACUUUUUAAAUUCCAAGCCCUCCAAGGUGCUUGGGAUUGGUGAUAGUAUAUCAAUUUAUCAGGUGCAUCUUCCUUCUAUCCUUAGAGAAGCCCCAAAUAAAGUUUCUUUGGGUUCUACUAAUUAGAUUAAGAAGUUUAUAAGGCAAGAAGAUAUAUUGUAUGACAUAGUUGGGCAUACUAUCUAAGGAGGCUCUAGAAAGGGUAGUUCUACCAAACAUGUUCAAAAUUUUUGUUUUCCAACCAGUCAACUUCAUGUUAAGAUUGUCAAUAAUGAAUUGAAAAUCACUUGAGGAGGGCUUCUUAUGGAAUAUGGGGAAGCCCAGGUAUUUCCCAAAUAUGUCUUUAGCAAGAACGUUAAGGAUAGAGGAGAGUCUAUUUUUUCCCUCUUUACUAUAGUUAUUGAAGAAGAUAACUUUCGAUUUGUAAGGGUUAAUCUUUUGCCCAGAGAAAUGGCUAUUAACAUUGAGAUUGUUGACAAUGGUGGUGCAAUUGAUAUCAUCAGCUCUGACUAUCAAGGUAAGAUCAUAAAAAAAAGAGAUAAGAAAUUCUAUGGCUUCAUUUGUUGAUAUCAUAGGGUUCCAUCUCAGGAGGUCUACUUUAUGGUCAAUUCUUCAAGAAAGAAGUUCCAUAUAUAAAAUAAAAAUAUAGGAGGAGAUGAGAUUUUAUUUUCUGAUGCCCCUUGAGGGCUUGAAGAAAUGAGUCUUGCUACUAUUUGUAAGAACAAAGAUGAAAGAAGAGGAAUUCAAGAUGUGAUGGGGCUCAGAGGCCUUUAGGAAAGUUGAAGAAAGUUAGAACAUGUCUGAUAAAGACCACUCUAAUCCAUCAGAGGUCUUCUCAAGAUAAAUUUUGAGGAUUAUGUUAGCUUUUUUCCUUUUUAUUUUAUGAAAAUGGCUGAUGUAUUCAUGGGAAAUUAUGGCAUUAUCAGAUGCUCUUCUUUUGGAUAUGAAGCAAGCUCGACUUUUGCCAAUGAUGUUGACCAUAAAAGUUUUUAUUCUAUUGACAAUGAUUUUUCCAAUAAUCUUGUACUGAGUAUUACAAAGGCUAAUAGAUUCAAAGUUCUUAAGGGUGGAGACAUUUGUGCACUUAGGGAUGAUACAGAGGUAAGUAGAGUUAACUCUUUUAUCCAUAGUGUAGAAAGAGGAGUCAUUAUAGAACUUGAUGAGAGGGUUGAUGUCGCCCAAAACUACAUUCCAAUUAGAAAUAUAAUGUGGUCGGUUGCAAAUAUAAUAACCCAACUAGGUUGGGGUUGAUCCCACAGGAAAAAUGUGAACAAUUGCUUGACUUGAUGUAAUCCUCGAGUAACAUAUGAAAGUAAAUAGGGGGAUCAUAGUAUCAAGCACAAGUAGUAACCAAACUCUUGAGUACUUUUGAGUUGUAGACAAUAUGAGAUAAACACUAGGUUUGUAUUUUCCCUGGCUUCUGAACUCUAUAAAUUUCUUGAGAGAUCAACCCAACUGUUCUGUUGUUCUACAUACAAAGUCUAUAAGAUAGGUAUUAUCAGUCACCUAGUGAGUGCAAAGAUAAAUUUCACCCUUUACCACGUAGGUCUCAGGGUGUCGCCUUGUUGUUUCUUGCUAUGACCUCAGUUCACUAUCAGGGGGUGGGACAAGUGAUUAGAUAAGAUGGCAAGAACUAAAAGGUAGAGGUGAAUCUCAAAUCACUGUCCUAAUCUUCUUUUUCCAAUCACAAUCUCCCUUGUAGGGAUGGAUGCGAAUACAUGCGAUCCUAAGUUACUGCAAAUAAUUGAGAUUAAUUAUUGUGAAGAAGAUUAAGAUACAUGUAUAAACUCUAGAAUAGAUAAGUUUCACAUUUUUCUACAUAGCUAAUCCACCAGGGUUCCCACAACCCUAGUCAAGGAGAGUAGCCGCUCAUGUUUGUGCAAGAAACCAUGAUUCUCACUAAAUAACACGUAAAAUCAAUUGCACAAGAAUAAGAUGAUUAAAAUCCAAAUUCUUUAAUUGAAUAAACCCUAAGAUCUCAAUAACAAUUGUAAAAGUAUUGUAAUAUUAUGUAAAAGAGAGUAACCUAAUGAAAGAUAAACUCUACGGCAUUUAUAGUAUCUCAAAAUAACAUUAAAAUCUUAAUAAAAAUGAGAAAGAUAAAGUUAUGUCGGCAGUUGGUACGACUAGGUCUUCACUCAGAUCAACUUCAUAUGAGUUGUACCCUGCCUUCUCGUAUCUAUUCCAGUGUCUCAUCUCCCAAGGCUUUAACUUCCUAUUCAGCUUACGACUUCUUCUUACGAGUCAUACCUGAGUGUACGACUCGCGUCCUUUACUCGUAUCCACAUGGGACUUUUGUCUUCUAAUCUUUGAGCAUUGGUUUGUAUACUACAUCCUUAUAUGAGUUGUACUCAGACGUUCGACUCAUAUACUUUUGAUACUUUAAUUCUUGAGCAGUAGCUUAGGUUUUGUUAUGCUUAUGACUUCUCCGUACGACUUGUAUCCUGUCUUAUGACUCAGAUACUUGAUUCGUAUCUUCCCCAUACUUGGCUCUACAGGUUGACCUUUGGUUUUGUCGUGAGUACGAUUUUGCCUACAAGUCAUAUCGGAUGGUUAUGAUUCAAGAGCUGACUAGUAUACUGCUCAAAGUUGGUCUUUUUCAGGUCUCUUUCUUUUUUUUUGGUUCAAACAUUGUAGUAGAACUGUUUUACCUGUAAUUCAUAUGAAAUACAUCAUAUCUAACAAAAUAUCCUAAGUUUACGCAUGAUUCACAGUUUUAAGUAUUGAAAGUGUCGUAUUUCCAUGCCAAAUCACGGGUGGCUAAAAGUUUCCCAAAAAAUUUAAAAGAUCAAGAGGUGGAGCCCAUCUAAACCAAAAGCUUUAGAGGGAUUGAAGAAGAAGACAACACUCUUGAUCUCUCUUUAACUAGGAAUGCUUCAAGAAGAAGAUGGUCCUCCAUAGGGAUGGAUACAGUGGAUGAAGGUUUAUUUUAGCAAAGGAGAGGGGAAGACAAGUGUUCAGAAGUGAAGAGUUUAUUAUAGAAGGAGAUAAUGGUAUUAGUGAUUUUCCUUUCAUCAUAAAUCCAAUUGCUAGAGUUAUCUCUAAGGCCCUGGAUUUUUGUUUUUUCUCCUCAUAUUAAGGGUGGUACUAUGGAAAAUUUAGUGUUUGAGUCCCCUUUUAUAAGAUAGUUGAUUCUGGAUUUUAGUUUCUAAAAUUCCCAUUCUUGUUAGAAGAUGUCACUGUAGUCUUUAAAGAAGGUGUUUUUAAGGUUAUGAAGGAAGGAACUAGUGGAAUAGUGCAUGGAUUUUUGGAUACCAACAAUUCUGACAAAAGUAUUUUUUUUUCUUAUUAAAACAUUGCCAAAAAACCUCUUUAUUCUAAAUUUUGAUGGAGGUCUGAAAGUUAGAAGUAAAAUUGCAAAGAUACAUAUCUUUAGAGAAAGAGUUUUGGACCAUGUCCUUGAACAGCAGAUGGGUCCACCAUAUGAUCUCAACUCUAAAAGGUUUGUUAGAAGUAUUAGUAUCCUUGGAAAGACUAAUGAGAAGAGGACAGUGGUCAGAGUGGGUCCUACAAAAAUGAGUUAUAGAGGCUUCAGGAAAGAGAUGGAUCUAAGAAUCAUUCAUAAAGAAUUUAUCAAGGCUGUCAAAAAUAAGAUCACUCUUCUUUAUAUAUCUCUUGUUAUUCCAAGUGUAUUUACUACCAAUAAACCCAAGGUCAGUUAGGCUACAAGGAUUGAUCCAAUUCUAAAAGUAGGAAACUCUGUUGCUAUUUAUGGAGUUGCCCCCAUACUUAUUAAAAGCCUUAAGGAUUUCAUUGAAAUCAUCCCUAAUAAUCUAGCUAUAGUUAGUAGAGUUCCUAAUACUAUCAGCUAUGUGAGAGAGUUGAUUCCAUAAGAAAAUUCUAUCAUUAAAAGAGUUGAUGGGAUAAAUAGUACUAAGGAACUAUUUAAAGAGAGGAGAGUGGACCUAAACAAAUCCAUGGAUAGCUUGACUGAAGAUGGAGAAACUAAUUAUGCUAAGGGAUCCAUCCUUCCACAUAAUGACAAUGCCUCUAGAGUUACUAAUGGUAGAGUGUUGGAUAUAGUUUGAGAAGCCAAGAUCUUUAAUGAUGCUUUUAUAGCCAGUCAUUCUAGUUUUCAGAAGAACAAGCAUAGAGGGAUGGUGAAUUUUAAUAAUGAAUUUGCAUUGCCUUCUAAACUCAAUAUUAUUUUCCCCGGUAUUCUAUACUAUGCAGUUCAUCAUCAUUUAGUGGUUGAGUUUUGAGAUUUUCUCUGGACUUUCUUGCUCUUUCCCCUUUAGUUGGAAGUCUAUGGAUUCUAUAGUUCUUUUCUCCUUUUUGAUAGUGGUUUUACCUUUACUAUGAAGGUUUCCACUAUCAUUGGUCUUGGGAUAAGAAUGACCAGUUUUAAUUUGGUAAGGUCCAGAGGGAGAAGAAUAAUGACUAAUUUUUGGAUGAUUUCUGUGAACUCUAGAGUUAGUAUAUCUAUCUUUGGAACUUUUGAGCUUUCCAAAAUACUUCCUAUUUCUCUGUUAUUUUCUCUCAGUAUGUUUAGGUUUUUGUCUCCUUCCAUCAUUUACAGAGCUAAUAGAGAGGUUGAUAUUAGAGUCUCUAUUGGGGGUUCGGGGGGGGGGGUCUCUAUUAAUUUUCAUAAAAAUUGAUCCCUUAGAUAGAAGUGUUGGCUCACAUAAGGGAAGAAUGUCAUGGACUAGCUUAUCAGGUUUAUCUGCUCUGAUAAUGAGGCUGUGGUGAGGUCCCCCUGAAAGGAGUGACUCAUCACUUGUAUGAGAGUCGAGAUCCAUACAUUGUUUCUAUAACUUAGGAGUUCUUAGUUUAGAUAAGAUGCUGUCACUUGGUCUAAGUAAGCAGGAUCUUGGAUGAUUACUUUUAUGGGAUUGUGCUCCAGUCCCAUGUUUAGGGAGAGAUAUUGAGUUUGGAGACCCAUUUUGAUCCAUGUGGAGGAGAGGUAUCUAAAAGUGGUUCCCUUAUGAUAAAUGUGACUAGAGGAAGAAGGGGAUUUGAGAGUGAGGAAGGAAUAGUCAUUAAGAGGAGUAGAGGUUUGAGAGCGGUGAGAUAGUACAGAGGGGAAUCUAGUUUUCAGAGGUAUCUUUCUUCUUUCUCAAAUUUUAGUAACUUCAAUAUUUAAUGUUGAGGGAGAUAAAGUGACUAUAUCCAUAAAAUCCCCAGUGCCUGCUAUGCCACACACUGAUAUUUCACUUGGAAAAAAAGACAGACGUUUGGUUACCAGAGAGAGACAGAGUUAAAAAAAUUUAGGGUGUUCAUUACACCCAUUAUUACUAUUAUUCUUGUUGUCUUUUUUAAUAUCACGAGAAGAAGAAUAAUUUACUUAAGGCUUGGAAUUCUUUAGUAGAAAGAGUAAUAUUGAGAUUACUAUUCAUCUUCGAAUAGUUGGUGUUUGGAUGUCCCAUAGAGAUUGAUUAGAUUUUUGGCCUUCGGAUAAUGUUUUAGGACUUUCUAUGUCAAUGAGCCUUUUCCUAUUAGAAACAAGAUCUGACCUAAUAUAUAAGGGUUUGGUAAAGUUGGUCUGGUUGCUUUGCCCAUUUGACUUAUAGGUGUUGGGCCUAUUUCUAUUGAAAUUUGAGGCUGGCCCAAUAGAUUAGCCAAGAAUCCCUUUCUCUUUUGAGUUAGGUCUGACAUUUAUCAGUUUAAUGCGAAUGUUUGACCUCCAACAAGCUUGGUCAAGCCUGGGCUAUAAGCAUAAUUAUGGGUUUCAAAGAACUUUAUGGGUUUCCAAGCACUUACUUUAAUCCGCAUCGAAGAGUUUUAUCUUGAUUUUCUAUUGAGAGUCACUUGUCUUGUGUAUGUUUCCUUUUUUGUCUUGUGACUCUAUCUUCGUUCUUGGGUGAAAGUCAUAGUUUUCCCAUCUCCAUCUAUUUUUUAUCCACUAGUAGUUUGUCCUACCAAAGGAAUGCUAAUGGGUUUGUGGGGAAUAUUAGACUAGUAUACUGUAUUGGAGCCUAUCUUGCCAAAGAAGUGUCAAGAUUUUAUGGGGGCAUCUUAGACUAGUGUGACCCAAUCUACUGCACAAUUUGAAGAGGAUCCUUUCACGCUCAUAGAAAACUAGAUGCUUGUGAUUUUCAAUGGUGACAGAGGUUUUUACAAGCGUUUCUAUUGGAAUUUGUAUGCAUAUUAUUGUAUAUCUGCCUCUCAAGGUCUAGGAGGUGCACAUGUUGAUCUUAACAAGCUCUUUAGUUUUCUCCUUAUUUUUUAGAUUUUGUUUAUCAUAAAACUCGAUAAAGAGAGCUAGAAAUCAAACAUGAUAAUGAAGGAGAUCUGGGAUUCAUUUGUGAUGAAGUUUGGUUCCUAAUUUCUUCUUGUGAGGAAACUACACGCUACAAACCAUGGUCCUCCUUGUAGUGCCUUGAUGCGGCUCUCUUGAGUGUUGAGUUUUACAGUGUAAAAAUCAGAAGCCAAAUCUAUUAGGUAGAAAAUUUUUCAUUGAGUUUUCAGAGAUCUGAGAGUUUUGUAUUGAGGUACUGAUGAUUGAAUUUCCUAUUGAAAGCUUUGAUUAUUACAGAGAAUCUCCACAGGGCAUAUAGUAUUUUUUUCAAUCGAAAGUGUUUUCAGGUUAUCGUUCAUAUCUAGAUUGAUGAAGUUCCCUUCUAUAAAAUUUGCGGAGUUUGAAAUUUCAUGGAGAGUGUUUAGUAUGAAAGUAAGUUUCUUUGCCUCCCCAUCAAUUGUGACUAGGUCUAUUGGAUCUGGUGGUUUAGGUGGAGAGUUUUUGUCUACCGCUGGACAUGAUAAGAAGGUUUAUCUUUAUUUUUUUCAAAAAAGUUUGGUUUUUUCAAUAGGAAAUUGCUUAUCUCAGCUUCUUUUAUUAAUGAAUUUGUAUUAUGAUAUAUUUUAGGUUCUAAUUUGGGAGUUGAAAAAUAAUAAUUUUAGUAGUAGAGAAGGUCAUACUCAUGAAAUUACAGAUGUUCAUUUUAGACCAAAACUCAAUGGUGUUUACAACAUCUUCUCUUGACAGAAUUGUGAAAAUAUGGGAUGCAGACGAGGUACUACCACUAUUGCCAUAAUGAUAGCUUUCUAAUAUCUUGAAUUUAUUUCUUUUAAUUUGUGUCCAUUACAACCAUGAAAUCGUACAUAUAUUACCAUUUUGUCAUUAUCCAGCCAAGCAACAGGGUUCAAAAUUUUGUUGGCCAUGAUGAGCAAGUGAUGUCAAUAGAUUUUUAUCCAACAAAGAUAAGUCUCAUCAGUUCUUGUGAACGAAAUGAUGAGAUUAGAUUGUGGGAUGUCACUAGGGACGAUUGCAACCUCAUUCUUAAGAUUGGUGCCUCUAUUUCCUUCCUUUUUGAUUUUUAGAUGUUCAUAAAGAGGUAUCUUUAUUUGACAUAGGAAGACUUCUUAAUUUGGUAGUUAGCUAUUUUUCUAUUUCUAUUUCAAUUUGGAGAUUCCUUAGUUACCUCAUUCAAAAUUAUUUUUGAAUUUAUUUUUCUUUAAUUUCUAUAUUUAGUGUAGGAACUAUUUUUCAAAUUAUUCUUUCUUUUUCAUUUCAAGAAAUUUAAGGUUUUCAAAAUUUGUAGUUAGUGAUCACCGAAUACUCAUGCAAAAAGAUAUUUUAGAAAAUAAAAGGGUUUCACCAUAGUAUUUGAACCAACAUUCAUAUCACAUUAAAUAUCACAUUGUACAAUAUUCUAAACAACAUACUUUGUAGGGAAUUAGGUAUUAUUCAUUCACCAUAAAAGAUAUUAAUCGCUCUUGAUACAAAUGCAGGAAGGUAGUACACAAGUUAGAUUUCAACCUCAUUUGGACACCUUUAGGCAAGUUCUACCAAAAAUACUUUAAAUAUCUUUUAUAUCGAGACUAACAACAUCAAAUAAAAGUUACAACUAAGAUUCUUACACUUGUUCAUUGGUCAAACGUGUUUUAAAUUUCUUACAUGUUGCAUUACUAUAUUGUAAUAGUGUGAUGUUGGGUUUAUUUGGUUUAUAAGGACACGUCAAAAACAUCUGUUCAAUUUGUUGGGAUAUGAGUGGAAAUUACUUAGCAUUUGUAAGCAAAUAUAGUGCACAAAUAUGGUCUAUAUGUGAAGGAACGUGCAUAUCAGAAUUGUUCUCUAGUGAGAAUUAUUUAGCGGUAAUUUUGACUUUUUAAGAGUCGCUACUUAAUUUAUUUGAAAAGAAAUUAAGAAAACCUUUAAAAGUUACUUAAAUGAUCCAAAACAAAAAAAUUAUUUAAGUUUGAAGAUCCUGAGUAAGCAGUUCCUAUUAAUACUCUUGGAAGGUUGUUAAGGCACCAAGAGUAUUCGCUAACUUGCGGUUAUCCGGACUGUUUGAAAAUAUCUUUUGACUAACUUCAAAAAGAAAGAUUGAUUGUUAAAAAGUAAUUGAUUUUAGGAAAAGACUUGUGUAAGAUAUAUUUGGACGACCUAGUAGGGAUUUUAACUAAGUCUAAACAAAUUAAUAACAAAGCAUGUAAAAGGGAAAAGGGAGAAAAUAAAAGACUUAUGUCAUUGGACCCAAAUCAAUAGACCCUGUCCAAAUCUAAUUGGGAUUUUGUCCUACUUGCACCCGUCCUAAUCUAAAUAUUGGGCUUUCGUUCCACAACCUGUCCUAAGCUAGUUUUCGGACCUUUGAGGCCCAAAAUUCAUCUCACCUGUAUUAAAAUACAACUUUGGCUUCAAGGCCCAAAUGAAUGAAUAAAUAAAUGACUAAAUGAAUAAAUAAAAAGAAGACAAUAAUAAAAAAUAAGACUUUUCAAGUCUCUUAGUGACCUUAUCAAUGGAUUUUGACUCAUUUUCCUUCUUCGUCUAUCUUCUAGCACCCGCACGCCAUGUAGUGGGCCUUGGGUUUAAACUUCGGAAUUGACUCAAAGAUGUGAGCCUCAUUGACCUAUUACGAAAUGCAAGAGGAGAGGAGUCCAUUUGAACUCGAGAUAUUUUUUACUUGCAAAGAAAAGAUAAAGAACUUAAUAUACGUUCAAGGCAUAAUAGUUACAUAUUUCAAAGCAAAAGAAAAUAUCAAGAAUCAAUUUUUUAGUUACAAUGAUAUGCACAGUUGCACACGUAUAACAAGAGUGAGAGUCAAUUGAUAAAAUGCAAAGCAAAGACAUCCACUUGCACGCCUCAUGAUUUUUGUUCAUAUUAAGAAUGAAUAAAGGUAAAAGGAAGAAGGUCAUAUUCAGUGAAUUAAUGCGAGAAACAAACAACAUAAGAUUGCGAAAUUAAAGGGAUGGGGCAACAAGAAAAAUACUCAUAACUUCUAAAAUUGAACAAAUAUAGACACUAAUCCAUAUAACAAAAAAAAAUAAAGGUUAACUUUUCAAGAAAGAGAAUCUUUAAAUUUCAAUUAAGGCGACAUUAACAAAAAUUUAUACAUCUAAAUUACAACCAACAUUUUAUGGAAAAGCAUAUAACGACCUAUGGUUUAUAUUUCUAAGACAUCGUUGAUUCUCUUUGAUAUUAUGAAUAAAAGAGAGACAUGAAUCAAGUCUUUACACACAAAAAGAGCACAUAUAAUAAUCCGGAAUAAGAAAAUAAGAAUAAAAGUUUAGCAUCUCUAAAAUUGAAAUAUCGUUCAACAAUCAUACUAUGCAUGAGUCAAAAAUAUCCAAAUAAUUCUAUUUAGCCACAAAAGUCCGAACUUUCUCAUCAUUUUGACAAGACAACAUGCGAACAAAAGAGGAAUAAACAUCUUGGUGGAAAAUAAAGCUAGCACUUCAUCUCUUAUAUGAGGAUUUUGAAAUUCAUUAAAAUAAUUAGCAAACAAAUGACAAAUUCUUGACUUAACUAAUUACUAUUUUUAUUAAGGCGAAACAAACAAUAAUAAUUAUUUUUCCAACAUAAAAGAAAUAAUUUUACAUGCUAAAACAAACAUAUCCACCGACAAUGAAUUUAAACAAGGCAUGAGUUCGUCUUUUGAGCAAAGAUCAAAACUUUAUACAUAACAAUCAAAGAAUAAAGUCAAAAAGAAAAACAAUCAAUAUUAACUAUUCUUUUUAACAUAAAGAAAAUAACUUUACUUGCUAAAAACAAACAUAUCCACCAACAAUGAGUUUAAACAAAGCAUAAGUACAUAUUUUAAGCAAAGAUUGAAACUUUACUAUAAUAAUUAUAGAAUAAAGUCAAAAAGAGCAUGUACAACUAUUGCUAGCUCAUUUUUAUAUCAUGAACAUGAAAAUAAUAAAAAUAUCGAUACCACAACAUCCUAUGGCCUUCAAGGCCAUCUACAACAAACAAUCACAUCAAACAAAAUUAUAACUAUGAACUAUGAAGAAGAGAAAGAUGAAGAAUAAAACAAUAAUAAAACUAAAAAGAAAAAGGAAAGGUGUGUUUACCUUUAUGGGGGUAGCAAAACGAGACUACGAGCUUCGUCAGAAUCAACCACCACCUAAAAAAGUCGCCGGCAAGUCAAAAAUUUUGAUUAGCCGACCAACUCUAUGAAACAAAAUUUUUUACUAAAUAAAAAUAACUAUUUUGCUCAAAGGUCUUUUUCACCUUUCUAGCCUUUUUUUUUACUUUUCAACCCUUCUUUCUACCAAAGUAGUGGUAGUAUUUAUAGGAGAGAAUGAAGUUUUAUUUCAUUUCCUCCACUAAUGUGGGAGAAAAGUAUUUAUAGGAAAGGAUGAGAAUUUAUUUCUUUUCAUCCAUCAAUGUGGGAGAAAAGACAUUUAGGGGUGUUUUUGGAUUUUAAAAUUGAAGAUAAGGUGAAGUGAAAGAUAAUGUAUGUGUGUGUGUGUGUGGGGGGGGGGGGUUUCUUGGUCGUCUUCAUCCUCAUCUUACUUAGGAGCUCAAUAGCCUCAGUCUGUGUUAUAGACUGAGUAAAAUCUGUCCACUUUCCCCACUGUGACUUUUCUGUAAUCUAUAUGCCUAUCUUAGCCAUAAUAAUAGCUUCAACAACCUUCUUCUUUCCUAGUCACUGUCCCUGAUGCUUUGGUUGGGGCCGCUUUGUUCGGGGCUGUUCUGGUAUGGGCAAGUGCAUAUUCCUCCUUUGAGCUACCACUCUAGGAAGAUUCAGCCUGUUUCCUAGAAGCUGUGGAUAUCUUCUUUAAAUACUUAGGAUCCGUAUGUAUCUAAAAAACCAAGUUUUAGUAUUCAACAACUAAUAUUUUGAUAAUAAAUUAUAUUAAAAUUAAUAUUUUAAUCAUCAUAUUUAUUUUCAAAAUAAUCCUUAAUUAAAAUUCAAUAUUCCAUGGAAUAAAUAUUUAACUAAUUAAAUUAUAUAAUCUCGUAUAACUGAACACGAUAAUAUAUAAUUGCUACUUAAAAUGACAAAAUUACCUAUAAAAAAUAUGUUGGAAAAAAAAAUUAUUCGGAUGAAAUAAAUAUUUCAAUUUUAUUAAAAAUCGAAGAAACUCAAGAUUAAAUUUAGUUGUGGAGGGAAAAAAAUUAGGUUUUAACAACUAUCCCCUCCUUUGGGAGGGUGGAUGCAAGUAACCUUAGGCAAAGGGAGGUUGACGUUCCUAAUUUUUGUCCGACUACAAAUUCAAAUCUGAAAGAAGUUGGCUUUCGCAUGAGUUUGAUAGAGACAUGGCCGGACCUUGGUAUCAGGUUUUCUAUAUAUCUCAAGUUACAUGAGAAUUUAGGCCACUUGUAGUUCAUAAAGCUUGAUUUAAAGCACGACUUUCAAAAAAUUCACCAGCUAUCUCGAUUUUUAGAAUUUUUAACAAAACUAAAAAGUUAGGAAAUAGAGGGAUUUCGGGGAAUGUUGGAAUGCAGCCAAGUUUUUAAAAUAUUUCCCAACCUACAUAUCCCCGAGACUCAAGGAAUCAGACUACUUGUAGUUCGACUCAAUCGGUAGAAAAAAUAGUCUUUUAUUUCAGAUGAUCUUUGACUCGGGAUGAGCGACAAGUUGAUUGAGUUGCAAAAAAGAGGCUUGUAACCUCUUAACCAUGAACGUGGGAUCCUUCACAUCCAUAGGCAAGAACUUACCUAGACAUAAUUUUCAAAACUCUAGGUUUACUAUCACUCGAAUUUGAAAGAAAGAGAAGGUUAUCCUCGGUAUGAGUUUAGAAAUAUCCCGAAGGUGAAGCUGAAACCAGAAUAUCCUAAAAUACCCACAUUCCUUAUAAUAGGGGUAUGGUUGGAUGGUGGUGGUGAUCAUCUUUUAGUUCGCGUCUAAAGAGUUUGACGUUUCUCUCUAGACUAUAUCCCAUUUUGCUGCUAAGAAGGAGUUCCAUGUCGUGCUAUGUCCUAUCUAGAGUCGUCCGCACCUGUCAUUUUGAUUUGAGAUUUUCAUCCCCUCGGAUGCUCUUGGCAAUGUCUCAAACAAAAAUCGUUAGUUAUAAACAUAAUUCAUGAAAGAGGUAUAUAGUCUUUACCAUAUCUCCACGUGAGUUGUCGCCUGAAAAGCAAAGUCAUCCUUUCAUGUACUUGUUUGGAAGGAAAUAACUUGAAAUAACAGAUACAAAAACCCUCUUGGUUUUUUCAUAAUCAGACUAUUUAUCAGUUGAUAUGUCUUUAAAGUAGGAUGGCCCUUUUGGACAUCGCUGACACUUUAUGUAGAAUGGUCCCUGCAACCGUGUAAUCUUAUGCUAAUGCGACAACCUUUAGGUCACCUAUAAUUCUUGUCGUAUGUAGAAUUAUAACAUCUCUGGCUAUUGACAAUGUUUUUUUCCAUGUGACCCUCGGGUAAGUCUUGUGCAUCUUUUGUAUCGAUACAACUUACAGAUUUCCCUUAAAUUGUUAAUUUUUGGAUAAUCUCGCGUAUUAUUUGAUGUUGGAUACAAGGCAACUUACAGAUAUCCUUUGAAUUUCUAGCCUUUAGGUAAUCCUGCACAUUAUCCGACCUUCGAUAAGAUAUGGCCUAUAGAUAUUCCUCCAACUGAUAGUUGUUAGGUAUUCCUACACAUCAUCCAACCUUGGAUACAAUAUGACUUAUAGAUAUGUCUCAAAUUGCUAGUCUUUGGGUAAUCCUGCACAUAAUCAAUUAUGAUGUUCCGCAGAUUAUAGAGAACCCUUGGACUUAUCAAUUUAACAAUCUUGCAUAUUCUUCGGUAAGGAUUUAGUUACGACUUACGGAUAACCUUCAGACUAUCAAUUUUUGGAUAACCUUGCACAGUAUCUGAUUAGGAUAUUGUUGCGGAUUAUGAAUGACCUAUGGGCUAUCAACUCAUAGGUAAUCUUGCACACUAUCCUAUUUCAAAUAAUAUGACUUAUAGAUGACCCUUAGAUUGUCAAUUUCUAGAAAGUCUCAUAUGUCGUUCGCUUUUAGAUAGAAACUUAAAGAUGCCCCUUUGAAUCACUUGAUUUUGAUACAUUUAGAUGCUUAUUCAUAAAAUGAUGAGAUAUUAUUGAAGUCAACGUAUGCUAUCUUAUAUGUUAAUAGAUAUUAGAUGCUAAUGAUAUCCUCGACGCCAGCGUAUGCUAUCUCGCGUGCCAACAGAUAUUAGAUGUUAAUGAUAUCCUCGAUGCCAACAUUUAUGUCUCACGUGUCAAUAAAUAUUAGAUAUUGAUGAUAUCCUCGAUGCUAGCAUUUGUGUCUAACGUGUCAAUAGAUAUUAGAUGCUGAUGAUAUCCUCGAUGCAAUGUUUGCUAUCUUACAUGUCAACAAAUAUUAAAUACAUUGGUCCUCUUGGCAAUGAAAUGAUAUGAAAUAGCCCUUUUGGAAAUGGCAUAAAAUGGAUCUCUCGGUGAUGAUAUGAAAUGGCCCUCUCGGUAAUAGCAUUAAAUGGCCCUCUCGGCAAUGGCAUGAGAUGGCCCUCUUAGAAAUGAGAUGAAAUAGUUCUUCCGAUGGUUUGAAAAUAGUUUCACCUGAGUCUGUUUUUCUGCAUUUUACUUUCUACAUGUACCUGUACUCAAGGUAGAUAGUUAGUAGACAUAAUAUUGCUCCCACUGGCGACCACAAUCAAGCUUUAUGAUAGUUUAAUGACAAAUACUGAGCAUCAUAAUUUGAAUGACUUAUUCUGCUAUUAAUCUUGUCUCUUUGAAGAAAUAAUUAAAUAGCAGAUCCACCGAAUGCAAGUAAAUGGGGCAAAAUCCUUGUUUAGAGACUACUCAAAUACUGUUUGCUUCACUUCAAGGCGAAUUUUGAGGAUGACUUUUGGCUCUUCCUCCUGUUGAGUAAUACUUUGAUUGUUGUAUUUAUUGUGCCAAUUUUCUUGAAUGCACCUGCACUUAAAGUAAAUAUUUAAUAGUCAUAAAGCCGCUUAUGCUAGAGACUCCUUUUAUAUAAAGAAUUCCAAAUACAAUAUUCAUAAAGUAGAUAAGGCAACUUUGUUUGUCCUUUAUGGUCUAAAGAAAUAAGAUAGACAUUUCAAAAGGUCCUCAAUAAAUGGAUAUUAAGCCCAUCUUCGGGGCUAUCCGAAAAUACCGUUCUUGAGCAUUAUGUGCAUAGGAGUAGAUCACAAUCGCUUGGGGGUUUUCUGAAAAAGAUUUUCAUCUUUGUAUAUUAAUCCCUACAUCUACAGAAAAACAGUUAAUUUUGAGUGAAACUACUCCGUGUUGACCUUCUUCGGUCCUUUAUUUGCUCCUCGUCAUCUUUUGGGUACUCCAUCAUGUUGAGACUUCCAUCUUGACUCUUCAUUCCAAUAGAUGUCUAUGAAAUUACUAAAUAAAAUAUUCGUAUUGAUUUUCAAAAAUAGUCUUAUUUUUAGAAACGAGUUUUAAAACUUCUACAAAAGAUUUAGAAAAUCUCUGCCAGUCAUGUCAUGUACCAGCUCAAUGAACAUCUUUCUGUUGGUUUUGACUAUAUCCGAUGGAAGAUUUUCAAAACUUAUCAUCAUUGUUGAGGCUUUCUAUCAAAAGUUUUGUCUAGCCGAAGAUUUAGUCUAACUAGACUUUGUCGCAGAUGGUGACUUCUAAAGAUUGACUUUGACCUCUGGUGCUAGGGAAUUUGAAAUAUAUUCCAAUAUAUUAGUGGAAAUUUUGAGGACCUUCUCAAAAUUUAUGCCCCAGUUUAAGGUUGUUUGAGAUGAUAUCAGCCCGUGAGGAUCCAAAGUCUUUCUUAGUCUUCGUUCUCUUUGUUUUUGGAAGAUGAUCUUUCUCUUGUGAAUUUUUGAGAUUCCUUCUCGAAAAUUAUGCCCCAGUCUCAUUUCCUGGGGUUAUAUGACCGAGCCAUUGGGGCUCCUACAUAUUCCGUUGAAGUAGGAAUCAGGUCAAACGUAGUUCAAGACAACAUUGGGGAUACAUAUAAAAUUCUAAUGGGUUGACCGAAGCCGACAUAGGCCUCCUACGUAUCUCAUUCUUGAGAAUUCAGGUCAUCACAAAGUUCAUACAUAAAUGGAAGGGAUAAAUUAUCCUAAGGGGUUGACCGAAGCUGACUUAGGCCGUCUACGUAUCCCUUUUUUAAGAAUUUAGGUCAAACGUAGUUUGUAUAUGAGCGAAAAGGAUAAAUUUUCCUAAAGGGUUGACCGAAGCCAACAUAGGCCGCCUACGUAUCCCAUUCUUGGGAAUUCAGGUCAAACGUAGUUCUUACAUGAAAGAAAAGUAUAAAUUUUCCUAAGGGGUUGACCGAAGAUGAGAUAGGCCACCUACGUAUCCCUUUCUUGGGAAUUCAGGUCAAAUGUAGUUCGUAGAUAAAGGAAAAGUAUUCUAGGAAAUUACACAACAUAAAACAAAUACUAUCAUAAAGGCGAUUACAAAUGAACCAAGGAAAUAAAAGUAAAACACCAUUCAAACAUAAUAUCUCUUUACCGCAUCAAAAUUGUGUAUGCUUCUGCUAAGUGAUCACUAACACUUGUCUCUUUGAUUUCAUCAUGAUUGCCCAAGUUGACUAUCUCAGUUUUGUCCAAGUUGGGUUUUUCUCAGUUUUUCAAAUUCCUCUAUAUCUUCCACUAACUGCUCUUCAUCACCUUUUUCUAUUCACUAUCAUUUCCCUCACUUUGUUCGUCUAACACUUGUCAUGACAUAACAUUAGCAGGUUUUAAACUACUGCUACCUAUUGAUCGGGGAGUAAUAAGUGAACUGAAAGUCCAAUUCAGCAAUGUUUCUUCCAAUUCAUCUUUCUUGAUUCUGGUUGUCUUGAAAAAAUCUUCCCUCACAUUUUUCUUAUUUCAUCCUCGAGACCAUCGCUUAUAGGUUUUGAAAAAUGAUUGGUAGAGUCCAGUUUUAUUACUAGUCAUUUUUAUUUUGCUGUAAAAAUGCUAUAGUCAAGAGGGGGAUCUUUUGUUCACUUUGAUCUAGUCAAGUAGGGUCAUUUUGUGCCAAGACAGAGUAGUUUCUAUUACCUGUAAAGUAAAAACAACUCAAACGCUGACGUGUUAGAUUUUGUUAGUAAUAAGUAAAGCAAGAAGAUAAGGUAGGAAUUAAACACAUAAAGUUUUUUCUUAUCUCACGAAUUGAUCCAUGAAGUAAUGAUGACUUGAGAAUUUCAAUGAACAAGAUUUUGCUCAAUAUAUGGAUAGGUGGAAUUUGUCAGGAAGGUUCAACUCUUAUUCUUCCUUCAAGAAAGUGGAGGACAACAGAGUUUUUGAAGAUGGGGGCCAAAAAGCUACCUACGUAUCUCACAGACGAGAAAUCAAGCCCUACAUAGUUCGAAACUAUAAUGGCUUUUUUUGAUUCUAAAGUCAACUUUACUAAAAUGGUAGAGAUCAUUUUGGAAGUUUAAAGAAUGAUUGCAGACUUUUCUGAGAAACUUAGGAGACUUGGAGUAGGUUUGGUCGGACAUUUGUAUAGUGGAGUGUAUUUCUGCCUAGAGAUGUUCUAUGGAAAAUGGGAUUGGAUCAAUUCGCCUUUAAUUCGAAUCAAUAUAACACGUAUAAGAGCAUAAAUAGUAAUAUUACACAAGCAUAUUGUAUAAAUAUGCAUCCUAAUUGGGUGACCCUUUUGAGCCAAGGGUUUAGGCCUAAUGAAUUUUGAAUAAAAUAUACGCCUUUUUAAAGUCAAUCCAUUAUCCCCAAAAGUCUUCAUAGGUAUAUAUAAAUGACAUAAAUGUCUACAAAAGUUGCACAAAAAGGAUAUGAUUUUUAGGAAAAGGGAAAAUAACAUGAAAAAAGGAAUAAUGUCCUGCACAGGGGAUGGGAAAUACUAGUUCCUGAAUGCUCUUCUAUUGACCUUUGCCCUCUUAUCUUUGUCCACUUCUUGUCACUGGUGAGAUCCAUUGAUGGUCAAAUGAUUUAUGUAUAGUUGUUCCCUAGAUGAAACCGUCCAAAUCGAUCAAUUUCUUUCUUGGCUUGCUUCAAUUCCUCUCUCAAUUGGUGUAUGAUUGAGGUAUCCUUACACGAAAGUAAGAAAAGUAAGCUAUCUCUGGAUUAAAUAAACAUAUAUUUCUGCAAUACAUAAUUAUGAUUCAUCUGUAAUUGACUCGGGGUCAAUAAACACAGGGAAGGUUUUCUAAUGGGCCCAAUACCCCCUCGGGUAUUGGGUCAUCCUAGGCUCGUGCCUAAAAUAAGAUUUUGGUUUCGCUCAAUCCUAGGUAUCUAGAGUGGGUUUGAGCCAGGUUCCAAGUGGAUGACUUGGGUUUAAAAAUAUGAACAACCAUUAGAUGACUCACGUGCUAAUAAACCAUCGUAUUUCCAACACUUUAUUUGGAGUUAAACAAUCGGGGCUGGGACAUCCACGCAAUCCCAAAAUAAUUUAAUAAUCAAUGUAGAAUUAUCUUAUGAGAUGUAAUAAUUAAAUUUCACAAAAUCGAAACAUAUAAACACGUAAGAAAUUUAAUUAGUUAGUCAAAAUAUAAAAUCAAACAUUUGGUUAGAACCUAGUUAAAUAUCCCUAGAAGAAACGCUAUUUCUAUUUUGCCAAAAAUUUUGACUUUUGAGAGUUGCCAGUUAUUUGAAAAGGAAUUAAGAAAACCUUUAAAAGUUACUUAAACGAUCCAAAACAAAAAAAUCAUUUAAGUUUGAAGAUUCUGAGUAAGCGAUUCUUAUUAAUACUCUUGGAAGGUUGUUAAGGCACCAAGAGUAUUCGCUAGCUUGCGGUUAUCUGGACUGUCACACCCUUUUUUACCAAAAAGAUUAGAUUUUAAAGUUUGAAAGGGUUUUUAUUACUAAAGUGACAAAAUGAAGCUUUGUUCCGUAAAAGGAUUAUUUUUACAUUCAAAUCUCAGAGUUGCCACUAGGAAUAAUCCAGUGUGCCAAGUCACCUUUGGACAAUCCUUUUCAAAAUGGUUUUGACUUUUUAAAACCGAUCCACAAACAAAGAUUCCGGCUAAGGAAUUCUGUUGAUCGAGGGAAAGGUGUUAGGCACCCCUUGAUCAUAUGGUUCGACAAUGGUCUCUUGGUGGAGUAUAUCGGCUCGUAGACAUCAUAAAAUGAAUAAACCAACACACACACAAACAAGAAAAACAAUCAACCAAACAAUCAAAAGUCCAAAAAAUAAUGUCCAGUCCAAUUUAUUACAACCCAAAAUAAAAUGCUGAAAUUAAAAUCUAAACUAUUCUAACUAUCCUAGCUAUGCCUUACCCGAUGCCUCGAGCCGUCAUUACGAGCCUCAUUUGCAUACAUGAUACGUCAGGGCAUUCCCCGAUAAAUAAAUAUAAAUGACCUUGGGGCAUUCCCCGGCUAAAUGAAUACAUUUUUUUAGUGCGAGAAAAUCAAACCAUUCAACAAAAUUUCAAAAAUUCAACAAAACCACGAAUUCUAAACUUUGCCUACCCAACCUACAUUUGCCUACCCAUUCGACCUAUCAUGAUACUAUCAAGUUCGAUAAUAUAGUGUCCAUUUCAAAAUAAACAACAAUUAAAGAAUUAAACUAACUGACAUCCACCCUUUUUAUCAGUUUUCCAUUCACACCCCAUGAUUAACAAAUUUCAAUUUAAAAUCAACCAAUCACGUUAAGAUAUUACGGAGAAACUCAAACACAUUCAAACACAUCACCAAAUCAUAUCAUCAAACACGUUAAGAUAAUACAAGAGUAGAGUUAAGAAUUUGAACCUCAAAAUAAUAAAUUUCUAUUGAUAAUAACGAGUUAACAAGGCACGAACUCGAAAUCCUGAAUAAAAAUCUAAAUAGCGACCAAAAAUUCAACUCGGUAUCGAGAAAUAUAACCCGAAGAGAUUUGUCAUCGACGAAAAAACGCCAAAUCAAAAAUUUCCAAUUGUCCAUAACCUAACCCACUGGAAUCAAAGCUAGUUGGCCAUUUGUACCUCCCCAGAGCUCCGACAGACCACUUAGCCCACGAAUUGGGGUCUCUCUCCAGCUAAAUCUCAUCGAAAAAAUCCAGAAAUAGAAAAGGAAAGGGGAUUUCAUAGAGCUGCGAGUGACGGGAUUUAACGGGUGAGGAUGAGUGUUAUUGGAUGUCUAUUUCUGUGUGUGUAUUCUCGAAGGAGAAGGAAAAAUAGAGAUUAGCAGUGUGUUUGUGCAGAAUUGUGUGGGUGGUGUUGUGUAUUGUUUUUUGGUCAAUGAUGAGGAUGAUUGUUAGGUGAAUGUGUAAGUUAGUAAGUAGGAUUGGAUGGGGAUAAGGGUGAGGGUAGGGGUAGGGUAGAGAGAGGGAAAAAUGAGAAAAAUUUAAUUUUUGGACGGACAAAAUUACAUGUCUACAUUAAGCCCCUCUUUGGAUGUAAAUGCAAAGUGUUUUCAGAUAAAGAAGUAGACAACGAGACAAAAUUUUGACCGACCAUUAUUCAGAAGAAAGAAACACAAGGAAGGAGGGCAAUCGAGUCUUGAUUUUGCUUUCCUACCUAUCCUGAGUUAUGAGAGAUUCAAGUCAUAUGUAGUUAUAGGGUUGAAAAGGAGAUGGACUAUACCGAAUUGGAGAGUCGAGUGAGGUCCUGUCGAGGUUCUGGUCCACGGCUCUAUCAUUACACCAAAAUAAAAAUUACAAGUUAAAAUAUAAAUGAAAUUAUAAAGUCUUAUCUAUGCAACAUCUCUUGAUUUUUGUCUUGGGUCUCUGAUGCUUUUAGAAGUGACAAAAGAUCUAAUCUUCUUUCGAUUGAACUUGAAGAUAGAAUUUUUCUCUAUACAAAUUUGGUGUUGGAGAUGAACUCAAAGUUAGUCAUGCUGCAGGUGGUAUCUCUGAACUUGAACCUGGAUUUGAAAUUCUUCACCCUAUUCUUCAGGUGGGCUCCUAACUUGCAGUCUUUCACCUAGUUGCUUGAAUUUUAAUCUCUUUACCGUAUUCUCCAGGUGGGCUCCUGACUUGCAAUUUCAUCACCCUGUUCUGCAGAUAGUCUCCUGACUUGCAAUUUCAUCACCCUAUUCUUGAGGCGAGCUCCUGACUUGUAACUCCAUCACCCUUUUCUCCAGACAGGCUCAUGACUUUCAAUUUCAUCACUCUAUUCUCCAGGACUCCUGACUUGUAACUCCAUCACCCUAUUCUUCAGGCGGACUCCGGAAAAUAAAAUCAAAACUAGAACAAAAAUUAUCCCACACAAAGAUUAUGAUAAAGAAAGAUUUUAUUUUUUCAGAAAAUAAUGUCUCAUUUUACAAGAGAGUUCUAAACAGAAAAUAAAGUCCCAUUUUUUAGGCGGGUCCUGAACAAAAGUAAUGUCCCAUUUUUCAAGAGGGUCCUGGACAUGAAGUAAAUUCCCAUUUUUCAGGAGGGUCCUGAACAUAACGUAAAUUUCCAUUUUCCAGUUGGGUCCUGAACAUAGAGUAAAUUUCCAUUUUUAGGAGGGUCUUGACCAUAAAAUAAGUUUCCAUUCUCCAGAAGGGUCCUAAACAUAAAAUAAAUUCUCAUUUUCCAGGAGGGUCCUGAACACAAAGUAAAGUCCCAUUUUUCAAGAGGGUCCUGAACAUAAAAUAAAUUCCAAUUUUCCAGGAGGGUCCUGAACAUAAAAAUAAAUUUUUAUUUUCCAGGAGGGUCCUAAACAUAAAAUAAAUUCUCAUUUUUCAGGAGGGUCCUGAACAUAAAGUAAAUUUCCAUUCUCCAGGAGGGUCCUGAACAUAAAAUAAAUUCUCAUUUUUUAGGAGGGUCCUGAACAUAAAAUAAAUUCUCAUUUUUUAGGAGGGUCCUGAACAUAAAGUAAAUUUCCAACCAAAUGCAUAUUUAUCCUAAUAAAUUAUUGAUCCCGAACUUUUUGAUUUAAUAAAACCAAAUGCAUAUUUAUCUAAAUAAAUUAUUUUGAUAAUAAAUUAUAUUAAAAUCAAGAUUUUAGUCAUUAUACUUAUUUUUAAAAUAAUCCUUAAUUAAAAUCCAAUAUUCCAUAGAAUAAAUAUUUAAGUAAUCAAAUUAUAUAAUCUCAUAUAACCGAACACAAUAAUAUAUAAUUGCUACUUAAAAUGAUAAAAUUACGUACAAAAAAUAUUUUAAUUUUUUUUAUUUGAAUGAAAUAAAUAUUUUAAUUUUAUUAAAAACCGAAGAAAUUCAGGAUUAAAUUUGGUCGUGGAGGGAAAAAAUUAGGUGUCAACAAGAAUAAGUUUCAAUCCUGCACUUUCCACCCGGGGCACCCUCUAGUGUUAGUAAUUGGUUUUGAUAGGGUAUGAUUAGCACAAUUUGAAUAUUUCUUUGCUAAACUAUUGAGAUCAUAUAUACAGGGCCGACUCGAUAAUUAUGAAGGCCUAAAUCAAAACUUCAAUGAGAGGCCGAAAAUUUUAUUAAAAAAUCAUAUAUUCUAUAGGAUAUCACUUGAAGUCUAUUUUCUAGCUUUUUAUAUACAAAAUUUAAGAUACUAUCUAUAUCUUAAUUUGUAUGAUAAUUUUCACUUUUUGACUUUGAAAAGUAUAAUAGGAUUAAGUUUGUAAAGAUACUUUUCAUUUUUUAAAAAAUAAGUAAUUUUUAAAAAGUGCUCUCAAACUUAAAACACCACACACACACUACACACACAUAUAUAUAUACACACAUAUAUACACAUAUACAGAGGCGGAUCCAAGGUUCAAAAACUCCGGAUACCACCUUAUUUUGAACAAUAACGUAUACUCCAUACGGUAUUUUAGGAUAGUGGAAUCAAUAUUCAAACAUUAAACUAUAAUUAUAUAUAUCUAACAAGUGUUAGUAUUAUAUGAAUGCUUGCCUAGUUGGUGUUGUCAGCUGUUUUGUAAAAAAAGAGGUCAAGGGUUCUAUUCUUCAUAGCCACACUAUAUAUUUUUUUAAGAGAAAACAAACAAGUGCUAAAAAUCAUUCUAAAAAUACAGUGCCACACGGGUUUCGAACCCGCGUUGUUGGAGUUAAACUAAACAAUUUCUACCACUUACACCACUAGUCCCUUUGAUAUUGUGGGUGUCAAGUAUAAUAUUUGUACAUUAACUGAUACAUAUACACAUAAAUAUACAGAGUUUCAUCCGAGAAGUGCGGGUGCCAUGCCACCCCAUACCUUCUACAUUGAUUCGCCCCUGCACAUACAUACAUACAUACAUAUGCCAGGAAAUUUUGGGCAGCAGUGGCUUUAGAAGCUUUACGCUUUAGCCGACCCUGCAUGUAUAAGUUCCUUGUAGGCUUGGCUCGAUUAGUCAUGUCGAUAUAUCUACAAAACAAAAAAUACCUAGGAAUCUUGAAAUAAAAAAGAAAUAAAAAUCUUCUCUGGAUCAACCAAAGAUAAGAAAUGGAAAAGGAAUAAUAGUAGGGUAAGAAUAUGCAAAGUCUGCAAUAUUAGGUUCUAGUGUCACAAUAAUAUGUCAUAGAGUUCCCAUUUUGAUAUGAGUUUUGCUUGCUAUAUUUUUAUUUUAUUAAAUAGAAUGUUAAUUUUAACUAAACAUUUUUGCCUUCCUACUUGUGUAAUAUUAUUUCACGAUCCUUGAUGACUUCUCUAUUGAGGAACAUUCAGGAAUAUUAGAUCUUCAAACUAAAUAAUUGUCAAGUUAGAUGAAAUUGUUCAUGUUUGAAGCUUAUUCACAUGUAUAGUCCUUGAUUUUUCUUUCUCCCUUUUCUCGCUAUUUUGUAUCUAUUGAAUAUUGUUGCAGGUCUUGGAGUUGUGGAACCAUUCAUUCAGAGCAACAUAACUUGGCCACAUAAUGAACAUGAGGGCAUAAUUUCUUCAUUAGCGAAUUCGCGUGUGAAAGAAAAUAUAGCUUCAGUGAGUCAUGACCACCGGAUGAUGAUUUGACGAUGAUAUAUAUUUAUGGAUCAAGUUAUAAGAAUAGACAUUCUUUCAUCUUUCUAUUUUCAAAAUUACGUCAAUUUAUGAAUAAAAUAUAUUUGCAUACACCUUUUUGCUAACAAAUUGUAUUUGGGAUCAAGCAAGGAGACAAUAUUAUUGGUGCAUCACCAAUGUAAUGAGUUAUUUGAAAGGUUACAUCAUUUACAAACUUUGAUCAGUAUUUCAAACUCUCUUCUCUCUAGUUCAUCAUUUCGAACCUGAUAUUUAAAAUGUUAAUUAGACUUCUUGUUAUUUUAAUACAUAUCAAAGUCUAAACUUGAAUAACUAUAAUGAAUUUAAAUUCUUAAAUAGGAAAGUUUGUAAAACAAGUGAAGGAAAAUAUUUUCGGAAUGUGUUUUUCCUAUUUUUCAUGUUCAUUUGGAUGAAAUUUUAGAAAAAUAUUUUCUUUAGGAAAACAAAUCAUUGGAAAUAAGGAAAAUUUCCUUAAUGAAAGUAAGGAAAACAAGUGUCAAUAUCUCCCACCGUUCACAAAACCACCCACCCCAUCAAAUCCCACACUGACUUUACCCCUACCUCACUACAACCCCCUUGCCCUCCGUCUUCCCUACCAAAAUAUGCCUCACUCUACCCUUAGUCGUUGUCAUUAUUUUUUGUUAGAUAUAUACAAACGCUUUUAGAAUAAUAUUUAUUAUUGGGAUACUGAAUAUAAUAAAAUAAGUAAGAACCAACUUGAUUUCCUUGAAAAUAUUUUUCUCCAUAUUGAACACAACUGAAUGUAUACUCUAGCAACUACAUUAAAACAACUUAGUAAUAUAGUUAGAAAAUACUCAAAAAAAAAGAAGAAGAAAGAGAGUGACACCACUAUUUCAAAAGAAGGCCUCUCUUUCCUAUUUUGAAGUUACAAAUUAAAACAUUGCAUAGUGUCCAAAGCACAUCGUUCAUCUUAGCACUUAGAAAGGGAGGAGUUGGGGAAUCGGAAGGGAUCCAUCCAGACCUAUAAAAAAUAACACUACAUAUAUGCGGGAAAAUAAUUAAGAGUGACAAAAAAAUUUCAAAACUAAAAAAGUGACACAAGUUUUAGUUAUUGAGUUAAGAUGACAAUUUUAAGAUUAGUGUAAGUGGCACUAAUUUUAAAACUCCCAAGUUUGUAUUAUUUACUCAAAAUUAAGUCCUAACUUUCUCUCAACCCUUCUUAUGCCACUGCUGGCACUACCACCACCACCACCACCUCCACCAUUACCAUCACCACCACCACCUACACCUCCUUCUCCUCCACUAUAACUGGCACAACGGCCACCACCUCCCCCUCCACCUCCUUCAACAAUAGUUUGAGUAUUUCCACAAUGAUAAUAGUUGUUGCAGCAACCAUUAACUAUAGUAGUUGCAACAUAGCAACUAUUGUGGGUUCUAUAUUUUUUGCAGAAUUUUUUUCAAUGACUUAAAAAAAAUAUAAAGUUUCUUUCCAAAAUUCUCCAUGUUUAUCUUGACGAAAUGAGCAGAAUUUCUAUUCCAAUGCCAAAAGUGUUCAUGAUAUCACUUUCGUAUUUAGUAAACUUAUCAAUGGUUAUAGUCAUAGCGAUCCUCCUACUCAACUACUUCGAUUAUUUUCGAGCACCUAAUAUCUUUUUUGGAGUGUUCGAAGAUCAUUUUUAUAUGAUUUCUCUUGAUCCCAUAAUCAAAGAAAAAUAGUCCAUAAGAAAGGGCACGCCAUGAAAAGGAUGAACCAAAUGUAAAAGGAUAUAGCCCCCUCAUAGUGGAUCCAUCUUAGACAACUUAUUUAUGACCAGUUGGUCUUCCAAGGAGGUUCUAGUGUAGAUGUAGCAACUCUCAUAGUGAUUUUUUAGGUUUUCCUAUGUUUUGAAUAUUUCUGUCCUUCUCGUUGUUGUCUUAUAGCACUUGUGAGUUGCGGUAGUGGAGGCCAUGGUCCCCAAAGUGUUCAAAAGAGUUUUAUAGUUUUUGAUUUUUAAAAGCUUUUAAGUUAUUAUAAUUGACUUAAGUCAAUAUUUGAUGAUCUAAGAAUUGGUUAAGAUUCUUGUCAGUUCCAUCAUGCUCGAAAUAUAUUUUACAAGUGUUUACACUGUUGGGCUGUGUUUGGGAGAUCUCAGAUGAGUUUUGGGUAUUUGUUCAGAAUUUGGAGUUUUAUAUUAUUGAGUUUUAUUAGUGUCACCUAAAAUUAAUAAGCUAUGUUGUUAUUUUUAUGGUAACAUGAGAUCUGUAUUGAAAUUUUGGAAUCAAAGCAAAAAUAAUCGAUGCAUUUGAAGUCGGUAUGGGGGAGAUAUGGCCAUUUUAGUACGGAUAAUAGUUGCUGAUUUUCUAGUGUGGAGGUUCUUCUCCAUGAAUGCGAUGGACACACCACGAAUGUGAAGAAGGACCCUUUUUUGAAUGGGCAAUGGAAAAAUUUAUUCUUCAAAUGUAGUUAGGGUCCCACGAAUGCAAAGAAUAAAUAUUUACCUGGAUAAUGCUUAAAUCAAUAGAUCACAAAUUUUUAGUAUUUUUAAAGCUAGAAAGUUCUAGUUUACCAAUGAUUUUUUCUCGUAUAAUGACUGAAUACCUUUGUUUUACUCAUUUUCCAAGUAUAUACAUUUUUUCAUGAUUUUGAUUCAUAACGUUUAGUUUUGAAAUUCGGAGUUAUGAAAUCAAAAGUUUUUCAUUUAAGGAUCAAUUUGUGAUAGAAUUUCAUUGAUAUUUAGGAUUUUUUUUAGGAACAGAUCUUACCCGAGUCUCUCAAAUCCCAUGGCGGUCAGGGGUUGAGCCACACACCUCCAAGUCUUAUCAUAAAUAAAAUAAAGUGAGUACACAAAGGGGGGCAUAGACCUUACCUCCAACCUGUGGUGGUUCAAAUUCAACUAGCCUACUAAGGCCAGUCAACUCAUCCCCGAUACUAGAAUGAUAUUUAGGAUUUAAGGUCCUUGUAUUAUGCAUAAACUGAUUUUCAUAAAAAUUUAUUGAAAUUUCAAAUUUUAAAUAGUGUUUGAUAAUGGAGAUUUGAGGUUUUCCAAGUAAAGCUAAAAUUUAAUUUUUUGAUGAUUUCAAACUCGAUUUCAACUUUAUUUUUGAUGGAAUUUUACAUUUGAUACCCUUCGACUAUGGGUAAAGUGAUAUUUUGCAAAAAUUUUAGUUUUAACCCUGUGGGCAUGAGAUUGAUUUUCAAACUGAGUUUGGGUACUCUAAACCAAAGUAUAUCAUAUGAGUAUUAUUGUACUCAUAUUUAUGUGUAGAUCUCAUAUGUUUAGAUUUAACAUAUUUGCUGGUGAUUUGGGACAGAAGAUACUCUAUUUGAUUUUUUAGGCUGUGGUUUGACUUUGCAGAUCAUCUUUGAGGUAAUUGAGGUUUAUCUUGACUCUUUUCUGAGGUGUUUAUGUGUUAUAUAUUAUUUUUCUGUAUAUUUUAAAUAGUUGGGAAUUUAAGGGUCCCGCAUAGAUGCAAUGGUGAGCAUCUAUGUUGUACCAAUGUUUAUUGUUGUGUUAAAAGAAGUAAAUGGAACAUCUUGAUUGUUCCUUUUUCUAGUCGAUAUAUUUAUGAUAAAUUGUGUCAAUAAUUGACUUGUUGAUCAUGAAUAAACUAAUAGCGAGUAUCUAUAAUAGGAUUUGAAUUAUGCUUAGUGAAAUUUGAUGGAAUAAUUGGGGUUUAGUAACAACAUAAGGUAUAAGAGAUUGUGGCUAUAAUGAGAAUGUUAAAACUAGAAAUUCAAGCGUCAUUGCUAUAUAAUAUGAGCCAAAUUGAAAUGUUGAAUAUUCUUGUCGAUGAGUAUAUUUUCCUUUUGAGCAUUUGAGUCUAAUUGUAUCAUAAUUAGGAAAAGGUUGGAGACUUAUUGUGUAAAGCAUGCUAUGGGUUGAGUGAAUUUUAAUAUUUAUAUUAUUUUUGUUGAUUAUCAUUAUUGUGAUGGCCACGUGGGGGCUUGUGUGAAUUAUAUUAUUAAAUUAAGUGAUUAACAUUAUAUUAAUGCCCCCAUGGUUCCUUGUGUGGAACUUUUAAUUGACUUGAAAAAUCAUAUCAUUGUGAUGCCCGAAUGGAGGCUUAUGCUGAUAUUAUUAUUGAUUAGAGAGUUUACUAUUAUUGUGAUGCCGGAGUGGGGGCUUGUAUUAACCUCAUUGGUGUCUUAUUUGGUACUUUUACUAUUAUGGUUCCCAUGUUGAGGGCUUGUCGGGGAUAUUUUCAAUACCUUGCAUUGAUUAUAUAUUGUAUUUUGAUGAGAGGACUUGUAUCAUGAUUUACCCAGAUUUGGGCGAGUUGGGUUCAUUUAUACUAUUGUUAAGCUGAUUAUUAUGUAUUGUUGGGUUUUUUCAUGAACAUAUAUACUCAUUAAUUUCUCUAUUUGUGGAACUGAUACUACUGUGAAAUUUGGAUUCUUUGGGAAAGAAAAUAAAUUAUUUUAUAAAAUGACUUGACCAAGGAAAGUGCUGGCAAGAUCGAUUAUUUGAGGUUAUGAUUAGUUUGUGGAGUGUGAACCCCUCAUAGAACCUCUCUUAGAGCUUAGGAUUGAAAGAUGCAUACAAUGAGAUAGGAUUGCAUCACACUCAUAUUAUGCACCAUCAUUAUUGUACUUAUCUAAUGCAUCAUCAUUAUCAUAUUCAUGCACUUUUCUUAUCUUAACCUUGAUGACUGGUUGGUAUAGUGAGAAGGUAUAAUUCUAGCUUGGUUAAGGUCUUUCCUGAUAUGAGUUGGGCUAUUAUUGUUGAUCAUAAACUUGUAUAUAUUUGACAUACUUAUAUGAGUUGGGCUAUUAUUGUUGAUCAUAAACUUGUAUAUAUUUGACAUACUUAUAUGAGUUGGGCUAUUAUUGUUGAUCAUAAACUUGUAUAUAUUUGACAUACUUAAACUAGUUUGAUUACCUUAUUAAUUGUUGCUACUACUAGAUAGGUGGAGACUUUUAUCAGUGCAAAUUUAUUUGGUUGGCAUGUAUGGUUGAUGUAAUGGUCCUCACCGUUACUUUGGAUUAGGAUGCUUGCUGAGCACACGUGUUUCAUACUCACUGUUACAUUUUUUGGCACCUAUGUACAAGUACUGGGUGGGUAGCUGAGCAUUGAUUAUAAUUCUCGGUGUUUGCUUUUUGGAGAUUGAUGUAGAUUUUGUUGUAUCUCAGAGAAUACCUUGGUAUCUCCUUAUUUUAUCUAAUGCUUAUGUGCAUAUGAGAUACUUUAAACUAUUUCAUUGAACUCGGUAUUAGAGGCUUGUACUAGUGACAACCAGAACUAGGACAUUGUAUUGAUAUUGUACCUCUUUUUUUAUGUCAUUUGGAGAUUAUUUCUUUCAUACUUCUUUUGAUUUUUAUUUACUUCUAUAAUUUAGUUUGGGUAGGGAUACACUUACUUUUAUCGAAAGUUGUAACAGGUACCAUCACGAUCUUGAUUUUGGAUCAGGACAAGUUGGUAUCAGACUCCUAGAUUCAUUGGUCCCACAAGUACAAGCUAAGUCUAUUAAAGUCAUGCAGAUUGGUGUAAAGAUGUUAGUUAUCUAUCUUUGAGAGGAUACAUGACUUUAGGAGAAAUCCAUAUCUUUAUUUUGUGUCAUGCAUUCAUAGUCUAAUGCAACUCAAAAGUCUCUUAUUGAUUUUCUCAUAGAUGGUAAGAACACCUUUCUUUUUUGCUAGAGACUAAGAGUUCUUGGCUCUAGUUAGUGGAGAGGCGAAGGUCAGACGAGAAAAGGUUAGACUAGUGUUGCCUUCUCAGGUUCAAGAGUUACUCACUGAUAAUGAGUUUGUUGGGAUCAAGGGGUUGAUCCCAACAAAGACACCAUCUAUUUUUAUAUCUAUAUUUAUGCUUGAGCAUUUCUCGAUAGGGGUGUUGGGUAAUGUCGCCCAAAACUACACCUCAACUGGAAGUAUAAUGAGGUUGAUUGCAAAUAUAAUAACCCAAUAAGGCUGGGGUCAAUCCCACAGGUAAAAUCUGAAUAGUUGCUUUCCUUGAUAUAAUCCACGAGCAGUACAUGAAAGUAAAUGGGGGGGGGGGGGUUAUUAAUUAGAAAUAGUGACCAAUUAUUGAGUGCUAUUGAUUUGAAAUCAAUAUGAGAUGAACGCUAGGUCUAUGUUCCCCCUGGAUUCUCAACUUCAUAAAGUUCUAGUGGUCAACCUAAUUAUUCUGUUGUUCUGCAUGCAAAGCCUACAAGAUAGGUAUUAUCCACUUCUUAGCAGAUAAAUUUCACCCUUUGACUUGGUUAUCAUCUCAGGGUAUCGCCUUGUUUCCCCUUGAUAUGACCUCAGUUACACUUGUUGGGGUAGGAUCAAGUGAUAAGAUAAGAUACGUGGUUAUCGUACCCUAAAUCACUAUCUUAAACCAUCUUUUUCUUAAUCGCAAGCUUCUUAGUUAUCGAAUGGAUACAAAUAUAGGCAAUCUCAAGCAUCUGCAGCUGCUAUGAGUUUAAUUAUUGUGAAGAAGAAUUACGAUACAUGCAGAAACUUUAGAACAACUGAGUCUCAAACUUCCUCUUCGUAGCUAAUCUACCAGGGUUCCCAUAACCCUAGCCGAAGAUAUUAACCGCUCAUGUUUGUGAAAGGAACCAUGGUUAUUAAUUAAGAACACAUAAAUCAGUUGCACAAAAUAAGAUGAAUACAAUCCAAAGUCUUUAAUUGAAUAAACCCCUCAAAUUUCAAGAACAAUUGUAAAAGUAGGUAAUAAUGUGUAAUCGCGCGUAAAAGAAUGUCACAAUGUGUAACCUAAUAAAUAUAAACCCUAGGGUAUUUAUAGUAUCUAAAAAAACAUAAAAAUCCUAUUAAAAAUGGGAAAGGUAAAGUUAAGUCAAUAGUCGUUACAAUUAGAUCUUCACUCGUAUCCUUAGCUUACGAGUCGUACCCUGACUUGUCGUAUCCAUUCCAAUGUCUGAUCUUCCCAAGUCUUCAACUCUUUGUUCAGCAUAUGACUUAUGCUUAUGAGUUAUACCUUAGUGUACAACUCAUUUCCUUCAUCCGUAUCCAGCUGGGACUUUAGUCUUUUCAGGUCUUGAACACUGGUUUGUAUACGACAUCCCUAUAUAAGUCAUACUCAGACUUUCGACUCAUAUAGAUUUGAUAUUUCAACUCCUGGAUAGUAGCUCAGGUUUUGUUAUGCUCAUGACUUCUGCAUAUGACUCGUACCCUGGCUUACGAAUGGGGUACUUGAGUCGUAUCUUUCUCAUACUCGGCUUGUCAGUUUGGAUUUUGGUUUUGUUAUUCAUAAGAUUCAAUAUACGAGUAGUAUCGAUUGGUUACGACUCAAAGACUGACUUGUAUACAGAUUAGAGUUUGUCUUUUUCAGGUCUUUUUCUUCUUUUUUUUGUUCAAAUACUGUUGUAGACCUGUUUUACCUGUAAUUCACACCAAAGUGCAUCAUAUCCAACAAAAUACCCUAAGUUCAUACAUAAAUUCACAGUUUCAAGCACCAAAAGUGUCAUAUUUCCACACUACAUCAACACCCUGAAUUUAAAAUUUUGCAUGUCCUCAGGCAAAUAAAACCAAAUUACUAAUUUCUAGCAUAGAGCCAAUGCUUAAAUAGGAACAUCUCAAGCAAACCCAUGGCAGUGAUUCUGAAUUAUAGUUCAAUCUUGUUGUUCCCCUCUUAAUUUUUCAACUUUUCAACUCAAACUUGCGUAUAGAAAUUUAGCACAUGUAGAAACACGAAGGAAUCUGAUGAUGACAUUAUAUUAGCAAUAGACACUUGGGCAUAGACAUGCUUUACAUUCAUCAAAUAAUCUAGCAACCUAGCAAUAUAAAUCCCAUUCACUCUUCAUGGGUAGACUACUCUAUUCAGGGAUAUAACAAAUGGCUCUCUCACUCACAAUGAAGUAUCAUCGGUGUGCACAGAAUACCAUAGGCUUACCCUUAUGCUCUUUUCCUAAGUUUUCAGACAGUCACAGUAGGAUCACUAUAGGACUUUAUUUGGCUUGUAACGAAGGCUUGAGGCUGGUAUGAUACAUAUGGAUAUCUAAAUUGACUAAGACUUCUAGACACUACGCUCUUCUCGGGGUCCACUACUUUUGACUUUUUUUAUUUCCACCCUUAUGUCUCCUUUUUUGUUUUAAGCACAUUCUGCUUGGGUCAGGUGUUUCUUUCUAGCACUUAUUUUUCUUAUUCUUUUUAUUGUUAAAUACCUUGCAUAUUUCUUUUUUUUCUUUCAUCACUCCUGCCCAUGUUUCAACUAUUUCUCUUCUACCCAUUAUCUUUAUACUCGUUUUCCUCCUAUGCAACCAUAGAAUAGCCACUCUCAACUUAGACCAUUUGUAUGAGUUGAGGUGCACAGUGUCCACAGGUGGGCCAGGGACAAAAUAGUUUCAUUAUAAGUUAAAUGAGAAGGUGAUAGGUGUAAUAAGAAAAAUUGGUCUAAAAGGCUUAAAUAUUUGGAUCAAAGGGAUUUAUUCCUUUGGUUAAGGUAGUUUAGGCUCGAGUGGACUCAUACAACAAUGGCCUAUGAUCAUCUCCUACUUAACCAUCCUAGACAAGGGUAAAAUAAACCGAGAACGUUGUAGAUUCCAACACAACUGGGAACUCAGUAAACCUUUUACACACACCUACACAGGGCUACACUACUAAGUACUAGUUAUCCAACUAUGCAAUUGUUUUGUCCCAGACUGUACUAUCCCUAAUCCUAAUGUCAUUAUCAAAUACUCAACAGUCUCACAAAAAUAUAUAAAUCAUGAAAUUCAUUAAAUAAAAACUUUUGAGGGGGCACCACUUUCACAAUAGAAUUUCAAAAAUCAUCACAAAUCAACAGUGUUUCGUCAAUUACAAAGUAAGAAUCAAAACAGAAUCAAAAUCUUUCAAUACAACAUGAAUUUCUUUCAAAAUCCAUAAAUCAUAAUAAAAAUUAAAAAAUUUGCUGCUAUAGUUGCCUGAUCUACUCCCUAUCUCAGUUUCCCGCACAACUUGCAAGUGAUAAUAGACUUUUAGUUUUAGCUACAUCUGAAAAUUUUCAAACUACUCCUAAAUUUUUUUUCGGUACCUCAACCCAAACUAAAGAAUGUUGUACUAUCUUCAGUGCAACAAAAAUAAGAUAAAGGAUCAGGGUCAUACCUAGGCGCUUAAGACGUCGGUGCAUCAACAUCAGUACGUGGGCCCUUGGGUCAGGUCCCAUUCUCAUCAACAAUAAUACCAUCAAUAGGGACUGCAGCAACAGAAGACUGGGGCAAAAUAUCAACCCCCUCGGCAUUAGGAAUCGGAGCUAUCGAACCACCAGCUCCCAUAGCCAUCUUUUUGACCCAUGUCUGAGGGUUUUGCUCAUCCUGGAUGCUAUCAAGUUUAGCCUUCUUCUUAGCAACUCUAUCCUCUUUCUUCUUUUUUCUCUUUUCUCUUCUUUCUUCCUCGAUUUUCUCAACCUGAACAUCUAUCGGGACGAUCUAAAUAUUAGGCACCUUAAUUAUGGAAAUUACAGUCUCUACAAUAGGCUCCAAAAUUAUCGGCCCUGUAGACAGUUCGAUGACCAUCUUUUUAAUCUCAGUAAUCUCAAAUCAAAUAUCAGUAAUAUUAGGCUUCCACCCACUACCCAACUGUCGAGUAAUCCUCUACUCAAAAGCAUCUAGGCGCUCUUGUACUUGCCUAUCUUUUGCCUUAAGAUGUUGAUCUAUCCAACUUUGUAAUCUUCCCUCUAUAUGACCUAUCUUUACAGUGAGAGUAGCCAACUGAGUCACGACUUCAGUACAAGCAGCCUGAGAGAUCAACAUCACCCCAGGAGGCAUACCCCAUAUCCUAGGUGGCAUAGAAUGGACUAGCGGUGGGGUACUAAAAGUACCCGCUGUAUCUAUGGGUGCAGCCUCAGUCUGUGCACCUGCCUCAGUAGUCUUAACUAGAGUAGGGGUAUAUGUCCAGUCAUCUUAUGGGAACAAUCCCGCCAUAGCAUCUAUAGACUAUUACAUAGGUCAGUCCCGAGGGUUGGAUGCAUCUUAAAUCAAGCCAAUAUCGAAAGUCUAUCGGGCCUCAAUCAUCUCAUCAACUCUCGAUAAUUCCACUACUCCAAUAACUAAGCAAAUCUGCAUGAUCAUGUAGGGGUAGGAUAGCAGUGCCUUUUGGACCUUGACUACCCUAUCUCUCAUCUCUCGAUCUAGGAACUCAUCAACAUCGAAUGGGUUCCUGGAUAUCAAACCUGCUAUUAUAGUUGCCCGAAUCGGGAUCAGCACAUCAUUGCCUUUCAUGGGACAUAGCCGGUAACGGUUUAAUGUCCACCAUGCCUUAACCUCAGAGUUGAGGGAUGCUUCUUUAUCUACUGAGAAUCACCAAUACCUCCGACAACCUAAGUAGCAUGCUCACUAUAUGUAGCUAUGCUCUCAGCCAUCCAUCUAAACAUCGCUAUUUUAUCAUUUCUACCCAAUGUCUAAUUCGUGAUCUUUCUUAUCUCUACUAUUCUAUAGUCCAUCUCUCUAGUGUUGAUCGGGGCCUGAUAUUUCAGCCCAUAUAGAAAUCUAUCAAUAGUCAGGAGAGAAAUAUCAACAUGCAUACCUCGGAUCAUAAGGGAGGAAAUAGGUUUACCUGUCUUUGACAACAUACCCUAUGAAUACUGCCUCAUCAGCUCUUCCUUAUAUAUGGUGAAGAAUUUACAAAAGAGGAACUCACUAUAUCUACCCAAUGCUUUAAUCAUCCAUCCAUCCCUGAAGUAGUCAAUAACCUCUCCAAGUAUAGUACUUUUAUUAUCUUACACCCGGAAGAUGAGACAGUCCCAUGUUAAAUGUCUCCUAUACACCGAGGGUACCUUCAUCAUUCAAUGAUGGGCACCAGAGUAAUGGUCAAUGCGAGUACGGGGGGCGUGUCUUUCUAUAGGGGUCGCAUCUACUUUAGGACCCUGACCAUCAUCUAGACUCUCCUAAGCUAAACUAGACUCAGCCUUAUCGUCAUUAUCAUUAACUGGCACUGGUGUGUGUGGAGAAGAGACAGUUGUAUUCUUUCUUCUCGGCCCCCUUUGUGGUGGUGAUUCAGAUUCUUAUGGCACUGCUUUCUUCCCCUUAGACUUAGCAGGUGCCUUUUCUUUGUUUACAUCUUUCUUAAAUAUAGUUCUGUCACACUCUUCUCUACUGCUCUUUGAUAUUAUUUCAGACUCAAAAAAACUGGUUUCCUCACUCUCAAUAGGUGGUUGAUUGUUCCCCUUCUAAGCAACUGUUUUGGAUGAAGAAUCGUUCCUUGGAGGCAUUUUCCUGCAAGUACAAUAAUAUUAGUAACUAAGAAAAGAAAAUAAAAGAAAAGAAAAAGUAAAAAUUAAAGUUCAAUGUGUUUGGUUUCAGUUAGGUACAAGUGGUAGGUACUGGUCAUACCCAUUGGGUACAAAUCGUAUGCCUGAGUCAUAUCCUAGACAGUGCAUGACCUUUGUUCAUUGGCCUACUUAUGACUCCUCCUUACCAGUCAUACUGACCAUGUACGACUCGUGACCAAUAAUCGUAUGCUGGUUUGAAACUUUUAUUCUAUUAUCAUUCUUCCCAGGUGGGUACGAUAAGUGUGUACAGGUCGUAUAGUCUUGAUACGACUCAUAUUGUUGAGUUGUAUCCAUUCUAAAACCUUGAAUUUGUUAAAUUUUCAUGUUUUCAGUGGGUACGAGUCCCAUUAUAGCUCCCAUACCGGUAGGUAUGAGUCGUAAGAAGCCUUGUAUCAACUGUAACAUAGAAGUCCAACUUCAAAGUUUGACUCUGGUGAAAUUCUCAAAUUACCCACUACUAUAUUUCUAUCUAUAUCAACAUUUUCACAUACAUAGACAUAAAAAUCCAUUCCUAAACCCUAGUUCUACCCCCAUUUUCAAUUUUCAACACAAAUAUUACAAAUAUUAUACCAACAAUCCAUAAAAUGUAGAAAUUCUACUUAAACAAAGUUAAUAAUAUCACGUCUACUUCAUUUCAACUUGCAAAGUAAAGAGAAUGAGAUUUGGAACUUACUUGAUGAGUUGAAGAAAUGAGUUUCUAUUUUUCGAUCUUAGUACUCCUCAGUUUUGAGUUUAAAUCACAAAAUAGGAACAAAUUGAGGUUGUUGGUAAGUUAAUUAAGUUGGAAAAAAGUUGAUUUUUUCGUUUUUAGUUUGAAAUAUGGGUGAAAAAUACACCGGGUAUGCUUUGAAUGUCUCGAGUAACCAAUUGGGUUUUCUUUUCCAUUUUUAAUCAAAGCGCUGGGUUGGGCCAAACUCGAGAUGUACCCUAGUAAGCCAGGGUAUGAUUAGUCUAUAUGACUCAUACUGUAAUGCCUCGAGAGUACACCCUGGAUGCCAUACGGUGCUUACGAUCACAAAUGACCAUAAGCUAACCCAUGAGAUGAUAUCUGCUAUGAGCACUGAAUAAUAAUAUCAAAAUAUAUAUGCAGGAUAUCUGAAAAUGCCAUAAGGUUGUAAGUACUAUAAAUAUUUCUGAAUCAUAAAUCCAAAAACAACUGUCUGAAACUAGUAAAAUAAUGACAAACUGACUGACUAUCUGAAGUGUCUGAAAGCCUCUAACACUGUCUGAAUAAGAGUUGAUAGGACAGGCCCCAACUAACUCCAACUAACUACUGAACUAAAAGCAUGAAAAAUAAAUAUAGUCUAUCCUCGAAAUAUGAGGACUCACCAUGACUGCUGCUACUGAUGUGAUGGGAUAUCUAAGUACGGUCAAGAACCUAAGCGUACGAACUAAUGAUAUAAGACAUCAUGGCACAAAAAAUGAAUAUGCGGUCAGUACUUUGAAUGUACUAGUAUGCUAAAUGAGGUAGGUUAAUAUGCAUGGUUUAAUGUACCUAAGUAAUAACUGAUUGAAUGAAUAGCAUGACGUACUGAAUAGAAUGCAUGAAAAAUGUAAAUACUGAGAAUGUGUGACCAAACAUAAAACAUGUUUUGAAUAUAAUCUAGAAAAUAAAAUACUGAAUAUUGAUAAAUGAAUUACUGAUAUUUGUAUGCUAUGGUCAAGAAAAACUAAAAUUGAAUUACUGAGUUGAUCACUGGACUGAGACUAUGGGAGCUAUCAUUUGACCGACUUGCCCCAAUGAGCAAUUUGAGGUCCAACCUAUGACCCCAGUUGGAAGGGUGUCAGUGCUGUGCCACGAGUACUAACAUUGGCUGUGUGGAUCCACUUAUGUACUGUCCCGAAGGACUAAGGGUGUCAAGCCUAAACUGAGGCUGACCCCUGGGAGGUAGUCAUGCCUGAACUGACGGGUGACUCCUCAAACCCUACACUGGCUAUGUAGUUUUGUAGUAUAGGGACUGCUACUAAUGACUCUGUCUAACUGAUGGGGAAUCUUGCAUCCCUGUACUCGCUCGGUGCUAAAUCCUACUCCCAACUGAACUGACUCAGAAUACUGAACUGUUCUAAGUUUAAUUGAUCAUGAUAGCUGACUGAACUAAUACUGCUCAUAACAAGUUUGAAAGUAUUCUGAAGAUACUGAGGCUAAGUAAACAACUAAGUUUUUGGGUAUUCACAAACCCCAGGACUCAAUAGCAAUAAUAGAAAAAUAGUACUAAAACGUCGGGGACAUAAUAUGAAAGCAUUUAUUCAAAAUUCAUUCUUGUAGGCAUUUCAUCAAACACUUGAAUGCAUAGUGUAAGAUAACUAUGAGAAUAGUUUGAAGCUUGUUGUAAUAGCAUGAUUUCAACAUCAACAUCACUAAUUAUGGUUUAAAUCAACAAAUAACAUUAUUCAAACGUGUGGGGUUUAAUAACAACAACAAUUUCAUGUAAACGUGGUAUAGAAUCAAGAUUCAUGAGAAUUCAUGGUUAAAAAUCAUAAUAACUUGUAAAAGAUCAUAACUUUAAAUUUAAAAAUUAGAUUCCUAUGCUCCAUGGGUUAAAGGGACCCAUGGAUGAACACUUAACAUACCUUGAUUGAAGAAUUCUUGAAAGUUCUUGAAUUGAAAACCUUGAAUUUGAAUUAUCUUGGAAAAAGAAUGGUGAAUUUUGGAGUUUCUUGAAGUUGAAUGUUGAAGCCUAGGGUUUUCUCGGAGAAUAAAUUGAUGAAAAAUCAAUAUAAUAAGCUUAUUAUAGGUUAAAUCCUUUGUUUACAGGAAUUGGGGUCUACGGGAAAAGACCAAACUAACCUUGGGAAUUAAUACUCAAAACUGGACUGAAAAUCCUAAUUUUGACCUUCAGCGCGGCCCUGUGCUUAUCGCGUUGAGCCACUAGAAAAGUACGAUCCCUAUUUUGCCUAACGAGGCGACGCGGUGCUAUUGCAUAGCACUACUGGAAAUGGACAGUCCCAAUUUUUCACCUUGGCACGAUGCGGCGCUAUCGUGGUGCCCCACCGAACAUGAAUUUGACCCUUGGACCCAUGCAGUGCCAAUCGUGAUGAGACACUAAAAAAGGACGAAUGUGAUUUUGGUCAUCAUCGCGGCAUGGACUAAUCCUGAUGAUCUACUGCCAUUCAUUAAAAGUGCCAUAACUUGUCACCCGAGUAUCAGAUUUGGGGAAAAUUGGUGUCGUUGGAAAGAUAAUUCAAUUUUCUAUAAUUUGGUGGGUCUUGACCUGGAAAAUUAUUAGGAGAAUAAAAGAUAAGCUCGUUUAAAGUUGACUAUUGCAACAUCUUUCUCGAAAACUCAAUUAGUAAGGAAUAAUUUGAUUCGUCUAAUAGCUGAGUGUUAUUUGAGGCCUUAAUAUACACCAAACUCACUCAUAAACUACCAAAGAACUAUAAUGUACCUUGAAGGAGAUUGAAACAUGGUCCUAACAUUGGUUUGGACUUUUGGGGUGUUAUUAUAUCUCCCCCUUGGGAAUAUUCAUUCUCGAAUGAGAUUGGUUAAUCUCAAAGCACCGAGGAAUGAGUUACAUACUGAAUAUACGUGAUGAAGUCGUGAUUACAUGAAUGAGUAUGUAAUAUGACACAUGAAUGAAUUGGUUUUAUGAAUACAUGAAUGACAUGAGAAUGAUAUGCAGCUGAAACUGAGCAGGGAAAAGAGAAAUUCUAAGAAGAUUGCUACCUUAAGCUGAAUACGAGUUUGCAGACAAAAGAUGAGGGUACUUGGCCCACAUAUCUGCUUAUGCUUCCGAAGUGGCUUCCUCAAUGAACUAAUUCCACUAAAGAACCUUGACUAAGGGAACUUCUUUGUUCCUAAGUCUACGUGUUUGUCGAUCAAGGAUCUCGACUGGAAUUUCUUCAUAAGAAAGAUUGUUCUAAACAUCUACAAUUUCUAAGGGAACAACUACAACUGGGUCACCAAUACAUUACUUCAACAAAGAGAUACUGAAUACUGGGUGCACUGAUGCUAAGUCUGCAGGAACUCAUGUUCAUAAGCCACCUUUACAAGAUGGCGGAAAACUCUAUAAGAGCCAACAUAUCGGGGAAUAAGCUUCCCCUUCUUACCAAACCUCUUUACCCCCUUCAUAGGAGAGAUUUUUAGAUAUACGAAAUCACCAAUCUCAAAUUUAAGAUCCUUUCUCCUCAACAUCUGCAUAAGAUUUUCGUCGGUUUGGGCUGUCUUAAGCCUUUGUCAGAUUAUCUAAACUUUCUCCAAAGCAUCAAACACUAAAUCAAACCCUAUCAAAGCGGUUUCACCUCUUUCAAACCAACCAAUCGAAGAUCUACAUCUCCUUCCAUAUAGAGCCUUAAGUAAAGCCAUCUAAAUACUAGAAUGAUAGUUGUUAUUAUACAUGAAUUCAAUCAAAGGCAAGUAGUCAUUCCAACUGCCCUUAAAGUCAACCACACAUGCUCUAAACAUAUCCUCAAGGGUCUGAAUAGUGCUAUCUACCCGACCAUCUGUCUAAGGAUGAAAGGCUAUACUGAGGUGAACUUGGGUACCAAGACACUUUUGGAAAGCUUUCUAAAAGUGAGAGGUAAACAUAGUACCUCUAUUUGAAAUAAUAGAUAAUGAAAUACCGUACAACCUAACCAACUCUCUAAUAUAGGGCUUGGCAUAGUACUCGACUAAAUAAAAAGUAUGGACUGGUAAGAAAUAGGUUGAUUUAGUCAUCCUAUCCAUAAUGACCCAAAUCGAAUCAUGUUGCUGAUGAGUAUGAGGCAAACCUAUCAAAAAAUCUAUGUUCACUACUUCCCACUUCCUAGUAGGAAUACUAAACUCCUACAUGGACCCACUAGGCUUCUGGUGUUCAAUGUUAACCUACUGACAAGUGGAGCACUUAUCUACAAACUCUGCAAUAUCUCUUUCUAUCCCACUUCUCCAAUAGAUUUCCCAUAGAUCAUGGUACAUCUUUGUGUCCCCCGGAUGAAGCGAGUAAGACACACCAUGCGCUUCUACAAGGAUUCUCUAUCUUAACUCAUCAAUACACAACACACACAAUCUACCCUGGCAAUGUAAUACACCAUCUCCUCUUGGGAGAAAACUUCUACUUUCUAAUCUUUGACUGACUCCUUCAACUUCACCAGACUAGGAUCCCUAUCUUGAUUUUCUUUCUCUUCAUCAACCAAACAAUAUUUUGAACUAUACUGAACCCAAAUGCUACCCUUAGCUGAAUCAACCAACUGAACACCUAACCUGGUAAGCUUACAAACUACUUGAACUACCUUUUUCUUGUCAUAUUCAACUUGAGAAACACUACCCAUAGGCAAUCUAUUUAGGGCAUCUUCCACUACAUUGGCCUUGCCCAGUGAUGUGUGAGCAAAAUCUAACACAUUUAAUGCUUUUAGCUCAAAAUAAUUAUGAAUUCUGAAGCAACUCUUGUUGUUUUGAUGUGUUUGCUUAUGAUAUUGUAGUAAAAGGCUAAAGGAGUGGAAAUAAAUAACAAUAGAGUAAAAGAUUUGAAAAUCUGAGCAAAAGAGAAGAAAAUAUGGCUGACGACAUCUGUGAUAAUUCGUCAGCCUUGUGAUAACCUAUCAGAAGUAAUGUCAGCCUUAACCAGGAAAUUGGAGUUGAGAAGUAUUUCUAACGAUGUCUGUGACAUGGCAUCAAGUGGGUGAUAAGGCAUCAAUAAUGGCGUCAUCCUUAAGCAAAAAAUUAGUGAUAGGAGAAAACAUCUAACGACAUUGGUGAUACGCCGUCAGAUCCUUAAUUUGGCAUCAGAGUUAUUGUCAGCCUAAGGCAGAGAAUUGAAGAAACUGGAGCAAGUCUAACGCCAUUCGUGAUAGGGCAUCAGACUCUUGAUGCAGCGUCAGCUUGGGUGUCACCUAAUCUUAGAAUUAAUUGAAUUUGCUAUUUUAUUUCCUUAAUUAGGCUUUAGUACAAAUAGCCUCUUUUAGGGUUUAUUCGGGGGGUUCUUUUUUUUAGUUUUUUGGGAGAGUUUUAUUUUCUUCAAUACUUAUCAACUAUUUGUGGAUUCCUAUUUUUCGGGAUUAAAUAGAAGAGACUACUUGUUUCUUUUCAUCCGUUCGUAAAUUUAUCCUUAUUAUCAUGAAUUCAACUUUGUAUUUCGUUCAUCAAAUCAUGAACGGCUAAUUCCAUUAGCCGGAGUUAUGGGAUCCAUGGACUAGGGUUUGAUAGGUUACGAGGCAUUUAACGGAUUUAAAGAGUAGUUAGACGUCUUGAAAUUCUAUUGUUUUAACUGAAAUCUACUGGUAGAAAAUAUUAGGUUAUGCCUUAGGUUUUAUUUACUUCUAACAAAGAAAUAGACUAGAGGUCGUGAAUUAGCAACAGGGAUUAGGAAGCUACCAACCUUCUAUUUAAUGAUCAAUACCAUAACUAGAUUGAUCUACCUGAGAUAAAAUCGUAUUGAAAAUAGAUAAGUUAUCUAAGUUUGAGAGAAUUAGAUGAUAAAUUGUCUAGUGAGGUCGAGAGAUAAGUAAGAUAGUAUCGUCAUCAGGGAUAUUCUGCUGUUUCUACUUACUUCAAGAAUCCUAAGCAUUACCUAGUAUCUGUCAAUUCCCAAAACCCAUGGUGAACAUAACUCUGGUUUCUCAUUUAGACUGAUUUCAAACACUGAAAUUAAAGUAACAAAAAAAAUUUAUUUUUGAAUCUCCAAAACCUCCAUUUUAUCUUUUUAUAUCGACUGUUUGAAUUUAACUUGUAGCUUUAGUUUCAAACUAGUUUAAUCGCCACUUACAUUGUUCUAUGUGGGAUUCGACCGCAACCUAGACCUAGUUGGAUUUUAUAUUGACAACGAUUGCUUACAACCAUUCAAGAGUGUAAUUUGAGUGUUAUAAAAAACGGUGCCGUUGCCGGGGAACAAUUUGGUGUAUUGAGUUGGUUUGGAAUUUUAGCUUACUAGCUUGAAUUCAAACUUGUAAAGAAGAAAUCAAGAACAAUCCUUGUGAAGACUCUAGUCCAUUUUGGGGUAAAGAUAAUAAUAGAGACACUACUUCAGAAUUGAGAGUCAGUCCUCAUUCGAACCACUUUUUAACAUUAUUCUUGGUGGAUGUGAAGAAAGACGAACCACCAAAGCAAAUGAUGAAUUUUGAAAAUGAGGAGGAAAAUUCUUACAUUUUGGAGUUUAUCUUUCCAAAAGGGUAUACUACAACCCAGUCGUGGAGGCCAAGAAGCUUAAAGAUCGAUAUCCAUUUAAUGGCUUUUUAAGAUCCUCAUCAUUUCCCAAUGAGCCCAAAUGAAAGUUCGAUGCAAAAUUAGGCAAGAAGUUUAAGUCUUCGAAGUGACGUGAUAGAACAUUCCUUAUCAUGCCCUCACAUUUGCCCAAUAAACCUAAAAGAUGUAAAGAUUAAAAAAUGGGCCGAUAAUUUAAAUCGUCAAAGUGGAGACAUAAAUAAUGACUGGAUAUUAUCAUGCGCGACACUAAAUUAGGCACUUCUUGGGAGGCAACCCAAGGUUUUUUGUUGUUUGUAUUCAUAUUAUGUGAUUAACAUCAGAUCUUCGCACCCAUAGUGCCACAGGUAUGUUUCUAACUCUUUUGUUUUGGUUUGACGCAUUGGGGACAUUGCAUGAUUUUAAGUUGGGGGUGUUGGGGCUACUUGUGGGUGUUGAUGUCCUCCUGGGUUUUUUGUUAUCGUGCCUCUUUUCCCCGAAGUCUUGUUCCCAGUAGAGCCGGCAUGUUUAGGCGUAUUGCACUUGUUUUGUGAUGUGUUGUAGUUGACUAGAAGAAAUACUAGUAACUAAGGCAAUUAACUUGUUUUUGAGAUUUUUGAGCACCUCUCCAUUGGUCUGAUAUAUUACUAUGUUAAUUGCAUCCAUUUGUGACCAUAGUGUAUCUUUUUAUGGCAUUAGUCUGGCAACUGAAUAACCUUUGCUAAACAAGUGUAUGGAUUGGAUAUGUAGUAAUAUGCGAGAUACUUGUGUGCCUUGUGUGUGUAAGGUCUUACUCAGAUUCUAUUGUGUAUUGAAUUUAGAACUUGCUCUGUUAGUCUUUGCAUGGUCAUAGGAUAGGAGUUAGUAAAGGAUCAUAGGCCAUUUUUUAUUUUAGCCCACUUUAGCCAAAAUAAUCUUCCCUAUGUGCAUAAUAUCUCUUCAUCUUUGUUUUGAGUCUAAUUAGCCUAUUUGUUUCUACGACACCUCUCACCUUCCCGUUUACAUCACAAUGAACUUGUUUUGGCCCUGGUCCUCCUUGGACACUGUGCACCUUGACUUAGGCAAACAGCCUAAGUUGAGGGUGGCUAUCAUAGAGGUACGUGAUACAAAAUAAGUAUAAAGAGAGGAAGAAUAAAAGAAAAGAAUAAAAAGUUGGGUGUCGUGUAAAAGGAAUAAUAAAUGAGAAAGUUGUGUAAAAGAUGAUAAAAAGAUAAUGUGAUAAUUGAAAAGACCGCAUCCAUGUUGAGCAUGUGUGAUCAAUAAAAGAGAGAAAGAAAAGAAGGUUGGGAGUUGAAACCCCAAGAGUUUAGUGUAGUGUCAAGGAGGCAUAGUCACUCUGAAAUAUCUAUGAAUAUCAUACUAGCCCCUAGCCUACGUUACAAGCUUAAUAAAAGCCCUAUAGUGAUCCUAACUGACCUAUUUGACGACUUGGGUACUGACUAUAAGGGCAAGCCUAUGGCAUUUGAUGUGCAAUGUUGGAACUUCAUUAUAAGAGUGAGUUUUAUGUUUAUCCCUGUGUUUAUGUAUGUAAAUUUUGACAUGAGUGAAAAAGGGAUUUCUUUAUUGUGAGGGCACACUAGGUAUGUUGCUAAGCACUGCCUUAUUCGGAUAGUGUGAUUUAGGUGUGUGCUGGGCUGUUAUUGCUAAAAUUAUUGCCAUAUCUUGAUCCUCGUGAGUUGCAUGGGUGUUUUCAAUAAUAGAUGCAGUUUCUCUUAAUUUGACUGACCUUGGAGAUUGUGUAUGUAUUCUGAACUGAUAUAAAUAAUUAGUUGCCAACUUGUACUUUGUAUACUCUUAGUUAGUUUGUUUCUUGAGGAUAAGAAAUUGUUUUAAGUUGGGGGUGUUGAUGUGUGAGCAAAAGCUAACACAUUUAAUGUUUUUUAGCUCAAAAUAAUUGUGAAUUCUGAAGCAACCCUUGUUGUUUUGAUGUGUUUGCUCAUGAUAUUGCAGUAAAAGGCUGAAGGAGUGGAAAUAAAUGACAAUGGAGCAAAAGAGAAGAAAACAUGGCUGACGACAUCCAUGAUAAGUCAUCAGCCUUGGGAUAGCCUAUCAGAAGCAGCUUCAGCCUUAGCCAAGGAAUUGGAGUUGAGAAGCAGUUCUAACAACGUCUGUGAUGUGGCGUCAAGUGGGUGAUAAGGCAUCAAGAAUGGUGUCAUCCUUAAGCAGAAAAUCAGCAAUAGGAGAUGACAUCUGACGACGUUGGUGAUACACCGUCAGAUCCUUGACGUGGCAUCAGAGUCAUCAUCAUCCAAAGGUAGAGAAUUGAAGAAACUGGAGCAAGUCUGACGCCAUCUGUGAUAGGGCAUCAGACUCUUGAUGCGGCGUCAGCUUGGGCGUCACCUAAUCCGAGAAUUAAUUGAAUUUGCUAUUUUAUUUCAUUAAUUAGGCUUUAGUAUAAAUAGCCUCUUUUAGGGUUUAUUCGGGGUUUUUUUUUUUAAGUUUUUGGGGAGAGUUUUAUUUUCUUCAACACUUAUCAACUAUUUGUGGAUUCCUAUAUUUGGGAUUAAAUUGAAGAAACUACUUGUUGUUUUUCAUUUGUUCGUAAGUUUAUCCUUAUUAUCAUGAAUUUAACUUUGUAUUUCGCUCAUUAAAUCAUGAGCGGCUAAUGCCAUUAGCCGGAGUUAUGGGAUCCAUGUACUAGGGUUUGAUAGGUUACUAGGUAUUUAACGGAUUCAAAGAGUAGUAGAAUGUCUUGAAAUUCUGUUGUUUUAACUGAAAUCUACUAGUUGCAAAUAUUAGGUUAUGCGUUAGGUUUUAUUUACUUCUAACGGAGAAAUAGACUAGAGGUCAUGAAUUAUCAAUAGGGACUUAGAAGCUACCAACCUUCUGUUUAAUGAUCAAUGUCGUAACUGGAUUGAUCUGCCUCAGAUAAAAUCCUAUUGGAAAUAGAUAAGUUAUCUCAGUUCGAGAGAAUUAGAUGAUAAAUUUUCUGGUGAGGUUGAGAGAUAAGUCAGAUAGUAUUGUCGUCAGGGAUAUUUUGUUGUUUCUACUUACUUCAAGAAUCCCAAGAAUUACCUAGUAUCUGUCAAUUCCCAAAACCCAUGGUGAACAUAACUCUGGUUUCCCAUUUAGACUAAUUUCAAACACUGAAAUUAAAGUGACAAAAAAAAAUUAUUUUCUAAUCUACAAAACCCCCAUUUUAUCCUUUUAUAUCGAUUGUUUGAAUUUAACUUGUAGCUUUAGUUUCAAACUAGUUUAAUUUUCUCUCACAUUGUUCCUUGUGGGAUUCGACCCCAACUUAGGUGGGUUUUAUAUUGACAACGAUCGCUUACACCCAUUCAAGAGUAUAAUUUGAGCAUUAUCACCGAGGUGAUACAAAACACUCAUAUCAUAAUCUUUUAAUAAUUCUAACCAUCUUCUCUAGCGGAGGUUCAAAUCCUUCUAGAAAAACACGUACUGCAAGCUUUUAUGAUUUGUGAACACAUCAACAUAAGCCCUAUACAAAUAGUAUCUCCAAAUCUUUAAGGCAAAUACAACAGCUACUAACUCAAGAUUAUGGGUAGGGUAAUUCUUUUCAUGGGGCAUAAGCUAUCUAGAGGUAUAGGCCACAACCUUACCCUUCUACAUCAAAACAUACCCAAAACCAACUGUGGAAGCAUCACAGUACACAACAAACCCAUCUAACCAUCAGGUAGCAUCAAAACGGGAGCUGUGGUGAGUCGAGUCUUCAACUCCUAAAAAUUCUUCUCUCAAGAAUCUAACCACUUAAACUUAACUUUCUUCUGAGUUAUCUGGACAUGGGGGAUGUAAUAAACAAGAACCCUUCAAUAAACCAUCGGUAAUAGCCAACUAGACCCAAGAAACUCCUUAUAUCUAUUGGAGAGGUGGGUCUAGGUCAAUUUUUUACUGCUUCGGUCUUUUAAGGAUCAACUGUAAUGCCAUUACCAAAAAUAAUAUGGCCAAGAAAAGCUACUGAUCUUAGCCAAAAUUUCCACUUACUGAACUUAGCGAACAACUGCUGGGCUCUAAGAGUCUACAAUACUAUUCUAAAGUGGUUUGCAUGAUCAUUUUUGUUACGAGAUUAGACAAGAAUGUCAUCAAUGAAUACUAUGAUGAGCAUGUCCAAGUAAUGGUUGAACACUCGGUUCAUCAAGUCUAUAAAGGCUGAUGGGGAAUUUGUGAGACCAAAGGACAUGACUAGAAACUCAAAGUGACCAUACCGAGUUUUGAAAGCUAUUUUUGGAAUCUCACAUUCUCUGAAUUUGAGCUGAUGAUAGCCAUAUCUGAUUGUGAAGUUGUUCGAACAAGUCAUAAAUUCUGGGGAGUGGACAUUUGUUCUUGAUUUUGACUUUAUUCAACUGAUGGUAGUCAAUACACAUUCUAAGAUAACUGUCUUUCUUAUGCACAAACAGAACUGGUGCGCCCCACGGGGAGAAGUUAGGACUGAUGAAAUCCUUAUCUAGAAGAUCUUUCAAUUGUUCUUUCCACUCUUUGAGUUCGGCUGGAGCCAUUAGGUAUGGUGGAAUAGAGAUAGAUUGGGUAUCUGGAAGAAGGUCAAUUUCGAAGUCAUUUCUCCUUUUGGGAGAAACUUCGAGAAGAUUUUCAGGGAACACAUCUGGAAAUUCCCUCACUAAUGAAAUUGACUUAAGAUUUAGAGCCUCAAAAUUAGAGUCCUUGACUUGGACAAGAUGAUGAAUACAUGCCUUGGAUAUCAUUUUUCUCGCUCUAAGGUAUGAAAUAAGAUGACCCCUAAGCAUUGUAGUACUACCCCUCCAUUCAAGGACUGGCUCAUUUGGAAAUAAAAAAUGAACUACUUUAUUUCUACAAUCGACUGAAGUAUAGCAUAUUGUAGCCAAUUCAUGUUGAGAAUGACGUCAAAAUCCAUCAUCUUUAACUCCACAAGAUUAACUGAAGUAACUUUCUGAGACACUGUGACUGGACAGUUCCUAUAUACCCACUGGGAUAUGAUAGACUUACCCACAGGGGUAGACAUUGAGAAAGGCUCUACUAAGAUUUUUGGACUGACUUCGAUGUUGAUGGCUAUAUAAGGGGUUAUAAAAGAAAGAGAAGCUUUAGGGUCUAGUAAAGCAUAAACAUGGAAAUAAAAGACUUGUAACGUACCAGUUACUAUAUUAGGAGAACUUUCUUGAUCUUGUCAGGACUUAAAAGUAUAGAGCCUGUUCUGAUGCUGACCAAUAGUAGCACUGAAGGCGGCGCCCUACCAAGUCAGGCGGCUAGCUAGAACUAAUGAAUAAUGGGACUGGCCCUAUUGGUGCAAAUACCUUCCUUUAUAAGCAACUACCUGACACUCCCAGAUCUGAUGGCCUGGAUUACCAUACCCAAAUCAUACAUCACUGCCAGCUCUAUACUCACCCUAUUUGUUUCUACUAUAUUUCUUGCAAAGAGGAUUUGUAUAACCACUGUUUACACUUCUUUGGGACUUAGAUCCUGGCGCUCUAUCCCUAUUAUCAUUUGUAAACCUUGGCACAGGGGCACUAGCUGAAUAUGGGGCAGGAGCUGAAGAUUUUUGAUGGAACUGAGGACGAUUACCACCUUUUGACUUUGGCUGAGUAAAAUUAAAGCUACCUAUUCUAUCCUUCUUAUUCUCUCUCUCCUUCUCCUUAAGCUUCUACCCCUCAAUCUAUUUAGCAUGGACCAUAAGCCUAGAUAUGUCCAUAUCUUUAGUUAACAUCGCAGGCCUACACUCCUUGACCACACUGUCAAAUGCCCCAGACAUGAACUUGCUCAUGCUAGACCUUCUAUCAGCCACCAUAUGAGGAGCAUACCUAGCUAGCUGGGUAAAUUUAAGGGAAUACUCCUUCACACUCAUGUUGCCCUGCCUUAAGUUGAUAAACUCUAAAAGUUUUUCUUUCCUCAGAUCUAGCAGAAAGAAUCUAUCUAAGAAGGCUGUAGCAAACUCCUCCCACUCUACAGGCCCUACAUCUGUGCCUCUAUCCCUUUUCCACUACUUAAACCAAGUAUGAUCUAUAUCCUCUCACUGGCAAUCAUAUAAUUCAGCACUCUUACUAAAAUUCAACCCCAUAAUAUCUAUUACCUUCUGGACCAUGUCUAAGAAUUCGUGCGGAUCCUCUUCAAAAUUGGAUCCCAAAAAUAGAGGAGGAUUCAUUUGGGUAAAGUCUCGAAUCCUAGCUGUGACAGUAUUGGCCACUGGGUUGGAUGAAAUAAAGGCUGGCUAAACAUUCUGAGCCGCUACAGAGUGAGCUAGAGUAAUAAAUGCAACUCAAAACUUUGUAUGAGAAACAUACUCUUUCAGGGGAUCAUCCUAAACAGGUAGAGGUGCUGGCUGGUUGAAAUUUCUUCUUUCGUUUGUCUUUCUGGGAGGCAUGUUCUAUAAAUGAAAGGGAGAAUAGAUUAUACAGAGAGUUUAACAUGAGCUCAUGCUAAGUUGCACAAUAUAGACACUGAAUAAAGGAAAACUUUUCUUAAAAUGCUUCGUAGCCUCUUGUCCAUAAGUGUGGUGAACUUCACACCCAUGCACAAGACUCUAGUUGACAUGACUUUAAGACUUUGUAGGAUACUUUACAACCUUAGGCUCUAAUAACAAGUUUGUAACUCCCUGAGAGUACACCCUAGACGUCACAAUGCUGCUUACGGUCAUACGUAACCACAGGCUAACCCAUGAGCUAGUACCUGCUGUGAGGAUUGAAUAAUAAUAACAAAAAACGUAUGAGUAAUAUCUGAAUAUUCAUAAGGUUUUAAGUACUAAAAUAUUUUUGAAUCAUAAAUUUGAAAACAACUGCCAGAAAAUAACUGUCUGAAAGUUAUAAAAUAAUGACAAACUGACUAACUGUAUGAAGUGUUUGAAAGCCUUUAACACCGUUUGAAUAAGAUUUGAUGGGACAUGCCCCAACUAACUCCAACAAACUACUGAACUGAAAAUAUGAAAAAUAAACAUAGUUUCUCCUCAAAAUAUGAGGACUUACCAUGACUACUGCUACUGAUGUUCUGGGAUGUCUAAGUGGGUCAGGAACUUGAGCGUCCGAACCUAUGAUAUGAGACAUCAUAGCACAAGAAAUGAGUAUGCGGUCAGUACUUUGAAUGCACUGUAUGCUAAAUAAGGUAGACUGAUAUGCAUGGUUUUAUGUAUAAGAGUAAUAACUGACUGAAUAAAUAGCAUAAUGUACUAAAUAAAAUGCGUGAAAUCUAUAAACAUUGAGUAUGCAUGACCAACCAUAAAAUAUGUUCUGAAUAUAAUCUGUAAAUUGAACAACUGAUAUUUGUAUGCUAUGGUCAAUUAAAACUAAAACUAAGUAACUGAGCUGAUUACUGGACUGAGACUGUGGGAGGUAUCAUCUAACCGACAUGCCCCAAUAAGUAAUUUGGGGUCCAACCUGUGGCCCCAGUUGGAAGGGUGUCAGUACCAUGUCACUAGUACUAACACUGGCUGUGUGAAUCCAUUAAUGUACCAUCUCAAAGUACUAAGGGUGUCAAGCCUAAAAUGAUAGGUGACCCCUAGGAGGUAGUCAAGCCUGAACUGAUGGGUGACUCCUCGAAUCCUAUGCUGGCUAUGUAGUUCUGGAGUACAUGGAUUGCUACUAAUGACUACCUAUCUAACAUGGAAGCCUCCAUCCCUGCUCUUGCUCAGUUCAAAAUUCUACUCCCAACUAAACUGACUCAGAAUACUGAACUGUUCUAUGUUUAAAUGAUCAUGAUAACUAGCUGAACUGAUACUGCUCAUAACAAGUCUGAAACUAUUCUGAAGAUACUGAGGUUAAGUAAGGAAUUAAAUUUUUGGGUAGUCACAACCCCCAGGACUCAAUAGAAAUAAUAGCAAUAUAGUACUAAAACUUUGGGGACAUAAUGCACUUAUUCAAAAUUCAUUCUUAUAGGCAUUUCAUCAAACGAAAUGCAUAGUGUAAGCUAAGCAUGAAAAUAGUUUAAAACUUGUAGUAAUAGCAUGAUUUCAACAUCAACAUAACUAAUUAUGGUUUAAAUCAACAAAUAACAUUAUUCAAAUGUGUGGGGUUUAAUAACAAUAACAAUUUCAUGUAAACAUGGUAUAGAAUAAAGAUUUAUGGGAAUUCAUGGUUAAAAAUCAUAAUAACUUGUAAAAGAUCAUAACUUUGACUUUAAAAAUUAGAUUCUUUGACUCCAUGGGUGAAAGGGACCCAUGGAUGAACAUUUAACAUACCUUGACUGAAAAAUUCUCGAAAGUUCUUGAAUUGGAAACCUUGAAUUUGAAUUAUCUUGGAAAAAAUUGGUGAAUUUUGGAGUUUCUUGGAGUUGAAUGUUGAAGCCUAGGGUGUAAAUUGAUGAAAAAUCAAUAUAAUAUGCUUAGGAUAGGUUAAUACUUUGUUGACAGUAUUUGGGAGCUAUGGGAAAAGGCCAAACUAACCGUGGGAAUUAAAACUCGGAACAAAACUGAAAAUACAGAUUUUGACCUUUGGUGAGACGCGGUGCUUAUCACGUUGUGCAACUGUAAAAGGCCGAUACUCAUUUUUUCCAAUGACAUGAUGCGGUGCUAUCACGUUGCGCCACUGGAAAUGAUCUAUCCCGAUAUAGAACCUUGGCGCGAUGCGACUCUAUUGCGGUGCCCCACUAAACGUGAAUUGAUCCUUGGCGCCAAGCAGUUUCAAUUGCGGUGACACAUUGGAAAAGGACGAACAUGAUUUUGAUGAUCACCGCAACGCGGCCUAAUUGCGAUGGGCUACUGCCUUUCAUUAAAAGUGACAUAACUUCUCAUCCGAGUAUCGGAUUUGGGCAAAAUUGGUGUCGUUGUAAAGAUAAUUCAAUUUUCUAUCAUUUGGUGUGUCUUGAUCUGGAAAAUUCUCAGUUGAAUAAAAGAUGAUAUUAUUUGAGGUUGACUAUUGCAACAUCCUUCUCAAAAACUCAAUCAGUAAGGAAUAAUUUGAUUUGUCUAAUAGCUGGGAGUUAUUUGAGGCCUUAAUAUACAUCAAACUCACUCAUAAACUACAAAUAACUAUAAUGUACCUUUAAGGAGAUUGAAACAUGGUCCUAAUAUUGGUUUGGAUUUUUGGGGUAUUACACGUACCCAAGCUUAUGGGUCAUUUAUUUGAUUUGUAUGGCCCUAGGAUCUUACCUAGGUUCUGGAAGAGAUACGACUCUUGGUCAUGAAUCGUACCCAAAGUGUAGACUCAUACUGGGAGUCGUAUUCAUUCCAGAAACUACUAUCUGAUUUUGAUUGUUCUCCCAGGCUAAUUCGACUCCUACUCACAAGUCAUAUCGUAUAGAUACGACUCGUAAAGAGUCCGUAUGAUACCUUUUCAACUUCUCUGGAUUUUGUCUGCAUUCUUUAGCCCUGUACAUUGAAUAAACAUAUUUCCCUAUAAUUAUAAUAAAUAAAACAACAUGGGUUACCUCUCACACAGCGCUUGAUUUAACGCUGCAGCAUGACGUGGGUAAGUUGGACACUUAGACUUCAUAAAUAGCUUCAUAGGUUUCCUUCCAUACAAUUCUUGAUUUAACAUCGCGGCAAGAUGCAAUUGCCUUGAUUACUCAAAUUUUAUCAAGUUCAAUGUCAGAUAAUUCUUUCACCUCUUCUAUGCUUCGCAUAUAGUGUUUUACUCGUUGUCCGUUUACCUUGAAUGAGCUUGAACCAUCCUUCUUCAGUUGUAAAGCACCAUAGUGUUAAAUUCUUGUCACAAUGAAUGGACCAUGCCAGCUAGACUUUAGCUAACCAGGAAACAAAUACAGUCUAAAAUUGUAAAGUAGCACUUGUCCACCUUUUUCAAAUACCCUUUUCUCAAUCUUUCGGUCAUGAUAUAACUUUAUCUUUUCCUUGUAAAGUGCUAAAAUUUCAUAUGCUUGAAUUUAGAAUUCAUCCAACUCAUUAAUGUUAUUUAACCUUGACUUGGUUGUAUCCUUCCAUUCUAACUUCAGCUUCUUCAAUAUCCAUAGCACCUUUACUCAAGCGAAAUUGGUAAAUGGCAAGUUUUGCCAUACAUAAGAUGAUAAGGUGAAGCACCUAUGGGGGUUUUGUAAGAAGUACAAUGAGCCUAUAAUGCAUCAUCUAUUUUCUUAUCCAAUUAGUCCUAUUGGUAGUUACAGUCUUCUCCAAUAUGGACUUAAUUUCUCUAUUGGAUACUUCAAGUUGUCUACUAGUCUUCAGAUGAUAAGGUGUUGCCACGUUGUGAUUCACUCCAUAUUUGUCAAGUAGACUCUUGAAUAUAUGAUUGCAAAAAUGUAACCCUCCGUCACUUAUAACAGCAUGUGGCAUAUCGAAUUGAGAUAAGAUGUUCUUCAUAAAAAAUACGAUGACACUCCUUGCUUCAUUAUUAGGAAGCGUGUUUGCCUCCACCCACUUUGAAACAUAGUCAAUAGCUACAAUUAUGUACUUCAUUCCAUACAAACUCACAAAAGUUCCUAUGAAAUUUAUGCCCCAUACAUCAAACACUUCCAAUUCUAAGAUAGUGGUCUUAGGUAAUUCAUGCAUUCUAGAAAUAGUACCUUGUCGUUGACACUGAUCACACGUGGCAGCAUAGUCAUGCGCAUCUUCGUAUACAGUUGGACAAUAGUAGCCACAUUGUAGGAUAUUAUGUGUGGUGUGGGCCCCUUCAUGAUAACCCCCAAUUAGAGAUAUGUGACAAGCUUUAAGUAUGCUCAUCAUCUCCACUUCAGGUAUACACCUAUGAAUGAUUCCAUAUAAACAAAUUUUAAAAAUAUAAGGUUCAUCCCAGAAAAAUUUUCUUACCUCAUGCAUGAACUUCUUUGUUUGUUGAUGUGAAAGAUCUUCUGUGACUAGAUCACUUGCUAAGUAAUUUACAUAAUCUGUGAACCAUGGAAUUAAAUCUCAGGAAGCUUCCAAUAUCUGUUUGUUUGGAAAACUAUCAUCAAUCUCCAAUCCCUUAGCAACCUUCUGUAUAGCUUCUUCAUCAAGUCUAGACAAGUGAUCUGCAACUUGAUUUUCUGUGUCUUUUCAGUCGUUCACCUCAAAAUUAAAUUCUUGAAAUGAUAGUACUCAUUGGAUAAACCUCGACUUUGCAUCCUUCUUAGCCAUUAAGUGCCACAAUGCCGCAUGGUCUGUGUGCACAAUCACCUUUGUCCCAAUCAAGUAAGAUUUAAAAUUUUCAAAGGCAAGAACCACUGCCAAUAACUCUUGCUCCGUCAUGGUAUAGUUAUUUUGAAUAGGGUUUAGUGCCUUACUAUUAUAGAAGAUGGGAUUAAGGAUCUUUUCUUUUCUUUGUCCUAGUACAACCCCUAAGGCUAAUCCGCUAGCAUCACACAUAAUUUCAAAAGGUAAAGACCAAUCAGGAUACAUAAUAAUUGGAGUAGACACCAACUUCUCUUUUAGGCUUUCAAAAGUUUUCUUACAUGCAUCAUCAAAAUAAAAUUUUACCUCCUUCCCGUGAAGCUUGCAAAGCGGACUAGAAAUCUUUGAGAAAUCCUUGAUAAAAUGCCUAUAAAAACCUGCAUACUCUAGAAAACUCCAAAUUCCCUUUACAGAAAUUAGAUAAGGUAAUUUUUCAAUCACCUCAAUCUUUGCUUGAUCAACCUCUAUGACUCUCUUCAAAAUUUUGUGCCCAAGCACAAUUCCUUCUUUGACCAUGAAAUGGCACUUCUCCUAAUUAAGUACCAAGUAGCACACCUCACACCAUUUUAGAGCCUUUGCCAAGUGAAUAUGGAAAUCAUCAAAAUAAUCACCAACAACUAAAAAAUCAUGCAUAACAACUUCAAUAGUGUCUUUGACCAUACAAGAGAAAAGAGAUAUCAUACAUUUAUGAAAUGUGGUUGGAGCAUUGCAUAGCCCAAAUGACAUUCCUUUGAAUACAAAGGUCCCAUAAGGACAUGUAAAGGUAGUCUUCUCUUGGUCCUCAGGCGCAGUAGUGAUCUAAUUAUAUCCUGAGUAUCCAUCAAGAAAACAAUACCAUCCUCUUCCUACUAAACGGUCGAGUAUUUGAUCCAUGAACAACAUAGGAAAAUGGUCCUUCUGAUUCCAUGAAUUCAACUUCCUAUAAUCAAUGCACACUUUCCAUACAGUGGGUUGUCUCAUUGGUACUAGCUCAUUCUUCUCAUUAUGGACGAUAGUUAUUCCACCCUUUUUUGGUACGCAUUGAACCGAACUAACCUAUUUGCUAUUCGAAAUGGGAAACACUACACCAAUAUCUAACCACUUGAUGAUAUCCUUCUUAACUACCUCUUGUAUAGAAGGAUUGACUCCACGUUGAUGUUCAAUAGAUGGAACACAAUCUGCCUCAAGCUGAAAUUUAUGAGUACACAAACCAGGCAUUCACCCACAAUAUCAACAAUGGACUAUCCACAUGCCUUCUUAAAAUUUUGCAACACUAAAAGUAAUGCUUCUACCUCUGACUGGCUUAGAUCAGCUACAAUAAUAACUGAAAAAGUAUUGUUGGACUCCCAAAAUGCAUAUUGCAAGUGACAUAGGAGGGCCUUUAAUUCUAAUACCGGUGGUUCCUCUAUGGAUGGGAGAGCAGGUGGAGUAGUUCAAUUCUGUAAAUAUAGAUCAAGAUUCUUUGGUGCAUCAUUAUAACUAUCACCAUGCAAUUCACCCACUAACUCCUCAUACUCUUCGAUAUCUUCAGAGUCAAAAUUCAUAAUCAGAGUCAUAAGAGCUUUGACACCUAACCUCUCUUCAAUAGGAAUAAUCGUAUUAUAACCAUUAUCCCAUAGAGUAACUGCAUCAACAUCAUGGAAUGAAUAUGUUUCCUCAUCAUAUACAUCAAUCAUAGAUACUACUCUCAGUUCAUCAAGAUGAUUUAUAUAUUUUUAUAUGUUGAAUGUCAUCUAUUCAUCAUUGAGUUAUAGCAUCAGAUUUACUUUCUCUAGAUCAAUCAGUGUCCUAUGCCAAAAAUGGUCUUCCCAAGAUAAUGUGGACUUGAAUGUCCACUUCAAAAUCUAAUAUAACAAAAUCAGCAGGGAAUAUAAAAGAAGACACUUCAGCAGGAAAUAUAAAAAAAACACUUUUAUAAAAAUAUCGUAAAGGAUACCAACAGGCUUCUUCACUGUCUUGUACGCCAUUACUAGUCUCAUGGCAAUGGGUUUGGGAGCUCCCAACCCCAGAUGUGUGAAUACAAGAAAUGGCAUGAGGUUGAUGCUAUCCCUAAAAUCACAUAAUGCUCGAGUAAAGUUGAAAAACCCAAUAAUCCAAGGUGUUGUGAAAGCGCCAAGGGUCCUUCUUCUUUUCUACCAAAGAUCUAGUGAUUACAACACUACAAUGAUAAAUAUUGUCAAUAGGUUCACAACUGACUGACAUUUUCUUAGUGAUCAAAUCCUUCAUGAAUUUUGCAUAUCCUGGAAUCUUCUCUAAUUCCUCCACAAGUGGUAUAUUGAUAAUUAACUCUUUUAACAUAGACAAAAAAUUUAUACUUACCUUUUUCUUAUUUCUUUCUCAAUCUUUGUGAAUAGGGAGGAAGUGGUCUUGGAAUGGGUUUUAGCAUAGGUUUUGUAGCCUUUUCUUUCCUUUAUUCGGCUUGUUAUUACUCCCAACAUCAAAUAGCUCAUCCUCACUCUUCUGUGUAUCAUUUAUGGAUAUAGGUAGAUCUAUAGUAAUCUUACCACUCCAAGUGGUAAUGGCAUGGCAUUGAAUAUCAUUUCUGGAAUUACUACUGUAUUGCUUGGAAGAGUGCCAAGUUGUCUUUGAUUCACUUUGGCUGACAUCUGACCAAACUACAUUUCCAACUAUUUGAUUGUUGUAGCAUAUCACUCAACUUUCUAGUUCAAUCUUGAUAGGUCAGCUUUGAUAUCCUUCAAGCAGUUCUCUUGAUUUUCUUGCCCUUUGACUAGCUUGGCCAAGAGUUUCUCCAUUCCGAACUCUGUAUCUCAAUUUUCUAGUGGAAUAUAUUUGUCACUCUUCUUCUUAUAGUCCUUCUUAUACCACCAAUCACCAUUUCUAUCUCUACUCCUAUCUCUGUAUGUAUCAUUAUAAUAGUUCUGACCUUGACUCCUUGCCCCUGAGUUUGGAAAUCCACCAAUCUAUGAUUAAGGUACUUUACCUCUUCCUUAGAUUCAAUCUUGAAUAGUUUGGAGGUAGACCUCUAUGUCACUACUUCAUUUAACUUCUCAAUAUUCAUUCACGCAAAUUAUUUUAUAACCAACCUAAUAGCUGUACGAAGUUGUGUAACCGUUUGAGCUACCAUGUCAUUUUCUACUCUAUACAUAUUUGUUGCUCCAAUAGCAUAUGUACCACCACGACGUUCCAAAUGGGAGUAAGGGAUUGCCUCUACUUUUCAUACUUGGCAUAUACUAACAUACUCUACUCUUCAUACUUGGCAUAUACUAACAUAUGCUAAAGAAAAAACAAAAAAUUAAAAACCUGUGAACUUUAUCAAUUCAAUUUACUACUAAACCAUCUUCCCCGGCAACGAUGCCAAAAUUUGAUAUCGCUCAAAACUAUACCUCAACUAGAAGUAUAAUACGGUCGAUUGCAAAUAUAAUAACCCAACAAGGUUGGGGUCAAUCCCACAGGGAAAACGUGAAUAUUCGUUUGCCUUUAUGUAAUCCAUAAGUAGUAUAGGAAAGUAAAUGGGGGGAGGGUUGUUAUCAAUUACAAUUAGUGACCAAUUCUUGAGUGUUGUUGAGUUGAAAUCAAUAUGAGAUGAAUUCUAGAUCUGUCUUACCCCUGGCUUCUCAACUUCAUAAAUUUCUCAUGGUUAACCCAAGUAUUUUAUUGUUCUAUAUGCAAAGCCUACAAGAUAUGUAUUAUCCACUUCUUAACAUAUAAAUUUCAUCCUUUAAUUUGGUUAUCAUCUUAGGGUGUUGCCAUGGUGCCCCUUGAUACGACAUCAGUUACACUUGUUGGGGUAGGAUCAAGUGAUAAGAUGAGAUACUUGGCUAUCGUACCCCAAAUCACUAUCUUAAAAAUUUUUCCUAAUCGCAAACUCUUUGGUUAUCGAAUGGAUGCGAAUACAGGAAAUCUCAAGCAUCUGUAGCUACUAUAAGUUUAAUUAUUGUGAAAAAGAAUUAAGAUACAUGCAAAAACUUUAGAAUAAUUAAGUCUCACACUUUCUCUACAUAGCUAAUAUGCCAAGAUUCCCACAGCCCUUGCUGGGGAGAUUAGGUACUCAUGUUUGUGAAAAAAACCAUGGUUAUCAAUGAAGAACACAUAAAAUCACCUGCACAAGAAUAAGAUGAAUAAACUCCAAAGUCUUUAAUUGAAUAAAACCUCAAAUCUCAAGAACAAUUGUAAAAGUAGGUAAUAAUGUGUAAUAGUGCAUAAAAGAAUGUCACAACAAAUAACCUAAUAAAAGAUAAAACCUAGGCUAUUUAUAGUAUCUCAAAAUAGCAUAAGAAUCCUAUUAAAAUGGGGAAAGGUAAAUUUAAUUUAGUAGUCGAUAUGACUUGAUCUUUAUUCAUAUCCCAGCAUAUGAGUCGUACCCUGACUUGUUGUAUCCAUUCCAGUGUUUGAUGUUCCCAAGGCUUCAACUCUCUAUUCAGUAUAUAACUUCCACUUAUGAGUUGUACCUUAGUGUAUGACUCAUAUUCUUCAUCUGUAUCCACCUAGGACUUCAGUCUUUUCAGGUCUUGAACACUGGUUUGAAUACGACAUCCCUAUACGAGUCAUAAUCAGACUUUUGACUCGUAUAGCUUUGACACUUCAACUCCUGGAUAGUAGCUCAGGUUCUGUUAUGCUCAUGACUUUGCAUAUGACUCGUACCUUAGCUUACGACUGGGGUACUUGAGUUAUAUCUUUCUCAUACUCGACUCCUUAGUUUGGCUUUUGGUUUUAUUAUUCAUAUGAUUCAGUAUAAGAGUCAUAUCGAUUGGUUACAACUCAGAGACUAACUCGUAUACUAAUCAGAGUUUGUAUUUUUAUUCAAAUACUAUUGUAAACUUAUUUUACUUGCAAUUCACACUAAAGUUUAACAUAUCCAACAAAAUACCCUAAGUUCACACAUAAAUUUGUGGUUUCAAGCAUAAAAAAUAUUGUACUUCCAUGCCACAUCAUUGGGUUUCUUAGAGGGGAUGGUUCAUACUUUCAUUCAGCACACUAAUUUGGGGCCUUAGACUAUAGAUACUUAGUUGUCUACUAAUAUAGGUUUUGUUAGUAAGGAUGUGAUAUUGCUACCUAUCUAGUGACUCUACCCGUUAUGUCUGUGGAGAGGUAGAGUAGGUUUGUGGAGUUUAUAAGGGUGUAUCCCCCUCAAUUCAAUAGGAAUCUAAGGGUCAAUUCUUAUGAGUUCUUGGUUUUUUGCAUUAGAGGUUGCACAAAUUAGGCCUGGUAGACUCUAGUGGAGUGAAUUUCCAUACUUUUCAGUUGUCUAGACCACCCAAAUAGUUGUGAAGGACUAUUGUUGAAAGUAGAUCAGAUGGAUCACCUCCUCUAUCAUUAGAUCAUUUUACUCAAGAGUUUUUAUAGAAGUUUGUCUAGUGGCGCGAGGGGCAUGUUACCAAGAGGUGCCCUAGACUUGAUAACGACAACAACAUUUAUGGUAAAUGCCAAACUUCUCAUGGUUAUUCUAAGAGAUAGUUAGGCUGUAGUAGCCAUUUAGGAUCCGCAGAUUCAAGUUAGUGGAUUCCUACUCAUUUAGGUUGCUUCAUAUGUGGGCAUUUCAGGCGCUAUAGGAAAGAUUGCCACAACAGAGACAAAGAGAUACAUCAUCAGUAGCUUGGGGAAUUAGCAUGGUGAUAUGCUUCUCAAGGUGGAUUCGAGGAAGGAUCUUUUAGUAUAGUGGCCACAGGUAUGGUUUUAGUGCAUAUUUAAUCUGUAUCAGUAGUAUUUUGCUAUGGUUCUAAAUUCUCCUAUGUUCUUACAUAUUCUGCAUUAGAUCAUAAUAUAAUUUGUGAGUUUUUGUCAUGUCUAUCCAUAUUGCUACCCUAAUGGUUGAUCCUUUAGUGGUGGCUCGGGUGUGUCAAUCCUGUGUUAUGACUUAUUUAGAGUAUGUCACUGGGUAGAUUUGGUUAUUAUGUAUAUUAUAGAUUUAGGUGUCAUCUUCUAGAUGUUACAUUAUGGAUAUUUGUCGAUUAUAUUGAUGAUAGAUAUUAGUGUAUUUGAAUUAGGAUAGUGUAUUCCAGAGAUUUACUUGAUGAUCAUGAUAUUAGUUAAGGAAAAAUAAGGCAAAAUGAUAUUGGGAUGAUGAGUUCGUGACUAGAGAGGUUUGUAGUGAAUAUUAUUUUUUGGAAUCAUUUACAAGUGUUACAGAAGUGUAUGCACAUGCACUAUUUGUCUUACAAGGUCAAACUAUUUUAUUGUUGGUUUGGGUUAAGAAAUUAAUGAUGCAAUAAACCAUGUAGGAUGACUAGGGCUAUUCAAAAAUUAGGCUAGAAGACCUUGAGAUGGAUUGGACUUGUGAUAUGGCAAACUUGGAAUGAUUGCAAUUAAAGGAUUUUAGUUAUUUACCAAAGGAUUUUCAGGUGUUUUGGGCUUGCAAUUUUUUACCACCUUGGUGAUUAUCUUGGCUUGCAUGGAAUGACUUAUGGUGUUUUGAAACACUUCUCUGGUAGUCAUGAAGGAGUUCAACUUACAAGGGUAUCUACUUCUUAUUUGGAAGGUUAUGGGUUCAUUUUCAAGAAUCAGAACUUGCGAUUAGAGUGGCGUGGUUACUUGGGUCUGGUUCGGUUGUCAUGGUGCUAUUUCAUAUUUUGAAUGGGUUGUUAUUGGUCGGUAAAUAAAGUUGUUUACAUGGUUUGAGGUUAAAAUUUUUACGUUUUAUUGGAAGGCUACAUUGUGAUAGUGGAUUAUGCUAUAGUAUGAAUUGAAAAAAGAAAAGAGAUUAAACAUAUCAAUUUUAGAGGACUUGAAGGGGCUAGUGCAUGGAAAAGUACAUGGGUUGUAGUAAUACUUCUUUAUAAGUUAUAUUUUAUUGCCCACCAUAAGGGUAUCACCAUGGUUAAAGGUGUACCACAUAUUAAAUAAAUGCAAGUAGAAGUAGAUACAAUGAACAGAGUGGAAUAUCUUCAAUAUGCAGUUGUUGGUAAAUUUACCUAAGAAUGGGCUGACAUUGAUUAAUUAAGAAAGGUUAUACCACAACAAUGCGACAUAAAAGGUGAAUAUCAAAUUGGUUUACUCUGAAAUAAGCAUUUUCUAAUUCUUUUGAUUCAACAAGCAGAUUUCAUACAUCUCAUUUCAAAGGGAGCUUUCUAUAUACUAUGUAAGGAUUGAUAUUUAUAUCUGAUGAGAGAUCUUAUCUAUGAUCCUUGAUUCAAGAUGAAUGAGAAAACCACGAACUCUCUAGGAUGGAUAUCAUUCCUUAAUAUUUUACCCACGUACUUUGCUAAAGAGUGCCUUUUCUCGUUAGCUACAGUAGUAGGUAAACCCGUCCAACUUGAUCUAGCUACCAUUAAUAUAACUAGAACUUAUUUUUCACAAGUUAAAGUACUGGUGGAUUUGAAAGGAGACUUCAUUAAGAUAGUGAUAAUAGAUAUUGACAAGAAGUCACAAAAGAUUCAAGUCAAAUAUGACUAUGUUCCUAAAUAUUGCACAAAAUGCAAAAUGCAAGGUAAUGACAACAAUGAAUGCAGAUGCAACAUUAAAGUAAGUGUCACAACCCAAACCCAGGCCUGGCCGUGACGGGUAUCUCAAGUUCACCAUGGGCCAGAGACCACCCCCUUAGCCUUAUCUCAAGAGAACGAUAAAAAUAAACAGUAAAAGCAAACCAAAAUUGUAAAAAGAUAGAUAAGUCAAAUGAAAAUUCUAGGAAUCAAAACGAACAAUCAACCCAAUACUUGUCCACAAAAGCCUCUAAACCAAGAAUACUAGACGAAGUCGGAAUAUGCCCCCACUAUGGCAAAAUAAAUCCACAAUUCCAAAAAUAUGAACAGAAACAUAAUAAUAGAAUAGGGUCUUCAAAAAUAUGGAGACUCACCACAUCACAACAAUGUAGCAGAUAUACCACACCACCUAACAUUGCACAGGAGUGUUGCGUUCAAGAGCACAUGCAAGUGUAUGUAGUCUUACCAAGUAAUACAGUGGCCUUAUAAAAAGACAAAUAUCCAUCCCUCAGAUACUUGUGUUGACAAAUGUCCAAGCUUAUUUCACUAAUAAGAUUAAUCAAGUGCUCUGUAAUCAAAAAGUUUGUAAGUUAUAAGUAACUAUCAACUAAACAAUACGGUACAGUAAAGGUUUGAACAAUCAGCGGGAAAUCCUAAGAUUAAGUCUCUAUGAACAAUCAUACUACGUUUUCAAACUUCAUUAGUUAGGUUAGUUAUAUUGAUUAUUGUUUUAUGGGUUCUACACUACAACUAUGAUCUUCCGAACCUCUAAUCAAUUAUCCAACUUAGCCCCUACAACUACAUCGGUGAGCGUGGAUGUGAACUAAGUUAAAUGCUUUAUUAUUCAUCCCGUUCCUGAACUAAACAGGACACUUAAUUAUAUUCCUAUCCUAAGUGAAAAUUAUAACAUCAUUCUAUGAAGAUUACGAUCCUAUUCUAUUCAUCCCACGUUCAUCUCUACCAUUCGUCUUUCCGGGUUCACAGUAGAGUUAUAGAAUGUAUUCUAAGGUUCAUGACUCCUUAAAAUAGUAAUGAAUAAUAUAAAUAAACAACCAAUAAUGAUAAAAAACCAUAACCAAAUCAAUUCCUAACAAUAGUACUUAUGUUCUUGGCCAUAAACCCGGAAAAGGGUGUUUAGCCGCUCAUAGACGUAACAAGAAUCACAAUAGUAAAAUCCAUGUUAACAUCCAUAAACAAACUAAAUUAAAGCAAUAAAAAAACCUAAUUAAAGUGUUCUCCAACCUCCCUUCAAGUCCCAAGGUCAUCUAAGGGGUUUACACAAGUGUUUAAGUGUUCUACUUAUAGGACACAAGUUGCUUGUUUAAACUUAAAGGCGUGCCAUGCCAAUAUAGCAACAUGUAGGCAGUGUGGAAUGAUAAAAAUGAGGUGGAUAACUGUAAAUUUACAUCUCAAAAGUUUCCAAGGGCGUUCCAUGGCCAUAUCACAACAACUAGGCAGCGUGGCACACCAAGCACUCCAAAAACUUCCAACUUUACCAAGUUUUGUCCCAUGCUUUUGUCCUUCAACUCCAUGCAUUGUGGUGUUGUUUUAGCUUUAUUUACAGGUUUUUUAACAUACCUUUAUCAUCAUGAUACAAUUACCAUGCUUCCUACACUAUCAAACACCAUACAUUAGAGCACAAAACACAUACAGUUCAAGACAACGAACUAGUAAAGGCCAUAGCUCAAGUUAAGAGUACUAGCUUUUGUCCCUUGAUUCUUAACUUGGUGUUUUGAAUCCAAAUUAACUAUGAAAUCACUUUUAACAUUACAUUUAUGUAACAUAUCAUAGCCACACAAAUCAGAGAUAUCAUAGGAGCCGGGGAUUCCCGUGUAUCCUUCGCCCUUCAUGAUACAUAUAUAAAAGUAUAAAUUUAGGGGAUUCCUGUGUAUCCCACAAGUAUAUAGUCACCAUGACCAACCCUCAUGUCGGGAAACAUGAGUUUCUAGUGUCCAUACAUUGAAAUCACACCUUUACAGUUAGCUAUCACAACCUGCCAUUAUUUCCUAAUUAAAACCUUUACCACAUAACCAAAUCACCAAUUCUAGAAGUUUAAUUACCAAGGCAUUAUGAAGUGGUAUCGUCUUACUGACUAUAGCUUGCAAGCAAUAUCAUUAGCCAAAACUUUGGGGAUUCCCAUGUACCCCACAUGAUUUACAAUUAAACCAAAUCCAUGGCCACCAAGUCCCUUUCAAUCCAUUUAAAACCAUUUAAACCAAUUUAGGUUCCAUUACCAUAUUAUGCAAUGCAAGGUUUUCGAUAAAAGUAAAACUAUGUGACAAACCAUUCUCAUACUCAUUUUAACAAACAUAUUGAGGGCAUAUAGUUUCCAAAACCACGAACCAAUUAACCAUUCCCAUGCAACCACAUAUUCAAACCAACAUUGUAACAUCAAAAACCAUAAAUAGAACAUGGGAAAACAUUAUCCAACCACUAGUAACCAAAAUCCCCAGCAUAUAUUUCAAAACCCAAAACAUACAAUAAUAAUACCCUAAAAACCAUCCAUGAAAAACAUGCUUUUAGUUUGAACUAACAAUGGGGAAGGAGUAACAUGCCUUAGAAAACAAGGAAGAUAGAGAAAACCUUCCCUUUGGAGCACUAAUUGACAGUCUUAAAGAAAACCCUAGCCUUUCUUGAACCAAGAGCUUUGAGAGAGAUUUUGAGUGUUUUGAGAAUACUUGAUUAAGAAAUAAAGGGUUAAUAAAGUCCCAAAUAUUUUUUAUGUCAUGGGGUCAAAAUAAGUUAAGAGGGAAAAUAUCUAGAAUACCCCCAACUUAAACUAUAAAAAUUACCUCAAGAGGAUAUGAUUUGGACCCCUUACUCGUGCCCACAUCAUACGAGGGUUACCCUACACUCAUACCUUGAUCAGAAUGUUGGACACCACAUACUAUCCACCAUAAAACUCCCCUUGCCCCACUUGUACCCAUAACAUAUGAGUAGUACCCAUAAGUCGUAUCCAAGAUAGAAUCAAAGAGGUUCGACAUUGGACAAUAUACGACUUCAUUGUACCACUCGUACCCUAUCCUCAUGGCUCAUGGUGAGCCAUUCAUACUCAGAACUAAGUCAAGUCACUAAGUUUUAGAUUAAGUAAAGGAUCAACCCAAUGACCCAUCACCAACCAUACGACCCAUACCACCAAACUGUAACCAUAACAGAAACUUGACCACCACAUACUGGACAUCCUAGGAGUUGGGUCACCUAACCCGUACCCUCACCAUACGAACUGUAUGGUGAGUCAUAUAAUCAACAGAGAGCUAAAAACUCAAGAAAGUUUUAAGGGCCAAAACCCAGGGUGUUUGACCUAUGCACCCCUAUGAAAGCCAUCCUAAAUUUAGGUGAUUUUUCUGAGUUGAGGAACACAAUGUCUUAAGAGGGACAUGGGACAAACAUAUUCAUUGUAAGUACAGAUGGAAAGAUAAUUUGGCUGAUAAAAUAAGAUGGUCAAUUAAGGCUCAAAUUCGGGAUAAAAUAACUAAUUUCAUUUGGUCGGGCAUUUAGGCCAAAAGUUGACUUAUUCAAGAACGACCUAUGAUUCUAUCCUAACCAACUAUCCUACAACCUAGGCAAAACUAAUUGGACAAGUUUUGUAUUAUACACAAAGUGAACUCAAUAAACAAUCUCACACCCACAGAGCAUAGGGUUACACCAUCAACUACUACCUAUCUAGUUCAAGCAUUACUAUGCUACAUUUAUUCUACAAAUAAUACUAAUGCUAUAACAAGAUCAACAGUUGUCAUAAUUAAACACAAUUGCAACACAUAGUCUAAAAUAAAAUUUUAGGAGGGGUAUCCUUUAAAUAUCAAAAAUUAAAAUCAUAACAUUCAAAACUUGAUUGCAUUAGGGUUCCCCAUGUUUCUCCUAAUCAAACACAAUAAAAACAUAAGAAAAACAAAUUUAACAUCCUAGACGUGAUAGUUCUACUAUGAUAUAACCAAAGGGAAAAUAAAUACGACAACAAAAAUUUCUAAGAGAAUAUAAAAACCCACAAGUACUGCCACCCCUAUCAAAUAAGUAUGUGUUGUCCCAAAUGCAUUAGACCGAGUAAAAUAAGGGAGUUAGGAACAUAACAAUGGCAUCUAGGUGAGUUGGUAUAGUGUCUAUCAAAGUAACAAGAAUAAAAAAAAUGUAGAAAUAACAAGAAACCUUGGGUUGCCUCUUAAGAAACAAAAGAUUUAACAUUGCGGCACGAUACGGGUGUAUUGACUACACAGGCUAUAUCAAGAUAUCCCUUGGGUUGGAUUCCAAAUUCAUCUAAACUAUUCAUCACCAAAACCACCCUUAUGUUCUUUGGUUGCUUCAUAGUUCUACCAAUAUUCAAUAUGACUUCAACAUUAUUCAACCUAAUAUUAGCUCACCCCGCUCCAUAUCUAUCUAUGCUCUAUCAGCGGCUAAAGAAGGUCUUCUAAAAAAUAUAGGCAUCUCAAAAUUGACCUCACAAUCUAAGACAAUAAAGUCUGUAAAAAAGAUAAAGUUUUAUACCAUGAACAAGAAAUUAAACAAUAUGCCCAGGCUUUUUGACCAUACAAUACGCUAUCAGUAAGUAUAUCUUUGUUGGUUUAGGUGUUCUCAAGCCUAAUUAUUUGAAUACUACCAUAAGUAUCAAGUUAAUAUUUUUACCUAGGUCACAUCAAUCUUUGGCAAAGUUAGAUGACCCAAUUGUAUAAGGAAUUGUGAAGCCAUCGAGGUUAAUUUUAUUUUGCAUAAUAGAAUAGGAGUCAAUUGCACUACAAUGGUACAAAUCACCAAUAGACUCAUAACUGAUAGUUCUCGUCUUUGUGACCAACUCUUUUAUGAACAUUGAAUAUCUCAACAUUUAUUAAAGUGACCCCACCAGUGGAUGUUUAUAAAAAAAAAUUUCAAUAUGGACAUGAACUUAUGAAAUGUUCCAAUCUCCCCCUUCUUCUUCAAGCACUAAGGGAUGAAGGUAAAGGCUUAGGAAUAUGGUUUAGCAUUUGUAGGGCUUCCGUCUCCUUCUUGUUUUCAUCAUUCACCUUAUUUUCAUUAUUUUGAGGAUCUUCAACAUCUUUCAGGAUCUCCCCAUAAAUAUUUUUAUUAUCAUUUCACCUUUUCUUAAGACAUUGAGGGAAAUGUGGAGGAAGUUUUGGGUGUGGAGGAAGUUUUAGGAAUGGAACAUACAUUUUUACAGCUUUCUUUACCUAUUUUGAGGAAUUUAUUUACUAUAUGAUAAAGAUCCUCAACUUGUUUGGGUGCGUCAAUAAGAGUCUUCCCAUUUUUUUUUGUGACAGCCAUACAAUGAGAAUCAUUUUCUGGGUUCUGGAUGGUAUUCAAUGCAGUAGACAUCUAAGUAAACUAUUUAUCAAAAUACUUAAUGAUGGUAGCAUGUGAAUCGACCUUUUAUCUUAGCCUCAAAAUAUCUACUCUAAUCUUUUUAAGGUAAUUUUCUUAUCUCUCCGACCCCUUUAAAAGUUAUACAAGCAAAGCUUCCAUCCUUGAAUUGCCAUAAUAGGCAUCAUAGUUUGCUGGAGGAACGUAAAGACCACUCUAGUCCUUAUAAUCAUCUUUCUACUUCCAAUAAUCAUCCUUGUCCCCCACUCUUCUCUCUAUACCUAGACCAAUUAUAAUUGAUUUCAUAGUAGUACUGACCUUAAUUCCUUUAUAUAAAGUUCUAAUUAUGUUGAUUAAACCCUGGCCCUUGGCUCAAAAACCCACCACCUCUCUAUCAAGAUAUUUAUCCUUCUUUACGAAAUUCAAAUAUUCAUAUCUUGAAGCCUUAUCUCAUGUACUCCCUACAUUGAUCUCCUCUGCUCUAACUGCAAUAAAUUCUUUCUAAGCAACCCAAUCUUAGUCCUCAUUUAUGCCACCUCUUGAGUUACUAUAUCACCUAGUGCUCACUACUCUAUGAAAUCUCCAAUUGAAUAAGUACCAGUUGAACUAUCUGCCUCUUAAGAAUGCCACCCUCAAUUGGUUUUUAUAAUCUAAUCUAAUAUCCCAUAACAAUACUCUCAUCAUAGACUCAUGAAAGCCCUAAUAGUGAUAGUUUCUAUUGUAGUCUUAGUAUUAAUAUUCAAGGCUUGAUAAAAGAUCUCUAGUAAGUUUCUACCAGUAAUCCUGUGAUUUAGAACACUAUGUAUCUUUUUCUUGAACCUCAACCAUGUCUUUUAUAGUGCCUCUAAAUACAACAAACAGAAGUUGUAUAUCUCAUCUUUCAAUUGCAACAUUUUGGAGGGCAGAAUUUUUUUUUCUAAGAACUGAGUGUUUAACUUAUUCCAAGUAGUAAUAGAUCCAUGGGGCAAUUCUCCCAAUCAUAGAGUAACUUCUGCCAUCAAAGAGAAUUGAAAUAGCCUCAGUCGAAUAGCUUCCUAACUCACCCUAGGUAGAUUAUAUGAAGUGCAGAUCCCCAUAAAAUUUAUAAUAUGCAUGUUAGCAUCAUCAGUAAGAAGGCUAAAAAAUACCUCUUUAAAUUUUAGCAGCUAGAUAUUGGACUCAUGAUGUCGAACUUAGUGCCUUGAGAUAAUUUUGUUGGAAUGAUUACACCUAUUUUAAUUUUCUCCAUAUAACCCAGGUCUUUCUCUAGGUCUUUAUAAAUAGAAAGAUAUUAUUGGAGAGGAUAUUAUCCCUUAUUUAUUCUCAAUCUAUCCCUCUCAUCAAGCAUAGCAAGAUGAUUUGCAUCUUUUUGUAUAGCCUUUUUGCCUUGUUAUCCACCUGAUAUCUUCUUGCCUAGCAUUUUUCUCAGCCAUUAACCGAGUAGUGACUUGUUUCGUAGUUUCUUGACCAUCAUGUUAUUGUAGCAGUUGAUUCAAAAUUGCAUGGUCAUCAUUAACCCCCUCAAUAAGGACUCUUUGAUCACAAACUUCUUUGUUAACCAUCCUUCGAUUUUGUAUUAAAACUCUCUCAAUCCCAAUAUCAAGCAGAAUUAGGCAAUUUCCUUGACUUCAAGUAUUGUACAUACAAUGUUGUGUUCCCUAGAAACAAUAAAAAGUAAACUCAGCAAAUAAAACCAACAACUCAACAAAUAAAAUCAAUCAACUCUAAAACCAUAUUCCCCAUCAAUAAUGCCAAAAUUUGAUAUCUCCCAAAUUAUACCUCCUAGAAAGUAUAAAGCGGUCGCCUAAUCAAAAAUAGAAACCAACUAGGUGGGGUUGAUCCCACAGUGAAAAGGUUAAAAUUCUAUCAAGUGUUUGUCUAAGAAACUAGAAAAUAAGUAAGGAGGGUUAUAUGAAAAAGAGAACUAGUAACAGUUGAUGAUUUUAGAUUUGUGAUCAAUAUGAGAAAACACUAGAUUUUGAACCCCGUGACUUUAUAGCUGCAUAGGUUUCUCAUGCUAGAAAACUAUUGCGGUGCAUUGCAUGAAAAAUCUAACAAGACCGACUCAUCUAAAUUUCUCUCAAUCUUGGUUAUAUGAAUUUCACUCUUCUCAUCUUGGUCUUCAAGUGUUGCACUUUUAACCCUUGUUAUUGAUCUCAUAUUAACACUCCCUACUAUAACUUGAUUUAUUGGAUGACGGUUGAUAACUUUGAAUUUUUGUUGUUAUUUUUUCCUUAAUUUUGCUUCUCUCACAAGCAAAUCUAGAAUACAGGCAAGUUCUUAAUGUUUGCAACCAUUAGAAAAUAGUCAUAACAAAGAAAAUACCAUUACAUGCAAGCACUCUGGUCUAGAAUUUUCCCCACACUUAAUCUAUUUUGUUAAUUCGGCAUGUGAAAGUCCUUUUAGGUGUUUCAUGUAAAAAUCAAGAAGGUAAAGGUAGUACUAGCUAAAUGGAGUAAGGAUACUUUUGGGGACUUUUUUUAGACAAAUUGCUACCUUAGAGGAUGUGAUUAAGGAAAAAUUAGUUUGAGAUAUAUUCAAAUCCAGAGAAUAGAACAUACUUGAGUAGGGUAGAGAAAAGUUGAAGACGUUUAUGUACAUCGAUAAAGAAUAUUUGAAGCAGGAGGCUGGUAUGAGGUGGUUCAAUUAUGGGGAUAGAAAUACCAAAUUAUUUUACUCUUAUGUGAAAGACAGGAGGAGUAAACUUCAUAUAGCAGAGAUUCAGAUAACAUAAGGUGAUAUGGUUAAUUUUAUUGAGAAUAUUGUGAAAGAAGCAUUAUUAUUUUCUGCUGCAUAGUUUAAGGAAGAUGUCAGGAGUGAAGAUUUCAGCAUGUUAAAGCAUAUUCUUAAACUGAUUUUAGAUGAUCAGAAUAAGGUGAUGACUUCUCUACCUACAAUUGAGGAAGUUAAGAAAGUGGUCUUUGAGAUGAAAGGAGAUAGCGCCAGUGGUCUAGAUGGUUUCUCUAGACAUUUCUUUCAAGCAUGUUAGGAGAUAGUUGGAGAGGAUAUUACUAAUUUUUGUUCUGUGGUUUUCAAUUACCCAAAUUUAUAACUCAUAGUAAUCUGGUACUGAUACAAAAUAAAGAGUCUAUAAAUAAUUUUGUAGAUGUGAGACCUAUAAACCAAAGCAUUUUUGUAAAUAAGAUCAUAUCAAAAUGCAUGCAUAAAAGAUUGGUGCUUGUUCUUCCAAGUAUUAUAUCAAAAAAGUAAUCAAGUUUUGUCAAGGGUAGAAGUAUAACAAAAAAUGUCCUUCUAGCUUAGGAAAUUAAAAGGGAUAUUAAUAUGAGAAACAAAUUUCAUAAUCUGGUCGUUAAGCUUAAUAUGGUCAAAGAUUAUGAUAGAUUAUCUUGGAAAUUCUUUAAUAAGGUGAUAAAAAGGUUUGGAUUCUCAGAGAUCAUAAUUGAUAUGUUAUGGAGAAUUAUUUUUGAUAAUUAGUAUCAGUACUUGUUAAUGGAUAGUCCUAUGGAUUGUUUCAUUCAUCUAGAGGUUUGAAACAAGGUGAUCCUCUAUCACCAACUUUAUUUAUUAUUACUACAGAAGUGUUAUCUAGAGGAUUAAACAGUUUAUUUGAUGAUAUGGAAUACUAGAGUUAUGGAUUACCUAAGUGGAGCCCUAAAAUUAAUCACAUCUCUUAUGCUAAUAAAACUAUUUUAUUUAGCUCUGGAGAUAAGGUUUCUAUUCAGAAGAUGAUGAAAGUGUUGAGGGAGUAUGAACUAAUUUCAGGCCAGAUGGUCAAUAAGGACAAGAGUUUUUUUCUAUCUUUAUGAGAAAACCCCUUUAGCCAUUUGGAUAAGGCUAAGAAGAAUAACCGGGAUCAAGAUGGGUAACUUCCCUUUUGCAUAUUUGGGAUGCCCAGUCAUUUAUGGCAGAAAGAACAAUUUCUAUUUUGAAGACAUUUUAAGGAAAGUUACCAGAAGAAUAAUAUCCUGGCAGAAGAAUUUUCUUUCAUAUGGGGGGAGAUUUAUUUUGAUCAAUCAUGCCUUACAAUCAAUGCAUGUAAUCCUUCUAUUAGCUAUAAAUCCAUCGAAGAAGGUAAUUAACCAACUUCACCAAACUUUUGCAAAAUGUUUCUGGAGUAAAGCAUAUGGUGAUAGAGGAAAACAUUGGGUUAGUUGGGAAAACAUGUGUUAUCCUAAAAAUAAAGGUGGAAUUGGUUUCAGAUCUUUACAUGACAGCUCAAAAGCACCCUUUACAAAAUUAUGGUGGAAUUUUAUAGUGUCAUCAUCAUCUUUAUGGACAUCAUUCAUAUGGAACAAAUAUUUUAGAAAAUUACAUCCUACAGUAUCCAGAGGAAUAGGGGCAUCAUAAGUAUGGAAAAUGAUAAUAAGUGUAAGAGAGGAAGUAGAACCUAAAAUCUAGUGGCAAAUAAAAUCAGGAAAGUCCAGUUUUUUGGUUUGAUGAUUGGACUAAGAAGGGGGCUUUGUAUUUUUGAGAAAUAGAUUUUGCAUGGGAAGAGGAGAUGAACGCUAAAGAGUUCAUUAUAGAUAGAGAAUGGGAUAUGCAGAAGCUGGAUGGUACAUAUCUAAGGAAAUAGUUAUACACAUUAUUGAAAAUAUCAGUCCUAAUUAGUCUAAAAGUAAGUUUAUUUGACUCCCCAUCAAUUGUGACUAGGUCUAUUGGAUCUAGUGGUUUAGUUGGAGAGUUUUUGGCUACCACUGGACAUGAUAAGAAGGUUUAUCUUAUUUUUUUCAACAAAGUUUUGUUUUUUCAAUAGGAAAUUACCUAUCUCAACUUCUUUUAUUAAUGAAUUUGUAUUGCGAUAUAUUUUAGGUUCUAGUUUGGGAGUUGAAAAAUAAUAAUUUUAGUAGUAGAGAAGGUUAUACUCAUGAAAUUAUAGAUGUUCAUUUUAGACCAAAACCCAAUGGUGUUUACAAUAUCUUUUCAUGACAGAAUUGUGAAGAUAUGGGAUGCAGACGAAGUGCUACCGCUAUUGCCAUAAUGAUAGCUUUAUAAUAUCUUUUAUUUAUUUCUUUUAAUUUGUGUCCAUUAUAACCAUGAAAUCCUACAUAUAUUGCCAUUUUGUCAUUAUCCAGCCAAGCAACUAGUUUUGAAACCUUGUUGGUCAUGAUGAGCAAGUGAUAUCAAUAGAUUUUCAUCCAACAAAAAUAAGUCUCAUCAGUUCUUGUCAACGAAAUGAUGAGAUUAGAUUGUGGGAUGUCACUAGGCACGAUUGCAAGCUCAUUCUUAAGAUUGGUGCCUCUAUUUCCUUAUUUAUUUUUAAAUGUUGAUAAAGAGGUAUCUUUAUUUGACAUAGGAAGACUUCUUAAUUAGGUAGUAAGCUAUUUUUCUAUUUCUAUUUCAAUUUGGAGAUUCCUUAGUUACCUUAUUUAGAAUUAUUUUUGAAUUAAUUUUUAUAUUUAUUGUAGGAACUAUUUUUCAAAUUAUUCUUUCUUUUUCAUUCUAAGAAAUUUAAGGUUUUCAAAAUCAGUAGUCAGUGAUCACCGAAUACUCAUGCAAAAAUCUAUUUUAGAAAAUAAAAGGGUUUCACCAUAGUAUUUGAACCAACAUUCAUAUCACAUUGUACAUAUUCUAACUAGUGUAACUGAAGUUUUUAAUGUCUGAUGGAUGAUGGAUUGAUUACUUUAUAUAGUUUAGAUGCUGGUUUAUGGAUAUAGGUACUGAUUAUACAAACAAAUUUUGAUGUUUUGAAAUGGUUCUAAUUGUAGGUUAUAAUAGUACUUAUUUUAACUAAAUGAAAUUAAUUCAGUUUUGAAGUUUAAUCUGAGUCUUUUCUGGUGUUCUUCAUUUUACUGUGUGAUUUAGUUAAAAAAAAUACAUAUGUAUUGUUCAUAUUAUGCUAAAAAUACAUAUGCAGGAAAUUUUAUGCCUAAAAAAUAUAUAUGUAUUGUUUUUAGCUGAUAAAAAUACAUAUGCAAUGUUAUGCCUAAGCAUUCCAAAACUAUAUCUGAAAUUUUUAGUUUAAAAAUGUCAAUGUUAUGUUCAAAAUACAUAUGCAAUGUUAGAAAAUACAUAUGCAAUGUUCUUAUUUUGCAAAAAAAUAUGUAAGCAUUAUAAAUAAAAUUUAGCCUAAAACUACAUAUGCAGUGUUAAGAGUAAGCUUUUCUAAAAUACAUAUUGUUCAUAACUAAUAUGUAUUUUGAUAUGUGUCCAUUUAAUAUGAUUAUAAAUGAAAACUCGAAUUAAAGAUAAAUUUGAAACUUUUGAUACAGUUCUGUAAUUUAUGGUGAGAUUUUAUUUUACAAAAAUACAUAUGCAGUGUUAAUAUUUUUUAUUAAAAAUACAUAUGUAUUAUACAUUUAAAUGUAUUUUUAGCAUAUAAAUACAUAUGCAGCUCUAAGAUUUUGGAAUUCAAACAUAGAUUUGCAGAAUAUGUCAUAUGUGGCUAAAUCAAUGAAUAAUUACGAACUAAAUAAGUGUUUGGUUAAUCAAAGUUACCAACUUUAACAUAAAAAAUAUAUUCAAUGUAAAAAAUACAUAUGAACUACAGAUUCAAAAUACAUAUGUAAUGUUCAGAUCUUGCAACAUAUACAUAUGCAGAAUUCAGAUUUUACUGUGUUCACUUGUCUAAUGAUGAUUAAAUGUAUUAACUAAAAAAAAUAGUUCAAGUUUAUUAAAAAUAAAAAUAAAGUUUUAAGCAAUAAUACUGAAGGAGAAAUGUAUCAUUUUCGACAUUUCCUACAAGAACGACAUUUCCAAACAUAUUCCGGCCUGAUUUUCCACAAUCCUUCUUUGCAGGUCUUCCUGAAGGUCUUUUGUAUUUUGGAGGCAGUACUAUUUCACCAAGUACGCUAUCUGGAAUUAGCCAGUCAUCUUUAUGUGUCAAUGGGUAGAUGGGAACAUCAUAUGUCUUCAAAACAGUUUUUGGUUUAAACAAAUCACAACAGUAUGGCCCCUUCGCAAAAUUCUUCUUCUCUAACACUACACAAGCAUGUGCACAUGGUAUCUGAUCUAGUUGAAAUACAUUAGAUGAGCUUUUUUUUUCCUUGAGGCAAACAAUGAAGUAUUUUUGUUUGUAAUGUACUGUAUACACAUAUUCUAUGGCUGUACAACCUGAUAUAAAAAUAAAAAGUUUAAUGAAAUGCUACAAAAAAGAUGAAAUUCAUAUUACACGAUAUGUUGUAAAAACACCAGCAUUUUUGCAGAAAAAUACAUAUGCAGAGUAAAAAUACAUAUGCAGAGUACAUUUUUAUAGAGCAUCCAAAUACAUAUGAAGUGUUAAUUAUUUUCAAUUAAAAAAUACAUAUGCAAAAUACAUAAUAUUAUUUUUACUGAACUUUUUAGUUUAUUUUUAUAUGUUUCAAUUCAUUUCGAACUUAAUGGAAGUUAUUCUAUUAAUUAUGUUUUUCCGAAGUAUAAAUUCCAAAAAUGUAAAAGGUCAUACCGUCAUACGAGUACACAAAGCCUCGUUUUCUUUGAGUAUGUCAUUAAAUUUUUCAAUGAGUGGUGUGAAGAUAUAUAAAGCCUGUUUCCUGUUUUUGCAGUUACAUUUUGCAAACAAUAAUCAAACCUCCUCAAGAAAGUCAUAAAUUGUCAGUUCUCUAGCUGAUACAAGUACUCCAUUUAUUGACUCCGCAAUGUUUCAAGUCAAAGUCCAGCCUCGGUAAACUGUUGCAUAGGACCUAGCCCACUUUUCGUAACCAGCCAAUUCUAAAUAAUUCUUCACCCUAAUAUCAACUGCCUCAACUUUUUCCAUUAACAUGUGGAAUUUUGACUUUGAAUAUGAUUUGGCCAUUGUAUAAAAGAUCUCCGACAAUGCAUCAUGUCACUUUCUGUAAACUUUUUUAACAUUUUUCUAUAGAUGCUACAUACAUGCAUAAUGUGGAACAUCACUGUACACAUUGCUAACAGCUUUUAUGAUGCUUCGAUUCCUAUCAGAAACAACAUACAUAUUUUGUCUUUUCCCGUAUGCUUCUUUUAGAUUAUGAAAGAACCACAUCUAUGAUGCAUCAUUUUCAGAAUCAAUCAAACCAUGUGCCAGAGGGAAUAUAUGACCUGUAUAUACAGAACAGUUAUGCGCAGUAAAAUAAAAAUACAUAUAGGAACUGCAUAUGUAUUUAUUAAAUAUACAGGUAAUUAAAAUUGUAUAUUUUAUCAAAUAAAUGGUAUCGAUUACAUAUAAUAAAAUUUAGACACCACAUAUAACUAUAAAACAUAAUCAAUUUUACAUGUUUUCAUUCAUGAAACUUUGAAAAUAUAGGUAAUUUUAUACAGAUAUGUAUAUAUCUAGUGGAGAUAUGUAUUUUCAGGUGAUACGCAGAAAUACAAAAAAAAUACAACAAGUUAUACAAUAAAAUUAUUAUAAAAUCAUACUAACCUGCUCCAUCCAUUGUACAUGUUGUUACAAAUUCCCCAGUAUACAUUCAUCUCAGAUGACUAGCAUCAACAAAUACGACUGGUCUACAAUGAUCGAAUCCCUUAAUGAAUGCAUUUAGAGCGAUAAAUACAUACAAGAACUCAUUCUCAUCUAUCUUCUUCAUUAUUAUAUAUGACUCUGGAUAGGUAGUAUUUAGUACGUAUAAGUAUAAUGGAAGUUUCCCAUAAGAUGCUGAUGGCUUACCCCUUAACUUUUCUAACGCUCUUUCUUUUGCCCUCCAACAUAAAGUGUAUGUUAGAUCCAUACCAAAAUCUUCCUUCAUGUCAUUUUUAAUUUCUAAAGCACUGUAUUUUCUUUUGUGAUUCUUGAAUUUUUGUUUAACCAUACCACAUAUCAACAUACUAGUAGCAUGCACCUUUGGAUAGAUCUUGUCCUUUACCGGGAAUGUAUGUUGAGGUCUGAAUGCUCUUAUUCUAAACAUUCCAGUUUCUCCCAUUCCUGAUGCGUGCAUUAAAAACUCGCGAUUUCUUGAUUUUCAAAACAACGUAUACCUGCAUCCAAUAUAAUUUAGUAUUUUCAAAAUACAUAUCCAAACUAAUAUUAAACAAGAACAGAGUGAUAUAGAAUGUACGUACAUUUUCUUACUUGACCUUUUACUUCACGUUUGAAAUUUCUCCCUAAUUAAAUAGUGUAAUACCUCAUAUUUUGGACUAGAAUGAAAAUCCAUCAUUCCUAUGCGUGGAUAUUUCAAAAUCCUCAAAUCCUAUAUAAAUUUAGUGUGUUAAUCAAUUAAUUAGUGUGGGAAUCUAUUUGAGCAUAAAUUUAGAUCAUAGAGGUCCCCUAACUCAAGUACAAGUUGAAAACUUUCCUAUCCUUCAAGUUUUAGUGAGCGUCAAAACUUGGGUUAACUUCAAUCGACCAUAACUCAUUUUAUAUGACUAACUGGGUGGUUUACUAUAUAUCAAAUGAAAUCUCUUUGAAUUAUCUUUCCAACUAUACCAAUUUUACCUAAAUCUGAUAUUGGAGCAAAGAGUUAUACCCAUUUUAUUUCAGUAUGUCAAGCUGGAAAAUGGUGACGAUGUUUCUGAUGGGCUAUCACGUUUCUGACGACCUUUUUGAUGACAUCUUCACAUUCAGAUGACAUUUCUGAUGAUGUCGUCAGCCUUGGGUAGAAAAUCAAGAAUUUGGACCCCUUUUGUGACGACCAUUCGUGACGGCCUAUCACAGACCUGACGGCCUGUCACGGACCUGACAGCCUAUCACAGAUGGCGUCAAGUAUAUUUUUCCAGAAAUUCAAGAGCAUUUUUUUCAAGGGUAUUUUGGUCAUUUCCUUCACCUUCCACUACUUAUAACCCUAAAGAGGGGUAAUUUUUCCCUUUUUCUUUAGUUAAGCAUCUCAAAAACCCUCUUUUACACUCUCAACCACAAGAUUAGGGUAUCCAUCAAACUCAUCUCUCAAAAGUAAGAUUCAAGCCUUUUUCUAAGAUAAUCAAGAAUUAAGUUUCCCAAUCCAAGAACUCUCUAGUAAAUCAUCAAGGUUUCUUUUCUAAGGUAUGCGUGUGUUCUUUCAUGGACUCCUUUCUUCUAUGAAGUUCAAGAACCCUUUUCUAAAACUAUGUAUUAUGGUUUUCAUGUUAUGAAUGGAUUGUUGAUCAUGUUUAUGUGUUGAAUGAUGCCAAGAUAGAAUCUUUAUGUGUUAUUAUGAAUCUAUGACAUCAUAUGAGUUGAAAACAUGUAAGUUUGAUUAUUUAUGAUGAGUAAUUGUAUGAUUUACACCUAUUACUAAGUUGUGCAUGUAAAGUGUUUGAUAAAAUACCUAAAAGAUUAGAAAUUAUGCAUUAUAGCUAAAUUGUGACUAAGUGAAGGAUUCAUGAUAGGCCUCUAUGAUUCAAUGCCAUCCAUGUUGAUAAUGUGUCUUGUGAACACUGUUGGAUUACUCAUGAACUAGUUUUAUGGAAUUAUGCUAUGCUUACUUGCAAAACCCACUCAUGUACAAGAUGUAGAAUACCCAUGUACUUCAUGAAAUUCCCCAAGUUAUGAUAUUAUGGAUUGUGGUUGUAAUAGGUAAUGAGUAAAGCUAUACAAGUAUAUACAUGUUGUAUGAAAUUCCCUUCCAUGAAAUAGAUUGUUGAGACUUAGUAUGAAAUCCCUUAUUUAUGAUAUUGUGGAUUAUGGACUCUACUCUUAUGAUCAAGUCAAUCAUGUGUGUUAGUUUCCUUCCAUCAAGUCCUGGGGGUACUUGUACCCAUAAAUUAUAGUUGUGUGCCUAGAGCCAUGUCAUGUUUUUACGAUACUCUCAGUCAAGCCAUGAUCUAUAGAAAUCAGUCAAUCAUGUGACUCAGGAAAACUCAGUAAUCUCAGUAGUUUAGUAUUUUCAGUAAUCUCAGUGCUCAGUAACCUCAGUAAUCGCAGUAAAUCUCAAAAACUUUAGUACUCUUAAUCAGUCCUCAAAACUCAUUAUAUUUCGUCCGUCAUCCAAAUCCAGUAAACUCAGUUUUAGCUCUGCAAAACAAUACCACUAGUAUCAGUUCAAUUAAUCAGUAUCAGUUCAGCAAAUUAGUUCAGUUAAGUUAUUUAGUUUAGCCCAAUUAUUCAGUUCAGUGUCUUUCAUAUGGUAGUAGGAUUCAGCACCAAGUGAAUCUAGGGAUGGGGACUCACCCGCUAGAAUAGGACUGAGAUCCCUAGAUGCAAUCCCUAUGUUCCAGAACUACGUAUCCAACGUAGGUACGAGAUAUCACCCGUUAGAUAAGACUGACAUACUCAGGGGUCACCCGUUAGCACAUUUAUAUGUAUAGGACUGAUCCCAGGAGUCACCCUCUAGAUAAGGACUAACUCCACAGUAGAUUUCUUUACUGGUGGCGCGGUACUGACACCCUUCCAGUCAGGGCAGAUAUUGGACCCUAGUUAGCUUAGCUUGGGGCAUAUCGGUUAGAUGAACACAUCCCACAAUUUUAAUUACAGAUUCAAGACUGUUAGAUACAGUCAACUCAGUUCAAUAGUACAGACUCAGUACUGUUAGAGACAAUUAAUCCUUAUCAUUAUAAAUAGACUUUAAGAUCACCCAUUAGACAGGACUGAUCUCAAUUAUAGUUAAACAGUAUCAGAAUCAUCAGAUUUAAAGAUCACCCGCUAGAUAGGACUGAUCUCAAAUUUAGUUACUGCAUAUAAAAAUAGAACUUAGAUAGUUCCAUCAGAACUUAGAUUGUCAGAUACAGUCGCUCAGUAUCAGUUACAUCGGUUAGGUUGAUCAUCACAGUUAUAUUAGUUAUAUCAGUUUUCUAAAAUCAUGUAUCAGUCAUAUCAGUUAUCAAAAUUCAUGAUAUUAGUAUUCAGCUUCAGGACUGUCAGACAUAGUCAGACAGACCAGUUUUUCAUAAUUUGAAAUGUCUAAAAUAGUCGUUCAUCUAUUCAGUAUCUCAGUAUUAGUACACUCAUGUUGUCAAUAUUCAGACUCAGUAGUCAGUAUCUCCAUGAGUUCAGUUACAAUUAUUUAUGUAUGUAUGUAUUCUCACAUUCAUAUUAGUCAACAUUGUUUAUGUAUAUAACCCUUUGCAUUUAGCCUACCUCACUCGUAAUCUCAGUACAUUCAGACAUACUGACGCAUUUGCACUAUGGUGCUUUCUCUUAUAUUACACCAUAGAUUCAGAGGCACGAGCUCCAGAUCAGCAGUAGCAUUACAGUGUUCAGAGUUUGCAGUGAGUCCUUCUCAUUUGAGGACGAUAUGAUUAUUGCUAUAUUUACUAUUUAGUUACUAGAUGGAGUUAGUUGGAGACAUGUUCCUUCAACUCCUUAUUCAGUUCAGUUAGAGGCUUUCAGACUAGAUGUCAGAUUAGAUAUUCAGGUCUCAUUAUUUUCAGUAUUUAUGACUUAUUUUGGUAUUGUUAUACCUUUUUCGGACAUGUUAUUAUUAAACGUUUAUUCAGUUCGAACCUUAUGGCCUUUCAUGUUUAUGUUUCCAUAUUUUAUUUUAUAUUAUGCAGUAUAUAGGUACAAAUAUCAUUCAUGGGUUAGCUUGUGGUCCUUUGGGGACAUAAGCACCAUGUAGCAUUCCGGUUUAGAAAAUCGGGGUGUUACAAAUAGUCCUUCAUGAAUGACUUCAAAAAAAAAAUUUCAAGUAAACCUGGUCUUCCUCAACUUGAUUGUGAUGUGGAUCUGAGAUAAUAACUCAACAGUAUCCAUUUCAAAUACAUUUAAUGCUUGUGUAUCUUCACAAACCAUCAAAGCUCCUUCAUUUGUUGUAUUUAUCAGUGUUUAAAUAUUGUCACAGUUGGUUAUUCUUUCAGCAACACAUAUAGAUGAACUUGCCACGUUGCUCCCUACAACUUUCUCCAAAAUGCUUACAUAUAAAAGAAGAUAAUUUAUGUCUUGUAUCUACUUUUUUUGAAAUAUAAACACCUUUAAACCCAUAUCAUUAUGUAUUUCUAUCUGCCCUGCAUUAGCAGUAAUUUGAUAUUCCAAUAGAAUACAUUUUCUCAUUAAAUCCACACUUAAGUGAGAUGCCAAUUCAUCGUGCAGCUCAAUGAAUGUUGCUGAUGUGCUCAACAGUAUAGCAUCAGUGACAUAUUAUUCAUAGUUUUUUUCAUACGUCCACCGACCAGAGUGCUUCACAAGCACUGGUAUGCUUCCCAUUUCUAUUUGAUUUAACCAAAAAAUAAACAAAUAUAAACAUUUUGUCAAAUUGUAACUUGUUAAAACAAACACUUUUCAGCUUUAACUGUAAACAAACUUACACAGCCAACAUCUCCACUUAAAAAAUAAAUUUAAACAAAAUUUGUUAAACAUAAAAUACAAACACAAAAAAAGUUUUAAACCAAAUAAAAAAACUAAUGAAUCAAACCGAAGAAAAAUUUGUAUAAAAUAUAUUUUUAGCAAAAAAGUAAUACUCUCAAAUUCCAACAAGCAAACAAAAAAUACAUAUGCAACGUUAACAUUAAGAAGUUCAAAAAUACCUAUGUAGUGUUAACAUUAAACACAUCAAAAAAUACAUAUGGAGCAUACCUAAUUUGUAUUUUGAUAUGUGUGAAUAGAAUUUCAUCACAUUCAGCAGCUCAAUUGAAUCAUCCAUUGAUCAAGGAUUUUCAGAAAAUAAUUGAAUCAAAUUCAACUCAAAAUUUGUUUAAAUUAUUUUCAUAAUUGGGGAUUUCACAAUUUGAUCAAUUGUUAAACCGAUCAAAAUAACAACAACCGAUACUGAAAUAAAUAGUCGAACAAUGAAAUCUAAAUAACUGAAACAACUUCUAAACUUAAAUUUUGCAACAAAAAAGUUCAAUUCUGAAGGUUUUUGUUAUAUAUGUUGAAUUUUCUCCUGCUUUAAUUAUAAAUCAAAACUAAAUAGGAGCAUCAGUAAUGACUGAAACAAAAAAUCCAACCCAAAAAACUCAAUGAUUAUGUACCUUAAACAACAGUAAUGGGUGAAUUUUCAACUGAUAGUUGAAUUUGAACAAUUUGAACUAAAGAAUCUAUAAUUGAAUUUGAUUCAAAGAAAUUAAUGCUUCAUUUUGAAACUGAUGUUGAAUUCAAAGAAGAUACUAUACAAUUUCAUAUGAACAACAGCAAUGGUUAAACAUAAAAAAAAAAUGGUUGAAUUAGAUGAAAUUGCUUAUAAAAACGAAAAGCAUAUUUUGAUUUUGUUUUUGUUUUUCUCAGAUGAACUCAUUAAUGGAGAAAACUGAAAUUUAAAAUUUGAUUAAUGCUGUUAAGCUAAAACAGAAAUCACGUGAUUGAAGUUGUUUUAACGGAAAAGGAAUCUACAAAAUUAAUUAAUUGGUAAUUAUACCAUAUUUAUCUCAACCAAUUUCAGUUAUUUAAGGGAGGUAAAAUUAGUUGUCUAUGUAUUUUUAUAGCAACAGUUUUUAAAAAUACAUAAUACAAGUUGCUACAAAAUAUAAUUAUGAAACUGUUCCUAUAAAUUAAUAAUUAGGGCCUCAAGUAUGUCAUUUCUGAAUUUUAUCCUAUUAAAAAAUCAUAUUUUGUAUAGAAUAUCACUUGAAGUCUAUUUUCUAGCUUUUCAUAUACAAAAUUUAAGAUACUGUCUAUUAUGUUAAUUUGUAUGAUAAUUUUCACUUUUUGACUUUUACAAGUAUAAUAAGUCAUAAUAAUUUAUAAUCUAAAAUAAUUUUUAAAAGUAUAAAAAUUUACUAUAAAAAAAAUAAUUAAUUCUUGAAAUCUAAAAGUGUCACUUAAAUUGAGACGUAUGUCUACUCCUUCUGUUCUUAGAUAAGUGGUGUUUUAUCCUUUUCAUUUUGUUUCAAAUUAAGUGAUUAAGAAGGAAUUAUCUUAUGUUUUCAGAGUUAUCCUUUUUUUAAUACAUAGAGUUUUACACCAGUAAAGAAUCACUUUUUUAUUUAAGGCAUUUAAUUAGGAGUGAGUUAGUAAAGAUACUUCUAAUUUUUUAAAAAAUAAGUAAUUUUUACAAAGUUUACUCAAACUAAAAACACCACACACACACUACCUACACACACACAUAUAUAUAUACACACACAUAUACACAUACAUACAUACAUACAUACAUACAUACAUAUGCCAGGAAAUUUUGGGCAGUAGUGGCUUUAGAAGCUUUACGCUUUAGCCGACCCUGCAUAUAUAAGUUCCUUGUAGGCUUGGCUCGAUUAGUCAUGUCGAUAUUUCUGCAAAACAACAAAUAGCUAGGAAUCUUGAAAUAAAAAAGAAACAAAGAACUUCUCUUGAUCAACCAAAGAUAAGAAAUGGAAAAGGAAUAAUAGUAGGGUAAGAAUAUGCAAAGUCUGAAAUAUUAGGUUCUGGUGUCACAAUAAUAGGUCUUAGAGUGCCCAUUUUGAUAUGAGUUUUUCUUCCGACAUUACUAUUGUUUUGCUUGUUAUAUUUUUAUCUUAUUAAAUAGAAUAUUAAUUUUAACUAAACAUUUUUUCCUUCCUACUUGUGUAUUAUUAUUUCACGAUCCUUGAUGACUUCUCUAUUGAGGAACAUUCAGGAAUAUUAGAUCUUCAAACUAAAUAAUUGUCAAGUUAGAUGAAAUUGUUCAUGUUUGAAGCUUAUUCACAUGUAUAGUCCUUGAUUUUUCUUUCUCCCUUCCCUCGCUAUUUUGUAUCUAUUGAAUGUUGUUGCAGGUCUUGGAGUUGUGGAACCCAUUCAUUCAGAGCAACAUAACAUGGCCACAUAGUGCACAUGAGGGCAUAAUUUCUUCAUUAGCGAAUUCGCGUGUGAAAGAAAAUAUAGCUUCAGUGAGUCAUGACCACCGGAUAAUUUGACAAUGAUGUAUAUUUGUGGAUCAAGUUAUAAGAAUAGACAAUCUUUCAUCUUUCUCUUUUCAAAUUAUGUCAAUAUAUGAAUAAAAUAUAUUUGCAUACACCUUUUUGCUAACAAGAUUGUAUUUGGGAUCAAGCAAGGUGACAAUAUUAUUGGUGCAUCACCAAUGUAAUGAGUUAUUUGAAAGGUUACAUCAUUUACAAACUUUGAUCAUUAUUUCAAACUCUCUUCUCUCUAGUUCAUCAUUUCGAACCUGAUAUUUAAAAUGUUAAUUAGACUUUUUGUUAUUUUAAUACAUAUUAAAGUAUAAACUUGAAUAACUGUAAUGAAUUUAAAUUCUUAAAUAGGAAAGUUUGUAAAACAAGUGAAGGAAAAUAUUUUCGGAAAGUGUUUUCCUAUUUUUCAUGUUCAUUUGGAUGAAAUUUUAGAAAAAUAUUUUCUUUAGGAAAACAAAUCCUUGGAAUAAGGAAAAUGAUUUCCUUAAUGAAAGUACGGAAAACAAGUGUCAAUAUCUCCCACCAUUCGCAAAAUCACCCACCCCAUCAAAUCCCACACUGACUUUACCCCCACCUCACUACAACCCCCUUGCCCUCCGUCUUCCCUACCAAAAUAUGCCUCACUCUACCCUUAGUCAUUCUCAUUAUUUUUUUUAGAUAUAUACAAAUGCUUUUAGAAUAAUAUUUAUUAUUGGGAUACUAAAUAUAAUAAAAUAAGUAAGAACCAACUUGAUUUCCUCAAAAAUAUUUUGUUGAAAAAUAUUUUUCAUUGAAAAAUAUUUUCUUCCAUAUUGAACACAACCGAAUGUAUACUAUAGCAACUACACUAAAAGAACUUAGUAAUAUAGUUAGAAAAUACUCAAAAGAAAAAAAAAAAAGAGAGUGACACCACUAUUUCAAAAGGAGGCCUCUCUUUCGUAUUUUGAAGUUACAAAUUAAAACAUUGCGUAAUGUCCAAAGCACACCGUUCAUCUUAGCACUUAGCAAGGGAGGAGUUGGGGAACCGGAAGGGAUCCAUCUAGACCUACAAAAAAUAACACUACAUAAGUUUUAGUUAUGCGGGAAAAUAAUUAAGAGUGACAAAAAAAAUUCAAAACUAAAAAAAGUGACAUAAAUGUUGGUUAUUGAGUUGAGAUGAAAAUUUUAAGAUUAGCGUAAGUGGCACUAAUUUUAAAACUCCCAAGUUUGUAUUAUUUACUCAAAAUUAAGUCCUACCUUUCUCUCAACCCUUCUUAUGCCGUUGCUUGAACUACCACCACCACCACCACCACCUCCACCAUUACCAUCACCACCACCACCACUACCACCUGCUCCUCCUCUUCCUCCUCCACCAUAACCGGCACAACGACCACCACCUCCUCCUUCAUAUCCUUCAACAAUAGUUUGAGUGUUGCCAAAACAAUGAUAGUUGUUGCAGUAACCAUUAACUAUCGUAGUUGCAACAUAGCAACUAUUGUGGGUUCUAUAUUUUUUGCAGAAUUUGUUUCAAUGACUUAAAAAAAAUAAAAAGUUUCUUUCCAAAAUUCUCCAUGUUUAUCUUGACAAAAUGAGCAGAAUAUUUAUUCCAAUGCCAAAAGUGUUCAUGAUAUCACUUUUGUCUUUGGUAAACUUACCAAUGGUUAUAGUCAAAGCGAUCCUCCUACUCAACUACUUCGAUUAUUUUUUAGCACCUCAUAUUUUUUUUGGGUGUUCAAAGAUCAUUUUUGUAUGAUUUCACUUGAUCUCAUAGUCAAAGAAAAAUAGUCCAUAAAAAAGGGCACGCCAUGAAAAGGUUGAACCAGAUGUAAAAGGAUAUAGCCCCCUCAUAGUGGAUCCAUCUUAGACAACCUAUUUAAGACCAGUUAGUCUUCCAAGGAGGUUCUAAUGUAGAUGUAGCAACUCUCGUAGUGAUUUUUUAGGUUUUCCUAUGUUUUGAAUAUUUUUUCCCUUCUCGUUGUUGUCUUAUAGCACUUGUGAGUUGCGGUAGUGGAGGACAUGGUCCCCAAAGUGUUCAAAAGAGUUUUAUAGUUUUUGAUUUUUAAAAGAUUUUAAGUUAAUAUAAUUGACUUAAGUCAAUAUAUGAUGAUCUAAGAAUUGGUUGAGAUUCUUGUCAUUUCCAUUAUGCCAAAAAUAUAUUUUACAAGUGUUUACACUGUUGGGAUGUGUUUGGGAGAUCUCAAAUGAGUUUUGGAUAUCUGUUCAGAAUUUGGAGUUUUAUAUUAUUGAUUUUUAUUAGUGUCACCUAAAAUUAAUGAGCUAUGUUGAUAUUUUUAUGAUACCAUGAGAUCCGUAUUGAAAUUUUGGAAUCAAAGCAAAAAUAAUCGAUGCAUUUGAAGUCUAUAUGGGUGAGAUAUGACCAUUUUAGUAUGAAUAAUAAUUGCUGGUUUUCUAGUGUGGAGGUUCUUCUCCGUGAAUGUGAUGGACACAUCACUAACAUGAAGAAGGACCCUUUUUUGAAUGGGCAAUGCAAAAAUUUAUUCUUCAAAUAUAGUUAGGGUCCCACGAAUGGAAAGAAUAAAUAUUUACCUGGAUAAUGCUUAAAUCAGCAGAUCAUGAAUUUUUAUUAUUUUUGAAGCUAGAAAAUUCUAGUUUAUCAAUGUUUUUUCUCGUAUAAUGACUGAAUACUUUUGUUUUACUCAUUUUCCAAGUAUAUACAUUUUUUCAUGAUUUUGAUUCAUAACAUUUAUUUUUGAAAUUCGGAGUUAUGAAAUCAAAAGUUUUUCAUUUUAGGAUCAAUUUGUGAUAAAAUUUCAUUGAUAUUUAGGAUUUUUUUUAGGAACGGACCUUACCUGAGUAUCUCACCUCCCGUGGCGGUCAGGGGUUGAGCCACACACCCCCAAGCCUUAUCAUAAAUAAAAUAAAGUGAGCACACGAAGGGGGGCAUAGACCUUACCUCCGACCUAUGGUGGUUCAAAGUCAACUAGCCUACUAAGGCCGGUCAACUCAUCCCCGAUACUAUAAUGAUAUUUAGGAUUAAGCUCCUUGUAUUGUACAUAAACUGAUUUUCAUAAAAAUUUAUUGAAAUUUCAAAUUUUAAAUAGUGUUGGAUAAUGGAGAUUUGAGGCUUUCCAAUUAAAGCUAAAAUUUAAUUUUUUGAUGAUUUCAAACUCGAUUUCAACAUUAUUUUUGAUGAAAUUUUACAUUUGAUACCCUUCGACUAUGGGUAAAGUGAUAUUUUGCAAAAAUUUUAGUUUUAACCCUGUGGGCACGAGAUUGAUUUUCAAACUGAGUUUGGGGACUCUGAACCAAAGUAUAUCAUAUGAGUAUUAUUGGACUCAUAUUUAUGUGUAGAUCUCACAUUUGGUUAGAUCUAACAUAUUUGCUGGUGAUUUGGGACAGCAGAUACUCCAUUUGACUUUUUAGGCUGUGAUUUGACAUUGCAGAUCAUUUUUGAGGCAAUUGAGGCUUAUCUUGACUCUUUUCUGAGGUGUUUAUGUGUUAUAUGUUAUUUUCCUGUAUAUUCUAAAUAGUUGGAAAUUUAGGGGUCCCACAUAGAUGCGAUGGUGAGCAUCUAUGUUGUACCGGUGUUUAUUGUUGUAUUAAAAGUAGUAAAUGAAACAUCUUGAUUGGUACUUCUACUAGUUGAUAUAUUUAUGAUAAAUUGUGUCGAUAAUUGAAUUGUUGAUCAUGAAUAAACUGAUAGCGAGUACCUAUAAUAGGAUUUGAAUCAUGCUUAGUGAAAUUUGGUGGAAUAAUUGGGGUAUAGUAACUACAUUAGGUAUAAGAGAUUGUGGCUAUAAUGAGAAUGUUAAAAAUAGAAAUUCAAGCAUAAUUGCUAUAUAAUAUGAGAAAAAUUAAAAUGUUGAAUAUUCUUGUCGAUGAGCAUAUUUUCCUUCCGAGCAUUUGAGUCUAAUUAUGUCAUAAUUAGGAAAAGGUUGGAGACUUAUUGUGUAAAGCAUGCUAUGGGUUGGGUGAAUUUCAAUAUUUAUAUUAGUUUUGUUGAUUAUCAUUAUUGUGAUAGCCACGUGGGGGCUUGUGUGAAUUAUAUUAUUAAAUUAGGUGAUUAACAUUAUAUUAAUGCCCCCAUGGUUCCUUGUGUGGCACUUUUAAUUGACUUGAAAAAUUGUAUCAUUGUGAUGCCCGAAUGGAGGCUUGUGUUGAUCUUAUUAUUGAUUAGAGAGUUUACUAUUAUUGUGAUGCCUGAGUGGGGGCUUGUAUUAACCUCAUUGGUGUCUUAUUUGAUACUUUUACUAUUGUGGUUCUCAUGUUGAGGGCUUGUCGGGGAUAUUUUCAAUACCUUGCAUUGAUUAUAUAUUGUAUUUCCAUGAGAGAACUUAUAUCAUGAUUUACCGAGAUUUGAGCGAGUUGGAUUCAUUUAUACUAUUGUUAAACUGAUUAUUAUGCAUUGUUGGGUUUUUCAUGAACAUAUAUACUCAUUAAUUUCUCUAUUUUGUGGAACUGAUACUACUGUGAAAUUUGGAUACUUUGUGAAAGAAAAUAAAUUAUUUUAUAAAAUGACUUGACCGAGGAAAGUGCUGGCAAGAUCUAUUAUUUGUGGUUAUGAUUAGUUUGUGAAGUGUGAACCCCUCAUAAAUCCUCUCUUAGAGCUUAGGAUUGAAAGAUGCAUACAACGAGAUAGGAUUGCAUCACACUCAUCUUAUGCAUCAUCAUUAUCGUACUUAUCUAAUGCAUCAUCAUUAUCAUAUUCGUACACUUUUCUUAUCUCAACCUUGAUGACUAGUUGGUAUAGUGACAAGGUAUAAUUCUAGUUUGGUUAAGGUCUUUCCUGAUAUGAGUUGGGCUAUUAUUAUCGAUCAUAAACUUGUAUAUAUUUGACAUACUUAAACUAGUUUGAUUACCUUAUUAAUUGUUGUUACUACUAGAUAUGUGGAGACUUUUAUCAGUGCAAAUUUAUUUGGUUGACAUAGAUGGUUGAUGUAAUGGUCCUUACCAUUACUUUGUAUUAGGAUUAAUUAUUGAUGAUGUUUGCUGAGCACAUGUGUUUCAUAGUCACCGUUACUUUUUUUUGGCACCUAUGUAUAAGUACUGGGUGGGUAGCUUGAGCAUUGAUUAUAAUUCUCGGUGUUUGCUUUUUGGAGAUUGAUGUAGAUUUUGUUGUAUCUCAGAGAAUACCUUAGUCUCUUCUUAUUUUAUCUAAUGCUUAUGUGCAUACGAGAUACUUCAAACUAUUUCAUUGAACUCGGUAUUGGAGGCUUGUACUAGUGACAACCAGAACUAGGACAUUGCAUUGAUAUUGUACCUCUUUUUAAUGUCAUUUGGAAAUUAUUUGUUUCAUACUUCUUUUGAUUUUGAUUUACUUCUAUAAUUUAGUUUGGGUAGGGAUACACUUACUUGUAACGGAAGGUGUGACAGGUGUCAUUAUGAUCUUGAUUUUGGAUCAUGACAAGUUGGUAUCAGAGUCCUAGGUUCAUUGGUCUCACAAGUACAAGAUAAGUCUAUUAAAGUCAUGUAGAUUGGUGUAAAUACGUUAGUUAUUUAUCUUUGAGAGGAUACAUGACUUUAGGAGAAAUCCAUAUCUUUAUUUUGUGUCAUGCAUUCAUAGUUUAAUGCAACUCAAAAGUCUCUUAUUUAUUUUCUCACAAAUGGUAAGAACACCUUCCUUUUUCGCUAGAGACUGAGAGUUCUUGGCUUUAGUUAGUGGCAGAGGCGAAGGCCAGACUAGAGAAGGUUAGGCUAGUGUUUCCUUCUCAGGUUCAAGAGUCACUCAUUGAUAAUGAGUUUGUUGGGAUCAAGGGGUUGAUCCCAACAAAGACACCAUCUAUUUUUAUAUCUAUAUUUAUGCUUGAGCAUUUCUCGAUAGGGGUGUUGGGUGAUGUCGCCCAAAACUACACCUCAACUGGAAGUAUAAUAUGGUCGAUUGCAAAUAUAAUAACCCAAUAAGGCUGGGGUCAAUCUCAUAGGUUAAAUGUGAAUAGUUGCUUUCCUUGAUGUAAUCCACGAGCAGUACAGGAAAGUAAAUGGGGGAUUUUAUUAAUUAGAAAUAGUAACCAAUUCUUGAGUACUAUUGAGUUGAAAUCAAUAUAAGACGAACGCUAGGUCUAUGUUCCCCUUGGCUUCUCAACUUCGUAAAGUUCUAGUGGUCAACCUAAUUAUUCUAUUGUUCUGCAUGCAAAUCCUACAAGAUAGGUAUUAUCCACUUCUUAGCAGAUAAAUUUCACCCUUUGACUUGGUUAUCAUCUCAGGGUAUCGCCUUGUUGCCCCUUGAUAUGACCUCAUCUACACUUGUCGGGGUAGGAUCAAGUGAUAAGAUGAGAUACUUGAUUAUCGUACCCCAAAUCACUGUCUUAAACCGUCUUUUUCCUAAUCUCAAGCUUCUUGGUUAUCUAAUGGAUGCAAAUACAGGCAAUCUCAAGCAUCUGUAGCUACUAUGAGUUUAAUUAUUGUGAAGAAGAAUUAUGAUACAUGUAGAAACUUUAGAACAACUGAGUCUCAGACUUUCUCUACGUAUCUAAUCUGCCAGGGUUCCCAUAACCUUAGCUGAAGAGAUUAACUGCUCAUGUUUGUGCAAAAAACCAUGGUUAUUAAUGAAAAACACAUAAAAUCAGUUGCACAAGAAUAAGAUAAAUACAAUCCAAAGUCUUUAAUUGAAUAAAACCCUCAAAUCUCAAGAACAAUUGUAAAAGUAGGUAAUAAUAUGUAAUUGCGCAUAAAAGAAUGUCACAACACGUAACCUAAUAAAUAUAAACCCUAGGUUAUUUAUAGUAUCUCAAAAAAACAUAAAAAUUCUAUUAAAAAUGGAAAAGGUAAUGUUAAGUCAGCAGUUGUUACGACUCGAUCUUCCCUCGUAUCCUCUGCUUACGAGUCGUACCGUGACUUGUCGUAUCCGUUCCAAUGUCUGAUCUUGCCAAGUCUUCAACUCUUUAUUCAGCAUACGACUUCUGCUUAUGAUUCGUACCGUAGUGUACAACUCAUGUCCUUCAUCCAUAUCUAACUGGACGUUAGUCUUUUCAGGUCUUGAACACUAGUUUGUAUACGACAUCUCUAUAUAAGUCGUACUUAGACUUUCGACUCAUAUAGAUUUAACAUUUCAACUCCUGAUAGUAGCUCAGGUUUUGCUAUGCUUAUGACUUCCGCAUACGACUUGUACCCUGGGUUACCACUGGGGUACUUGAGUUGUAUCUUCCUCAUACUCGUCUCCUCAGUUUGGAUUUUGGUUCUGUUAUUCAUACAAUUCAAUAUACAAGUCGUAUCGAUUGGUUACGACUCAGAGACUGACUUGUAUACAGAUUAGAGUUUGUCUUUUUCAGGACUUUUUCUUCUCUUUUUGUUGAAAUACUGUUGUAGACCUGUUUUACUUGUAAUUCACACCAAAGUGCAUCAUAUCCAACAAAAUACCCUAAGUUCACGCAUAAAUUUGCAGUUUCAAGCAUCAAAAGUGUCAUAUUUCCACACUACAUCAACACCCUCAGUUUAAACUUUUGCAUGUCCUCAGGCAAACAAAACCAAAUUACUUAUUUCUAGCACAGAGACGAUGCUUAAACAGGAAGAUCUCAAGCAAACCCAUGGCAGUGAUUUUGAAUUAAAGUUCAAUCUUGUUGUUCCCCUCUUAAUUUUUCAACUUUUCAACUCAAACUUGCGUAUAGCAAUUUAGCACACGUAGAAAUACAAAGGAAUCCGAUGAUGACAUUACAUUAGCAAUAGACACUUAGGCAUAGACAUGCUUUAUAUUCAUCAAAUAAUCUAGCAACCUAGAAAAUUAACCCAUGUGCACUCACAGUCAAAGAAAUCCUAUUCACUCUUCAUGGGUAGACUACUCUAUUCAGGGAUAUAACAAACGACUCUCUCACUCACAAUGAAGUAUCAUCGGUGUACACAAAAUACCAUAGGCUUUCCCUUAUGCUCUUUUCCUAAGUUUUCAGACAGUCACAGUAGGAUCACUAUAGGACUUUAUUUGGCUUGUAACGUAGGCUUGGUGCUGGUAUGAUACGUAUGGAUAUCUAAAGUGACUAAGCCUUUUAGACACUACUCUCUUGUUGGGGUCCACUACUUUUGACUUCUUUUAUUUCCACCAUUAUGUCUCCUUUUUUAUUUUAAGCACAUUCUGCUUGGGUCAGGUGUUGCUUUCUAGCAAUUAUUUUUCUUAUUCUUUUUCUUUUUAUAUACCUUGCAAAUUUAUUUCUUUUCUUUUUAUCACUUCUGCCGAUGUUUCAACUAUUUCUCUUCUACCCAUUAUCUUCAUACUCGUUUUCCUCCUACGUACCUCUAGAAUAGCCACUCUCAACUUAGACCAUUUGUCUGAGUUGAGGUGCACAGUGUCCACAGGGGGGCCAUGGCCAAAAUAGUUUCAUUAUAAGUUAAACGAGAAGGUGACUGGUGUAAUAAGAAAAAUUUGUCUAAAAGGCUUAAAUAUUUGGAUCAAGGGGAUUUAUUCCUUGGUUAAGGCAGUUUAGGCUCAAGUGGACUCAUACAACAAUGGCCUAUGAUCAUCUCCUACUUAACCAUCCUUGAAAAGGGUAAAAGCAAUCGAGAAAGUUCUAGAUUCCAAAAUAAUUGGGAACUUAGUAAACCUUUUACACACACCUGCACAGGGCUACACUACUAAGUAUGAGUUAUCCAACUAUGCAAUUAUUUUGUCCCAGAUUGUACUAUCCCUAUCCUAAUGCCAUUAUCAAAUACUCGACAGUCUCACACAAAUAUAUAAAUCAUGUAAUUCAUUAAAUAAAAACUUUUGAGGGGCACCACUUUCACAAUAGCAUUUCAAAAAUCAUCACAAAUCAGCAGUUUUUCAUUAAUCAAAAAGUAAGAAUCAAAACAGAAUCAAAAUCUUUCAAUACAACUUGAAAUUCUUUCAAAAUCUAUCAGUCAUAAUAAAAAAAAUUGCUAUAGGUGCGCUAAUCUACUCCCUAUCUCAGUUGCCCACAUCAACAUGCAAGUCAUAAUAGACUUUUAGUUUAGCUACAUCUGAAAAUUUUCAAACUACUCCUCAAAAAAAAUUUUGGUACCCCACCCCAAACUAAGAAUGUUGUACUAUCCUUAGUGCUACAAAAAUAAGUUAAAGUAAGGAUCAGGGUCAUACCUAGGCACUCAAGGCGUCGGUGCAUCAAAAUCAGUACGUGGGCCCUUAGGUUGGGUCCCACUCUCAUCAGCAAUAAUCCCAUCAAUCGGGACUGCAGUAACAGAAGAAUAGGGCACAACAUCAACCCCCUUGGCAUCAGGAACCAGAUCUCUCAAACCACCAUCUCCCAUAGCCAUCUCUUGGACCCAUGUCUGACGGUUUUUCUCAUCCUGGAUGCUAUCAAGUUUAGCCUUCUUCUUAGCAACUCUAUCCUCUUUCUUCUUUCUCUUCUUCUCUCUUCUUUCUUCCUCGAUCUUCUCAACCUGCACAUCUAUUGGGACGACCUAAAUAUUAGGCACCUCAAUUAUGGAAAUCAUAGUCUCUACAAUAGGCUCCAAUAUUAUUGGCCCUGAGGAUAGUUUGAUGACUAUCUUCUUAAUCUCUGUAAUCUCAGAUCGAAUAUCAGCAAUAUUGGGUGUCCACCCACUACCCAAUUGUCGAGUAAUCCUUAACUCAAAAGCAUCUAGGCGCUCUUGUACUUGCCUAUCUUUUUGCUUAAGCUGUCGAUCUAUCCAACUUUAUACUCCAUCCUCUAUAUGACCUAUCUUGAUAGUGAGAGUAGCCAACUGAGUCAUGACUUCAGUUCAAGCAGCCUGAGAGAUCAACAUCACCCCAGGAGGCAUACCCUAUAGCCUAGGUGGCACAGAAUAGACUAGCGGUGGGGCACUAAAAGUACCUGUUGUAUCUAUGGGUGCAGCCUCAGUCUGUGCACCUUCCUUAGUAGUCUCAAUUGGAGUAGGGGCAUCUGUCUGGUCAUCUUACAGGAACAAUCCCACCAUAACAUCUACAGCCUAUUGCAUAGGUUAGUCCUGAGGGUUGGAUGCAUCUCGAAUCAAGCCAAUAUCAAAAUUUUAUCGAUCCUCAAUCAUCUCAUCAACUCUUGAUAAUUCUACUACUCCCACAACUAAGCAAAUCUGCAUGAUCAUGUAGGGGUAGGAUAGCAGUGCCUUUUAUCCCUUGAAUGCCCUAUCUCUCAUCUCUCAGGCUAGGAACUUACCAACAUCAAAUGCAUACCCGGCUAUGAAACUUGCUAUCAUAGUUGCCCAAACUGGGAUCAGCACAUCAUUGCUUUUCAUGGGACAUCUCCGGUAUCGGGCUAGUGUCCACCAUACCUUAUCCUUAGAGUUGAGGGAUGCUUCUUUAUCUGCUGAAAAUCACCAAUACCUUCAGCAACCCAAGUAGCAUGCUCACUAUAUGUAUCUAUCCUCUCAGCUAUCUAUCUAAACAUCGCUAUUUUGUCAUUUGUACCCAAUGUCCAAUUCGUGAUCUUUCUCAUCUCUACCAUUCUAUAGUCUAUCUCUCCAGUGUUGACCGAGGCCUAGUAUUCUGACCCAUAUAGAAAUCUUCUAAUACUCGGGAAAGAAAUAUCAACACACAUACCUCGAAUCAUGAGAAAGGCAAUAGGUUCACCUCCCUUUGACAACAUACACUGUGGAUACUGCCUCAUCAGCUCUCCCUUAUAUGCGGUGUAGAAUUUACAAAAGAGGACCUCACUAUAUCUACCCGAUGCUCUAAUCAUCCAUCCAAAUCCGUAUUUCCUAAAGCGCUCCUUAAAAAUGGGUAAUUCAACCAUCCCCAUAGUAGUCAUUAACCUCUCCAAGUAUAGUACUUUUAUUAUCUUACCAUCUGGAAGAUGAGACAGUCCUAUGUUAAACGCCUCCUACGUACCGAGGGUACCUUCAUCAUUUAAUAAUGGGCACUAAAGUAGCGGUCAAUGUGAGUUGGGGGGUCCUAUCUGUCUAUAGGGGUCGCAUCUACUUUAGGACCCUGAUCAUCAUCUGCACUCUCCUCAACUAAACUAGACUUAGCCUUGUCAUCAUUAUCAUUAACUAGCACUGGUGUGUGUGGAGGAUAGACAGUUGUAUUCUUUCUUCUUGGCCCUCUUUAUGGUGGUGAUUCAGAUUCUUGUGGCACUACUUUAUUCCCUUUAGACUUAGCAUUUCUUUGUUUACAGCUUUCUUGAAUGUAGUUCUGUCAUACUCUUCUCUACUGCUCUUUGAUAUUGUUUUAGACUCGGAGAAACGGUUUCCUUACUCUCAAUAGGCUUGUUUGUUCCCUUCUAAGCAACUAUUUUGGAUGAAGAACCGUUCCUUGAAGGCAUUUUCCUACAGUACAAUAAUAUUAGUAACUAAGAAAAGAAAAGAAAAGAAAAUAAAAAGUAAAAAUUAAAGUUCAAUGUGCUUAGUUUCAGUUGGGUACAAGUGGUAGGUAUUGGUCGUACCCAUUGGGUACGAAUCAUAUUCCUGAAUCAUAUCCUAUGCAGUGCAUAACCUUUGUUCAUUGGCCUACUUACGACUCCUCCUUACCAGUCAUACCGACUAUGUACGACUCGUGACCAAUAAUCGUAAGCUGGUUUAAAACUUUUAUUCUAUUAUCAUUCUUCCCAGGUGGGUACGAUAAGAUUGUACGGGUCGUAUGGUCUGGAUACGACUCAUAUUGUUGAGUUGUAUCUAUUCCAAAACCUUGAAUUUGUUAAAUUUUCAUGUUGUCAGUGGGUACGAGUCCCAUCACAACUCUCAUACCGGUGGGUAUGAGUCCUAAGAAGCCUUGUAUCAACUGUAACAUAGAAGUCCAACUUCAAAGUUUGACUCUGAUAAAAUUCUCAAAUUACCAACUACUAUAUUUCUAGCUAUAUCAAAUAUUUUAACAUACAUAGACAUAAAAAUCCAUUCCUAAACCCUAGUUCUACCCUCAUUUUCAAUUUUCAACACCAAUAUUACAAAUAUUAUACCAACAAUCCAUAAAAUGUAGAAAUUCUACUUAAACUAUGUUAGUAAUAUCAUGUCUACUUCAUUUUAACUUACAAAGUAAAGAGAAUGACAUUAGGAACUUACUUGAUGAGUUGAAGAAAUGAAUUUCUAUUUUUCGAUCAUAGUACUCCUCAGUUUUGAGUUUAUAUCACAAAAUAGGAACAAAUUGAGGUUGUUGGUAAGUUAAUUGAGUUGAAAACAAGUUGAUUUUUCUAUUUUUAGUUUGAAAUUUGUGUGAAAAAUACGUUGGGUACACUUUGAACGUCUCGGGUACCCGAUCAAGUUUUCUUUUCCCUUUUUAAUCAAAGCGCUGGGCCGGGUCAAACUCGAGAUGUGCCCUAGUAAGCUGGGGUACGAUUAGUCUAUAUGACUCGUACUGUAAUGCCCCGAGAGUACACCCUGGAUGCCAUACAGUUCUUACAAUCACAAGUGACCACAAGCUAACCUAUGAGUUGAUAUCUACUAUGAGCACUGAAUAAUAAUAUCAAAAUACAUAUGCAGAAUAUCUUAAAAUGCCAUAAGGUUUUAAAUACUAAAAAUAUCAAAAUACAUAUGCAGAAUAUCUUAAAAUGCCAUAAGGUUUUAAAUACUAAAAAUAUUUCUGAAUCAUAAAUCCAAAAACAACUGUCUGAAACUGGUAAAAAAAUGACAAACUAACUGACUGUGUGAAGUGUCUGAAAGCCUCUAACACUGUCUGAAUAAGAAUUGAUGGGACAGGCCCCAACUAACUCCAACAAACUACUGAACUGAAAGAAUGAAAAAUAAAGAUAGUCUGUCCUCAAAAUAUAAGGACUCACCUUGACUGCUACUACUGAUGUGAUGGGAUAUCUAAGUACGGUCGAGAACCUGAGCGUCCGAACCUAUGAUAUGAGACAUCAUAGCACAAAAAAUAAGUAUGCGUUCAGUACUUUGAAUGUACUGGUAUGAUAAAUGAGGUAGGCUAAUAUGCAUGGUUUAAUGUACAUGAGUAAUAACUAAUUGAAUGAAUUGCAUGACGUACUGAAUAGAAUACAUGAAAUAUGUAAAUACUGAGAAUGUGUGACCAAGCAUAAAACAUAUUUUGAAUAUAAUCUAUAAACUAAAAUACUGAAUAUUGAUAAAUGAAUAACUGAUAUCUAUAUGCUAUGUUCAAGCAAAACUGAAACUGAAUUACUGAGUUGAUCAUUGGACUAAGACUAUGGGAGCUAUCAUCUAACUGACUUGCCCCAAAUGAGCAAUUUGAGGUCUAGACUAUGACCCAAGUUGGAAGGGUGUCAGCACUAUGCCACGGGUACUAACACCAGCUGUGUCGAUCCACUAAUGUACUGUCCCGAAAAACUAAGGGUGUCAAGCCUAAACUGACGGUUGACCCCUGCGAGGUAGUCAUGCCUGAACUGACGGGUGACUCCUCAAACCCUACGCUGGCUACAUAGUUCUGGAGCAUAAGGACUGCUACUAACAACUCUUUCUAUCUGAUGAGGAACUUUGUAUCCCUGUACUCGCUCGGUGCUAAAUCCUACUCCCAACUAAACUGACUGGAGUACUAAACUGUUCUAAGUUUAAUUGAUCAUGAUAACUGACUGAACUGAUACUGCUCAUAAGAAGUCUGAAACUAUUCUGAAAAUACUGAGCCUAAGUAAACAACUAAGUUUUUGGGUAUUCACAAACCCCAGGACUCGAUAGCAAUAAUAUAUAAAUAGCACUAAAAAUUCGGGGACGUAAUAUGAAAGCAUUUAUUCAAAAUUCAUUCUUGUAGGCAUUUUAUCAAACACUUGAUUGCAUAGUGUAAGCUAAGCAUGAGAAUAGUUUAAAGCUUGUUAUAAUAGCAUAAUUUUAAUAUCAACAUCACUAAUUAUAGUUUAAAUCAGAAAAUUACAUUAUUCAAACGUGUGGGGUUUAAUAACAACAACAAUUUCAUGUAAACAUAGUAUAGAAUCAAGAUUCAUGAGAAUUCAUGGUAAAAAUCAUAAUAACUUGAAAAAGUUCAUAACUUUAAAUUUAAAAAUUAGAUUCUUGUGAUCCAUGGGUUAAAGGGACCUAUGGAUGAACACUUAACAUACCUUGAUUAAAGAAUUCUUGAAAGUUCUUGAAUUGGAAACCUUGAAUUUGAAUUAUCUUGGAAAAAGAAUGGUGAAUUUUGGAGUUUAUUGGAGUUGAAUGUUGAAGCCUAGGGUUUUCUCGGAGAGUAAAUUGAUGAAAAAUCAAAAUAAUAUGCUUAUGAUAGGUUAAAUCCUUUGUUUACAUGAUUUGGGGUCUACGGUAAAAGACCAAACUAACCUUGGGAAUUAAUACUCAGAACUGGACUGAAAUUCCCAAUUUUGACCUUCGGUGAGACCCUGUGCUUAUCGUGUUGCACCACCGCAAAAUGACGAUCCCAAUUCUUCCUAAUGGUGCGAUGCGGUGCUAUAGCAUUGCACCACUGAAAAUAGAAAAUCCCAAUUUUACACCUUGGUGCCAUGCGGCACUAUCACGGUGCCCCAGAGAACAUGAAUUUGACCCUUGGCCCUAUGCGGUGCCAAUCGCGAUGAGACACUGAAAAAGAAUGAAUGUGAUUUUGGUCAUCAUCACGACAUGGCCUAAUCGUGAUGACCUAUUGCCAUUCAUUAAAAGUGCUAUAACUUCUCACCCCGAGCAUCAAAUUUGAGCAAAAUUAGUGUCGUUUGAAAGAUAAUUCAAUUUCCUAUCAUUUGGCGGUUCUUGAGAUGGAAAAUUCUUAGUAGAAUAAAAGAUAAGCUCAUUUGAAAUUGAAUAUUGCAACAUCUUUCUCGAAAACUCAAUCGGUAAGGAUUAAUUUGAUUCGUCUAAUAGCUGAGAGUUAUUUGAGGCCUUAAUAUACACCAAACUCACUCAUAAACUACCAAAGAACUAUAAUGUACCUUUAAGGAGAUUAAAACAUGGUCCUAACAUUGGUUUGGACUUGUGGGGUAUUAUAAUAUCUCCCCCUUAGGAAUAUUCAUUCUCGAAUGAGAUUGGUUAAGCUCAAAGUACCAAGGAAUUGAGAUUACAUGCUGAAUAUACGUGUUAAAAUCAUGAUUACAUGAAUGAGUAUGAAACAUAACACAUGACUGAACUGGUUCUAUGAAUGCAUGAAUGACAUGAGAAUGAUAUGCAGCUGAAACUGAGCAGGGAAAGGGGAAAUUCUAAGAAGAUUGCUACCUUAAGCUGAAUCUGAGUUUGUGGAGAAAAAAUGAGGGUACUUGGUUCACAUAUCUGCUUCUGCUUCCCAAGUGGCUUCCUUAAUGGACUAAUUCCGCUAAAGAACCUUAACUAGGGAAACUUCUUUGUUCCUAAGUCUACGAGUUUGUUGAUCAAGGAUCUCUACUGGAAUUUCUUCAUAAGAAAGGUUGUUCUAAAUAUCUACGAUUUCUAAGGGAACAACCACAGCUGGGUCACCAAUACAUUACUUCAACUAAGAGAUAUAGAAUAUUGGGUGCACUGAUGCUAAGUCUGUAGGAAACUCAUGUUCAUAAGCCACCUUUUAGAGAUGGCUCAAAACUCUAUAAGGACCAACAUAUCGGGGACUAAGCUUCCCCUUCUUACCAAACCUCUUUACCCCCCUUUAUGGGAAAGAUUUUAAGAUAUACAAAAUCAUCAAUCUCAAACUCAAGAUCCUUUCUCCUCAAUAUCCGCAUAAGAUUUCUGUUGGCUUUGGGCUGCCUUAAGCCUUUCUCAGAUUAGCUGAACUUUCUCCAAAGCAUCAAAUACUAAAUCAAACCCUAUCAAAGAGGUUUCACCUAUUUCAAACCAACCAAUUGGAGAUCUAUAUCUCCUUCCAUAUAGAGUCUCAAGUAGAGCCAUCUGAAUACUAGAAUGAUAGUUGUUAUUAUACAUGAAUUCAAUCAAAGGCAAGUAGUCAUUCCAACUGCCCUUAAAGUCAACUACGCACGCUCUCAACAUAUCCUCAAGGUUCUGAAUGGUCCUCUCUUCCUGACCAUCUGUCAAAGGGUGAAAGGUUGUACUGAGGUAAACUUGGGUACCAAGACACUUCUGGAAAGCUUUCUAAAAGUAAGAGGUAAACUGAGUACCUCUAUCUGAAAUGAUAGAUAAUGAAACACCGUGAACCUAACCAACUCUCUAUUAUAGGGCUUGGCAUAGUCCUAGACUGAAUAAAAAGUAUGGACCGAUAAGAAAUGGGCUGAUUUGGUCAUCCUGUCCCCCAUGACCUAAAUCAAAUCAUGCUGCUAAUAAGCACGAGGUAAACCUAUCACAAAAUCCAUGUUUACUGCUUCCCAUUUCCUAGUAGGAAUACUAAACUCCUGCAUGGACCCACUAGGCUUCUGGUGUUCAAUCUUAACCUAUUGAUAAGUGGAGCACUUAGCUACAAACUCUAUAAUAUCCUUCUCUAUCCCACUUUACCAAUAGAUUUCCCACAGAUCACGGUACAUCUUCGUGUCCCCCGGAUGAAGCGAGUAAUACACACUAUGCACUUCUGCAAGAAUUCUCUAUCUUAACUCAUCAACACGCAACACACAUAAUCUACCCUGGCAACGCAACACACCAUCUCCCUUUAGGAGAAAACUUCUACUUUCUGAUCUCUAACUGACUCCUGCAACUUUACCAUACUAGGAUCCUUAUCCUACUUUUCUUUCUCUUCAGCAACCAGACAAGAUUUCGAACUAUAGUGAACCCAAAUGCUACCCUCAGCUGAAUCAACCAAAUGAACACCUAACCUAGUAAGCUGAUGAACUUCUUGAACUAACUUCUUCUUGUCAUCUUCAACAUGAGCAACACUACCCAUAGACAAUCUAUUUAGGGCAUCUGCCACUACAUUGGCCUUGACCAGGUGAUACAAAACACUCAUAUCAUAAUAUUUCAACAAUUCUAACCACCUUCUCUAGAGGAGGUUCAAAUCCUUCUGCAAAAACACAUACUGCAAUCUUUUAUGAUUUGUGAACACAUCAACAUAAAACCUAUACAAAUAGUAUCUCCAAAUCUUUAGGGCGAAUACAACAGCUACUAACUCAAGAUCAUGGGUAGGGUAAUUCUUUUCAUGGGGCUUAAGCUAUCAAGAGGUAUAGGCCCCAACCUUAGCCUUCAACAUCAAAACAUACCGAAAACCAACUUUGAAAGCAUCACAGUACACAACAAACCCAUCUAACCAUCAGGUAGCAUUAAAAUUAGAGGUGUGGUGAGUCGAGUCUUCAACUCCUAAAAACUCUUCUCAUAAGAAUCUGACCACUUAAACUUAAUUUUCUUUUGAGGGAUGCAAUAAAUAAGAACCCUUCAAUAAACCACCAGUAAUAGCCAACCAUACCCAAGAAACUCCUGAUAUCUAUUAGAGAGGUAGGUCUGGCUAAUUUUUUACUGCUUCAGUCUUUUGAGAAUCAACUCUAAUGCCAUCACCGGAAAUAAUAUGGCCAUGAAAAGCUACUGAUCUUAUCCAAAAUUUGCACUUACUGAAUUUAUCAAACAACUGUUGGGCUCUAAGAGUCUGCAAUACUAUUCUGAGGUGGUCUGCAUGAUCAUUUUUUUAUGGGAUUAGACAAGAAUGUCAUCAAUGAAGACUAUGAUGAACAUGUCCAAGUAAUGGUUGAACACUAGGUUCAUCAAGUCCAUAAAGGCAGCUGGGGAAUUUGUGAGACCAAAGGACAUGAUUAGAAACUCAAAGUGACCAUACCGAGUUCUGAAAGCUAUUUUUGGAAUGUCACAUUCUCUGACUCUGAGCUGAUGAUAGCUAGAUCUGAUUGUGAAGUUAGUCGAACAAGUCAUCAAUUCUGGGGAGUUGAUAUUUGUUCUUGAUUGUGACUUUAUUCAACGGAUGGUAGUCAAUACACAUUCUAAGAGAACCGUCUUUCUUACGCACAAAUAGAACUGGUGCGCCCCAUGGGAAAAAAUUGGGCCUAAUAAAACCCUUAUCUAGAAGAUCUUUCAAUUUUUCUUUCCGCUCUUUGAGUUUGGCUGGAGCCAUUCUAUAUGGUGGAAUAGAGAUAGGCUGGGUAUCUAGAAGAAGGUCAAUUCUGAAGUCAAUUCUCCUAGAGAAACUUCAAGAAGAUCUUCAGGGAACAUAUCUGGAAAUUCCCUCACUACUGAAACUGACUCAAGAUUUAGAGCCUCAAAUUUAGAGUCCUUGACUCAGACAGGAUGAUAAAUACACCACUUGGAUAUCAUUUUCCUCGCUCUAAGGUAUGAAAUAAGCGGACCCCUAAGCGUUGUAGUACUACCCCUCCAUUAAAGGACUGAUUCAUUUGGAAACUAAAAAUGAACUACUCUAUUUCUGUCAGCAACUAAAGCAUAGCAUGAUUGAAGCCAAUUCAUGUCGAGAAUGACGUCAAAAUCCAUCAUCUUUAACUCCACAAGAUCAACUAAAGUAACUUUUUGAGACAAUGUAAUCGGACAGUUUCUAUAUACCCACCAGGAUAUGAUAGACUUACCCACGGGGGUAGACACUGAGAAAGGCUUUACUAAGAUUUUGGGACUAACUCCAAAGUUGAUGGCUAUAUAAGGGGUUACAAAAAAAGAGAAGCUUCAGGGUCUAGUAAAGCAUAAACAUGGAAAUAAAAGACUUGUAACGUACCAGUUACCAUAUUAGGAGAACUUUCUUGAUCUUGUCAGGACUAAAAAACAUAGAUCCUGUUCUAACACUGACCACUAGUAGCACUGAAGGCGGGGCCCUACUGAGUCAGGUAGCUGGCUAGAACUGGUGAAUAAUGGACUGGCCCUAUUGGCGUAAAUACCUUUCUUUCUAAGAAACUAGUUGACACUCCCAGAUCUAAUGGCCUAGCUUACCACACCCAAAGCAUACAUCACUGCCAGAUUUAUACUCACCCUAUUGCUUUCUACCACAUUUCUUGCAAAGAGGAUUUGUAUAACCACUUUUUACACUUCUUUGGGACUUAGAACCUGGCGCUCUAUGCCUAUUAUCAUUUCUAAACCUUGGCACAGGGGCACUAGAUGAAGAUGGGGCAGCAUAUGAAGAUUUUUGAUGAAAUUGAGGACGAUUACCAUCUUCUGAAUUUGGCUGAGUAAAAUUAAAGCUACCUGUUCUAUCCCUCUUGUUCUCUCUCUCCUUCUCUUUAAGAUUAUUCCCCUCAAUCUGUUGAGCAUGGACAAUAAUCCUAGACAUGUCCAUAUCUUUAGUUAACAUCACAGUCCUACACUCCUUGACCACACUGUUAGAUACCCCAGACACGAACUUGCUCAUUCUAGACCUUCUAUUGGCCACCAUAUGAGAAGCAUACCUAGCUAGCUGAGUAAACUUAAAGUAAUACUCCUUCACACUCAUGUUGACCUUCCUUAAGUUGAUAAACUCUAAAACUCUUUCCUAAGCUCUAAUAGAAAGAAUCUAUCUAAGAAGGUUGUAGCAAACUCCUCCCACUCUACAGGCCCUGCAUCUGUGCCUCUAUCCCCUUUCCACUGCUUAAACCAGGUAUGGUCUACAUUCUCUAACUAGUAAGCAGCUAAUUUAGCACUCUUACUAGAAGUCAACCCCAUAAUAUCUAUUACCUUCUGGACCAUGUCUAAGAAUUCGUGUGGAUUUUCUUCAGAAUUGGAUCCUGAAAACAGAGGAGGAUUCAUUUGGGUAAAGUCUAGCAUCCUAGCUGCGAUAGUAUUGGACACUGGGUUGGAUGAAAUAAUGAUUGGCUGAACAUUCUGAGCCACUAUAGAGUGAGAUAGAGUAAUAAAUGCAGCUCAAAACUCUGUAUAAGAAAGAUACUCAUUUAGGGGAUCUUCCUGAAUGGGCGGAGGUGCUGGCUGGUUCACAUUUCUUCCUCUAUUUGUCUUUCUAAGAGGUAUGCUCUAUAAAUGAAAGGGAGAAUAGAUUAGAUAGAGAUUUUAACAUGAGAUCAUGCUUAGUUGCACAAUCUAGACACUGAAUAAAGGGAGAUUUUACUUAAAAUGCCUCGUAGCCUCUUGUCCAUAAGUAUGGCACACUUCACACCUAUGCACAAGACUCUAGUUGACACGGCUUUAAGACUUCCUAGGACACUUUAAAAUCUUAGGCUCUGAUAACAAAUGUGUAACACCCUGAGAGUGCACCCUGGAUGCCACAACGCUUCUUACGAUCAUAUGUGACCACAAGCUAACCCAUGAGUUGGUACCUAUUGUGACCACUAAAUAAUAAUAACAAAAUAGGUAUGCGGAAUAUCUAAAUACACCAUAAGGUUUUAAGUACUAAAACAUUUCUGAAUCAUAAAUUCAAAAAUAACCACCGAAAACUAACUGUCUAAAACUUAUUAAAUAAUGACAAACUAACUGACUGUCUGAAGUGUCUGAAAGCCUUUAACACCGUUUGAAUAAGAGUUGAAGGGACAGGCCCCAACUAACUCCAACUAACUAUUGAACUGAAGGAAUGAAAAAUAAACAUAGUUUGUCCUAAAAAUAUGAGGACUUACCAUGACUACUGCUACUGAUGUGCUGGGAUGUCUAAGUGUGGUCAGGAACUGGAGUGUCCAAACCUAUUAUAUGAGACAUCAUAGCACAAGAAAUGAGUAUGCAGUCAGUACUUUGAAUGUACUGGUAUGCUAAAUGAGGUAAACUGAUAUGCAUGGUUUUAUAUACAUGAGUAAUAAUUGACUGAAUGAAUAGCUUGAUGUACUGAAUAAAAUAUGUGAAAUCUGUAAAUAUUGAGUAUGCAAGACCAAGCAUAAAAUAUGUUCUGAAUAUAAUCUAUAAAUUAAAAUACUAAAUACUAAUACAUGAAUAACUGAUAUUUGUAUGCUAUGGUCAAUCAAAACUGAAACUGAAUUAUUGAGCUUAUCACUGGACUAAGACUGUGGGAGCUAUCAUCUAACCGACAUGCCCCAAUAAGCAAUUUGGGGUCCAACCUAUGACCCCAGUUGGAAGGGUGUCAGUACCAAGCCACGAGAACUAACACUGGAUGUGUGGAUCCACUAAUGUACCAUCUCGAAGUACUAAGGGUGUCAAGCCUAAAAUGAUAGGUGACCCCUAGAAGGUAGUCAAGACUGAACUGACGGGUGACUCCUCAAAUCCUACGUUGGCUAUGUAGUUCUGAAGUACAUGGAUUGCUACUAAUGACUCUGCCUAUCUGACGGAGAAGCCGUCAUCCCUGCACUCUCUCAGUACAAAAUUCUACUCCAACUGAACUGACUCGAAAUACUAAACUGUUCUAAGUUUAACUGAUCACGAUAACUGACUGAACUGAUACUGCUCAUAACAAGUCUGAAACUAUUCUAAAGAUACUAAGGUUAAGUAAAAAACUAAGUUUUCGGGUAGCCACAACCCCCAGGACUCAAUAGAAAUAAUAGUAAUAUAGUACUAAAACUUUGGGGACAUAAUAUGAAAACAUUUAUUCAAAAUUCAUUCUUAUUGGCAUUUUAUCAAACACAUGAUAUGCAUAGUGUAAGCUAAGCAUGGAAAUAGUUUAAAACUUAUAGUAAUAGCAUGAUUUCAACAUCACCAUCACUAAUUAUGGUUUAAUCAACAAAUAACAUUAUUCAAACGUGUGGGGUUUAAUAAAAUAGCAAUUUCAUGUAAACAUGGUAUAGAAUCAAGAUUCAUGGGAAUUCAUGGUUAAAAAUCAUAAUAACUUGUAAAAGAUCAUAACUUUGAAUUUAAAAAUUAGAUUAUUUGUCUCCAUGGAUGGAAGGGACCCAUGGAUGAACAUUUAACAUACCUUGACUAAAAAAUUCUCGAAAGUUCUUAAAUUGGAAACCUUGAAUUUGAAUUAUCAUGGAAAAAGAAUGGUGAAUUUUGGAGUUUCUUGGAGUUGAAUGUUAAAGCCUAGGGUGUAAAUUGAUGAAAAAUCAAUAUAAUAUUCUUAGGAUUGGUUAAUCCUUUGUUGACAUGAUUUGGAAGCUAUGGGAAAAGACCAAACUAACUGUGGGAAUUAAAACUCUGAACAAAACUGAAAAUCCAGAUUUUGACCUUUGGGGAGACGCGGUGCUUAUCGUGUCGCACCACUGCAAAAGGCCGAUACUCAUUUUUCCCAAUGGCACGAUGUGGUGUUAUCGUGUUGUACCACUAGAAAUUGCCAAUCCUGAUAUAGAACCUUCACACGAUGCGACUAUAUUGCGGUGCCCCACUGAAUGUAAAUUUGACCAUUGGAACCACGCGGUGCCAAUUGCGAUGACACAUUGGAAAAGGACAAUGUGAUUUUGGUGAGCACCACAACGCGGCCUAAUCGCGAUGGGCUACUGCCUUUCAUUAAAAGUGACAUAACUUCUCACCCGAGUAUCGAAUUUGGGCAAAAUUGGUGUCGUUGUAAAGAUAAUUCAAUUUUCUAUAAUUUGGUGUGUCUUGAUCUGGAAAAUUCUUAGUAGAAUAAAAGAUAAUCUCAUUUGAAGUUGACCAUUUCAACAUCCUUCUUGAAAACUCAAUCGAUAAGGUAUAAUUUGAUUAGUCUAAUAGCUGGGAGUUAUUUGAGGCUUUAAUAUACAUCAAACUCACUCAUAAACUACCAAAGAACUAUAAUGUAACUUGCAGGAUCUUGAACAUGGUCCUAACAUUGGUUUGGAUUUUUAGGGUAUUACACGUAUCCAGGAUUACUGGUCAUUUUUUGUUAUUCGUAUGGCCCUAAGAUCUUACCUGGGUUCUGGAAGAGGUACGAAUCUUGGUCAUGAAUCAUACCCAAAGGGUAAUACUCAUACUGGGAGUCGUAUUCAUUCCAGAAACUACUUUUUGAUUCUGAUUGUUCUCCCAGGGCUAAUUUGACUCCUACUCAUGAGUUGUAUCAUAUAGAUACGACUCGUAAAGAGUCCGUAUGAUACCUUUUCAACUUCUCUGGAUUUUGUCUGCAUUCUUUAGCCCUACACAUUGAGCGAAUGUAUUACCCUAUAAUUGCAAUAAGUAAAACAACAUGGGUUACCUCUCACGCAGUGCUUGAUUUAACGCUGCAGCACGACAUGGAUAAGUUGGAUACUUAGACUUCACCAACUAGCCUCAUAGGUUGCCUCCCAUACAAAGCUUGAUUUAACAUUGCGGCAAUAUGCAAUUGCCUUGAUUACUUAGAUUUCAUCAAGGUUAAUGUCAGCUAAUUCUUUCACCUCUUCUAUGUUUCCCAUAUAGUGUUUUACUCGUUGUCUGUUUACCUUGAAUGAGCUUGAACCAUCCUAUUCAGUUGUAAAGCACCAUAGGGAUAAACUCUUGUUACAAUGAAUGGAACAUGCCACCUAGAAUUUAGCUUACCAGGAAAUAAAUAAAGUCUGAAAUUGUAAAGUAGCACUUGGCCACCUUUUUCAAAUACCCUUUUCUCAAUCUUUCGGUCAUGAUGCAACUUUAUCUUUUCCUUGUAAAGUGUUAAACUUUCAUAUUCUUGAAGUCAGAAUUUAUCCAACUCAUUGAUGUUAUUCAACCUUGACUUAGUUGUAUCCUUCCAUUCUAACUUCAGCUUCUUCAACACCCAUAACACCUUAUACUCAAGCUCAAUUGGUAAAUGGCAAGCUUUGCCAUACAUAAGCUGAUAAGGUGAAGCACCUAUGGGGGUUUUGUAAGCAGUAUGAUGAGCCUUUAAUAUAUCAUCUAAUUUUUUUGCCCAACCAGUCCUAUUGGCAUUUACAGUCUUCUCCAAUAUGGACUUAAUUUCCCUAUUGGACACAUUCAAGUUGUCCACUAGUCUUCGGAUAAUAAGGUGUUGCCACCCUGUGAUUCACUACAUAUUUGUCAAGUAGACUCUUGAAUAUAUGAUUGCAAAAAUGUGACCCUCUGUCACUUAUAAUAGUAUAUAGCAUACCAAAUCGAGAGAAGAUGUUCUUCAUCAAAAAUACGAUGACACUCCUUGCUUUAUUGUUAGGAAGCGCAUUUGGCUCCACCCACUUUGAAACAUAGUCAACAGCUACAAUUAUGUACUUCAUGCCAUACAAACUCACAAAAGUUCCCAUGAAAUAUAUGCCCCAUACAUCAAACAUGUCCAAUUCUAAGAUAGUGGUCUUAGGUAAUUCAUGCAUUCUAGAAAUAGUACCUUGUCGUUGACACUGAUCACACGCGGCAGCAUAAUCAUGCAUAUCAUUGUAUAUAAUUGGACAAUAGUAGCCAUAUUGUAGGAUCUUAUACGUGGUGCGGGGCCCUUCAUGAUAAACCCCAAUUGGAGAUGAGUGACAAACUUUAAGUAUGCUCAUCAUCUCCACUUCAGGUAUGCAUCUAUGAAUGAUUCCAUAUGCAUAAAUUUUAAAAAGAUAAGGUUCAUCCCCAAAAAAUUUUCUUAACUCGUGCAUGAACUUCUUUAUUUGUUGAUGUGAAAGAUCUUCUGGAACUAGAUCACUUGCUAAGUAAUUUACAUAAUCUGUGAACCAUGGAAUUAAAUAUUAGUAAGCUGCCAAUAUCUGUUUGUCUGGAAACUAUCAUCAAUCUCCAAUCCCUUAGCAACCUUCUGCAUAGCUUCCACAUCAAGUCUAGACAAGUGAUCCGCAACUUGAUUUUCUGUGUCUUUUCUGUCUUUCACCUCUAAAUCAAAUUCUUGGAACGACAGCACCUAUUGGAUAAACCUCGAUUUUGCAUCCUUCUUAUCCAUUAAGUACCGCAAUGCCGCAUGGUCUAUGUGCACAAUCACCUUUGUCCCAAUCAAGUAAGAUCUAAACUUUUCAAAGGUAAGAACCACUGCCAAUAACUCUUUCUCCAUCAUGGUAUAGUUCUUUUGAACAGGGUUUAGUGCCUUGCUAUUAUAGAAGAUGGGAUUAAGGAUCUUUUCUUUUCUUUGUCCUAGUACAACCCCUAAGGCUAAUCCAAUAGCAUCACACGUAAUUUCAAAAGGUAAAGACCAAUUAGGAGACAUAAUAAUUGGAGCAGACACCAACUUCUCUUUUAGGCUUUCAAAAGUCUUCUUACAUGCAUCAUCAAAAUAAAAUUUACCUCCUUCACGUGAAGCCUGUAAAGUGGACUAGCAAUAUUCAAGAAGUCCUUGAUAAAAUGCCUGCAAAAACAUCCAUGCUCUAAGGUAAUUUUUCAAUCACCUCAAUCUUUGCUUAAUCAACCUCUAUGCCUCUCUUCAAAAUUUUGUGCCCAAGCGCAAUUCCUUCUUUGACCAUGAAAUGGCACAUCUCCCAAUUAAGUACCAAGUUGCACUCCUCACACCAUUUUAGAGCCUUUGCCAAGUGAAUAUGGAAAUCAUCAAAAGAAUUACCAAUAACUAAAAAAUCAUGCAUAACAACUUCAAUAGUGUCUUCGACCAUAUAAGAGAAAAUAGACAUCAUAUAUUUCUGAAAUGUGGUUGAAGCAUUGCAUAUCCCAAAUGACAUUUGUUUGAAUGCAAAGGUCACAUAAGGACAUGCAAAGAUAGUCUUCUCUUGGUUAUCAGGCACAAUAGUGAUCUAAUUAUAUCCUGAGUAUCCAUCAAGAAAACAAUACCAUCCUCUACCUGCUAACUAGUCGAGCAUCUGAUCCAUGAACAACAUAGGAAAAUGGUCCUUAUGAGUCCAUGAAUUCAACUUCCUAUAAUCAAUGCACACUCUCCAUACAGUGGUUGGUCUCAUUGGGACUAGCUCAUUCUUCUCAUUUGGCCUUUUUUGGUACGCAUUGAACCGAACUAAACCAUUUUCUAUUAGCAAUGGGAAACACUACACCAGCAUCAAACCACUUGAUGAUAUCUUUCUUAACCACCUCUUGUAUAGAAGGAUUGAGUCGACGUUGAUGUUCAAUAGGUGGAACACAAUCUGACUCAAGCUGAAAUUUGUGAGUACACAAACCAGGCAUUACCCAUAAUAUCAACAAUGGACUAUCCACAUGCUUUCUUGAAAUUUUGCAAUACUAAAAGUAAUGCUUCUGCUUUUGACUGGCUUAGAUCAGUUGUAAUAAUAAUCAAAAAGUAUUGUUGGCCCCCUAAAAUGCAUAUUGCAAGUGAGAUAGGAGGGCCUUUAAUUCUAAUACUGGUGGCUUCUCUAUGGAUGGGCGAGCAAGUAGAGUAGUUUGAUUCUUUAAAUCUAGAUCAAGAUUAUUUGGUGUAUCAUUAUAACCAUCAACAUGCAAUUGACCCCCUAACUCUUCAUACUCUUUGAUACCUUCAGAGUCAAAAUUCAUAAUCACAGCCAUAAGAACUUUGACACCUAACCUCUCUUCAACAGGAACAAUUGUAUCAGAACCAUCAUCCCACAGAGUAACUGCAUCAAUAUCAUGGAAUAAAUAUGUCUCCUUAUCAUAUACAUCAAUCAUAGACACCACUCUCAAUUCAUCAGGAUGAUUCAUAUAUUUUCAUACGUUGAAUGUCAUCUAUUCAUUAUUAAGUCACAGCAUCAGAUAUACUUUCUCUAGAUCAAUCAAUGUCCUAUGCCAAAAAUGGUUUUCCCAAGAUAUUGUGGACUUGAAUGUCCACUUCACAAUCUAAUAUAACAAAAUCAGUAAGAAAUAUAAAAAAAGACACUUUUAUAAAAACAUCAUAAAGGAUACCAACAGGCUUCUUCACCGUCUUGUCCGUCAUUACUAGUCUCAUGGUAGUGGUUUGGGAGCUCCCAAACCCAAAUGUUUGAAUACAAGAAAGGUCAUGAGGUUGAUGCUAUCCCCCAAAUCACUUAAUGCUCGAGUACAGUUGAAAGACCUAAUAGUGCAAGGUAUUAUGAAAGCACCAAGGGUCCUUCUUCUUUUCUACUAAAGAUCUAGUGACUACAACAUUGCAAAGAUGAAUAUUGUCAACAGGUUCAUAACUGACUAACAUUUUCUUGGUGAUCAAAUCCUUCAUGAAUUUUGCAUAUCCUGGCAUCUGCUCUAAUUUCUCUACAAGUAGUAGGUUAAUUAUUAACUCUUUUAACAUAGACAAGAAAUUUGUAUACUUACCUUCUUCUUUUUUCUUUCUUAAUCUUUGUGAAUAGGUAGGAAGUGGUCUUGGAAUGGGUUUCAGCAUAGGCUCUGUAGCCUUUUCUUUCCCUUAUUCAGCUUUCUAUUGCUCCUAACAUCAAUUGGCUCAUCCUUACUUUUUUGUGUAUCAAUUGUGGAUAUAGGUAGAUCUGUAGUAAUCUUACCACUCCAAGUGAUAAUGGCAUGACAUUGACUAUCAUUUCUGGGAAUUACCACUGUAUUGCUUGAAAGAGUGCCAAGUUGUCUUUGAUUCACAGUGGCUGACAUAUGACCAAACUUCAUUUCCAACUACUUAAUUGUUAGAGCAUAUGACUCAACUUUAUAGUUCAAUAUUGAUAGGUAAUCUUUGAUAUCCUUCAAUCAGUUCUCUUCAUUUUUUUGCCUUUUGACCAGCUUGGCCAAAAUUUUCUCCAUUCUGGACUCUGAUUCUCAAUUUCCUGAUGGACUAUAUUUUUCACUGUUCUUCUUAUAGUCCUUCUUACGUCGCCAAUCACCAUUUCUAUCUCUACUCCUAUCUCUGUAUGUAUCAUUAUAAUAGUUCUGACCUUGAUUCCCUUGCCCCUGGGCUUGGAAAUCCACCAAUCUAUGAUUAAGGUACUUUGUCUCUUCCUUAGAUUUGAUCUUGAAUGGUUUGGAGGUAAACCUCUACGUCACUACUUCAUUUACCUUCACAACAUUCAUUGACACAAAUUAUUUUGUAAGCAACCCAAUAGCUGUACAAAGUUGUGUAACCUCUUGUACUACCAUGUCAUUUUCUAAUCUAUACGUAUUUGUUGCUCCAAUACCAUAUGUACCACCACCACAUUCCAAAUCUUGAGUAUGCCAUCCUCUGUUGGUAAUCACAAUAUCAUCUAGCAUUUUCUAUGCAGCUUUCCAAUGAAGACACAUGAAUGUUCCUUCUAAAAUAGUAUCUAUUAUAGCUCUUGAGAUAUCAUUCAAUGAUCAAUAGAAAAUCUCAGACAAAUUAGAUCCUCUAAUUCUGUGAUUUAGUAUCAUGCUAAGAUUCUUCUUGAAUUGAAGCCACACCUCAUACAUAGAUUCUGCAGGUAGCUUUCUGAAAUUGUAAAUUUAAUCCUUCAACUGUAACAUCUAUGUAGGAGGGAAAUCCACUUAGAAGCUGUGUCUUCAACUCAUUCCAAGUAGUGAUAAGUCCUCCUGGAAAUUCCCCCAACCAUAAGGAUUCUUCUCCAUUCAAAGAAAAUGAGAACAACCUCAAUCUUAAUGCUUCUUGAUUAACCCCUAGAAUAUUAUAAUUUGUAUAGAUCCCAAGAAAAUUUGUAAGGCGCAUGUUUGCAUCAUCCUUAGUAAACCACAAAAACACACCCUUCAGAUUCAGCAAUUGGAUCAUAACACUAGUGAUAUCAAACUUUACAUUUGGGGCUAAAGGAGGAGGAAAAAUAGCUCCGAAUUCCGUAGGUUCAACAUAACCCAGAUUUUCAUCAUCUUUCUCAUAUGGGUCUAAGUGUUGAUAUGCUGGAAUAAAUGGAACCCUGCCUAUCUAAACUCGAUGAUCAAUGACCUGUCUCGAUCGUACCAUUCCUCCUUGCUGAGCUACUGCUGCCUCUACAGCAAGUCUAGCUUCUUCUGUUUCUCUACGUUCUUACUCAAAUAGUUGUUGUGUCUAUAAGUCUGUAAUAUUUUAUAGAUCUAGUGGAGCACAUGGUAGUGCCACAUUUGGAUCAACAGGUAGGAGGUAUUGAACCCCAUCAUGAAUUUAUCCUGACAUCCAUCUAGGUGUUUGAUGGAUUCUUUUGGGAUUUGGAUCAAAUGGGAGUAAGGGAUUUCCUCUACUCUUCAUACUUGGCAUAUACCGACAUAUGACAAAGAAAAAACAAAAAAUUAAAACCCUGCAAACUUCAUCAAUUCAAUUUACUACUAAACCAUCUUCACCGACAACGAUGCCGAAAUUUGAUGUCACUCAAAACUAUAACUCAACUAGAAGUAUAAUACGACCAAUUGAAAAUAUAAUAACCCAACAAGGUUGGGGUCAAUCCCACAGGGAAAAUAUGAAUAAUUGCUUGCCUUGAUGUAAUCCACAAGUAUUAUAGGAAAGUAAAUGGGGGGUUUUUAUUAUCAAUUGCAAUUAGUGACCAAUUCUUGUGUGUUGUUGAGUUGAAAUCAAUAUGAGACGAAUUCUAAAUCUGUGUUACCCCUGGCUUCUUAACUUUAUAAAUUUCUCGUGGUUAACCUAAGUAUUCUGUUGUUUUGAAUGCAAAGCCUACAAGAUAGGUAUUAUCCACUUCUUAGAAGAUAAAUUUCAACCUUUAAUUUGGUUAUCGUCUUAGGGUGUCACCAUGAUGCCCCUUGAUACGACAUCAGUUACACUUGUUGGGGUAGGAUCAAGUGAUAAGAUGAGAUACUUGGUUAUCGUACCCCAAAUCACUAUCUUAAAUCAUCUUUUUCCUAAUUGCAAGCUUCUUAGUUAUUGAAUGAAUGUGAAUAUAGGCAAUCUCAAGCACCUGCAGCUUCUAUGAGUUUAAUUAUUGUGAAGAAGAAUUAAGAUACAUGUAGAAACUUUAGAAUAAUUGAGUCUCACACUUUCUCUACAUAGCUAAUCUGCCAGGAUUCCCACAACCCUUGCGGAGGAGAUUAGCUGCUCAUGUUUGUGCAAGAAACUAUGGUUAUCAAUGAAGAACACAUAAAAUCACCUACACAAGAAUAAGAUGAAUAAACUCCAAAGUCUUUAAUUGAAUAAAACCCUUAAAUCUCAAGAACAAUUGUAAAAGUAGAUAAUAAUGUGUAAUAGUGCAUAAAAGAACGUCACAACACAUAACCUAAUAAAAUAUAAAACCUAGGCUAUUUAUAGUAUCUCAAAAUAACAUAAAAAUCCUAUUAAAAUGGGGAAAGGUAAAUUUAAUUCGGUAGUCGAUACGACUUGAUAUUCAUUCAUAUCUUAGCUUAUGAGUCGUACCCUGACUUGUUGUAUCCAUUCCAGUGUUUGAUAUUCCCAAGGCUUCAACACUCUAUUCAGUAUAUGACUUCCGCUUAUGAGUUGUACCUUAGUGUAUGACUCAUGUUCUUCAUCUGUAUCCACCUAGGACUUAAGUCUUUUCAGGUUUUGAACAUUGAUUUAUAUACGAAAUCCCUAUACGAGUCAUACUUAGGCUUCCGACUCGUAUAGCUUUAACACUUUAACUCCUGGAUAGUAGCUCAGGUUUUGUUAUGCUCACGACUUUUGCAUCCGACUCGUACCCUAGUUUACGAUUAGGGUACUUGAGUCAUAUCUUCCUCAUACUCGACUCCUCAGUUUGGGUUUUGGUUCUAUUAGUCAUAUGAUUCAGUAUACGAGUCAUAUCGAUUGGUUAUGACUCAGAGACUAACUUAUAUACCAAUCAGAGUUUGUCUUUUUAGGUCUUUUUCUUCUCUUUUUAUUCAAAUACUAUUGUAGACCUAUUUUACUUACAAUUCACACCAAUGUGUAACAUACCCAAUAAAAUACCCUAAGUUCAUGCAUGAAUUUGUGGUUUUAAGCAUCGAAAGUAUUGUGCUUCCAUGCCACAUCAUUGGGUUUCUCAGAGGGGAUGGUUUAGACUUUCAUUCAACACAAUAAUUUGGGGCCUUAGGCUGUAGAUACAUAGUUGGCUACUAAUAUAGGUUCUGUUAGUGAGGAUGUGAUAUUGCUACCUAUCUAGUGACUCUACCCGUUAUGUCUGUGGAGAGGUAGAGUAGGUUUGUGGAGUUUAUAAGGGUGUAUCCCCCCUCAAUUUAAUAGGAAUCUAAGGGUCAAUUCUUAUAAGUUCUUGGUUUUUUGCAUUAAAGGUUGCACAAAUUAAGCCUGGUAGACUCUGGUGGAGUGAAUUUCAGUACUUUUCAGUUGUCUAGACUACCCAAAUAGUUGUGAAGGACUAUUGUUAAAAGUAGAUCAGAUGGAUCACCUCCUCUAUCAUUAGAUCAUUUUACUCAAGAGUUUUAAUAGAAGUUUGUCUAGUGGCGUGAGGGGCAUGUUACCAAGAGGCCCUUUAGACUUGAUAACGACAGCAACAUUUAUGGUAAAUUCAAACUUCUCAUGGUUAUUCUAAGAGAUAGUUAGGCUGUAGUAGCCAUUUAGCAUCUGCAAAUUUAAUUUAGUGGAUUCCUACUCAUUCAGGUUACUUCAUAUAUGGGUAUCUUAGGAACUAUAGGAAGGAUUACCCUAACAGAGACAAAGAGAUACAUCAUCUGUAGCUUAGGGAAAUUAGCUUAGUGAUAUGCUUAUCAAGGUGGAUUCGAGGUAGGAUCUUUUAGUAUAGUGGCCACAGGUAUGGUUUUAGUGCACGUUUGAUCUAUAUCAGUAGUAUUUGGCUAUGGUUCUAAAUUCUUCUAUGUGCUUACGUAUUCUGCAUUGGAUCAUAAUAUGAUUCAUGAGUUUUCUGUCAUGUCUAUCCAUAGUGCUACCCCGAUGGGUGAUCCUUCAGUGGUGGCUCGGGUGUGUCGAUCCUGUGUUAUGACUUAUUUAGAGUAUGUCACUGGGUAGAUUUGGUUAUUAUACAUAUUAUAGAUUUAGGUAUCAUCUUCUAGAUGUUAUAUUAUGGAUGUUGGUGGAUUAUAUUAAUGAUAGAUAUUAGUGUGUUUGAAUUAUGAUAGUGUGUUCCAGAGAUUUACUUGAGGAUCAUGAUAUUAGUUAAGGAUAAAUAAGGCAAAAUGAUAUUGGGAUGAUGAAUUUGUGACUAGAGAGGUUUGUAGUGAAUAUUAUUUUGUGGAAUCAUUUGCAAGUGUUAGCAGAAGUGUAUGCACAUGCACUAUUUGUCUUACAGGGUCAAACUAGUUCAUUGUUGGUUUGGGUUAGAAAAUUAAUGAUGCAAUAAACUAUAUAGGAUGACUAGGGCUACUAAAAAAUUAGGCUAGAAGACCUUGAGAUGGAUUGGACUUGUGAUAUGACAAACUUGGAAUGAUUGCAAUUAAAGGAUUUUAGUUAUUUACCAAAGGAUUUUUCAGGUGUUUUGGGCUUGCGAUUUAUCACCACCUUGGUGAUUAUCUUGGCUUGCAUGGAAAGACUUAUGGUGUUUUGAAACACUUCUCUGGUAGUCAUGAAGGAGUUCAACUUACAAGGGUAUCUACUUCUUAUUUGGAAGGUUAUGGGUUCAUUUUCAAGGAUCAGAACUUGCGAUUAGAGUGGUGUGGUUACUUGGGUCUGGUUCGGUUGUCAUGGUGCUAUUUUAUAUUUUGAAUGGGUUGUUAUUGGUCGGUAAAUAAAGUUGUUUACAUGGUUUGAGGUUAAAAUUUUUAGGUUUUAUUGGAAGGCUACAUUGUGAUAGUGGAUUAUGCUAUAGUAUGAAUUGAAAAAAAAAAGAGAUUAAACAUAUCAAUUUUAGAGGACUUGAAGGGGCUAGUGCAUGGAAAAGUACAUGGGUUGUAGUAAUACUACUUUAUAAGUUAUAUUUUACUCAGAGAGUGAAAUUGCCCGCCGUAAGGGUAUCACCAUGGUUGAAGGUGUACCACAUAUUAAAUCAAUGGAAGUAGAAGUAGAUACAAUGAACAGAAUGGAAAAUCUUCAAUAUGAAGUUGUUGGUAAAUUUACCUAUGAUUUGGCUGAUAUUGAUGAAUUAAGAAGGAUUAUACCACAACAAUGCGACAUAAAAGAUGAAUAUCAAAUCAGUUUACUCUGAAAUAAGCGUUUUCUAAUUCUUUUGAUUCAACAAGCAGAUUUCAUACAUCUCAUUUCAAAGGGAGCUUUCUAUAUACUAUUUAAGGAUUGCUAUUUAUAUCUAAUAAGAGAUCUUAUCAAUGAUCCUAUAUUCAAGAUGAAUGAGAAAACCAUGAACGCUCUAGGAUGGAUAUCAUUCCCUAAUAUUUUGCCCACGUACUUUGCUAAAGAGUGCCUUUUCUCGUUAGCUACAACAGUAGGUAAACCCAUCAAACUUGAUCUAGCUAUCAUUAAUAUAACUAGAACAAGUUUUUCACAAGUUAAAGUACUGGUGGAUUUGAAAGGAGACUUCCUUAAGACCGUGAUAAUGGAUAUUGACAAGAAGUCACUAGAGAGAGUAGGCAAGAAGUGGUUCAAGUUAAAUAUGACUAUGUUCCUAAAUAUUGCACAAAAUGCAAAAUGCAAGGUCAUGACAACAAUGAAUGCAGAUGCAACAUUAAAGUAAAUGUCACGACCCAAACCCAGGCCUGUCCGUGACGGGUAUCUCAAGUUGACCAUGGGCUGGAGACCACCCCCUUAGCCUUAUCUCAAGAGAACAAAAAAAAUAAACAGUAAAAGCCAACCAAAAUUGUAAAAAGAUAGAUAAGUCAAAUGAAAAUUCUAGGAAUCAAAAUGAACAAUCAACCCAAUACUUGUCCACAAAAGCCUCUAAACCAAGAAUACUAGACGAAGUCGGAAUAUGCCACCGACUAUGACAAAAUAAAUCCACAAUUCCAAAAAUAUGAACAGAAACUUAAUAAUAGAAUAGGGUCUUCAAAAAUAUGGAGACUCACCACUUCACAACGAUGCAGUAGAUAUACCACACUACCUAACGCUACACAGGAGUGUUGCGCCCUAGCACACAUGCAAGUGUAUAUAGUCUCACCAAGUAAUAUAGUGGCCUUAUACAAAGACAAAUAUCUAUCCCUCAGAUACUUGUGUUGGUAAAUGUCCAAGCUUAGUUCACUAAUAAGAUUAAUCAAGUGCUCCGUAACAAAAAAUUUUGUAAGUUAUAAGUAACUGUCAACUAAACAAUACGGUAUAGUAAAGGUUUGAACAAUCAGCGGGAAAUCCCAGGAUUAAGUCUCUGUGAACAAUAGUACUACAUUUUCAAAAUUCAUUGGUUAGGUUAGUUAUAUUGAUUAUUGUUUUAUGGGUUCUAUACUACGACUAUGAUCUUCUCAACCUCUAAUCAAUUAUCCAACUUAGCCCCCACAACUACAUCGUUGUGCGUGGAUAUGAACUAAGUUAAAUGCUUUAGUAUUCAUCCCAUUCUUGAACCAAAAAGGACACUUAAUUAUAUUCCUAUCCUAAGUGAAAAUCAUAACAUCAUUCUAUGAAGAUUACGAUCCUAUUCUAUUCAUCCCACGUUCAUCUCUACCAUUCGUCUUUCCGGGUUCACAGUAGAGUUAUAGCAUGUAUUCUAAGGUUCAUGACUCCUUAAAAUAGUAAUUAAAAAUAUAAAUUAACAACCAAUAAUUAUAAACAACCAUAACCAAAUGAAUUCCAAACAAUAGUUCUCAUUUUCUUGGCCAUAAACCUGAAAAAGGGUGUUUAACCGCUCAUAGAUGUAACGAGAAUCACAAUAGUAAAAUCCAUGUUAAAAACAAUAAACAAACUAAAUUAAAGAGAUAAAAAAAACUAAUUAAAGUGUUCUCCAACCUCCCUUAAAGUCCCAAGGUCGUCUAAGGGGUUUACAAAAGUGUUUAAGUGUUCUAUUUAUAGGAGGCCACUAGCUGUUUAUUUCAACUUAAAGGCGUGCCAUGCCAAUAUAGAAACAUAUAGGCAGUGUGGAAUGCUAAAAAUGUGGUGGAUAACUAUAAAUUUACAUCUCAAAAGUUUCCAAGGGAGUUCCAUAGCCAUAUCGCAGCAACUAGGCAGCGUGGCACACCAAGCACUCCAAAAACUCCCAACUUUACCAAGUUUUGUCCCAUGCUUUUGUCCUUUAAAUCCAUGCAUUGUGGUGUUGUUUCAGCUUUAUUUACAGGUUUUUUAACAUCCCUUUAUCAUCAUGAUACAAUUACCAUGCUUCAUACACCAUCAAACACCAUACAUUAGAGCACAAAACACAUACAGUCCAAGACAACGAACUAGUAAAGGCCAUAGCUCAAGUUAAGAGUACUAGCUUUUGUCCCUUGAUUCUUAACUUGGUGUUUUGAAUCCAAAUUAACUAUGAAAUCACUUUUAACGUUACAUUUACGUAACAUAACAUAGCCUCACAAAUCAGAGAUAUCAUAGCGGCCAGGGAUUCCCAUGUAUCCUUCGCCCUUCAUGAUACAUAGAUAAAAGUAUAAACUUAGGGGAUUCCCAUGUAUCCCAUAAGUAUAUAGUCACCAUGACCAACCCUCAUGUCGGGAAACAUGAGUUUCUAGUGUCAGUCCAUUGAACUCACACCUUCACAGUUAGCUAUCACAACCUGCCAUUAUUGCCUAAUUAAAACCUUUCGCACAUAACCAAAUCACCAAUUCCAGAAGUUUAAUUACCAAGGCAUUAUAAAGUGGUAUCGUCUUACCGACUAUAGCUUGCAAGCAAUUUCAUUAGCCAAAACUUUGGGGAUUCCCAUGUACCCCACGUGAUUUACAAUUAAACCAAAGCCAUGGCCACGAAGUUCCUUCCAAUCCAUUUAAAACUAUUUAAACCAAUUUGGGUUCCAUUACCUAUUAUGCAAUGCAAAGUUUUCAAUAAAAGUCAAACUAUGUGACAAACCAUUCUCAUAUGCAUUUUAACAAACACGUUGAGGGCAUACAGGUUCCAAAACCAAGAACCAAUUAACCAUUCCCAUGCAACCACAUAUUCAAACCAACAUUGAAACAUGAAAACCCAUAAAUAAAACAUGGGAAAACAUUGUCUAACCACUAGUAACCAAAAUCCCCAGCAUGUAUUUCAAAACCCAAAACAUACAAUAAUAAUACCCUAAAAACCAUCCAUGAAAAACAUGUUUUUAGUUUGAACUAACAAUGAGGAAGGAGUAACAUGCCUUAGACAACAAGAAAGAUGGAUAAAACACCCCCCCCCUCCCCCUGUUGGAGCCCUUAUUGACUAUCUUGAAGAAAACCCUAGCCUUUCUUGAACCAAGAGCUUUGAGAGAGAUUUUGAGUGUUUUGAGAAUGCUUGAUUAAGAAAUAAAGGUUUAAUAAAGUCCCAAAUAUGUUUAAUGUCAUGGGGUCAAAAGAAGUUAAGAGGGGAAAUGUCUAGAAUACCUCCAACUGAAACUAUAAAAAUUACCGCAGGAGGGUAAGGUUUGGACCCCUUACUCGUGCCCACAUCAUACGAGGGUUACCCUAAACUCAUACCUUGAUCAGAAUAUUAGACACCACAUACCAUCCACCAUAUAACUCUCCUUACCCGACUUGUACCCAUAACAUAUGAGUAGUUCCCAUAGGUCGUAUCCAAGACAGAAUCAAAGGGGUUGGACACUGGACAAUGUACGACUUUACUGUACCACUCGUACCCUAUCCUCAUGGCUCAUGGUGAGACAUUCGUACUUAGAACUAAUUCAAGUCACUAAGUUUUAGAUUAAGUGAAGGAUCAACCCAACAACCCAUCACCAACCAUACGACCCGUACCAUCAAACUGUAACCAUAACAGAAACUUGACUACCAAACACUAAACAUCCUACGAGUUGGGUCACCUGACCCGUACCCUCACCAUAAGAAUUGUAUAGUGAGUUAUAUGAUCAAUAGAGAGCUAACAACUCAAGAAAGUUUCAAGGGCUAAAACCCAGGGUGUUUACCUAUGCACCCCUAUGACAGUCAUCCUAAACUUAGGUGAUUUUUCUGAGUUGAGGUACACAAUGUCUUAAGAGGGACAUGGGCCAAACAUGUUCAUUGUAAGUACAGAUAGAAAAAUUAUUAGGCUAAUAAAAGAAGAUGGUCAAUUAAGGAUCAUUAUCAGGAUAAAAAAACUGAUUUCAUUUGGUUGGGUGUUUAGGGUAAAAUUUAACUUAUUCAAGAACAACCUAUGAUUCUAUCCUAACCAACUAUCCUACAACCUAGGAAAAACUAAUCGGGCAAGUUUUGUAUUACACACAAAGUGAACUCAGUAAACAAUCUCACACCCACAUAGCACAGGGUUACACCAUUAACUACUAACCUAUCUAGUUCAUGCAUUACUAUGCUAUAUUUAUUCUGCCAAUAAUCCUAAUGCUAUAACAAGAAUAGCUUCCUAACUCACCCAAGGUAGAAUCCCAUAAAAUUUAUAAUAUGCAUGUUAGAAUCAUCAGUAGGAAGGACAAAAAACACCUCUUUAAAAUUUAGCUUCUAGAUAUUAGACUCAUGAUGUCGAACUUAGUGCCUUAAGUUAAUUAUGUUGGAAGGAUUACACCUCUUUCAAUUUUCUCUAUACAACCCAGGUCUUUCUCUAGGUCUUCAUAAAUAGAAAGAUAUUGUUGGAGAGUAUGUUGACCCUUAUUUAUUCUCAAUCUAUCCCUCUUAUCAAGCAUAGCAAAAUGAUUUGCAUCUUUUUGUAUAGCCUUCUCUUCCUUGCUAUCCACCUGAUAUCUGCUUGCCUAGUAUUUUUCUCAUCCAUUAGCCGAGUAGUAACUUGUUUCGUAGUUUCUUGACCAUCAUGUUGGUGUAUUAGUUGAUUCAAAAUUGCAUGGUCAUCAUUAACCUCCUCAAUAAGGGAUCUUUAAUCACAAAAUUCUUUGUUAAUCAUUCUUCAAUUUUGUCUUAAAACUCUCUCAAUCUCAAUAUCAAGCAGAAUUAGAUGAUUUUCUUGACUCCAAGUAUUAUACAUACAGUGUUGUGUUCCCUAGAAACAGUAAAAAAGUAAACUCAGCAAAUGAAACCAACAACCCGACAAAUAAAAUCAAUCAACUCUGAAACCAUAUUCCCCAUCAAUGAUGCCAAAAUUUGAUAUCUCCCAAAUUAUACCUCAUAGAAAGUAUAAAGCGGUCGCCUAAUCAAAUAUAGAAACCAACUAGGUGGAGUUGAUCCUACUGGGAAAAGGUUAAAAUUCUAUCAAGUGUUUGUCUAAGAAACUGGAAAAUAAGUUAGGAGGGUUAUAUGAAAAAGAGAAAUAGUAACAAUUGAUGAUUUUGAGUUUGUGAUCAAUAUGAGAAAAGCACUAGAUUUUGAACCUCGUGACUUUAUAACUGCAUAGGUUUCUCAUACUAGCAAACUAUUGUGGUGCAUUGCCUGUAAAAUCUAGGAAGAACGACUCAUCUUAAUAUCUCUCAACCUUAGUUAUAUGAAUUUCACUCUUCUUAUCUAGGUCUUCAUGUGUUGCACUUUUAACCCUUGUUAUUGAUCUCAGAUUAACACUCCCUGCUACAACUCGAGUUAUUGGAUGAAGGUUGAUAACUUUGAAUUUUCUGUUGUUAUCUUUUUCCUAAUUUUGCUUCUCUCACAAGAAAAUCUAGAAUAUAGGCAAGUUCUUACUGUUUGCAACCAUUAGAAAAUAGUCAUAACAAAGAAAAUACCAAUACAUGCAAGUACUCUGGUAUAGAAUUUUCCCCACACUUAAUCUAUUUUAUUAAUUCGGCAUGUGAAAGUUCUUUUAUAUGUUUCACGCAAAAAUCAAGAAGGUAAAGGCAGCACUAGCUAAAUGGAGUAAGGAUACUUUUGGGGAUUUUUUUAGACAAAUUGCUACCUUAAAGGAUGUGAUUAAGGCAAAAUUAGUUUGAGAUAUACUCAACUCCGGAGAAUAGAACAUACUUGAGUAGGGUAGAGAAAAGUUGAAGACGUUCAUGUACAUCGAUAAAUAAUAUUGGAAGCAGGACGCUGGUAUGAAGUAGUUCAAAUAUGGGGACAGAAAUACCAAAUUCUUUCACUCUUAUGUGAAAGAUAGGAGGAGUAAACCUCAUAUAGUAGAUAUUCAGAUAGCAUAAGGUGAUAUGGUUAAUUUACUAAGAAUAUAGGGGAAGAUGCAUUAUUAUUUUUUGCUGCACAGUUUAAUAAAGAUGUCAGGAGUGAAGAUUUUAGCAUGCUAAAGUAUAUUCUUAAACUGAUUUCAGAUGAUCAGAAUAAGGUGAUGACUGCUCUACCUACAAUUGAGAAAGUUAAGAAAGUGGUUUUUUAGAUGAAUGGAGAUAGUACCAGUGGUCUAGAUGGUUUCUCUAUACAUUUCUUUCAAGCAUGUUGGGAGAUAGUUGGAGAGGAUAUUACUAAUUUUUCUUCUGUGGUUUUCAAUUACCCAAAUUUAUAACUCAUACUAAUCUGGUACUGAUACUAAAUAAAGAGUUUAUAAAUAAUUUUGGUGAAGUGAGACUCAUAAGCCAAAGCAUUUUUGUAAAUAAGAUCGUAUCAAAAUGUAUGCAUGAAAGAUUGGUGCUUGUUCUUCCAAGUAUUCUAUCAAAAAACUAAUCAAGUUUUGUGAAGGAUAGAAGUAUAAUAAAAAAUGUCCUUCUAGCUCAGGAAAUUAUAAGGGAUAUUAAUAUGAGAAACAAAUUUCAUAAUCUGGUCGUUAAGAUUAAUAUGGUCAAAGAUUAUGAUAGAUUAUCUUGGAAAUUCUUUACUAAGGUACUAAAAAGUUUGGCUUCUCAGAGAUCAUAAUUGAUAUGUUAUGGAGGAUUGUUUUUGAUAAUUAGUAUCAGUGCUUGUUAAUGGAUAGUCCUAUGGAUUGUUUCAUUCAUCUUGAGGUUUGAAACAAGGUGGUCCUCUAUCACCAACUUUAUUUAUUAUUACUACAUAAGUGUUAUCUAGAGGAUUAAAUAGUUUAUUUGAUGAUGUGGAAUACUAGAGUUAUGGAUUACCUAAGUGGAGCCCUAAAAUUAAUCACCUCUCUUAUGCUGAUAAAACUAUUUUAUUUAGCUCUGGAGAUAAGGUUUCUAUUCAGAAGAUGAUGAAAGUGUUGAGAGAGUAUGAACUAAUUUCAGGCCAGAUGGUCAAUAAGGACAAGAGUUUUUUCUACCUUCAUGAGAAGACCCCUUUAGCCAUUAGGAUAAGGCUCAGAAGAAUAACUGGGAUCAAGAUGGGUAACUUUCCUUUUUCAUAUUUGGGAUGCCCAGUCAUUUAUGGCAAAAAGAACAAUUCCUAUUUUGACGACAUUUUAAGAAAAGUUACCAAAAGAAUAAUGUCCUGGCAGAAGAAUUUUUUUUCAUAUGGAGGGGGGGGAUUUAUUUUGAUCAAUCAUGUCUUACAAUCAAUGCUUGUAAUCCUUCUAUUAUCUAUAAAUCCACCAAAGAAGGUAAUUGACCAACUUCACCAAAUUUUUGCAAUAUGUUUUUGGAGUAAAGCAGGUGGUGAUAGAGGAAAACAUUGGGUUAGUUGGGAAGACUUGUGUUAUCCUAAAAAUAAAGGUGAAAUUAGUUUCAGAUCUUUACAUGACAGCUCAAAAGCAACCUUUACAAAAUUAUGGUGAAAUUUUAGAGUGUCAUCAUCAUCUUUAUGGACAUCAUUCAUAUGGAACAAAUAUUUUAGAAAAUUACAUCCUACAGUAUCCAGAGGAAUAGGGGCAUCAUAAGUAUGGAAAAUGAUAAUAAGUGUAAGAGAGGAAGUAGAACCUAAAAUCUAGUGGCAAAUAAAAUCAGGAAAGUCCAGUUUUUUGGUUUGAUAACUGCACUAAGAUGGGGGCAUUGUAUUUUCAAGAAACAGAUUUUGCAGGGGAAGAGGAGAUAAAAGCCAAAGAGUUCAUUAUAGAUAGAGAAUGGGAUAGGCAGAAGCUGGCUGGUACAUAUCUAAGGAAAUAGUUAUACACAUUAUUGAAAAUAUCAAUCCUAAUUAGUCUAAAAGUAAGUUUAUUUGCCUCCCCAUCAAUUAUGACUAGGUCUAUUGGAUCUAGUGGUUUAGUUCGAGAGUUUUUGGCUACCACUGGACAUGAUAAGAAGGUUUAUCUUAAUUUUUCAACAAAGUUUGGUUUUUCAAUAGGAAAUUGCUUAUCUCAACUUCUUUUAUUAAUGAAUUUGUAUUGAAAUAUAUUUUAGGUUCUAGUUUGGGAGUUGAAAAAUAAUAAUUUUAGUAGUAGAGAAGGUUAUACUCAUGAAAUUACAGAUGCUCAUUUUAGACCAAAACCCAAUGGUGUUUACAAUAUCUUCUCAUGACAGAAUUAUGAAGAUAUGGGAUGCAGACGAGGUACUACGGCUAUUGCCAUAAUGAUAGCUUUAUAAUAUCUUUAAUUUAUUUCUUUUAAUUUGCGUCCAUUAAAACCAUGAAAUCCUACAUAUAUUACUAUUUUGUCAUUAUCCAGCCAAGCAACAGGUUUCGAAACCUUGUUGGCCAUGAUAAGCAAGUGAUAUCAAUAGAUUUUCAUCUAACAAAGAUAAGUCCCAUCAGUUCUUGUGAACGAAAUGAUGAGAUUAGAUUGUGGGAUGUCACUAGGCAUGAUUGCAAGCUCAUUCUUAAGAUUGGUACCUCUAUUUCCUUCCUUAUUUAUUUUUAAAUAUUGAUAAAGAGGUAUCUUUAUUUGACAUAGGAAGACUUCUUAAUUAGGUAGUAAGCUAUUUUUCUAUUUCUAUUUCAAUUUGGAGAUUCCCUAGUUACCUUAUUCAGAAUUAUUUUUGAAUUAAUUUCUAUAUUUAUUGUAGGAACUAUUUUUCAAAUUAUUCUUUCUUUUUCAUUCUAAGAAAUUUAAGGUUUUCAAAAUCAGUAGUCAGUGAUCACCGAAUACUUAUGCAAAAAGAUAUUUUAGAAAAUAAAAGGGUUUCACCAUAGUAUUUGAACCAACAUUCAUAUCACAUUGUAGAAUAUUCUAAACAACAUACUUUGUAUGGAAUUAGGUAUUAUUCAUUCACCAUAAAAGAUAUUAAUUGCUCUUGAUACAAAUGCAGGAAGGUAGUAGACAAGUUAGAUUUCAACCUCAUUUGGACACCUUUUAGCAAGUUCUACCAAAAAUACUAUAGAUAUCUUUUAUAUCGAGACUAACAAUAUCCAAUAAAAGUUACAAGUAAGAUGCUUACAUUUGUUCAUUGGUCAAACGUGUUUUAAAUUUCUUACAUAUUGCAUUACUAUAUUGUAAUAGUGUGAUGUUGGGUUUAUUUGGUUUAUAAGGACACAUCAAAAACAUUCGUUCAAUCUGUUGGGAUAUGAAUGAAAAUUGCCUAGCAGUUGUAAGAAAAGAUAGUGCACAAAUAUGGUCUAUAAGUGAAGGAAAGUGCAUAUCUGAAUUGUUCUCUAAUGAGAAUUAUUUAGCGGAAAUUUUGACUUUUUAAGAGUCGCCACUUAAUUUAUUUGAAAAGAAAUUAAGAAAACCUUUGAAAGUUCCUUAAACAAUCCAAAAAAAAAAAUCAUUUAAGUUUGAAGAUUCUAAGUAAGCAGUUCCUAUUAAUACUCUUGGAAGGUUGUUAAGGCUCCAAAAGUAUCUGCUAACUUGCGGGUUAUAUGGGUUGUUUGAAAAUAUCUUUUGAAUAACUUUAAAAAGAAAGAUUGAUUGUUGAAAAGUAAUUGAUUUUAGAAAAAUACUUGUGUAAGAUAGAUUUGGAUGACAUAGUAAGGAUUUUAACUAAGUCUAAACAAAUUAAUAACAAAGCAUGUAAAAGGGGAAGGGGAGAAAAUAAAAGACUUACGCCAUUGGGCCCAAAUCAAUAGACUCUGUCCUAAUCUAAUUGGUCUUUUAGCCCACUUGCACCUGUCCUAAUCUAAAUAUUGGGUGUAACGCCUCAAAUAUGGUAUCCAAAAUGCUACCCGAUGCUCAUGACCCCGAAGGACCACAAGCUAACCCAUGACUGAUAUCUGUACCUGUAUACUGCAUAAAAUACUUUAUAAUGUAGAAAUAUAAACUGAAAGGCGAUAAGGUUCAAUACUGAACAUAAUCUGUAUGAUAUAACAUCUGUGUGGGGUAAUAGAAUACCCAAAACAAAAUUGAACAUACUGAAGUCUGAAACAUGAUAGUCUAGAAAGCCUCUAACUAACUGAACUGUCUGAGUAAGAAGUUGAUGGGAUAUGUCCCCAACUAACUCCAACUAAUAAACUGAUUAAUGAGAUAAUAGGGAAAUAAUAAUAUCCUCAAAAGAUGAGGACUCACUUCUAACUCUGUCUGUGGAUGUCUGGAAUAUACUAUUGCUUUGGAGCUCGUGUCUCUGAACCUAUGGUAUAAGACACCAUAGCGCAAUUACGUUAGUACUUUGAAUGUACUGGUAUGCAUGUGAGGUAGGCUGAAUGCAUGGGGCUCAUAUGCAUGAACAAUAAUGAUAACUGACUAACUAUUAUGAGUAUGAGAAUAUAUGUAUGAGACAUAACAACUAACACUAAUAAUGUGAUAACAUGAUUACUGAAUCUGAAUAUAACUAAUAACAUGAGUGACUGUAUCUGAUAGUCCUAAAUCUAAUAGAACUAUCUGAGUUCUAUACUGUAUCUGAGUUGACUGUAUCUGACAGACCUAAAAUCUAAAGAACUAUCUGAGUUCUAUUACUGAGACUGAUUGACUAUAUCUGACAGUCCAAAUUUUGUAACAUGAAACUGUGGGAAGUAGUUAUCUAACCGAAUGCCCCUGAUAUGCCUUAUAGCUGAGUUGAGGUACAAUCUCUAACCCCAAUUGGAAGGGUGUCAAUACCGCACCAUUGAUAAGGACAAGCUGUGGGCGACCCUCAUCUGAUAGUGUCCCUAAAAGUGAACGGUGGGGCCCUUAUCUGACAGUGCUUAUCCACCCCAUCAACCCUCAUUGGACAGUGUUGAUGUCUCAACCUAUACAGUGUUGAUGUAUCAACCUAUGCUGGCUACAUAGUUCUGGAAUGCAAGGAUGACUUCUAAGAAUCACACCCACAUCUAAUAGUGUGUGUUCCCAUCCUUGGGUUCACUCGGUGCUAAUUCCUACUCCCAUCUGAAUAGACUCUGAGCAUGACUAACUGAACUGAACAUGGGCUGAGUUACUAAAUUCCAUUGACUGAUGGAAUACCACUGAUCUGACAACUGACUGAGUUCAUGAGAUUAUGGAGAUUUCCUGAGUCAUAAGACUGUCUGAAGUCUAAGGAUUCAUAGCUUGACUGAGAGUAUCGUGAAAACAUGACAUGCCUCUAGGCAUAUACCCCCAGGACUCGAUGGAAGGAAACUGACCAAGCAUAACUUACUUGAACAUAUAACUAACAUUAUAAUCCAUAAUACAUUUAUAGAAGAAUUUCAUUCAAACAUGUGAUAGGCAUAACUUGUACAUACAUGGGAAUUUCAUGGUAUCAUGCUAAUUAGGAACUUUUCCUUUAUCUAGGCAUUUCAUCAAACAUAUUGUAGGAAUGGUACAUGUAAACGACAUUGUACAAUAAUUAAACAUCAUGGUUCAAUUCUAAUUUCAUCAUUCAAGGGUUUAGUCAUAGGUUUGCAUGAAUCUAUAUCUAUAAUAAUUUAACCCACAUAGAAUUUAUCAACCAACAUGGAGUAGAAUUCAAUUUCUCAUUAUUUACAUGAACAAAAGCAGCCCAAUCAUGAAAGUCAUAAGAAAAUCCAUAAACUUGAAUUUAGAAAAGGGAUUCUUGGGCUUCAUGGAUGAAAGGAAUCCAUGAAUGAACACUAUCAAUACCUUAGUUCGUGAUUUCGUGAAGAUUGACGGUGAAACUUUCAUAAAAUUGGAUAUUCUAUGAAAACCCUAGCUUGUUCUUUAGAGAAACUAGUAUAUUUUGGGUGAAAAGUGGGUAAAUUGUGUGUUAAAGGGCUUAAAUAGGGGUGGAAAGUUGACCCUUUUAACCCUGGACGCGUAAUUUAAUUUCAGUAAAAUUUUCCCAAACUGAACCCCUAGUGUAACGCGGUGCUAUUGUGCCGUGUCAUUGGAAUUUGAAAAUUGGGAUACUGAGGGAUGGCACGACACGGAGCCAUCGCGUUGCCCCUUCUUUUGUGACCUGGAACUUUGGCGCGAUGCGGGGGAUAUCACGUUGAGACACUAGAAAACAGACAAUUUUGAAUUUGGGCCCUGGAAUGAUGUGCCAUAAUCGCGGACCCCUACUGGAAUUUACCAAAUGUCAUUUCCUCUUGUGGCGCAGUGCGCCACUGACUAAUAUGGCAUUAUUUUACGACGGGAACUUGAAAUAGUCGUAACUUCUGACUUGGUUAUCGAAUUUGGGUGAAUCUUAUAUCGAUGGAAAGCUUAUUGAAUUUUCCACAUGACAAAAAGUGAAAAUCUUGAAGAUUCCUCAUGGAAUAAUCAUCAUUAAAUUUAUAAUCUAAUACUAGACAUUUUUAAGAUGAAAUUAGCUAGGAAAAAGUACGGGGUAUUACAUUGGGCUUUCAGCCCACAACCUGUCCUAAGCUAGUUUACAGACCUUUGAGGCCCAAAAUCCGUCUUACCUAUAUUAACAUACAACUUUGGUUUCGAGGCCCAAAUGAAUAAAUAAAUAAAUGACUAAAUGAAUAAAUAAAAAAAAAAGACAAUAAUAAAAAAUCGAGACUUUUCAAGUCUCUUAGUGACCUCAUCAAUGGAUUUUGAUCCAUUUUUCUUCUUCGUCUAUCUUCUUGAACCCGUACAUGAUGUAGUGGACCUUGGGUUUAAACUUCGAACUUGACUCGGAGAGGUGAGCCUCAUUGACCCAUUACGAAAUACAAGAAGAGAGGAGUCCAUUUGAACUCGAGAUAUUUUUUUCAUGCAAAUAAGAGAUAAAGAAAUUAAUAUACGUUCAAGGCAUAAUAGUUACAUAUUUCAAAGCAAAAGAAAAUACCAAGAAUCAAUUUUUGAAUUACAAUGAUUUGUACACUUGCACACGUAUAACAAGAAUGAGAGUCAAUAGAUAAAAUUCAAAGAAAAGACAUCCACUUGUAUUCCUCAUGAUUUAUGUUCAUAUUAAGAAUGAAUAAAGGUAAAAAGAAGAAGGUCAUAUUCAAUGAACUAAUCCAAGAAACAAACAACAUAAGCUUGCAAAAUUAAAGGGAUGAGGAAACAACAAAAAUACUCAUGACUUCUAAAAUUGAACAAACAUAGACACUAAUUCAUAAAAUAAAAGAAAAUAAAGGUUAACUUUUCAAGAAAGAGAAUGUUUAAAUUUCAAUUAAGGCGACAUUAAAGAAAAUUCAUACAUCUAAAUUACAACCAACAUUUUAUGAAAAAACGUGUAACGACCUAUGGUUUAUAUUUCUAAGACAUCAUUGAUUCUCUUUUGAUAUUAUGAAUAAAAGAGAGACUUGAAUUAAGUCUUUACACACACAAAGAGCACAUAUAACAAUCCGGAGUAAGAAAAUAAGAAUAAAAGUUUAGCAUCUCUAAAAGUGAAAUAUCGUUCAACAAUAAUACUAUGCAUGAAUCAAAAAUAUCCAAAUAACUCUAUUUAGCCACAAAAGUCUGAAUUUUCUCAUUAUUUUGACAAGACAACACGCGAACAAAAGAGGAAUAAACAUCUUGGGUGGAAAAUAAAGCAAGCACUUCAUCUCUUAUAUGAGGAUUUUGAAAUUCAUUAAAAUAAUUAGCAAGCAAAUGAUAAAUUCUUGACUUAACUAAUUACUAUUUUUAUUAAGGCGAAACAAAUAAUAAUAACUAUUUUUCCAACAUAAAAGAAACAAUUUUACAUGCUAAAACAAACAUAUCCGCCAACAAUGAAUUUAAAUGAGGCAUGAGUUCGUCUUUUGAGCACAAAUCAAAACUUUAUACAUAACAAUCAAAGAAUAAAGUCAAAAAACAAAACAAUCAAUAUUAACUAUUCUUUUAAACAUAAAGAAAAUAACUUUACAUUCUAAAAACAAACAUAUCCACCAACAAUGAAUUUAAUAAAGCAUAAGUACAUCUUUUAAGCAAAUAUUAAAACUUUAUCUAUAAUAAUCAAAGAAUAAAGUCAAAAAAAGGCACGUACAACUAUUGCUAGCUCAUUUUUAUAUCAUGGAUAUGAAAAUGAUUAAAAUAUAGAUACCACAACGUCCUAUAGCCUUCAAGGCCAUCUACAGCAAACAAUCCUAACAAAUAAAAUUAUAACUACGAACUACAAAGAAGAGAAAGAUAAAGAAGAAAACAAUAAUAAAACUAAAAAAAAAAGUGUGUUUAUCUUUUUGGGGGCAGCAAAAAGAGACUAUAAGCUUCGUCGGAAUCAACCACCACCGAAAAAUGUCGCCGACAACUUGUAAAUAUUGAUUAUCCAACCAACUCUAUGAAACAAAAAUUUUACUAAAUAAAAAUAACUAUUUUUCUCAAAGGAUUUUUUCACCUUUCUAGCCUCUGUUUUUUUUAACUUUUCAACACCUCUUCCUACCAAAGUAGUAGUAGUAUUUAUAGGACAAAAUGGAGUUUUAUUUCAUUUCCUCCACCAAUGUGGGAGAAAAGUAUUUAUAGGAAAGGAUGAAGAUUUAUUUCUGGUCAUCCACCAAUGUGGGAGAAAAGCCAUUUAGGGGUGUUUUUGGAUUUUAAAAUUAAAGAUAAGGAAAGGUGGAAGAUACUGUGGGGGGGGGGGAAAAAAGGGGGGGGAAUUGUACAAUGUAAUACAAUUUUUGAAUUUCAAAUUGGGAAAGGACAAAGUUGGGGGAAAAUAGUAUAAUUUAGUACAAUUUGAAAUUAUUUUUUGGUGGAAAUUGGGUAGAAGUUCUGAGAGUUUUUGGGAAUUUUGGGAUUAUUUAAAAUAUAAUCCCAAUUGGAAUUUAAAAUUUAGACAUAUUCAUUUAAUUUUGACCAAAUGAAAAAUCAAUAGAUGGAUUGCAUUGCAAUUAUGGUCAAUUUUAUUUCAAUUAUGGCCAAAUCUAAUAGAUUGGCUAAAUUAAAUCGAAAUUCGAUACGAAUUAAUACUUCUUUUAAUCCCAAGAUUUUUUAUUUAAUAAAAUCAAAUACAUAUUUAUCCAAAUAAAUUAUUUUAAUAAUAAAUUAGAUUAAAAUCAAGAUUUUAAGCAUUAUAUUUAUUUUUAAAAUAAUCCUUAAUUAAAAUCCAAUAUUCCAUAGAAUAAAUAUUUAAGUAAUCAAAUUAUAUAAUCUCACAUAACUGAACACGAUAAUAUAUAAUCACUACUUAAAAUGACAAAUUUACGUACAAAAAAUAUUUUAAAUUUUUUUUUAUUCGGAUGAAAUAAAUAUUUCAAUUUUAUUAAAAACCGAAGAAACUCAAGAUUAAAUUUAGUCGUGGAGGCCAAAAUUAGGUGUCAACAAGAAUAAGUUCCGGUCCUUCACUUUCCACCUAGGGCACCCUCUAGUGUUAGUAAUUGGUUUUGAUAAGGUAUGAUUAGCACAAUUUGAACAUUUCUUUGCUAAACUAUGGAGUUCAUCUAUACAAGGCCUACUCGAUAAUUAUGAAGGCCUAAAUCAAAACACAACGAGAGGCCCAAGAUUUUAUUAAAAAGGGAAAAUUACAUAUGUUAACAUAAUUAAGUACUUAAUUACAAAAAAUAGCAACACCUUUUCCUAAUUACAUUCUAUAACAUAUGUAGCAUUAUUUUAAGUAGUCCCAAUUUUUUUCCCGCCUAAAUUUUUUACUGUGCUAAAAUCCCCCUUUUCACUCCUCCUUCUUUAUCUUUCCUUAAUUUAAAUUUUUUUUUCCUAUUUUUUCGCCAUUAACCAUCACUCUCUCCUCAAUUUUAUUGCCUUUUACACGAUUUUUGCAUGAUCUGUGAUAAGAUUUUGCCUCCCAUAUUUCAGGUAAUUAUUAAUCGCAUUUUGCAUGUGAGCGUUUUAUUCUUUUCUCCUACUUUAAUCCAUCAAAAAUUUAAUUUUUAAGGGUUUUGUGUUUUAAUGGAUGAACACAUUGCAAAAACACCUACAAACAGUGGUAUAAGAAAUAUGAAAUUAGUGUCUAAUGCACGAUAUUUUAGUCUUGGGUUAACUCAUAUUUCUUAUACCACUGUUCUUAUACCACGAUGAGGAUGCUGAGAAAUUUACAAUUCUGUAUUUCCUGCAUUUAUUCGUAUUGUCUAACAUUGACGCUGUUGUUAUACCCCAUCUUCAUUUCAAUUUGGUAGAUAGUGGUAGAUAUAAGGAUUUUCCAUGGGGGUUUUUUAUCUUUUGAAGAUCUGGCCAGAAUUUUGAACAACCAGUUGAAAGCUGGGGGCAAAUUUUAUUUGAUUCAGGGAAUGCCACUGGCUAUUCAAGUAUGGCUAUAUGAGUGUUGUUCAAAUGUCCCUCCAAAGAUUGCAUUGAAGGUUGAGAAUCAGAUUCCCUGAUUAUUAAUUUAGAAGACGAUUGCACCUCGUCCAUGCUAUAAGUUUUUUUAUGAAUGCUAUGUUCAAGGACAAUGGCAAGGUUUGUUGUGAAUAAAUAUAUACGUAUUGAUAUGUAUUGUAUUGUAUACAUAUAUUCUUUUUCAUUUACAAUUGUUUAACAUAUUCUUUAACAUAUUAUUUAACAUAUUCGUAGGUUGUAUUUAAGAACAUAGAGCCAACUGAAAUAAAAUUGGCAAAGCUUGAAAUACCACAGAAGGAUGUAACUGAAGAUGAACGUUCAGUUGAAUCUUACAAUGACUUCCAGGAUCCACCACCAAAAAAGAUCAACGAACAUUCAAAGAAGAAAUAGAAGGUGGAUUCAUCAACCCCAGUAGCGAAGAAACCUUCAGGGAAAAAGCAAGUCAAUAUUGUUGACGAGCAUACCCAAACGAGGUCUCCACCUCCUCAUGCUGCAAAGGCUGUUGUAAUGAAGACACCAUUAUUCAAGUCAAUUCCAACACGGCAAGCUUCUUCUUCAAAAAUGAAGAAAGGAAAGCAAACAGCUAGGGUUAUUUUUCCUCAGGUACAGUCAAAGCAGAUAGUCAUGUAGAGGAAGUAGCCGUGUCAAAGUGUUAGAGUCAUGUUGAGAAAGAAGCAUUUAUUUCUAAGAAAGUUUUUGAUGCAUUCCGCGAAGAGGUAAUUUUUUUUUGUCAAAUGUUUAUUUUACAUUUAAAAAUUUAUGUUUACUGAAUUUGUAUAAAUACAGUUUCGUCAAGAGUUUAAAGGUGUUCGUGAAGAGUUUACUCGAAUUCUUCAAUUAGUGAAGAAAAAGUUCAAAAAAAUGGUCAAAGCAAUUGAACAUAGCAAGGUAAAAGUUUUAUUAUUAUAUAAUAUCCACAGUAUUAAAAAAAUACAUAUGCAGAGUAUGUGAAAAAAUACAUAAGCAAUAUAUUGCUAAAAAUACAUAUGCAGUUUAUACAAAAAAAUACAUAUGCUUUGAUUUUCAAAAAUACAUAUGAAAUGUAAUACAAAAUACAUAUGCAGUGUAUCAAGAAAUGUAUUCUGCUAAAUACAUAUGCAGAGUAUGUAAAAAAAUACAUAUGCAGUAUAUUGCUAAAAAUACAUAUGCAGUUUAUACAAAAAAUACAUAUUCUUUGUUUUCAAAAAUACAUAUGAAAUGUAAUACAAAAUACAUAUGCAGUGUGUCAAAAAUGUAUUUUUCAACACUAUGUAUUUUAGUGGGUUGGUAUAUACAUAUUAAGUGAAAUCAAAUAAUAAUAGUUUAUUCAAAUUAUAUUUGUAGCAACAACAUAAAGAUACAGAGGUUGAAGCACAACAAAUGGAUUAUGCUGGUGUCGAAACAUCACCACAACAAUUCAGUCCUACUGUUGAUCAGAAUUUGGAUGAGAAUCAGGAUGGUACAAAGGUAAAAAAAAUAACUAAAAUAUGAUUAUUCUUUUGAGUGCACAAAUGUAAUUAUUUUUUUUAACAGUUAUAUGUUAUUUUAUAUAUAGACCUAUAUAAACAUAUACAACUGGAUUUUUGUUUGAAGUUGUUUUAAUUUUUUUUUUUUGCUUGUUUGCAAGGGUUGCACUGAUUUUCAUUCAGAUAAAACAAACAUUGAAAUUGAUUCUCAACAUUUAAUCCCUGGUGAGCUUCUCCAAAGUAUAAAUUUGGAUUAUAAUCUUUCUGAGAAGAUUGUUCAUCAUGAAGAUAGAAUAUGUAUAUGAAUUGAACUUUAGUUUAUGAGAUGUAAAAAUCAUAACAAUCCAUAAGACAAUUAUAUAUUUUCUUUCAUUUCUAUUGCAGAUCACUGAUGACAAAUUGGAUGAUACAAAUUUGUCUGAUUCUUAGUUUGCAAUCCCAGAUGAGUUGUUACCAAGUCUUAAUACAUACCAAAGAGAAAGCAUCAUGAGACUUAUGAAGAAGAACAAAGCGAUGAACAUUUUAAUGAUAAAAAGUCUGAAUCUGUUGUUCAAGAUCAUGGUCAAGUAUGUAUUAUGAACAUAUCUGAGGUUAUGUGGGUAUUUUGGACAUAAAAAAAUAAACUAUUUUCCAUUUUUGAAGGAAAACAAAGAAAACGUUGGAUCGAGCUCUAAACUAGAUAUGCACGGAGAGGUUGAUCUUGGUAUGGAGGAGCAGAUUAUGACAACUCCUAAAAUACAAGAAUUAACCACUGAUGAACAAAGGGAUGAAGUAGUUUGGCCUGAUUCAUAAGACACAAUCCCUGAUGACUUUCUUCCUAGUUUGAAUGUAUACAGUAGUAAAAGCAUCAUUGUUCAUCCCUCUUCUAAUCGUGAACUUCAAACUCCUAUUCCAAAGUUAAGGAUUUCGCGACCAUCCAAAUUCAAUGAGUCACCUUACACGAUGAAAUUUGGUUCAGCUGUCGGUAAGUAUAGUUAGUUAUAUAUUUAUUUUACAAUGUAACAUAUUAUGCAAAUACUUUUUAAUAAUUACCUUUUUGUAUUACGUAACUAUAUAGAGAGCUCGGAAGGGCACAUACGUAUAUUCCCACAGAAACAUCCAUUUGCUUAUUAUCUAAAUUAUGGGAUUGUGGAUACGAAGAUUGUCAACAAGUUCAUGGAUUGGAUUUCUGAAGACCUUCUCAAAGUUCAUGCUAAAAGGUAUUUCUAUUGAACUGUUUUAAGUUUUUUCUUUUAAAAUUACAUUAUGUUCUCAUGAUUUAACAUAUACUGAUUAACAAAAAAAACAGAAAGGAAAAUGCGGAUCAUUACAAAAGGGGGAAAUCAACCAUUCCAAUGAUGCAUUUCGGAAUUGAGACUGUUGAAGAUAAAAAUUGGUUCUACACAAUGGGGUUCCCUGAUCAGUCAUGGACAGACUCGGUUAGUAUAUUUUUUUUGACAAUAUUUUUUUUACAUUUAUAGCAGUAAUUAAAAUACAUAUUAUGGUACUUGAAAAUACAUAUGCAAGUGCACAUAUGUAUUUUUACUAUGCAUUUUUUUAUUAUAUAAGAAAGGAUGUGUUACACUUUAAAUUACAUAUGUAUUUUUAUAUUACAUACACAUGCUAAAUUUAGCAUACAAAUAGUUUGAAUGAUCUAAAAUUUGUGUUGCUACUUACUGCAGCAUAUUGAUGUUUGCUUCUACUACUUGAGGAAGAAGUCGAAGUAUGACCCCAACAGGUCUUACAAAUUCAGCACAGUAGAUUGCAACUUUAUGAACAUAAUUAGGUCUGCUCAUGAUGUUUAUUCUACGGAUGAUGCAAACCUUACAACGAGAGGACAGGUGGCACAUCUUAAUGAAUGCAUAAAUGAGUUUCGUAUGCAUGCCCACUACAAGAAAUACAGUUUUUUGUGAUGACUUUCAGUGGCGACACAAACAGUUGCCACAAAAGCUAGCAUUUCUGUGGCGACAUAUAAGGGUUGCCACAAAAGGUAUAAGAUUUAGAGGCGACCAUCAAAGUCAUCACUAAUAGUGACAUAUUUAGUGGCGACUAUGCAUAGGUUGCCACAAAAGGGAUAAGAUUUAGGGGCGACCAUUAAAGUCGCCCCUAAUAGUGACAUAUUUAGUGGCGACUAUAAAGUCGCCACUAAUAGUGACAUAGGUCGCCACAAAAGGUAUAAGAUAGUGACAUAUUUAGUGGCGACUAUGCGUAGGUCGCCACAAAAGGUAUAAGAUUUAGGGGCGACCGUUAAAGUAGCCACUAAUAGUUACUAUAUAGUGGCGACUAUGCGUAGGUCGCUACAAAAGGUUUAAGAUUUAGGGGCGACCAUUAAAGUCGCCACUGUUAAGACUCUCAGCUCGAGAUAUUUUACAACAUUAGUAACAAAUAAAAAUUAUUUAAACGAAAUAAAUAUAGAAUAAUUAAUGAUAUAAAUUAAAAGGCUGAAAAGUUCAAAAUGUAAACCAAAUCAAAAGCUCAACUUUUCAUUUCACAUUUUUUCUUAAAAAAAUAAAUUAAGUUAUUUGUAAAUAUAUUUUGGAUAUAUAUUUUAUAUAUAGACAAUCCACAUUCAUGAUUUAAAAAUGUACAAAUUAUUUUGAUAGUUUUUAGUAUCAUUUUUUAAAAUUUAUUAAUUCAAAUACGAUAUUUUACAUAAUUUUAUUAAUAUUUAUUAAUUUUUUUUCUCGUAAAUGUUCACACUCACAAUUUACAAAUAUAUUGUCUAUUAUUAUUAUAUUUACUAUAAUUGUUAUUGUUCUUGUUAUUAUUAUCGAUAAUUUUUAUAAUAAUUUUGACGUAACAUUAAUUUAUUUUAAUAGGAUGUCUCAUUAUUAUUAUGAUUAUUAUAUUUAUUAAACUAGCAGCCACUUUUAUACAAUUUUUCUUUCUUGUGUUUAAUUUUUGUAUAGAAGUAUUAUGUUAUUUAUUAUUUACCUAAAUUUUGAUGAAUACAAUUAAUGGGUAUCUAGUAAAAAAUAUUUUCUUUGUCCUUCUUUAUUAAAAUUAUAAAAUGGAAAAAAAGGUCAAUAACAUACAAGAAGAAAAUAAAAAGUGUAGUUACAAUAUGCAGCAACAAACUCAUAUAAUCUUUCCAUUUCAUCUACAUCCAGAAUAAAAAAAAGGAUGGAUAAAUAGAGAUUUGAGAGAGAAAUUGAGAAAGGGAGAGGUACAGAGAGAACAGUGAGAGGGGAGAGAUCGGAGAUGAAGAGAGAGAGGGGUCGGAGAUCGACGAGUCUUCGCCUGAAUCUCACCAAAUAAAGGGUCAUCCGCUGCUGAGAAACACCACCAACCCCUAAUACAUUUUUCGAUCGAACCAUCGCCAUAAAUGUCCCUUCCCCAAAACCCAAUCGAAACCAGCUUCAAUGCACUCCAAAUCCCUUAAAAAAAAUAGCCAAUAUUCAACAAGAACAGUUACCUCGUUCCUUUUUCGGCGACUAUUCAUAAAAAAUCCAUCGACAAAUAACACGGGAUGGGUUCUGGUCUUUUCAGUUUGUGAUUCUUAGUUCCAUUUUGGCGAGGCAAUGCAAAGGGCAUUAGAUCGAAGUUGGAUUUGUUCGUUUGAUUGACGUUUGUUUGAGAUUCCGGUGGCGACAUCAAACAAGUUGGAUUUAAAAUAAAUUGAGGUCCAUUUCUUAUCUCUCUCUCAAUUAAUUUUAAUUGUUUGAUAUUUUGGUGUGUUAAAUUCAUAUUGUGUGGAUUUUAUUUUCAUUGAUUUUAAGAUAGUAUCACGAUAGGUUAAAGUUGGUAGGCAAACGAUAGGCCGGGUAGGCAAACGUUAAUUCUUGCUAAUUCAGCUCGCUUAUACAGAUUCUGUUGCAUAAGGCCUGCAACCAGAUCAAAUUAUCUUCACAUAUGUUGCAAUGAAACAAAAGCCUAGCAUUCCCUGGACACUGAUGGUAUCUUGGGUUUGAAUGAAUUAUAAUGUAUACAUUUUUCUGUCUGACCUGCAGAAAGCUAUGCCCGUGCUUACAUUUCCCGAGCUUAGGAGUUGUGUCCGUUUGUAGUCCUUUAUGUGAUUUGGGUGUUGUUUAGUUCAUUUUUGCAUUUGGGGUUUGCUUAGUUUUGGCAUAUUAAGGCCUAACCACACCAUCAAAGUUUUGUUGUUUCUAUAUUUUUCAGUAAGUAUUGUUGAAGUUGUGAACUUUAUUUUAUUUGGUUGUUGUUGAGGUUUACUUAGUUUUAGCAUGUUAAUGCUUAAUCACACCAUCAAAGUAUUUUUGUUUCUAUAUUUUCAGCAUUAAUUUGUGAACUUAAUGGGAUUUGGAUGUUGUUUUAGUGUUGUUUUGUUCAUUUUGUCAUAUGGGUUUUGCUUAGUUUUGGAUUUGAACUUUAUGUGAUUUGUUAGGUGUUGUUUUAAUGAUAUCUAGUUCAUUUUGGCAUGUCGGAUUUUGUUAUUUUUGGCUGUGCACUGAUUCAGUAACUGACCAGAAAAAAAGAUAGCAUAUUAAGGUCUAAUCACACCAUUAAAGUCUUCUUAUUUCUAUAUUUUUUCAGCAGGUAUUCUUGAAAGUUGUGAACUUUUUGUGAUUUGGAUGUUGUUUUAAUGUUGUUUUGUUCAUUUUGGCAGUGGGUUUUACUUAGUUGGCUACAUUACUAAUUUCAUUGAAAAAUGGAUUUCGCCUUGGUUCUUCAUUGAACAAUAGCUUACGUAGAGAAGGCUUAGCUACAAGGCUAAUUCUUAGCUCUUCACUUCUGCUCUACUGCUACUGGUUUAGUCUGGAAUGAGCAAACCAGAACUUUAUUUUUGGUUGCGGUUGAAGGGGUGUGGAGGGGCUUCUUAUCCUUUGAUAAAUAUAUAAUUUCCGUUUGCACAGAUUGUAAAAGUAAAGCAGAUUCAUAGCUAGUUUAAGAAAUUUUCCAUAUUUCUGCAAUCAAUUUGCAUAGAAUAAUAAUAUAUACACAAAUUUUGGUAGUCUUGUCAAGUUUAUUGCCCUACUGAGUUUUAUCUCGUUUCAAUGUAAAUAACUCAAUACCAAAGAAGAUGGAUCAUAUGUUAAUAAAGUGGCAAAAGAGAUUUGUGUAAGUACUCUGUUGAGCAAUUUUUAUCGUUUUAACAUUGCGUUGUUGAAUCUAUAGUCUAGUGAAGCCGUAUGGGACUCUUUCGAUUCACUAUUAUUGUUCCCUAGUUGUUAUCUCAUUUUCUAGUUCAAAACACAAACUCAAAGUCUAGUGAAGCCUUGUGAGGCCUAUUUCCAUUCACUAGCAUUGUGACGUUGUCUUUCAUCUAAUUUUCUUAUUCAAACACAUAAACUCAAAGUCUAGUGAAGCCGUGUGAUGCCUAUUUCAAUUCACUAGAACUUUGUUGUUCAUCUUGUUGUUAUUGUGUUGGUUGGAAUAUGUUGAUACACACAGUCCUGUAUCAAUACGGCAUUACAAUAUCCAUGUUGUAACGCUCUGUGAAGUGUAUUUAUAUAUAUUCUGGUUAGAUGAUAGGUUUUUGAUAGGCCUAUUUACAAAGGAAACUUUGGCAAAAAAUUUUGAAAAUUUUGAGAGUUAAUAGAAUUUUAGGACCACAUAAUGGAUAAAAUGAAGUGGAAGUUAAGUAAAUGAUCUCAUGAGUGUAUUAGAUAAUUCUUAAGUAAAUUCUUAAGAAAAAAUGUGUUAGGAAUUGAUAUGCCUAGCAUAAAUAAGUUUGGUUGUGUUAGCUAAAUUGAGAUCUUUCUUUUUUACUGACCAGAUCUUUUUGUUAGUUUCAUUGUCCUUUCAGCCUAUUUUGGGUUAACUAAGAGUAGUUAAAAAAGAAGUUCAUUUCCUGGAAAACAGAAAAGGGCAGAAUUUUUAUUGAGUCAAAGUUACUAAGCUUUCUUAAUGUAAUUCAUCAUUUGAGGAAUUAAAAGUCUUAUCAUUUUGGAAGAGCCAGUCUGAUAAGUAUGUUUUUAUCUCCAUUUGUAAGAUGAGUAUUGAGGGAGAUUACCACAGGGGGUAAACUAGUUUUUGCAUUCUGGAAUCUUUAAUGUAUUCCGUAGUAUUUUAAUACAAAGAUAUUGUUGUCAUCUCUUUUACAAAACAACAUUAAGAUUUCUCAAAUCAUUUCUUGCAUUUUAACAAGUUAGAAUCGAUACUUCGCUUUAUUUUUUAUUUCAGGGACAGGUAAUUUCAUGAUGGAAAUUGUUAGCCAUAAGAAGUUUGAAGAUAUUUUGUGAUUUUCUUUCUCAUAUUUAUAUCACAUUGAUUUGUUACCCAUUAAAAACUAUAUAAUUCUCUUCCGGAGAAAUAUAUUUUAGUAUCAUCUUUGUAACUUUAAGUACUGUAGUUGAAUUAUUGACAACGAAGUAGACAAUAUAUAAUUUAUAUUUUUUUGGGGAAAAAAGUGAGUAUUAGUAGCGACUCAUAGUUGCCACAAAAAAGUGAGUAUUAGUGGCGAUCCAUAGUUGUCACAAAAAAGUGAGUAUUAGUGGCGACCCGUAGUCGCCACAAACAGGGAGUAUUAGUGGCGACCCAUAGUCGCUGCAAAAAGUCAUUUUAAAAAAAAAAAAAAAGAAUUCAACCUUCUGUGGCGACAAAAGAUCGCCACUAAAUCAUUGUUUUAUGGCGUAUUUGCUUGCUUUUUUGUGGCAACUUUUGUCGUCACAGAAUGUAUGUUUUGUGGCGACUAACAUAUAUCAUCACAAAAUACUUUUAGUUACGAAAGUAAUUGCUACGAUCCUAAUGUCGCUGCUAAAUAUAUUUAGUGGCGACUUUUGGUUCUUUUGCGACAACUUUUGUCGCCACUAAAAACCAGAUUUCCUGUAGUGGUUGUUGUGCCAUGGCAUACAGUGGAAGACAUUUAUAUUCCAGUAAAUAUAAAGGAAAAACAUCAUUGAGUGCUAGCAAUUUUAUCUUUCUCAAAGAGGUGCAUAUUCCUAUAUGAUUUAUAUGAAUCACUGGUCAUUAUCUGGCUGUUCUUGAUGUCAUUGAGAAAUUAGUUGUGAUUACCUCAUUAUGUGUCCAACAUUGUGAUUUCUAUGUUAAGAAAGAAAUUGAUGUUGAAAACCAUCCAAGAUACAAAGACAAAGACUCCUCAGCUAUGUUUGAUGUGUUAUUUCAAGAGAGUUUGCCUCAACAACUGAGCGGAAGCUUGUAAGUUAUUUAAUUUACAUAUAACAAAAUUGUAUAUUUGUAAAAUAUAUAUUAAAGCACAUAUAUGUUCUUUUUUAUUGUUUUUGUAGGGAUUGUGGUAUCUAUAUAGUUACAUAUACGGACUGUCUUUCUUAUGGUCACAAAGUUCUUGUGAAUGAGUUCGACCCCAAUGCACUCCGUACAAGAUAUGUUGCACUUUUGUGGGAAUAUGGGACCAGAAAGCAAGAUGCAAAUGCUCAUAGUGAUGUCGAAGCACCUUUGAGGCCUGCAAGGCAAAGUAGAAUAACUAGUGUAACUGAAGUUUUUGAUGUAUGAUGGAUGAUGGAUUCAUUACUUUAUAUAGUUUAGACGCUGGUUUAUGGAUGUAGGUACUGAUUAUACAAACUAAUUUUAAUGUUUUGAAGUGGUUCUAAUUGUAGGUUAUAAUAAUACUUAUUUUAACUGAAUGAAAUUAAUUCAGUUUUGAAGUUUAAUCUGAGUCUUUUAUGGUGUUCUUCAUUUUACUGUGUGAUUUAGUUAAAAAAUACAUAUGUAUUGUUCAUAUUAUGCUAAAAAUACAUAUAUAGGAAAUUUUAUGCCUAAAAAAUACAUAUGUAUUGUUUUUAGCUGACAAAAAUACAUAUGCAAUGUUAUGCCUAAGCAUUCCAAAAAUAUAUCUGAAAUUUUUAGUUUAAAAAUGCCAAUGUUAUGUUAGAAAUACAUAUGCAAUGUUAGAAAAUAUAUAUGCAGUGUUCUUAUUUUGCUAAAAAAUAUGUAAGCAUUAUAAAUAAAAUUUAGCCUAAAACUACAUAUGCAGUGUUAAUAGUAAGAUUUUCUAAAAUACAUAUUGUUCAUAACUAAUAUGUAUUUUGAUAUGUGUCCAUUUAAUAUGAUUAUAAAUGAAAACUCGAAUUAAAUAUAAAUUUGAAACUUUUAAUACAGUUCUGUAAUUUAUGGUGAGAUUUUAUUUUACAAAAAUACAUAUGCAGUGUUAAUAUUUUUUAUUAAAAUACAUAUGUAUUAUACAUUUAAAUGUAUUUUUAGCAUAUAAAUACAUAUGCAGCGCUAAGAUUUUCGAAUUCAAAUAUAGAUUUACAGAAUAUGUCAUAUGUGGCUAAAUCAAUGGACAAUUACGAACUAAAUAAGUGUUUGGUUAAUCAAAGUUACCAACUUUAAACUAAAAAGUAUAUUCAAUGUUAAAAGUACAUAUGAACUGCAGAUUCAAAAUACAUAUGCAAUGUUCAGAUCUUGCAACAUAUACAUAUGCAGAAUUCAGAUUUUACUAUGUUCACUUGUCAAAUGAUGAUUAAAUGUAUUAACUAAAAAAAAUAGUUCAAGUUUAUAAAAAAUGAAAAUAAAGUUUUAAGCAAUAAUACGGAAGGAGAAAUGUAUCAUUUUCGAUAUUUCCUACAAGAACGCCUAUUGUGAACCUUAGCCCCACAAACAUCACAUGAGUUGAUGUUCUUCUUUCUAAACAUAUCCCGACCUGAUUUUCCACAAUCCUUCUUUGCAGGUCUUCCUAGAGGUCUUUCGUAUUUUGGAGGCAGUACAAUUUCACCAAGUACGCUCUCUGGAAUUAGCCAGUCAUCUUUGUGUGGCAACGGGUAGAUGGGAAUAUCAUAUGUCUUCGAAACAGUUUUUGGUUUAAACAAAUCACAACAGUAUGGCCCCUUCUCAAAAUUCUUCUUCUCCAACACCGCACAAGCAUGUGCACAUGGUAUCUGAUCUAGUUGAAAUGCAUUCAUGAGAUUUUUUUCCUUGAGGCAAACAAUGAAGUAUUUUUGUUUGUCGUGUACCGUAUACACAUAUUCUAUGGCUGGUACAACCUGAUAUAAAAAUAAAAAGUUUAAUGAAAUGCUACAAAAAGAUGAAAUUCAUAUUACAUGAUAUAUUGUAAGCACACUAGCAUUUUUGCAGAAAAAUAUAUAUGCAGAGUAAAAAUACAUAUGCAGAGUACAUUUUUAUAGAGCAUCCAAAUAUAUAUGAAGUGUUAAUUAUUUUCAAUUAAAAAAUACAUAUGCAGAAUACAUAAUUUUUUUACUGAACUUUUUAGUUUAUUUUUAUAUGUUUCCAUUCAUUUAGAACUUAAUGGAAGUUAUUCUAUUAAUUAUGUUUUUCAGAAGUAUAAAUUCCAAAAGUGUCAAAGGUCAUACCGUCAUAUGAGUACACAAAGCCUCGUUCUCUUUGAGUAUGUCAUUAAACUUUUCAAUGAGUGGUGUGAAGGUAUAUGAAGCCUGUUGCCUAUUUUUGCAGUUCCAUUUUGCAAAUAAUAAUCGAACCUCCUCAAGAAAGUCAUAAAUUGGCAGUUCUCUAGCUGAUACAAGUACUCCAUUUAUUGACUCCACAAUGUUUGAAAUCAAAGUCCAGCCUCGGUAAACUGUUGCAUAGGACCUAGCUCACUUUUCGUAACCAGCCAAUUCCAAAUAAAUCUCCACCCUAAUAUCAAUUGCCUCAACUUUUUCCAUUAACAUGUGGAAUUCUGACAUUGAAUAUGAUUUGGCCAUUGUAUAAAAGAUCUCUGACAAUGCAUCAUGUGACUUUCUGUAAAGUUUUUUAACAUUCCCCCAUAGAUUCCAUAUACAUGCAUAAUGUGGAACAUCGUUGUACACAUCGCUAACAGCCUUUAUGAUGCUUGGAUUCGUAUCAGAAACAACACACAUGUUUUGUCUUUCCCUGUACGCUUCCUUUAAAUUCUGAAAGAACCACGUCUAUAAUGCAUCAUUUUCAGAAUCAAUCACACCCUAUGCCAGAGGGAAUAUAUGACCUGUAUAUAUAGAACAGUUAUGCGCAGUAAAAUAAAAAUACAUAUAGGAACUGCAUAUGUAUUUAUUAAAUAUACAGGUAAUUAAAAUUGUAUAUUUUACCAAAUAAAUAGUAUAGAUUACAUAUAAUAAAAUUUAGACACAUAUAACUAUAAAACAUAAUCAAUUUUACAUGUUUUCAUUCAUGAAACUUUGAAAAUAUAGGUAAUUUUAUACAUAUAUGUAUAUAUCUAGUGGAGAUAUGUAUUUUUCAAGUGAUACGUGGAAAUAAAAAUAAAUACAACAAGUUAUACAAUAAAAUUAUUAUAAAAUCAUACUAACCUACUCCAUCCAUUGUACAUUCUAUUACAAAUUCUCCAGCAUACAUUUCUCUCAGAUGACUAGCAUCAACAACUACGACUGGCCUACAAUGAUCGAAUCCCUUAAUGAAUGCAUUUAGAGUGAUAAAUACAUACAAGAACUCAUUCUCGUCUGUCUUUUUCAUUCUUAUAUAUGACUCUGGAUAGGUAGUAUUCAGUACAUAUAAGUAUGAUAGCAGUUUUCCAUAAGAUGCUGAUGGCUUACCCCUCAACUCUUCUAUUUCGCCCUUUAACAUAAAGUGUAUGUCAUAUCCAUACCAAAAUCUUUCUUCAUGAUAUUUUUAAUUUUUGUUGCACUGUAUUUUCUUUUGUGGUUCUUGAAUUUUUGUUUAACCAUACCACCUAUCAACAUACUAGUAGCAUGCACCUUUGAAUAGAUCUUGUCUUUCACUGGGCAUGUAUGUUGAGGUCUGAAUGCUCUUAUUCUAAACAUUCCAGUUUCUCCCAUUCCUGAUGCACACAUUAAAAACUCACAGUUUUUUGAUUUUCAAAACAACGUAUACCUGCAUCCAACAUAAUUUACUAUUUUCAAAAUACAUAUCCAAACUAAUAUUAAACAAGAACAGAGUGAUAUACAAUGUACGUACGUUUUUCUUACUUGACCUUUUACUUUGCGUUUGAAACUUCUCCCUAAUUGAGUAGUCCUUCAUGACUGAAUUCAACAAAAAAUUUCUCAAGUAAACCUGGUCUUCCUCAACAUGAUUGUGAUGUGGAUCUGAGAUAAUUAACUCAACAGUAACCAUUUCAAAUACAUCUAAUGCUUGUGUAUCUUCACAAACCACCAAAACUUCUUCAUUUGUUAUAUUUAUCAGUGUUUGAAUGUUGUCACAGUUGGUUAUUCUUUCAUCAACACAUACAGAUGAACUUGACACGUUGCUCCCUAUAACUUUCUCCAAAAUGCUUACAUAUAAAGGAAGACAAUUCAUGUCUUGUAUCUGCUUUUUCUAAACUAUAAACACCUUUAAACCCAUAUCAUUAUGUAUUUCUAUCUGCCCUGCAUUAGCUGUAAUUUGAUAUUCCACUAGAAUAUGUUUCCUCAUUAAAUCCACACUUAAGUGAGAUGCCAAUUCAUCGUGCAGCUUAAUGAAUGUUGCUGAUGUGCUCAACAGUAUAGCAUCAGUGACAUAUUCUUCGUGGUUUUUUCAUACGUCCACCGACCAGAGUGCUUCACAAGCACUAAUAUGCUUCCCAUUUCUACUUGAUUUACAAAAAAAUAAACAAAUAUAAAUACUUUGUCAAAUUGUAGCUUAUUAAAACAAAUAUUUUUCAUCUUUAACUGCAAACAAAUUUACACAGCCAACAUCUCCAUUCAAAAAAUAAAUUUAAACAAAAUUUGUUCAACGUAAAAUACAAACACAAAAAAAGUUUUAAACCAAAUACAGAAACUACUGAAUCGAACCAAAGAAAAAUUUGUAUAAAAUAUAUUUUUAGCAAAAACAGUUAUACUCUCAAAUUCUGACAAGCAAACCAAAAUUACAUAUGCAGUGUUAACAUUAAGCAGUUCAAAAAUACAUAUGCAGUGUUAACAUUUAAGCAUAUCAAAAAAUACAUAUAGAGCAUACCUAAUUUGUAUUUUGAUAUGUGUGAAUAGAAUUUUAUCACAUUCAGCAGCUCAAUUCAAUCAUCCAUUGAUCAAGAAUUUUCAAAAAAUAAUUGAAUCAAAUUCAACUCGAAAUUUGUUUAAAUUAUUUUCAUAAUUAGGGAGCUUCACAAUUUGAUCAAUUGUUAAAUCGAUCAAAAUAACAACAACAGGUGCUAAAAUAAAUAGUCGAACAAUGAAAUCUAAAUAACUGAAACAACUUCUAAACUGAAAUUUUGCAACAAAAAAGUUCAGUUCUGAAGAUUUUUGUUAUAUAUGUUGAAUUUCCUCCUGCUUUGAUUAUAAAUCGAAACUAAAUAGGAGCAUCAGUAAUGGAUGAAACAAAAAAUCCAACCGAAAAAACUUAAUGAUUCAUAUCUUAAACAACAGUAAUGGAUGAAUUUACAACUGGUAGUUGAAUUCGAACAAUUUGAACUGAAGAAUCUAUAAUUGAAUUUGAUUCAAAGAAACUAAUGCUUCGUUUUGAAACUGAUGUUAAAUUCGAAGAAGAUAAUGUAGAAUUUCAUAUGAACAAUAGCAAUGGUUAAACAUAAAAAUAUGGUUUAAUUAGACGAAAUUGCUUAUAAAAACGAAAAGCAGAUUUUGAUUUUAUUUGUGUUUUUCUCAGAUGAACUCGUUAAUGGAGAAAACUGAAAUUUGAAAUUUGAUCAAUGUUGUUAAGUUAAAACGGAAAUCACGUGAUUGAAGUUGUUUUAACGGAAAAGGAAUCUACAAAAUUAAUUAAUUGGUAAUUAUACCAUAUUUAUCUCAACCAAUUUCAGUUAUUUAAGGGAGGUAAAAUUAAUUUUAUAUAUAUUUUUAUAGCAACAGUUUUUAAAAAUACAUAAUACAAGUUGCUACAAAAUAUAAUUAUGAAACUGUUCCUAUAAAUUAAUAAUUAGGGCCUCAAGUAUGUCAUUUCUGAAUUUUAUCCUAUUAAAAAAUCAUAUUUUGUAUAGAAUAUCACUUGAAGUCUAUUUUCUAGCUUUUCAUAUACAAAAUUUAAGAUACUGUCUAUUAUGUUAAUUUGUAUGAUAAUUUUCACUUUUUGACUUUGACAAGUAUAAUAAGUCAUAAUAAUUUAUAAUCUAAAAUAAUUUUUAAAAGUAUAAAAAAUUACUAUAAAAAAAAACAAUUAAUUCUUGAAAUCUAAAUGUGUCACUUAAAUUGAGACGUAUGUCUACUCCUUCUGUUCUUAGAUAAGUGGUGUUUUAUCCUUUUCAUUUUGUUUCAAAUUAAGUGAUAUUUUAGAAUUUUAAGAAGGAAUUAUCUUAUGUUUUCAGAGUUAUCCUUUUUUUAAUACAUAGAGUUUUACACCAGUAAAGAAUUACUUUUUUAUUUAAGGCAUUUAAUUAGGAGUAAGUUAGUAAAGAUACUUUUUAUUUUUAAAAAAAUAAGUAAUUUUUACAAAGUUUACUCAAACUAAAAACACCACACACACGCUACCUACACACACACACACACAUAUAUAUAUAUACACACACACAUAUACACAUACAUACAUACAUACAUAUGCCAGGAAAUUUUGGGCAGCAGUGGCUUUAGAAGCUUUACGCUUUAGCCGACCUUGCAUAUAUAAGUUCCUUGUAGGCUUGGCUCGAUUAGUCAUGUCGAUACAUCUGCAAAACAACAAAUAGCUAGGAAUCUCGAAAUAAAAAAGAAACAAAGAACUUCUCUUCAUCAACCAAAGAUAAGAAAUGGAAAAGGAAUAAUAGUAGGGUAAGAAUAUGCAAAGUCUGAAAUAUUAGGUCCUGGUGUCACAAUAAUAUGUCUUAGAGUGCCCAUUUUGAUAUGAGUUUUGCUUCCGACAUUACCAUUGUUUUGCUUGCUAUAUUUUUAUCUUGUUAAAUAGAAUAUUAAUUUCAACUAAACAUUUUUGCCUUCCUACUUGUGUAUUAUUAUUUCACGAUCCUUGAUGACUUCUCUAUUGAGGAACAUUUAGGAAUAUUAGAUAUUCAAACUAAAUAAUUGUCAAGUUAGAUGAAAUUAUUCGUGUUUGAAGCUUAUUCACAUGUAUAGUCCUUGAUUUUUCUUUCUCCCUUCCCUCGCUAUUUUGUAUCUAUUGAAUGUUGUUGCAGGUCUUGGAGUUGUGGAACCCAUUCAUCCAGAGCAACAUAACUUAGCCACAUAGUGUACAUGAGGGCAUAAUUUCUUCAUUAGCGAAUUCGCGUGUGAAAGAAAAUAUAGCUUCAGUGAGUCAUGACCACCGGAUGAAGAUUUAAUGAUGAUGUAUAUUUGUGGAUCAAGUUAUAAGAAUAGACAUUCUUUCAUCUUUCUCUUUUCAAAAAAAUAUAUUUGCAUACACCUUUUUGCUGACAAGAUUGUAUUUGGGAUCAAGCAAGGGGACAAUAUUAUUGGUGCAUCACCAAUGUAAUGAGUUAUUUGAAAGGUUAUAUCAUUUACAAACUUUGAUCAUUAUUUCAAACUCUCUUUUCUCUAGUUCGUCAUUUCGAUCCUGAUAUUUAAAAAGUUAAUUAGACUUCUUAUUAUUUUAAUACAUAUCAAACUAUAAAAUUGAAUAACUAUAAUGAAUUUAAAUUCUUUAAUAGGAAAGUUUGUAAAAAAAAUGAAGGAAAAUAUUUUCGGAAAGUGUUUUCCUAUUUUUCAUGUUCAUUUGGUUGAAAUUUUAGAAAAAUAUUUUCUUUAGGAAAACAAAUCCUUGGAAAUAAGGAAAAUGAUUUCCUUAAUGAAAGUACGGAAAACAAGUGUCAAUAUUUCCCACCAUUCGCAAAAUCACCCACCCCAUCAAAUCCCACACUGAGUUUACCCCCACCUCACCAUUAACCUUCUUGCCCUCCGUCUUCCCUACCAAAAUAUGCUUCACUCUACCCUUAGUCAUUCUCAUUAUUUUUUGUUAGAUAUAUACAAAUGUUUUUAGAAUAAUAUUUAUUAUUGGGAUUCUAAAUAUAAUAAAAUAAGUAAGAAACAACUUGAUUUCCUCGAAAAUAGUUUUCAAUGAAAAAUAUUUUCCUCCAUAUUGAACACAACUGAAUGUAUACUAUAGUAACUACAUUAAAAGAACUUAGUAAUAUAGUUAGAAAAUACUCAAAAAAAAAAAGAAGAAGAAAGGGAGUGACACCACUAUUUCAAAGGAGGCCUUUCUUCCUCUUUUGAAGUUACAAAUUAAAACAUUACAUAAUGUCCAUAGCACACCGUUCAUCUUAGCACUUAGCAAGGAAGGAGUUGGAGAACCGGAAGGGAUCCAUACAGACCUAUAAAAAAUAACACUACAUAAAUGCGGGAAAAUAAUUAGGAGUGACAAAAAAAUUUCAAAACUAAGAAAAAGUGACACAAGUUUUAGUUAUUGAGUUGAGGUGACAAUUUUAAGAUUAGUGUAAGUGGAAAUAAUUUUAAAACUCCCAAGUUUGUAUUAUUUACUCAAAAUUAAGUCCUACCUUUCUCUCAACCCUUCUUAUGCCACUGCUGGCACCAUCACCACCACCACCAUUACUACCACCAGCACCACCUACUCCUCCACCAUAACUAACACAACAACCACCACCUCCUCCUCCACCUCCUUCAACAAUAGUUUAAGUGUUGCCACAACUAUGAUAGUUGUUGUAGAAACCAUCAACCAGAGGCGAACCUACCUUGGCAGUAGAGGGUGCACGUGCUUCUGCUAGCCUCAAGAAAAAAUCUGUAUAUAUAGUUUGUAUAUCUGUAUAUAUAUCAGGGUUUUAUGUUAAAUAUAUGUUGUGCACUCCCGAAAAUAAUUAACUUGAUUGGCAAGAUGGUUGAACACGCCAAUUAAAGGCCUUUUUUAUUGCGUGAUGAGUCGGGUUCGAAGCCCAACAACCAUAUUUUUUUAUUGUUUCUUUUUCAAAUACACUAUCUGUUUGUUGUAUUCUAUUUUGAAUUUUAAGUGCAAACACAUACACACACACACACACACACACAUAUAUAUAUAUAUAUAUCAAUUGAUUAAAAAAAUUUCCCACUUAGUAAUCAUUUAUUUUACACUUUUUCUUUUUUCUUUUGUGUAUUGUGGACAUUGUUAAUGUAUUUUUCAUUUAUUCAAAAUACAAGCUCCCCUCGAACUUCAAAAUGUAGAUAUUCUCCCCACCUCGUACUGUAAAUGUUUAUUUCUUUUAUCUUUUGAUCAUUGACUUAUUUUUUAUUUAAAAAAUUAGUAAUUUAAAAUUUGAGAUAAGUUAAAAUCAAACAUUUUCUGUACAACCAUAUAGCAAACAAAUCUCUUGAAUUUCAUAUUUUCAAAAACUUUUUAUUAUUAUUUAAAAAUAAAAGUGCAUUGAAUUCAAGUAUGAUGGAUAACACACUUUUUUCAUAUUAAAUCUAAUUAAUGAUAUUCAAUAAUAUUAAAAGUUUGCUUAUAAAAUAUUAGAAUUAAUAAGUUUUCAAAGAACUGCAUAUCGAACUUUGACACUAUUAAUUACUAUGUUAAAUAUAAAGGUGCAGCCGUCAAGUUCAAAUCUUGGGUUCGCCUUUGCCAUCAACUAUCGUAGUUGCAACAUAACAACUAUUGUAGGUUCCAUAUUUUUUGCAGAAUUUGUUUCAAUGACUUAAAAAAAUAAAAUGUUUCUUUCCAAAAUUCUCCAUGUUUAUCUUGACGAAAUGAGCAGAAUAUCUAUUCUAAUGCCAAAAAUAUUCACGAUAUCACUUUCAUCUUUGGUAAACUUACCAAUAGUUAUAGUCAUAGUGAUCCUCCUACUCAACUACUUCAAUUAUUUUCAAGCACCUCAUAUAUUUUUUGGGGUGUUCGAAGAUCAUUUUUUUAUGAUUUCUCUUGAUCUCAUAAUCAAAGCAAAACAGUCUAUAAAAAAGGGAACGUCGUGGAAAGGAUAAAUCAGAUGUAAAAGGAUAUAGCCCUCUUAUGGUGGAUCCAUCUUAGACAACUAUUUAUGACCAAUUGGUCUUCCAAGGAGGUUCUAGUGAAGAUGUAGCAACUCUCGUAGUGAUUUUUUAGGUUUUCCUAUGUUUUGAAUAUUUCUCCCCUUCUCGUUGUUGUCUUAUGGCACUUGUGAGUUGCGGGAGUGGAGGAUAUGGUCCCCAAAGUGUUCAAAAGAGUUUUAUAGUUUUUGAUUUUUAAAAGCUUUUAAGUUGUUAUAAUUGACGUAAGUCAAUAUUUGAUAUCCAAGAAUUGGUUGAGAUUCUUAUCAGUUCCAUCAUGCCCGAAUUAUAUUUUACAAGUGUUUACACUGUUGGGCUGUGUUUGGGAGAUCUCAGAUGAGUUUUGGGUAUUUGUUCAGAGUUUGGAGUUUUAUAUUAUUGAGUUUUAUUAGUGUCACCUAAAAUUAAUGAGUUGUGUUGAUAUGUUUAUGAUACCAUGAGAUCUGUAUUGAAAUUUCAGAAUCAAAGAAAAAAUAAUCGAUGCAUUUGAAGCACGUAUGGGGGAGAUAUGACCAUUUUAGUACGGAUAAUAGUUGCUGGUUUUCUAGUGUGGAGGUUCUUCUCCGUGAAUGUGAUGGACACACCACGAAUGUGAAGAAGGACCCUUUUUUGAAUGGGCAAUGCAAAAAUUUAUUCUUCAAAUGCAGUUAGGGUCCCACGAAUGCAAAGAAUAAAUAUUUACCUAGAUAAUGCUUAUCUAAAUUUAGUUUUAUCAAAUAAGUCAGUCAUAAUUAAUAAAUUAAUCAAAUAAAUCUAAAUAUAUACUACUUCCGUAACUUUAAAUAGCUUAGGCUCUGAUACCAUUUGUAGGGGGUGCGGAUUAGGCGCGGUAAGUUUACUAGAUAAUAAAUACGUAUGUAUUUAUUUUUAUAUAAUGUAUUUUGAGAAUAUUAUUGAUUGGAAUAAUUUUCAUUUUUAUCUUCUUGACUUAAGAUGUUUUAUUAAUUCAUAUUCUAGAUUAGAUAUUAUCGUAAUUAAAUUAUCUAGUGUUUUAGGAUCCUCGUUAGUAUUAUGUAACAUUUUGUAUUCUAGGUAUAAACUAUAUAGUUGGGUUUCGAUUUCUUGUAAUGAUUUAUUCUUUUCAUAAGAUGUGCCCAUUAAUUUAUGUAAUUGUUAAAUUCUUUGUAGNNNNNNNNNNNNNNNNNNNNNNNNNNNNNNNNNNNNNNNNNNNNNNNNNNNNNNNNNNNNNNNNNNNNNNNNNNNNNNNNNNNNNNNNNNNNNNNNNNNNNNNNNNNNNNNNNNNNNNNNNNNNNNNNNNNNNNNNNNNNNNNNNNNNNNNNNNNNNNNNNNNNNNNNNNNNNNNNNNNNNNNNNNNNNNNNNNNNNNNNNNNNNNNNNNNNNNNNNNNNNNNNNNNNNNNNNNNNNNNNNNNNNNNNNNNNNNNNNNNNNNNNNNNNNNNNNNNNNNNNNNNNNNNNNNNNNNNNNNNNNNNNNNNNNNNNNNNNNNNNNNNNNNNNNNNNNNNNNNNNNNNNNNNNNNNNNNNNNNNNNNNNNNNNNNNNNNNNNNNNNNNNNNNNNNNNNNNNNNNNNNNNNNNNNNNNNNNNNNNNNNNNNNNNNNNNNNNNNNNNNNNNNNNNNNNNNNNNNNNNNNNNNNNNNNNNNNNNNNNNNNNNNNNNNNNNNNNNNNNNNNNNNNNNNNNNNNNNNNNNNNNNNNNNNNNNNNNNNNNNNNNNNNNNNNNNNNNNNNNNNNNNNNNNNNNNNNNNNNNNNNNNNNNNNNNNNNNNNNNNNNNNNNNNNNNNNNNNNNNNNNNNNNNNNNNNNNNNNNNNNNNNNNNNNNNNNNNNNNNNNNNNNNNNNNNNNNNNNNNNNNNNNNNNNNNNNNNNNNNNNNNNNNNNNNNNNNNNNNNNNNNNNNNNNNNNNNNNNNNNNNNNNNNNNNNNNNNNNNNNNNNNNNNNNNNNNNNNNNNNNNNNNNNNNNNNNNNNNNNNNNNNNNNNNNNNNNNNNNNNNNNNNNNNNNNNNNNNNNNNNNNNNNNNNNNNNNNNNNNNNNNNNNNNNNNNNNNNNNNNNNNNNNNNNNNNNNNNNNNNNNNNNNNNNNNNNNNNNNNNNNNNNNNNNNNNNNNNNNNNNNNNNNNNNNNNNNNNNNNNNNNNNNNNNNNNNNNNNNNNNNNNNNNNNNNNNNNNNNNNNNNNNNNNNNNNNNNNNNNNNNNNNNNNNNNNNNNNNNNNNNNNNNNNNNNNNNNNNNNNNNNNNNNNNNNNNNNNNNNNNNNNNNNNNNNNNNNNNNNNNNNNNNNNNNNNNNNNNNNNNNNNNNNNNNNNNNNNNNNNNNNNNNNNNNNNNNNNNNNNNNNNNNNNNNNNNNNNNNNNNNNNNNNNNNNNNNNNNNNNNNNNNNNNNNNNNNNNNNUUUUCUCCUUUUCCACUUUGGUAAUAAGCUUCUUAACAUGCUAUUUUUUGAAUAAUUCUACUAUAAAGCAACUAAUGUGAACUUAUUUUAUCAUAUCAUGAUUGUUAGGAAUUUAUGAAUUUAGCUAUUCAUAAUAGUAAAUGAAUAUACCUGUUCUGGUAGUUUUGAUAAUUCUAAGCUUUGUUCCUCCAUAUAGAUUUUUAUUAAAAUAUACCUAUUUUUUUUAAUAAAUAAGCAAAAUUUUUUGUUGUGGACAAGAGAUUUUUUGCUUCAAUAUAUGAAGGCUUGCCCUUAUCUGAGCAAGUGCUCAUUUAUUUAUAUGAAAAUGCGUACACUAUUUUUCUUUACAUCUGUCAGCUACUUUACAAAAAUAAGAAAAACGUUUCUGCAAAGAGUCCUAAAGCUAAUGUUUAAUCUAAUAAUGGCACUACUUGCCAAAAAUCUAAUAAUGGCACUACUUGCCAUAAAAGACUAAGAAAAGUCAAAAAUCUUAGUUACAUGAUAUUUACGUAAAACUAUCUAGCUAUCUUCCAUAUUUUUUUUUCUCCUUGAAUUACUUUCUUUGUCUUCUUUCUUUAUCCGUAGUUAUCUUAUUUUUAUUGCUCUGUAUCUGCAUUAUUGCUUCAUAUUUUGCAUCUUCCAGCUGUCGCUUUUAUUUUCUUCUAUUCCAGUUGAACUUCUGGGACAAUAUUAUCUUCUCCAUUACAUUUUGAACAUUGAUGGUCUGGAUAUUUAUGUCCAAUUAACUUGCAAUAUCUGGUUAAUAAUUCUUCCGAAAUAAAUUUUUCUUUAAUGGCUCUGGCGAUAGGUUUUUUCUCUGGAUUGAGUAAAGUCAAGAUCCAUUGCCUAACGUCUUCCAUAUCUGCUUCUCGUAGUUCCUUUGAANNNNNNNNNNNNNNNNNNNNNNNNNNNNNNNNNNNNNNNNNNNNNNNNNNNNNNNNNNNNNNNNNNNNNNNNNNNNNNNNNNNNNNNNNNNNNNNNNNNNNNNNNNNNNNNNNNNNNNNNNNNNNNNNNNNNNNNNNNNNNNNNNNNNNNNNNNNNNNNNNNNNNNNNNNNNNNNNNNNNNNNNNNNNNNNNNNNNNNNNNNNNNNNNNNNNNNNNNNNNNNNNNNNNNNNNNNNNNNNNNNNNNNNNNNNNNNNNNNNNNNNNNNNNNNNNNNNNNNNNNNNNNNNNNNNNNNNNNNNNNNUCUAGGUAUUUCUGGUUGUGGAAUAAUAUCUUCUGGUAUAAUCAUAUCUCGGGUCAUUCCUAUUUUUACAACUUGUA
Molecule: long non-coding RNA, 488727 nt
Filed under: Capsicum annuum
Lineage: Eukaryota; Viridiplantae; Streptophyta; Magnoliopsida; Solanales; Solanaceae
Description: long non-coding RNA (CANN_LNC013773)
Source: RNAcentral